This 411686-nucleotide long non-coding RNA is filed under the name Durio zibethinus. Its description in RNAcentral is "long non-coding RNA (DZIB_LNC002428)". The record is from RNAcentral. Lineage: Eukaryota; Viridiplantae; Streptophyta; Magnoliopsida; Malvales; Malvaceae.
UGACAACCAACUUUUAAAUCUUGGACUGGUUUGAUGGAAGCAACAUCCUAAGGUGACAAUUGUAGAUGUCCUAUUUAAUUUUUGAAAUCUUUUGUAAAUUCUAAAUUUUGUUUUUAUUUGUUUAUUUAUUUAUUUAUUCUCUUUUUUUUUUUUUUUUUGCGCUUUCAAUUGACUCUUUGAGUUAUAGUGGUAGUUGAUUGUGGGGCAUAACAUUGUGGCUCUUGUUGGAUUAUUGGAUGAUAGGUUCUAAACCAAGCCUAACUCCUUUUUUUUUUAUGAAUUUUAUUUUUAUCUGAUUUAUAUCUUCUGUAAAAAAAAAAAAUUGAAAUUGAAAGGUCGGGAAGAUAAACAAAAUGAUAAAUAAAGAGAAGGAAAUCAGAUGAAUUUUGAUGAUGAUUUUUGUGAAGAUAAGUUGAAUCUUUUAAGAAUAAAGGACAUGAUAAUUUUUAAAAUUAACCCAAUCAACAUUUUGUUUCGAUUUGGAUUCUAAACGAGCUGGGACUAAAGGCUUAUAUAAGCAACAAUAAUUGAACACAAUAUACACAACAAGUAAAGGCAAUCGCAGAGGUAGAAAGCAAGUAAAAAAAUUUUUUCCACAAUAGGGUUCUUAAUUUGAAAUUUUUUUUUUUUUGCAAUUUUAGUUAUUUGAAUCAGUUUAAUUUGGAAAAAUUAGUGUUAUUAAGGGAUUAAAGAGGCGCAAAGAUCCAAGUUGAAUUUUUAGCCUUUUUUAUGUAAGAAUCUAGAAAUUUUUAAAUUUUUCAAUGAAUUUUAAAUUUUUUAACGAAUUCUUUUAGCGAAAUUCACAGUUUUUGGUGAAACUUGAAUUUUCUAACGGUUUUGAGCAUGAUUGGUUCACUGGGAAUCAUUUUCUUGGAGAUAGUUGUGUUACAAACUAAUUUUGCAGUUUGUAAUCUGAGUAUUAAUGUUACAAACUAAUUUUUAGCAUGAAUGGCGUGUCCUGGCCUUAUCAUUUACUCUUUUUGUUCUUUUUUUUUUUUGUUUAAAUUUUUUAUGAAUGUUUCAAAAUCUUAUAUUUUUAAUAUCUAAAAUUUUUAUUUUUUUAUCUUUUAAAAUUAUUUAUUAUUAUUUAUUUUUUACAUUAAAAAUAAAAAGUUUUAAUUUUAAUAUUCAUGAUAAAAUUAAUUUUAUUCAUGAUAAAAAUUUAUUAAUGACUUUUAAUUUAUUAAUAUUCAAUAUUUAUUAUUAGUAAUUUAUAUCAAUAUUUUGUAAUCAUACUUGUCCACGUUAUUUAUUAUAUAUGAAUUAAAAAUGAGCAAAUAACUAAAUAAUUUCAAAAAAAUUAAGUUUCAAAAUCAUCACUAAUAGUACGAUAAGAUAAAAAAAAUACUAUUAAUAUUGAUUACUUAAUUAACAUAAUGAUCUAAUCUUAAAACAAUUCAAAAAUAUCAAAAUUACUUAGACAUAAUAUUAAUAUAAUUUAAAUAAUUGAACUUUAUUAAAAUUAAUAUUUAACUGUUUAUACUUAUUACUUAUUAAUAAAUUAAUAAAAUUUGAGAUAUUAAAUUAAAUUAAUUAAUUGAUCACAUUUGACUUUUCAUAUUUUCUUUCUAUCUAAAAGUAAAAAAUGUAUAAUUUCAACAAAAAAAAAAAAAAACCCUUCCAAUUUAAUUCUAACCAUUUAUUUAAAGUCUAGCCAUUUCGAGUGUGAGUUAAUUUGAGUUUAAAUCAAUGUUGAAUUAUAAUGCAAUAAUUAUAGGUGAUAUAUCUCAUGAUUUAAUUCUUUGGCCUAAAACAAUAAAGAGCCAGUAGCAGAUAAUUAAGUAAUACAGAACUUACAUCAAAAUUUUAAAAACACAGAGAUAUCUCCCUUCAUCUCCUCUUAUUCUGAACCAAGUAGAGCAUGCAUGUCCUUGGAAAUCAUCCUCAAGUUCUAUCACAAGCCCGUCUCCCUUCGCAUAAUCCCAUAGGACUAAAAAAAUGGAGACAUUACUGAACUAGCACAAGGCACCACAGUUUGGAUUUACAUCUCCAUAGAAAUGAAUAUUUCCAUCACAUUAUGCUGUAAAAUGUGCAAUGCUCUCCUCAGUGCUAUUAAAGAAUAAUGGUCAGCUCCAUAGCCACCAUGGUGGAAAGUGCAACCCAUUCUUAAUAUCAGUUGCUACUCCACCCAAUUUACAAAUGUCUAAUGUCAGCCUUUCUUUGAAAAGCUUUGGAACAAAUAAGACCUUAUAUAGAAGCUGGUAGAUGGUUCAUGCAGUUAUCCUCAAAAAAUGACAUCUAAUAGGUUUGUGGUUUGAAUUUCAGUGCUUACAACUCCUUCUUUUAUCCCUAAUGCAAAAAAAAAAAAGAGACCUUAUAUGCACGGUGGCAGGGACUUGGACACUAGAAUGGAAACUAUAGGAUGGGUUUUUGAGGUUAGCAUCUGGGAUGUCUAAGGAAGAAUCCAUGGUUCUGAAAACCCCUGAAUAGACGUGGAAUCAGGAUGAUAAUAACUUGUGCUUUUGAUAAUUUAGUUUUUGCAGCACUCAAAAUUCAGUUUCUACCCUUCUGACAAGGAAAUAGUGUUUUUCCUCUUCAAACAGUUACUGUGGUCAUUUAUUCAGUAUAAAAAACUAACUCAAAAAAGGUAAAUUAUUUCAUACUUUUUCGUUUUAUCUUGAAUCUCCAUCAUAUUACAUGUAGGCCAAAAAGGAUAAUACAUUAGUGGACUUGAUCAAACUAAAAAAGCAGUGGCUGCAGCUCAUACAAAAUAAGAUCAUAACAUUAAAAUCUCGAAAUGGAAGACAGAUGCAUAUCACUUUGUUCUUUUCCAGCCCACAAUUUUCUUUAAGAAUUUCAAAAGGCAUAAAAAGAAAAAUUAUCACUGAGAUUAAGCCUUUUAAAAAAUGAUAUGAAAAUUCACUUAUUCAGCUUAUGUUUUGGUUUACUAAUUAGAAUAGAGUUCGAGAGUUCGAUUACAUACGAAAAAAGUUAUAGCAUCCUCACAACUCCCAUCCUAAGAUGAUACCAUUUAAUUUUAAAUUAUCUUAAGGAUUUUUGGUUCUAAUGAUUUUUUUAUUAAACUUUGAUAUUUAAAUAUUAAAAAUAAUUUUUAAGAUUUUUUAUUAAUUUGACAGAAUUCUUAAAAAAUACUUCCUCAACAGGAGUAUUUAAAAAUCGUAUUUAUUUUUUUGAAGAGGUUCUGUUGUAAAAAAAAAAAACUUAAUCAUUUAUUUUUUAUUUUGUUUUUAUUGAAAAUAUGUCUAAUUCUUUCAUCAUUUAGGUCAAAAUUAGAAAUAUUUUUUCGCCUAGAAAUUUUUUAAAUAAUCAUCCUUUUGUAAUUAUUAUAAAUUUAAUCCUCAGAAUUUAUUCUUUUUAUUUUGUGUAAGUUUUUUGUAUCUAAAUUUCUAUUGUAUGGAGACAAAUCUAAAUUUUCCACCAUUUUAAAAACUUUUAGAAAUACUUUUUUUACCUAAAAAUUUCUAAAAAAAUCAACCAUUCUUGAUUUCUUAGAAUUUCAUCAUCAACAUUUUUUUAUCAUUUCCAAAACUUCUCAUUUCUAUCUUUUUUAUUUACUACAUUUAAAAAUAUAAUUAUUAUAAUUUUAUCUAAUUUUACCAUCAUUAUAGUAAAAUUUUAGAAAUAAAUUUAUUAUCUAGAGUUUCUCAUCUUGAAAUUUUUUAGAGGAUCAACCAUUCUUGAUCUCUUAGAAUCUCAACAUCAAAUUUAUUUUAUUAUUUUUCUAUUUUUUAAGAUAUAUUUUUGUUAUUUCUAAAACUUUCUAAAAUUAUUUUUUUAAUUUUUUAUGAUUUUAAAGCAAAUAUCAAUAUUGUUAUUGAAAAUUUUAUCUAAAUCUCCAAUUUGAAGAUAUCAAAAAAAAAAAAAAAAAACUUCUCACUUAAAAAAAUUCUAGAAAUUCAACAAUUCUUGAGUUCUAAAAUUUUACUAGUUGGUAAUUUUCAUUUAUUUUUUUAGGAUUAUAUUCUUUAUUCUUAUUUUCAUAAAUUAUUUUUAUUAACAUUUUCAUAUAAAUUGUCCACCAUUCUAGAGAAUUUAUAAGAAAACUUCUUACUUAAAAAUUUCUAAAAAUCAACCAUUCUUGAUUUUUAAAAUUAUCUCAUUAGGAUAAUUGCCAUGUAUUUUAGAGUUUUUGUUUCAUUUUUUUUAUAUUUGGUGUUCAAUUGACGAGAAAUUAAAUUUAUUUUUUUUGGUUUUCAACUAAAUUUUCCACCAUGGAGAAUUUAAAAGAAAUUGCUUAUCUAAAAAUUUCUGAAAAGUAAAUUCCUUACAAAAAAAUUUUCACUUAUAAUUAAAGUUUGAAUUAAAUUACAUGAUUCAAAAAAAAGUUAUUUAUCUUCAAGAUUUAUAUGAAAUACAUGAUUCUGAUAAUAUUUUAAUUAAAGAAAACUACAAGUAUAAAUAUAUUUUAUUCUACCAUAUUUUAGUUUUUUAAGUGUGAAGCUAGUAAACAUUUUUCUAGUUUAAGAAUGAAUGCUUUAUAAAAUGUACAACAAAGUAAAUAAAUGAUAAAAAAAAAAAAAAAGAACCAGAAAAUUAAAUAAGGGAAAAAAAAAAGAUGAAAACCUAAAAUUUGAGUUGCAACUCAAAUCCAACGCAGGCCAGCCUAAGCUAAAAAGUAGGGUUGGAGUUCGAGGCUUCAAAUUGUGGUUCUUGAAUCCUCCUCAGGUUACACUCAAAAUAUAAGCUUUUUGGACUUGGACCAGAUCUUUAAGUUCUAGAACAUUCCUUCCCCUUUCUUUAUUCUUUAUUGCAAAAGGAUAAAGCCCAACUUCUCAUUUCAGCAACACAGCUCUCAGUUUUUGCUGUUUUCUCGUCCUUUUUGCCGAUAAGUUGUCACUUCCCUUAUUAUUUUCGGAAUCUCACAACACUCCGCAAAUUUAAACACAAAGACCAUUCUACCACUUCUUGGAAUUCCUAAUCCCAACUACUCGGAUCGUUGAAAAACUCCUCCAAAUCCUUCCCCUUUCUUUUGCCGUUUAAAAGAGUACCAAAAUGUGCCUAACUAAAAGUGAAUCCCAAACCGAAAACCGCUGCUAGAAGAAUAUCUUUUAUUUUCGUCUUUCGAUUGUUGAUUCUAUCUCUGUGGCUAUUUUUGAUGCUUGACUCUGGUUAUUGUGUUUUGAUUAUUUGUUGGAUUUUGGAUCGAUGGUUACUAUUUGGGCAAGAAAAGGUAGUGGUAGUCUUCGGUUGCUGGUUUAGAUAGUGGAUGACUGGUGGUGGUGACUGGCAAUUGGGAGCGGCCGAACAAAAUGGGGAUUUGCUUCCUAUCUCCCCUGUGUUGCCCUCUGAUUUUCUCUGCUGAUUGCUUUCUCUAUGAUUUUUUUUUUUUUUUGUUAGUUGUUGUGAAUUGAAAGUUUAUUUAUAGGUAAGAUCACGAGAGUUUCAACUUACUUAGGAAUAGAUUUCUUUAAAAUUAAAGAUUAUCCCUAUAGUAAAUCUAAUCUCAAACUGCUUCUGAUGAAGCUAGCAUCUUAACCGAGAUAACAUCAUUUUAAACUUCCAAAUUAUCAAAUAAAAAUAAAAUAAAUAAGGAUAAUAAGAAUACGGAAAAAUAAAAUAAAAGUCUAAAAUCUAAAAUUCAAUAAUUGGAUUUCAAAUAAGACCAAGUCCAAUUGAUUUGGGCCUCCAUAAAAUAAAAUAUUGACCUCGAGAAAUUGCUCAUAGUAGAAUAAAAACUUAACCUUUAUAUGAGAAAUAUUUAAUGUUAUCAAUUUGAUUAAUUUUAUUUCUUAUAUCGUCUGAAAAUCUGAAUCUCUCUCGCAUUGUCUUUUUUCGUGGGUGGCCUCAAAACAAUUGUUGACGGCUCAAUUUCCUUUCGUUUCCCCCUUUUUUUCCCCCUUUCUUUCUUUGCUUCUCCUUUUUUUCAUUUUCAAAUUUUUUGGUAAUAAAUAUAUUUCACUAUCACCACCUAUGAGAUGGCUUGAUCGAUGAGUACAAGAAGUAAGCCAUCACUAUUCUCCUUUGAGACUACCAUUGUAGCAACCAAAAUCUCUAAUCAAGAAAAAGGUAAUCCUAAUUAUGGGGUUUUUAUAUUACCUUUGUUUUGAGUUGAUUUUUAAGUUUCAAUUUGUGUAAAAUUGUUGAUGUAUUUGCAGGAGAAAAAGAACAAAAUUAAAAUAUUCAAAAUGUAAUUUCUCAAAAUGCUAAACCAUAAACAAAGGCUUUAAAUAUUGGUAGAGUUGUUCUAAGUUUGAUAUCUUGUAUCAAAUUUUUUGGGUUUGAUAUUAGAUUUAAAGAAAUAUUGAAUUUCAAAGGUUUGGAUUAGUUAUGCAUUUGAUAUUUUUUAUAAGAUUUAGGGUUGUAAACUGAGGGUAGCCAUGGUAGUUUUUCCAACUUCCUGCCGAAUAGUUUCUCCUUUAAGAGAAUAGGCCUUGAUCCAAGCAGUCCAAAUUGAGCCCUCUUUUGACAAUAAAGUCUAAAUAUAUUGGAUGAUGCAAACUUUCUUCAAACUGAAAAGAUCUUUAAAUAUACUUCAGAUUUUAUGGAAUAUUUCCCCAUCAUUUUAUUUCAAUUUAAUGGUUAGUGAAAUAUGAAAAGUUUUCUAAAUAAAAUUGAUUCAUUUUUUUCUUUCAAAAUUUUAUUUCCAAGGCAUUAGUUAAUAAAAUAUAAUUUUAUUUCAAAAGUUUAUUUUCAAAUAAUUAAUUAAAUAAAAUACGAAAAAAUUGGAAUUAAUAUACAUAAUUCGUAUAACUUUUCUUUUCCUACCUAUUUUUAAUCAAACUCAAUAAUUACUAACGAUAUCAAAAGUUUUUUUGAAAGAAAUUUAUUUAUAUUUUUUUUAAACGUUGUUUUCAAAUCAUUAAUUAAAAGUACAAAAAAUUCACAUUAUUUUCAAAUCAUUAAUUUUAUGCUUUUUCCUCUCCCUAUCAUUUAUCAAAACAAAAAAAAAAGUAAUUUUUUCAUGAACAAUUUUUAUUUUAAACCAAAUGACGACAUUGACAUUUUUCCUUUCAAAGGUUUGUUUUCAAUUUAUUAAAUAAUUCUAUAGAAAACUAAUAAUUGAGAAAUGAAAACAUGAGGAAAUUUAUAGAAAAAUAAUUAGCAAUUGUUGUGCACCAAAACAUUUUAGCAAAAAAUAUCUUUGGACUAUUUAACUUAAAAUCUUUACUUCAAAUCAAGAGUUCAAGUAUAUCAAGAAAAAAAAAACUAAUUCUUCUAAAAUGAAAAAAAAAAAUUGACAACCUUCUGAAUACAAAAAUAUAAACAAUUAUAUCAUAUGUUCUCACUUGAGUUACUUGUAUUUUAGCUACUCAUCAUUUAUUGAAUAAAAAAUAUUGACACCUUUAUAGAAUAAAGUAACAGGAAAACCAUUGGCAUCAAGUUAAAUAAACUUUGCAUCGUUUAUUUUCAAAAUAUGAUUCAAUAAAACUAUGGAUUCCAAAUAAAACAUAUCACUCUAAUGUUCCUCCAUUAGAAAAUUAAAAAAAAAAAAUUAUUGCGAGAAAGAUGAUCGCAUUUCUCAAGAAGAAACACCACCCCACUUUUGGCCAUGAUUUCAUGAACUUUCUAAGACAUUCCACGCCAUUGGAAGGUGAACUUCCAAUGCACAAACACACCAUAAAGCUCUCACUCAAGCUUCAUGCAAUCACAAUAAAAGAAGAAACAGCACAAUCUGUUCCACGCUGAAUUCAUAAGUUACAUACUGCAAUAAAGUUACAAAACUUGCAUCAGUUCCCCUUUUUUCUUUUUUCUUUUUUUUUUUUUUUGGACAAGAAGCUUGCGUUCAUAUUUCGAAAAUCAAUUUCUAACAAUAAUCAAGUGAAAGAAAAAAGAUGAACUUCAAAAAACUUGCACCUACCUGUAUUAUUAUUCCUUUUCAUCAUACUUACUAAAUUGGUUUUGUGAAUAAUAGAAAAAAAUGCCCAUACUGAUAGUUGAUAAAUUAAUAACGUCAUACCAUAUAAAAAUAGGAGACAAUAAUUUAUAAACUUAGAUUAAUAUGUACAAGUGAUGAUUGACUAACUCCAGGCAUUUCAAACACCUAACAUUAUAAAUCGAUAGGAAAUCGAAUCAACAGAAAUUCAAUAAUGGUUUAUAUGAUUAAUAACAUCUAUUUUAUCAAAGUAAAUAAUUAAAAUUAAUAUUUACUUUUAGGAAAAGUCAUUUCAUACUUUUAUCUUUAAAAUGGUUUAAUUUCAAUAAAUAUAUAGGUGCUAUAUAGUAAAUUCGUACAUGAAUACUAUUUUAAUUAUGUAAAUAUGUGUUCAAUACUAACAAUAUUGUAAUUAACUUCUAUGUUAAAUAACAAUUAAUAUAGUUAAUUUAUUAAAAUAAAUAAAGCAUGUUUGACUUGAUUAUUAAUUCCAUAAUCAAGCAUAAAUCACCUAAAAAAAUAAAAAAAAAAUGAGCCAUUAUUUUUCAUCCAAUCCAAAUUACUUAAAAUGCAAUUAUAUGAGUCAUAAUUUUCAUACAAGAAAAUACAUUAGUACACUUUUAUUAUUAUUAAAAUUAUAUACUUACUGUUAUUAUUAUCAUUGAGAUAAAAAAGAGUUGUAACGAAAAAGUAUUCCUAAUUAAUGAUUGCAUUAAUAAAUAUUGUAAGUAAAUGAAAAUGAAUUUAACUUACUAGUUCUCUUCAUGAUAAUUUAUGUUUUGGUUAAUUACAUAGAAAUUAUAUAUAUGUUACUUCUAAUCAUACAGAACAUAUAUAAAUUAAUUAUAUGUAUUGAGAAAUAAUAUGAAUUUAAUAAAAGAAAAUAAAAGAAAACACAAAUGCACAAAAUGAGCCUAUCUUUCUAUAUAUGUAACCACACAUCCAGGUGAAAAGGCUUUUUAUGCAAAUCGCAUAAUUAUUUAAACUCUUUAAUGAUUCAAUGCAACUAAAACUCUAGUUUUUAUCGUAAAAUUUAAAAUGUUAUUAAAAAAAAUUUACUUUAAUAAAAAGUUCAAAGUUAAUAAAUAAAUAUAGAGAUAAAAAUUCAAAAUUAAUGAAAGUACCUUGAUUAUUGAACCAAAAUAUGUAUUAUGGUAGUAGUAACCUUAACCUGCAAGUAAAUAUAAAGCUUAAUGAAGUACCUUAUUAAAAGAAAAUUAGAUAAAUAUAUACUAUGUACUUUUUUAUUAGCCUAAACUAUUUAUAUGAUUGCAUUCUUACCACAUUAAUUAAUCCUGCAUAAUAUUGUUCAGAUAUUCUCUUUUGAUAUUCUUCAGCAUGGAGACGACAUUCUUCAUAUCUAAUCUAUCUUCAGGAAAUUCAGCUGAACAAUCCAAAGCUAAUCUCAUAAUAGAUGAUAUACAAUUUGCUUUAAUAACAAAAUAUUCAUCGGUUUCUUGCACUAAACUAGAAUCUAUUACACCAAUUAUUUCAUUAGAUAAUGACCCUUUCACCCAAUGAUUCAUACUCAUUUCUCCAACAAAAAUAUCAUCUGUGGGCUUCUUUUUUGUGAAGGUUUCUAUUAAUAGAAUACCAUAGCUAUAGAUAUCAGUCUUCACCGAAACAAUUCCCAUCGAUCCGUAUUCUGUAUUUUAAAUAUAAUUGAAUCAUUAAAAUGAUCUUAUGCCGUUCGGGCAUCAUUAAUCAUCAAUAAAAUGAUAAAAUACUAAUAUCUACUCGUAUUGGAAUAGAGAAAAAAUAAAAAAUGAAAAUUUCACCUGGUGCCAUAUAGCCAAUAGUAGCUAGUGUCGUUGUUUGUUUGAUGGAAUCUCCUCCCAAUAGCUUGGCAAUUCCAAAAUCUCCCACAUGUGCAACCAUGUCCUCAUCCAAUAAGACGUUACUUGGUUUUAGGUCACAAUGGAUUACAGGAAUUGGAUGUCCCAAAUGGAGGUACUCUAAUGCCGAUGCAACAUCUAUCAUGAUGUUGAUUCUUUGUAGGAUAUCCAAUACAUAAUUGUAAGAAUAUAACCAUUUCUCAAGGCUCCCAUUAGGCAUGAACUCAAGCACUAGGGCUUUGAAAUCAAUAGUUGAACAACAAGUAAUGACCUUGACAAGAUUGCGAUGAAGGAUAUUGCUCAUCACUUCACAUUCAACGUCAAAACUCUUAAAUGCUCCAUCUCUUUGCAUAUUGAAAACUUUUAUUGCGACUUCUGUUCCAUCUGAAAGUAUUCCUUUGUACACAGAGCCAAAACUUCCUGAACCAAGUAAGUUAUUCCAACUAAAUCCACCAGUCCCUUGCAAUAGUUGAUUAUACGAAAUUCUUCUCCUUUUCUUGAGAGGAAUUGAAUCUUUAACCAUUACCAAAUUCAUAUUCCCCCGCUGCCCUUUUUUGUAGACAAUUAUGACAGCUACAACUAUUAUUAUUGAAGCAAAUGUUGGUAAAACAUACCUCAAAGCAUGAAGAGCGGUCUUCUUGAAUUUUGGAUGGAUUUUAUUUUUGCAAGGUGAGACUUGUAGUCUAGGUGAACCACAUAGUGCAUGAUUUUUCAUGAAUGAUUUGGCUGUGAAGUUCGAAAAAGGCCCUCCACUUGGUACUUCUCCUUCUAAUCUAUUGAAAGACACAUUAAAAUAAUUGAGAUCAUAAAGUUUUUCCAAAGACUUGGGAAUGACUCCAGAGAGAUUGUUGUUAGAUAAAUCCAAGCUUUUCAAACUCAUCAAGUCGCCCAAUGAUUUUGGAAUAGGGCCUUGUAAUCUAUUUCUAGAAAGAUCUAAAACUUGUAGAUCAUGGAAACUUCCAAUUGUGGACGGAAUAUCACUUGAUAAUAAAUUCCUUGACAAAUUCAAAGAAAUAAGGACCUUCAAAUUUCCAAUGUCAUGUGGAAGUGAACCGCUAAGAUUGUUUGAUGACAAGUCUACUUCCAAGAUAUCUUUAAGGCUCCAAAAAGUUAAAGGUUUUUGCGAAUGCAAUUUGUUGGAGAACAAGUAUAGAUAUCUCAGAGAAGUCAAAUCAGACAAACAUGUUGGUAAUGGUCCAUCAAGCUCAUUAGCACCCAAUGAUAAUUCGUACAAUCCCUUCAAACCACAAAGAUCUUGUGGGACAAAGCCUUGUAACUUAUUUCCAUGAAGAUUUAAAAGUUGGAAAUUUUUUAACCUUCCUAUUGUUAUUGGAAUAGGUCCACUCAAUUUAUUGGAGGACAGGUCUAACAAUAUAGCUUUGCUUAAGCUACCAAUUUCCAUGGGAAUGCUGCCUCUAAUUUUGCAAUCAACGAGCCAUAAUUUUUGAAGUGAUGUGGAGAGAUUUGAGAUAGAAGUUGGAAGAAUGCCAUUCAAUGGUUUGAGUGAUAGGUCCACAAAUGUUAGAUGCCUGCAAUUUUCAAAGGAAUAGAGAAAGCUCCAUUCAUGAGUUGAAGUUUUGGUGGUCAAAUGAUUCCACGCAAGGUUCAACAUCUCAAGGAACCUCAAAUUGCAAAGUGUAUCUGGAAUAAGGCCAAAGAAUGAGUUUUUUGCUAAAUCUAGGAUCCUGAGCUUAGAAACAUUGGAGAUAGAGUCAGGAAUAUUUCCACUGAGAUUAUUGCUCCAUAAGUAAAGACCUUCAAGAUUUGAAGCAGAGCUCAUGUGUGGUAAUUUACCUAAAAAGAAAAAAAUAAGUUUGCAUCCUUCCAUACAAGAAAUAAAUUAAUUGUUUUGCUUUGUUGUGUUUUUCAUGAAUCUAUGAUGCAAACUGAAGUGAAUGCAAUGCUUACAUAUACGAACAUGAGUGAGGAGAAACUUGAAGCCUUUUAACAAUUAUAAAUAUGAAACAACUUCAAGUUUUUCUUGUUUGAUAAUCUGGAAUAUAUAUAUAUAUAUUUAUAUGAUUUAUAAAAUUUUUUUCAUAUUUAUAAUGAUCAAAUUAGGGCUCCAUGCUUACGUAUAAUAAAGUGCAAAAGAGAAAAGAAAAGUAAAAGGAAAAAGAAGAUAGAAGAAAGGAAAGGAGAAAAGGAGAUAUUAUAAGGUUCUAGUAUAUGCUUAAAAUGUUUUCCAUUUAUGUGAGAAUUUUAUUUUCUUUAACUUAUCUCAAUUGCUUUAAUGAUAAAAAAGAUUAAAGAAAUUUUCGUUGAUGAAAUUGUUAAUGUACGAAAGAAAAAGAAAUGAGAUAAAAGAUGAAAAAAAUAAAAAAUAAAAGUAUAUUUACAUUAAUUUGUUUGAGAAAAGAAAAAUCUGAAAGUAAAAAUAUUUGGAAAUAAAUUAGAAUUUUUAUCUAUGCCAUUUUAGGAAAAAAAGGCUCAAGAGAAAUGAUAAAAUUUCUGUCAUUUUACACUAUAUAGGCAUAAUCAAAGAGAAAAAUACAAAGAUUCUAUCAAAAGAUUGUUAAAAGUACACGUACUCUUUUGAGUUUGAAAAUCAGUUUCUUUCUUCCCUAAGGUUUGAUAGAACCUUACGAGUGCUCUACCAGAGGAUGUUCAUUUGAGGUUUGUUGGAGUAAUACUGUAUACAUUUUCCUACUACAAUAAAAAAUUUAGUAAUAUGAUGACAAAAAAUGUGAAACUAAUGAAAAAGAUUUUAAAAUGAUGCUUUCGAUUACAGAAUUAUUAGAGGGUGAAAAGCCUUGCCUUAGUCCGAUUUAGAGGGUGAAGCAAAGGUAAGUCAAAAAGCUCUUCUUGGAUGCUAUGAAGGCCACAUAAGAACAUUAAUUACCUUGGGAGAAAAAAAAUUUUUACACUGUUUGUUGAUGGAAUUUUUCCAGGAUGUAAUCUCUUUAAUCUCAAGCAAUGUUUUGUCAGAUGUGGGAGGGUGGUUGAUUUUUAUGUCCCAAAUAAUCAGAAGAGAGCCAAAAAUGUCUUAGUUGGUUUUGUCCAUUAUCUUGAUCUACGGGAUGCAUUGAGGGCUGUCAAAUUUCUAAAUGGUUAGCUCCUGAGUUAUUCCACUCUAUAUGUUCAAAUGGCAAGGUAUGAUCAAAGGUCUCAUGCUAGUUCCAAACCCACCACUCACCACGUGGAAAAAGGUGUUAGCUGCAUAGAAGACUUUAAAGAUGGACGAUCUUAUGCAGAGGGGUUCAUAUGUCUGUCAAAUCCACUCAGUUAAAGGAUAAUAUUGUAUCAGAUGGUCAAAAAGAAGAGGUUUUAAAAUCGCUUAACAUCCUUGAAUACAUUCCUGAAAAUUUAGAUGUGGUGGGAUUACAACGGAAUGCUGUUGGGAUAGUUAGAUAUCCUGAUACUACAAAUGCCAUUGAUCAAAUCUUGUCAGAGGAAAUUAUGUUAUUAUCUCUGGAACUUGGUCAGGAGUUUCUGUUGAGCUUAUGAGCAAUAGUGAUAUAGAUGCUGAGAAACUUUUCAACGUCGAAGAAAAAUUUCACCUUGUUACUACUAUUCGAGUAGGUAAAAGAAGGAAAAAAGGUAAGGCAAAAUAUUGGACAAGAUCCAAUCGCAGGUCUCGCCAGAUAAAGACACCUCUAGUUUCCAAUGUUCAAGAGCGCUUAUCGGAUGAAGAUAUUCGUUCUCGAAAUAGAGCUUUUCUAGAUGGAUAUGAUAGUGGUUACGAGGUUAAUGUUGAGAGUUCUAGCGUUUUGCUAUUUGCAUGCUUUUGGGAUAUGAAAGAGCCCCUAUGUAAAAAGAAUCAUCGACCAUGAAAGUUGUUUUCUAUAUUUUUUGAAAUUGUGAUGCUUUGGAGAUCAAUUGGGGCAUCCAGUUUGAUAAAAAAAAUUUAAAAACCUGAAUGAUAUGGUAGAUGUCAUGCAAAGGUGGGUGGUGAUUUUGUUCUGUAAGGGAUAGUGGUGUUUGCUCUCAUUAUUUGUUUACCGACCAUGGUAGUGUUUUUUUUUUCCUUUUUGUUUGGAUGUCAUGAUUUCUUCUUUUUAGGUGGAAGUCUUUCGUUAGAAUUGUGCUAGAUGUUUUUUUUUGUUGUUUCUGGUAUGGCUUUAACUAUGUUUCUUGGUAAGAUUCUUGUAUUUCACUGAUGAUGUUCUUUUGAUCUCUAAUGAAAAAAUGGCUUAACAAAAAAAAAGUUACACAACUAUUGCUUUUUAUUUCGUAAAAGAACAGUUAAAUUCCCUAAUUUGACAAAAAAAAGGAUAAAAAUAGCACUUAUUUUUAUUGCAUAUAAUAAAAAGAGAGCAUAUAAUUUACAACUAUUAUAAUUCAAUUAAUUAAUUAUAAUUUAAAAUUAUAUAAAAUUUAUCAAAAUUUUAUAUGUAACCAAUAUUUAUAAGUGAUGAUCCUUAUAUAAUACUUUAUUGUGAUUAGAUAAUAUUAUAAUAUUAUAGUAAAAAAAAUUAUAACUGAAAUGAUUCAAAUAAAAAGUUAGACGACUUUAAACAAAUCUAUACAUUACAUUAAAACAAUCUGGUGACAAAAGCAUGGUAGUUAGGGAUGAAUUGAAAAUUGACAUGUGGUUGGAUAAGUGAAGAAUUUUUUUUUUUAAUUUUGAAUGUUGAUUUUUUUUGGAACGGAGUACAAUUAAAAAAAUCAUUAAUACUAUAUUUUAAAACUAUGGUUUUUGGUAAUUUUCUUUUGAAAUUGUUUUUUGUCAAAUAUAAUUUAGUCAUAAGUUUGAUCCUCAAUUACCAUAUAAACUUUACUCAUAUGUCUUAAAAGAAUGGGCAGACUAAAAAAUAAUAUAGGCUAAGUAAAUGUAUGAGCCUUAAUUUUUGUAUUAGAAGAGUGGACUUAAUAUAUAAUGCUAUAAUAAUUUUAAUCUAAUUUUAAUUUCCAUGUUUAAAUUUAUUAUUUAUAUGUAACAUAAUAAUGCUCAAAUUAAAAUUACUUUAUCCAUUCAAUAAAAAUUUUUUAUUUUAGAAGAUUUAAAUUUAAUAUUUUAUUAUAAUAUUACAUCUUGUUAAUAAAUAAUAAAAUUAUAUUAAUUUUAAUACAAUAUUACAUGUUGUUAAUAAAUAAUAAAUUUAGAAAAACUAUAAAAUGAAUUGACCUAAUGUCGUUAGGUAAUAAUAGAAAUUACAAAAUAGAUCAGUUACAAUAUAAUGACACUUUAAAUCGGUGUUAAAAGAAAAAUAAUUGAGGGAAUAAACACUAAAAGGUUUUUAAUUUGGUUUUAUUGACAUGGAAAGACUCUUUCUUUCCUACUUCAAAUUAAAUAAUCAUUACAAUACAGGUUUUAAUUAUAAUUUUUUAUGCAAGUUUCUAUUUUAGAAUACACGUUUUUACAUGUGCUUUAUUAUAUCAUAUUUUCAUUUCUAGAAUCUCUAUCUCCUUUCUACUUCUCAUUUUCCUUUCAUUUUCUUUCCUCCUGCUAUUCAGGUUUUUUUUUUUUUUCAAGUUUCAAAAUUUUUAGCUUACCUUUUAUCAUCUACAUAUAAAAUUAAACAAAUAUACACACACUACAUCAUCUUUUACUGUUUUCAAUAUACAGAAUAUCAAAAUACAACGUUCAUUUUCAUUCCAUGCAGUGUGAAAAAAUGGAUAAUUAACAAAUAGCUCCAUUGAUCAAUUCUUUCCUCUCAUCAAAUUUUAUUGUAUGUGACUAGCAUAUUUCAUUAUUUUAACAACUUAUUAAGAGGUAAUCAAAUAUAUUCAUAUGAAUCUUGUAUGAUUACAGUAUAUAAACUUUUGAGUAUACCUAUAGAAUCUGAAUAUUAAUGUUUUUUAUAACUUCGUUAUGAUAAAAAUCAAAUAUAUUCAUUUGAAUCUUAUUUAAUUUAUCCCUCAUAAUGAAAUUUUGAAUUUCAUAAUCCUUUGUACAUAUACUAUUAAUAAAUAUAAAAGAAAUAAAAUACAUUGUUAAAUUUUUUAUUACACAAAAUAUAAAUUUUAAAUAUUUGCAGAUAAAUAAAUAUAAAAAAAUAAAAUAUAAUAAUACUAUUUUAAGUUAGAUGUAACAAUAAAUUAAGUCGAUAUUAAAUUAAUAUGGGAGUAACAAAGUCCGUUAAUAUUACUUUUUAUUACAUUACAAAACAAAUCAAAUAAUUUUAUCUUAUAUAAUUGCAACGGGAUAAUAAAUAAUAGCCAUGUUACAUCACUAGUUUUGGGUACCUAUCCUUUUUCCACAUUGGGCAACUUAAGCUGGUGGUGCGCAUCCCAGUUAGGGGCAUGACUCCAUCAUAAAAUGUUUUUUAAAAAAAUUAAAAAUAAUUUCCAAAAGAUGGAAAUUUCGAUUUUUAGGUUUGGUUUUCAAAUUCUUUUGAGUCUUUGUUUUGCCUUUCCCUAAUUUAAUUGGAAACAGUUUUUUAUUUUAAUAAGAUAAAAAAAGUUUGAAAAAACAUUUCUCAACCCUUUCAAUGACACUUCAUUUGUUUAACAGUUUUCAUAAUUUCAUGAUUAUUUGUUUUAUAAUCCUAAACUAAACUUUUUUUAAAACUAAAGUAAAUAAUUUUAAAUAUAAAAUUAAUGAAAUGUUUAUAAUGAAAUUACCUGAUAGAUUAUUAUUUGCAAAAUUAAUUGCCUUCAAAGAAGAAAUGUUGAAGAUGGAAUGUGGAAUCAACCCACUCAAGCGCAUAGAUGUUAUAGAUAAUGUCUCCAAUGAAAUAAGAUUUCCAAUCUCCCAUGGAAUUUCACCUACAAAAGAACAACAACCUAAUAUUAUAAAACUAUCCACUUUCUAAACAUUUCAAUAAUACUGAGGUUAUUUAAAAUGCAAUAAAAGUCAAUUACACAGGAAACUCCUAAUUUCUUCAUUGUGUAAAAUAUGAAGGAAUAAUUAAUUUCUUCAAUACUAAAAGUUUGAGUCAAAAUGAAAAAAGCAUAAAAGAAAACCAAAUGUGACUAUUUUCAUGUUGCUCAUUCUAUUAAUUUUUAUUUUUUAGUUAUUUCCUUUUUAAUAUAAUUAGUAAAAAAAUAUCAAUCAAUUGAAAUCUAAAUAAUCAAAUGCAAAAGCUUAUCUUUUACAUUAUUAUAACUUAGAUAUAUCUCCUCAAGUUUGGUUAAAUUUCCUGUACUUCUCGAAAUGUGGCCUAAAAAUUCGUUGUUACAAAUAUCAAGCACCUCAUGUUUGAGAAGAGAGUAACACAUAUUUUAUGUAAUACUGCUAGAGAGACUAUUGCUAUAGAGAUAAAUUUCUUUUAAAGAAGAAAGGUUAUAGAUGGAAGCCGGGAUUGGACCAACAAGCCUCAGAUUUGGGGCAGAAAAUAUCUCCAAGCUCAAAUGAUUUCCAAUUUUCGAAGGGAUUUCACCAGUGAACAUAAAGAAACCAAGUUACAGGAGUUCAUUCAUAAUGAAACAAUUUGCUUGUCAUUACUUUCAUAAUGAAACUAUUAAAGUAGAAUAAAAGCUUUGUUUUUUUUGUUUGGCAUUACAUUCACAAUGAAACUAUUUGCUCCAAAUUUUAUGAGAAUAUGGAUUAAAAUAAUUAAUUUAAUUUUCAUCUCAAACAUUAUCAUCAAAAGAUAUAUAUAUAUAUAUAUAUAUAUAUAUAAAGUAGAAUAAAAACGUUUUUUUUGCGUGGCAUGACAUUGGUAAUGAAACUAUUUGCUCCAAAGUUUAUGGAUGUAAAACAAUUAAUUUAAUUCUCGUUCCAAACAUUUUCUUCAAAAGAUGUUUUUUUUUUUUUUGUAUCUUUAACAGGAAAUCAAAAAACUAUUUCAUUAGCAUAAAGGUUUAAUUGGUCCGGCAAUCUUGUUUUUUGCACAAGUGGAUCUUAUUGUUGGUAUGUGCUUCCAGAAAAAAAAAAUCUAAACUGUUAUAAUAUGGGCAAAAUCAUACCCAGACAUGUUUUAGAGAAAUGUUAAAAUUUCAACGCUUCUUAGGAUAAACCACAUUGGUUUAUUCUGUAUUAAUUAGGACAUAUAAUAUUAUCAUUUUACAUUUUUAUUGGUGCAAUUGGUUAUAUCAUUGAUAACGUAUCCAUACUCAUCGUAUUAGCUAAUAUAUAUCAGUUUUGAAUCGCAACACAUAAUAUUAUUGUUUUAUUUGAUCUUUGCAUCAGCCUGUAUGUAUCCAACGCACUAGUCCGUUUCAGUCGUACAAGUAAAAAAUGAUAUUUUGAUUGAUAUAAAAUUUUGCCUCUUAUUUUGUCCUGUUUAAACUUUUUUAUUGUCCUAACUCUUUUAAUCAAUUCUUAAUUCUUUUGCUCUCAUCAUUAUUUUUAUUUUUUUCAUGAUUAGAGCCAAAAAUUAAAUGUUUCCAUUAAAUUAGACUAUUAAAUUUCUUUAAUGAUAAUUUAUUAGAUACUUAUUAUUUUUAUAGUUGUUUUAUUUAUUUAGAAUUUUGGGUAUUAAAUAUUUAGAAAUUUAUAGUAGUAUGAUUUUUAAAACUUGUAAUGGCAUAUGAAUAUGUAUGUAAUACAAGUGCAUUUGUGUAUAUAUGUAUAUUUGAUAGACAAAUAUUACAUAAUACCGAUAAAUCUAAAACUAUACAGUAAAAUAACAAGGUUGUAUUUCCUAUUUAUAAUCUUUUGCUGAAUAAAACUGCUCAUGUUUUAGUGAAAAGUGUUUUCAUCAAAUAACAAUUUCCUCUUUUCUUGUUGGAUUAUAAACGAACAACCAAAUAACAGAAAAGGAAAAGAAAAAACUAAAAAGACAUAAAUUCUUAACAGUUGAACAAUGGGAUGAAAUUAAAGCAAUAACUUCAUUCACUUCUUUCUCUGAUUGACCAUCAUUUCUUUUAACCAAAUACUCAAAUAAUAGUACUGCAAAAUUAAGUGACCAAAUGGAUAAUUUAUCCAAAAAAAAAGGGAAAUCCAAUGGGUAAUGUCAAAUGUGCUACAGCCCUUGUUAUGAGGGAGGGAAAUAACGCCAACUAAUUUAUUUUGGGCAUUUGUCCAAGCAUUUCAAGGAAAAGAGAUAGUUUCCUUAUGGUUUUUUUUUUCUUUUUCAUAAAUUUAAGAUACUCACGGAAUACUAAAGAUUUUCAGCCAUGAAACUUGACCGGAGAAAAUAACAUGAGUUUCAUAGUUACUAUUAAUAGUAAGCAGUUUUAAUUUGAUAUCAAUAAUUAAAUUAAAUUUAGCUCUUACUUUCAAAAAUAUAAAAGUAAUUCUUUUACAAUAAUUUCAAAUUAUAAAUUAAAGAAAGUUUAUUUUGAUAAAAGCUUCAAUGUUGAUAAGAAAAUAAAUAAAAUUAGUCAUAUUUUAAUUUAACAAGAAAUCAUUAAUUAUAAAUAAAAUAUCUAAGAUAAUAAAUUAUCAAAGAUAUAUAUGUUGUUCACUAUUUACGCUUUCCAAUUUUGUUUUUUAUAUAAUAUAUAUAAAUAAGAUAAAAAUGUUUUAAUUUUUACUACUGUAUUUAAUCACUUUUAAAGUUGAUACUUUUAUAUGUAGAAGAUAUUUUUAAUUUUACUAUUUUCUUCUAUUUCUUGGCACCUUUUGAUUAAAUAAAAGCAAGAAAAAACCAACAACUAAUUAAAAGGAGUCGUAAUUAACUGUGUUGGAGUCUUGGUUAAAGUAAACCUAUUUUAGUAGGCAUAAAUUAGGGAGUUUUAGCUUGGAAUCAUGUUUCACUAAAUACAAAAUUAAUUAGUGAUCAAUCGAAAGAAAAUUAUCGAAGAAAAAACAAAGAGCUUACCUCCAAAUUAUUUCCAUCCAAGUAUAGCACUUUGAGCCUCGUUAAAUUUCCAAUACUCCUUGGAAUGCUGCCACUGAAUCUGUUAAAGUUUAAUGUUAAAAUUUGAAGACACCUGCAUUCAUCUAUACUUUGAUGGAAUUUGACCAGAAAACUCGUUUUAAGGUCAAGUAAAAUGCCUCAAGAUUUGGAAGAUGGCGACAUAUAUUUCAGGUAAACUGCCAGAUAGACUGUUAGAUGUAAGAGAAAUCAUGUGUAGGGAGGAAAUGUUGUAAAUGACUGAAGGGACAGAACCAGAAAGUUGGUUAAAUGCCAGACGAAGUAUCCUUAGAUUUAUAAGAUUACUUAUCUCGGGUGGAAUGUGUCCUUGAACGAGAUUCCGCCUCAAGUCCAGAUUUCCAAGUUGGGCAUUUUAGCUAGUGAUUGAGGGAUUGUACCUGUCAAGUUGUUGCUCUGGAGGCUCAAAUAUAAACUUUAUUUAAUCUCCCAAACCAUGAAGGAAUUUCCCCACUAAGAAAAUUGAAGCUUAAUUCUAUGAGUUUCAGACGACCUUAAUUGCCCCAACUCUCUCGGUAAAUGGCCAUGAAGCACAAUUUUUUAUUUAAUAUGUACACAAAUUCAAAUAAGUAUAAAGAGAUUUGGGGACAUAUGGAGUGUUAGUUUCAAUUCAACCUAAUACAAGUUUAUGAUAGUACCAGAUAUCAAAGCCGUGAUUGGUGUAAUCCAAAACUAUGCAAGUAAUUUCUUUCUCCAUGAGAAAGACAAAAGAAGUAUCAAUAAAUUAUUUUAUUUUUUGCACACAUUAAAGCAGAUAAGGAAUUUAGUCAGAAAAGCUAGCGACGUGUUCUAAGCGCUAGCUUGGUCAAUCCAAGUCACUCUGCUUUCACAAACCUCAAAGCAGACUAAGAAAUUUUAAAUCAGGAAAGCUAGUGAUCAUUUUCUAAACGCAGGGAUCAAUCAAUUUAUCUUGGUUUCACACACAUCAAGGCAGACUAAGAAAUUUUAGGUGAAGAAUUAAAGCUAUUCAAAUGCAAGGAUCAAUCAAGUGGUCUUGGUUUCACAACACGUCAAAUCAGACAGAGAAUUUUCAAGUCAGGAAAGCUAACAAUCGUUUUCUAAACGCAAGGACCAAUUGAAAAUGAUCUUGAUUUUACACACGUCAAAGCAGACCAAGAAAAUUUUUACGUAGAGAAUUAAAGCUACAGAAUGCAAGGAUCAAUCAGUCUUCUUGCUUUUCUCCUCCAUCAAAGCAAAUUAUCUGUUAUCAUUCCUUGGUUAGGUAAUUAAAUAGUUGAGUUGGGUUUAAAAGCUUCUAAUUUAUAAUUUUUUUAAAGGUAAAGUAAAUUAAAAUCUUUAUUAUCAAAAAGAUAGUAGUUUUAAUUUUUUUUUUUUCUUUAAAAGAUGUAUUCUUUUAUAUAAAAGAUGUCACAACUUAAAUAUUAAAAAAAAUGUAAAUAUUAAAUUUAAAUUUCAAAUGUAAUCUCUUUAAGCACCAAAUGAAUUUAAUUUUUAAAAUUAUAUUGGUUAGGACAAUUCGCUCGAACCUGAAAGUCAUCUUCAAUUUAAAAGGGCUUCGACAUGGAAUUUUAAGUUUGUUAAAUGGACUUGAACUUAAAUUUUAGACCCGUUUAAGAAAUAUACUAGGUUUUAGACAUAAAAUUUACGAAUUUAAACCUGACCAGGCCCAAAUAAUUAUUAUAUAUAUUUUUAUAUUUAUAUUACAUAAAAAUAAAGAAAAUUAAAAUAUAAUAUAUACAUUAAUAUCCUAUGUCUAUUAUAUAUUAAUCACAUUCAAAUACUGAAUUAAGUUAACAAAGUAUUUUUAGGCUUUAUUUUGUUGAUUAUUUAUUUUAUCAUAAUUAAUAUUAAUUAUAAAAAUUAUUUUUUAUUUAAAAAAUAAAAUAUAGGCAGGCUUAGGUAAAGUCUUUUAAAAAUUUAAUUAGGGCCUUCAGCAGCAAACUAAGAUCAUAUUUUGGGAUGACGAGUCUAAAUAAACUUAAAAAUUUGUUAAUAUCCUAACUAGGCUAGGUUUGAAUCCAAUCCUACUCAAUCCAUGUAUAAAUUUAAUUAUCAAUGUCAUGUGUUCGUAUCUAAAUUGCCAAUAUGGCAGCAAAGACCAUUUUAUUUCUUUUCUCUUUUUAAUAUAUUUAAUUAAUGAUUUUAUUAUACUAUUUGAAAAUUUAAUAUUAGUGUUAAAUUUAUGAAAAAUUUUAAUCGUAAAAGAAUUAUGAAAAUUGGAAGAAGAAAAAGAUACUCCAUCUCCACAUUGAGAAUUUUGUCCUGUCAAACACUAUUUUAGCAUAAUACUAGAUUUUGGUUCUUGCUUUACAAUAGCACUUUUUUUUUUUAAAAAAAAAAAAAAAAAGAUAUUUAGAAUUUCGUUUGGUUUGAUUGAAUUUUUUUUUUGUUUUUUGUAAAAAAGUGUUAAAAUAAUAUUUUGGACCUACAUAAUACAAAAAUUGCCUCUAAAACAUAAAAAAAAACAAUUUAAUAAUACAUUUAUAUUAAUUUUAUUAAUACAAAUUAAAAGGGCUUAACUUUAUAAGCCAAACCAAUAAAAUAAAACAAAGAUAUAUUUUAUUAAUUAGAAAUUAAAAAAUAAAUGAGAUUAAUAGAAAUUUGAUCAAGUAAAAAAUAUGUGUGUAAAUAAUUCAUUUUUAUUAUUUAUGAAAGUAUAACAAAUAAAUUGAGAAUUGUAAAAAAGGAAAAAAAAAAAACUAAAGCAAAUAUAUUGUUAUGUAUACAAUAAACACUUUUGAAAAAGGUUUUAACUUAUAAAAUUUUUGAAAAACCAAAUGGUUUUAUUAAUAAAUUUAAAAUUUGAAAGUAAAACAUCUAUAUUUAUAUUUUUGUUGUAAAAAAACUCUAGAAUAAACUAGAACAAAACACAUUUAGUAAUACAUAAUAUAUAUAUAAUAUGUAUAGUAUAUAUAUAUGUAUAUAUAUAUAUAUUUAUAUUUAUAUGUAUAUGUUUUUAAAAUAGUUUUUCAAAGUUGCAAGAGGUUCUUUUAAAAAAACACUAGCGUUCGAGAUUUCACUUCAGAUGUAGUCAUAAUUAUUAGGAUCGAAUUGGAUCAUUAAUCAGAUCAAUCAAAUUGAUUAGUUGGUACUUGAAUUAGUUUGGAUUUAAUAAUAGACCAAACUUACAAUUAACCUGCUUUAAACCACAUCGAACCGACGGUUGAAAAAAUAAAUCACUGAACUAGUUAGUUUUUAUUGAAUCAUUUUGGUUUUUAAUUUUUUAAUGACUUUUAAAAUUAUGAUUAAUUUAGUUUUUAUAAUCAAAAGUAUGGAUAUUGUAUUAUUUAAUUAAAAUAUUAUAUUUUAAAUUAAAAUAGAUAAUAAAAAAAUUAAAAUCUAAAUAAUUAAAUGGUGUUAUCCAUCCUUACACGUUAUGCACAUUAAAGAAUAGCUUAAUAAAAUUUAAACUCCUUUCUCAUUUAUAUUUUAGGUGACACACUCAUAUCAAAUUAAAGGACAAAAACUUGGCUAAAAUUAAAACUUUAAUUAUCAUUUUGGAGCUUGAUUUGUUUUAUAUCAAAUAUCAUCAAUUUAAAGGUAAUUUUAUUUUAUUUCAUUUUUUAAAAUUUAUAUUUUAAAUAAGCUUUCUCUUUUUUAAACAUUUAUUUUUUUUGUUUUUAAGUUUUUUUAGAAUAUUUGUUUUUUUGGGGUUUUUUAAUAAUAUGGUUGAAUUAUUCAAUUAGUAUUUUCCGAGUUUGAGUUAUGAGUUUGAAUUUUAAAUUAUUUUCGUAAUUUAAGUUUAUUAUACUUUUUAAAUAGAUAUACCUUUUUUACACUUAUUAUAUUCUAUUAUAUGUUUUUAAUUUCUUAAGUUUGAAAAUUAUCUACAAUAGAAUUUUAUAUUUAUCACAUAAUGGAUUAAAUUUUAAAAAACAUUUAUAUAUUUAUAUAUCUUUAUUAGUUUAACAACUAACUUGAUUGACCCAAACGUUGAACCAAUGACCCAAUGCUUGAACAGUUUAGUAUCCAGUCUGAUUCUAAUAAUUAUGCGUGUGGUUAUUUUGUAUAUCAAUUUAAUUAAAAAAUUAUUUUUUGUUAUAAAUAUAUCAAUUUAAUUUAAAAUGAUUACAUUUUUUGGUUAAAAAAAUAGAUAAUAAUUUACCACAAAAUUUGGAUUAACCCAAAUCAAGAGAAGUCCAGAAAUUGGGCUGUUAAGUGGACUUGGAACUUAGUUUACUUCAAGUGUUGGGUCUUUGAAAAGGAAAAACAAGUUCUAGUUUUGAAUCCAAGCCUAUAUAUUGAUACUUUUUUUCAGUACAAUAUAAAAACUCAAUUUUUUUACAAUUCAUUUUUUCCAUUUUACUUCUAUUUAAAAUUCAUCCUCUUUUUAAAAAUACAAUCAUCCACCCAGACUACUUGAUUUUCAACAGCGACCACCAUCAUUAAUGCCAUUUUCCAUUGUUGUCAUUGCUCUUUGACACUAAAAAUCACCCAAAGUUUCAAAAAAAGAUUUUCUCAUGCAAUGUGUCAAUAUAUGUGGCAUUUUUUAGAUGCCCUGUGGUACUUGAAAAUCACUUCUUUCUUAUCUACUUUUCCUUUUGUUUUUCUCUUCAUUGAAACGAUGUAGUUUUAAUACAAAAUAAAUAAAAUUAGUCUUAAAAACACUAAACACCAUCUUUUCUUUCUUUUCUCUCAUUCUCAUCACAUUACCUUUUCUCAUCGUCAGCCUUUUUUUCAUAGCUAUCACUGUUGUUGACCUUUGUCUUGUUACAUUUGUCUUGUGACAAUAGCUCUCUUUUCUCUUUCAUUUUUUUCUUUUUUUUAUUAGUGAAAAUCUAAAAAUCCCAAGCUCCCUCACAUUAUCUUCCUUCAUGUGUGGCCUUAGAUCCUAAAAAAACAAAAAGACAGAAAAAAAAACUAAAUGAGGGUGUGAUGUGGACACCAAUCUUUUUUUCUUACAAAAUUUAACAUAUGACAUUUAAAAAAUAAAAACUAAAAAAAAUAGGUUGAAAUGAAAAAAAAUUUGAGUGUCACGUUAAUACCUUUAUUGAUAUCUUUUUUAUAAAAUUAUCUAAUUAAGAAAAAGACUAGAAAGUAUUUUUUAAUCACUAAUAUCAAAUAGGGCCCAUAUCAAUUUUUUUAAAAUAAAUUUUUUAUUAAGUAUAGAGAAAAAAAAGAAAAAUAGAAAAACAUAAAAAAGAACAAAGAAAAAAAAGCAAGGUGACAUGUGGCAAAUUCUAUGAAGAGUUAACGUGAGUAAAAUUAAUAGCAUUAUUACAAAUUAAUAGAAUGGAUUGGAUUUUUGGAUGUUUUAAUUUAUUUUCUAAGGUCAAUAUAGGAUUUUAAAGGGGGCAAAUAUUGUUGUUUAUUUAACAACAUAAUACAUUUCUUUGAAAUUUAUUAUUUAAAAUUUUCAAUUUUAAUUUUUUACUCUAAAUUGAUAUGCAUAAAAAGAUUGUGAGAUAUUUUUUGAAUAGAACCAAAAAAUCUUUAAAAGGUAAAUUAUAAUCUACGAAAUAAAAUUAGAUUUGAAAGUAUAACUAUGCAUGAAUAUGGUUAUAUCACUCUCAUAAAAUCUAUCCAAAUGAUGGUACCAGAUUAAUUUUGUAUUAUCCAAGCUUUAAAAUUCUUACCAAAUGAUUAGUUAUUAGAAAUUAUACUUAAAUUACUCUAAUACAUUGGCAAUAAUUUAAAAACAUUUCCUUACCUCAGAACUAUUUAAUAAGAUUAUUGUCAUACUUUAAAGAGACACCAUCGUUGUAUUCAUUUAAAUUUUAUAAGAAAAUAUUUUCCUUAACACUAAAUGGGAUUUAGAACCUUAAUAUAAAAAAUUCUUAUAUAAAUUCUCUAAUAUAUUGAUAUAAUUUAGAAGAAGAUUUCUCACUUAGAAAUUUAUAUAGAAAUUGCUGUUUGCAACACUCUUAGUAGUUCUAUUAUUGGGGAUUCAAAUUUCAAUUUUUUUAAAAGAAUUAUUUUUAAGAAAUAUCUUUCAAUAUGUUAGUAAGACUUUUUGUCAAAAUUAUCCUUAAUAUGUUAGUAGGAUUUUAUGAAAACUAUUUAUUUUAUUUUUUUAAUUUAAUUUUUGCUAAAAAUCAUAAAAUUUUUUAGUAUGUUGAUAAGACCUUAUUUUUUAGAUUUUAAAAAAAUCACAAACCCACCAAUAUGUUAGUAAGGUUUUUAUUUUUUUAGAAUAAAAAACUUAUUUUUAAAAAAAAUUUUCCAAUAUGUUGAUAGGAAUUUCAUUGAUUUAUUUGUCAAAAUUUAUUUUUUUCAAACCAAUAAAAUAUUCAAAUAUGUUUGUAAGAUUUAUUUUUCAAUAUGUUGACUUCUUUCAAGAUCUAGAUUUUUUAUUUUUUGUUUUGUUAUUUUUUUUUGGUUUGGGGAGGGCAUAAACCUUAUAGGGGGGAAGGAGGAGGAGAUCUUACUUCGAAACCAAGACCUUUAUGUUUUUAUAAAGUUUUCUUAACCACUAGACCAAGAGAUGGAGGACCAAGAUCUAGAUCUUUGUAAUAACCAAAACAACUUGUGUAAAUGGUGUUUAUUACUGGGUGGUGCUCAAGUUUCUUCAAUAUUCUAAUGCCCUUACAUUUGACUUGAGCGAUGAAGUUUUUCAAUUGAUAGAGUGGCCACCUAUUCCCGAACAUGAAUCAAUUGGGUAGCUGCUUCCAUUACCUGAUGAUCGUAUCUCUUUGAGGAUUUUGCAUUCUGACGUGGCCAGCAGAAGUAAUGACAUUUGGGUGUUGAACGAAGAGAGUCGAUAUUGGACCAAACUGUUAAGGAUUGGACCUCCUUCAUGCUUGCGUUUGGAAUAAGAAUGGUAAUAAGGUAUUUGUAGAAUUUAUAAAUGGACAACUGUUGAUUUACGACCUUGAUGACCAGGAAUUCAGAGAUAUUGGAUUAAAACCAAGAAAGCUAUGGAUCUUCUUGGGGUUUACACUUACGAGGAGAGUCUUGUAGUUACCAGCAGACGAAUGGCAAAUACUGCUGCAUAGAUUUUGAUUGACGUUUUUCCUACUUGCCUAUGUCAAGACUAUUUAUUAUAGUUAUUCGUGCACUUGGAUUUUCCUUUUUUUAUUUUCUUUUAAUUUAAAAUAAUCAACUCCCAGCCAAAAGUGUUAAAUCUCAGCUGCCUUACCCCCACGCCUUUCGGUAAAUCUCUGCAAUCAAAAAAGAAGGAAAAAGGAAACCUCACAAAGAUGCUACAUGAAAUAGAAGAUAACCCUGAUAGUCGAUAGCUUUAAUUUAGAAAAUGGAGAUAAACAUAUAAAGAAAAAUCCACCAAGGGUAAAGCAAUCGCAAACUCAGAGCCAAAUGUUCAGAUAUGCGUAUGGUCAAAUAGAGGAGAAAGCUCUCCAGAAGCAGAACAAGAACUUGACCUUCUCCGGGGUGAUUUCAAUGGCCAAUGACAUUGAUAUGAGAAAGAGUCGUACUCAAAGAUUUAGCCAUCACUUAUGAAAGGAAAAGCAAACAUUUAAUGAGAUGUGUAACUGGGAAAUUAUCGCCUGAUCGAGUUUCAGCUGUUCUGGGUCCAUCUGGGGCUGGAAAAACGUUUCUUUCAUCUUUAACUGGAAAAGCACCAGGUCGCGUCAUGACCAGUUCGCUUCUUAUAAAUGGAAAGGUUGAGCCAAUCCAAGCAUAUAAGAAAAUAAUUGGUUUUGUUCCACAAGAUCAUAUCGUUCGCGGAAACUUGAUAGUGGAGGGAAAUCUAUGGUUCAAUGCUAGAUGCAGAUAUGCUACACUUAUUCUGUCAUGCAUGACACCUUUAAUUUUUUAUUCUUUUAGGGUGUUUUAAUUUUUUUUUUUGUUGUUUGAUUUUCUACUUGCAACUGCGACAUUAGAAAAUAUUCUACACUAAAAAGCACUUCUUGAUUUCCCCUGAUCACUAAGAGGAUUCCUAAUUAUUUUAGACUUGCUGCUGACCUUCCAAAACCAGAAAAGGCUCUAGUUGUUGAAAGAGUCAUCCAGUCCGUGGCACUGCAGCCUGUGAGGGUUUCUCUGGUUGGGACAAUGGGGAAGAGGGGAACAUCUGGGGGUCAAAGGAAACGGGUAAAUGUAGGGCUGGAAUACAAAAGAUCAUGGAACCUUCACUUUUGAUAUUAGAUGAACCGACAUCUGGUUUGGACGGUUCAUCUUCCCAAUUAGUACUUCGAGCUCUUAGGCGUGAAGCCCUUGUAGAAGUAAACCAGCCAAGGUGAGUUUAUUAUUACCGGAAUGUUUAAUUUUAUGAAAUAUGCUGGUUUCACCGAGGAGUAAACUUAUGUACGUCAUAACAUCUAAAUCCGAUGAUCUAUCGCUAUACAUUGAUUUUUAGGGAGUCGCCACAAUUUUUUUUAUUUAGGUGCGAUUGGCCACCUAAAAAAUCUGUCAUUUCAGGGAACACCUAAGUUUAAGGGUCCCUAAAAGAAUAGGUUCAGGUCUACUAACCAGAACAGGAUUCGAGAGUUCGGUUACGUGUGAGGAAGGUUAUAGCACCCUCACAACGCCCAUCAAAAGAUGGUACCAGCUGAAAUUUGUGUUAUCCAAUGAGCCUUAAAAUUUUACCAAGUAAUUAAUUAUUAAAAAUUAUUCUCAAUUGACUCUAAUACUUUUAGCAGAAAAUUGAAAAAAUUCUCUCACCUCAAGAGUAUGCAAGAAAAACUACUGUUUCACUUGCAGAGGCUCCAUCGUCGGAUUAUUUAAAGAAAAAAUAAAAAUAAAAAAAUAAGAAUAAAAAGGAAGAAAAGAAUGAUUAUUCUUGUGCAGGAAAAAUUGAUACUUUCAACUUUUCCUCAAAAAUUGAUUUUUUGAAAAUUUAUUUUUAAGGAAAAUUGAUACUUUCAACUUUUCCCUAAAAAUAUUUUUUUAGAAAAUUUAUUUUUAAGGAAAAUUAAUACUUUCAACUUUUCUUCAAAAAAACUUUUUUUGAAAAUUUAUUUUUAAGAAAAAUUGAUAAGGAAAAAUUGAUACUUUCAACUUUUCCCCAAAAAUAUUUUUUGAAAACUUUGAUUUUUGAGGAAAAUUGAUACUUUCAACUUUUCCUCAAAAAUAUUUUUUUGAAAAAAUUUAUUUUUAAGGAAAAUUGAUACUUUCAACUUUUCCUUAAAAAUCCUUUUUUUUGAAAAUUUAUUUUUAAAGAAAAUUGAUACUUUCAACUUUUUUCCAAAAAAAUUUUUUUGGAUUCUUUGAUUUUCGAGGAAAAAAUUGAUAUUUUUAACUUUUUUCCAAAAAUAAUUUUUAGAAAAUUUAUUUUUAAGGAAAAUUGAUACUUUCAACUUUUUUCAAAAAAUAUUUUUUUUAGGUUUUAUUUUAAAGAAAAUAAAAUAAUAAAACAAAAUAAAAGUGAAAAUAAAAAAAAGUAAAACAAAAAUAAAAAUGAAAUAAAGAUAAAGGAACAUUAAAUAUCCUAAUUUAAUAAAUAAAAUAAAAUAAACAAAUAAAUAAAUAAAUAAAUAUAAAAAAAAACCUGGAGCGGCUCGGAGUACGGCUCGGCUUAGCUCAAGGAAGAGAAAUGGCUUGGGACGUCGACUCGGCUAAUGGCUUGGGGAGGCAAAACAUGCGCGGGUCGACGCUCGGGUCGGGUCGGAUCUCGACAAAACGCACGGAUCCUCUGGGUUAUUUAACGCAAAAACGACGUCGUUUUGGGAGGGUAUAUAAGGUUGUUUCCUUCGUUUUUUGACAGAAACCUUCUCCCCUCUCUCUCUCUUCCUUCUUUUUUCUCUCGCUUCUCUCUAAAACGAUCGAAGAACUCCGGUUGAAUAUUCACCGAAUUCUAAAAUUUUUCGCCAGAAUAUAGGUUUUUCGUCGGAAGUUUACCAGAAAGUUGGUUGGCUUCUGGGAAUCUUCACCGAAAACUGGGCAGCUAGGCGAAAAACUUCAAACUUGGUAGGAAUUGUCAUCGAAAAAUUCAACUUUCGUUAAAAAAAUUCAACCGGAAUCUGAAAUUUUCUAAAAAUUCCCAGAAAAAAAUCGUAAAAAUUCUCCAAAAAUUCCUACUAAUUCCUUAGAGCUGUUUCUAAACGUACCAAACCUUCCUAGCCUUUAAAUCUUCUUUGUAUCUCUUUUUUCCUCAAACUAGUAUUCUUUUUGCUUUUGUUUUCUGUGUGUUCUUCCUUCUGUUCUGUACCUAUUUAUAGGUAUUGAUCAGAAGAGUUUCUGAUCAAUCCCUAUUCCUUUUUGGAUGAAAAUUCAAUCUUUGAAUCCAAUUUAGAUUCUAAUUGAAUCCCCAUUCAUGGUAGGAUCUUCAAAUUCAAUCUCAACCCCAAAAAAAAAUCAGAUAAAAAAUAAUAGAUAAUUAGAGAAAUAAUAAUAAUAAUAAGAUAAAUCAACAAUAUUACAAGAUAAAUAAAAAAAUAAUAGUAAUAAUAAUAACAGAUAAAUGAAUAUAUAACUAGAUAAAUAAAAAUACAUGUAAAAUAAAUGAAAAAGAGAAAAAAUAAAAUAAAAAAUAAAAAAUAUAUAUUAAUAAAUAGUAAUAAUAAUAAAUAAAUAAUAAAUACAUAAAAUACAAAGAUAAAAUAUAAAAUAAAAAUAAAAUAAUAUAAAAUAUAAAAUAAAAGCUGAAUUGGGCUUACCCAUUUGGACUAAGCCCAAUUGAUCCGGACCUGGACUAAAUUGAGUAUCUAUAAUGUAAAUAAGUAUGUAGUUGAAAUAAUGGAUACCAAUUUUCUUUUUGUUGCACUUCAGUUAUACCUUGUUCAGGAUGUUCGAUGAUUUGACACUUCUAGCAAAGGGUGGACUUACAUAUAUCAUGGAUUAGUGUCGUAAGAGUAUUUUGCUGGCCUAAGAUUAAUCUCCCCAAACGUACUAAUCCUCCAGCAGCAUCAUCCGGUGAAAAUCCAGCUCAUGGAGAAAGUGCACAUGGUCCUGGCCGGAAGCACACUCCUUUGCUGGCGACUUGUGGCAGGAUGUGAAAUGUUCUGUUUGAGACAAGAAGGACGACUUACAACAUAAUUCCUCAAGUCCAUUAACUUGUCACAAAGAGCAAUGCCUGUGUAUUUAAGCAGUAUAGAUACUACCUCGGAAGGUAGAUGUUGAAUCUCAUUUAUAAACGUUUUGGAAUUACUAGGAAUUAUAUCUAUCAAUUUAGAAUUCUAUUAUUUUAUUUAAUUUAAACCAAAAAAUAUAUUAGAAGCUAACCAUUACAUGGGAGCAUUCACUUAAAUUAUUGAAAUACAAUCAAUCAAUCAUAAUUAUAAUUUUGUAGAAUUCAUUAAUAUUUUAUGUGAGAUUUACACUUUUAGUGAUGGGUUUUUACGUAAUUUUUAUUAUAAUUGGGUAAUUAUAUAAUUGUAGUAAAAUACUUUAUUAAUAUAAUCUCUAGUAAAAAUAAUUGUAAGUGAUAUAAUCUCCCAUAAUGUGCAACAUACAAUAGACAAGAAUUAGUAAAGAUCAUAACUAUCUGGUUAUAAUUAUAUCAAUAGAAAAAAAUGGGUUACACACAUAUUUGACUGUGAACCUUAUAUUUUCUAUUACAUUGAUACCUAAAGAAUUAUACUACCACAUUGAUACUGGAACUUUCAAAUCUAUUAUCACAUUGGUAUUUCAAAUUAACGCUGUCAGUCAACUUUGCUGAUGUAAUAUAAAUAUCUAACAAGAUGCUGAAACGUGUGAAAAAUAUUCAGUCAAUGACACAUUAUCGAUAUCAUGUCAUCUUUAAAAUAAAAAUUCUAAAAAAUUUCAAAAGUUCUAAAAAUUUCAAAAAAUAAAAAAAUAAAAAUUUCAAAUAUUAUAGGAAAUUCAAACAAUUCUAAAACAUUUUUAAAAAUCUGAAAAAUUUUUCAAAAAUUCUAAAAUAAUAUCAAAAACAUUUUUUAGAAAAUUCUAAAAAAUUCUAAAAAAUUUUUAAAAAAAUUUAAAAACUUUUAAAAAUUUUUAAAAAAAUUCAAAAAAUGAAAAUUUCAAAAAAAUUCAAACAAUUCUAGAGAAUUUUAAAAAAAUUCAAAAAGAAUUUAGGAAACAUAAAUUUUUUUUAAAAUUUCCAAAUUUAAAAAAAUCCAAAAAUUAAAAGAAUAAAAAAUGAUGAUUUUAAUAAAAUUUAAGAACUUGUUAAAAUUCAAAAAAAUUAACAUAAACUAAAAAAAAACUAAAAUCAUAAGUUUUUUGAAAAAAUAUAUUAAUUUUUAAAUUUUUUUUGAAAAAUAUCUAAAAAAAUCUAUAUUUUUAAAUAUUUUUUUAUCUUACAAUUUCAAUUUUUUAUAUUUUUUAAUUUAAUUUUUUUGAAAAAUUUUUGGAUUUUUUUAAAAUUUUAAGUUUUUUUUAUUUUAGAUUUCUUACUUUUAAAGAAUGUUUCAAAAUUUUAAAAUUAUUUAAUUUUUAAAAUUAAAAUUUUUUAGGUUUUUUCUUUUGUCUUUAGUUUAUAAAUUUUUGUGAUUUUUCUAAAUUUUAAGAAAAUUUUAUUUUUAGAAAUUUUAAUUUAUUAGUUUUUCAAAAACUUUUAAAAUUUUUAAAAUUAUGAUAAUUUUUAUAAUUUAUAAAAAUAUUCCAUAUUUUUUUUUAAGAAUUUAAAAUUUUCAUAAAUUUUUACAAUUUUUUAAUUAUAACUUUUUUGAAUUGUUUAUAAUUUUUUAAAUUUUUGAGAAAUUUAAAAAUUAAUUUUUAAUAUUUAAAAUUUUUUAAAAUUUUUUUUGAAUUUUUAAAAUUUUUUUUAGUAUUUUAUAAUGUUUUGAAGUUAAAUAUUUUUUUAUAAAUUUUAAAAAUUUUAAAAUACUUUUUUGUAUUUUUUUUCAAAAUUUUAAAAAUUUUUAAAAGCUAUUUAGAAUGUUUUUAAGUUUUUAAAAUUUUUUUGAAGUUUUAAAAUUUUUAUGAUUUUUAAAAAUUAUAAAAAAUUUAGAUUUUUUUUAAAAAUUAAUAUUUUUUUGAAAAUUUUUUUAUUUUUUUGAAAAUUUUUUUUUAAAGAUGAUGUGGCAUUGACUAAACUUUUUUAACACAUACCAAUUCUUAUUGGAUGUUGAUGCCAUGUCAGCAAAGGUGACUAACGGCAUCAGUUGUAGGUUUCAACUUGAUAAUAGAAUAAAAAUUUAGGUACCAAUGUAGUUGUAUAAUUCUUAAAUACCAAUAUGACAAAAAAAUAUAAAAUUAAGGCCAAAUAUGUACUUAACCCAAAAGAAAUAGAUAGAGAUCAUAACUAUAUGGUUAUAAUUAUUAUAUCAAAAUUAAUUUAGUUUGUUAGCUUUAUUCAAAAUUUGAUUCCAAGGAGAAUAUAUAUUUUUUUAUACAAGGUCCCUCAAGCCUGAUCCCAAGCGUCCUUUUGUUUAUUUGACUAUUAAGUAAUACUUAAUUAGAUAUGGUUUGUUAUGUUUUCAAAAGUUAGUGUUUUUAUUUUUUUUAAUUUUAAAAUGACUUCUAGAUGUUGCAGGAGAAAGAUUUCGCACAGGAAAAGUUCAUGAAAAGAAUACAAUGUUCAAAAAGAUAGUAGAAAUAAUCUCCUAGGGCAUAUUGGAUACAACAAAGAGCAAUUUUUUUUCAGAGUCAGGAAUGUCUAAUACUAUUCAGUAUUACACAGUUUUGCAGGUCAUUUCUUAUAACCAAGGAAUAAUGUUACAAUUAAGAUUAUAGUGAAAUAUUCAAUAUACUAUUUAAUCUUUAAAAUUUUUAAUGUUAUAGUUAAAUUAUAAAUUUGUUAACUAAUGUGGUAUUCGAAGUACCAUUUGUCAAUCACAUAUUAUUAUUUAGAAUUAAAGAUAUAAGAGUAACACAUUAAUAAUAUUUAAUUCAUUUACAUUAAAUAUUUAAAUUUAGGUACUAUAUUAAAUAUUUUAUUAUAUUUUAAAGCAAUUCAUGACAUUAAUUAUAUAACCAAUGUAGCCUUAUUGAAAUGGUAGUCUGUCUAUUGGCUUCCUUGGGACCAAAGAAAAUAAGAACAUGUUUAAGUCAUGUUGAAUCUCUUGAUCGAGUGAAGGAAGGAAUUUGACUAUAAAAAACACUUUAAGCAAAAAAUGAAAACUUUAAUGAAUAUGGAAAUCGACAUACAACAUAUUAAAGGUAUGAGCGAUAAAAAUUUAUCACAAGUUAUGAAAGCAAACAUUUGUUUUAGAGAUCUAACUUAAGCAACAGGUUUGUAAUUUUAACUCAUUGUUAUUGGAUUCUUAUGUGAUUUUUUUUUAAAGUUACUUCUACGACUUUGUUGUAUCCUUAACCAUUGAAUCAGAAGUUGAACGUGAAACUAGAGCAGUGUGUAAAUUCAACCUUGUGCUCACCAGAGUUGCCUAAGUUAAUUAUUGGUAUAAGAGUCCUGACAGCAAACAUUUUUGUGGACAACGCGGCAUGCAAGGACUUUAUUUUUCAAACAUUCACAUUUCAUCCAUGGACAUCGAGAAUGCAACUGUAGUAAUCCUAAGAUUUCUUCCUAUUCAAGUUUCAAUUGAUAACUGUUAGAAAGGUUAUCGUCUGUGAAUUGUUGGCUUCGGAGAAGCACAAUUUGCUCAAGUGAGGGUAAAGGUUACAGUAGAUGUCUUGAUUAAUGCUUUUGAAGAAACAUAGAGUUGUGAAAUGUAAGCUGUCUGGAACUGGAGGAUUAUCACUUUUACAAAUAGAUGUGAUUUUAUUGUUUCCUUGUGUAGUAUAGAAUAGAUGUUGUUUUAUUGUUUCUGAGUGUAGUAUAGAUUAGGGAUAAUGUUAAGGUAGAGCAUUUUUCGUCCCUCAUCUAUGAAUUUUUAUAUUAUAUUUAUCAUCGUACUCAUGUCGAAUAAGUAUUUUAAAUUUAUUAUAAUCUCCAUUCUCGUAGGUAUUUAAUGGGUAUGAGCAUUUCUCAUACCUAUAGCUUUUAAAAAAAAUAAAAAUUUAUUUAUUUUUAUUUUUAAUUUAUAUAUUUAGGUAAUGUUUUAUAAAUAUCUAUUAAUAUAUAUUUUUAAUAAAAAUAUAUUUAUUCUAUUUAAUCUAAAAUAAUAAUUUAUAUUAUUUAAUAAAAAUAUUUUUUACUAAUUAUAUAUAAAUAUAUGUAGGGUACAUGUAUAAGGCAAGUGCUAUAUUACUCAUCCCUAUACCUGUAACCAAUAAAAAUUUAAAAUCAUAUCUAUCCCUAUCCUUAUCCCUAUACCCAUAACGUAAUACCUAUCAAUAUCCUUAUUCAGGUAAAAAAUCAGAUUUUUCAUUGGAUAUGGGUAAGAUUGACAUCCUUAGAUAAUAUUAGGAAAGAACACUGAAUUAUAUAAAAAUAUUCAAUGUGAUAAUUAAAUUUAAAAAAUUUCUAAUAUGAUAUCUCAAUUAUGAAUCUAUUAACUAAUAUAAUACUUGGAGAGUUAUUUAUCUAAUGUGUUUGUCACUCAAUGUUUAGAGCUAAUGAUGUUAAGAGUGAGUUCUAUAUUAGUUAAAAGAUUUAUAAUUUAGGUAUCACAUCAAAGAUUUUGAAAGUUUAGAUAUUAAAUUAAAUAUUUCAUUGUAAUUCACCAAACUAGUUGAGUUAAGUCUAAUUACACUAUGAAAAUAUAAUAUUUUAGCUAGAAUUAUGUAUGAGAAUAUAUUUGUGUACUAGGCUUCAGUUGUGUGUAGUCAGAUGAGGGUUAGAUCGAUGUUUGCAGUCUUGCCCUUGCUUUUUUCUAAAAGGAUGUUAAUACAAUUUAUAAUUGUUUAAAUUUAGGCAAUAACAUUAGACAAAAGGUUAAAUCUAGGUCUAAUGCAAAUGAAUAAAAUUGGGAAAAAAAUAAAAAUUAGUAGAUAAUAACUUUCAUUUUUUUUUCUCUUUCAUUGUGCAUGUUCAUUUUGGGAAUUUAUUGAGUUGUUGGUUUAUUUAAGCUUAAAAUGGUGGUUCUUUUUUUAGACACACUUGUUAACUAGCUUCCCUAUGAUUAUGAUUUGAGGGCUAUCGAUUUAGCUGCAAUACAAAAAUGAGAGAAUGCAAUUGGAAAAUUGGGUCUCUUGCAGCAGUAAAUACAACUAAUUCUUGUCAUAAUGGUUUUGGGAUCACUAAAUAAAAAUUUUAAAAGUUUUAAAAUUAGGAAAGUCAUCACUAUUUUUUUUUUAUCAAGAAUGAUUGAUCAUCUAAAAAAUUUAUCUUUUUAAUAAAAUUUUAAAAUUAAUAAAAACUUAUUAAAAAGAUAAUUUUUGUGUGAUCUAUGAAAACAAAUUUGAGUUUGGGAGUUAGGUCACUCGUAUGAAAGGAUUAACACCCCACAAUACCCAUUUCACAAAUGAUACCAACUGAUCAUAUAUUAUCUUUUUGUUUAAAUAAAAGUGAUUCUAAUUUUAAUAUUUAAAAUAAUCUUUUUAAUUUUUUAUUUUUUAUAAAAAUCUUUUUAAAACUUUUUAUUUAACAAUAACAGGAAAAUCUUUAAUACCAAUCCAUUAGACACAAAAUUAUGAAGUUGCUACCAAUCUUUUUUAAUUAGGUAUGAUUGAUUACUUAAAUGAAUCUACCAUUCUAAGGUUAUUUUAAGCUUGACUAAGGAUUUAUAAAAGAAUAGGUUUUAAUUUUUUAAGCAGAACUGAGUUUGAGAGUUCAGUUAUAUAUAAAAAAGGUCAUAGCACCCCUACAAUACCCACAAAUUGGCAUCAAUUAAUCUUAAAUUAUCCUUAGCCUUAAUUAACAUGGUCAUAACUUAUUCUUAUUAUUUAUUAUUUUUGUUAAUUUUACUAUUUAAAUAUUGGACAUAUUUUUAGGUUUUCCAACACUUUGGUCUACCCUUAAAAAUAUUCUUUACCUUAAAAGUAUUUAAGUAACAUACUUUUUUCUUUGAAGAGGCUAUAUCAUUGAGUUUAUUAAAUAUUUUAUUUAAUUCAAUACAUAAUAAAAUUUACAAUUCAAUAAAAUACAAAUAAAAUACAAUAAUAAAUAAUCACAAUUUAAUCAAUCAUAAAUUAUCACAAUUUGUUUUCAAUUUUAAUUUUUUCAAAUUAGAAAUAAAUAAAGUUUCUCAUAUUGAGAUCAAUUUUCUAAAUCCUCUAAUGCCUUGAUUGAAUUUAGAAAAAGAUUCUCUCAUCUAAAAAUUUUUAAGAAAAUUACAUACGUGUAGCUUUCUUAGAAUUUCAUUAUUGGUUGAAAUUUUAUUUAUUCCUAAAAUAUUUAUUAAAUACUACACCAAAUAACCAGUUAUACAAAAAUCUCCAAUUACCUAAUCUAAAAUUUAUUUUCUUCUCAUCUUAACCCCUUUUAUUUAUUUACAAAGCAACUAAAAAUAUAUCUAAAAAUUUAAAAGUUAUAUAUGCAUGACAAAAAAAUUAUAAAAACUAAAUAAAUAAGCAAACGAAUACAAGAUAAAUAAAUAAACACAUCAAAUAAACAAAAGAAAGGGAAAGAAGAAACCAACCAAAAUGCAAAUACCAUUUAAUUGAAACUUGUUGAAAACCAUAGGUAUCUAAAACCAUAAUUUAUAGGGUACAUCUCAACUAAAGGACUUGACCCUAUAUCACCAUUCAACAACCUAGGAAGUCUAAAGAAAACACAAGUGGCAACAUGCAUGUAAUAUAUCUUGGGUUUCAACGUGACAAGCAGGACCAGGUGUUGAUUACAUUGGGUUUCAACAUGUUUUGCAUAAAAGAAAUUUGGAAGUAUUGAAAGAACUUGGUUAGUUAUGUCAUGAUCUUGACAAUUUUGCAUAAAAUCCUUGAGAUGAUUUUUUGAUUUCUAGUGGUUUUUGGCUGCUACUUUUCCGUUUCGGGAUUUUGGGUAUGGUAGCUGCUAUGUAUUGUCAUAGCUGGAAAUUGAGGAAGUUAGAGUCAAUCCUUUGUGUUUUUUUCUUGCAAUUGAAUUUUUUCACUGCCAAUUCUUUUUCAAGAAUUUUUUUCUUUUUGUUUUUUUUGAACCUGCCCUGUUUCUAUGGCGCUGAAAAUAUAAAAAACACAUCCCAAUUGUGAAAGAGCUUUGAUCAAACAAUUUUCAAUGAUUACAAAUUAAACCAAUUUCAACACUUUUAAUCCUUUACCAAUUCUCCUGUUAAAGUCUCAGCCAAAAAAAUUUUUUUUUUUUUUUUAAAUAACUUUAAACUAAAUACAAUAAAAUUAAAAAAUUAAAAUAGAAUUCAAAGUCUAAUAUUAAAAUGUGAAUUGUCCUAGACUAAAUGGAGCUGUGAUGGUUGUGUUGCGUCAGUGGUGGCUGUAGGCGUAGCAGUGGCUUCGCAUGUGUUCUGCUGGGUGAUUGGUGUUAAGGCUGUAGGUUGUUGGCGGUGUGGGUCUUGAGGCAGGGGGCUGAAAGAGAUUAAUUAGGGGCUUUGGGUUCCGGGUGAUGGCAAGACUUGGUAGUUUUAGGUGCUGGGAUUUUUGUUUUUUCGAGUUUUUUGUCAAUGAUGGAGAAAGGGGAGGUUUUUUGGUCAGGCAGAUUAGUUCUUGGAUUUUUCUGUAGAAAUUGGGCUUCCUUCCUCCGAGUGUCGAAUCCCCUGUGCGCAAAAAAUUUCGGUUUCUUUUUAGGAUUCAGUUUCUAAAAAAUAAGAAACUUGGUAAUUCAUUUUAGUUGGAAUCUUGUUGCAGCAGCCAUUGCUGCAUUUUUGGGAGGUGUAGCAUGCUGCACUUUGGGUCCUGAAAGCUUUGAUGAAUUGGUGUUAGAAACUAACAGAUAAAAUGGAAGGUAGAAAAUUCAGAGCUUAAAAUGGAGGCAACAGUUUAGGGAAGGAAAAAGUGGACAUCGGAAAGCUACCUCCAAGCUUUAGUCUUUUAUUUUUUAAUAAUUAAAGUAAUUAAACUUAAAAUUAAAUUUGGGCCUAAAAAUUAAAGGUGAAAUUUUCAAAUUUUGAACUUUAAAUUUUGUUCUGAAAAUUUAGAUUUUAAGCUCAUAUCAUUUGGUUUCAAAUUAACCCAAAAUAAAUUGAAUUGGGUUUUGAUUUACUAGAAAUGGUCGAAAAACGAUUAAUUUAAAACAAAUUUAAAUGAAUUUAAUUCAAUUUAAAUAUUUGAAUUAAUUCAUAUAAAAAAGUUUAAAUUAAAUAUAAAAUUAAAUAUAUUUAAAUCGAUUUAAAUAAAAUUAAAUGUUUACAAUUUUAUUCUGAAAUUUAUUGACAAGCUAUCAGGAUAUGCUCAUGAUACGUACUCGUUGGACACUUUGUUUCUCUAUAAUCAGCCUAAAAGCUGCAAAAAAAUUAGAGUACAUUAUGUAAAAUUUACAAUAUAUUUGAGAGUCAAUUAUAUUUUUUGGUAUUUUGAAACUGUAAGAAUUCGAUCUCUAGUAAUUAAAACCAAGCAUUCAGCACUCUGCAAAUAAAGGGGAUGAUUGUCGGUUAAAUGCCAGUCAUUUGCUAUAUAGGCGAUAGUAGCUUUCAUUGACUAAAUUUAAAUUACACGAAUAAAAGGUUAAGAAAGAGAAUUAAGCAAUUUAUUCAAUCAAAUAACAGUGUCCUAAACCAUAACUGUCAAUCCUCUAAAUGCAAACAAAUAAUCUAAAUAAUAAAUCUAAAGGAAAAAUCCUUUUUUUUUUUUGGAACACUGAAUCUCAAUCCCUUAAAGCCUAAGCUAUUAAACAGAAAUACUCCUUCUGUAAUUUAUAUAUCAUGCGACAGAAUAUUAUAAAACUUAUUCCACAAAAAAAAAAAAAAAAACCUAUGAAUGGUGUUUUAACUUAAUUGGUAACUUUCAACUGAAUAUUCUAUUGGGCAAAAACUCUAGUAAAAUUCAUUAAAAGUCAUCAUCAAAGUCAUCUAUGCGUCUGUUAACUCAAUCAGAUUAAUCUAGCCGCAACAACACAACAAAUGCACGAUCUAUUUGACAUGAAAAGAAUUAUCCAUUUUGGUAUUGGUGGUGAUAUAAAUAGUUCCAUGUCCAUUGGAGAUGUUACCAUUCCUAAGCAAGUUGCUCAUAAUGGCAUCUGGGAUUUGGGAUUUGCUCAUACUGUCAAAGAGGAUGUCAACCUAUCAAAUUACUGUGAUGGUCAGAACCCACUAGUUGUGCACCAUCUGAUAUUGGGAAGGCCAAGAACUCCUUUUGCCAGUGGUCUUCCGCUUGCCAGGAUACCUUAGAUUCAAUGUGGACGGCUCCGCAAAAGGAAAACCUGGUCCCGCUAGGUGUGGCGGCGUCCUUGCCAUGUUUUCGGGCCUGGUUGGUAUCUGGGAUUCAAACGUUGCUGAAUUUUUGGAAAUUAAAAUGCCUCUAGAGGUGUUCACAAAGACGGAGUGGUCUCACAAGAUGAGUCUGAUUCAAAGUUUAUUUUUAAGUGGGACUCAAACGAAUCUGUUCGACCAUUGAGGCUAUAAGAUGUGUUCUUGGAGAUUGAUUCUUUGACCACAAAGCUGACAGAAUUUAAACUGCUCAAUAUCUUCCGCGAAGUAAACGAGAUGGCUGACGCACUGACAAAAUCGAGGGUGGAGUAAUAUGAUAGGUUCAUGGUCUGGUGGCAGCUUCAUUGGUGCUAAGGUGUUUCAAUUUACGAACUUACAUUUCGUAUCAGGCGAAGGUCUAUUGGGACAAGUUAUUCCCUACAUGUCUUUCUCAUUACUAUAUGAAUAAAACAAAACCUGAUUUAGCCCAAAAAAAAUAUCAACCUAUUUUCCGUCUUCUACAAGUUUCUUGAACAUGAUGGCGGCUAGCUAUAUUAAUCAUUUUCUUAACACAGAUGGGAACGUGGAUUCUGCUGAUCUACCGAAAGGAAAUGGAACUAAUCUCUCAGGCGUCUUGGAUAUACUAAAAAACAAUUUUUACUCAUUUUUAUUAGAAAGCGUACAUAUUACCUAACAGUAGCAUAUAAUAUAAAUUGUAAAAAUUAUUACAAUUAAUUUAUAAAACAUUAUGAGAUAAGUCAUAUAUAAUUAAAAAAUUUAUCAAAUUUAAUUUCAAAUGCAUUGAAAAGAUUUUAAUUUCGAAUUUUAUAUAUUAAAAUAUAUUUAUUUUAGUGAAAAGAGUGCAUGUUACUAAUAUUAGUUAAUUAUUUUAGUAUAAAUGAUUUAAAAAAAGAUUAAUUAAUUUUUGAUAUGUUGAAAUAAUUUUAAAUAGAUAAUUAAUUAUUUUUAAAGGAAAACUAAAUAAUGAAAUAAAUAAAUAAAUAAAAUUUCAUACAUUUUACUUAUUUUCAAACUUCUAUAUAUAUGUAUAUAUAUUUUUAAAUAAGAUUUUAUUUAUUUAUUUUCAAGACAAUAUUGCAUCUCCGUCUCAGGGUAUAACAUAUAUAAAUAUUUUGUCUUAUGUUAUUUGUAUAAGAUUUUUUAUAUAUUAAUAUUUUUAUUUAAAAUAUUCUCACGAAGUUAAUGGUAUUAAAACUAAACUUUUAUUUAUUUUGAUAUUUUUCUAGUUGGGUUUCAUAUGGAAGGAAAAAUGGCUUGGCUCAAUAUUUUUUGAGCCUAAGAAGGAUUUUGCGGCCCACUAGUACGCUUUGGGAUCAGAUCCGUCAAAGUGGUAAAAUUGUCAAUUCAUAAUGCCUGAUGCCUUCUAAAACCCAAACGGGACUCCGAGUUGAUAUAACAUUGUAUCUCAAGUCUGGCAGCUGUUUAGCCGAAUCCAGAGACUGCAGGAGCUUAAGCAGCAAUGGGUACCCCAUUUUCUUUAGCUUUUCAAAUCUAACAUUCAUGAUUUAAUAGCUAGCUGGCUCUUAUUUUCUCUAUUGUUUUUCGUUAAUGGGAGGAUUUAAAUAAGGAUCUGUUAUUUGUUUAUGUAGAGUGAUGGUUUUCUCUGCUUGAUUUUUUUUUUCCUUUAUUUGAUUAAAUCUAGAAACUUAUUGAAGGAUUGGUUCUGACUUAUUAUUAGUUCUCAUCUUUUUUAUAUAUUUUAUUACUAUAUUUGCCACAUUAAAAAUUAGAUGGUAAGUGGUAGAAAUGGGCUUUUACUUGACUGGAAGUCUUUUUAAAUGAAAGGGUAUAUUUGAUUGCUUUUUAUAAAUAUAUUUUGAUGGAUCAUUGUUUUGGCAUUUUGGGUUCUGAUUUGUGAUGAUUUUGCUUUUGGUGGGUUUUUUUGGGAAAAUAUGGGCUUACAAGUACGUGUCAGACUCAGAGCUAUGGAGGAAGAAGCAAUCUGAUGUGAUGAGGCUCUUGCAGAGGGUCAGGUGUAGGGAGUACCACCAGCACCCUUCCAUUGUUCGAGUUAACCACCCAACUCGCCCUGACAAGGCUCGUCGCUUGGGAUAGAAAGCCAAGCAGGUAAGCUGAUUCAUUUUUUCUUUGAUAUUGCUUUCUUCCUCUGCAUUUUUAUGAGGUUUGGUAUUUUAUCUUUUAAUUUUCCGGCUUAUCCUAUUUGUUUUAUUGCAGUUGUAACAUAUUUUAGUUAUAUGAUUAUCCUUUGGUCUGAAAAACUGCAUUGCAAAAAUGUUUAUGGCCGGACUUACUUUAAAUGUGAGACGACUCAUAUGUUGCUAAUAUAGUUGUAAUAUAUAUAUAUAUAAUUAUAUUUACAAAUAAAAUAAUAAAUUAAAUGAUUUUAUGAUUGGCAACAAUAAAAUUGUUAUGAAAGGUAUAAAGAAAUUUCAACAGUAAUGUAACAAUAAUACGAAAGGUAUAAAGAAAUUUCAAACAGUAUUCAUGUAACAAUAAUAGUUGUUAUAAUUAAUUAAAUUGGUUGUAUUAAAAAUUUACUGCUACAAAAUUUAUUGUUAUAAUUAAAAAAUUAUUGCAAAAAUAAUUUUAUCAACGACAAUAGUAGAUAUGUAAAAGAUUUUUCAAUGAUUAUAAUCGUUGUUAAAGUUAUUUAUUGAAAUGACAAAAAUCAUUAUGCUAAACGUAAUUAGCAACGAUAUGUGAUUAUGUUGCAAAAUAAGUUUUUGUAUUCGAAAUUUAUGGUUGUUAAAAUAAAAUUAAAGCAAAAACAUUUAAUCGUUACAAAAUAUUUUAUGUAACUAAAAUAAUAUUAAUAUGUAAGUUUUUAUAGUCAAAUUUUAUGGUUGCAAAAUUAAAUUUAUACAACGUUAUUUUGUUGUUGCAAAAUUUUAUACAAUGACAUUUUAUCAUUGUGAAAAAAAUGAUUUAUUUGGCAACAAUUAAAAGUCAUUGUAAUUUUUAUUUUUUUGAACAACACUAUAAGUUAUUGCGUUAAUUCUUUAUUAACAAGGUUAAUAGCAACGAUAAAAAAUUAUUUUGAAAACAAUUUUAACAACGAUAAAUAAUUAUUUAGCAACGUUUUGGACUGUUAUAAUAUAUCAAUUUUCUUAUAAUGCAAACAUAAUCAAAUUAAGCACAAAUAUUGGAAAGAUUGUUCAUCACUUCAUUAAAUAAUUAAUGGCUAAGUGAGUUAAACUAAUAAUAUAUCAAUGUUAGAUAAAAGAAAAUAAUUAUGCACUACAAAAAAAGUCAUUUUUAUUGACACUUAUAAAUGUCAGUGAAAGAUUAAAAAAGUGAUGAUAUUACUGUUGCGGGAGUUAAGUGAAUGUUGAUGAAAACUUUUUGAUAGUCAAGUCACCAAUGCCAGAAUUAUAAAUGUACUUGCUGAUAUUAUUUUUUUGGUACUUUAAAUUACUGUUAUAAGUAAAUAACUUUUAAAUGUAAUUUAAAGUGUUGGUAAAGAUCACAUUUUAUUUAAAUUUUUAUAUUAUUUAGUGAGCUAUAUUGACACUUAAAAUCAUCCUUAAAAGUUUUAGUUUUUUUAAAUAAUUUUCAUAUUUCUAAUCUUUGUAACCAAUAAAAUUAAAAAAUAAUUCAUACCAAUUAAUAGAGAACACAGGUCUGAGAAAUGAAAGUCUGCAAGUCACUUUUGCAAUUUCUGGCAAAAGAACAUUUUUAGAUUAUUUAUUUCCCAAAUUUUGCUUUCCUGAUAACAGAAUAAUAAUUAACUGACAUGUGCAAAACACUUGAAGUAUUCAAAGUUUGGUUAAACUCAGACAGAGACCUCACAAAUUUUAUAUCAGUAAAGUGACAAUAUCAUGAUUCAUAAGUAUUAAAAUCAGCAAAAUUCACUAGCAAUGUCAAUGUCUACAAGCUAUUAAGAACAUCAGGUAACCAUCAAAGGCAAAUUGCGUCCUGAUACCAAUCCCAUUACAAUUACCAAAACUACCCAAACAUCAAAAAGUUGUCAAAUUACCAAUUAUUAUCAAUAAUGCAAUAGCAUCAUCCUCAAAGCUUCCAUAUUUCUUUAGUUAUUGGCACAUAGUAAUCCCAAUGAAUUCGAUGCAUCUGAAACCUGCAAUAUAAUACAAUUUCUGGAUCAGUUCAAUCAUAAGGACCACCUCAUAUUAGUAAAGUAAGGGGUUUUUUUUGUUGUUUUAGCCAAUAUUCUUCUACAAAUGAAUAGUAAGGCCUAUAGAGCUGAACAGCUAAACAAGAGGGGUUUGACAACUGCUAGGAAAAAUAAUACCACCAUGAGUGUAGGUAAUUUACUCUAUAUACUGGCAAGACGUGGUUUUAAAUUUUAAGCCAGAACUAUAAGUUGAAUCUUAAACUUACAGGGUGAAAUCCACCUUGGUGUAGAAAUUCGAGAGCAGCAUGACAAAAGAAACCAAACCUUUCUGCAUCUUUUCUGCAACCAUAAACACAACCUGUCCAAAAGAAUCUGCAAGCAACAAUACACCAAAGGAUUCUUAUGAUUAUAAUUUUUUUUUUUAACAAAGUGAAACAUUGUAAUUCUUAAAGGUGCUAUAGGAGUAUAAAAAUUACCCGUUUUCUGGCUCCACAAAAUAAACUGAAAGGCCUUCCACUUUUCCAAACCAAACUUUAACUUCAGUGCCACCCCAAGAAUAGCCUCUUUGGUAAUGAAUAUCCUUCACCUAUAUCAUAGAACAUUCAUUUGACAGAUCUGAAAUUAUUAAAAAGACAAGUUUGAAAAAAGUAAAGAGAUGAAUGAAUUGUUUUAUAUCUUUUUUGAAUAUUAAGAUAUGAAUGAAUGAAAUCGAGAAUCUGAUUAUAUGACAAUAAACAUCUUUUAAGUAGCAUUCCCAAAAUUUUCGUCAUGUAUAGCCCAAAUAAAGAUGAGGGCAGGGAAGCCUUAUAUGAAACUUUUGUUUUCUGGAAAACCCAAUAAGAAAAGGUUAUGUGACAAUUUAGUACCGAUAUCUUAUUAAAGGAAAAAUGCACUUCAGCCACCUCAUGCAAGAUAGAUAACACCACACGCAAGCUUACAAACAGCAUGCCUAGUAAGCAAGAAUACAAACCAAAAAAAUCCAUAAUUUAAGGAAAUUAAGGCAAUCCAGUGAAAACAAUUAAGAUGAAAAAUGUGGCUAAAGUGAUGGCAAUGAAGUUUACAUGGCCAAGGUUCAAGCAGUCAUACUUUGGAAGAAUGAUGUCCACAUUGUUGUUUAAAUCUUGAACAGCACGCGAGAGACUUGUAACGACAUCACCCAGAUCUCCAACCUGCAAAGUUAUAAAAAAGAAGUAAUUGAGAAAAAGAAGGAUAAUGGAAAAUCUUUUGGGUUUUUUCUACAUAUUCGACCACAAACUGGAAAUAAUACAACACAGAUGUCUAUGGUGUUCCAUUUCUGUCUGUGGAUCAGCAUCCUCUCCCCCAACUGUCUCAUUUCCAAAACACCUUUCAUUAGGAAAAGACAUGUCUUUCUGGCCUUCUUUCAGCUUACAGAAUUUUCUCUUCAUUAAGAGAAAGAAUCUGAAUGGACUCAUAAGCAAAGAAAAACUAGAAAAGAAACCUUGAUAGACAUCAGGGCAAUAAAAAAAGUUUUGAAAACCUAAACUCCCUUAAUGUCCAAAAGUUACCUUUACAGUAGGCCCCAUCUCAACAGCAAUAUGCACAAUGUUCAUCGGUGGCUCUUGCACAAUUCCUCCAAAAACAGGUAUUCGAUAAUCCAAACCGCCUUUGUUGUCAAAAGUUCCGGCAUCUUCCCUCUCAGAGAAUACAAACUCCAUAUAUGCAUCCAAUGGAACCUUGACUGCAGAGUCACAUAAAGUAAGUCUUUAAUAGAAAGAUUUAAUGCAACAAAAGCCAAAAAUAAAAAGAACGCCAUAUGUUACCUAAGGAGAUGAUAUAAAGCAACAAUUGAUAAGUCAUAUAUGCCUAAAACUUAGGCACAGAUUGAAUUCCAAAUAAUUUAUUAGUCUGGAUCUAUAAUUCACAUUUAUUCUCUAGGACCAAAAGAGCUUUCAAGGGGAGUGCGUCGGCACGCAGAAGAUGAUAAAAUGGUGAAUGCAAACAGCAGAUGACCCAAGAAGCAGUACAAUUUCUAUUCACUAAAAUUUACCAUAAAGGAUACUGAUAGGUGAAAUAACUCACAAACUUAUUAGAGAGAAUAUUAUUUUAAAAGCAGUUGAUUAACUCAUUGAUCCAUGAAACCAUACAGACAAAGACAAUUAAUGCAUGCAUCAGAUAGGAGCUCAGUUAUUGCCAAAUAAUUAUGCAUCAGAGAAACCUUUAUGAAAAGCAUUUGUUUGAAAACCAUACUUUAGAAACUAUUAAAGCAGUCAAAAGUGUAUUUUUUGACCAAAGACAUCUCUUGGUGAAAAGAAAUCAACACAGGACAAUUCAAUCCAUGAAGACCUAAAGUUUGGUUCCCGAGUUACUAAGACAACCUAGUAAGGAAGAAAGCAUGAAGCCCACAAGGGGAAAUGAUGUUCUUAAUAUCACAUUCAUUGUACACAUUGUGUCAUGGUCCCUUAGAAGUCAAUUCACAAGAUCUGCCAAAAGAUUUACCUCACAUUAUUCCGUUGAUUUGAUAUAUUUGUCAUCUAAACCUACAAAAUUUGCUCAAUAUACCUUCCUAAGAUUGAACUACUUGUUAUGAUAUUUACAAAAUUUUUAACUCAAACUCACCCUACGAAGACUAUUUAGUCUUUGCAAAUUGUACAGUCAUAAUUCCAGAUAUAAAAAAACAAGCAAUUAAAAAUAAAUCCACAAAGUUCAUUAGUAUUUCUGAACUUAAUUCUAUAAGCACCAAGUCACUUGAAUGUUCAUGUAUUUCUCUCUCUCUCGAUGACAAAUAAUUUUACUAACAAGCCACCACAACACCAAUCACAACAACCACAACAUUAUGAUCAAAACCAAUGCCGUCCAAGUUAGAAAGUAAGAAACAUAGAGAGAAAACUUUUGAUUAGAGAAAUACGAAAUAAGAAAGAAUGAGAGACUUAGCAGCAUACUAGUGACCCAGAAAUCCAACAAUAUAGUCAUAGACACUAAAUAUAUUACUACCAUAUGUGUUACAAAAGGGGAUCUUGACUUCAGGCGAAAGAGGCACACAUGUUUAUUUGCAUUUGUAUCCAAGUAUAUCGUCUUAGAAAUUAUUGUUUCCUCUUUGUUUGAUAUCAUCACUAUUUCUCCACCUAUAGAAACCAUCAUAAGCUUAAAGUGCCAUAAGUGAUGAUCAGUUAAGACAAAGAAAAAAAUUGUAUCAUUUCCAGAAGGAGAUUUGACUUCAAAGUUUUUGUCAUUAUUAACACUAAGAAACAGUAGAUUUCUAUUAGGAGAUUAUGAGCUGGUAAGAAGCUCAUAAUUAAGGAGAUCAAACCUUAAAGCCAAAGGGUAGAAAAUAAGAGCUUAACAAUGUCCUUUAUAAAGGUACACAAAUGUCAUCCAAUAACAACAAGGUGAAAAGAAAUUGUGCGGACACUACAUACACAAAAGUCCACAAAUAACCAAUUUCAUCUAGUAUGAGUAACUAAUUCAUAAUUAACACAUCAUAUGUGCAAACCAAUCUAUACGUUCGAAUAAUUUUUCAGAAGUAAGCUGCCUUUCAGAAAUUAUUCAUAGUCACCACUCAACAACAUACUAAGUUCAAGAUUAGUUCACACAUUAUACCCAAUAACAAAUCACAAAAAAAAAAAAUAAAAAAAAAAUAAUAAUAAUAAAAUAAAAUAAAAUAAAUUCAAAAUGAAAAUUAAUAAAUUAAAACCUACCUUAGAUAGAUUAGAAUUGAGAUUGAGCUUGACUGAACAUCAAAAUCAAGAUAAGCUGUAUCAAAUAAAAUUCAACCUCGAUCGAAGCAAAAAAAAAUUGUUAGUCAUUUCGGUCAUUACAAAAUCAGAAUCAAAAUGAAUAGAAAGAGGAAGUACCUGUUUCGAAACGGCACUGAUGAAGAAGAUGACAAUGAUUGAGCUGAAACUAGAGAGGAAAAAGUUAGGGGUUUUAACAAAUUAAGGAAAGAUUCAUUAGAUUUUUGUCUCAAAACUGAUUUGAAAAACAACAGAUGAAAAAACAUGAUUUGCGGAGAGUGAUUAGCUGAAAAUCACAGAAAUGCAGAGGCUUAGCAGAGUGUGAUUCAUAUAUACAUAGCUACAAGCAGAGAAAAUCAAAAUUUCAGCUUGUUUGUAGCAGAGGAAAUCGAAGAAAUUGUAGCAGAGAUUGAUAGUGUUGAUGGAGAGUGCUGAGAGCGAGAGAGAUUAAAAAAAUAUAUAAAAAAAGAGAAAUAUGAAAUAUGAAAUGAGAGAAAACAACUGAAAAAAAAAAAGACACUUAAAUUCGCAUUUGUUCAGUUUUAGCAUCUAUAUCAUACUAUCUAUUCUGAAAGAUUCCAACAUGCAUUUUAAUAUUUGGGAUGUGAACUUUAAUGGGAUUUUGUUUUCCCGUGUACAAAUACAAUGGAUCUCUCUCUUUCAGUCUCACUUAAGAGCUCCAUGCAAUCACAUUUAGAGAAGAAACACCAGUACUUCUUGUAUGGACAUGAUUGAAGGAUUUAUUCCUACUGAAUUCACAAAUGACAUGCUCCUAUAUCGUCUGGAAGGACAACUGCAAGUAACACAGAAUUUACAUGAUCAGCCUUCUUUCUUUCUUUCUUUUUUCUAUAAUUUAUAUUUUUGAAAAUCAUUCUCUAACCACAAUAAAAUGAAGAAAGAUGAACCUCGACAAACUUACACUUGCAUCUAUUAUUAUUAUUCUAUCUCAACAUGUCAACUAAAUUUGGUUGGUAGAUAAGAUUGAAGACAAAAAUCAGAAAAAAAAAUUAAAAAAAAAUAAUGCAUAUAGUUCACAAAUUAAGAACAUGUGAUAGUACUUUGCAUACUUAAAUAAGUGUCGACAAGUCGAUGAUAAGUGACUAAUUCCACGACAUCUCAAAGGCCUAAGAUAACAAAACCAUAUGAAAUCAAAUCAAUUCAAAUUCAAUACUGCCUUAUAUACAUUACAGUGUUAUUAUGACUCAAAUAUAUAUAUAUAUAUAUAUAUAUUAUUUGGUUACUAACAAGAACAAGAAAGUUACGGAGAUAACCAUUGAAAAGAACAAAAAAUAUUGCUUUUUCUAAAGAGUAUUAUCUCAGGAAUAUUUAAUGUUAUUUGUAUGGAAAAUGUUUAAUUAGUUAUCCGAAAAAAAGAAAAUAUUUUUAAUAUAUAUUUGGGAUAAUUGAAAUAUAAUAAUAAAUAAUUAAAAAAGCGAUGAAGGUACCUUCAAUAUGGACACAAAAUACAUAGCUGUUCUGCCAAUGGCCUGCAAGAAAAAUAUAAAGUUCAAAUGAAAAUUGUCUUGAAAGGUAGUUAGAGGCAUUCUAUGUACUUUUCAAUAAUCUUAAACUAUAUACAAACAAUUGUGUAUCUUACUUUAUUAAUCCUUCUCCAUGUUUUUCAAAAACUCUCUUUUGAUAUUUUUGAGCAUGGAAACAACAUCCUUCAUAUUUAUCCUGUUUUCAGGUAAGUCAGAUGAACAAUCCAAAGCUAACGCCAUGAUGGACGAUAUACAAUUCACUUUGACAACAAAAUAUUCAUCCUCUUUAUGCACUAAACUGGAGUCCGCUACAUCAAUUAUUCCAUUAGAUAGUGACAUUUUCACCCAAUGUCUCAUACUCAUUUCUCCAGCAAAAGAUUCAUCAGUGGGCCUCUUUCUUGUGAAAAUUUCCAUUAGUAGAAUACCAUAACUAUAAACAUCACUUUUAAUAGAAAUAAUUCCUGCUGAUCCAUAUUCUGCAUUUUAAACAUAAUUGAAUAAUUAAAAGAUAUUAUAUCUUCAUAAUCAUAAAAAAAUAUGCUUAUGUUAGAAUAUGGAAAAAAAUAAUAAUAAAACAUCACCUGGUGCCAUGUAGCCAAUAGUGGCAAGUGUCAUUGUUUGUUUCAUAGAAUCUUCUUCUCCCAACAAUUUGGAAAUGCCAAAAUCUCCCACAUGAGCAACCAUGUCUUUGUCUAGUAAGACAUUACUUGGUUUUAGGUCACAAUGGAUUAUAGGUGUUGGAUGUCCCAAAUGGAGGUAUUCUAAUGCUGAUGCAACAUCCAUCAUUAUGUUGAUUCUUUGCAGGAUAUCCAAGAAAUAAUUGUAAGAAUAUAACCAUUUCUCAAGGCUCCCAUUAGGCAUGAAUUCAAGCACUAAGGCUUUGAAGUCAAUAGUAGAACAACAACUAAUGACCUUAACAAGAUUGCGGUGAAAGAUAUUGCUCAUCACUUCACAUUCAAUCUCAAAACUCCUAAAUGCUCCAUCUAUUUGCAAAUUAAAAGCUUUUAUUGCAACAUUUGUCCCAUCUAAAAGUAUUCCUUUGUAUACAGAGCCAAAACUUCCUGAACCCAGUAAGUUGUUUUCACUAAAUCCAUUAGUCCCUUCCAAUAGCUGAUUGUAGGAAAUUCUUCUCCAUUUCUCGACAGGAAUUAAAUCUUCAACAAUCGCCAAAUUCAUAUUCCCCUGCUGCUUUUUUUUGUAGACAAUUAUGACUGCUAUAACUAUUAUUAUUGAAGCAAAUGUUGGUAAAACAUACCUCAAAGCAUGUAGAGCGGUCUUCUUGAAUUUCCGAUGGAUUUUAUUUUUGCAAGGUGAGACUUGUAGUCUAGGUGAACCACAGAGUGCAUAAUUUUUCAUGAAUGAUUUGGCCGUGAAGUUUAAAAAGGGACCUCCACUUGGGAUUUCCCCUUCUAAUCUAUUGAAAGACACAUUAAAAUAAUUGAGAUCAUAAAGUCUUUCCAAAGACUUUGGAAUGAUUCCAGAGAAAUUGUUGUUAGAUAAAUCCAAACUUUUCAAACUCAUCAAGUCACCGAAUGAUUCAGGAAUAGGACCUUGUAAUCUAUUACUAGCAAGAUUCAAAACCUGUAGAUCAUGAAGACUUCCAAUUGUGGGAGGAAUAUCACUUGAUAAUAAAUUCCUUGACAAUUUCAAAGAGAUAAGUACCUUCAAAUUUCCAAUGUCAAGUGGAAGUGAACCGCUAAGAUUGUUUGAUGACAAGUCUAUUUCUAAGAUAUCUUUAAGGCUCCAAAAAGUUAAAGGUAUUGUUGAAUGCAAUUUGUUGGAGAACAAGUAUAGAUAUCUCAGAGAAGUCAAAUCAGAGAAACAUGUCGGUAAAGGCCCAUCAAGCUCAUUGUCACCUAAUGAUAAUUUGUACAAUCCCUUCAAACCACAAAGAUCAUGUGGUAUAAAGCCCUGUAACUUAUUUCCAUAAAGAUGCAAAAGUUGGAGAUUUUUUAGCCUUCCUAUUGUUGUUGGAAUAGGUCCACUCAAUUUAUUAGAGGAAAGGUCUAACAAUAUAGCGUUACUUAAGCUACCGAUUUCCAUGGGAAUGCUGCCUCUAAUUUUGCAAUGAUUGACCCACAAUUGUUGAAGUGAUGUGGAAAGAUUUGAGAUAGAAGUUGGAAGAAUGCCAUUCAAUGGGUUCAAUGAUAGUUCUAAAAUUCUUAGAUGCCUGCAAUUUGCCAAGGAAUUGAGAAAGCUCCACUCAUGAGUUGAAGUUUUGGUGGUCAAGUGAUUCGACCAAAGGUGCAAGGUCUCAAGGAACCUCAAAUUGCCAAGUGCAUCUGGAAUAAGGCCAAAGAAUGAGUUUUGUUCUAAUUCUAGGAUUCUGAGCUUAGAAACAUUAGAGAUAGAACCAGGAAUAUUUCCACUGAGAUUAUUGCCCCAUAAGUAAAGCACCUCAAGAUUUGAAGCAGAGCUCAUGUAUGGUAAUUUACCUAAAAAGACAAAAAAAAAGUUUGCAUCUUUCCAUACAAAAAAUAAAUUAAUUCUUUUGCUUUGUUGUGUUUUUCAUGAAUCUAUGAUGCAAGCUGAAGUGAAUGCAAUGCUUACAUCUACAAAUGUGAGUGAGGAAGAGCAUGAAACAAUUAUAAAUAGGAAACAACUUCAAGGUUUUCUUGUUUGAUGAUCUGGAAUAUAUAUAUAUAUAUCUAAUUUAUAAUUUUUUCUUAUUUAUAAUGAUUAAAAGGCUCCAUACUUUCGUAUAAUAAAGUACUAAAGAGGAAAAAGAAAAGUAAAAGAAAAAAAGAAGGUACAAGAAAGGAAGGGAGAAAAGAAAAUAUUAUAAGGUUUCUAGUAUAUGCUUAAAAUGUUUUCCAUUUAUGUGAGAAUUUUAUUUUCUUUAACUAAUCUCAAUUGCUUUAAUUAUAAAAAAGAUUAAGGAAAAUUUGGAUGACAAAAUUGUUCACGAAAGAAAAGGAAAUAAGAUAAAAAUGAAGCAAAUAAAAAAAUAUAAGUACAUUUACAUUAAUUUGUUUGAGAAAAGAAAAUUCUGAAAGUGUAAAUAUUUGGAAAUAAAUUAGAAUUUUUAUCUGUGCCAUUUUAGGAAAAAAGGCUCAAAAGAGAAAUGAUAAAAUUUCUUUCAUUUUAGACUAUAUGCAUAAUAUAAGAGAAAAAUACAAAGAUUCUCUGAAAAGAUUGUUAAAAGUACAUGUACUCUCUUUAGUUUGAAAAUCACUUUCUUACUUCCCUAAGGUUUGAUAGAACCUUACGAGUACUUUAACAGAGGAGUUUCAUUUGAGGUUUGUUGGAGUAAUACUGUAUACAUUUUACUACUACAAUAAAAAAUUAUGAUGACAAAAAAUGUGAAACUAAUGAAAAAGAUUUUAAAAUGAUGCUUUUGAUUACACAAUUAUUAGAGGGUGAAAAGCCUUGCCUUAGUCCGAUUUAGAGGGUAAGUAAAGGUAAGUCAAAAAGCUCUUCUUGGAUACUAUGAAGGCCACACAAGAACAUUACCUUCGGAGAAAAAAAUUUGUUACACUGUUUGUUGAUGGAAUUUUUCCAGGUUGUAGUGUCUUUAAUCUCAAGCAACAAUUUGUCAGAUGUGGGAGGGUGGUUGAUUUUUACGUCUCCAAAAAUCAAAUUUCUAAAUGGUUUGCACUUGAGGUAUUCCACUCUAUAUGUUCAAAUGGCAAGGUAUGAUCAAAGAUCUCAUGUUAGUUCUAAACCCACCACUCAGUACAUAGAAAAAGGUGUUAUCUGCAUAGAAGACUUUAGAGAUGGACGAUCUCAUGUAGAGGUUGUUAAUAUGUCAGUCAAAUCCUCUCAGUUAAAGGAUAACAUUGUAUCAGAUGGUCAAAAAGAAGAGGCUUUAAAAUCGCUUGACAUCCUUGAUUACAAUCCUGAAAAUUUAGAUUUGGAGAGAUAACAACGAAAUGUUGUUGGGAUAGUUAGAUAUCCUGAUACUAUAAAUGCCAUUAACCAAAUCUUCUCAGAGGACUUUGAUGAUUGUUCUGUCCUUAUCGUGGGUGAGAAUAUGAAUCUUUUGACUUUGAAAGCAAAGAAAGUAUGUUAUUAUCUCUGGAACUUGGUCAGGAGUGGUCUCAAAAUUGGUUCACGUCUAUUACACCAUGGAAGCCUAGCUAUAUAUGCCAUUCAAACCUUAUUUGGUUGAGAUUGUCAGGUAUUCCACUUCACGCUUGGAAUUCUAAGUGUUUCUCUUCCAUUGGAAGUUUAUAGCGUGAGGCUUUUAAGCUUGAUGAUUUUACACUAACGAAAAAAGGUUUAGAUGUAGGUAGAGUCCUGAUUUUAACAAAUGAUUAUAGUGCCAUUCUUGAUGAGAUUAAGGUCACUGUGGGUGAUAUUGUUUACUCCAUUAAAGUUGUUGAACAUGGAUACUUUGAAAUUUUCACUAGUCCUCACAGAUCAUGCAGACCUGGACAACUCAGUUUUCAUGGAUGGCGGUGAAGAUGUUUUCUCUCCUCAAGGCAAAGAUUCCCCUAGUAACUCAAAAUUUGAAAAUGAUGGUAAUUUUAUGGCUUUGGAUGUAGAUAACACUGUUAUUGCAACUGCUGAUACACCUAGAGAUUCUAAAGAAGCAUAUGAUGUCGAUCUUGGAAAUGAGACAAAUUUGGAACAAUUAUGGGCAUGCAGAGUUAAAUACAGAUGUUGCAAUUAAUUCUUCUUUAGAACCUCUUUUGAAUAACGAUGAAACAGAACAAUUAAAUCUAAAUUGAAUCAUGUGGUUGAUGAGUCCAAUCUAGUGGAUCAAACUAUUGAUACUUCUACAUCUCUUAGGAUAUCAAAUGGCCCAUCAGAUACGCUUAGGGAUUCUAUUGGUGGAAAUAUCUUAACUGAUCUUCGGUCAAAUCCAGUUUCUAUUGAGCUUAUGAGCAAGAGUGAUAUAGACGCUGAGAAACUUUUCAACGUUGAAGAUAAAUUUCACCUUGUUACUAUUCGAGCAGGUAAAAGAAGGAAAAAAAGUAAGGCAAAAUAUUGAUCCAAAAGCAGGUCUCGCCAGAUAAAGACACCUCUAGUUUCCAUUGUUCAAGACCACUUUCGGAUGAAGAUAUUGGUUCUCGAAAUAGAGCUUUUCUAGAAGAGGCUGAGAAGAUUUGGGAAGUUGGUAAAUUAUUGGGUUUAUCCGUAAAUGAAGACGAUGGUUCCAUUAUUCAACGUAUUGCUGGUUUAGAAAGACAAGAUUGGGGGGAGCUUCAUCAAGACUGAUACAAAAGGGCUUUGUCGAUUUAAAGGUUCUAAUGAAUUUGGUCUUAUUUACAAGCUUUAUCAAUACUACAGUUAAGGAAUUUGGCAAAAGGUAUUUUUAAAGUUGUGUUUGAAGGAUAUGAUAGUAGAUAGGAGGUUAAUAUUGGGAGUUUUAACGUUUUGUUAUUUGAAUGCAUUUGGGAUAUGGAAGUGGCUAUGGUGGCUGUUAACUGGAGUAAAAAGAAUCAUCGACCAUGAAAGUUGUUGUCUAUAUUUUCUGAAAUUGUGAUGCUUUGGAGAUCAAUUGGGGCAUCCAGUUUGAUGAAAAUUUUUUUAAAAGCUGAAUGAUAUGGUAGAUGUCAUGGCAAAGGUGGGUGGAUAGAGAGAUUUUUUUUUUUUUUUGUUCGAGGCAUGGUGGUGAUUUUGUUCUGUAAGGGAUAGUGGUGUUUGCUCUCAUUAUUUGUUUACCGAUCAUGGUAGUGUUUUUUUUUUUUUUUUUUUUUUGCUUGGAUGUCAUGAUUUCUUCUUUUUAGGUGGAAGUCUUUCGUUAGAAUUGUGCUAGAUGUUUUUAUGUUGUUUCUGGUAUGGCNNNNNNNNNNNNNNNNNNNNNNNNNNNNNNNNNNNNNNNNNNNNNNNNNNNNNNNNNNNNNNNNNNNNNNNNNNNNNNNNNNNNNNNNNNNNNNNNNNNNNNNNNNNNNNNNNNNNNNNNNNNNNNNNNNNNNNNNNNNNNNNNNNNNNNNNNNNNNNNNNNNNNNNNNNNNNNNNNNNNNNNNNNNNNNNNNNNNNNNNNNNNNNNNNNNNNNNNNNNNNNNNNNNNNNNNNNNNNNNNNNNNNNNNNNNNNNNNNNNNNNNNNNNNNNNNNNNNNNNNNNNNNNNNNNNNNNNNNNNNNNNNNNNNNNNNNNNNNNNNNNNNNNNNNNNNNNNNNNNNNNNNNNNNNNNNNNNNNNNNNNNNNNNNNNNNNNNNNNNNNNNNNNNNNNNNNNNNNNNNNNNNNNNNNNNNNNNNNNNNNNNNNNNNNNNNNNNNNNNNNNNNNNNNNNNNNNNNNNNNNNNNNNNNNNNNNNNNNNNNNNNNNNNNNNNNNNNNNNNNNNNNNNNNNNNNNNNNNNNNNNNNNNNNNNNNNNNNNNNNNNNNNNNNNNNNNNNNNNNNNNNNNNNNNNNNNNNNNNNNNNNNNNNNNNNNNNNNNNNNNNNNNNNNNNNNNNNNNNNNNNNNNNNNNNNNNNNNNNNNNNNNNNNNNNNNNNNNNNNNNNNNNNNNNNNNNNNNNNNNNNNNNNNNNNNNNNNNNNNNNNNNNNNNNNNNNNNNNNNNNNNNNNNNNNNNNNNNNNNNNNNNNNNNNNNNNNNNNNNNNNNNNNNNNNNNNNNNNNNNNNNNNNNNNNNNNNNNNNNNNNNNNNNNNNNNNNNNNNNNNNNNNNNNNNNNNNNNNNNNNNNNNNNNNNNNNNNNNNNNNNNNNNNNNNNNNNNNNNNNNNNNNNNNNNNNNNNNNNNNNNNNNNNNNNNNNNNNNNNNNNNNNNNNNNNNNNNNNNNNNNNNNNNNNNNNNNNNNNNNNNNNNNNNNNNNNNNNNNNNNNNNNNNNNNNNNNNNNNNNUUACUGAACUAGCACAAAGGCACCACAGUUUGUAUUUACAUCUCCAUAGAAAUGAAUAUUUCCAUCACUGUAGACACCGGUUUUGUCCGGGUCUACUACCAUUUUUUAUAUAUAUAUAUAUAUAUUAAUAUUUAUAAUAAUAAAUAAAAAAAUUAAAAAUUAAAAAAAGAAGCAGAAAAAAUUAUAAAAUAAUAAAAUAAAAGACAAAGUCAAAAAAACAGGGGGGUUGGUGCGGCGCCGCUGCCGCCCCCUGGCAGCCACCCGACCAGCCCCCAACCAACUCUCCUAGCCACCCUACUAGCCACCUGCUACCCACCUCAUACCAAUUCCCUUUUAAACCCGAAAAAAAUCGACAGAACAGAGGUAAAAAAAGGAGGAGAUCCUCAACCUCGUUCAAAAGAAAAAAAAAAACAAAAAAAACAGAAACAAAAAAAAAACACAACAGAAACAGAAAACAAAAAACACAGUCCUCGCCUAUUCGGCGAGGAACCCAGCGCCAAAAAGCCACCUGCAAAAGCAAAAAAGGAAAAAUCGUUAGUAUUUCAACAAAAAAAAAAAAAAGAGAGAGAGAAGAAAAACCGAAACUUUGAACCUCGAUCUACGCCGAUCGGGGUUGCUUUUGGCAGAACGGACAACGGAUCUGGGAUCAGGAGGCUGAACAGAACCUCCUGUCCCCUUUUCAAAUUUCUGACCACCGUCGGCGACGGCCCCCACGGCGGCCGGUGAGGCGGCCGGCGACCACGCGGCGGCCGGACGGCAUCCCUCUCCCCUGCUCUCUCUCUCUUCCCUCUCUCCCUUUUUUUUUCUGAAAACCAACCCAACUAACCAAAAAAAAUUUUCUGACCUUUUUAUAUAAACAGCCAAAAUCAAAACGACGUCGUUUCAUUAAAGCCUCAAAACGACGUCGUUUUGAUCCAGAGGAUCCGCGCGUCAACCCGCGACCCGACCCGGGGUCGCGUGCCUGACCCGCGACCCGUUUCUUCUUCAGCCUCUGACCGGUCUGACUGGACCGGUACCGAACCGCCCAAACCAAGUCGAACCGCCAGUGAACCGGAUCGAACCGCCCAGACCGCCCGAACCGCCGAACCGGUCGGACCGCCCUGACCAGCGUUGACCGGACCGUUGACCGGUCCGGUUCAGGUAAAAAAAAUUUUUUUUUUUUGAAUUUUCUAAUAUUUUUUAUUAUUAUUUUGUUAUUUUUAAAUAUAUUUUUACGUGAUAAAUUUAUAAAUUUGUUAGAAUAAAUGUUUAAUUAUUUUUAUAAUAAUAAAAUUAAAAACAAAUAAUAAUUAAAAAUAUAUUAAAAUGCUUAAAAAAAAUUAAUUUUUGUUAUUUUCCCUGCCUAGAUGUUGGAGGGAAUAAAAAAUAUUUUUUUUCUAAAAAAUAAUUCGGCCUAGAUGUUGGGGAAUUAUUAUUAAUAAAUUUUAAUAAAAAUAAAUAUAAGAAAAUUUUAAAUUAAUUUUCAAAAAUCAUUAAAAUCGAACUUGCUUCGAAAAUCUGCCUAGAUGAUGGGGAUUUUAGAGAUGUUCGUAUUUUCUUAAAAAUGAAACCUUAAGCACUAUUUCUUAAUUUCCAAAAUCCUAGGUUUCUAAAACCCCUAAAAAUCCAAAAUCCAUUAAAUCCAAAAUCUUUGAAACCUAAAAUUCUAAAAAAAAAAAUCCCAAGAACUCGUGUGAAAAUUCUAUUCGAAGCAAUUUGUUUCCGAAUGCCGCCUAGAUGAUGGGGUAUUUAGGAAAUUUUACUUCGCGAAAUCUUUUCACACGAUUUCUUAAUUCACAUUAAUAAUAAGAUUAAUAAAUUAAAAAAAAAUAUAAUAAAAUUGAGAUCCUGAAUAUAAGCUCUGCCUAGAUGUUGGGAGUUAGGGUGGUCCCAUUAUAUUUAAGAAUCCAAUCUUUUGCAUUUCAUUUUACAUGGACAUGCAUUAACAUGAUAUAUAUUAGCAUGUUAUCAUUGAUAAUUGAUUGCAUUAUUCUUUUUUUUAAUUUAUUGAUAAAAUAUUUAUAAAAAAAAUGAUACUAAAAAAAAAUCUUUCGUGAUAUUACAAAAUAAAACAAAAAUAAUAUUUCGAAAGAAAUAAUUUUUGGUUACUCUGCCUAGAUGUUGGAGAGUCACUAAUAAUUAUUUUCUAUAAAGAUUGCUAUUUUAUUUUAAGGAUUAUUGUGUUAAAUCUUAUGCGAGAAGAGUUAUUUUAAAUUCUGCCUAGACGAUGGAGAAUUUUAAGAUAAUUCUUUAACUUAAAGAUUUUCUCAAUAUUUCUAAAUAAAAAUUUUAACAAAAAUAUUUUUAAAUAAAGGGAAUUAAUGUUAAAUUUCAAAUUAAAACCAUUUUUAUCCAACGUCAAAAAUAGCGCAUAAUUAAAUGGUACCAAUUUAUGGGCGUUGUGGGGGUGCUAAUCCUUCCCCACACGUAACCGACUCCCGGACCCAACCUGGUUUUUCGUAGACCAAAAUCUAUCUUUUUGAUAAAUUUUAAACCCGUUUUAAAGUUUUAUUAAAAAGAUAAACAUAUGGGUGGCCAAUCACACCCUAACAAAGAUUGGUGGCGACUCCCUUUUAAUUUUUUUUUUCUCGAUUUUAAAACACCUCAUUUUUACGUCUGGCGGUCCCCAAAACCAUUACGACAGCUUGGCGACUCCGCUGGGGACUUAUUGAGAGUCAGGCCAAAAUUUUAAUUAUGCGCUAUUGAUGAUGGUUGAAUUUAAUUGAUUUUAUUUGAUAUUUAAUUUAAUUUCUUUUAUUUUUCGAAAACAUUCGAGCUAAUAAAUAAAAUAAAUUGUAUGAUAGUUAUUAAUUUAUUUUGAUUUUGUGGUUAUGAUUUAUUCAUGUUAUUUUGAUUUCUUUACACACACUUUGCAUAUUUACUUGUAUGCAUGAGCUCUAGACCCGGGCUCCAUCCCUUUUAGGAGGAAGUGAAGUAGCUACGCUCUCGUGAGGUGAUAACCUCCGCAUUUGCUAGCAAAACACUUCCACUCAGAUUGAACCCUUUCCGUUAGUAGCCUAUAAUGGGCGAGGAUCGGGGAACCUUACUAGUCUAUAAUGGACGAUGAUGUGAGGAAUAGUCUGGGAACCUUUAGACGCAUAAACUUUAACCCAGCAUAUCGUAAGCUAUGUGAACCUUACCGAUCUUUUUAUGGGAAUAACCAGAAAUGGUUGAUAAAAGAAAAGCAUUUCCUAAAAAAAAAAAAAAUUUUUCUCUUUACAUGCAGUUCAUUCAUUUGGUAAUUGUUCAAAUUUUAUAAUUUCAUAAAACAUUUUAGAAUAAAGUGAUUUUUUUUUAAAGCAUUAUCCAACAAACAAAACAAAAAAACAAAAAGGUUUUCAGAAAGAUUAAAGAUUUUUCUUAAAUUGGCCCAAUCAAAAAUUAAUUUUCAUAUCCUAGUUAUUUUGUUUUUCCUUUUUAAAAUUUUUAUUUUGUUUCAUCUUUUGCAUUUCAUACAUCAUAAAAAUAAUACAUGUAUCCCAUCCCAUAUACAUCAUUAAAGGUAGUGUCAUUAGGAUGACACAACACAAGCAUUACAUAUCAUGUAAAAAUAUAAUGAGCACUUGAUAGGUUCAUGCAUUUCAUACAAGUAUGCUGCAUUAGUUAUAAGAAUACAUUUCACCGUUCAUGUAAAUAUGUCGUUACAUUUCAUACAUAUAGAUUCAUAAGGUCGUAUGGAACAAACGUUACAUUUCAUAUCCCGCUAUCCCUGCAACAUAAUAUUUCUUGCAUACACAUUCAUGGUUGAUGAAAAUUUUUAUUUGGGUCUUUGUACAUAUAAAAAUUCAUCGUCAUAAGUAUAUAUGCAUUCCGUGACAUUCUCAUAUUCAUGUAUUCAUAAACAUACUUUGUGUGUUUUUGUUUUUGUGAUAUUCAUUCAAUAAAGUAAUAGUCUAGAAUUUUUUGUCUAAGUCCCGAAAUAAAAUGACUGUCUUGGUGGGGUUCAGAGUGACGAAAAUGGGAGAUCAAUUGGAAGCAAGAUUUAGUACUUUGGAGUUGAAUCAAGAGGAAUUAUGGCUUGAGCUUCGAGAGAUGAAACAACAGAUGGCUCAAUUAAUAGAAAUGGUUAGAGGUAGUGAUGGAGUUGAGUUUGUUCCUCCUCAAAAACCGUUGUCAUUACCGUCAAGUCAAGGUCAAUUGGCUCCCGAUAGUUCCAACACUCUGCCAGAGUAUGCUAAAGCAUUGGAUGAUUUGAACAGUGAUCAAAGUUUGGGCGAACUUAAGAGAGGAAUGGGUGAACUAGCCACACAAAUGACUGAACUUAAGAGUUUGAUUUCCAAUAAGGAGUCACCUGGCUUCAAACAACCAUCACCAACUAUCUCAAGUCCUAACCCAUACCUAAAUCCUCCGUAUGACCAUUUUCAACCUCCUUUCCAAGCACCUAGGAUUAGACCCCCAAUUUUCAUGCAACCACUAAGAAUUCCACGCCUGAACCCAUAUCCACCAUCUCAUAUCUCACAAUCAUCUGUUCAGCAUACUAUCCCGUCACUACCUUUUGAACCCAAUCUUCGACCCAGAGUUUCUCAAUUCACCUCGAGACCAAUUAUACCAGCACCUUUUCAGCAAAGUAAACCAACCAUAGGACAGAAAAACUCUGGUAACACCAAAGGAAAAGCCCCUAUUGAUCCAAUACCCAUGUCCUAUACAGAGUUAUACUCGCUGCUCCUAGAGAACUGCCUCAUUGCCCCUAUCCCUGCUGAACCUCGUAAAUCGCCUUUCCCUAAAUGGUAUAACCCUAAUGCCCAAUGUGAAUACCAUUUUGGUGUUGUGGGCCAUUCUCUGGAAGAUUGCACAGCUUUGAAACAUAGGGUGCAAGGAUUGAUGAAAGCCGGAUAUCUGAGUUUUGAUGCCAAGAUGAACCCUUCUUUGAUCCAUGUCGAAAUGGUAGACAGUGUUGCAGAUAAUAGUAAAGUUGGUCAGAUUGAUGAAUAAAAAGCUUUUUAAGCAAAGAGUUAUCCUCUCUAGUAAUCAUAGUCAACUAUUUUUCAGGAAAGACAAAGGGAAGUGGGAGCAUGUUUGGCAUUUUUUGGCCCCAGUCCUAGAAUGGUUCAUGAUGUGUAAACUUGAUGCUUUUGGAAAUGAAUAAAAACUUUUUUUUUUUUUUAACCUAGAUUUUCUAUUAAUUGAUGCAUCUGUUUUUAUUGGCAUGCCUAAAAGAGUGUAAGAAAGAAUGAUGGUUGCAAGUAUAUUUUCACCAAACUUUUGAGACAGAAAGGAUACAUCUAGAUGACUCAUUUUGAAUGGAAUUCAAAUUUUUCCUCACCAAAGUAACAAAAUUUGACUUGCAUAUCAUGCAUCAUUUACUUGAAUUCAUUGUUUUUCAUGCCAGCUAAGGAUAAGGAAUGAUAAUUGUAAAUAUACUUGUCAUAACCUUCGAAGCAAUUUUUAGAAUUCAUGCCAUGCAUUUCUGACUUCUGGUAAUUAAUAAAAGGUUCAAGGAUAGCUAUUCUAAGAAACGAGGUCAGUUGAGUCUGCACACUUAUAUCACUCGAGUCAGUACCAUAACCAUGGAAAAUGAAGGUGCCAGUCGAAUGGACAGAGUAGAAAAGGCUCAAGGAGAGAUCGGUGAAACAGUUACGAGAAUGCAACAAAACAUGAAUAGACAACUGGCAGAAUUAAAACAGAUGAUAGUGGAAUUGACAAAAGAAAAAGAAGUUGUUGAGACGCAGAGGAUAAGGGAGGAAACAGCUAUCGAGACACCAUUGUAUCCAUCUGGUUUCACAUAUGUUCAAGACCCCCAUGUGUCACAAGCACCUCUAACAACCGAUCAACCUUAUGUUGGCCAUUUUGCCAAGUUACCAUCAGUACAGACAAAUGUCAAUCCCGGGCAUACUCCUCACAACUUCACUACUGUGCCCAAUAUGGAUGAUCAUAAAGAAUUGAAGAAAUUGAAAAGGGUGUCAGAUCCAUCAAAAGAUAUAGUGAUGAAAGAUAAGUAUGAUCUAUUGGAAGAGAGAUUGAAAGCAAUUGAAAGCCAUGAUGUGUACAGGAAUGUUGGCGCCAGUGAACUUAGUCUAGUACCUGAUCUUGUUAUUCCACCAAAAUUCAAAGCCCCAAGUUUUGAGAAAUAUGAUGGAACGAAAUGCCCUUUAAUACACAUUACCAUGUACUGUCGAAAGAUGACAGGUUACACCCAUGAUGAUAAAUUGUUGAUCCAUUACUUUCAAGAUAGUCUCACUGGACCUGCAGCAAGAUGGUAUGCUCAGUUAGAUCGAAAUAAGAUUCACUCUUGGAAUGAAUUGGCUAGGGCUUUCCUAGCACAAUACAAGCAUGUUGAAGAUAUGGUGCCAGAUAGGUUGUCCCUGCAGAACAUGAAGAAAAGAUCAACUGAAACGUUCAAAGAAUAUGCAUAUAGAUGGAGAGACAUAGCAGCUCAAGUACAACCACCCUUAUCAGAGAAAGAAAUUACUGUUCUGUUUGUCAAUUCUUUGGACACUCCCUAUUAUGAAAGAAUGAUUGGGAAUCUCUCUAAAAAUUUUUCGGACAUGGUGAUUUCUGGUGAAAUUAUAGAAAAUGCAAUUAAGAGUGGCAGGAUUAAGUUAAAAGAUGUGACAGAUGUUGAAGAAGAAAGUACAUCACAGCAGAAUAAAGAAGAGGUGCAAGCAGUCACAUUGGAAGGGCAUCUACCUAAUAGCUUUAUCCCGUACAAUCCUUAUCUUGCUUAUCAACCCCAUCACCUUGCCAUAAGCCAAAACCCAUAUCUUUACCAACCAAGCCAGCAUUUAAGCUUUCCAGCAAACUCUCAUCCUCAAGUGGUCAUUCAUGAUCUUGUUCCCACAUUUGAAUCCACCAUCCGACCAACAAAAAAUCGGAAGAGACCAAGGAAUGAUCAAGAGAAAUUACCCAUCCCUAUUUCUCACCUUUUACCUUUGCUAAUAAAAGGUCGAUAUCUCACUCCUGUGCCUCUGAAAACACCACCAAAUCCAUCAGCAAGGAGUUACAAUCCCAAUGAUAAGUGUGAUUACCAUAUGGGGGCAAUUGGCCACUCAACAGAAAAAUGUAGGCAGUUGGAAGAAAAGGUUGAAGAUCUUAUCAAGAAUGGUAUUCUGACUCCGGAAGUAAUAGAACAAUGGAAGUUGUUGACUCCAUUCAAUUUUCAAAUGUGAGAAGUUAAGAUGAAGAGGGAGGUGUCAAGUUUUAAAAAUCAGGAUAUGAUGAUUUCUUUUUCUACUAUGUAUGUAGGAUAUGUGCAUUGUGUCUCUAAGAGUUAUUUAAAUUAUUUUGGAAGAAUCGAAUACUUUGGAUCUUUUUCAUGAAAUUUUCUCUUUAUGCAUUUGUUUGGAUAAAAAUCCCACAUAAGUAACUUUCAAAAAAAAAAAAAAAAAAAAAAAAGAAGGAAAAAAAAAAAAAAAAAGUUUUAUUUUGAAGAUGAAAGAAUUCUUAAAGAAAAUGGUGAUUACUGUUAGGAAAAAGCUCAUCAAAUACCUUCACACCUUUUCAAAUACUUUCAUCACUUAAAUGAUUGGAUUCAUCAACCAUAACCUUUCAGGGAAUGUGAGUUUGAGUUCAGACUUUAAAAGGCCGAUAAUCUUUUCCAGGGCAAAGAACAAAGGAGAUUAAUUUUGAAAGUUUGUUUUGAAAAUCAGAUAUUCUUUCAAAAUUUUCCAAUUGAUAGUCCAAUGUGUGUCAAAAUUUUGCUAUGACCACAGAUACAAAAACACUUGAGCCUUUAACCUUUGUUCCAUGUCUUAAGGCACAUUGAAAAAAAAAAAUCCCUUUCUGCCUAAGACAAUUUAUUUCAUACCUUUAUACCUUUUCUUUUCCUUUCACCAAAAAAAAAAUGCCAAAAAAAAAAAAAAUUUUUUAAAGCCCAAAGAGCCUUUUGAGCUAUGCGAUCAAUCAUAUAUGGCUUAAUCGUCGUUAGAACCUUGAGUAAAAAGGAUGGGCAUAAUAAAAAAAAAACAAAAAAAAAACAAAAGGGACAUAUUCAAUGAUUUGCUCUUCUACCUAAGUGAUCAUGUUUGAAAUGAUGAAUGGCCAUCUUUCUCUAUCCUUCUCGUACAUAAAAAUUAUCCAUUUGUUACCCAUUUGAGCCUAUUAAAUUUUUUGUUUCAAAAUAAACCCUAGCCAAGGAUCAUUUUCUACAUUAGGGGGCAAAAUUGGGAUACAUUCAAGAUUAACUUCAAAGAAAGUAUCCGAUAUUGAAAGCGUCUAACAUGCCCUUCGAAGGUGAAAGUCUGGGAUAAAAAGUGAACAAUGCUUUGAUUGAAAUUUCAAGAUCCAAGAAAGUGAACGGCCAAAGAUAAAGUUAAGUAUUUCUAAGGCAAAAUAAAAAAACCUUAGAGAUAAGAAUCUGAAGCUUCACUUAGAAUUCAAAAAAAAAAAAUAUGUACCUUGAAAAUGAGAAUUCAAGGCAAAAAAAGAGGUGCGUGAAGUUGCUGAAAUUAAAGCCAAAUGGGGGAUAAAAGAAGAAAGUCAGAGAGUGCCCAUCAGGAUCCUUGGCCUAAUCACCUUGAAUAAUAUAUUUGAGCCUAUUCAUCCGUUCUUUCAGAACCCUUAACCUUGACCUACAUUACACACCCUGAAAAGCCCAUUUUGUUCAAAUAUGGAUACUUGGAUUGAAGAGCAAUAUCCUUGAAUUUGUAUAUACUUGUUGAAUUUUUCAUUGAUAAAGAAGAAAAAAAAAAAAAAAAAAGCUCUAAGGUGAAAACCCAAAAAGGGCAGUUUAGAGCUAAAGUAAUUUCUUGAGGCCCCAAAAUAAAUUUCAGAGUUUCAAGGUUCUAUCCGAAAUAAAAAGUUUCGAUACAAAACCUUUUGGAAGAUCAGUACCCAUUAAAGACCUUUCUAAAAAAAAAAAAGCCUUAUCUUCUUCUCAAAUCUUGUUUGAAGAGUAAUGACUAGUUUUGACUCACAUUGGAGUAUCAUGUUUUCAAUAAAAAAAAGUGUUUUUUUUUUAAAAAAUUUUUAUCUCUUUUGGGAACCCGAGAGAAAUCCUUGCAAUCCUCGCCGAGCUUUACAUGAGAUAUGCCACCAGUAAAAAAUUUGAAUUGUCAAUUACCUCACCUAUGAGCAUUUCAAAUAGUAAUCAUCAAUUUUCAAGAGAUUCAAAAGUCUUGAGUUUUAAAUCUUUUCAUUCAAUUGUAAAAAUACUUUAUGUGGGAUAAUUUUUGAUCACUUUUAAAAAUUUUUUUUUGAGAUUAUUGAAGCAUUUUGUACAUAAUACUGAGAUCAUUUUUUUGGGUGAAAAUGAAACAAAAAAAUUUAAACAAUAAUAAUAAUAAAUUCACCAAAAAAAAAAAACAAAAAAAGGGGGCAAGAAGAGUCUUUGCAUUUGCAUCGCUUGCAUCUGCAUCACAAGAAAGACAUUCGCAUUUGCAUCACUUGUAUAAGACAUUUGCAUUCACACCAUAAGAAGAAUUUGCAUUUGCAUCAUGCCAUCUGCAUCCUAAGAAAAUGUAUUUGUAGGGGCAUCUACAUGAAAAGGACAUUGUCAUUUGCAUUGUGAAAAAGACAAAUGUAUCAAGCAUUUGCAUUCUUAUGUUGGCAUUAACAUUUGCAUCAACAUCAUUUGAUGAGAAUAGACAUUUGUAUCAUGUUUGUAUUUAUCAACUUUGUAAAUAUUUAAAAAAAUAAAAAAAAAGGCAUGUUUUUAAAAUUUUAAAGCCUCUGUUUAAGAGGAACCAAUUUCAAUCAAGAUUUCAAAGCCUCUGUUUAGAGGGAACCUUCCUCAGAAAAGACCUUUAGAGUCUCAAAAAUCUCUAAUCAGGCGAAAGUCAUAGAUUAAAAAAUUUUUAAAUUUUAAAGUUUCAUCGCCUCUGAUUAUGAGGAGCAUUCAAAGAUUUUGAGAUUUAUAAGACCUCCGGGCAUAAUCUCUAGAAGCCUCUGUGCACGACUUUCAAGAUUAAAAAAUUUUUAAAUUUUAAAGUUUCAUCGCCUCUGAUUAUGAGGAGCAUUCAAAGAUUAUAAGACCUCCGGGCAUAAUCUUUAGAAGUCUUUGCGCAGGACUUUUAAGAUUAAAAAGUUUUUAAAUUUUAAAGUUUCAUCGCCUCUGAUUAUGAGGAGCAUUCAAAGAUUUUGAGAUUUAUAAGACCUCCGGGCAUAAUCUCUAAAAGCCUUUGCGUAGGACUUUUAAGAUUAAAAAAAUUUUUAAAUUUUAAAGUUUCAUCGCCUCUAAUUAUGAGGAGCAUUCAAAGAUUUUAUGAUUUUUAAGACCUCCGGGCAUGAUUUGUAAGACCUCCGGGCAUAAAUUUGAUUCGCGGUGUUAUCCCGAUCAAUUCUAUAAUUUUGACUUACGAUGUUAUCCCAAUCAAUUCUGUAAGACCUCCGGGCAUGAUUUUUAAGACCUCCGGGCAAUUCUGAAAGACCUCUGGGUAUAAAUUUGAUUCGCCGUAUUAUCCUGAUCAAUUCUAUAAUUUUGACUUAUGCUGUUAUCCCAAUCAAUUCUGUAAGACCCCCGGGCAUGAUUUUUAAGACCUCCGGGCAUGAUUUCUAAGACCUCCGGGCAUAAAUUUGAUUCACCGUGUUAUCCUGAUCAAUUUUAUAAUUUUGACUUGCGGUGUUAUCCCAGUCAAUUCUGUAAGACCCCCGGGCAUGAUUUUUAAGACCUCCGGGCAUGAUUUCUAAGACCUCCGGGCAUAAAUUUGAUUCACCGUGUUAUCCUGAUCAAUUUUAUAAUUUUGACUUGCGGUGUUAUCCCAGUCAAUUCUGUAAGACCUCCGGGCAUAAAAUUAAUUCGCUGUGUUAUCCCGAUCAUUUCAUUUAUUUUCUGACUUACGGUUCAGUCCCAGUCAUCUUUAAUCCUUGAUUCACGGUUUAAUCCCAGUCAUUUCAUUUAUUCUCUGACUUGUGGUUUAGUCGCAGUCAUUUUUAAUCCUUAGAUUCGUGGUUUAAUCCCGGUCAUUUCAUUUAUUCUCUGACUUACGGUUCAGUCCCAGUCAACUUUAAUCCUUGAUUCGUGGUUUAAUCCCGGUCAUUUCAUUUAUUCUCUGACUUACGGUUCAGUCCCAGUCAACUUUAAUCCUUGAUUCGCGGUUUAAUCCCGGUUAUUUCAUUUAUUCUCUGACUUGCGGUUCAGUCCCAGUCAUCUUUAAUCCUUGAACUCGUGGUUUAAUCUCGGUCAUUUCAUUUAUUCUCUGACUUGCGGUUCAGUCCCAGUCAACUUUAAUCCUUGAUUCACGGCUUAAUCCCGAUCAUUUCAUUAAUUGCUCGACUUGCGGUUCAGUCCCAGUCACCUUUAUUCCUUGACCAUCAGUGUCAUUCCAAUCAUUGUCUUUAUCAUUCUAUUUUAGGAGUCGCUUUAAUCGAUCCUUUAUUUUUCAACUCGCGGUGUCGCUUUCUUUAUUACCUGAUCUGAUCCUACAAAAAAAAAGGGGUCCAUGAUUUGCUUUCGGACAAAAUCGUUGUCUUUAUCUUUGCCCUAUUCCUGAUUCUCAGUAAUGUGCAAAGAGGGGCAGCUGUAGACACCGGUUUUGUCCGGGUCUACUACCAUUUUAUAUAUAUAUAUAUAUUAAUAUUUAUAAUAAUAAAUAAAAAAAUUAAAAAUUAAAAAAAGAAGCAGAAAAAAUUAAAAAAUAAUAAAAUAAAAGACAAAGUCAAAAAAAUAGGGGGGUUGGUGCGGCGCCGCUGCCGCCCCCUGGCAGCCACCCGACCAGCCCCCAACCAACUCUCCUAGCCACCCUACUAGCCACCUGCUACCCACCUCAUACCAAUUCCCUUUUAAACCCGAAAAAAAUCGACAGAACAGAGGCAAAAAAAGGAGGAGAUCCUCAACCUCGUUCAAAAGAAAAAAAAAACAAAAAAAACAGAAACAAAAAAAAAAACACAACAGAAACAGAAAACAAAAAACACAGUCCUCGCCUAUUCGGCGAGGAACCCAGCGCCAAAAAGCCACCUGCAAAAGCAAAAAAGGAAAAAUCGUUAGUAUUUCAACAACAAAAAAAAAAAGAGAGAGAGAAGAAAAACUGAAACUUUGAACCUCGAUCUACGCCGAUCGGGGUUGCUUUUGGCAGAACGGACAACGGAUCUGGGAUCAGGAGGCUGAACAGAACCUCCUGUCCCCUUUUCAAAUUUCUGACCACCGUCGGCGACGGCCCCCACGGCGGCCGGUGAGGCGGCCGGCGACCACGCGGCGGCCGGACGGCAUCCCUCUCCCCUGCUCUCUCUCUCUUCCCUCUCUCCCUUUUUUUUUCUGAAAACCAACCCAACUAACCAAAAAAAAUUUUCUGACCUUUUUAUAUAAACAGCCAAAAUCAAAACGACGUCGUUUCAUUAAAGCCUCAAAACGACGUCGUUUUGAUCCAGAGGAUCCGCGCGUCAACCCGCGACCCGACCCGGGGUCCGCGUGCCUGACCCGCGACCCGUUUCUUCUUCAGCCUCUGACCGGUCUGACUGGACCGGUACCGAACCGCCCAAACCAAGUCGAACCGCCAGUGAACCGGAUCGAACCGCCCAGACCGCCCGAACCGCCGAACCGGUCGGACCGCCCUGACCAGCGUUGACCGGACCGUUGACCGGUCCGGUUCAGGUAAAAAAAAUUUUUUUUUUUUGAAUUUUCUAAUAUUUUUUAUUAUUAUUUUGUUAUUUUUAAAUAUAUUUUUACGUGAUAAAUUUAUAAAUUUGUUAGAAUAAAUGUUUAAUUAUUUUUAUAAUAAUAAAAUUAAAAACAAAUAAUAAUUAAAAAUAUAUUAAAUGCUUAAAAAAAAUUAAUUUUUGUAAUUCCCUGCCCUAGAUGUUGGAGGAAUAAAAAAUAUUUUUUCUAAAAAAUAAUUCCGCCUAAUGUUGGGGAAUUAUUAUUAAUAAAAUUUUAAUAAAAAUAAAUAUAGAAAAUUUUUAAAUUAAUUUUCAAAAUCAUUUAAAAUCGAACUUGCUUCGAAAAUCUGCCUAGAUGAUGGGAUUUUAGAGAUGUUGUAUUUUCUUAAAAAUUGAAACCUUAAGCACUAUUUCUUAAUUUCCAAAAUCCUAGGUUUCUAAAACCCCUAAAAAUCCAAAAUCCAUUAAAUCCAAAAUCUUUGAAACCUAAAAUUCUAAAAAAAAAAAUCCCAAGAACUCGUGUGAAAAUUCUAUUCGAAGCAAUUUGUUUCCGAAUGCCGCCUAGAUGAUGGGGUAUUUAGGAAAUUUUACUUCGCGAAAUCUUUUCACACGAUUUCUUAAUUCACAUUAAUAAUAAGAUUAAUAAAUUAAAAAAAAAUAUAAUAAAAUUGAGAUCCUGAAUAUAAGCUCUGCCUAGAUGUUGGAGAGUUAGGGUGGUCCCAUUAUAUUUAAGAAUCCAAUCUUUUGCAUUUCAUUUUACAUGACAUGCAUUAACAUGAUAUUAUAUUAGCAUGUUAUCAUUGAUAAUUGAUUGCAUUAUUCUUUUUUUUAAUUUAUUGAUAAAAUAUUUUAUAAAAAAAAUGAUACUAAAAAAAAAUCUUUUCGUGAUAUUACAAAAUAAAACAAAAAUAAUAUUUCGAAAGAAAUAAUUUUUGGUACUCUGCCUAGAUGUUGGAGAGUCACUAAUAAUUAUUUUCUAUAAAGAUUGCUAUUUUAUUUUAAGGAUUAUUGUGUUAAAUCUUAUGCGAGAAGAGUUAUUUUAAAUUCUGCCUAGACGAUGGAGAAUUUUAAGAUAAUUCUUUAACUUAAAGAUUUUCUCAAUAUUUCUAAAUAAAAAUUUUAACAAAAAUAUUUUUAAAUAAAGGGAAUUAAUGUUAAAUUUCAAAUUAAAACCAUUUUUAUCCAACGUCAAAAAUAGCGCAUAAUUAAAUGGUACCAAUUUAUGGGCGUUGUGGGGGUGCUAAUCCUUCCCCACACGUAACCGACUCCCGGACCCAACCUGGUUUUUCGUAGACCGAAAUCUAUCUUUUUGAUAAAUUUUAAACCCGUUUUAAAGUUUUAUUAAAAAGAUAAACAUAUGGGUGGCCAAUCACACCCUAACAAAGAUUGGUGGCGACUCCCUUUUAAUUUUUUUUUUUUCUCGAUUUUAAAACACCUCAUUUUUACGUCUGGCGGUCCCCAAAACCAUUACGACAAUCACAUUAUGUUGUAAAAUGUGCAAUGCUCUCCUCAGUGCUAUUAAAGAAUGAUGGUCAGCUCCAUAGCCACCAUGGUGGAAAGUGCAACCCGUUUUUAAUAUCAGUUGCUACUCCACCCAAUUUACAAAUGUCUAAUGUCAGCCUUUCUUUGAAAAGCUUUGGAACAAAUAAGACCUUAUAUAGAAGCUGGUAGAUGGUUCAUGCAGUUAUCCUCAAAAAAUGACAUCUAAUAGGUUUGUGGUUUGAAUUUCAGUACUUACAACUCCUUCUCUUAUCCCAAAUGCAAAAAAAAAAAAGAGACCUUAUAUGCACGGUGGCAGGGACUUGGACACUAGAAUGGAAACUAUAAGAUGGGUUUUUGAGGUUACCAUCUGGGAUGUCUAAGGAAGAAUUCAUGGUUCUGAAAACCCCUGGAUAGACAUGGAAUCAGGAUGAUAAUAAUUUGUGCUUUUGAUAAUUUAGUUUUUGCAGCACUCAAAAUUCAGUUUCUGCCCUUCUGACAAGGAAAUAGUGUUUUUCCUCUUCAAACAGUUACUCUGGUCAUUUAUUCAGUAUAAAAAACUAACUCAAAAAAGGUAAAUUAUUUCAUACUUUUUCGUUUUAUCUUGAAUCUCCAUCAUAUUACAUGUAGGACAAAAAGGAUAAUGCAUUAGUGGACUUGAUCAAACUAAAAAAGCAGUGGCUGCUGCUCAUACAAAAUAAGAUCAUAACAUUAAAAUCCCGAAAUGGAAGACAGACGCAAAUCACUUUGUUCUUUUUCAGCCCACAAUUUUCUUUAUGAAUUUCAAAAGGCAUGAAAAGAAAAAUUAUCACUGAGAUUAAGCCUUUAAAAAAAUGAUAUGAAAAUUCACUUAUUCAGCUUAUGUACAAUCUAUCUUGAAAGGCCUAGCUUCUCCUCAUAUACCUUUAAUAAAGAAAGAUCCUCAUAAGAGGUCACAAACCUUUGAAGGAACUCCUUUUCGGUAAAAAAAAAAAAAAAGAUAAACACUGAUUUUCUCAAUCAAACGUUUGGAUAGCAAAGAUUGAAGAACUUAACACCCAAGGACAAUUCUCAUCUCUAAGCUAUAUGGGAAAAGUUACGGAAGGUUUACUAUACAUCAAGAUUUCCAGUCCAUUUGUGUUGACAUAUAAAAAAAAAUUCAUUGCGACUUUAGUCUUGUCCUUAGAAAGCAUCAUUGCAAUACGGAUACUUAAUUCCACAAAAUAUUUUUUAUAUAAAAGUUUAGGAUGAAGCGAGGCUUUCCCAUUCCAAAGUCAGGGAUUUAUAUUGGAUUUAAAGAUUAUUGUAUCAUAAUAUAUAAAUUCAUAAAUUUAUCGUUAGAUACAAUUAAAAGAGUCAUCAUCACUAUUUUUUGAUUAAAUAUGAUUGACCACUUAGAUGAAUCUAUUUAUAUUCAUUUUAAGGAUGUCUUAAACUUAACUAAGGGUCUUUAAAAAAAUGUUUUGGUUUACUAAUCAGAAUAGGGUUCGAGAGUUCAAUUACAUACGAAAAAAAUUAUAGCAUCCUUACAACUCUCAUCCUAAGAUGAUACCAUUUAAUUUUAAGAACUAUGGAUCAUGUGCUAUGUUGGGCUACGCUCUUAAUCUUCAUAGACCAUAUCGGCACGAUAUGUUAAAUAAUAGCAUUGGACCAUCACAACUUAUUAAUACAUGAGAUGUUUUUUUAAUGGGUCAUGUCAGUCCAUCACAAACUCAUGAUAGAUAAUAGAUUAUAAUUUUGUAGAAUUUUUUUUCAAAGGUAAUAAUAAUGAUAAUUUGUUAGGAUACAAUAUAAUCUAAAUUUUUUAUGCUAAAUAAAUUUAGAUUUAUUUUUAAACUAAAAUUGUGAAUAUAUAUAUACACACACACACAUACUAAUGGUAUAUAUAUACACACUAAUGGUAAAGUGAUUGAGUUGUAGUCAUGAGUUAACCAAUUGGUAAAUUUACAUUAAAUCCAAAGUUAAAAUAGAAUAACAAUAUAAAUUUAAGAUUUAAAAAAGAAAACUUUUUUAAUCUUAUUCAAAAAAAGCUACCCACCCAUAAGGUAACAUCCUAUAAAAAAAAUUAAUUUUUAAUGAAUUUUAUUCACCCCACAUGAAUAUAUCAAAAUUUGGUACUUCUAUAAAAUUUUGAAUGAUACGGUCCAAAAUAAAUUUAGUAAUUCAUAUAUUUAUAUUAUGUUAAUAUCAUUAUAAACAUGUAAAAUAUGAAAGUUUUUAUAUCAAAUUUGUGUCAAUAAGUCAAAUAUAAACCACUUUUUUUUGUUCUUGCCAAAUCCACAAAGAAUUUUUGUUAAAAUUCAAAAUAAUAUCACUUUCAUAUAAUUUUCAUAUGAUCGUAUUAUAUUUAAAAUUAUCAUAUAUAUAUAUAUAUAUAUAUAUAUAUAUAUAUAUUGGAAAGGAUUCCACCUAAUGCAAACAAUUCUCUCUCCAAUUGACCCUGACUAAGAAAUUUUGAAGUCAGAAAAGCAAUUGACAUUGUUGCAAGAGCAACAAUUAAUCUAAACCUUAUCAAAUCAAAGCAACCACUAUUUUUUUUUUUUUUUGGAAAUCAAAGCAACCACUAUUAUUAUUUCGACAUUAACAUGUGAAUUUGUAUGGUUUCCAAAAACACUACAGUCUUCAUCUAACUGCGUUCCGAUCUUUUAAUAUUAUACAUUGAAUUUGAUUACUUUAUUAUCAUACCUAGGCUGUCAAAUAAUUGAGAUUGGGUGUAAAACCUCAUAAUUUGUAACCACUACUUUUUUUAAGGUAAGGAAAAUUAAAAGUAUUUAUUACCUAAAUAGGCCAUUUUUAAAUUAUUUUUUCUUUUCAAAGAGUUUUUUUUUUUUUUAAUGAAAUGUCAAUUUUUAUUACCUAAACAGGUAGUCCAAUACUUCUAUAAAAUCUUUGGAUGAAUUUGAUAUCACCAGGCAAUUGAUACCAACAGCCUCGGUCUUCACAAUAAAUAAAAUGAGUCAAGCUUUUGAUUUUGGGCCGUCUAAUUCGCUUUUGAUCUCCUUUUACAAAGCAUAUCUAAAACCAAUAUAUCUUUUUCUCUUUUUUUUUUUUUUUAUGUUGUAUUCAUUGGACUUACAUACUUUGUGAGACCCAACUAGUCAUUUCUCCUUGACUCCGUGUUUCACGCCAUGGACUUGUAUGAAAUAUCGGGCAGUCAUUCUUUUAUAUAAACAUAAAUAUAAAUUAUAUAUAUUUCUAAGAGAUAUAAAUUAUAUUAGGCUAAUUGAUCAUUGAUAAUAUUCAAUAUUGAAAAAAAUAAUUUUAAAAUUUUAAAAUACAAUAUCAUACUCAAACUCCAAAUAAAAGUGAUCUAAUUAUUUUUGAAAAUUUAUUUUCAAAUCAUGAAUUUAUAGAAUAUGAAAGUAUUAAAUUAAUAUGAUAAUAUCAUAUGAUUUUUUCUUUACUUAACAUUAUAGUUACUUUCAGUGGUUAGUAGAAUAUAAAAAGUUUUCAAAUGAAUUUUAUUUAUAAUCUUUUUUUCUUUCAAAAAUUCAUUUUUAGUAUUAAUUAACGGAAUAUGAAAAGAAUGAAGUUAAUAUAAUAAUAUUUUUAAACAAAGUUAUAAAUUAAAAUUUCUUUAAAAUUUGCUAAUAUAUGGGACCAAAUAUUUAAUGCAAUUCUUUUGCAUUUUCAAUUUACCCUUCAAACAAUUCAUAAAAUUUUAUAAAAAAAUUAUAUAUUUUUCACAUUUAUCUUUUUAAUUUAGAUCAAAAUUUCUCUUGAUUUCAUUUAUUUCAAAUUUAUCCAUUAAUUCCAUCGAUAACUUUAAAAAUCAAUGAAAUUUGCUGCGUUGAUAUCAUGUAACUGUUGGUAUAAAUUUCAAUAAAAAAAGUUAAAAAGAUCUUUUUUUUUUGUUUUUGCCAUAUGAACAUUGUUUAGGCUCACUUUUUUUAGCACAAUUUUUUACUUAAUAUGUACACAUUCAAAAAAGGAUAAAGAGAUUUGGGGACAUAUGGAGUGUUAGUUUCAAUUCAACCCUAAGAUAAGUUUAUGAUAGUACCACAUAUCAAACCCGUGAUUGGUGUAAUCCAAAACUGUGCAAGUAAUUCUUUCUCCAAGAAAGAGACAAAAGAGGCAUCAAUAAAGUUAUCUUAUAUUUCGCACACAUAAAAGCAGAUAAAGGAGUCUAAUCAGAAAAGCUAGCAACGUGUUCUAAGCGCCAGGCCUUGGAGCAAUCCAAGUCAUCUUGCUUUCCACAAACAUCAAAGCAGACUAAGAAAUUUUAAAUCAGGAAAGCUAGUGAUCAUUUUCUAAACGCAGGGAUCAAUCAAUUUAUCUUGGUUUCACACACAUCAAGGCAGACUAAGAAAUCUUAGGUGAAGAAUUAAAGCUUCCAAAUGCAAGGAUCAAUCAAGUGGUCUUGGUUUCACACACGUCAAAUCAGACAGAAUUUUCAAGUCAGGAAAGCUAACGAUCGUUUUCUAAACGCAAGCACCAAUGAAAUGAUCUUGAUUUUACACACGUCAAAGCAGACCAAGAAAUUUUAGGUAAAGAAUUAAAGCUACCAGAUGCAAGGAUCAAUCAGUCUUCUUGCUUUUCUCCUGCAUCAAAGCAAAUUAUUAUGUUAUCAUUCCUUGGUUAGGUAAUUAAAUAGUUGAGGUUGGGUUUAAAAGCUUCUAAUUUAUAAUUUUUUUAAGGUAAGGUAAAUUAAAAUCUUUAUUAUAAAAAAGAUAGUAGUUCUAAUUUUUUUUUCUUUAAAAGAUGUAUUUUUUAUAUAAAAGAUGUCACAACUUAAAUAUUGAGAAAAAAAUGUAAAUAUUGAGAUUUAAAUUUCAGAUGUAAUCUUUUAAGAACCAAAUGAAUUUAAUUUUAAAAUUAUAUUGGUUGGGCAACUUGCUUGAACCUGAAAGCCCAUCCUAAAUUUGGAAGGGCUUUGACAUAAAUUUUAAGUUUAUUAAAUGAACCUGAACUUAAAUUUUAGACCUGUUUAAGAAAUGUACUAGUUUUUAGACAUAAAAUUUACAAUUCAAACCUGAUUAGGCCCAAAUAAUUAUUAUAUAUUUAUAUUACAUAAAAAUAAAGAAAAUUAAAUAUAAUAUAUACAAUAAUAUCCUAUGUCUAUAUAUAUUAAUCACAUUCAAAUAUUGAAUUAAGUUAACAAAGUAUUUUUUAGGCUUUACUUUGUUGAUUAUUUAUUUUAUCAUAAUUAAUAUUUAUGAUAAAAAUUAUUUUUUAUUUAAAAAAUAAAAUAUAGGCAGGCUUAGGUAAAGUCUUUUAAAAAUUAAUUAGGCCUCAGCAACAAACUAGGAUUAUAUUUUGGGAUGGACGAGUCUAAACAAACUUGAAAUUUGUUAAUAUCCUAACUAGGCUAUGUUCAAAUAUGAUCCUACUCAAUUCAUGUAUAAAUUUAAUUAUCAGUAUCAUGUGUUCGUACCUAAAUUGCCAAUAUGAGAGCAAAGAUCAUUUUAUUUCUUUUUCUCUUUCUAAUGUAUUUAAUUAAUGAUUUAUUAUUACUACUUUGAAAAUAAUAUUAAUGUUUAAUUUAUGAAAAUUUUUAACCAUAAAAGAAUUAUGAAAAUUGGAAGCAAGAAAAAAGAUAUCUCCAUCUCCACAUUGAGAAUUUUUGUCAUGUAAACACUAUUUUACCGUAUACUAGAUUUUUUGGUUCUUGCAUUUACAAUAUCAACUUUUUUUUAAAAAAAAAAAAAGAAUAUUUAGAAUUCGUUUGGUUUGAUUGAAUUUUUUUUUUUUUUUUAAAAAGUGUUAAAAUAAUAUUUGACAAACAAAAUGCAAAAAUACUCUAAAACAUAAAAAAAAAAAAAAAAUUAAUAAUAUUUUUAUAUAUUUUUAUUAAAUACAAAUUAAAAGGCUUAACUUUAUAAGCAAACCAAUAAAUAAAACAAAGAUAUAUUUUAUUAAUUAGAAAUUAAAAAAUAAAUGAGAUUAAUAGAAAAUUUGGAUCAAGUAAAAAAAAUGUUUGUGAAAUAAUUCAUUUUUAUUAUUUUAUGAAAUAUUAACAAAUAAAUUGAGAAUGUAAAAAGGAAAAAAAAACUAAGCAAUAUAUUUGUUAUUAUACAAUAACACUUCUCCAGGAGCAGAACAAGAACUUGACCUUCUCAGGGGUGAUUUAAAUGGCCAAUGACAUUGAUAUUAGAAAGAGUCGUACUCAAAGAUUUAGCCAUCACUUAUGAAAGGAAAAGCAAACAUUUAAUGAGGUGUGUAACUGGGAAAUUAUCGCCUGGUUGAGUUUCAGCUGUUCUGGGUCCAUCUGGGGCUGGAAAAACGUUUCUUUCAUCUUUAACUGGAAAAGCACCAGGUCGCGUCAUGACUGGUUCGCUUCUUAUAAAUGGAAAGGUUGAGCCAAUCCAAGCAUAUAAGAAAAUAAUUGGUUUUGUUCCACAAGAUCAUAUCGUUCACGGAAACUUGAUAGUGGAGGAAAAUCUAUGGUUCAAUGCUUGAUGCAGAUAUGCUACACUUAUUUCUGUCAUGCAUGACACCUUUAAUUUUUUAUUCCUUUUGGGUGUUUUUUUUUUUUUUUUUUUUUUGAUUUUCUACUUGCAACUGCGACAUUAGAAAAUAUUCUACACUAAAAAGCACUUUCUUGAUUUCCCCUGAUCACUAACAGGAUUGCUAAUUAUUUUAGACUUGCUGCUGACCUUCCAAAACCAGAAAAGGCUCUAGUUGUUGAAAGAGUCAUCGAGUCCGUGGGACUGCAGCCUCUGAGGGUUUCUCUAGUUGGGACAACGGAGAAGAGGGGAACAUCUGGGGGUCAAAGGAAACGGGUAAAUGUAGGGCUGGAAUAGAAAAGAUCAUGGAACCUUCACUUUUGGAUAUUAGAGUGAACCAACAUCUGGGUUGGACGGUUCAUCUUCCCAAUUACUACUUCGAGCUCUUAGGCGUGAAGCCCUUGUAGAAGUAAACCAGCCAAGGUGAGUUUAUUAUCACCGGAAUGUUUGAAUUUUAUGAAAUAUGCUGGUUUCACCGAGGAGUAAACAUAUGUAAAUAAGUAUGUAGCUGAAAAUAAUGGAUACCAAUUUUCUUUUUGUUGCACUUCAGUUAUACCUUGUUCAGGAUGUUCGAUGAUUUGAUACUUCUAGCAAAGGGUGGACUUACAGUAUAUCAUGGAUUAGUGUCAUAAGAGUAUUGUGCUGGCCUUAGAAUUAAUAUCCCCAAACGUACUAAUCCUCCAGCAGCAUCAUCCGGUGAAAAUCCUGCUCAUGGAGAAAGUGCACAUGGUCCUGGCCGGAAGCACACUCCUUUGCUGGCGACUUGUGGCAGGAUGUGAAAUGUUCUGUUUGAGACAAAGAAGGACGACUUACAACAUAAUAUCCUCAAGUCCAUUAACUUGUCACAAAGAGCAAUGCCUGGUGUAAUACAAUCAAUCAAUCAUAAUUUAUAAUUUUUUAGAAUUCAUUAAUAUUUUAUGUGAAAUUUUCACUUUUAGUGAUGGGUUUUUACAUAAUUUUUAUUAUGAUUGGGUAAUUAAAAAUACUUGUAUUAAUAUAAUCUCUAGUAAAAAAAAUUGUAAGUGAUAUAAUCUCCCAUAAUGUGCAACAUACAAUAGAAAAGAAUUAGUAAAGAUCAUAACUAUCUGGUUAUAAUUAUUAUAUCAAUAGAAAAAAAUGAGUUACACACAUAUUUGACCCUGAACCUUAUAUUUUCUGUUACAUUGAUACCUAAAGAAUUAUAUUAUCACAUUGACACUUGAACUUUUAAAUCCAUUAUCACGUUGGUAUUUUAAACUAACGCUGUCAGUCAACUUUGCUGACAUAGUAUAAAUAUCUAAUAAGAUGUUAAAACAUGUCAAAAAUAUCCAAUCAAUGUCACAUCAUCAAUAUUAUGUCAUCUUUAAAAUAAAAAAUUCAAAAAAAUUUAAAAUUUUCAAAUAUUAUAAGAAAUUCAAACAAUUCUAAAAAAUUUUUAAAAAUCCGAACAAUUUUUUAAAAAUUCUAAAAAUUCUAAAAUAAUAUCAAAAAAUUUUUAGAAAAUUAAAAAAAAAUUCUAAAAAAUUUUAAAACAUUUAAAAAAUUUUAAAAACUUUCAAAAAUCUAAAAUUAAAAAAAAAAUCAGAAAAUUCUUGGAAAUUUUUAAAAAAUUCAAAAAGAAUUAAGGAAACAUAAAAAAUUUUUACAAAUUUCCAAAAUAUAAAAAAAUCCAAAAAAUUAAAAGAAAAAAAAUGAUGAUUUUAAUAAAAUUUAAGAACUUGUUAAAAUCCAAAAAAAUUAACAUAAACUAAAAAAAGACAAAAUAAAAUCAUAAGUUUUUUUAAAAAAAUAUAUUAAUUUUUAAAAAAAUUUUCAAAAAUAUCUAAAAAUAAUAAUAUAUUUUUAUAUUUUUUAAUUUAAUUCUUUUGAAAAUUUUGUGGAUUUUUUUAAAAUUUUAAGUUUUUUUUAAGAUUUCUUACUUUUAAAGAAUGUUUCAAAAAUUUUAAAUUAUUUAAUUUUUAAAAUAUUUUUAGGUUUUUUCUUUUUUCUUCAGUUUUUUAAAUUUUUUUGAUUUUUUAAACUUUAAGAAAAUUUUAAUUUUCUUAGUUUUUCAAAAAAUUUAAAAAAUUUUCAAAUUAUGAUAAUUUUUAUAAUUUAUAAAAAUAUUUCAUAUUUUUUAUUUUUUUAUGGAUUUAAAAAUUUUAUAAAUGUUUACAAAUUUUUAAUUAGAAUUUUUUUUGAAUUGUUUAUAAUUUUUUAAAAUUUUUGAGAAAUUUAAAAAUUAAUUUUUAAUAUUUAAAUUUUUUUUGAAUUUUUAAAAAAUUGUUUUAGUAUUUUUAUAAUGUUUUGAAGUUAAAUAUUUUUUUAUAAAUUUUAAAAAUUUUUAAAAUACUUUUUUGUAUUCUUUUCAAAAAUUUUAAAAAAUUUUUAGAACUGCUUAGAAUGUUUUUAAGUUUUUAAAAUUUUUUUGAAGUUUUUAAAAUUUUUUAGAAAAUUUUAAAAUUUUUAUGAUUUUUAAAAUUUUUUUAAAAUUUUAGAUUUUUUGAAAAAAUAAUAUUAUUUUGAUUUUUUUUUAAUUUUUUUUGAAAAUUUCUUUUAAAGAUGAUGUGGCGUUGACUAAAUUUUUUUGACACAUACCAGUAUCUUAUUAGAUGUUGAUGCCAUGUCAGCAAAGAUGACUAACAUCAAUUGUAGGUUCCAACUUGAUAAUAGAAUAAAAAUUUAGGUACCAAUGUAGUUGUAUAAUUCUUUAGAUACCAAUAUGACAAAAAAAUAUAAAAUUUAAGGGCCAAAUAUGUAUUUAACCCAAAAGAAAUAGAUAGAGAUCAUAACUAUCUAGUUAUAAUUAUUAUAUCAAAAUUAAUUUAGUUUGUUAGCUUUAUUCAAAAUUUGAUUCAUUCUAAGGAGAAUGUAUUUUUUUUUCUACAGGGUCCCUCAAGCCUGAUCCCAAGCACCCUUUUGUUUAUCUGACUAUUAAGUAAUACUUAACUGGAUAUGGUUUGUUAUGUUUUCAAAAGUUAGUGUUUUAUUUUUUAAAAAAAUUUUAAAAAUGAUUUCUGGAUGUUGCAGGAGAAAGAUUUCGCAUAAGAAAAGUUCACGAAAAGAAUACAAUGUUCAAAAAGAUAGUAGAAAUAAUCUCCUAGGGCAUAUCGAAUAUAGCAAAGAGUAAUUUUUUUUCAGAGUCAGGAAUGUCUAAUACUACUCAGUAUUACACAGUUUUGCCAGUCAUUUCUUAUAACCAAGGAAUAAUGUUACAAUUAAGAUUAUAGUAAAAUGUGUGGGAAAACACUUAUUUACAGCUGGUUGUAAUCUUGUAAUCUGUAUAUUUAUAUUUGUAUCUCUAGAAUUAAGCAUUUGUAUCCCUAGAAUUAAGGAAGAUUUAGUUUCCUAGUUUAACCCCUAGUUAGUUGUAUAUAAACCUAAGAUUCUUGUAUAAUUCAAAAUAAGUAGUUUUUCAAUAUACAUUCAGUUUCCACAUUGUAUCAGAGCUUUAGGCCCUUCUUGAGAAGUAAAAUUUUUAGCCUUUAUUGUUGACUUUUUUAGGCCUUUAUUGCCGAAUCCUGUUUAGGCCUUCAUUGCCUACCACCCAAUUUGAGGAAAUGUUAACUGAAAAAAUCACUGGAAUACUACAGAUGUCUUAGAAACAAGGAGAGCUUAACAGGAAAGAGAUUGAAAAGUUGAGAAACUUAUUGCAAAUCCUUGAAAAGCCUACUAUGGUAUGUUCUUUGGGUAAAGUUUCUAGUUCAGAUAAAGCUUCCGGUUCUCAUGGAUUAAAUGUCUCGGCUAAGCCUGUUACGAGUUCUUGGGUCAUUGACUUAUGAGCCACAUACCACAUGAUACAUUUAUCACAAAAGUUUAAUACAUAUAACCUGUGUCCUAGUAAUAAGAAAAUUAUUGUUGCUGAUGGUUCACUUACCACAGUGGCAGGAUUAUGAGAUGUUCAAGUUAAUCCCUCAUUUAUUCUCAAAAAUGUUCUUCAUGUUCCUGGAUUGUCUACUAAUCUGAUAUCUAUACAAAAACUUACCAGAGAUAUGAAUUGCAAAGUAACUUUUUAUCCCUCUUAUUGUGAAUUUUAGGACCAGAGUUCGGGGAAGAUGAUUAGACUUGCUAAGGAGAAUGAUGGACUAUACUAUCUUGAGACAUCAAAUAACAUAAAUAGUAUCAAAAAUAGUUUACCUUUGUCAUUUCUUUCUGAAAAAUCUUUCAAUAAAGAUAAAAUCUGGCUUUAUCAUUUUCGUCUUAGACAUCCUUCUUUUGGAACCUUGAGAAACAUAUUUCCUUCUUUGUUUAAAGGAUUAAAUGUUGAAGAUUUUCAUUGUGAUAUUUACGAAUUUGCAAAACAUAGACGUGUGUCUUUUCCAAUCAGUAACAAAAGAAGUUCUACUUCCUUUUACUUGAUUCAUAAUGACAUUUGAGGUCCCUCUACAAUUUUUAAUAUUUUUGAUACGAGAUGGUUUGUUUCAUUCAUAGAUGAUUAUACUAGGGUCUUUUGGGUUUUUUUACUUAAAUUCAAAUCAGAUGUGAAUAGUAUAUUUUUAAGCUUCCAAAAUAUGAUCCAAAAUCAAUUUGGAGUGAGAAUCAAGAGAUUUAGGUCUGAUAAUGCAAGAGACUACUUCAAUCAGAUCUAUCAACCUAUUUCCAAAAAGAGAAGAUUAUCCAUGAGUCAUCUUAUAUUAAUACUCCACAGCAUAAUGGAGUGGCAGAGAAGAAAAACAACCAUUUACUAGCCACAACUCGAGCCUUUUUUUUUCAAGCAAAUGUACCUAAAUCUUAUUGGAGGGAAGCUGUUCUCACUGCCAUAUACAUUAUAAAUAGGUUACCUUCAAGAGUUUUGAGAUUUAAAAUUCCUAUGGAACUACUCUCACAAUUUUAUCUCAACCUCAAUACCACAAACAAUCUCACACCUAGGAUAUUUGGUUGUACAUCAUUUGUUCAUGUUCACAAUCAUAACAGAGGAAAGUUGGAUCCAAGAGCGAUUAAGUGUAUUUUUGUGGGGUAUUCUUCAACUCAAAAAGGAUAUAAGUGCUAUCAUCCUCCUACUAAAAAAUUUUAUGUGUUUGUAAAUAUCACUUUUGAAGAAAAUAAACCAUUUUUUACUCAACCUUAUCUUCAGGGGGAGACUUCAUUCAUGGAAGAUAAGGAUAAAGACUUCUUUUUGCUUAAUUUGCCCCAUUCUUCAACAUUUACACCCAUUAAUUCUUCUUCUGAGUUGAAACCUGUUUCUGUUGAGCCCAAGUCAAACAUUAAAUUUGAGUCUGAACCCAUUCCAAAUACAGAAGAUGUGAUAAAGGAUAAUAUUAUUCUUGAUUCUAUGAAAGAAUUACAAGUGUACUCAAGAAGAAAAGUUUCAGAUCCUGAACCAUUGCCAGUUCAAGAACCUGAUCCUAACUCUGGAAAUGAGGUAACUACAGUUUAACUAUGUUUCUCAAAAUGAGCAUGAAUCUCUUAAAACUAUAACUAGUGAUUAUGAUUUGCCUAUUGCCAUUAGGAAAGAAACCAGAGAAUGUACCAAACAUUCACUAUACCCAAUAUCUAAUUUUGUAUCAUUUGAAAAAUUUUCACCAUCUCAUAAAAAUUUUCUUGUGAGCCUAAACACUAUAUAUGUUCCAACUACAUUAUUUGAGGUAUUAUCCAGUGAGAAAUGGAGGCCUUAGAGAAAAAUCAGACAUACAAACUGGUAGAGUUGCCUAAAGAAAAAAAUCCAGUGGGGUGUAAAUGGGUUUUCACUGUAAAAUACAAGAUAGAUGGUACUGUUGAAAGGUAUAAAGUCAGGUUAAUGGCUAAGGGCUAACUCAAACCUAUGGAGUGGAUUACCAGGAAACCUUUGCUCCAAUUACCAAGAUGAAUACAGUUAGAAUUUUGUUAUCAUUGGCUGUAAAUUACAAUUGGCAGCUUCAACAAUUUGAUGUAAAAAAUACUUUUCUAUGUGGUGAUUUGGAAGAAUAAAUAUAUAUGAAGGUUUCACCGAGAUUUGGAGGUCAUCUAGAAGCAAACAAAGUAUGCAGGCUAAAAAAGGAUUUAUAUGACCUUAAACAGUCUCAUAGAGCUUGGUUCGAGAGAUUUACCAAAGUGAUGCUAGAAAUGAGAAAUAAACAGAGUCAAGAAGAUCACACAUUGUUUAUCAAGCACUCUGAUUCAGGGAGAGUCACAGUUCUAUUAGUGUAUGUUGAUGAUAUAAUUAUAACUGAAGAUGAUGAAAAAGAGAGAGAAUCUCUAAAACAGUAUUUGGUUAGAGAAUUUGAGAUAAAAGAGCUAGAGAGAUUGAAGUACUUCCUAGGAAUUGAAGUAGCUCACUCACGGCAUGGUAUUUUUAUCUCACAACAGAAAUAUGUGAUGGAUCUUCUGAAGAAAACUGGAAAACUUACAUGUAAACCUGUAAAUUCCCCUAUAGAUCUCAAUCAUAAAAUUAGAGAAGCUAAUGAAGAUACUGUUGUAAAUAGAGAGAUGUACCAAAGAUUAGUUGGAAGACUUAUUUAUCUCUCACAUACUAGAUCUGACAUAGCAUAUGCUAUGAGUGUGGUAAGUCAAUUUAUGCAUAGUCUUAAAAAAGUACACCUACAAGCUAUCUACCGUAUAUUACACUAUUUGAAGGUCAAUCUUGGGAAAGGUAUCUUAUUCAAAAGAAAUUCAGGGUUAGUUCUAGAAUCAUAUACAGAUGCUGAUUAUGCAGGUUCAGUAACUGAUAGAAGAUUCACUUCAGGCUACUGUACUUUUUUAGGUGAUAAUCUUAUGACUUGAAGGAGUAAAAAACAGAAUAUGAUGGCAAGAUCAAGUGCUAAAGCAGAGUUCAGAGCAAUGGCUCAAGAAAUUUGUGAACUACUAUGGUUAAAUAUUAUCUUAGAAGAUUUGAAGAUUAAGUAGGAUGGACCAAUGAGACUCUACUAUGAUAACAAGUAUGCAAUAAGCAUUACACACAAUCCUGUGCAACAUGAUAGAACAAAACACAUUGAAGUAGACCAACAUUUCAUAAAGGAAAAACUAGACAGUGGGUUGAUUUGUACACCUUAUGUAUCAACCAAGGGUCAAUUUAUAGAUGUGUUAACUAAAGGUCUCAGCAGUGCAACAUUUCAAGGAAUUAUUUUCAAGCUGAAAAUGGAAAACACCUAUUCACCAGCUUGAGGGGGAGUGUAGGAAAACACUUAUUUACAGCUGGUUGUAAUCUUGUAAUCUGUAUAUUUAUAUUUGUAUCUCUAGAAUUAAGUAUUUGUAUCCCUAGAAUUAAGAAAGAUUUAGUUUCCUAGUUUAACCCCUAGUUAGUUGUAUAUAAACCUAAGAUUCUUGUAUAAUUCAAAAUAAGUAGUUUUUCAAUAUACAUUCAGUUUUCACAAAAUGUUCAAUGUACUAUUUAAUCUUUAAAUAUUUUUAAUGUAAUAGUUAAAUUAUAAAUUUGUUAAUUAAUGUGAUAUUCGAAGUACUGUUUGACAGUCACAUAUUAUUAUUUAGAAUUAAAGAUACAAGAGUAACACAAUAAUUAAUAUAUUUAUAAUUCAGAUAUUACAUUAAAAAUAUUUAAAAUUUAGGUACUAUAUUAAAUAUUUUAUUAUAUUUUAAAGCAAUUCAUGACAUUAAUUAUAUAACCAAUGUAGCCUUAUUGAAGAGGUAGUCUGUCUAUUGGCUUCCUUGCAACCAGAGAAAAAAAGAACACGUUGAAAGAAAAAAAGAACACAAUAAUUAAUAUAUUUAUAAUUCAGAUAUUACAUUAAAAAUAUUUAAAAUUUAGGUACUAUAUUAAAUAUUUUAUUAUAUUUUAAAGCAAUUCAUGACAUUAAUUAUAUAACCAAUGUAGCCUUAUUGAAGUGGUAGUUUGUCUAUUGGCUUCCUUGCAACCAAAGAAAAAAAGAACACGUUUAAGUCAUAUUGAAUCUCUUGAUUGAGUGAAGGAAGGAAUUUGACUAUGCAUAAGCACUUUGAGCAAAAAAUGAAAACUUUAAGGAAUGUGGAAAUCGACAUACAACAUAUUAAAGGUAUGAGCGAUAAAAAUUGAUCACAAGUUAUGAAAGCAAACAUCUGUUUUAGAGAUCUAACUUAAGCAACAGGUUUGCAACUUAAUUUAACUAAUUGUUAUUGGAUUCUUAUGUGAUGUUUUUCUUAAAGUUACUUCUACAACUUUGUUGUAUCCUUAACCAUUGCACCAGAAGUUGAACGUUAAACUAGAACAGCGUGUAAAUUCAACCUUGUGCUCACCAGAGCAGCCCAAGUUAAUUGUUGGUAUAAGAGUCCUGACAGCAAACAUUUUUGUGGACAAUGCAGCAUACAAGGACUUCUUUUUUUCAAACAUUUCACAUUUCAUCCAUGGACAUCAAGAAUGCAACUGUAGUAAUGGUAAGAUUUCUUCCUAUUCAAGUUUCGAUUGAUAACUGUUAGAACGGUUAGCGUCUGUGAACUGUUGGCUUUGGACAAGCGUAAUUUGUUUAAGUGAGGGUAAAGAUUAGAAGAGAUGUCCUAAUUAAUGCUUUUGGAGAAACAUAGAGUUGUGAAUUGUAAGCUGUCUGGAACUAGAGGAUUAUCACUUUUACAAAUAGAUGUGGUUUUAUUGUUUCCUUGUGUAGUAUAGAAUAUAUGUGGUUUUAUUGUUUCCUAGUGUAGUAUAGAUUAGGGAUAAUGUUAAGGAUGUCAAUAGGUAUGGGGAAGGUUGAGCAUUUUUUGUUCUCCAUCCACGAAUUGUUAUAUUAUAUCCAUCUUCGUACCCGUAUCGAAUAGGUAUUUCAAAUAUAUUCUCAUUUUCAUUCUCGUGGGUAUUUAAUGGGUAUAAGCAUUCCCCAUACCUAUAGCAUUCAAACAAAAAUAAAAACCAAAUUUUUUUUAUUUUUUUUUAAUUUGUAUAUUUAGGUAAUUUUUUUAUAAAUAUCUAUUAAUAUAUCUUUUUUUAAUAAAAAUAUAUUUAUUCUAUUUAAUCUAAAAUAAUAAUUUAUAUUAUUUAAUAAAAAUAUUUUUUACUAAUUAUAUAUAAAUAUAUGUAUAGGGUAUAGGUAUAAGGCAGGUGCUAGAUUACCCGUCCCUAUACUUAUACCUAAUUUAAAUUUAAAAUCAUAUCCAUCCCUAUUCUUAUCCCCAUACCUAUAACGUAAUACCUAUUAAUAUCCUUAUUUGAGUGAAAAAUCAGGUUUCUCAUUAGAUAUAAGUAAGAUUGACAUCUCUAAAUAAUGUUACGAAAUACCUCUGAAUUAUAUUAAAAUAUUCAACGUGUAAUUAAAUUUUAAAAAUUUCUAAUGUAAUAUCUCAACUAUAAAUCUGUUAACUAAUAUGAUACUUAGAAAGGUAUUUACCUAAUGUGUUUGUCACCCCAUGUUUGGAGCUAACAACAUUAGGAGUGAGUUUCAUAUUAGUUAAAAGAUUUAUAGUUUAAGUAUCACAUUAAAAAUUUUAAAGUUCAAAUAUUAGAUUAAAUAUUUCACUAUAAUUCACCAAGCUAGUUAAGUCUAAUUACACUAGGAAAAUAUGAUAUAUUAGCUUGAAUUAUAUAUAAGAAUAUAUUUGUGUACUAGGCUUUAGUCGUAUGUAGUUAGAGGAGGGUUAGAUCGAUGUUUGCAGUCUCACCCCUGCUUUUAUGAAAGGAUGUUAAUAUAAUUUAUAAUUGUUUAAAUUUAGGCAAUAAAAUUAGACAAAAGGUUAAAUCCAAGUCUAAUGCAAAUGAAUAAAAUUGGGAAAAAAAUAAAAAUUUGGGAUAAUAACUUUCAUUUUUUUUUCUUUCAUUGUGCAUGUUCACUUUGGGAAUUAAUUGAGUUGUUGGUUUAUUUAAGCUUAAAAUGUUGGUUCUUUUUUAAGACAAGCUUGUUAACUCGCAUCCCUAUGAUUGUGAUUUGAGGGCUAUCGAUUUAGAUACAAUACAACAAGGAGAGAAUGCAAUUGGAAGAUUGGGUCUCUUGCAGCAGUAAAUACAACUAAUUCUUGUCAUAGAUCACUAAACGAAAAUUUUAAAGAUUUUAAAAUCAGGAAAGUCAUCACUAAUUUUUUUAUUAAGUAUGAAUUUUUUUAUUAAGUAUGAUUAAUUACUUAAAAAUUUAUUUUUUAAUAAAAUUUUAAAAUUAAUUAAAACUUAUUAAAAAGAUAAUUUUUGUGUGAUCUACAAAAAUAAAUUUGAGAGUCCAGAAGUUUGAUUACAUGUAUGAAAUGAUUAGUACCCCAUAGUAUCCGUUUUAAAAAUGAUACCAACAGAUCACAUGUUAUCUUUUUAUUUAAAUAAAAAUGAUCUUAAUUUUAAUAUUUAAAAUAAUCUCUUUAAUUUUUUAUUUUUUACAAAAAAUCCUUUUAAAACUUUUUAUUUAACAAUAAGAGGAAUAUCUUUAAUUUUGAAAAUUUUCUUAAAUUUUCCAACGUUGUGAAGGAAUUUUUAAAAAUAUUUCUUCACUUACAAUUUUCAUAACAAUCUUUAAAAUUUGGCUUAAUACACCUUUGUAAUAAUAAUUGUUAGGAUACCCUCAAAUAUCUAAGUAGGCAAGGUACCUAAAUUUAUUUUUAUUUAGAAAUAUUAGCUUUUAUUAAAAACAACUUUUCAAAAUCACUAUUUAUUAAUUUAUAUUUUUUGACAAUGACAAAGUGCAUGAUAUAACAUGAAGCAAACAAAUAAUACAAACACAAAUUAAAAGAUCCAAAUACAAACUAAAAUAUGCAAAUGAUCAAUGUCAUAAUGUGUAUGUCUUAAAACAAAUCCAUUUGACACAUAAAUCAUAGAGUCGUCACCAAUCGUUUUUAACUAGGUGUAAUUGGGCAUGUAAGUGGAAAUACCAUUCUAAGGUUAUUUUAAGCUUGACUAAAGAUUUUUAAAAGAAUAGAUUCUAGUCUUUUAAAUAGAACUAAGUUUGGGAGUUCAAUUAUAUAUAGGAAAAGUUAUAGCACAUCUACAAUAUCCACCAAUUAGUACCAAUUAAUCUUAAAUUAUCUUUAGCUUUAAUUAACAUGGUCAUAAUUUAUUCUUAUUAUUUAAUAUUUUUUUCAAUUUUAGUAUUUAAAUAUUAAACGUAUUUUUAGAUUUUUUCCAACACUUUGGUCGAUCCCUUAAAAAUAUUUAUCACCUUAAAAGUAUUCAAGUAACAUAUUUUUUUCCUUGAAUAUGCUACGUCAUCGAAUUUAUUAAAUAUUUUAUGGAAUUCAAUUCAUAAUAAAAUUUACAAUUCAAUAAAAUAUAAAUAAAAUACACAAUUCAAUAAAAUACAAUAAUAAAAUAAUCACAAUUUAAUCAAUCAUAAAAUCAUCACAAUUUGUUUCUAAUUUUAAUUUUUUCAAAUUAGAAAUAAAUAAAAUUUCUCAUAUUGAGAUUAAUUUUUAAAUCCUCCAAUGCCUUCAUCGAAUUUAGAAAAAGUUCUCUUAGCUAAAAAUUUUUAAGAAAAUUACAAAUCCGUAACUUUUUUAGAAUUUUAUCAUUGGUUGAAAUUUUAUUUAUUCUUAAUAUAUUUAUUGAAUACUACACCAAAUAACCAGUUAUACAAAAAUCUCCAAUUACCUAGUCUAAAAUUUAUUUUCCUCUCAUCUUAACCUCCUUUAUUUAUUUACAAAAUAAUUAAAAAAUAUAUCUAAAAAUUUAAAAGUUAUAUAUGCAUGACAAAAAAUUAUAAAAAAAAACUAAAUAAAUAAGCAAAUGAAUACAAGAUAAAUAAAUAAAUAAACACAUUAAAUAAACAAAAGAAAAGGAAAGAAGAAAACAACUAGAAUGCAAAUACCAUGUAAUUGAAACUUGUUGAAAACCAUAGGUAUCUAAGACCAUAAUUUAUAGGGCACAUCUCAACUAAAGGACUUGACCCCAUAUCACCAUUCAACAGCCCAGGAAGUCUAGUCCAAUGCAAGAAAGAAAAAAACAGAAAACACAAGUGGCAACAUGCAUGUAAUAUAUCAUGGGUUUCAACGUGACAAGUAGGAUCAGGUGUUGAUUGCAUUAGGUUUCAACAUGUUUUGCAUAAAAGAAAUUUGGAAGUAUUGAAAGAACGUGGUUAGUUAUGUCAUGAUCUCGACAAUUUUGCAUAAAAUCCUUGAGACGAUUUUUUGAUUUCUAGUGGUUUUUGGCUGCUACUUUUCUAUUUCGAAAUUUUGGGUAUGGUAGCUACUGUUUAUUGUGAUACCUGCAAAUUGGGGAAGGUAGAAUCAAUACUUUUGUGCUUUUUGCUUGCAAUUGAUUUUUUUUUUCAUUGCCAAUUCUUUUUGAAGAAUUUUUUAACCUGACCUGUUUCUAUGGUGCUAAAUAUAUAAAGGACACAUCCCAAUUGUGAAAGAGUUUCUAAUCAACCAAUUUUCAAUGUUUACAAAUUAAACCAAUUUCAACACUUUUAAUCCCUUACCAAUUCUCCUAUUAAAGUCUAAGCCAAACAAAUCUCUUUUCUUUUUUUUUUUUUUUAAUAAUUACUUUAAACUAAAUAAAAAUAAAAUAAAAUAAAAUAAAAUUCAAAAUCUAAUCUUAAAAUGACAAUCUCAAUAUUCCAUAAACAAACUUAUUUUCAAGAGUAUUUAAAAACAUAAAGAAAACAAAGGCACAUAAUAAUAUAGCAAAAUUAAAAAAAAAAGAAUAAAAAAAUACCAAAUAAGAUUUUUAGGUUUGAACCCAAAUCAACAAAAACAAAAUGGUCCAAGUCUGCUAGGCUCUUGGGUCAGGAAUUGAUGUGAGUUGGGUCGGGUUUGACACCGAGUGGGGUUUUUAAGCUACUCUAAAAGCAAAUUUUUUUAAGCCAUUUCAUUUCCUCCUGCUCACAAAAAAGGCUUUCUUCAAAAAAUGCAAAACAACCGGCCACUCCCUAGAUCCCAAUGAUCGGCCUCCGCGUUGCCACCGCCACCACCGCUGGCCGCUGCUGACAGACUUCUUUUUCAGCCCAAAUUUCACCUAAAGACUCCUUUUCACCUCCUCUUCUCAAAUCUGAGCUCAGAUUUCUCAAAAUCAGCCACCCAAAGUUUUAGAUCUAAGCCAAAAGCCAUGGCACAAAACUCCAAGAAGAUAGACCUGCGCCGCAGGAAACACCACCGUUUCUUGAUAUGUUAUUCCCUCCCCAAGAUCUACCUGUCCUCCAAAAAUGGCUUCCAUAAUCUCCCUAAAACUCCCUAAACCGAGAAACCAAAUACCCCUCUCUUUCUCUCUCUUCGUUUCAAACUUGGUUCUUUUUUUUUUUUUUUUUGUGGCUUCCCCACGGGGAAUGAGGUUGAUUUUUUUUUUUUUUUCUGGGGUAUUUUUGUAUGUUGUUCUGGUGUUAGAAAAGAGAAGCAAGCAUUGUUUUUUUUUUUUUUUGGGUAUGGUUUUCGGUUUUCAAAGAACAAAAGUUAUUUUUUGGUUCGGAUGGUUGAGGGUGGAGUAGUUCGGCUGCUGGUGUGGGGAUUGGGGGCUGUGAUGGUUGGGUGGUCAGUGGUGGCUGUAAGGCGUAAGCAGUGGGCUUCGGCUGGGGUGUCUGCUGGAGUGUUGUUGGUUGAGAGCUGUAGGUUGUUGGCGGGCGGUGGGUCGUGGAGGCAGGGGGGCUGAAUGAGAUUAAUUAAGGGGCUUUUGGGUGUCGGUGUGGCUAGACUUGGUAGUUUUAGGUGCUGGGAUUUUUGUUUUUUCGAGUUUUUGGGUCAAUGAUGGAGAAAGGGGAGGCUUUUUGGGUGCAGGCAGAUUAGUUCUUGGAUUUUUCUGUGAAAAUUGGCUUCCUUCCUCCCGAGUGUCCGAAUCCCCUUGUGCCCAAAAAAUUUUCGGUUCUUGUAGGAUUCAAUUUCUAAAAAAAAAAGAAACUUGGUAAUUCAUUUUAGUUGGAAUCUUGUUGCAGCUGCCAUUGCUGCAUUUUUGGGAGGUGUAGCAUGCUGCACUUUGGGUCCUGAGGACUUUGAUGAAUUGGUGUUAGAAACCAACAGAUAAAAUGGAAGGUGAAAAAUUCAGAGCUUAAAAUGGAGGCAACAGUUUGGGGAAGGAAAAAGUGGAUCUCGGAAAGCUGGCUCCAAGCUUUAGUCUUUUUAUUUUUUUUAAUAAUUAAGGAAAUUAAACUUAAAAAUAAAUUUGGACCUUAAAAUUAAAGGUUGAAUUUUCAAAUUUUGAACUCUAAAUUUUGAUCUUAAAUUUUGGAUUUUAAGCUCAUAUCAUUUAGUUUCGAAUUGACCCAAAAUAAAUUGAAUUGGGUUUUGAACUAUUUAAAAUAGUCGAAAAAUUAUUAAUUUAAAAUAAAUCUAAAUGAAUAUAAUUCAAUUUAAAUGUUUAAAUUAAUUUAUAUCAAAAUAUUUAAAUUAAGUAUAAAAUUAAACAUAUUUAAAUUAAUUUAAGUAAAAUUAGGUGUUUACAAUUCUAUUCUGAAAUUUAUUGGCAAGCUACUAGGACAUGCUCAUGAUACUCGUUGGACACUUUGUUUCUCUUUAAUCAGCCUAAAAGCUGCAAAAAAAGUAGAUUACAUUAUGUAAAAUUUACAAUAUAUUUGAGAGUCAGUUAUAUUUUUUGGUAUUUUGAAACUGUAAGAAUUUGAUCUCAAGUAAUUAAAACCACGUAUUCAGUACUUUGCAAGUAAAGGAGAUGAUUGUCGGCUAAUUGCCAGUCAUUUGCUAUAUAGACAAUAGUAGCUUUCAUUGACUAAAUUUAAAUUACACGAAUAAAAGGUGAGGAAAGAGAAUUAAGCUAUUUAUUCAAUUAAAUAACAGUGUCUCAAAUCAUAACUGUCAAUCCUCUAAAUGCAAACAAAUAAUUUGAAUAAUAAAUCUAAAGGAAAAAUCCCUUUUUUUUUGGAACAUUAAUUCUAGUAAGUCUAAGGGGAGAGAGGGGAUUUGAACACUGAAUCUCAGUCCUUUAAAGCCUAAGCUAUUAAACAGAAAUACUCCUUUUGUAAUUUAUAUCACGCAACAGAAUACUAUAAAACUUAUUCCAUAAAAAAAAAAAAAAAACUUACCAUGAAUGGUGUUUUAACUUAAUUGCUAACUUUCAACUGAAUCUUCUGUCAGGCAAAAACUCUAGUAAAAUUCAUUAAAAGUCAUCAUCAGAGUCAUCUAUGCAUCUGUUGACUCAAUCAGAUUGAUCUAGCCGCAACAACACAACAAAUGCACUAUCUAUUUGACAUGAAAAGAAUUAUUUAUUUUGGUAUUGGUGGUGAUAUAAAUAAUACCAUGUCCGUCGGAGAUGUUACCAUUCCCAAGCAAGUUGCCCACAAUUGCAUUUGGGAUAUGGGAUUUACUCAUACUGUCAGAGAGGAUGUCACCCUAUCAAAUCACUGUGGUGGUCAGAACCCGUUAGUUGUGCACCAUCUGAUAUUAGGAAGACUAAGAACUCCUUUUGCCAAUGGUCUUCCCCUUGCCAGGAUACCUUAGAUUUAAUGUGGACGACUCCGCAAAAGGAAAACUUUGUCCCGCUAGGUGUGGCGGUGUCCUCCGAAAUGAACAAUGAUUUGUCCUUGCCAUGAUUUCGGGCCUGGUUGGUAUCUGGGAUUCAAACGUUGCUAAACUUUUCGAAAUUAAAAUGGCUCUAGAGGUAUUCGCAAAGACAGAGUGGUCUCACAAGAUGAGUCCGAUUCAAAGUUUGUUUUUAACUGGGUCUCAAACGAAUCUGCUCGACCAUAGAGGCUAUAAAAUGUGUCCUUGGAGAUUGAUUCUUUGACCACAAAGCUGACAGAAUUUAAACUCGUCAAUACCUUUCGCGAAGCUAAGGAGAUGGCGGACGCACUGACAAAAUCGGGAAUGGAGUAAUAUGAUCGGUUCAUGGUGUGGUGGCAGCUUUAUUGGUGCUAAGGUGUUUCAAUUCACAAACUUAUGUCUUGAAUCAGGCGCUGAUCUAUUGGGAUAAGUUAUUCCCUGCAUGUCUUUCUCAUUGCUACAUGAAUAAAACAAAACCUAAGUUACCCAAAAAAAAAAUCAACUAUUUUCCGUCUUUUACAAGUUUCUUGAAGAUGAUGUCAGCUAGCUAUAUUAAUCAUUUUGUUAGCACAGAUGGGACCGUGGAUUCUGCUGAUGUACCGAAAGGAAAUGGAUCUUAUCUCUUGGAUAUAAUAAACAACAAUUCUUUUUAAUUUUUAUUAAAAAAUAUACAUAUUAUUUAAUAACAGCAUAUAAUACGAAUUAUAAAAAUUAUUAUAAUUAAUUUAAAAAAAUCAUGAAAUAAAUUAUAUAUAAUUAAAAAAAAUUAUUGAGUUUAAUUUCAAAUGCAUUAAAAGGAUUUUAAUUUUGAGUUUUUUAUAUUGAGGUAUGCUUAUUUUAAUUAAAGGAAUGUAAGUUGUUAGUAUUAAUUAAUUAUUUUAGUAUAAAUGAUCUAAAAAAAAGUUGAUUAAUUUUUGAUAUAUUAAAAUAAUUUUGAGUAAGUAAUUAAUUAUUUUUGGACAAAAAUUAAGUAGUAAAUUCAAAAGAAAAUAAAUAGAAUCUCUUACAUUUUAUUUAUUUAUUUUCAAACCUCUAUAUAUAUGUAUAUAUAUUUUUAAAUAAGUGAAAGUUUUAUUUAUUUAUUUUCAAGAUUGUAUUGCAUCUCGAUAUUAAGGUAUAACUUGUAUAAAUAUUUUGUCUUAUGUUUUUUGUAUAAAGUUUUUUAUAUAUUAAUAUUUUUAUUUAAAAUAUUCUCAUGGGUAUCAAAACUAAACUUUUAUUUAUUUUGAUAUGUUUCUAGUUGGGUUUCAUAUGGAAGGAAAAAAUGGGUUGGCUCAAUAUUUUUUGAGCCUAAGAGGAUUUUGUGGCCCACUAGUACUCUUUAGGAUCAGAUCCGUCAAAGUGGUAAAAUUGUCAAUUCAAAAUGCCUGAUGCCUUCUAAAACCCAAACGAGACUCCGAGUUGAUGUAACAUUGCAUCUCAAGUUUGGCAGCUGCUUAGCCGAAUCCAGAGACUGCAGGAGCUUAAGCAGCAGCCAUGGGUACCCCAUUUUCUUUAGCUUUUCAUAUCUAACAUUCAUGAUUUAAUAGCUAGCUGGCUCUUAUUUUCUCUAUUGUUUUUCGUUAAUGGAAGGAUUUAAAUCAGGGAUCUGUUUAUUUGUUUAUGUAGAGUGAUGGGUUUUUCUCUGCUUGAUUUUUUUUCCUUUAUUUGAUUAAAUCUAGAAACUUUUUGAAGGUCUGGUUCUGACUUAUUAUUAGUUUCUCAUCUUUUUUAUAUAUUUUAUUACUACAUUUGCCACAUUAAAAAAUUAGAUGGUAAGUGGUAGAAAUGGGCUUUUAGUUGACUGGAAGUCUUUUUAAAAUGAAAAGGGUUAUAUUUUAUUGCUUUUUUGUAAAUAUAUUUUGAUGGAUCAUUGUUUUGGCAUUUUGGGUUCUGAUUUGUGAUGAUUUUGCUUUUUGGUGGGUUUUUUUUGGGAAAAUAUGGGCUUACAAGUACGUGUCAGACUCAGAGCUGUGGAGGAAGAAGCAAUCUGAUGUGAUGAGGUUCUUGCAGAGGGUCAGGUGUAGGGAGUACCCCCAGCACCCUUCCAUUGUUCGAGUUAACCACCCAACUCGCCCUGACAAGGCUCGUCGCUUGGGAUAGAAAGCCAAGCAGGUAAGCUGAUUCAUUGUUUCUUUGAUAUUGCUUUCUUCCUCUGCAUUUUUAUGAGGUUUGGUAUUUUAUCUUUUAAUUUUUGGCUUAUCCUAUUUGCUUUAUUGCAGUUGUAACAUAUUUUAGUUAUAUGAUUAUCCUUUGGUCUGAAAAACUGCAUUGCAAAAAUGUUUAUGGCCGGACUUACUUUAAAUGUGAGACGACUCAUAUGUUGCUAAUAUAGUUGAAAUAUAUAUAUAUAUAUAUAUAAAUAAUUAUAUUUACAAAUAAAAUAAUAAAUUAAAUGAUUUUAUGAUUGACAACAAUAAAAUUGUUAUGAAAGGUAUAAAGAAAUGUCAACAGUAUUCAUGUAACAAUAAUACGAAAGGUAUAAAGAAAUUUCAAACAGUAUUCAUGUAACAAUAAUAGUUGUUAUAAUUAAUUAAAUUGGUUAUAUUAAAAAUUUACUGCAAUAAAAUUUAUUGUUAUAAUUAAAAAAUUAUUGCAAAAAUAAUUUUAUCAACGACAAUAAUGAAUAUGUAAAAGAUUUUUCAAUGAUUAUAAUCGUUGUUAAAGUUAUUUAUUGAAAUAACAAAAAUCAUUAUGCUAAACGUAAUUAGUAACUAUACGUGAUUAUGUUGCAAAAUAAAUUUUUGUUUUCGAAAUUUAUGGUUGUUAAAAUAAAAUUAAAGCAAAAACAUUUAAUCGUUACAAAAUAUUUUAUGUAACUAAAAUAAUAUUAAUAUGUAAGUUUUUAUAAUCAAAUUUUAUGGUUGCAAAAUUAAAUUUAUAGAACCUUAUUUUGUUGAUGCAAAAUUUUAUACAACGGUAUUUUAUCAUUGCGAAAAAAAUUAUUUAUUUGGCAACAAUUAAAAGUCGUCGUAAUUUUUCUUUUUCAACAACACUAUAAGUUAUUGCGUUAAUUCUUUAUUAACGAGGUUAAUAGCAACAAUAAAACAUUAUUUCAAAAUAAUUUUAACAAUAAUAAAUAAUUAUUUAAUAAUGUUUUGGAUUGUUGUAAUAUAUCAAUUUUCUUAUAGUGCAAAUAUAAUCAAAUUAAGCACAAAUAUGAAAAAGAUUGUUCAUCACUUCAUUAAAUAAUUAAUGGCUAAGUGAGUUAAACUAAUAAUAUAUCAAUGUUAGAUAAAAGAAAAUAAUUAUGUACUACAAAAAAAAAGUCAUUUUUAUUGACACUUAUAAAUAUCAGUGAAAGAUUAAAAAAGUGAUGAUAUUAUUGUUGCGGGAGAUUUUGACUAUCCGUUAAAUAAGUGUUGAUGAAAACUUUUUUACGGUCAAGUCACCAAUGCCAGAAUUACACAUGUACUUGCUGAUAUGUUUUUUUUUGGUAUUUUAAAUUACUGUUAUAAGUAAACAACUUUUAAAUGUAUUUUAAAGUGUUGGUUAAAAUCGCAUUUUAUUUAAAGUUUUAUAUUAUCGAAUGAGCUAUAUUGAAACUUAAAAUCCUCCUUAAAAGUCUUUGUUUUUUUUUUUUUUUAAAUAAUUUCCAUAUUUCUAAUCUUUGUAACCAAUAAAAUUAAAAAAUAAUUCAUACCAAUUAAUAGAGAACACAGGUAUGAGAAAUGAAAGUCUGCAAGUCACUUUUGCAAUUUCUGGCAAAAGAACAUUUUUAGAUUAUUUAUUUCCCAAAUUUUGCUUUCCUGAUUACAGAAUAAUAAUUAACUGACAUGUGCAUCACACUUGAAGUAUUCAAACAUGGUUAAACUCAGACAGAGACCUCACAAAUUUUAUAUCAGUAAAUAUCAUGAUUCAUAAGUAUUAAAAUCAGCAAAAUUCACUAGCAAUGUCAAUGUUUACAAGCUAUUAAGAUCAUCAGGUAACCAUCAAAGGCAAAUUGCAUCCUGAUACCAAUCCCAUUACAAUUACCAAAACUACCAAAACAUCAAAAAGUUAUCAAAUUACCAAUUAUCAUCAAUAAUGCAAUAGCAUCAUCCUCAAAGGUUCCAUAUUUCUUUAGUUAUUGGCACAUAGUAAUCCCAAUGAAUUCGAUGAUCUGAAACCUGCAAUAUAAUACAAUUUCUGGAUUAGUUCAAUCAUAAGGACCACCUCAUAUUAGUAAAGUAAGGGGUUUUUUUGUUAUUUUAGCCAAUAUUCUUCUACAAAUGAAUAGUAAGGCCUAUAGAGCUGAACAGCUAAACAAGAGGGGUUUGACAACUGCUAGGAAAAAUAAUACCACCAUCAGUGUAGGUAAUUUACUCAAUAUACUGGCAAGACGUGGUUUUAAAUUUUAAGCCAGAACUAUAAGUUGAAUCAUAAACUUACAGGGUGAAAUCCACCUUGGUGUAGAAAUUCGAGAGCAGCAUGACAAAAGAAACCAAACCUUUCUGCAUCUUUUCUGCAACCACAAACACAACCUGUCCAAAAGAAUCUGCAAGCAACAAUACACCAAAGGAUUCUUAUGAUUAUAAUUUUUUUUUUAACAAAGUGAAACAUUGUAAUUCUUAAAGGUGCUAUAGGAGUAUAAAAAUUACCCGUUUUCUGGCUCCACAAAAUAAACUGAAAGGCCUUCCACUUUUCCAAACCAAACUUUAACUUCAGUGCCACCCCAAGAAUAGCCUCUUUGGUAAUGAAUAUCCUUCACCUAUAUCAUAGAACAUUCAUUUGACAGUUCUGAAAUUAUUAAAAAGACAAGUUUGAGAAAAGUAAAGAGAUGAAUGAAUUGUUUUAUAUCUUUUUUGAAUAUUAAGGUAUGAAUGAAUGAAAUCGAGAAUCUGAUUAUAUGACAAUAAACAUCUUUUAAGUAGCAUUCCCAAAAUUUUCAUUAUGUAUAGCCCAAAUAAAGAUGAGGGCAGGGAAGCCUUAUAUGAAACUUUUGUUUUCUGGAAAACCCAAUAAGAAAAGGUUAUGCGACAAUUUAGUGCCGAUAUCUUAUUAAAGGAAAAAUGCACUUCAGCCACCUCAUGCAAGAUAGAUAACACCACACGCAAGCUUACAAACAGCAUGCCUAGUAAGCAAGAAUACAAAACAAAAAAAUCCAUAAUUUAAGGAAAUUAGGGAAAUCCAGUGAAAACAAUUAAGAUGAAAAAUGUGGCUAAAGUGAUGGCAAUGAAGUUUACAUGGCCAAGGUUCAAGCAGUCAUACUUUGGAAGAAUGAUGUCCACAUUGUUGUUUAAAUCUUGAACAGCACGCGAGAGACUUGUAACGACAUCACCCGGAUCUCCAACCCGUAUAGUUAUAAAAAGGAAGUAAUUGAGAAAAAGAAGGAUAAUGGAAAAUCUUUUGGGUUUUUUUCUACAUAUUCGACCACAAACUGGAAAUAAUACAACACAGAUGUCUAUGAUGUUCCAUUUCUGUCUGUGGUUCAGCAUCCUCUCCCCCAACUGUCUCAUUUCCAAAACACUUUUAAUUAGGAAAAGACAUGUCUUUCUGGCCUUCUUUCAGCUUAAAGAAUUUUCUCUUCAUUAAGAGAAAGAAUCUGAAUGGACUCAUAAGCAAAGAAAAACUAGAAAAGAAACCUUGAUAUAUAUCAGGGCAAUAAAAAAAGUUUUAAAAACCGAAACUCCCUUAAUGUCCAAAAGUUACCUUUACAGUAGGCCCCAUCUCAACAGCAAUAUGCACAAUGUUCAUUGGUGGCUCUUGCACAAUUCCUCCAAAAACAGGUAUUCGAUAAUCCAUACCGCCUUUGUUGUCAAAAGUUCCGGCAUCUUCCCUCUCAGAGAAUACAAACUCCAUAUAUGCAUCCAAUGGAACCUUGACUGCAGAGUCACAUAAAGUAAGUCUUUAAUAGAAAGAUUUAAUGCAACAAAAGCCAAAAAUAAAAAAGAACGCCAUAUGUUACCUAAGGAGAUGAUAUAAAGCAACAAUUGAUAAGUCAACAUGCCUAAAACUUAGGCACAGAUUGAAUUCCAAAUAAUUUAUUAGUCUGGAUCUAUAAUUCACAUUUAUUCUCUUGGACCAAAAGAGCUUUCAAGGGGAGUGCGCCGGUACGCAGAAGAUGAUAAAAUGGUGAAUGCAAACAGCAGAUGACCCAAGAAGCGGUACAAUUUUCUGUUCACUAAAAUUGACCAUAAAGGAUACUGAUAGGUGAAAUAACUCACAAACUUAUUAGAGAGAAUGUUAUUUUAAAAGCAGUUGAUUAACUCAUUGAUCCAUGAAACCAUACAGACAAAGACAAUUAAUGCAUGCAUCCGAUACGAGCUCAGUUAUUGCCAAAUAAUUAUGCAUCAGAGAAAAACUUUUAUGAAAAGCAUUUGUUUGAAAACCAUACUUUAGAAACUAUUAAAGCAGUCAAAAGUGUACUUUUUGACCAAAGACACCUCUUGGUGAAAAGAAAUCAACACAGGACAAGUCAAUACGUGAAGACCUAAAGUUUGGUUGCCGAGUUACUAAGACAACCUAGUAAGGAAGAAAGCAUGAAGCCCACAAGGGGAAAUGAUGUUCUUAAUAUCACAUUCAUUGUACACAUUGUGUCAUGGUCCCUUACAAGUCAAUUCACAAGAUUUGCCAAAGAGAUUUACCUCACAUUAUUCCGUUGAUUUGAUAUAUUUGUCAUCUAAACCUACAAAAUUUGCUCAAUAUACCUUCUUAAGAUUGAACGACUUAUUAUGAUAUUUACAAAAUUUUUAACUCAAACUCACCCUACGAAGACUAUUUAGUCUUUACAAAUUGUACAGUCAUAGUUCCAGAUAUAAAAAACAACCAAUUAAAAAUAAAUCCACAAAGUUCAUUAGUAUUUCUGAACUUAAUUCUAUAAGCACCAAGUCACUUGAAUGUUCAUGUAUUUCUCUCUCUCUCGAUGACAAAUAAUUUUACUCACAAGCCACCACAACACCAAUCACAACAGCCAAAACAUUCGACUUUAAACUCUAAUACACAUGAUCAAAACCAAUACCGUCCAAGUUAGAAAGUAAGAAACAUAGAGAGCAAACUUUUGAUUAGAGAAAUACGAAAUAAGAAAGAAUGAGAGACAUAGCAGCAUACUAGUGACCCAGAAAUCCAACAAUAUAGUCAUAGACAACUAAAUAUAUUACUACCAUAUGUGUUAUAAAAGGGGAUCUUGACUUCAGGCGAAAAGAGGCACACAUGUUUAUUUGCAUUUGUAUCCAAGUAUAUCCUCUUAGAAAUUAUUGUUUCCUCUUUGUUUGAUAUCAUCACUAUUUCUCCACCUAUAGAAACCAUCAUAAGCUUAAAGUGCCAUAAGUGAUGAUCAGUUAAGACAGAAAAAAAUUGUAUCAUUUCCAGAAGGAGAUUUGACUUCAAAGUUUUUGUCAUUAUUAACACUAAGAAACAGCAUAUUUCUAUUAGGAGAUUAUGAGCUGGUAAGAAGCUCAUAAUUAAGGAGAUCAAACCUUAAAGCUAAAGGGUAGAAAAUAAAAACUCAAUAAUGUCCUUUAAUAAAGGUACACAAAUGUCAUCCAAUAACAACAAGGCGAAAAGAAAUUGUGCGGAUGGUAAUUGGUUAAUCACAUACACAAAAGUUCACAAAUAACCAAUUUCAUCUAGUACGAGUAAUUAAGUCAUAAUUAAGACGUCAUAUGUGCAAACCAAUUUAUACGUUCGAAUAACUUAUCAAAAGUAAGCUGCCUUUCAGAAAUUAUUCAUAGUCACCACUCAACAACAUCCUAAGUUCAAAAUUAGUUCACACAUUAUACCCAAUUACAAAAACACAAAAAAAAAUAAUAAUAAAUUCAAAAUGAAAAUCAAUAAAUUAAAACCUACCUUAGAUAGAUUGGAAUUGAGAUUGAGCUUGACCGAACAUCAAAAUCAAGAUAAGCUGUAUCAAGUAAGAUUCAACCUCGAUCAAAACAAAACAAUUUUGUUAGCCAUUUCGAUUAUUACAAAAUCAGAAUCAAAAUGAAUAGAAAGAGGAAGUACCGGUUUCGAAACGGCGCUGAUGAAGAAGAUGACAAUGAUUGAGCUGAAACUAGAGAGGAAAAAAUUAGGGAUUUUAAAAAAUUAAGGAAAGAUUCAUUAGAUUUUUGUCUCAAAACUGAUUUGAAAAACAAUAGAUGAAAAAACAUGAUUUGCAGAGAGUGAUUAGCCAAAAAUCGCAGAAAUGCAGAGGCUUAGCAGAGAGUGAUUCAUGUAUACCUAGCUACAAGCAGAGGAAAUCGAAGAAAUUGUAGCAGAGAUUGAUAGUGUUGAUGGAGAGUGGAGAGAGCAAGGGAGAUUUUAGAAAAAAAAAAGAAAGAGAAAUAUGAAAUAUGAAAUGAGAGAAAACAACUGAAAAAAAAAGAAUAAUACAGGUAAAUGCAUUUGUUCAGUUUAGAUCUAAUCAAUCCUAUCUAUUCUAAAGAGCAGCCAUAUAGUUCCAAACAUGCAUUUUAAUAUUUGGGAUGUGAACUUUAUUGGGAUUUGUAUUCCCGUGUACAAAUACAAUAGAUCUCUCUCUUUCAGUUCUCACUCAAGAGCUUUCAUGCAAAUCACAUUUAGAGAAGAACACCAGUACUCUUUAUGACAUGAUGUUGAAGGAUUUUAUUCCUACUGGAAUUCACAAGUGUACGUGCUCCUGUAUCCUCUGGAAGGACAACUGCAAGUAACACAGAAUUUACAUGAUCAGCCUUCUUUCUUUCUUUCUUUUUUCUAUAAUUUAUAUUUUUGAAAAUCAUUCUCUAACCACAAUAAAAUGAAGAAAGAUGAACAUCGACAAGCUUACACUUGCAUCUAUUAUUAUUAUUAUAUCUCAACAUGUCAACUAAAUUUGGUUGGUAGAUAAGAUUGAAGACAAAAAUCAGAAAAAAAUUUUAAAAAAUGCAUAUAGUUCACAAAUUAAGAACAUGUGAUAAUAGUUUACAUACUUAAAUAAGUGUGGCCAAGUCGAUGAUAAGUGACUAAUUCCACGACAUUUCAAAAACCUAAGAUGACAAAACCUUAUGAAACCAAAUCAAGUCAAAUUCAAUACUGCCUUAUAUACAUUACGGUGUUAUUAUGACUCAAAUAUAUAUAUAUAUAUAUAUAUACAUAUAUACAUAUAUAUAUAUAUAUAUGUAUUAUUUGGUUACUAAGAAGAACAAGAAACUUACGGAAAUAACCAUUGAAAAGAACAAAAAAUGUUGCUUUUUCUAAAGAGUGUUAUCUUAGGAAUAUUUAAUGUUAUUUGUAUGGAAAAUGUUUAAUUAGUUAUCCGAAAAAAGAAAAUAUUUUUAAUAUAUUUUUGGAUAAUUGAAAUAUAAUAAUUUAUAAUUAAAAAGCAAUGAAGGUACCUUCAAUAUGGACACAAGAUACAUAGCUGUCCUGCCAAUGGUCUGCAAGAAAAAUAUCAAGUUCAAAUGAAAAUUGUCUUGAAAGGUGGUAAGAGGCAUUCUAUGUACUUUUCAAUAAUCUUAAACUAUAUACAAACAAUUGUGUAUCUUACUUUAUUAAUCCUUCUCCAUGUUUUUCAAAAACUCUCUUUUGAUAUUUUUGAGCAUGGAAACAACAUCCUUCAUAUUUAUCCGGUUUUCAGGUAAGUCAGAUGAACAAUCCAAAGCUAACGCCAUGAUGGACGAUAUACAAUUCACUUUGACAACAAAAUAUUCAUCCUCUUUAUGCACUAAACUGGAGUCCGCUACAUCAAUUAUUCCAUUAGAUAGUGACAUUUUCACCCAAUGUCUCAUACUCAUUUCUCCAGCAAAAGAUUCAUCAGUGGGCCUCUUUCUUGUGAAAAUUUCCAUGAGUAGAAUACCAUAACUAUAAACAUCACUUUUUAAUAGAAACAAUUCCUGCUGAUCCAUAUUCUGCAUUUUAAACAUAAUUGAAUAAUUAAAAGAUAUUAUAUCUUCAUAAUCAUAAAAAAUAUGCUUAUGUUAGAAUAUUGGUAAAAAUAAUAAUAGAACAUCACUCAGUGCCAUGUAGCCAAUAGUGGCAAGUGUCCAUUGUUUUGUUUGCAUAGAAUCUUUCUUCUCCCAACAAUUUGGAAAUGCCAAAAUCUCCCACAUGGCAACCAUGUCUUUUGUCUAGUUAAGACAUUACUUGGUUUUUAGGUCACAAUGGAUUAUAGGUGUUUGGAUGUCCCAAUGGAGGUAUUCUAAUGCUGAUGCAACAUCCAUCAUUAUGUUGAUUCUUUGUAGGAUAUCCAAGAAAUAAUUGUAAGAAUAUAACCAUUUCUCAAGGCUCCCAUUAGGUAUGAAUUCAAGCACUAAGGCUUUGAAGUCAAUAGUAGAACAACAAGUAAUGACCUUAACAAGAUUGCGGUGAAAGAUAUUGCUCAUCACUUCACAUUCAAUCUCAAAACUCCUAAAUGCUCCAUCUCUUUGCAAAUUAAAAACUUUUAUUGCAACAUUUGUCCCAUCUAAAAGUAUUCCUUUGUAUGCAGAGCCAAAACUUCCUGAACCCAUUAAGUUGUUUUCACUAAAUCCGUUAGUCCCUUCCAAUAGCUGAUUAUAGGAAAUUCUUCUCCAUUUCUCGACAGGAAUUAAGUCUUCAACAAUCGCCAAAUUCGUAUUCCCCCGCUGCUUUUUUUUAUAGACAAUUAUGACUGCAAUAACUAUUAUUAUUGAAGCAAAUGUUGGUAAAACAUACCUCAAAGCAUGUAGAGCGGUCUUCUUGAAUUUCCGAUGGAUUUUAUUUUUGCAAGGUGAGACUUGUAGUCUAGGUGAACCGCAGAGUGCAUAAUUUUUCAUGAAUGAUUUGGCAGUGAAGUUUAAAAAGGGACCUCCACUUGGGAUUUCCCCUUCUAAUCUAUUGAAAGACACAUUUAAAUAAUUGAGAUCAUGAAGUCUUUCCAAGGACUUUGGAAUGACUCCAGAGAAAUUGUUGUUAGAUAAAUCCAAACUUUUCAAACUCAUCAAGUCACCGAAUGAUUCAGGAAUAGGACCUUGUAAUCUAUUACUAGCAAGAUUCAAAACCUGUAGAUCAUGUAGACUUCCAAUUGUGGGCGGAACAUCACUUGAUAAUAAAUUCCUUGACAAUUUCAAAGAGAUAAGUACCUUCAAAUUUCCAAUGUCAAGUGGAAGUGAACCGCUAAGAUUGUUUGAUGACAAGUCUAUUUCUAAAAUAUAUUUAAGGCUCCAAAAAGUCAAAGGUAUUUUUGAAUGCAAUUUGUUGGAGAACAAGUAUAGAUAUCUCAGAGAAGUCAAAUCACACAAACAUGUCGGUAAAGGCCCAUCAAGCUCAUUAUCACCUAAUGAUAAUUUGUACAAUCCCUUCAAACCACAAAGAUCAUAUGGGAUAGAGCCUUGUAACUUAUUUCCAUAAAGACGCAAAAGUUGGAGAUUUUUUAGCCUUCCUAUUGUUGUUGGAAUAGGUCCACUCAAUUUAUUAGAGGAAAGGUCUAACAAUAUAGCCUUGCUUAAGCUACCAAUUUCCAUGGGAAUGCUGCCUCUAAUUUUGCAAUCUCUAAUCAAUAAAUAUUGAAGUGAUGUAGAGAGAUUUGAGAUAGAAGUUGGAAGAAUACCGUCCAAUGCGUUGGAUGAUAGCUCUAAAUAUCUUAGGUAGUUGCAAUUUGCCAAGGAAUAGAGAAAAUUCCACUCAUGAGUUGAAGCUUCGGUGUUCAAAUGAUUAAAAUCAAGGCGCAAUUUCUCAAGGAACCUCAAAUUGCCAAAUGUAUUUGGUAUAAGGCCAGAGAAUGAGUUUUCUUGUAAUUCUAGGAUUCUGAGCUUAGAAACAUUGGAGAUAGAUUCAGGAAUAUUUCCACUGAGAUUAUUCCUCCAUAAGUAAAGCUCCUCAAGAUUUGAAGCAGAGCUCAUGUGUGGUAAUUUACCUAAAAAGAAAAAAAAAUAAGUUUGCAUCUUCCCAUACAAGAAAUAAAUUAAUUGUUUUGCUUUAUUGCGUUUUUCAUGAAUCUAUGAUGCAAGCUGAAGUGAAUGAAAUGCUUACAUAUACGAACAUGAAUGAGGAGAAACAUGAAGCCUUUUAACAAUUAUAAAUAUGAAACAACUUCAAGUUUAUCUUGGUUGAUUUAUAAAAUUUUUUCAUAUUUAUAAAAAUAUAUUAAAAGGCUCCAUGCUUACGUACGUAUAAUAAAGUAAAAAAGAGGAAAAAGAAAAGUAAAAGAACAAACGGAAGAUAGAAGAAAUUUUGGUUGUGAGAAUUUUAUUUUCUUUAACUUAUCUCAAUUGCUUUAAUGAUAAAAAAGAUUAAAGAAAAUUUGGUUAAUGAAAUUGUUCCAAAAGGAAAAACAAAUAAAAUAAAAAUUGAAGAAAAUAAAAAAUAUAUAUUUAAAUUAAUUUGUUUGAGAAAAGAAAAAUAUGAAAGUGUAAAUGUUUGGAAAUAAAAUUAGAAUUUUUAUCUAUCCUAUUUUAGAAAAAAAAGCCCUCAAGAGAAAUGAUAAAAUUUCUCUCAUUUUAGACUAUAUGGAUAGUUUAAAAGAAAAAUACAAAGAUUCGACGAAAAGAUUGUUAAAAGUACAUGCACUCACUUUAGUUUGAAAAUCACUCUCUUACUUCCCUAAGGGUUGAUAGAACCUUACGAGUGCUCUACUAGAGAAGGUUCAUUUGAGGUUUGUUUGAGUAAUAUUGUAUACAUUUUACUAUUACAAUAAAAAAAUUUAGUAAUAUGAUGAUAAAUAAUGUGAAACUAAUAAAAAAAGAUUUGAAAAUGAUGCUUUUGAUUACACAAUUAGUGCUUUUUAGUUUGUAAAAGAACAAUUAAUUAAUUUCUCUAAUUUGACAACAAAAGAAAGGUAAAAGUAGCAUUGUUUUUCAUUGCAUAUAAUUAAAAUGAAAAUACCAAUUAUAAUUGUUAUAGUGUAAUUAAUUAAUUAUAAUUUAAAAUUAUGUAAUGUCUAUCAAAAUUUUAUAUAAAAUUUACAUUUAUAAAUUAUGACUCCUACGUAUUACUUUAUUGUGGUUGAAUAAUAAUUAUAAUAUUAUAAUAAAAAAAUUAUAGGUGAAAUACAAUCAUUAAAAAUUUAGGUAACAUUUGACAAAAAGUUGGUAAUAUUAAAACAAUCUCCCGGUAAAAAAGUUGUAGUUGGGAGAAAAUUGGAAAUUGACACGUGGUUGAGCAAUUAAGAAUUUUUUUUAAAAUUUUGAAUGUUAAUUUUUUUGGGAAAAGAGCACAACUAAAAAAAAAUCAUUAAUACUAUAUUUUAAAACAAUUAUUUAAGGGAUUAUCUAUUUGACAUUUUGCAUUAUCUCAUUGGAUACAUUUGUUAAUUGUUUUUAAGAUUUCAUUUUGCCAUUUGUUCUCAUUUGAUUGGUUGGUUUUUGUUAAUUUUAUAUAAUUAAUCGUAAGUUUGGUCCUCAAUUAUCAUAUAGACUUUACUGAUUUGUCUUAAAAGAAUGGGCUGAGUAAAAAAAAAAAAGAGUUUAUCUUUCCGAGAGUCUGCUCCAGAACUAGGUUUCUAUGGGUGGAGUCUCAGUCUUGUCACAUACAAGAGUUUUUUUCCUUUGGAUCAUCGGUGAACUUUGGUCUUUGGGGGUUAGUGCAAGUCGAGUUUAGUGGUGUUGAUUCGUUGGAAACGGUUGAUAGAGAGUCUAGGUACCGGAGGUCCUAUGGAAGACGACCUGGACCAACUGUGGUUGGAACUUGUCAUUCACUGAGGAAGAGAAAACAGGGAUGGAAGUGUGUUAUGGGGCCAAUACAAAUGAGAUGGGUGAAGAACACAAAUGGAUGGUGGACAAGAUUAAUAUUGUAAGGCCAUUCAAUAAAGAUACAAUGAUAAGCAUUUUACUACUACAAUAAAAAAUUACGAUCACAAAAAAAUGUGAAACUAAUGAAAAAGAUUUUAAAAUGAUGCUUUUGAUUACACAAUUAUUAGAGGGUGAAAAGCCUUGCCUUAGUCCGAUUUAGAGGGGAAGUAACGUUAAGUAAAAAAGCUCUUCUUGGAUACCAUGAAGGCCACACAAGAACAUUACCUUCGGAGAAAAAAAUUUGUUACACUGUUUGUUGAUGGAAUUUUUCCAGGUUGUAGUGUCUUUAAUCUUAAGCAACAAUUUGUCAGAUGUGGGAGGGUGGUUGAUUUUUACGUCUCCGAAAAUCAAAUUUCUAAAUGGUUUGCACCUGAGGUAUUCCACUCUAUAUGUUCAAAAGGCAAGGUAUGAUCAAAGAUCUCAUGUUAGUUCUAAACCCACCACUCAGUACAUGGAAAAAAGGUGUUAUCUGCAUAGAAGACUUUAGAGAUGGACGAUCUCAUGUAGAGGUUGUUAAUAUGUCAGUCAAAUCCACUCAGUUAAAGGAUAACACUAUUUGAAAAAUUAAUAUUGUAAACACCAUUUUAUUAUUAUUAUUAUUAUUAUUUAUUUAAUUUUUUUCUCUCUUUCUUCCCGUUUUUUGCGUUUCUCUUCUUCUUCUUUUUUCUCUUCUUUCUUUCCUUUUUUUUUUCUUUCUUCUUCUUCCUUAUCCGAUUCAAAUCUAGUGCAUUAAAUGCACAAUCCCUAAAGUCCAAAAUUACCGUCGCUAGUUGCCAACGGCCAACCGACAAGCCACCAAUCACGAACGGCAUGCGUGAUUUCUCAGUUAAAAAAUGGGAUUCGAAUCCCAGAAGAUUUGAGAUUUGAAUCCCAAAAAGCUCUAUAAAUAGAGCUUGUUAUUUGCAAACGAAAAGGAGGAAGAACGCGAAAAAAAAAAUGGUAAAAAAUUUUUUUACAAAAAAACAAAAAAAAAAGGCUUCUAUUUAAAAACAAUUUUAGCAGAAACACAAAAAAAAAAUACACAAUCCUCCCGUAGGGAAGAAUCCAGUGCCGAGCUUCUUACACGAAGAAAAAAAAAGGGUCAGUUUAAAAAAAAAAGGGGUUAGAAUACAAAAAUUUUUUUUUCACCGAAGCUUUAAAAGCAGAUAUAGGGAAGUGGAGACUCCUUUUGGUGCAAAGGAGGUCAGAUCUGUGCUCAGGAGGUCGAGAGAAACAUUUUGGUGUUUUUAGAAAAUUUUCAACCACUGACGACGGAAGCCGGUGACCUGCGAACGACGGGACCGGCGAACGACGGCGACGUGACGGAGGUCGACCAGGUAGCGUUUGUCUAAAGAAGAAAGGAGAGAAAAAAACAGUCAUUUUUUUUGGAGAAAAAAGGAAAAAUAAUCGAAAAUUUUUUUUUGAACCUUUUUAUAUAAACGGUGAAAACCAAAACGAUGUCGUUUCAAUUAAUGCCCAAAACGACGUCGUUUAGACCAAGGAGGAUCCGCGCAUUGACCCGGACCUAACCCGAGGUCCGCGCACCCAAUUCGACGACCCGCUUCUCCAUCAGCCUCUAAUCGGUUUGACUGGAUCGAAACCUAACCAUCCAGAUCGAACCGAAUCGGUACUGAAUCGCUGAGCCACCCAAACCGUGCCCAGACCGAGACGAACCGUGGGACCGAACCGUGCGUUGAUCGGACCAUUGACCGAUCCAGUUCAGGUAAAAAAAUUUUUUUUUUGAAUUUUUUAUAUAUUAUUUUUUAAUAUUUAUGCAUAUUAAAAUAUUUAUAUUUGUUAGAUUAAAUGAUGAAAUAUGUGGUUAAAUUUUUUUUAAUUUUGUUAAUUUUUAAAAUAAACUUUAAAAACAAAAUAAUAUAAAAAUAAAUUUAAUAAUAAUACUAAAGUAACAAAAAAUGAGAAAAAAUGAAAUUUUUAUCCGAUGAUGGAAUUCUAAAAGUAUUCCGAGUAGAGAUGCUUUAAGAAAUCUCUAGGUGAGUAGAAUUUUUGUAAAAUAUUAUCAACGCAUUGGAAUAUUUAUAAAAAAUCUUCAAUAUAAUUAAAUUCCUUUUUCUUCAAAAUUUUAAUUUUAAAUAAAAAUAUUAAUAAAAUAAUUAAUAAAAUUUUUAACAAACGAGAAUAAAAUAUGCGCAUAAACAUAGUAACAUUUUGCAUUGCAUGCAUGACAUAAUUUUUUACGAAAAGUAAAUUCAGACCUUCGAGGAUGAGAUUCUAAGGUAUUCCAAGAAGUGAUGUCUAAGAAAUCUCUAAGUGAGAAAAAGUUCUUCUAAUGUUACCAACGUACUGAAACAUUUUAAGAAUUAUUUCAAUAAAAAAGUUUUAAUUUAUUUUUCUAGAGAAUAAAUUUUUUCUAAUAAAUAAAAAAUUCAAAGAAAUUAUUUUUUUUGAACACCGAAAAUAAAACUGUUUUUAUCAAAAUCAAAGGAUAACAUGUAGUUAAUUGGUACCGUUUUUUAACAGGCACUGUGGGGGUGCUAAUCCUUCCCCACACAUAACCAACUCCCGAAUCCAGACUGUUGCACAGACCCUAAAAUUAUCUUUGAAAUAAAUUUUAAUUAAUUUUAAGAUUUCAUUAAAAGGAUAUGUUUUAAUAGGUGGCCAAUCGCACCUAGCCAAAAAAAAAUUGGUGGCGACUCCAUUAUUUUUUUUAUUUUGUUUUCAAAUUCAUCGGGCAGAUACAAAAACUGUUACGAUAGGAUGGCGACUCCGCUGGGGAUAGGUAUUAAUUUUUAAGAGUCAGACCAAAAUUAACUACUUGUUAUCCUUAAAUUUUGAUUUAAAUAGUCUUAAUCAAUUUCUUAAAUUUUUAUUCUUCAUUUUUAGUAAAAAAAAUAAAAAACAAAAAGCAAAAAAAAUUCACACAUUUCUUUUAGUAUGCCUCUUAUGUUUUAUUUUUCUGUAUAUAUUGCUUUCAAUAAAUUAGUAUAUAUUUGCACAUAAUGGCACGAUGCAUCUAAUACAUGAGCUCUAUACCCGGGCUCCGUCCUUUGUAGGAGGAAGUAAAGUACCUAUGCUCUUGUGAGGUGAUAACCUCCGCAAUGGCAAGUGAAAUACUUUCACUCGAAUUGAACCCUUUCCGUUCAUAGCCUGUAAUGGGUGAGGAUCGGGGUGUCUUACUAGUCCAAUAUGGACGACAGUGAGGAACAAUUUGAGAACCUUUAGACCUUGUCAAUCCAAACCCAACAUAUAAUAAGCCUAGAAAACCAGCCUUAUGUAGAGCCUUGUCCAUCUUCUUGUAGGAAAUACCUAAGAAUAAAAGUUGUGUAUAAUAUGAAACAAAGCAAAACAUAAAAAAUCUCAAAAACAUUAAAAAACAAAAAAUGUUUUUCAAACCACACUAACUCAAUUUUGUUUCUUUUUUUUUGUAUUAAUCAUAUCAUACAGUUUUACAUCGAGAUAUUUGUUUUAAGACAUAUUUCUCCUAAGAAGUUUUCAUAGAUCCCAUAGAACUACAAAUUUGCUCAUCCUCAGUUAGUGUGCCAUGUGAAUCGUAUAAUGAAGUACAUGUUUGGUCGAAAGAAGUUCAACAAAAGAAUGGAGAUUGUUUGCCUACCGGUUAUGUGUCUGAAUUACCCGAGAAAGUGCAUUUAGAUCUCACAUAGAAUGAUUUAAAAGAGUUAGCUGCUGUCUGGGGUCAGUUAAGUGAAGAAAGAAAAGAAAGCUUUUGCAAAAAGUAUGGACAUAUUGCAUCUCUCAUUUUAGUAGUGAUUGAUGAACAGCUGGUCAAAGCAGUUAUACAGUUUUGAGAUCCAUCCUAUAGAUGCUUCACUUUUAAUAAGGAAGAUUUGGUGCCAACUAUUGAGGAAUAUUUGAUUUUACUCGGGAUAAAACUAUAAGUAUUUACCUGAAAGCCAAAAUCAAGUUAUCACAAAAAGUUAGCCAAGCUUAUGGGGGUUAAAGUAGAAACCAUUGAUUCCUUCGCGAAAUCUAAAGGUGAACAUCUCAGUAUUCGUUGGGAUUUUCUCUGAAACUUCAUUCAGGAGCAUUUAAAUGAUGAUCAAGGUAUGGCUGUGUUUGCUCUAGCAUUGUAUGACAUGGUAAUCUUUCCAAAGACUUUGGGUUACAUUGAGAUAACUGUGGUAGAUUUUUUCAAGCAAAUUGAAACCCAAGCAAUUAAUCCCGCACCAACAGUCUUAACAAAAACCAUUUGAUCAUUGAAUUUCUGUCGACGAAAUGAAAAAGGAUGAUUCAUAGGAUGUAUAUCUCUAUUAUAAGUAUGGGUUAGAAGUCAUUUCAAGUGUGGAAAGAGUGCAUUUUUGAAAUCAUAUCUUUGAAAUAAGGCACCAAUCGAAGAGUUUUGUAAAAGCCAAUGGUCAACAUUGAAGACUAAGAAAGAUUGGGUCAUUUUCUUGCGAAAGCUUGCUGAGGAUGAAAUCGAAUGGAUGCCGCCUUGGAUGCCUCGUGUGCCCUUGUUGUAUCAUGGAAAAAAUGAACCGUGGAUAUCGUUGUUAGGAUUAUGGGGUAUUGUAAGUUACGCUCCAUUGAUGGCACUUAGGCAAUUUGGUGCAAAGUAGUUUGUUCCUGCUACUCAUGGCCUGGCCCAAGUAAAAUUCAUUUAUGGGGAACCGAAUCCAUCAAGAACCUCAAAGCAGUUGAUCCAAGCAUGGAAGAGAACACGAAGAAUGAGGUUAGGGCCUCUCAUCGACAAAGUCACUUAUGAUUACCAGAUUUAGAAAGCAAGGCGGCCUAGAGACAUAGUACUCCCUCCUGAUGAUAGCUCAUAUCAAUUGAUUAAUCUUUCAGAAGAGGUGCAAUUAUCAGAAGUUGAGCUUGUCAAGAAAGAUUAAAAGCUGAAAAAGAAGAAAUAAGAAGAGAAAAUUUGAGACUUCGAGAGCAAGUAAGGCAAUUAAAAUAUGAAGCAUAGAUACAAAGGAGCAUAUUAGAAAAAGUCAUAAAAGAACGAGAUCUAGCCAAUAGUGAUUUGAAAGAUCUACACCAGGAAAAUAAGAGGUUACGAGUUCAAUUCAAAACUAAAAAAGUCACAAAGUCUUACCUUAGUCGACAAUGUGAAAUGGAUGAGCUUCGAGAGAGAAUAAACUAAUGGAAGGGCAAAGCUCAAGAAAAGUAAGAAGAGAUCACCAUAAUUUCUCAAAAAUGUUAGAAUUGGAAGGGAUUAUAUUCUAUAACCACAAUAAGAUUGGUGGAAUGCCAAAACGAAAAGGAAAGGUUGAAAGUCAUGCUCACAAAAGAGAGAAGAAAGCACUUCGAAGUACUGAAUGAAAAAGAAUCACUUCACCAGGUGAUCCAAGGGUUGGAGCUACAACUGCAAGAUCACAAGAACCAUAUUUUAGUAAUGAUCGAUGAGUGGCAUAAAAAGGAAAAAAGAUUGGAUAUUCACAUAUGAUUCAGAAAGAGAUGCUCGUAUGAUGUGAAAAGUAGAAAGUUUAGGGAGGCAACAGUACAUAGAGUACAUAAUCAGUCAAGUUUGUAAGGCAGUCAAAAAAGUAUGGGAAGAUGGUUGAAAAGGUAGAAGCAUUAAGACAAGAAGUCAAUUCUGUAGGAGAAUAUGGACAUCGCCCAGUAAACUUUCUAGACGAGGCAAAAGACCAUUAUGAGCAAGUCAAACGCUUCUAUGGAUAUAAUUUUAGGAUGAUAAAUCCCAUGUAAUCAAAGUUGUAUGGAAUCAAUCAAAAUUUCUAGUAUUGAAAUUUGUCCAGGAGCAAAUAUUUUCACUUGAAUUCAUGCAUCAUUUGCACCAUUUUUUUUAAAAAAAAAUUCAAAAAAAAUAAAAAUUUUGAUACAUGGCAUUUUGAUUUUUCUAAAAAUUUUGUGGCAAUAAAGGUUCAAGAAUAGCUUGCCCUUCAAAAAUUUUGACUCAACCCACUCGCCAUUCAUACAACACCAGGACUCAAACAAGAAUUAUGGAGCAAGAACAGACCAGUCGAUUUGAAAGAAUCGAGAAAGCUCAAGAAGAACUAAGAGGGGAUCUUAGUACAAUAAUGGAUAUGCUCAAAAAAUUUGACAAGGGAAAAACAGUGGAAGAAAAUCUUAGCUUUUAAUAGCAAUCGCCAGAUAUGAUGGAUCAUGUUUACCCUCCAGGGUUUAAGCUACAACUGACUCAACCUUCUCAAGGAACUAGAGUACAAAUUCCUAUUCCCAGUGAAUAUCCCAAUCCUUAUCCAGGAAUGACAUCUACACCUACUUUGGGACAAUAUCAAAAUUUUGUUAAUCUUGUUAUGAUGGAAAAACCCUCAAGCCAAUCCUAGUUCCUGAUUUGGAUGAUUCCAAAGAAAAAGAAAAGCUAGGGAUAAAGAUAUCUGAGAAAGUGGAAGAUAAUAGUGCUCAGGAAAAGAUGAGGUUAUUAGAAGAAAGGCUUAAAGCAGUGGAAGGAAUUAAUUUUUAUGGUUCCACAGAUGCAAUUGAGCUUUGUUUAGUCCCUGAUGUGGUCAUUCCGCCUAAAUUCAAAGUUCCUGAAUUGAAAAAAUAUGAUGGCACAAAAUGCCCGAUGACUCAUAUAACCAUGUAUUGUCGAAAGAUGGCAGCACAUGUUCACGAUGAAAAGUUGUUAAUGCAUAUAUUUCAAGAUAGUCUUACGGGUUCUGUAGUUAAAUGGUAUGUUCAAUUAGAUAGGACUCGUAUUCGUUCUUGGUAAGAGCUUACAAAGGCAUUCCUUACACAAUAUCGGUAUGUCAUGAUAUGGUUUCAGAUCGUCUAUCUCUACAAACUAUGGAAAACAAAGCCACUAAAAACUUUAAAGAGUAUGCACAAAAAUGGAGAGACGUGGCUGCACAAGUCCAACCUCCUCUCACUGAGAAAGAGACAACUAUUUUAUUUGUAAAUACUCUGAAAAUACCAUACUAUGAGAGAUUGAUAGGUAAUGCAACUAAGAAAUUUACAAAUAUGGUGAUAUCGAGUGAGAUUAUCGAAAGUGCUAUAAAGAAUGGCAAGCUCAAUACAGGAGAGACAAGUGGAGUAAAGAAAGGUGGAGCUCCCAAAAAGAAAGAAAAUGAAGCCCAAGCAGUAAACUAUGUAAGGCAACAGUUCAGAGGUUUCACGCCCUACUCGGUACCAGUCUACCAAAUCCAUUACCCUUCCAUAAACAAUGUUACAUCCAUCCCUCAUCCAUAUCAACUAUACCAACCACUACAACCAUCAACUUAUCCAUCCCAUUUCCAGCCAUCUUUUUGGACACUCACAUAUUCCUAUAAUCAUCCUACUGUACCUACAAGACCAGAAUGGAGACCUAAUAGUGGUCUAAGAGCCCCAAGAAAUACAAAAAAAAAAACUCAUUUUUGAUCCCAUUCUCAUGACAUACACAGAUUUGUAUCCCCUACUUGUUGAGAAACAUCUACUUGCUCCUAUUAUUGUUGAACCUUUGAAACCUCCGUUUUCUAAAUAGUAUGACCCCAAUUCGCAUUGUGAUUAUCACUAUGGGAAUCCAAGUCAUUCCACUGAGAACUGUACUACUUUGAAGCAUAAAAUCUAGGGGUUAAUCAAUGAAGGAGUAUUAAAUUUUGAUACCAACCAACAAGGGACUCCAAAUGUCAAUAGGAACCCUCUACCAAAUCAUACUAGGCCAUCAAUAAAUGCUUUGGUUGAUGGGCAAACAAGCUAUGUGAAAAGAAAAAUAGAAAAUGUCAAAACUCCUAUGGCUAAAGUAUUUGAAGCCUUGGUCAAAGCUGACAUGUUGAAGCCAAUAGAACCUUAAAAUUGAUCUGAAGUGAUUAACUCAACUAAAAGUUGUAAUUAUCAUAGAGAUGUUCUGGGGCAUUCUAUUGAGAAUUAUCACCAAUUCCAUUAAGAGAUGCAAAAAUUGAUAGAUGAGGGUUGGAUAGAGUUUUACCAAGAGAGAGAAGAGUUGGUGAAAGCUGAAGUGUCUACCAUUAAUUCAAAGAAUAAGUUUGUGCGUAGACCAGUAACUAUCUAUUAUGAUGAAAAGCCAACAUCGAAGCUAGAAAAGCCCGUUUCCCGACCAGUGGUGACAAUUAAAGUUUUUGGCCCUUUUUCAUAUCAGAAUGAUAAAGUAAUACCUUGGAAGUACGAUUAUGAUGUCGUAAUCAACCCAAAUACUGUCAACAUAACGGGUGUAGGAGGCAUAACUCGAAGUGGCAGGUGCUAUACCCCAGAGGCUCUAGAAAAAGCUAAAAAUGAGAAAGCCAAGGUAGGAGAAGAAAAUGAAAGUCAGAGUGGUCUUGACGUAACCCCAAAAAAAGAAUGUCAUAAGCCAGUAUCUAUGAGUGAAGCAGGUGAAUUUUUAAAGUUAAUAAAACAUAACGAGUACAGCGUGGUAGAAUAGCUUAACAAGAUGCCAGGUAGAAUUUCGCUAUUAUCAUUAUUGCUCAGUUCAGAGUCACACCGUAAUGCUUUGCUGAAGGUGCUAAAUCAAGCAUAUGUAUCUCAUAAUACUUUUGUUGAAUAUAUGAAACAGCUUGUUGGCAAUUUGUCGAUUUCAAACUAUAUCUCUUUCAAUGAUGAAGAGAUUUUUCCUGAAGGUAGAGGAAGUACCAAGUCUCUUCACAUUACUAUGAAAUGUAAAAGUCAUAUAAUGGCUAAGGUUUUGAUUGAUAAUGGCUCAUCCAUCAAUGUUAUGCCUAUGACUACUCUGGCAAAACUCUCUAUUAAUGGAUCCUAUAUGAAACCUAGUCAUAUGAUAGUGAGAGCCUUUGAUGAAACUAGAAGAGAGGUGCUAAGAGAUAUAGAAGUGCCAUUACAGAUUGGCCCAUGCACUAUUAAUGUGAAAUUUUAAGUUAUGGACAUCUUUCCUUCAUACAUUUGUUUAUUGGGUAGAUCGUGGAUCUAUAUGACAGGUGCUGUCACAUCCUCAUUACAUCAGAAAGUUAAAUUCAUUGUUGAAGGAAAGCUAACAUGUGUGACAGAAGAAGAAGAUUUAUUAGUAACUCAAUCGAUAAAUACUCCUUAUGUGAAAUCAGUAAAUGAAGCUCUGGAAUGCUCUUAUAGAUCAUUCAAGAUUGCCAUUAUAGAUCAUUCAAGAUUGCCAAUGCAACAUAUAUAGCUGAAGGAUCUAAAUUAUAUUCGCCACAGUUGUUUACGAUAACUAAAAUGGUAGUCAAACAACUUACCAAGAUGGGAUGGCAACUUAAAGCCAGACUUGGGAAGAACCUGCAAGGAAUCACGAAGCCAUCGGCUAUAUAUGAAAAGAGAGACAGAUUUAACUUGGGAUAUAAACCAACAAGAGAGGACAGAAUAAGAAUGGUGAAUGAGAAAAGAGAUAAAAGGAUAGCUAAUCUUAGGAGAUAUGAGCCAGAGUCAGAGCCCAUAAUCAUUCCAUACCUCUAUGAUUCUUUUCACUCGAAAGGAUACAUUUAUCCAGAUUUACCGGGAGCCCCAAGUGCAAGAUUCGUGAAAAAAUUUUCAGAGCUGGCCAUUCAAAUGAUGGAUAAUAAAGAAAAAAAGAGUCAAAGUGAAGAGCUGUUCGUGUACCCUUGUCCUUCAGAUUUUGAGCUGGAUAAUUGAAAAGUUACAGAGCUGCCUAUUGUUUUUAAAACUUUGGAAAAGUAAUGUACUGUGAAACUUUAAAUCUCUAAUUACUUUUUACGAGUAUUAGAAGAUCUUUUAUGGUGUGUUUAUUUUUUUCAUUUUAAUAAAAGACUUAAAAGAUGCAUCUGCAUUUCUUCUAUUGUUUUCAUCUUCAUUUUACUUUCCAUUCUUUUCUUUUCAUCAUUCCAUUUUUAUGUGCCAAUAUUUUUUUUCAUCUUACCCUUUGCAAGGUCCCAAACAAUGAACAUAAAGAUAAUCAUGGCAAUAAUCUCGGAUUUGAUUUUGAAAACUUAAUUCAUGUUGAUGAACUUGAUAAUGAGGAAGAUUCAGAUAACUACACACAUCCUCUUGAUUUGUUAACAUUAAUAGAACAUGAAGAUAAGCCAAUUGAACCCCAUCAAGAAAUUAUCGAAUUAAUGAAUUUGAGAGAUGGUGAAAACAAAAAAGAGGUUAAAGUUGGUAUAUCUCUUUUACCAGCUGAAAGACAGAAGCUAAAAGAGCUACUCCGAGAAUAUGUAGAUGUGUUUGCAUGAAUUUACCAGGAUAUGCCAGGACUCAGCACUGAUAUUGUAGAGCACAAGUUACCUUUAAAACCAGGAUGUAAGUCGAUGCAACAAAAGUUAAGGCGCAUGAAACCAUAGAUGCUGUUGAAAAUUAAAGAGGAAGUGAAAAAAUAAUUCGAUGCUAGAUUUUUGAAAGUGGCAAAAUAUCCUAAAUGGGUAGCCAACAUAGUGCCAGUUCCUAAGAAAGAUGGAAAAGUGAGAAUGUGUGUCGAUUAUCGAGACUUGAAUAGGGCAAGCCCUAAGGAUAACUUUCCUCUACCUCACAUCGAUACUCUAGUGGAUAAUACUGCUAGGCAUUUCACAUUUUCCUUUAUGGAUGGUUUCUCAGGCUAUAAUCAAAUCAAGAUAGCCCAAGAUGAUACAAAGAAAAUCACAUUUGUGACCAUGUGGGGGACAUUCUGUUAUAAGGUUAUGCCUUUUGGGUUGAAAAAUGCUAGUGCUACUUAUCAAAGAGCAAUUGUAACUCUCUUUCAUGACAUGAUGCAUAAAGAGAUAGAAGUGUAUGUGGAUGAUAUGAUCGCAAAAUCUCGUGAAGGAGAGGAUCAUAUAGUCAAUCUUAAAAAACUGUUCGACAGGUUGAGAAGAUUUUAGUUGAAGUUGAAUCCUGCCAAAUGUACAUUUUGAGCCAAAUAAGGAAAACUAUUGGGCUUUAUAGUCAGUGAAAAAGGAAUCGAAGUUGAUCCAGAUAAGAUACAAGACAUCUAAAACUUAUCUCCUCCUCAUACCUCAAAAGAAGUGCGAAGUUUCUUAGGGAGAUUAAAUUAUAUUACUCGCUUCAUUUCUCAACUCACUUAUAAGUGUGAUCUUAUUUUCAAGCUUAUCAGAAAACAUGAUCCUGGAGAAUGGAAUGACGAAUGCCAAGAAGCUUUUGAUAAGAUCAAAUGAUACUUAUCAAAUCCACCUGUGUUGGUGCCACCAAUGCCAAGAAAACCUUUGAUUUUGUACUUGAAAGUGCAUGAAAAUUCAAUGGGAUGUGUGAUGGGGCAAAGAGAUGAAACUAAUAAGAAAGAACAAGCAAUUUACUACUUGAGAAAGAAAUUCACUGAUUAUGAGUCAAAGUAUUCACCAUUAGAGAAGAUGUGUUGUGCAUUAACCUGGACAACUCGAAGGCUUAGAUAAUACAUGCUUUAUCACACUACUUGACUCAUAGCAAAGCUGAAUCCUAUUAAGUAUAUCUUCGAAAAGCCCUCAUUGACAGGAAGAAUAGCACGGUGGCAAGUUAUGCUUUCAGAAAAUGAUAUCAUUUACGUGAGUCAAGUAUAUUUUUGGCAGGUUGGUAUCCUUCUUGUCGGUAGAGGAAAUAAAUUUGUUGAAUCAAUAGUUGGAAAUGAUGGUAAACUGUUUACCCCUUAUGCACUAUGCUUCCAUAUACUUUAUGUUUUAAAGUAUUUUGCAUUUCAUAUAUUGAAUUCCUGCACACGGAUUGAGAGGCCUGCAGUUGUGACAAAAAUGAACUUGACAUUAUCUGUUGAUCAUCGUGUAUUUGACGGCAAAGUCGGAGGUAUGCAGUGAAGCAAGUCUUUGUAAUUGCAGCUCUAAAUAUGAAGCCUUUGACAGAUGGUGGAUAGGCCCUAACAUCAAAAUAAUUUGCAUGACCUACAAUUAUAUUGCUCUGUGAAAGAUAUUGUUAUGUAAACUGCAGAAGUAGAAGACAUGGGGGUAUCAUUCCUCCCAUGUCGAGCAUCCGGGUAAUAAUAUCACAAAUAAGUUCCUGAAAAAUCCCGGAGGGUACUGCUAGAAGUAAAGGCAUAACUGAACUGGCUCCCAUUUUGGUUAAUCAAAGUAUCUAACAAAUUCUUCCUGGUUUUAAAAAAUCUAUGAUCUUUAGUACUGCUGGCUUGAUUGCUGUAGUUGUACCUUUCACCGUAUGUACUUCAGUAUAUGAUACCGGCCUGAGAUUUGAACUGUUUUUAUUGCAGGUGCAUUUUUUUUCAGUAUUACAAUCUAACUUCAGUGAUAUUCGGAGGCUUCUUCUCUGAUAACAUUUAGUCCUUCAAAUUCCGACAGAUCAGUUGUUGCUGAGGGUCUCUCUCAAAGGUUGUUAAUAAUUCUUCAAAAUGAUCAUGUUUUGUUCCUGAAUUUCGAUAGCAGCAGCAAAUUUGUUGUGCAAUCCUGGGCACCAAAAUUGUCUAUUCAUUGGACUUGUUCAAAAUGAGAACCGAAUUGUUGAUGUAAAAUUUUGCAUGUUGUUAGGUUGCCAUUGUCAUCUAAUUUUGCUACCUUCUUCAGGGCUUAUUCUGCAAUUCAUGUUUCCAUCUGAUAAAAAAUAAUGAGAUCGUUGGAAAAAUACAAAAUAGUAAAAUCUAUAAUGACUUUUUUCUCGUGUAUACAUUUCCUCAUUUUUUGAGGGGGUUUUAUAAUUAGAAAGAAACAUAUUAAAAUGUAAUUUUUUUAAAAAAACUUUGUCGAGUAAAACUACGCGUCAGCUAACGAGGCCUUGUCACAUGUCAACAAGUGAGACCAUAUCUUGAAAAAAAAAAGAAAGUGGAGGAAAAAAUUAUUAGAGAAUUUUUUUUUUUAAUUUGUGAGAAUUAAAUAAAAAGUAUAAAUUUUUUGAUAAUUUUUUAAAAUUAUUUUAAAGGUUGAAAAAUUAAUUUAAGAAAAAUUAUUUGACACUAUACUUUCAAUAUAUUUGAUAGUUUCUCCCAAUUUAAUAGAAAAUUUACCUCUUUUUAUAAUUUUAUCAAAAUUACAAAAAAAAAGCUAAAAAAUUGUUAAAGUUUAACAUAAAAAUCCGUAAAAACCUAUUAAACUGCAAAAUUUUUUUUUCUAAUUUUUGACCUCGAACUUUUUUUUAGAAUCUAUCAAAUAAAAAUCCACAUUUCAAGAAAUGAAAUCUUGCCAUAUAUCAACAUCUGAGAUUAUGUCUUUAGGUUUCAUAAAUAUAUAAAGAUACAUGUACAUAAAUAUAUAUUAAUAGAAAAUAAAACUCAUAUUUUAGUUUUUUUUUUCUCAUUGUUACACAUAUGUUUUAUUAGUACAUCGCUUGACAUACCCUAAUGGCACAUGAUUAAUAGUUUUUAUCACAUUAAAGUAAUAUAAAAAUAUAUUUUUUGAAAAAAGAUCAAUUUAUACCUUAAGGGUCGUUUGGAGCUUAUUAAUUGAGUUUUCUUCCACCUAGUAGGCACGUUUUUUAGUUUGAAAAAAUUGAGCAUAUCCAAUUCUUCAUUGAUGUGAGGCUUUAUGAGAGACAUUAGGGCUGAGAUAGAUGUGAAUCAAGGUGAGUCCUCUCUUCUGUAGGUGAAAGAACCAGUGAAAUAGUAAUAGAACGAAUGGUUUUGGAUAAAUUUGAUAAUUUUUAUAUUUAUAUUUUGUAAAAUAUUGAUAAUUUAUAUAGUCAUAUCAUAUUUUAUAAAAAAAAUUAAGUGUCAUAAUUCAUAUUAAUACAAAAAUGUAAUAUAUAUUUUUUGUUUUAUCAAAUUAAUAUAAAAUUAUACUAAAAUUUUAAAUCGUAUCAUUUACAUUUUUUUUAAUAUUUUUUGAAUGUAUAAAAAAUAAAAUUUCCUCCACUUGUAUAUUCUUUUCAAACUCAAGACAAUAGCAGUUAGGUGGCAUGGAUGUGCCAGUGUUGUUUGCCCAUUAGGCUGAGUUUUGAAAUGCAAAGCCGAAAUAAAUAAAAAUUUUAAAACAUUUUUAAAGUUUCUCUUUUUUUCUAAAUUGCUUAUCUUUAUUAAUGGUUAAAAAAUUAAGUUUUGUUUGUUUUAUGAAAAAUAACUUUUGAAAAAUAAUAUAUAUAUUUAAUGUUUGUUUCUUAGAAAAUUGAUCAAUCAAUAAAAAAUAACUUACUAGUCAAUGAAAAAUAAUAUCAUUUUUUAAAAAAUUUAUAUUUUCCUUUUGAAAAGAAAGAUAAUUUUUAAAAAAUAAUUGCCUAUGAAUAAGACUAUUUAUCAAAUUCGUAAUCAUAAUUCUACUCAAGUAGGACCUUUAAUAUGAUUUUUUAAGUUCAAGCUUAAUUUUAUCCGGCCCAAAAUAUUAUUAUAUUAAUAAAAUUAUUUUUAUUCAAUUUUACAAAAAAAAUUUAAAAUAUUAAUAUUAAAAGAUUUAUAAUAUUUUAAUUUUAAAUAUUUUAUAAUUCUACUUAAAUUAGACUUUAGACAUGAUAUUGUAAACUCGAACUUGAUUUGAUUUGAUUUAAAAAAUAAUUAUAUUAAUAAAAAUAUUUGUAUUUAAUUUUAAUUAAAAAUAAAAUAUUAAUAUUAAAAGCCUUUUGAUAUUUUAAUUUUAAAUAUUUCCAUUUUGUAUAGUAUUACCAUAAAUAUUUUAAUAUUACACUAAUAAAUAAUAUUGUAUUAUUAUUUUAAUAAUAAAUAUUAUAAUAAUAAAUAAUAUUUUAUUAUUUUAAUAUAUAUUUUUAUUAUUUAAUAUAAUUAUAUAAUUAUAUUAAUAGUAUGCAUAUUUUUAAUUAUUUCUUAAUAUUUUUAAUUUAAAAUAUAUUAUUUUUAUAUUUUGUUGACUAAUUUCUUUAUAUUAAUAUUUUAAUAAUAAAUAUCUUUAAAUAAUAUUUUUAAUAUAAUUUAAUAAUAAAUACUUUCAAUCUAAAAUAUAAUUAUUUUAAUAUUAUGAAUAUUUUUAAUAUUUUACUAAUAAAUAUGAGUAUUUUAAUAUAAUUAUAUAAAUUAAUAAUAUUAUUUUAAGUAAUUAACGUAUUAAUAUAAAAAUAUAAAUAGUUUUAGUUUUUAUUAUUAAUAUAAUAAUAUAAUAUUAAAUAUUAUUAUUAAAAUCUAAUUAAUUUUUAGUAUUAAUUAUUUUAAUAAUAAAUAAUUUAAUAUAUUUUAAUAAUUAUAUAAAUAUUAUUUUAACAAAAAUCUAAAAAAAAUUCAAAUAACAAAAAAAAAAUUUUCAUUCACUCGUUUAAAUAACGAAAAAUCUGUUUUUUCAGAAAAAAUUAUAAAAUUUUUUCUAAAACACAUUUCUUAAAAAUAAAUUUUGCAAAACUAACAGAUUUUUUUGUGCAGUCGUAGUCUUGAAGACCAAUAUGCACUAUGGCGCGGACAUUUUCGAUCUAAAGAAAUGAACUUUUUUUUUUGUAUCCUUCUUUUAAAUCGAUCAGUCAAAAAAUAAACACCCAAAACCUUCUUCUCUGAUGAACUGUAAAUUAAAUAAAAUCAAAGCUUUUUCUUCUCACACUUUGUUUUUUCUCAGAGCAAUUUCAAUGGCGCUUUCACGGCUUAGAAACCCAGUUUUCUCAGAAGCCGCUCCAUCUCUCUUUAGAGCUUGUUUUCUCUCUUCCAACGCCUCACCCAGAUCACUUUCUGGGUGUUGUUUCUUUUUUUUUUUUUUCCCAUUUAUUUCUAUGCUUAGAACUGUUUGUUAUCAACUGUAUUAGGUACUUGCCACUUGCCGUGAUAACCAUUGAUUUGCAUCGGAUUUGAAUCUUUUUGGAUGAAAGUAGUAAUUUUGAGAGUUAGUUUUCUUUGUGAGAAUUUUAGUUUUGAAAUCAAAUACAGAAUUGCAUUUGAAUGAUCUAUUUUUUCUUUUAUUGCAGAAAGUAAUGAUUUUGAGAGUGGGGUUUUGUGAGAAUUUUGGUAUGGAAAUUAGAUGCAGAACUUUAUUGCAAUGGUGCUUGAAAUGAAACUAUGUUCUUUGAACGUUACAAGGAUAUAUAAUUAUCAAAAAGAAAAAGUUUCUGUUAAAUCAUUUUCUAUAUAAACAUGUAUAUAUAUUAGUAUUAUCUUUAGUUCUUAUAUUGGGCUUUUUUUUUGUUCCAUUAUGCAUUUCUGUCUACUUGCUAUAUAUUUAUCGCUUUCAUUUAUAUACGUCUGCACAAUGCAUUUACAAACAAUCUACCUAUAUCCCUUUGUUUCCAAGCGAAAAUAGCAGUUUAGCAUUUUAAGUUACUGAUAUGAGGUAGGAAUACGAUUCUCAAUUGUGACUUUUCUUGAUUAUUUAUAUAUGAUGCCCUUUAAUUUGUGCUAAGUGUAGCACCUUUACAUGAGUUCAUAUCGUUCUACUUAUGUCCUUUUACUGAUUUACUGUUGCAGCACUACAAAUGUUUAGAGCCCUUUCAAAGACUGAAAUGGAUCUUGCUUAAGGUUUUCUCUGUUGACUUCCGAUUUAUCAGUGGUAAAUUUUGUUACGACUGCUUUACAUGAUUCAUUAGUUAUUUAUGCUAUGGUUUUACUUGUGUUAAUCUUCAUGUACCUAUGUUAACACCUUUAAACAUUGUCUCUGCAUUUGGAGUGGAAACAUUUUUUUCCUUGUGUAACACAAUUUUAAACCAAUGAAAUAUCAAGGGAUAAAACUUUUAAGUGAAGUUUGAGUUUGGUCAGUGUUGUUUUUCCCUUCUUGCUUUUGCAACCCAAAACCAAUACAGUUUUGUCUAAAUGAUGGUGAUACAUCAAAGUUAACUCAAUUUCGUUUAUUAUGCCUUUAUUUGGACAAAUGUAGCUGGGUUGCUUACUUUCUGAAUCUUACCGCUUUUUCCCCUCAUAGCAGGCCCAAAUCUUUAUCCACCGUAAUUGGAAUAUACAGUACUUCAUCAAUGCUCGAGGUUGGUAUUUGAUUAUUAUUUGCACUUUUCUAGGAUAAGGUUGGCUUCUGAUUUUAUGAGAUUUUGAAAUUGCAAGUUGGAGUUCGGCAUUUCUCAUCUGCAGGUAUAUGACAUCUUUACUUUUACUGUGUGUUUGGGCGAGGAAUUUUAAAAUUUUGAAGAAUUUAAAAUGAGGAUAUUUUAAAAUACAUCAUUUUAAAAUGUUAACAUUUGUAAUUGUUUUGUUUGGAUAAAUAUUUUUAAAAGAAAAUUUUAUUUUGUUGAAAUUUGAUGAAAUAAGAAAUAAUAUAAAAGAAAAAUAAAAUACAUAUGUACAAAAAUAUGAAAUAUGAACAUCAUUAGAUUUGUAAAAAUGUGUAGAUAUUAUUAAUAAUAUUAAAAAGAAAAAAAUUGAUAUUAGAGUUAAAUAAAAUAAUAUUUUGUUUUUUGGGUUUUGUAUUUUAUGGUGGGCCAUGUGCAGUAAAGUAAUGGGAGAUUUGGAGGAAUUUUAAAAAACCACCUCUUUAGGUGGAGUUUCAAGAGAGAAUUUGACGUGGUCAAAUUUCCUCUUGAAAUUCCUCACAAAUUUUGAAAUUCUCUCUUAUAUUUACCCCAACUCCAAAUGCCUCAUCCAAAGACACCAUUAAACAUUUCCCUCUUUGUAUAUGCCCAUCUAGUUUUCAAAGUCUUGUCAGAGAGGCUCUGAGUGACUUGCUUACUUUUUCGUUCCUUUCUAUUUCAAACCGCUAGCAAAGUCAGUAUGAUCUUAUGCUAGGUAUCUCGGUCAUAAAAAAAUUGCCUACUCGAAUAGCUUGCCUUGUUUAAUCUCUCUUUCUCUCUCUCUCUCUCUCUAUAUAUAUAUAUAUAUUUCAAAUCUAUAAAUUAGAGUCUAAUGAUAGCACUUAUUCACUGUGGAUAUUUCUUGUAGUAGAGUCAUAACCUAGCACUUGGCAAGUGCUGGGGCACCGGUUUCAUGUGUUCAUAUAUACUCAGGGAUAUUUAUCUAGGCAAGGAGCUAUUUACAUGGCUAAACUUUCAUGAAAUUUUUUGUAUCAGUUGAAGUAAGAAACAUCUAUGUCUUGUUCAUCAUAAACAAUUGUGCUUGUUGAGCAGUAGGAAUUCGAAAAGCAAUAUUUGGUAUUAUGGAUACAAGGAUUCUUAUGAAUGGUUCAUUAUUCUAGAUUUUCUAGUAGUUAUAAAUCUGCUUGGUUGAAGAGCACUCAACUGCCUAGCCUCAGUAAUAUACGUAAUACAUGGCCAUAGAAUUAGUUGGUCCUACUUUAGGUUAUAGGUAGGUUGUCAUGUUUGCCUCAGCUCUGUCUAUGGACGAAUACAAGUUACAUAAUGUGGAAUCAAUACAUUGUCUUUGUGCAAGACCUAUUUGAAAAUCUAUUUACUUAUAUUCUUCAUCUUACAUAUAAAAUGUCAGUGCUUCAAAUUGGGAUGUAUCACCUCUUGGUUUCAUAUGUUAAAUAGAUUUUGUGGUCUCAUAAUGCAUUAGUGACUGUUGGGCCUUAAGCUAGCUAUAAAAGUGUGGAGACGGGUUAGAGUAGGUCCCAGAUUCAAGUCUACUUAUUAAAAGGGUAAAUAUUUUCUACCAUUUUUCUUGGUUGUUGGGUUUUGCUUGUUUUCUUUCAUUAUGAUAUUUGCGAAAGAUUUGUUCCUUGCUUAUCACUAAGUUCUGUUAUUACAGACCUUCCUGAGCAUACUGUCCUGGGGAUGCCUGCUUUGUCUCCAACAAUGGUAAUAUAUUUUGGGAUGCUAAGCCUCAUAAUAUUUGACUAUGAUAUACACUUUCUCCCUUUAUUCCAAUAGUGAAGGUUGUGCUACUUCUUGCAUAUGUGCACAGCCAAGGUAACAUUGCAAAAAUGGAAGAAGAAAGAAGGAGAUAAGGUGAGUUAUAUAAGAAACUAAUGGAAGCUAUAGGUUGUAUGGUCUUCGCAUCUGAAUUUGAUGUAAAUUAAAGAUGGUUGUUCAAAAAUAAAAAUCUUGUGAUAAGGUGUAGUGAAUUAAUUGAUUCAUUCUGUCAUCCUGAUUUAUUUCUUGAUCAUUGAUGCUUACCUAACAUUUUGAAUGUACCAUGUCAAAUAGAGACAGAUAAAACCACCUUCAAGUUUGAAAGUCUGGAAGAAGGGUAAACCCUGUUUUUUUGCUUCUUACUGCUUUUAUUUUUCCAUUUCUAUGGUGUCUGAUGUUAAAUCCUAUGGCCUAAUUUAUUACUAAAUUUUGCUUCACAUAUGGGAUUUUUGGUUUCCUUUUACAACUUUAUAUUUUUGCAUGUGAGCCCUUUAUACACUUUUCUUGUGCUGUUUCAUCUUAUUAAUAUUGACCAAAGAGCACACUUGAAUUAGUGAAGUUCAUAACCAUCCUUUUUUCUUUUACUGUUGCUUAUGGUUGGAGUGCUUAUCCGCAAGUUUUUGGCCAAGAUACCAUUAUUACCUGAAGGUUCUAAGGAUGUGCCUGUGGGACAACCUAUUGCAGUAAGGUAUUUUUUCUUUGGUGCAUCCUUUAGUCGCAUACUAUUGAUGGAUCUAUAAAAUUUGAUUCCAUUUGAAUUUUUUCAAGAAGAAAACAAUCUUGCUUAGCAUUUGGGGAUUCUUACAUCCUGAUCUAAUGAGCAUCUGCCCUGCUUACCAACUUUUGCUAGCUAUCCACUUCUUUUUAUGCUUCUUGGAGUUCAAAAAAGUUUAAAGAAUAACAACUAUAUAAAUAAGGACUUAUGUUCAUAAACUUUCUAAUAAAUGGCAACAAAAUUGUAGAAAAAUAACUUCUAAUUUCAAGCAAUAAAAUUUCCAUCUUAUAUGGUGAAUAACUUUUGAUAUCUGAAUUUUUUUUUUUUUUGCUUUUUAAAUAAUAAUUUUUUGUUGAGUACCAACUAUGCAAUAACCAAUUUGUUAAAACUCAUUUGGAUGGGUUCACAAGGUUGAGGAUGAACAAAAUAUCCAGAAGAUCCCUUCUACUUUUGAGGGUGGAUCAGAGGUUGAGGAAAAAACAGCCCAUCAGGAUGUCAGAAACACAGAAAAAGAAGAGGAACCAAGUUCUAUUACUAUCAACGCCUUAGACCUUCCUCCUCACAUUGUUAUUGGAAUGCCAGCACUCUCUCCAACAAUGGUAAGAAAAAUUAGGCUAAAAUAUGAACCUACUUCUCUGACUUUUUUUUACUGCAAAAGCUUAUGUUUGCCUUUUCAUAUUUUAUUAUAUAGAAUCAGGGUAAUAUUUUUAAGUGGAGGAAAAAAGAAGGGGACAAGGUUAGUUUUAUUACCACAAGUUAUUAAACACUUUAAAAUGCUUUGUUUUUCUAUUAGAGUGAAUAAUAAGCUUGUUCACAUCAAUUUGCCUAACUUUGUUGGGCAGAUAGAAGUGGCCGAUGUUAUAUGUGAGAUUUAGACUGACAAAGCUACUCUCGAAUUUUAGAGCCUUGAAGAGGUAAUAUUCUUUCUUGCUUUGGAAUUUAUUGCUGAUUGCACUAAAGUGACAUUAAUUGAUAGUGUAAUCUUCGGACUAACUUGAUUUCUGUAGCUGAUCAUUUGUCUUUAUGUCCAUCCAAAAGUAUGAUAAAUAUUGAGGUAUCAGGCGUAAGUCUUCCAAAAUAGUGCUUAUAGACUUAUUGGAUAUACACUAAGAUGAGAAACACCUUUGGUAUUAAUAUGGAUUUACCUUGUUGUUUUCAAGGAAAUAUUAGCAUGAUCAUAUAUUUUAGUUACACUUGGCCAUGCAUUAGACCCUAAGCCUAUCAAAGUGAACAACAAAGGCAAGGUCUAUGUACAUAUAUAUAUACCUUGUUGUUUUCAAGGAAAUAUUAGCAUGAUCAUAUAUGUUAGUUACACUUGGCCAUGUAUUAGACCCUAGUUCUAUCCAAGUGAACAACAAAAGCAAGGUCUAUGUGUGUGUGUGUGUGUGUGUGUGUGUGUGUAUAUAACAUUGAUGCCAGGCAUAAGCGUGAGUUUUCCAUAAAGCACAUAUGUAGACAUUAUAUUUAGUAAGACUAACAGUGAAAAGUAGUACUACUAAAUAAGAUGUCAAAUCGAGAGAAGCUGUGUGAAAAAUUUGGAGGGCUGUAUUUACGUGGCUAAAUAAGUUGAAUCCUAUGAAAUUGAACAAGCAAAGCUGGUGGAACAUAGUUCAAUCUAGAAGCAAGGGUAUUUUUUAUGAGUUAAUAACAAAAGAAAGGCUUUCUUGGGUUUGAGAUUGAUCUUGGUUAGCAAUUCCUUUCAUUUCUAUGGUUCAUUUCUGUUAAUUAAAUAUAAACUUACUGUUGUCUGUUGAAAUUGUUGGGUGCAGAUACCUGGCAAAGAUACUGGCUCCAGAAGGUUCAAAGGAUGUGGCUGUGGGGAAACCUACUGCAGUAACAGUAAGUCGCCAUUAUAUGCUUUUACGUUGACUUAUUUCAUAUCUUGUUGUAAAUUACUUGAUGCAAUUUACCCCUUCAUAUUUAGUCAAAGGAUUUUUCGAAGUCAAGCUAAUGGUAGUGACUUAACGCACAUGGGGCACUAAUGCUUGUUAUUUUGCAAGGUUGAAGAUCCAGUUGAUAUUGAAGCUGUAAAGACUUCUGUUAGUAGUGGUUCAGCUGUCAAAAAGCAAGAAACAACUCAUCAUGAAUCCAAAAGUAAAGUUAGAGUGCAGAAGUCCGGUACAAAGAUCAAUACAUCAGCUAAGUUGCUUAGAACAUGGAUUAGAUGCAUCAUCACUAAAGGCAUCAGGUCCUCGUGGUAUUUUGCUAAAAGGAGAUGUUUUGGCUGCAAUUAAGUCCGGAAAAGGAUCUUCCAAGAUAUCUUCAUCUGAGAAGAAAAAACCAUCAACUCAAAUCAGCCCUAAGAAAUCUCCUUCAGCAAGGCCUGAGUCAAAAGCUCAUCCACAGCAAUCAGAUUCUUUUGAAGACCUGUCCAAUACUCAAAUUCGCAAGGUAUAUUUCACUGUUCAGUUAUAAGGGAAUUAACAAGGCAAUAGACUUGGGCCUUGACCUUUUCUAACUAGGUCAUUAUUUUAAAGAUAGGAAGAGCAUUAUGGACUGGUUUUAAUCUUUAUUCCUAAAAUAAUGUUCUAUGUGCCUUUAUAUUGCAUUGGCCGUCAGAUAAAACUUAAAAUCCCUUAAGUCCUGUGACUGCAGAUGUUUAUACCAAAUAUUGGAUAGUGAAAAAAUGACCUAUUCAUACAUUUAUGUAUAGGUUGAUAUAAAAAAUUGAAGCAUGCAUCAAUAUAAGAAAGGUAAGAUUUAUGCGCUAAUGACCAAACUGAUGACAAAGGCAGAUGGUGGUGUAGGAGAAUAUGGAAAUAAAAUGAUGCAAAGAGCUUUGCCCAAAUUAGGAGGUUUAUAUGAAUGCAUUUGGCUGAAGUUAGAGGGAGCAACAUUCAAAUGACAUGGGGUUCAAAGUUUGCAUGUUAUAGUUUGACGAAUCAGUUGCACUGACAAGUGAUUUAUUUUAAGUUGAGUUCACCAAAAGGACACAGGCCUUUAUGGCUAUUGCAUUAUAGAAUCACAGAUUAUUGAUUGAAUAGGAUUAGUAAGGGGUUUGAUUGAGAGGGUUUCCUUUUAUUAUUUAUUUAUUUAAAACUUAUUUAUCAUGUAUGACAUAUUAGGGUUGGUUUUAAAUACGGGCAAUAUAUCUUCAUAAACUUGAUAUUAAUACAUCUGAAUUAAUAACAUGUUAGGGUUGGUUUUAAAUAAAGGCACUAGAACUGUGAUAGAAGUAUUUGAACAUGUCAGUCUUCCUUUAUGUCCCUGUAUGCUAUUUGCAAUACAAAAUGUCUGAAGGCUUUUCCUUAAUAUUUGUAGUUAAUUUAUUCGUUCAGUUAAUAGUUGGGUUCUUUGAAGAGAAUUAAAUUUCUAAGCUCAAGGAAAGUCCGAUUAUUGAUUCUUUGUUCUUUUCUAAGCAGUUUGAAGAGAAAUGUAUCUCUGUUACUGCUAUAAGUUCUUUACAACCUUUGCAUUUGUUAUACUGUCAAAUGUUGUUAUUAGUAAGACGUAUUACAAUUCAUCUAUUUGUCUGAUAUUUUUGGAUUUCUCUUUUCACAUAUUAUUACCAGGUGGGUCUAUGAGCCUCCUCUAACAUCCGAACAGGAAAAGACUUAUCUUGUUUUGUGUUGAUAAUAUAUGGUUGCAUCGAAGAAGUUUCAAACAGGAAGAGCACUUAGACUGCUAAUUUAUCAUACAUUUAUGUCGAGUGUACACACUGUGUAUAGGAAAUUUCCAGCAUCAGCUUAUCAGUAAUAAUUGCUAUUUUAUAAAGUGGAAAAUAAUUACAUUAUUCCUUUUUCUUCAAUUAAAUUUAGCUUUCAUACAAAAAUUUUGGCUCUUUUGGCUUAUUUCUAUUAAAAAAUUUGCUAUUUCAAUGACUGCAGGUUAUUGGGAUGUUGAGAAAAGGGGAAAUAAUAGUGUGAUUCUGUUGACAUAUCAAUUUCAGUUGCUACUGAGAAGGUAUGUUUCCAAUAAGAUGUAGUUCUCGGGCUCCAUAGAGCAACGGGUUUCAUAUUAUUUUAUUUGGAUUGCAGGGUUUAAUGAUUCCAAUUGUAAGAAAUGCAGAUCAGAAAUCCAUUUCAUCAAUCUCCUCAGAGGUACUUUCAUUUUUGACCUCUACCCUUUGUUGAUUUUAACAACUUUGUUUGGCUCCACUACUCUGUAGUGUAAGUGAUAUGACUGCGGUUUUAAGCCUAGCAGCCUCGCGUUGGACAUAACAUAAGCUUGAGCUUUCUCAAUUUUGGUUACUUUACACCAGAUCGUUAGGUAUAUUGCCUAUGUACUCUGCCUUUUAAGCUUGUUUAAAUCUAGGGAAAUAACAGAACACAAACUGCCUGUUGUCUGGCCCCUUAAAUAUGUUAACUAAUCAAAACCUCAGUAUAGAUAUAACUUAAGUUAAACUAGAUCUUUAAAAUAAUCUGCACUAUAUAAGAUGAUAGUCAGCAAGUUCAGAAUUACAUGUUUUACCAUUCUUUUGGUCUGUUUCUUUUCUAUUCUUUUCCUUCUUUUUUUUUAUCUUUUAUAUAUAUAUUUUUUGCUUUUUCCUUUUCCAUUUUCAUUUUUUUUUGAUAAUUAGUAUAUUUCACCACUACCAUCACCAACAAGAUGGCUUGAUCGAUUAGUACAACAAGUCAGCCAUCACUGUCCUCCUUUGAGACUACCAUUGUAGCGACCAAAAUCCCUACACAAGCUUAUGUUAAUACAAAUAAAAAAAAAGAGAGAGAUCUGAUUCAAAAUCAGACUCUCGAUGUCUCCUCAAAUAUCUUUAACCACUAGAUUAAAGGCUUGGGGACUCAGACACAGGCUUUGAAUAUUGGUAAAGUUGUUUUAAGUUUGAUAUGCUUUAUCAAAUUUUUUGGGUUUGAUAUUAAAUUUAAAUAAAUAUUAAAUUUCAAAGGUUUGGAUUAGUUCUGCAUUUGAUAUUUUUGAUUUAGGAUUUAGGCUUGUAAACUGAACGCAACCAUGAUAGUUUUUUGCAACUUCAACUACAAUUUUGAGUUUCAAAUACCUACCAAAUAGUUUCUCCUUUAAGAGAAUGGCCCUUGAUCCAAGCAAUCCAAAUUGAGCCCGUUUUAGACAAUAAAGUCCAAAUAUAUUGGAUGAUACAGACUUUGAUCAAACUGAAAAGAUCUUUAAAUAAAUAUACUUUAGAUUUUAUGAAUAUUUCCCCAUCAUUUUAGUUCAAUUUAAUGGUUAGUGAAAUAUGAAAAGUUUUCUAAAUUAAAUUAAUUCGUUUUUUUUUCUUUCAAAAUCUUAUUUUCAAGGCAUUAGUUAAUAAAAUAUAAUUUUAUUUCAAAAGUUUAUUUUCAAAUAAUUAAUUAAAUAAAAUAUGAAAAAACUGGAAUUAAUAUAUAUAAUUUGUAUAACUUUUCUUUUCCUACCUAUUUUUAAUCAAACUCAUUAGUUACUAAGGAUAUCAAAAGUUUUUUUUGAAUAAAUUUUAUUUCUAAUUUUUUUUAAACGUUGUUUUCAAAUCAUUAAUUAAAAAAAUACAAAAAAUUCACAUUAUUUUCAAAAUCAUUAAUUUUAUGCUUUUUCUUCUCCCUAUCAUUUAUGUAAAAAAAAUAGUGAUAUUUUAAUUAACAAUUUUUAUUUUAAACCAGGUGACGACAUUGACAUUUUUCCUUUCAAAGAUUUGUUUUCAAUUUAUUAAAUAAUUGUAUAGAAAAUUAAUAAUUGACAAAUGAAAACAGGAGGAAAUUUAUAGAAAAAUGAUUAGUAAUUUUUGUACACCAAAACAUUUUAGCAAAAUAUGUCUUUGGACUAUUUAACUUCAAGUAUAUCAAGAAAAAAAACUAAUUCUUCUAAAAUGAGAAAAAAUUGACAACUUUCUGAAUUCAAAAAUAUAAACAAUUAUAUCAUAUGUUCUUACUUGAGUUACUUGUAUUUUAGCUACUCACCAUUUAUUGAAUAAAAAAUAUUGACACCUUCAUAGAAUAAAGUAACAGGAAAACCAUUGGCAUCAAGUUAAAUAAACUUUGCAUCGUUUAUUUCCAAAAUAUGAUUCAAUAAAACUAUGGAUUCCAAAUAAAACAUAUCACUCUAAUGUUCCUCUAAAAGAAAAUAAAAAUAAAAAGUCAUUGCAAGAAAAAUUAUCGCAUUUCUCAAGAAGAAACACCACACCGCUUUUGGCCAUGAUUUCAUGAACUUUCUUAGACAUUCCACGCCAUUGGAAGGUGAACUUCCAAUUCACAAACACACCAUAAAUCUCUCACUCAAGCUUCAUGCAAUCACAAAAAGAGAAGAAACAGGACAAUCUAUUCCACGCUGAAUUCAUAAGUUACAUGCUGCAAUAAAGUUACAAAACUUUCAUCAGUUCCCUUUUUUUAUUAUUUAUUUAUUUAUUUUUUGGACAAGAAGCUUGCGUUCAUAUUUUGAAAAUCAAUUUCUAACAAUAAUCAAGUGCAAGAAAAAAAGAUGAACUUCAAGAAGCUUGCACCUACCUCUAUUAUUAUUCUUUUUCAUCAUACUUAUUAAAUUGGUUUCUGAAUAAGAGAAAAAAAAUGCCCACACUGAUAAUUGAUAAAUUAAUAACAUCAUACCAUAUAAAAAUAAGAGACAAUAAUUUAUAAACUUAGAUGAGUAGGUACAAAUGAUGAUUGACUAACUCUAAACAUUUCAAAAGCUUAAAAUUAUAAAUCUAUAGGAAACUGAAUCAAUAGAAAUUCAAUAAUGGCUUAUGUGAUUAAUAACAUCUAUUUUAUCAAAGCAAAUAAUUAAUAAAUUGAUAUUCACUUUUAGGUAAAGUCAUUACAUACUUUUAUCUUUAAAAUUGUUUAAUGUCAAUAAAUAUAUAAGUUAUAUGGUAAAUUCGUAUAUGAAUAUUAUUUUAAUUAUGUAAAUAUGUGUUCAAUACUAACAAUAUUGUAAUUAAAAUCUACGUUAAAUAGCAACUAAUAUAGUUAAUUUAUCAAAAUAAAUAAAACAUAUUUUGCAUAUUAAGCAAAAAAAAAAAAAAAGCUAUAUAUUUCAGUGUUCAACAAACAAAAUAAAAUAGCUUGUUGUUAUUAUUAUCCUUCAAAUAAAAAAGAGUUAUAACAAAAAGGUAUUCCUAAUCGAUGAUUAUAUUAAUAAAUAACGUAAGUAAAUAAAAAUUAAUUUAACUUACUGGCUCUCUUCAUUAUAAUUUAUGUUAUGGUUAAUUAUAUAAAAAUUAUAAUCUAUAUAUAUGUUAUUUCUAAUCAUACAUAACGUAUAUAAAUUAAUUAUAUGUAUUGAGAAAUAAUAUGAAUUUAAUAAAAGAAAUAUAAAAGAAAACACAAAUAUACAAAAUGAGCCUAAUUUCCUGUACAUGUAACCACACAUCCAGGUGAAAAGGUUAUUUAUUAAUCAAGAAAAUCUUUUUUAUAUGUUUACAACUACCAUGCUUCCUUACUUAGACAUAGAAGUUAUUGAAAUUCACCGGCUAUGCAAAUCUCAUAAUUAUUUAAACUCUUUUAAUGAUUUAAUGCAAUUAAAACUCUAGUUUUACUGUAAAAUUUAAAAUGCUACUAAGAAAAAAUUACUUUAAUAAAGAGUUCAAAGUUAAUAAAUAAAUAUAUAGAUAAAAAUUCAAAAGUGGUGAAAGUACCUUGAUUAUUGAACCCAAAUACAUAUUAUGGUAGUAGUAACCUUAACCUGCAAAAAAUAUAUAAAGCUUAACGGAAUACCUUCUUAAAAAAAUUAGAAAUAUAAACUAUGUACUUUUAUAUAAGCUUAAACUAUAUAUAAUUGCAUUUCUUACCAUAGUAAUUAAUCCUGCGUAAUGUUAUUUAGAUAUUCUCUUUUGAUAUUCUUCAGCAUGGAUACAACAUUCUUCAUAUCUAAUCUAUCUUCAGGUAAUUCAGUUGAACAAUCCAAAGCUAAUCUCAUAAUAGAUGAUAUACAAUUUGCUUUAAUAACAAAAUAUUCAUCCAUUUCUUGCACUAAACUAGAAUCUAUUACACCAAUUAUCUCAUUUGAUAAUGACCUUUUCACCCAAUGCUUUAUAUUCAUUUCACCAACGAAAAUUUCAUCUGUGGGCUUCUUUCUUGUGAAAGUCUCUAUUAAUAGAAUACCAUAGCUAUAAACAUCACUUUUUGUCGAAAUAAUUCCCAUCGAUCCGUAUUCUGUAUUUUAAAUAUAAUUGAAUCAUUAAAACGAUCUCAUGCAAUAAAAUGAUAAAAUACUAAUAUCUACUCGUCUUGGAAUAGAGAAAAAAUUAAAAAAAAAUGAAAAAAUCACCUGGUGCCAUAUAGCCAACAGUAGCUAGUGUCAUUGUUUGUUUGAUGGAAUCUCCUUCUCCCAAUUAGCUUGGCAAUUCCAAAAUCCCCACGUGUGCAACCAUGUCCUCAUCCAAUAAGACAUUACUUGGUUUUAGGUCACAAUGGAUUAUAGGAAUCGGAUGUCCCAAAUGGAGGUAUUUCUAAUGCCGAUGCGACAUCUAUCAUUAUGUUGAUUCUAUGUAGGAUAUCCAAUACAUAAUUGUAAGAAUAUAACCAUUUCUCAAGGCUCCCAUUAGGCAUGAACUCAAGCACUAUGGCUUUGGAAAUCAAUAGUUGAACAACAAGUAAUAACCUUGACAAGAUUGCGAUGAAGGAUAUUGCUCAUCACUUCACAUUCAAUGUCAAAACUCUUAAAUGCUUCAUCUAUUUGCAAAUUGAAAACUUUUAUUGCGACUUCUGUUCCAUCUGAAAGUAUUCCUUUGUAUACAGAGCCAAAACUUCCUGAACCAAGUAAGUUAUUCCCACUAAAUCCACCAGUCCCUUGCAAUAGUUGAUUAUACGAAAUUCUUCUCCUUUUCUUGAGAGGAAUUAAAUCGUUAACCAUUGCCAAAUUCAUAUUCCCCCGUUGCCCUUUUUUGUAGACAAUUAUGACAGCUACAACUAUUAUUAUUGAAGCAAAUGUUGGUAAAACAUACCUCAAAGCAUGAAGAGCGGUCUUCUUGAGUUUUGGAUGGAUUUUAUUUUUGCAAGGUGAGACUUGUAGUCUAGGUGAACCACAUAGUGCAUAAUUUUUCAUGAAUGAUUUGGCUGUGAAGUUCAAAAAGGGCCCUCCACUUGGUAUUUCUCCUUCCAAUCUAUUGAAAGACACAUUAAAAUAAUUGAGAUCAUAAAGUUUUUCCAAAGACUUGGGAAUGACUCCAGAGAGAUUGUUGUUAGAUAAAUCCAAGCUUUUCAAACUUAUCAAGUGACCCAAUGAUUUUGGAAUAGGGCCUUGUAAUCUAUUUCUAGAAAGAUUCAAAACCUGUAGAUCAUAGAGACUUCCAAUUGUGGACGGAAUAUCACUUGAUAAUAAAUUCCUUGACAAAUUCAAAGAGAUAAGUACCUUCAAAUUUCCAAUGUCAAGUGGAAGUGAGCCGCUAAGAUUGUUUGAUGAAAAGUCCACUUCUAAGAUAUCUUUAAGGCUCCAAAAAGUUAAAGGUAUUUGCGAAUACAAUUUGUUGGAGAACAAGUAUAGAUGUCUCAGAGAAGUCAAAUCACACAAACAUGUCGGUAAAGGUCCAUCAAGCUCAUUAGCACCCAAUGAUAAUUCGUACAAUCCCUCCAAACCACAAAGAUCGUGUGGGAUAGAGCCUUGUAACUUAUUCCCAGAAAGAUUCAAAAGUUGGAGAUUUUUUAGCCUUCCUAUUGUUGUUGGAAUAGGUCCAGUCAAUUUAUUAGAAGAAAGGUCUAACAAUAUAGCGUUGCUUAAGCUACCAAUUUCCAUGGGAAUGCUGCCUCUAAUUUUGCAAUCAACGACCAAUAAUUUUUGAAGUGAUGUGGAAAGAUUUGAGAUAGAAGUUGGAAGAAUUCCAUUCAAUGGGUUGAAUGAUAGGUCCAAAAUUCUUAGAUACCUGCAAUUUGCCAAGGAAUAGAGAAAGCUCCACCCAUGAGUUGAAAUUUUGGUGGUCAAAUCAUUCGACGGAAGGUUCAAAAUCUCAAGGAACCUCAAAUUCCCAAGUGUAUUUGGAAUAAGGCCAUAGAAUGAGUUUCUAUCUAAAUCUAGGACUCUGAGCUUAGAAACAUUGGAGAUAGAGUCAGGAAUAUUUCCACUGAGAUUAUUCUCCGAUAAGUAAAGCUGCUCAAGAUUUGAAGCAGAGCUCAUGUAUGGUAAUUUACCUAAAAUGAGAAAAAAUAAGUUUUCAACUUUCCAUACAAGAAAUAAAUUAAUUGUUUUGCUUUGUUGUGUUUUUCAUGAAUCUAUGAUGCAAGCUGAAGUGAAUGCAAUGCUUACAUAUACGAACAUGAGUGAGGAGAAACAUGAAAAAAUUAUAAAUAUGAAACAACUUCAAGUUUUUCUUGUUUGAUGAUCUGGAAUGUAUAUAUAGUUUAUAAAUAUUUUUCAUAUUUAUAAUGAUUAGAAGGCUCCAUGCUUACGUAUAAUAAAGUAAAAAAGAGGAAAAAGGAAAAGAAAAAGAAAAAUGAAGAUAGAAGAAAGGUAGGGAGAAAAGAAAAUAUUAUUAAGGUUUCUAGUAUAUGCUUAAAAUGUUUUCCAUUUAUGUGAGAAUUUUAUUUCUUUAACUUAUCUCAAUUGCUUUAAUGAUAAAAAGAUUAAAGAAAUUUUGGAUGAUGAAAUUGUUCAUUAAAGAAAAAGAAACAAGACAAAAAUGAAGAAAAUAAAAAAUAAAAAUAUAUUUACAUUAAUUUCUUUGAGAAAGUGUAAAUAUUUGGGAAAUAAAUUAAAAUUUUUAUCUAUGCCAUUUCAGGAAAAAAGACUCAAGAGAAAUGAUAAAAUUUCUUUCAUUUUAGACUAUAUGCAUAAUAAAAGAGAUAAAUACAAAGAUUCUGUUCAAAGAUUGUUAAAAGUACAUGUACUCUUUUUAGUUUGAAAAUCACUUUUUUUCUUCCCUAAGGUCAGAUAGAACCUUACGAAUGCUCUAACAGAGGAGGUUCAUUUGAGAUAUGUUGGAGUAAUACUGUAUACAUUUUCCUACUACAAUAAAAAAUUUAGUAAUAUGAUGACAAAAAAUGUGAAACUAAUGAAAAAGAUUUUAAAAUGAUGCUUUCGAUUACACAAUUAUUACAGGGUGAAAAGCCUUGCCUUAGUCCGAUUUAGAGGGUGAAGUAAAGGUAAGUCAAAAAGCUCUUCUUGGAUACUAUGAAGGCCACAUAAGAGCAUUACCUUGGGAGAAAAAAUUUGGUUACACUGUUUGUUGAUGGAAUUUUUCUACGAUGUAGUCUCUUUAAUCUCAAGCAAUGUUUUGUCAGAUGUGGGAGGGUGGGUGAUUUUUAUGUCCUAAAAAAUCAAAAGAGAGCCAAAAAUGUCUUAGAUGAUUUUGUCCAUUAUCUUGAUCUACGGGAUGCAUUGAGGGCUGUCAAAUUUCUAAAUGGUUAGCUCCUGAGUUACUCCACUCUAUAUGUUCAAAUGGCAAGGAAUGAUCAAAGGUCUCCUGCUAGUUCUAACCCCACCACUCACCACAUGGAAAAAGGUGUAAGCUGCAUAGAAGACUUUAGAGAUGAACGAUCUUAUGCAGAGGUGGUUCAUAUGUCUGUCAAAUGCACUCAGUUAAAGGAUAACAUUGUAUCAGAUGGUCAAAAAGAAGAGGUUUUAAAAUGGCUUAACAUCCUUGAAUACAUUCCUGAAAAUUUAGAUUUGGUUGGAUUACAACGGAAUGCUGUUGGGAUAGUUAGAUAUUCUGAUACUGCAAAUGCCAUUGAUCAAAUCUUGUCAGAGAACUUCGAUGAUCGUUCUGUCACUAUAAUGGGUGAGAAUAUGGUUCUUUUGACUUUUGAAAGCAAAGAAAGUAGGGAAAGACUUAGAUGAAAUUCUUUAAGUAAAAUUUAUGAAGUUUUUAACCAAAAAUGAUUAAAUAAAAAUUAAAAUAAAAAAUCAAAACUGAUCGACUAAAAUAUCUUGUUACAUAGAUCAAGUAUGCAAAAUUUGAAAAAAUUUAAAAAAAUUUAUAUUUUUUUAUAUAGACAUUUUUAGUAAAAAUUUUAUAAAAAUUUUUACCGUUAAAUAAAUAUUGAUCAAAUUUAAAUAUAAAAUAAUAUUUUUAAUAAUUUUUUUUUUACAUAUUAUUGAUCUUCACAUUAAAUUCUAUCAAUCUAUCUGUUUUUAUUUUUUUAUUAAAGUUUUUAUUAAAUCAUUUUUAAGAAAAAAUUUUACAAACUUCACCUAGAAAACUUUAUGUAAGUUUUGUCCAAGAAAGUAUGUUAUUAUCUCUGGAACUUGGUUAGUAGUUUCUAUUGAGCUUAUGAGCAAUAGUGAUCUAGACGCUGAGAAACUUUUCAAUGUUGAAGAAAAAUUUCACCUUCUUACUACUAUUCGAGCAGGUAAAAGAAGGAAAAAAGUUAAGGCAAAAUAUUGGACAAGAUCCAAUCGCAAGUCUCGCCAGAUAAAGACAACUCUAGUUUCCAAUGUUCAAGAGCACUUAUGAGAUGAAGAUAUUCGUUGUCGAAAUAGAGCUUUUCUAGAAGAAUAUGAUGGUGGUUAUGAGGUUAAUGUUGGGAGUUUUAGCGUUUUGCUAUUUGUAUGCUUUUGGGAAAUGGAAGUACCCCUAUGUAAAAAGAAUCAUCGACCAUGAAAGUUGUUGUCUAUAUUUUUUGAAAUUGUGAUGCUUUGGAGAUCAAUUGGGGCAUCCAGUUUGAUAAAAAUUUUUUAAAAAGCUGAAUGAUAUGGUAGACGUCAUGGCAAAGGUGGGUGGUGAUUUUGUCAUGGCAAGGGAUAGUGGUGUUUGCUUUCAUUAUUUGUUUACCGACCAUGGUAGUGUUUGCCAAUAAAACUACCCCACGUGGAUACACACUAGUAAUAAAUAUAAAAUUAAUGAAAUACAUUGAUAUAUUUUCUAUUACACAAAAAAUAGAUUUUAAGUAUUUGCAGAUAAAUAAAUAUAAAAAUAUAAAAUAUUAUAUUACUACUUUAAGUUAGAUGUAACAAAAAAUUAAAUCGGCAUUAAAUUAAUAUGGGAGUAACAAAGUACGUUAAUAUUACUUUUUAUUACAUUAUAAAACAAAUCAAAUAAUUUUAUCAUAUAUAAUUGCUAUGGGAUAAUAAAUAAUAGCCAUAUUACAUCACAAGUUUUGGGUACCUAUCCUUUCUCCACAUUGGCCAACUUUGUAGACUUAGCAAGUGGUGCGCAUCUUAGUUAGGGGCAUGACUCCAUCAUAAAAUGUUUUUUUUUUUAAAUUAUAAAUAUUUUCCAAAAGAUGGAAUUUUCCAUUUUCGGGUUUGAUUUUCAAAUUCUUUUGAGUCUGUUUUGCUUUUCCCUAAUUUAAUUGGAAACAGUUUUUGAUUUUAAUAAGAUAAAAAAAGGUUUGAAAAACAUUUCUCAAGCCUUUCAAUGACACUUCAUUUGUUUAACAGUUUUUAUAAUUUUAUGAUUAUUUGUUUUAUAAUCCUAAACUAAACCUUUUUUUAAACUAAAGUAAAUAAUUUUAAAUAUAAAAGUAAUGAAAUGUUUAUAAUGAAAUUACCUGAUAGACUAUUGUUGGCAAGACUAAUUGCUUUCAAAGAAGAAAUGUUGAAGAUGGAAUGUGGAAUCAAUCCACUUAACUGCAUAGAUGAUGCAACUAAUUUCUCCAAUGAAAUAAGAUUCCCAAUCUCCCAUGGAAUUUCACCUGCAAAGGAAAAACAACUUUAUUAUAAAACUAUCCACUUUCUAAACAUUUCAAUAAUAUUGAGGUUAUUUAAAAUGCAAUAAAAGUCAAUUACACAGGAAACCCCUAAUUUCUUCAAUGUUUAAAAUAUGAAGGAAUAAUUAAUUUCAUCAAUACUAAAAGUUUGAGUCAAAAUGAGAAAGCAUAAAAGAAAACCAAAUGUGACUAUUUUCAUGUUGAUCAUUCUAUUAAUUUUUAUUUUUUAGUUAUUUUUUAAUUUUUGUUAUAUAUACAAAAAUCAUGAAUAUGAUGUAAUUUACUCUAUUUUAGGUUUUUUUUUCUAUUACUUUUUGCAAAAACAAAAACAAAUAGGAAUAAAAAAAAAUAUUAUGAUCAAACAGAGCCUAAAUAAUAAAAUGUCCAAGAGAUAUCUUUUGGUUUAUAAAAUUACUUAUCCCAUUUGAAUUAUUUCCGUUGAAUCAAAUUGGAACCUAAGUUCCCACAGCUAUCACGACGAAAUCCCACAGCAACUAGACAAUCAAGCCUGAUCUUAGGCUUUACUUGAUCAUUAAAGCAAAAAGUUGAGUUCAGUACAAAAGUAAGUAAUAUUCUUGAAUAAUUAAUUAAAAAUAUUUUAAUUUCUGUUAAUAGUUUAAUAUAUGAUUUUACUUUUAUAUAGAAUAAUAAUAGAUUACAUUUUGAAUGCUUAUUUUAUUUUACCUUUUUCUCAAUUUUAAUUUAAUUAGGUGGAUACCACACAUUGUCUCGGAUUAAAAUUUUUUUAUUUUUUCAUCCCUGUUCAUUGAUUUUUUAAAAUUUUUUUACCUAAUUUUAAACAAAGCACAAAAAAAAAAGGUAAAAGAUAAAAAAAUUCAAAUGAGAGUGGCACAUUGACAUAUAAAUUAGCUUCUUAUUCUCACAAUAUAUUUUAUUAAAAAAAAUUUUAUUUUAUAUUUUUACGUGGAAACCCACUUAAUAUCAAGCUUUGAAUAAAAAAACCAGUGAAUAUAUAUAAUUAAAUAGGUAAUAAAAUAUUUAUUUAUAUAUGUGUGUAUAUAUAUAUAUAUAUAUAUAUAUAUAUCAUAGGAUGGCUUGAUGCAAAGUAUCAUAAAUUUGAUUUUGACAUGUCCCUUGUUUCUAUAAAAAAAUUCGACUUAAAUUUAUUCGCUAUUGAUUUUUUCCAAAACCUCUCAUAUUAAAUCGAGAUGGAUACAAAUAUAGUGGAUAUUGAUUGUUUUGUAAUUCUUAUCAAUAAAAAAUCAAACAUGUGAUGUACCCUUGAUAUUAGGUAGUUCCUACAUAAAAAUUAAAUAUGUAAAAAAUUAUAAGUUAAAAUUUUGGAAAAAAAUAAAAUGGUAAAAAUGACAAAGAGGAAAAACAAAUCUUGAUACAAAGUGGGUCUCACCUUUAAAAUUUUAAAUUUUUUAAAAAUAGUUAUUAAAUAUUUAAAAAUAAGGAAAUAAAGAAAAACAAAAAAAUUAAAAAGAAAAAGAAAAUUUUAAUCUUUCAAAAAAUAAUUAUUAAAAUUUAAAAAAAAAAGAAGGAAAAAAAAAAAAGAGGAGUACCACAUGACACCUCUAGGAUGGUCAAGUUUUGGUCAAAAUAGCCUAAAUUAAUUAUAUAAACAGAUAUAUAUGUUUUAGUUUUUCCUAAUUUCUUUUGUGUGCAUUGUUGGAGUCUUGGUCAGCGUAAAGCUAUAUUCAGUCGCGUAACUUAGGGAGUGUUAGUUUGAACAAUAUUUCACUAUAUAAUUAGUUCGACAAAAUUAGUGACAAAUUAAAUAUUUUGCAUUUAAAAUUUAAGAACGAACUGUUUUGAUAAAAGAAAAUUAUCAAAGGCAAAAAAUAAAAAUAAAAAUCUUACCUUCCAAAUUAUUUUCCUCCAAGAGUAGCACUUUGAGCCUCGUUAAAUUUCCAAUACUCCUUGGAAUGCUGCCACUGAAUCUAUUGAAGGCUAAAGUUAAAUUUUGAAGACACCUGCAUUCAUCUAUACUUGAUGGAAUUUGACCAGAAAACUCAUUUAAGGCCAAGUAAAGUGCCUCAAGAUUGGGAAGAUGACGACAUAUAUCUUCAGGUAAACUGCCAGAUAGACUGUUAGAUCCAAGAGAAAUCACGUGUAGGGAGGAAAUGUUAGACUGAAGGAAAGAAACCAGAAAGUUGGUUAAAUGCCAGACGAAGUAUCUUUAGAUUUAGAAGAUUACUUAUCUCGGAUGGAAUGUGUCCUUGAACGAGAUUCUGCCUCAAGUCCAAGAUUUCCAAGUUGGACAUUUUAGCUAGUGAUUGAGGGAUUGUACCUGUCAAAUUGUUGCACCGGAGGCUCAAAUAUAAAACUUUAUUUAAUCUCCCAAAACAUGAGGGAAUUUCCUCACUAAAAAAAUUGAAGCUUAAUUCUAUGAGUUUCAGACGAUUUAAUUGCCCCAACUCUGUCGGUAAAUGCCCAUAAAAUUGUUGUGACUCAAAUCAAGAGAUACUAAGAACGACAGAUUUCCCAAUUGUGGAGGAACAGUUCCUUAUAAGAUUCAUGUUGGGAAGAUUCAAAGCGUUGACUCUCCUAUGCUUAGAAGCACAAGAGACACCAAUCCAGUUGCAAACAGAGGUAGCGUUGGUCCAAUUGUUUGCUAAGAUAUUGUGAGGAUCAACGAUUCGGUGUUUAAAUUCGAGAAGAGCAUAUUGAUGCUGUCGUAAGGUUCCUCACACUCAUGGCGUAACUAAUCAUCAAACAAUGAAUGAACAUUAAAGCUGACGACAGAAAAUGGAAUUUUCUCAUGUCCAUGGCUGUGGGAAUUGAUGAAAUGCAGGAUGGUUUGAGGAAGUCUGCUCAAAGUAAUAGUUAAAUAUAGAAUCAACUAGACUUAGACAGGAAAGUCGUUCGAUGGUCUUCGUCUUCACAAUAAAUAAACGAGUGAAACUUUUCACUUUGAAAUUAAUUUAUAUUUUAGCAUCUUUUUUUUUUUCUUUUUUCUUUUUUUUUUUCUAUCUCUUUCUUUCUUUUUAUUCCUUGUCUUGUACGCUUUAUUAGGCCCCAUGACUCCACGUGUUACGCGAGAUUGUUGCAAAAUAGUAAUGCUGCAUCUCUCUUCUUGGAGAAAAUAUAGUAAUCUAUGUUAUUUUUAAAGCAGGUGGAAUCAAUUUAAUUAAUGAAAUUACUUAAAUUUUAAGAUGAUGAUGAUGAUGAUAAUAAUAAUAAUAAUAUGUAGGCACAAAUACUUAUGUUUUGAAUUUGUUUUUGUAAAAAAAAAAAAAAAAAAAAACUACACAUCCAAUACAUCGAGUAACAUCUUUUAUUAGCUAACUUCCUUUUUUUAUCAAAAUAUUUUCUUCUUCACUCACAUAUCAAGUGUGUCAUAAUCUAAAAAAAUAAAAUUAAUUUAAUUAUUAAAUUAUUUUUAUAAAAUAAAAUAGAGAUAAAUUAAAUUAUAAAAAUUUAAAAUUAACACAUAAAAUAAAUAAAAACAUAAAGCAUAAUUUUAUAUUUAUAAUAAGAAAAAAAACCAUAAUAAGAGCUCAAACAUAAUAAAAAUUUUAUUCAACAUCUUAAAAUAAGUCCAAAAAUACAACUCCCAAUAUCUUUCAUAAAAUGUCAAAAGUACCCAUAAAAAUUAAAUUAAAUCUUUCUAUGACCCUUAUGAACAUGUGUCAUCACCACAUCUAUCUGUAACUAAUUUUUAAUUUAUAAUGAAAAGCGUUAAAUCGAUUAUAAUUUUAUAAAAAAAAAUUUCUAAGGUAAUAAUGAUGAUAAUGUUGUUAGGAUACAAUACAAUCUAAAUUUUUUUUGCUAAAUAAAUUUAAAUUUAUUUUUAAACUAAAAUUGUGAAUAUAUAUAAAUAUAUAUAUAUAUAUAUAUAGAUAUACACACACACUAAUGGUAACGUGAUUGAGUUGCAGUCAUGAGUUAAUCAAUUGGUAAAUUUACAUUAAAUCCAAAGUUAAAAUAGAAUAACAAUAUAAAUUUAAGAUUUUAAAAAAACUUUUUUAAUCUUAUUAAGAAAAAGCUACCCACCCAUAAAGUAACAUCCUAUAAAAAAAUUAAUUUUUAAUGAAUUUUCUUCGCCCCACAUGAGUAUAUUGAAAUAUGGUACUUCUAUUAAAUUUUUUAUUUAUAUGGUCUAAAAUAGAUUUAGUAAUUCAUAUAUUUGUAUUAUGUCAAUAUACGUAUAAAAUAUGAAAGUUUUCAUAUCAAAUUUAUUUUGAUAAAUCAAAUAUAAAAUACUUUUUUUGUUGUUGUCAAAUCCACAUAAAAUUUUUGUCAAAACUUUAAAUAAUAUCACUUUCACAUAUUUUUUCAUAUAAUUUUAAUCUUACGUGAUCGUGUUAAACUUAAUAUUAUCAUAUAUAUAUAUAUAUAUAUAUAUAUAUAUUGCAAAUGAUUCCACCUAAUGCAAGCAAUUCUCUCUCCAAUUGACCUGACUAAGAAAUUUUGAAGUCAGAAAAGCAAUUGACUUUGUUGCAAGAGCAAGAAUUAAUCUAAACCUUACCAAAUCAAAGCAACCACUAUUAUUUUUUUCGGAAAUCAAAGCAACCACUAUUAUUAUUACGACAUUAACAUGUGAAUUUGUAUGGUUUCAAAAAACAGUAAGGUCUUCUUCUAACUGCGUUUCGAUCUUUUAAUAUUAUAUGUUGAAUUUGAUUACUUUAUUAUCAUACUUGGGUUGUUAAAUAAUUGAGCCUGGGUGUAAAACCUCCUAAUUUGUAACCACUACUUUUUUAAGGUAAGGAAAAUUAAAAGUAUUUAUUACCUAAAUAGGCCAUUUUUAAAUUAUUUUUUCUUUUCAAAGAGUUUUUUUUUUUUAACGAAAUGUCAAUUUUUAUUACUAAACAGGUAGUCUAGUACUUUUAUAAAUCUUUGGAUGAAUUUGAUAUCACCAGGUAAUUGAUACCAACGGUCUUGGUCUUCACAAUAAAUAAAAUGAGUCAAGCUUUUGAUUUUGGGCCCUCUUAUUUGCUUUUGAUCUCCUUUUACAAAGCAUAUCUAAAACCAAUAUAUCUUUUUCUCUUUUUCUUUGUAUUUAUUGGACUUGCAUACUUUGUGAGACCCAACUAGUCAUUUCUCCUUGACUCCGCGUUUUACGCCAUGGGCUUGUAUGAAAUUUCAGGCAGUCAUUCUUUUAUAUAAAUAUAAAUAUAAAUUAUAUAUAUUUUUCUAAGAGAUAUAAAUUAUAUUAGGAUAAUUGAUCAUUGAUAAUAUUCAAUAUUGAAAAAAAUAAUUUUAAAAUUUUAAAAUACAAUAUCGUACUCAAAUUUCAAAUAAAAGUGAUCUAAUUAUUUUUUAAAAUUUAUUUUCAAAUCAUGAAUUUAUAGAAUAUGAAAAUAUUAAAUUAAUAUGAUAAUAGUAUAUAAUUUUUCCUUUACUUAACAUUCUAGUUAAUUUCAGUGGUUAGUAGAAUAUAAAAAGUUUUCAAAUGAAUUUUAUUUAUAAUCUUUUCUUUCAAAAAUUCUUUUUUAGUAUUAAUUAAUGGAAUAUGAAAAGAAUGAAGUUAAUAUAAUAAUAUUUUAAAACCAAGUUAUAAAUUAAAAUUGCUUUAAAAUUUGCUAAUAUAUGGGACCAAAUAUUUAAUGAAAUUCUUGUGCAUUUUCAUUUUACCCUUCAAACAAUUCAUAAAAUUAUAUAAAAAAAACUAUAUAUUUUUCACAUUUAUCUUUUUAAUUUAGUUCAAAAUUUCUCUUGAUUUCAUUUAUUUCAAAUUUAUCUUCAUUUCAUUUAUCUCAAAUCGAUAACUUUAAAAGUCAAUGAAAUUUGCUGCCUUGAUAUCAUGUAACUGUUGACAUAAAUUUCAAUAAAAAAAAAUUAAAAAGAUCUUUUUGUUUUUUGCCAUAUGAUCAUUGUUUAGGCUCGCUUUUUUUACCACAAUUUUUUAUUUAAUAUGUACACAAAUUCAAAUAAGGAUAAAGAGAUUUGAGGACACAUGGAGUGUCAGUUUCAAUUCAACCCUAAGAUAAGUUUAUGAUAGUACCAUAUAUCAAAGCCGUGAUUGGUGCAAUCCAAAACUGAGCAAGCAAUUCUUUUUCCAUGAGAGAGACAAAAGAAGUAUCAAUAAGUUUAUUUUUAUUUUUCACAUCCAUAAAAGAAAAUAAAGGAAUCUAGUCAGAAAAGCUAAGGACAUGCUCUAAGUGCUAGGCCUUGAAUCAAUCCAAGUCAUCUUGCUUUCGACAAACAUCAAAGCAGGCUAAGAAAUUUUAAGUCAGAAAAGCUAAUGAUCGUUUUCUAAAUGCAAGGGUCAAUCAAGUUGUCUUGGUUUCACAAAAUUUUAAGUCAGGAAAGCUAAUGAUUGUUUUCUAAACGCAAGGAUCAAUCAAUUGUCUUGGUUUCACACACAUCAAGGAAAACUAAGAAAUUUUACGUCAGGAAAGCUAAUGAUCGUUUUCUAAACGCAAGGAUCAAUCAAGUUGUCUUGGUUUCACACACAUCAAGGCAGACUAAGAAAUUUUAAGUCAGGAAAGCUAAUGAUCGUUUUAUAAACGCAAGGAUCAAUCAAUUUGUCUUGGUUUCACACACAUCAAGGUAGACUAAGAAAUUUUAAGUGAAGAAUUAAAACUAUCAAAUGCAAGGAUCAAUCAAGUGGUCUUGGUUUCACACACGUCAAAACAAACAGAGAAAUUUCAAGUCAGGAAAGCUAAAGAUCAUUUUCUAAACGCGAGGAUCAAUGAAGUGGUAUUGAUUUUACACACGUCAAAGCAGACCAAGAAAUUUUAGGUGAAGAAUUAAAGCUACCAGUUGCCAGGAUCAAUCAGUCUUCUUGCUUUUCUCUUGCAUCAAAGCAAAUCAUUAUGUUAUUACCUCGGAUAGGUAAUUAAAUAAUUGAAAUUGGGUUUAAAAGCUUUUAAUUUGUAAUUUUUUUUUCUUAAGAUAAGGUAAAUUAAAAUUUUUAUUAUCAAAGAGAUAGUAGUUUUAAAUUUUUUUCUUUAAAAGAUGUAUUUUUUUUAUAUAAAAGAUGUCACAACUUAAAUAUUGAGAAACAAAAUGUAAGUAUUAGGAUUUAAAUUUCAGAUUUAUUAAAUGUAAUCUCUAUACUAGAUUUUUGGUUCUUGCUUUACAAUAUCACUUAUUUUUUAAAAAAGAUAUUUAGAAUUCGUUUGGUUUGAUUAAUUUUUUUUUUUUUUUGUAAAAAGUGUUAUAAUAGUAUUUGACAAACAUAAUGCAAAAAUGCUCUAAAACAUAAAAAGAAAAUUAUUUAAUAAUAUUUUUAUAGAUUUUUAUUAAAUACAAAUUAAAAGGCUUAACUUUAUAAGCCAAACCAAUAAAUAAAACAAAGAUAUUUUUUAUUAAUUAGAAAUUAAAAAAUAAAUUAGAUUAAUAGAAAAUUUGGAUCAAGUAAAAAAAUAUGUAUGUGAAAUAAUUCAUUUUUAUUAUUUUAUGAAUUAUUAACAAAUAAAUUGAGAAUGUGAAAAAAAAAACUAAGUAAUAUAUUUUUUAUUAUACAACAACAAUUUUGAAAAGGUUUUAACUUAUAAAAUCUUUUAAAAAGCCAAAUUAGCUUUGAUUAAUAAUUUUAAAAUUUUGAAAGUAAAACAUCUUAUUUAUAUUUUUGUUGUAAAAAACUCUCAAAUAAACUAGAACAAACACCUUUAGUAAUGCAUAUAUAUAUAUAUAUGUAUGUAUAUUUGUAGGCACCAAUUUUGUGAUAUUAUGAUUUUACUUAUAUUAUUAUUAUUAUUAUUAUUGGGUGGCCAAUCACACUCUAUAAAAAUAUUGGUGGCGACUCCGAAAUUUUCACCAAGUCUAACGAUCGAGUCUCCUCGGAUGAAAAAUCAUUAUGAUAAUAUUUUUUAUAUUUAUAUGUAUGUGUGUUUAAAAUAGUUUUUCAAAAUUGCAAGAGUUUCUUUUAAUAAAACAUUAGCGUUCGAGAUCCCACUUCGGAUGUGAUCAUAAUUAUUAGGAUUGAAUUGGAUCAUUAAUCAGAUCAGUUGAAUUGAUCAAUCGAUACCUGAAUUAGUUCGGUUUUAUUAAUAGACUAAAUUUGUGAUUAACUUGCAUUAAACCACAUUGAACUGAUGGUUGAAUGAAUAAAUCACUAAUCUGGCUAGUUUUUAUUGAACCAUUUUGGUUUUAAUUUUUUUAAUGAGUUUAAAAAUUAUGAUUAAUUUAGUUUUAAUAAUUAAUAUUAUGGAUUAUUGUAUUAUUCAAUUAAAAUAAUAUAUUUUAAAGUAAAAUAGAUAAUAAAAUAUGAAAAUUUAAAUAAUUAAAUGGUGUUAUCCAUCCUUACAUGUUAUGCACAUUAAAGAAUAACUUAAUAAAAUUUAACUCCUUUCUCAUUUAUAUUUUUAGGUGACACACUCAUAUCAAAUUAAAGGAUAAAAACUUGGCUAAAAUUAAAACUUUAAUUAUCAUUUUGGAGCUUGAUUUGUUUUAUAUCAAAUAUCAUCAAUUUAAAGGAAAAUUUUUUAUGUCAUUUUUUAAAAUUUAUAUUUUACAUAAGCUUUCUCUUUUUUAAAACUUUUUUUUUGUUUUUAAGUUUUUUAGAGUAUUUACUUUUUUAAAUAAUAUGGUUGAAUUAUUCAAUUAGUAUCUUUAGAGUUUGAGUUAUGAGUUUGAAUUUUAAAUUUAUUUUUGUAAUUUAAGUUUAUUAUAAUUUUUAAAUACAUAUACUUUUUAAAUACAUAUACUUUUUUUACACUUAUUAUAUUCUGUUAUAUAUUUUUAAUUUUUUAAGUUUGAAAUUAUCUACAAUAGAAUUUUAUUACUUAUCACGUAAUGGAUUAAAUUUUUAAAAUAUUUAUAUAUUUAUAUAUCUUUAUUAGUUUAACAAUUGACUUGAUUGACCUAACAGUUGAACCAAUGACCCAACACUUUGAACAGUUCAGUAUUUGGUUUAAUUCUGAUAAUUAUACAUGUGGUUGCUUUUUAUAUCAAUUUAAUUAAAAAAUUAUUUUUUGUAAAAAAAAUCAAUUUAAUUAAAAAUGAUAACAUUCUUUUUUAAAAAGAAAAUAAACGAAAAAAAGAUAAUAAUUUACCACAAAUUUGGGGUUGACCUAAAUCAAGAGAAGUCCAAGGAAAUUAGGCUUGUUAAGUGGACUUGGGACUUAGUCUACUUCAGGUAUUGGGUCUCUGGGAAGGAAAAAUGUGUUCUAAGUCUGAAUUCGAGCCUACACAUUGAUACUUUUUUUGCAGUACAAUAUCAAAACUCAAUUUUUUUUUCAAUUCAUUUUACCCUUUUAUUUCUACUUAAAAUUCACCCUUUUUCACCCAAACUACUUAAUUUUCAACAUCAACCACCAUCAUUGGUCAUUGUUCAUCAGCACUAAAAAUCACCCAAAGUUCCAACAAAAGAUUUUUCUCAUGCAAUGUGUCAAUAUAUGUGGCAAUUUUUAGAUGCUUUUGUGGUACUUGAAAAUCACUUCUUUUUUAUCUACUUUUCUUUUUGUUUUUCUUUCCACCAAAACAAUGUAGUUUUGAUACAAAAUAAAUAAAAUUAGUCUUAAAAGCCCUAAACACCAUCUUUUCUUUCUUUUCUCUUAUUGUCAUCACAUUACCUUUUCUCAUCGUCAGCCUUUUUUCAUAGCUAUCACUAUUGUUGAUCUUUGUCUUGUUACAUUUGUCUUGUUGACAGUAGCUCCCUUUUCUCUUUCAUUUGUUUUUUGUUUCUUUUUUCUUUUUUGUAUCAAUGAAAAUCUAAAAAUCCCAAUCUCUCUCACAUUGUCUUCCUUCAUGGGUGGCCUUAGAUCCACUGUUGAUGGCUCAGUUUCCUCUCAUUUCCCAUUCUUUUUUAUUCUUUUCAUCUUUUUUUUUCUUUUUCUUUUGUUUUUUUCCUUGUCCUUUUUCAUUUUCACCCUUUUUUCGUAACAAGUAUAUUUUGCCACCACCACCACCAUUAAGAUGGCUUGAUCAAUGAGUACAACAAGCAAGCCAUGAUUGUCAUCUUUUGAGAUCACCGUUGUAGUGACAAAAAUCCCUACCCAAAAGAAAAAUGAUCCUAAUUAUAGGAAUUUUAUAGCACCUUAUUUUAUGUUAAUUUUUAGGUUUUGAUGUUGUCAUGUCGAUUUUGAAGGCCACUAAAUGAAUUAAAAAAUAUAAGGAGUCACCACCAAUAUUUUUUGGUUAAAUGCGAUUAGUAACAUAGUAAAACUUAGCUUUUUAAUAAAAUCUUUAAAUUAAUUAAGAUUAUUUGAAAUGAUAUUUUUUGAAUUUACAUAAAAAAACAAAGCCUGGUUCAAGAGUCUAGUUCCGUGUUGGAAAGAAUUAAUAUCCCAUAACAUCCAUUUAAGAACGAUACAAUAAUCAUGUAUAUCCUUUAAUCUUGACAAAAGUUGUUAUAAUUUUGAUAUUUAAAAUUAAUUUCCUUGACUUCCUUUGUUUAUCAUAAUUUUGAUUUUUUUAUUUCAUUUUCUUCAUGAAAUUUUUCCUCUUUGUAAAAUUAUUAUUUUACUUUAUUUGAAAAAUAAAUUGAAACCUUGUUAUUGAAAGAUUCUCAAAAUGUUUCAAUACGUUGGUAACAUUAUGAUAAACUUGUUUCUCACCUAAGGUUUUCUUAGGAAUCAUUACCUAAAUUUCUUUAUAAUCUCAUUUUAGAGGCUCAUAUUUAUCUUUAAAUCAAUAUUUAUAAUUAAAUUUAAUACUCAUAACUUCAUUUGAAUAAUAUCUUUCUUUUUUAAUAGAAUAAAAAGUAAACAAGAAUUUUUUAUGAAGAUUAUUCUAAAGUUUCCAUUAUUUUGGCAGUAUUUUAUAAAAUUAUUCUCAUAUAGAUGGUUUUAAAGAAUCAUUACUUUGAUUUUCUUAAAAUCCCAUCGUAGGAAAUUCACAUUUAUUUUCAAGAUAUAUUUAUAUAUGUGUGUGUGUGUAUGUUUGUGUGUGUGAAAUACAAGUAAUAAGAUAUGAGAUACAUGUAAUUUUACUUGUCUUGGUAAUCUUGCUUAUUAAUUUUUAUUAUUUAUUACCCAUUAUCUUGUCUAAUUUGUUUUUUGUUCAUUAUUUAUUUAUUUUAAUUUAAUGAUUUUUCUUAAAAAGAAAAGGAAAGUCUUUAUUUAAAAAAUUUUGCCUAGACACUUUAAAACUUUGAUAACAUUUUAGAUAAAUUUAUUCACUUAGUUAAAAAUCACGACUCAAACUUUCAUAAAAAAAAAAUCCUCUUGUUGGAAAACAUUUCCUUUCUCAUUUUUAUUUAUCAUAAUUUUUUUAUGCUUUUAUAUUUAGUAUAAAUUGAAUUUUACCAUUUUUGAAAUUUAAAUUUUACUUUCAUUAACACUAUUUUUUUUCAAAAAAGAAAAAAAGAGAUUAAAUAUUUAUUUUAGGAAUCUAGAAUUUUUGCACAAGAAAAUAAUUAAUUUAACAAAAAUUAUACAAAAAAUAAUAAAAAUUACUAAAAAAUGAAAAAAAAAUUACCUAAAUAGGUUGGUCAAUGCUAGUCAAUGAUUUGGUGAUGAUUCAACUAGGUUCAAAAGUGGUUUGGUUGGCCGAUUUAGGUGCUAAUAGAGUUUCAACCGAUUUAGGUGCUUAGAGAAUUUUGGCCAGGAUUGGUCAGCAGCAGUCGAAAGUAGGUUGGGCACAUAGAAUCAAGAUCCAAGGUUGGCGUGCAAGUCUUUUGAAAAUUUUUUUAGGCCUAUAAAAAUCAAAAUUUUUUCAGUUAAUUUCAAACACUCUCCUAAAAAGAUCUCUCACAACUCUCUCAACUCUCCCAGACAAAAAAUCCAGAACCAACCAUGUUUCUAGAAAUUGAUCGAGUGCCGUUAUUGACUCAUGCUUGUUAGUGCCAUUCGAUCACCUUUUGACCUUAAAUUUUCACCGUAUACUUAUCCUAAUGCUUUUGUUUCAGAUCUGACCUUAGAUUUUCGAGAAUCAACCCUAAUAAUCUUAGAUCUACCCUUUGUAAUCAUCUAUUUUAUCCAAAAAAUUGAAUAUUUUGUCAAAAUAAAUCUAAACCAAUUCCAAUUUCAUUCAAAUCCAUUCAGGUAUCUUAAUUAAGUUUAUCAAAUCAUUUUAGUACUAAAACUUUUAAACUUUUAAACUUUUAAUUUUUUAUUUUAUUUUCAUUUAUUAUUAUUAUUAUUAUAUUAUUAUUAUGUCUUUUGUCUUUUUCUUCUAUUUGUUUCCUCUGUCUUUUUUUUAUUCUUGUUCACCCCAAAAACUCACCUACCUCUGCCUAAGUUGGCAGCAAAAAAUUAAGGGUCUAUAUCCCUAAAGAUCUAGGAUUUGAUAUCAUAUUAGUCUUUGAAAUCAAGUAAAAAAUUUUUUUCAUAAAGGAGAACACUAACAAAGGGAGCCAAUGACCAUUUUGCCUAAAACAACACACACUUAACCACAAAAAAAAAAAAAAAAAACUUAGUAAACAAAACCACCACAUCCUCAAAUGAGGCAUCAUUAGUAAAAGAAUAAAAAUUUAAUCAAGAGCAAAGGUUUUGAUCUAGGUGGUUUAGGAUUUUUUUUUUUUUUGUUUUUAAAAUAGUUGAGAAAGUGUUUAAGAGAUAAAAGGGAUAAGUUUGGGAUUUUUAAGGGUUUUUAAAAUAAAAUUUUUUGGCUUUGCUUGAUUUUGGAAAAUUUUAAAAUUUUCAAUGGUUGUAUGAGUUUUUCAAUGAUCGAAAUCUAGGUAUUUUGUCGAGAACUAGGAAUAUUUUGAAUUUAUUGAUGCUAGUUAAAGAUUCUAACCAUGGCAUAACGACGAUUGGGCAAAAUUUGAGUUGCCACAGCUAUCAAAAAGGAAAAAAGAAUUGUUAGAAAGAAAGGCUCUAGUUUGUAGAGAGAUAGAACAAUAGAGAAAAAUAAGAAAAAAAUCCAAAAAGGGGCCUUUUAUAAUGACCCAAAAAGUCGUUGUUUUGGAAUUAAGGGAUUCAGGCCAAUGUGCCAACCCACAGGCCAACCCGCAUUCUAACCCGACUCGUUUGAUGAGAUUUCCUUUUUUUCAUUUUAUUUUUGUUUUAUGAUUUUAUUUUAUUUUUUGUUUUUUUGUUAGGAUUUUUAUAAUUUAUUUUUAUAAAAUAUAUAUUUUAACUUAAGCAACAAAAUAAAUAAUUAUUAUGAAUAAUAAACUAAUAAAAAAUAAAAUCAAGAAUAAAUAGUAACUUUUAAUCUAAAAUAAAAUUGAUAAACAAAACAAUAAUAAUAUUAAAGAAAGUGAAAAGAUUCUAUUUUUUCUUAAUUUUAUAAGUAGUAAUAUUUUUUGAAUUUUCGCUAAAGUUUUGGGACAGUCAAGAAAUUAUUUUUACUGAAAACUAACUACCUCUACUAACUUCUAACUUUCAACAAAAGAAACUUCUAGAAAAUUCUUAGAACUUGAUCUAAACAAAAUGAAAUUUAAAAAAACAAAACGCAAUUGCAGAUCAAAUCAAGAUUAAAUUGCAACUAAAGUAACAAAAACACAAGAUCUAUGAAGAACAAGUAAAACUGAAACUUAGAUACAAAUCUGAAAAUUGAAUGUUCAACAAAGAAUGUAGAGCUAAGCUAAUGCAAAUUUAAUGAAUUUGAACUAGAAAUUGCAAAAACAAAAGGAAAUGAAAAUCAAAACAAGACUGAAUGAGAAUUGAAACAGCAAAAACAUGAAUGCCAACUAGAAAUUCAAAACCGAAAGCAAGAACUUAAAUCUAGAAACUAACAAUUCAUGGAUGAAAAUUAUAAACCAAACACCUAGCUAGGAGAAAAGUAACUUGAAGUGCUGUCACUUACUCAAGCGCUAGCUCACCUUUUGGAUUCAAAUGAAGCUUUACAGAUUUUUCUGAAAUUGUGUAGAACGAAUUUUAAUGCAAUUUUUUUCAAAUUUGUAGAACAAUGAAUAAAAAAUUAAUGCAAAAAAAUUUAGAUCAAAACAAGCAAUAUUUGAUCAAGAUUUAAUAGAAAAAUCACAGCUAAUUCAAGAACAUGAAUUGCUAAACAUAUUUGAGAAAUAAGUAAAAAUGCGUCAAAUUGAACUUGAAAACUUAAGGAUUGUUUGUUUUUGUUUCUAUUUUCUAUUUUUUGUUUUCAUUUUCAGUUUUUUUGAAAAUUGAAAACAAAACAUAUUUGGUAGGUUGUUUUUAUUUUCUAUUUUUGAAAAUUGAAAACAAAGCUUUGUUUUGAAAAUUAUUGAAAAUAGAAAAAUGAUGUUUUCAGUUUUUUGAAAACAAUGUGGCACUAUUAUCAUACAGGCACUGUUAACAAAAGUUACAAUUAAACCACUAUAGUGACACUACAAUUAUUUUAUUAAUAAAAUAAUAUUUUUAUUAUAUAAAUAUUAUAUUAAUAAAUAUUAUUAUAUGUAUUAUAUAAAUAAUAUUAUAUUAAUUAAUAAAUAAUAUGUUACAUUAAUAAUAUAUUAUUAAUAUAAUAUAUUAUUUAUUAAUAUAAUAUUAACUAAUAUAGUAUUUAUAAAUAAUAUAUAUUAAUAAAUAAUAUUAUAAUAUAUAAAAAUAAUUUAUUAAUAAAUAAAUAAAAUUAUAUUAAUAAAUAAUAUAUUAAUAAAUAUUAUUAUAUUAUUAAUAACAAAUGGAGCCUAAAAUCUUUAACCACUUUCUCUUCCAUGUUUUUGUUUUUAUAUUUCUAAAACAAAAACAUUUUAUAAAAACAUGAUUUCAAAUUCAAUAAAUUAAAAAUAAAACAAAAUAAAAUUUACAAAACAUAAAAUAUAAAACACACAACAAUAUCUAACGACCUCUUAAAAAUCUUAAACUUUUAUUGAAAGAAUCUUAAAGUGCAUUGAAAAUAAAAGGCAAGGAAAGUAUAUUUUACUGAAAAAUAAAUGCAAUUUUCCCCUAAACAACCCUUUAAAUGAACAAGCAGGAAACUAUUUGGAGAGAAAAGAAAGUAAAAUGAAAGAAAUGAAAAUUCUAGAAAAAAAUAGAAAAAUGCUAUGAAAGUCUCCCCAAAUGGCUUACCAUUCCCUCCUAUUUAUAAGCAAAUGUGAGGUGGUUCAACCAAUCAAAAUGCAAAAAAAAUUCCAGCUAAGUUGCCACAUCUUCUAGAUCCUUCCAACUCAUCUGUCUUGCUUUCGUAGCUUUCUUAUAUGCUUCUCUUUACUUCACUUUACUUCAAGCUUUCUUCAUUUGAUCUUGUGAGCUCUAAAAAGUCAAAAUUAUGUCUAAUGAGAAGCCUUCAAAUAACCAACCAAGCAACUCCAAUUAUCCUUCUUUGAAUGUCCAAAAUGGCACCACAAUCCUUUAUUCACCUAGCAAGUACAUCCAACAAGCUUGCUUGAAUUUUGCUUCCAAUAAUUUUGGCAUCAAUUGUAAUCAAUUUCUUCUUCAAUUUUCUGCCAAAUACAGACCAUUUAGUGGNNNNNNNNNNNNNNNNNNNNNNNNNNNNNNNNNNNNNNNNNNNNNNNNNNNNNNNNNNNNNNNNNNNNNNNNNNNNNNNNNNNNNNNNNNNNNNNNNNNNNNNNNNNNNNNNNNNNNNNNNNNNNNNNNNNNNNNNNNNNNNNNNNNNNNNNNNNNNNNNNNNNNNNNNNNNNNNNNNNNNNNNNNNNNNNNNNNNNNNNNNNNNNNNNNNNNNNNNNNNNNNNNNNNNNNNNNNNNNNNNNNNNNNNNNNNNNNNNNNNNNNNNNNNNNNNNNNNNNNNNNNNNNNNNNNNNNNNNNNNNNNNNNNNNNNNNNNNNNNNNNNNNNNNNNNNNNNNNNNNNNNNNNNNNNNNNNNNNNNNNNNNNNNNNNNNNNNNNNNNNNNNNNNNNNNNNNNNNNNNNNNNNNNNNNNNNNNNNNNNNNNNNNNNNNNNNNNNNNNNNNNNNNNNNNNNNNNNNNNNNNNNNNNNNNNNNNNNNNNNNNNNNNNNNNNNNNNNNNNNNNNNNNNNNNNNNNNNNNNNNNNNNNNNNNNNNNNNNNNNNNNNNNNNNNNNNNNNNNNNNNNNNNNNNNNNNNNNNNNNNNNNNNNNNNNNNNNNNNNNNNNNNNNNNNNNNNNNNNNNNNNNNNNNNNNNNNNNNNNNNNNNNNNNNNNNNNNNNNNNNNNNNNNNNNNNNNNNNNNNNNNNNNNNNNNNNNNNNNNNNNNNNNNNNNNNNNNNNNNNNNNNNNNNNNNNNNNNNNNNNNNNNNNNNNNNNNNNNNNNNNNNNNNNNNNNNNNNNNNNNNNNNNNNNNNNNNNNNNNNNNNNNNNNNNNNNNNNNNNNNNNNNNNNNNNNNNNNNNNNNNNNNNNNNNNNNNNNNNNNNNNNNNNNNNNNNNNNNNNNNNNNNNNNNNNNNNNNNNNNNNNNNNNNNNNNNNNNNNNNNNNNNNNNNNNNNNNNNNNNNNNNNNNNNNNNNNNNNNNNNNNNNNNNNNNNNNNNNNNNNNNNNNNNNNNNNNNNNNNNUUAUUUAUUUUUUUUUUGUCGAAAAUAUAUCUAAUUAUUCCACCAUUUAGGCCUAUUUAGAAAUUUUCUCUUUUUUUUUUAAUUUUUUUGUUGGAUUUCUAAAUUUUUCACCAUUCGAGUUAAUUUAGAAAUAUUUUCUUUUUUUUUUAAUUUUUAAAAUUUUUCACUAUUUGGGCGUAUUUAGAAAUUUUAUUUUUUUUAUUAUUUUUGUUGGAUUUCUAAAUUUUUCACCAUUUGGGUCAAUUUAAAAAUAUUUUUUUUGAAAUUUUUAAAAUUUUCACCAUUUUGGCAUAUUUAGAAAUUUUUUUUUGUUUUUGCAAAAAAAAAUAUUAUGACAAUUAUUUUUUAUUGAAAUUUAAUUUAAAUUCUUCUACCAUUUAGGACAAAUUUAAAGAAAUUUCUCACUUAAAGAUUUUUUAAGAAUUUACCAUUUGAAAUUUCUAAGAAUCUAAUUAUUGGAUAAUUACCACAUAUUUUCAACCAAAAUUUUAUUUUUUAAUUUUUUUAUUAAAAAUAAAUAUUAAUUAUUGUUAUUGAAAGUUUAUUUAGAUUAUUCCAUUAUUUGAGAUAAAUUUAAAUAAAAUUCCUCACUUAAAAAGUUUAUAAAAAUUUAUCAUUUGAAAUUUUUAUAAAUUCUAUCAUUAGAUAAUUAAUAUUUAUUCUCAAAAAAAUAUUUUAUUAUUAUUUUAUUUAAUAUCAAAUAAUUAAAACCAUAAAACAAAGUGAAUAAAUAAAUAAUUAUGCAUAAAAAAUGAAUAAACAAUCAAUUAAAGAAUAAAAAAAAAUAAGAACAAGUACCAAAUAAUUAAAGAAUUUAAUUUAAAAAAAACUAAAUAUAAGUAAGUAAAAGUACCAAAGUUGACGUAACCUCUAGGAUGAAAUUCCACCAAAACAAACCAAUGUGCUAGCCUAUCAGCUCACUUUUCUCUUUAUUUCCUUCUCUACCAGACCCCGCAACUCUGAUUCUUCUUAUCCAAACAGAACCAACUUGAACCACGAAAAAUUAACACUGUGAUUGUUUGGAAUUGGUUUCUAUCACAGAUGGUAAUUCGUGUUCAAUGGUUUAGGCAUUCUGAUCCAUAGUGGCACUAGGCUGGCUGUCAGUGAACGUUGGUUGGCAAUGGCCUGAUGGUGCGCCGUCCUCCCUAUUAUGCUACACUUCUUUAUAUUUUCUCUGCUGAUUGUGUUUCUGUCCCUGAUUUUUUUUGUGUGCUUGUGUGAUCUGUAUGGAUAUGUAUUUAUAAGUUAUGAAUAUGAGAACUCCAAUCUAGAAAAGAAUUCCAAUUUUCUUUGAAUUCUAAUUUUAAACUCAAUUUCAAUUUUACAAACCGGUUCCAACAAUUUCACAUAAACUCAACUAUUUAUUUUUUCAUUUUUUCAGCUUUUCUAUUUUUUUAUUUUUUAUUAGCAAAAAUCACAAGUAAUCCCUAGGACAGAUUGGGUUGUCUAUACUUCGGACUAACUUGAUUUCUGUAGCUGAUCAUUUGCCGUUAUGUCCAUCCAAAAGUAUGAUAAAUAGUGUGGUAUCAGGCGUAAGUCUUCCAAAAUGGUGCUUAUAGACUUAUUGGAUAUACACUAAGAUGUGAAACACCUUUGGUAUUAAUAUGGAUUUACCUUGUUGUUUUCAAGGAAAUAUUAGCAUGAUCAUAUAUUUUAGUUAAACUUGACCAUGUAUUAGACCAUAGUUCUAUCAAGUGAACAACAAAUGCAAGGUCUAUGUGUCUCUGUGUGUGUGUGUGUGUGUGUAUAUAACAUUGAUGUGAGGCAUAAGCAUGAGUUUUCCAUAAAGCACAUACGUGGAUAUUAUAUUUAGUAAGACUUUAACAGUGAAAAAUAGUACUACUAAAUAAGAUGUCAAAUCGAGAGAACCUGGGUGAAAAUUUUGGGGGGCUGUAUUUACGUGGCUAAAUAAGUUGAAUCCUAUGAAAUUGAACAACCAAAGCUGGUGGAACAUAGUUCAAUCUAGAAGCAAGGGGUUUUUUAUGAGUUAAUAACAAAAGAGAGGUUUUCUUGGGUUUGAGAUUGAUCUUGGUUAGCAAUUCCUUUCAUUUCUAUGGUUCAUUUCUGUUAAUUACUUAUAAACUUACAGUUGUCUGUUGAAAUUGUUGGGUGCAGUUACCUGGCAAAGAUACUGGCUCCAGAAGGUUCAAAGGAUGUGGCUGUGGGGAAACCUAUUGCAGUAACAGUAAGUCGCCAUUGUAUGCUUUUACGUUGACUUAUUUCAUAUCUUGUUGUAAAUUACUUGAUGCAAUUUACCUCUUCAUAUUUAGUCAAAGGAUUUUUUGAAGUCAGGUUAAUGGCAGUGACUUGAGGCACAUGGGGCACUAAUGCUUGUUAUUUUGCAAGGUUGAAGAUCCAGUUGAUAUUGAAGCUGUAAAGACCACUACAGUCAAAAAGCGAGAACCAACUCAUCAUGAAUCCAAAAGUAAAGUUAGAGAGCAGAAGUCUGGUACAAAGAUCAGUACAUCAGCAAAGUUGCUUAGAAUAUGGAUUAGAUGCAUCAUCACUAAAGGCAUGAGGUCCUCAUGGUACUUUGCUAAAAGGAGAUGGUUUGGCUGCAAUUAAGUCCGGAAAAGGAUCUUCCAAGAUAUCUUCAUCUGAGAAGAAAAAACCAUCAACUCAAAUCAUCCUAAGAAAUCUCCUUCAGCGAGGCCUGAGUCAAAAGCUCAUCCACAGCAAUCAGAUUCUUUCGAAGACUCGUCCAAUACUCAAAUUUGCAAGGUAUAUUUCAUUGUUCAGUUAUAAGGGAAUUAACAAGGCAAGAGACUUUGGCCUUGACCUUUUCUAACUAGGUUAUUAUUUAAAGAUAGGAAGAGCAUUAUGGACUGGUUUUAAUCUUUGUUCCUAAAAUAAAUGUGCCUUUAUAUUGCAUUGGCCGUCAGAUAAAACUUAAAAUCUCUAAAGUCCUGUGACUGCAGAUGGUUAUACCAAAUAUUGGAUAGUGAAAAAAUGACCUGUUCAUACAUUUUAAGUAUAGCUUGAAAUAAAAAAUUGAAGCAUGCAUCAAUAUAAGAAAGGUAAGAUUUAUGCGCUAAUGACCAAACUGAUGAUAAAGGCAGAUGGUGGUGUUGGAGAAACAUUCAAAGGACAUUGGGUACAAAGUUUGCAUGUAAUGGUUUGAUGAAUCAGUUGCACUGACAAGUGAUUUAUUUUAAGUAGAGUUCACCAAAAGGACACAGGCCUUUAUGGCUAUUGCAUUAUAGAAUCACAGAUUAUUGAUUGAAUGGGAUUAGUAAGGGGUUUGAUUGAGAGGGUUUUCUUUUAUUAUUUAUUUAUUUAAAACUUAUUUAUCAUGUGUGACAUGUUAGGGUUGGUUUUAAAUAUGGGCAGUAUAUCUUCAUAAACUUGAUAUGAAUACUUCUGAAUUAAUAACAUGUUAGGGUUGGUUUUAUGUAGAGGCACUGGAACUGUGAUAUAAGUAUUUGAACAUGCUGGUCUUCCUUUAUGUCCCCGUAUGCUAUUUGCAAUACAAAAUGUCUGAAGGCUUUUCCUUAAUAUUUGUAGUUAAUUUAUUCGUUCAGAUAUAAUUGGGUUCAUUGAAGAGAAUUAAAUUUCUAAGCCCAAGGAAAGUCCUAUUAUUGAUUCUUUGUUCUUUUCUAAGCAGUUUGAAGAGAAAUGUGUCUCUGUUACUGCUAUAAGUUCUUUACAACCUUUGCAUUUGUUAUACCGUCAAAUGUUGUUAUUAGUAAGAUGUAGUUUAAUUCAUCUAUUUGUCUGAUAUCUUUGGAUUUCUCUUUUCACAUGUUUCCAUACUAAAUUUUGUAUUGGAAUUUUAUUUUGACUGGUCUAAACCAGUAAAUAUGUUGUGUUAUAUGGUUUAGUGAGUGAAUGAAUGAAAAUUCAUUCUGUUAAACUCUGGUUCUCUCUUUUUACUGAAUUUGUGUUCAUUCUGCAGGUUAUUGCGAGGAGGCUAUUGGAAUCAAAACAGACUACGCCACAUUUGUAUUUAUCUUCUGGUAUGAACUUUAUAUAUUUAUAUACUGAUUUUAGCAUCAUUUAACUUUUGAUCUUAAAGGUAUUAUUGUGUUCUUCAGAUGUUAUACUGGAUCCUCUUCUUUCGUUUAGGAAGGAGCUUAAAGGUAUGGAAUAAAUUCCUGUAUCAUCAAUUUGAUCUUUCACACCUGUAGUUUUACUGACUGCUAAUUGUUCUAUUCUUUCUCCAUUUGCAGAGAAGCAUGAUAUUAAAGUUUCAGUUAAUGACAUCGUCAUAGAAGCAGUGGCAAUUGCUUUGAAAAAUGUACCUGAAGCUAAUGGUAAGACAUAAUUUCAACAAAACUGGUCCUUGUAGAUUUCUGAGUAAACGUGGUAUAGGAGCCAAGCCAACACAAUUGGCUAUUGAGCUUGACCAAUUGUAAAAUGUAGUAAAGAUUGCUAGAAAUGUGGGGUGAUAUUUAUCUCUAGGACUAGAUUCCACUCUGUUAUGCUGCUGUGAAACAUUGGGAAUGACAUAAAUUUUUUAAACUGAUGCAAGCUCAAAAAUGCUUUUAUUAGUAUUUUUGCAUCUCUAGAAAAACUACAUUGGGAAGAAAAUAUUUUGAGUUUUUGAUUCUUUUCUACCUUUAUUUAUUUCUUUUGUGUUGAUUCAUUGGCUGGAUUCUUAGUUGGGGGCGGGUGGGGCGGGGGGGUAACACUUUCCCAUUCCUUUACCAACCCUACUUGCCUUUUCAUAUGCUCAAACCAGAACUUCAACCUUCCUUAAUGAAGGAAAUGCCAUAAGAUGGUGUGGUCAUUUUAUUUCUUAUACCUCAGUAGUUCAACAAUUAAUUUGUAGUUGCUGAUCUAUAAAUGGUUUUCAGCUUAAUCUGAAAAGAGAGUUCUGGAGAAUGUUAGUGUUUGUAUAAAAUAUUUAUUCACUUUGAUAGAAUCUGAAGCUGAGUAUUUACAUUAUUACCAGGUGGGUCUAUGAGCCUCCUCUAACAUCCGAACAGGAAAAGACUUAUCUUGUUUUUUGUUGAUAAUAUAUGGUUGCAUCGAAGAAGUUUCAAACAGGAAGAGCACUUAGACUGCUAAUUUAUCAUACGUUUGUGUCGAGUGUACACACUGCGUAUAGGAAAUUUCCAGUAUCAGCUUAUCAGUAAUAAGUUCUAUUUUAUAAAGUGGAAAAUAAUUACAUUAUUCUGUUUUCUUCGAUUAAAUUUAGCUUUCAUACAAAAAUGUUGGCUCUUUUGGCUUAUUUCUAUUAAAAAAUUUGCUAUUUCAAUGACCGCAGCUUAUUGGGAUGUUGAGAAAAGGGGAAAUAAUUGUGUGAUUCUGUUGACAUAUCAAUUUCAGUUGCUACUGAGAAGGUAUGUUUCCAAUAAGAUGUAGUUCUCGGGCUCUAUAGAGCAACGGGUUUCAUAUUAUUUUAUUUGGAUUGCAGGGUUUAAUGAUUCCAAUUGUAAGAAAUGCAGAUCAGAAAUCCAUUUCAUCAAUCUCCUCAGAGGUACUUUCAUUUUUGACCUCUACCCUUUGUUGAUUUUAACAACUUUGUUUGGCUCCACUACUCUGUAGUGUAAGUGAUAUGACUGCGGUUUUAAGCCUAGCAGCCUCGCGUUGGACAUAACAUAAACUUGAGCUUUCUCAAUUUUGGUUACUUUACACCAGAUCAUUAGGUUUAUUGCCUAUGUACUCUGCCUUUUAAGCUUGUUUAAAUCUCAAUUCAGAAAGGUAAUGCUAAUUAUGAGGUUUUUAUAUUACCUUAUUUUGGGUUGAUUUUUAGGUUUUGAUUUGUGCCAAAUUGUUGAUAUAUUUACAGUGAGAAAAAAACAAAAAUAAAAUCUUGAAAACGUAAAUUCUCAAAAUGCCAAACCACAAACAAAGAAUUUUUUUUUUAUUAUAUCAAAAAGAUAAAAUCUUAGUACAAAUAAAAAAAAAAUGUCUGAUUCAAAAUCAAACUUUUGAUAUCCCUCAAACAUCUUUAAUCACUAGGUUAAAAGUUUGGGGACACAAACAAAGGCUUUGAAUAUUGAUAAAGUUGUUCUAAGUUUGAUAUUUUUUAUCAAAUUUUUUGAGUUUGAUAUUAGAUUUAAAUAAAUAUUAAAUUUCAAAGGUUUGGAUUAGUUCUGCAUUUGAUAUUUUUGAUUUAGGAUUUAGGCUUGUAAACUGAACGCAACCAUGAUAGUUUUUGCAACUUCAACUACAAUUUUGAGUUUGAAAUACCUACCAAAUAGUUUCUCCUUUAAGAGAAUGGGCCUUGAUCCAAGCAAUUCAAAUUGAGCCCGUUUUACACGAUAAAGACCAAAUAUAUUAGAUGAUACAAACUUUGUUCAAACUGAAAAGAUCUUUAAAUAUACUAUAGAUUUUAUGGAAUAUUUCCCCAUCAUUUUAGUUCAAUUUAAUGGUUAAUGAAAUAUGAAAAGUUUUCUAAAUAAAAUUAAUUCGUUUUUUUUUUCUUUCAAAAUUUUAUUUUCAAGGCAUUAGUUAAUAAAAUAUAAUUUUAUUUCAAAAGUUUAUUUUCAAAUAAUUAAUUAAAUAAAAUAUGAAAAAACUGGAAUUAAUAUAUAUAAUUUGUAUAACUUUUCUUUUCCUACCUAUUUUUAAUCAAACUCAAUAGUUACUAUGAUAUCAAAAGUUUUUUUUAAUAAAAUUUAUUUCUAAUUUUUUUUAAACGUUGUUUUCAAAUCAUUAAUUAAAAAAUACAAAAAAUUCACAUUAUUUUCAAAUCAUUAAUUUUAUGCUUUUUCUUCUCCCUAUCAUUUAUGUAAAAAAAAAUAGUGAUAUUUUAAUUAACAAUUUUUAUUUUAAACCAGGUGACGACAUUGACAUUUUUCCUUUCAAAGAUUUGUUUUCAAUUUAUUAAAUAAUUGUAUAGAAAAUUAAUAAUUGACAAAUGAAAACAGGAGGAAAUUUAUAGAAAAAUGAUUAGUAAUUGUUGUACACCAAAACAUUUUAGCAAAAUAUAUCUUCGGACUAUUUAACUUCAAUCAAGAGUUCAAGUAUAUCAAGAAAAAAAACUAAUUCUUCUAAAAUGAGAAAAAAAUUGACAACUUUCUGAAUACAAAAAUAUAAACAAUUAUAUCAUAUGUUCUUACUUGAGUUACUUGUAUUUUAGCUACUCACCAUUUAUUGAAUAAAAAAUUUUGACACCUUCAUAGAAUAAAGUAACAGGAAAACCAUUGGCAUCAAGUUAAAUAAACUUUGCAUCGUUUUUUUUCAAAAUAUGAUUCAAUAAAACUAUGGAUUCCAAAUAAAACAUAUCACUCUAAUGUUCCUCUAAAAGAAAAUAAAAAUAAAAAGUCAUUGCAAGAAAAAUUAUCGCAUUUCUCAAGAAGAAACACCACACCGCUUUUGGCCAUGAUUUCAUGAACUUUCUUAGACAUUCCACGCCAUUGGAAGGUGAACUUCCAAUUCACAAACACACCAUAAAUCUCUCACUCAAGCUUCAUGCAAUCACAAAAAGAGAAGAAACAGCACAAUCUAUUCCACGCUGAAUUCAUAAGUUACAUACUGCAAUAAAGUUACAAAACUUUCAUCAGUUCCCUUUUUUUAUUCUUUUUUUUUUUUUUGGACAAGAAGCUUGCGUUCAUAUUUUGAAAAUCAAUUUCUAACAAUAAUCAAGUGCUAGAAAAAAAGAUGAACUUCAAGAAGCUUGCACCUACCUCUAUUGUUAUUCUUUUUCAUCAUACUUAUUAAAUUGGUUUGUGAAUAAGAGAAAAAAAAUGCCCAAACUGAUAAUUGAUAAAUUAAUAACAUCAUACCAUAUAAAAAUAAGAGACAAUAAUUUAUAAACUUAGAUGAGUAGGUAUAAAUGAUGAUUGACUAACUCUAAACAUUUCAAAAGCUUAAAAUUAUAAAUCUAUAGAAACUGAAUCAAUAGAAAUUCAAUAAUGGCUUAUGUGAUUAAUAACAUCUAUUUUAUCAAAGCAAAUAAUUAAUAAAUUGAUAUUCACUUUUAGGUAAAGUCAUUUCAUACUUUUAUCUUUAAAUUUGUUUAAUUUCAAUAAAUAUAUAUGUUAUAUGGUAAAUUCUUAAAUGAAUAUUAUUUUAAUUAUGUAAAUAUGUGUUCAAUACUAACAAUAUUGUAAUUAAAAUCUAUGUUAAAUAGCAACUAAUAUAGUUAAUUUAUCAAAAUAAAUAAAACAUAUUUUGCAGAUUAAGCAAAAAAAAAAAAGCUAUAUAUUUCAGUGUUCAACAAACAAAAUAAAAUAGCUUGUUGUUAUUAUUAUCCUUGAAAUAAAAAAGAGUUGUAACAAAAAGGUAUUCCUAAUCGAUGAUUAUAUUAAUAAAUAAUGUAAGUAAAUAAAAAUUAAUUUAACUUACUGGCUCUCUUCAUUUUAAUUUAUGUUAUGGUUAAUUAUAUAAAAAUUAUAAUCUAUAUAUAUGUUACUUCUAAUCAUACAUAACAUAUAUAAAUUAAUUAUAUGUAUUGAGAAAUAAUAUGAAUUUAAUAAAAGAAAUAUAAAAGAAAACACAAAUAUACAAAAUGAGCCUAACUUCCUAUACAUGUAACCACACAUCCAGGUGAAAAGGUUAUUUAUUAAUCAAGAAAAUCCUUUUCAUAUGUUUACAACUACCAUGCUUCCUUACUUAGACAUAGAAGUUAUUGAAAUUCACCGGCUAUGCAAAUCUCAUAAUUAUUUAAACUCUUUUAAUGAUUUAAUGCAAUUAAAACUCUAGUUUCACUGUAAAAUUUAAAGUGUUAUUAAGAAAAAAUUACUUUAAUAAAGAGUUCAAAGUUAAUAAAUAAAUAUAUAGAUAAAAAUUCAAAAGUGGUGAAAGUACCUUGAUUAUUGAACCCAAAUACGUAUUAUGGUAGUAGUAACCUUAGCCUGCAAAAAAAAAAUAUAUAAAGCUUAACGGAAUACCUUCUUAAAAAAAUUAGAAAAAUAUAAACUAUGUACUUUUAUAUAAGCUUAAACUAUAUAUAAUUGCAUUUCUUACCAUGUUAAUUAAUCCUGCGUAAUGUUGUUUAGAUAUUCUCUUUUGAUAUUCUUCAGCAUGGAUACAACAUUCUUCAUAUCUAAUCUAUCUUCAGGUAAUUCAGUUGAACAAUCCAAAGCUAAUCUCAUAAUAGAUGAUAUACAAUUUGCUUUAAUAACAAAAUAUUCAUCCAUUUCUUGCACUAAACUAGAAUCUAUUACACCAAUUAUCUCAUUUGAUAAUGACCUUUUCACCCAAUGCUUUAUAUUCAUUUCUCCAACGAAAAUUUCAUCUGUGGGCUUCUUUCUUGUGAAAGUCUCUAUUAAUAGAAUACCAUAGCUAUAAACAUCACUUUUUGUCGAGAUAAUUCCCAUCGAUCCGUAUUCUGUAUUUUAAAUAUAAUUGAAUCAUUAAAACGAUCUCAUGCAAUAAAAUGAUAAAAUACUAAUAUCUACUCGUCUUGGAAUAGAGAAAAAAUUAAAAAAAAUGAAAAAAUCACCUGGUGCCAUAUAGCCAACAGUAGCUAGUGUCAUUGUUUGUUUGAUGGAAUCUCCUUCUCCCAAUAGCUUGGCAAUUCCAAAAUCUCCCACGUGUGCAACCAUGUCCUCAUCCAAUAAGACAUUACUUGGUUUUAGGUCACAAUGGAUUAUAGGAAUCGGAUGUCCCAAAUGGAGGUAUUCUAAUGCCGAUGCAACAUCUAUCAUUAUGUUGAUUCUUUGUAGGAUAUCCAAUACAUAAUUGUAAGAAUAUAACCAUUUCUCAAGGCUCCCAUUAGGCAUGAACUCAAGCACUAUGGCUUUGAAAUCAAUAGUUGAACAACAAGUAAUAACCUUGACAAGAUUGCGAUGAAGGAUAUUGCUCAUCACUUCACAUUCAAUGUCAAAACUCUUAAAUGCUUCAUCUAUUUGCAAAUUGAAAACUUUUAUUGCGACUUCUGUUCCAUCUGAAAGUAUUCCUUUGUAUACAGAGCCAAAACUUCCUGAACCAAGUAAGUUAUUCCCACUAAAUCCACCAGUCCCUUGCAAUAGUUGAUUAUACGAAAUUCUUCUCCUUUUCUUGAGAGGAAUUAAAUCGUUAACCAUUGCCAAAUUCAUAUUCCCCCGUUGCCCUUUUUUGUAGACAAUUAUGACAGCUACAACUAUUAUUAUUGAAGCAAAUGUUGGUAAAACAUACCUCAAAGCAUGAAGAGCGGUCUUCUUGAGUUUUGGAUGGAUUUUAUUUUUGCAAGGUGAGACUUGUAGUCUAGGUGAACCACAUAGUGCAUAAUUUUUCAUGAAUGAUUUGGCUGUGAAGUUCAAAAAGGGCCCUCCACUUGGUAUUUCUCCUUCCAAUCUAUUGAAAGACACAUUAAAAUAAUUGAGAUCAUAAAGUUUUUCCAAAGACUUGGGAAUGACUCCAGAGAGAUUGUUGUUAGAUAAAUCCAAGCUUUUCAAACUUAUCAAGUGACCCAAUGAUUUUGGAAUAGGGCCUUGUAAUCUAUUUCUAGAAAGAUUCAAAACCUGUAGAUCAUAGAGACUUCCAAUUGUGGACGGAAUAUCACUUGAUAAUAAAUUCCUUGACAAAUUCAAAGAGAUAAGUACCUUCAAAUUUCCAAUGUCAAGUGGAAGUGAGCCACUAAGAUUGUUUGAUGAAAAGUCCACUUCUAAGAUAUCUUUAAGGCUCCAAAAAGUUAAAGGUAUUUGCGAAUACAAUUUGUUGGAGAACAAGUAUAGAUGUCUCAGAGAAGUCAAAUCACACAAACAUGUCGGUAAAGGUCCAUCAAGCUCAUUAGCACCCAAUGAUAAUUCGUACAAUCCCUCCAAACCACAAAGAUCGUGUGGGAUAGAGCCUUGUAACUUAUUCCCAGAAAGAUUCAAAAGUUGGAGAUUUUUUAGCCUUCCUAUUGUUGUUGGAAUAGGUCCAGUCAAUUUAUUAGAAGAAAGGUCUAACAAUAUAGCGUUGCUUAAGCUACCAAUUUCCAUGGGAAUGCUGCCUCUAAUUUUGCAAUCAACGACCAAUAAUUUUUGAAGUGAUGUGGAAAGAUUUGAGAUAGAAGUUGGAAGAAUUCCAUUCAAUGGGUUGAAUGAUAGGUCCAAAAUUCUUAGAUACCUGCAAUUUGCCAAGGAAUAGAGAAAGCUCCACCCAUGAGUUGAAAUUUUGGUGGUCAAAUCAUUCGACGGAAGGUUCAAAAUCUCAAGGAACCUCAAAUUCCCAAGUGUAUUUGGAAUAAGGCCAUAGAAUGAGUUUCUAUCUAAAUCUAGGACUCUGAGCUUAGAAACAUUGGAGAUAGAGUCAGGAAUAUUUCCACUGAGAUUAUUCUCCGAUAAGUAAAGCUGCUCAAGAUUUGAAGCAGAGCUCAUGUAUGGUAAUUUACCUAAAAUGAGAAAAAAUAAGUUUUCAACUUUCCAUACAAGAAAUAAAUUAAUUGUUUUGCUUUGUUGUGUUUUUCAUGAAUCUAUGAUGCAAGCUGAAGUGAAUGCAAUGCUUACAUAUACGAACAUGAGUGAGGAGAAACAUGAAAAAAUUAUAAAUAUGAAACAACUUCAAGUUUUUCUUGUUUGAUGAUCUGGAAUGUAUAUAUAGUUUAUAAAUAUUUUUCAUAUUUAUAAUGAUUAGAAGGCUCCAUGCUUACGUAUAAUAAAGUAAAAAAGAGGAAAAAGGAAAAGAAAAAGAAAAAUGAAGAUAGAAGAAAGGUAGGGAGAAAAGAAAAUAUUAUUAAGGUUUCUAGUAUAUGCUUAAAAUGUUUUCCAUUUAUGUGAGAAUUUUAUUUCUUUAACUUAUCUCAAUUGCUUUAAUGAUAAAAAGAUUAAAGAAAUUUUGGAUGAUGAAAUUGUUCAUUAAAGAAAAAGAAACAAGACAAAAAUGAAGAAAAUAAAAAAUAAAAAUAUAUUUACAUUAAUUUCUUUGAGAAAGUGUAAUUAUUUGAAAAUAAAUUAAAAUUUUUAUCUAUGCCAUUUUAGGAAAAAAGACUCAAGAGAAAUGAUAAAAUUUCUUUCAUUUUAGACUAUAUGCAUAAUAAAAGAGAUAACUACAAAGAUUCUAUUCAAAGAUUGUUAAAAAGAUUACUCUUUUUAGUUUGAAAAUCACUUUCUUUCUUCCCUAAGGUUAGAUAGAACCUUACGAAUGCUCUACCAGAGGAGGUUCAUUUGAGAUAUGUUGGAGUAAUAGUGUAUACAUCUUCCUACUACAAUAAAAAAUUCAGUAAUAUGAUGACAAAAAAUGUGAAACUAAUGAAAAAGAUUUUAAAAUGAUGCUUUCGAUUACACAAUUAUUACAGGGUGAAAAGCCUUGCCUAAGUCCGAUUUAGAGGGUGAAGUAAAGGUAAAUCAAAAAGCUCUUCUUGGAUACUAUGAAGGCCACAUAAGAGCAUUACCUUGGGAGAAAAAAAUUUGUUACACUGUUUGUUGAUGGAAUUUUUCUACGAUGUAGUCUCUUUAAUCUCAAGCAAUGUUUUGUCAGAUGUGGGAGGGUGGGUGAUUUUUAUGUCCUAAAAAAUCAAAAGAGAGCCAAAAAUGUCUUAGAUGAUUUUGUCCAUUAUCUUGAUCUACGGGAUGCAUUGAGGGCUGUCAAAUUUCUAAAUGGUUAGCUCCUGAGUUACUCCACUCUAUAUGUUCAAAUGGCAAGGAAUGAUCAAAGGUCUCCUGCUAGUUCUAACCCCACCACUCACCACAUGGAAAAAGGUGUAAGCUGCAUAGAAGACUUUAGAGAUGAACGAUCUUAUGCAGAGGUGGUUCAUAUGUCUGUCAAAUGCACUCAGUUAAAGGAUAACAUUGUAUCAGAUGGUCAAAAAGAAGAGGUUUUAAAAUGGCUUAACAUCCUUGAAUACAUUCCUGAAAAUUUAGAUUUGGUUGGAUUACAACGGAAUGCUGUUGGGAUAGUUAGAUAUUCUGAUACUGCAAAUGCCAUUGAUCAAAUCUUGUCAGAGAACUUCGAUGAUCGUUCUGUCACUAUAAUGGGUGAGAAUAUGGUUCUUUUGACUUUUGAAAGCAAAGAAAGUAGGGAAAGACUUAGAUGAAAUUCUUUAAGUAAAAUUUAUGAAGUUUUUAACCAAAAAUGAUUAAAUAAAAAUUAAAAUAAAAAAUCAAAACUGAUCGACUAAAAUAUCUUGUUACAUAGAUCAAGUAUGCAAAAUUUGAAAAAAUUUAAAAAAAUUUUAUAUUUUUUUAUAUAGACAUUUUUUAGUAAAAAUUUUAUAAAAAUUUUUACCGUUAAAUAAAUAUUGAUCAAAUUUAAACUAUAAAUAAUAUUUUUAAUAAUUUUUUUUUUACAUAUUAUUGAUCUUCACAUUAAAUUCUAUCAAUCUAUCUGUUUUGAUUUUUUUAUUAAAGUUUUUAUUAAAUCAUUUUUAAGAAAAAAUUUUACAAACUUCACCUAGAAAACUUUAUGUAAGUUUUGUCCAAGAAAGUAUGUUAUUAUCUCUGGAACUUGGUUAGUAGUUUCUAUUGAGCUUAUAAGCAAUAGUGAUCUAGACGCUGAGAAACUUUUCAAUGUUGAAGAAAAAUUUCACCUUUUUACUGUUGGGGAACACUACAGCUCUGAUAUCAUUUGUUGGGCUAAAAGCCUCCAAUCCAAUCGCACCAGCGAAAGCGAAAUCAAACAAUAAAUCAAACACACAAGAGACAACAAUUUAACGUGGUUCGAUCCAACUGACCUACAUCCACGGAUGAGAAACAAGAUCCACUAGUUGUAGAGAAUUACAAACUUACAUCAAAUCAUCAACCUCACUUAACAAUCAAUACUCAUAAGACACUCUCAAUGUCCUCUAGUCCUAUGGAGUAUUCUCAAUCUAAACAAAUACAAACCCAAACCCUUGUGCACCCUUUCAACAUAACCAAACACAUACCCAUAUGCUCCCAUACAUCAUACCUAUGUGGACCCUCUCAGUCUCCUCUAGUCCACUCACAAACAAUCAUACACACCCAUAAGACGUAGAGCCCCAAUACUCCUAUGGGGUGUCUAUCCCACAAAAUCCUACAACUCUCUUACAUCUUUUUCUCAUACCUAACCCUAUAGAGACUUCACUUAUUUAUAACCAUACAAACUUGCCCAUUAAGAAUCCCUCUCCUCUUAGAAUUCUUCUCCUAUAAGUCAAACUUGCCUAUUAAGAAUUCCUUUCCCUUUUGGAAUUCUUCUCUUGCAAAUCAAACUUACCUAUUAAGAAUCCUCUUUCUCUUAGAAUUCUUCUUUUGCAAGUCUUCUUGUCUAUCAAGCAAUAUCUGACAAAUCUCUAACAAAUCCCAAACAAAUCUCUUAUGGGAUUUAAGUCAAUAUUCCCAACAUUUACUACUAUUCGAGCAGGUAAAAGAAGGAAAAAAAGUUAAGGCAAAAUAUUGGACAAGAUCCAAUCGCAAGUCUCGCCAGAUAAAGACAACUCUAGUUUCCAAUGUUCAAGAGCACUUAUGAGAUGAAGAUAUUCGUUGUCGAAAUAGAGCUUUUCUAGAAGGAUAUGAUAGUGGUUAUGAGGUUAAUGUUGGGAGUUUUAGCGUUUUGCUAUUUGUAUGCUUUUGGGAUAUGGAAGUGCCCCUAUGUAAAAAGAACCAUUGACCAUGAAAGUUGUUGUCUAUAUUUUUUGAAAUUGUGAUGCUUUGGAGAUCAAUUGGGGCAUCCAGUUUGAUAAAAAAAUUUUAGAAAGCUGAAUGAUAUGGUAGAUGUCAUGGCAAAGGUGGGUGGAGAUUUUGUCAUGGCAAGGGAUAGUGGUGUUUGCUUUCAUUAUUUGUUUACCGACCAUGGUAGUGUUUUUUUUUUUCUUCUUUUUUUGUUUGGAUGUCAUGAUUUCUUCUUUUUAGGUGGAAGUCUUUCGUUAGAAUUGUGCUAGAUUAUUAUUAUUUUUUUUGUUUCUGGUAUGGCUUUAACUAUGUUUCUUGGUUAGGUUCUUGUAUUUCACUGAUGAUGGUCUUUUGAUCUCUAAUAAAAAUAUGGCUUAGCAAAAAAAAAAAAAAUACACAACUAUUGCUUUUUAUUUCGUAAAAGAACAGUUAAAUUCCCUAAUUUGACAAACAAACAAAAAAAAAAAAAACAGGAUAAAAGUAGCACUUAUUUUUAUUGCAUAUAAUAAAAAGAGAGCAUAUAAUUUACAACUAUUAUAAUUCAAUUAAUUAAUUAUAAUUUAAAAUUAUGUAAAAUUUAUCAAAAUUUUAUAUGUAACCCAUAUUUAUAAGUGACGAUCCUUAUAUAAUAUUCUAUUGUGAUUAGAUAAUAAUUAUAAUAUUAUAGUAAAAAAAGCUACAACUGAAAUGCUUCAGAUAAAAAGUUAAACAACUUUAAACAAAUGUAUACGUUACAUUAAUACAAUCCGGUGACAAAAGCUUGGUAGUUAGGGAUGAAUUGGAAAUUGACAUGUGCUUGGAUAAGUGAAGAAUUUAGUUUUUUUAAUUUUGAAUGUUGAUUUUUUUUGGAACGGAGUACGAUUAAAAAAAAUCAUUAAUACUAUAUUUUAAAACUAUGGUUUUUGUUAUUUUUUUUUAAAUUGUUUUUGAUCAAAUAUAAUUAAUCACAAGUUUGAUCCUUAGUUACCAUAUAAACUUUACUCAUAUGUCUUAAAAGAAUGGGCUGACUAAAAAAUAAUAUAGGCUAAGUAAAUGUAUAAGCCUUAAUUUUUGUAUUAAAAGAGUGGACUUAAUAUAUAAUGUUAUAAUAAUUUUAAUCUAAUUUUAAUUUCCAUAUUUAAAUUUAUUAUUUAUAUGUAACAUAAUAAUGCUCAAAUUAAAAUUACCUUAUCCAUUCAAUAAAAAUUUAAUAUUUUAGAAGAUUUAAAUUUAAUAUUUUAUUAUACUAUUGCAUCUUGUGAAUAAAUAAUAAAAUUAUAUUAAUUUUAAUACAAUGUUACAUGUUGUUAACAAAUAAUAAUUUAGAAAACCUAUAAAAUGAAUUGACCUAAUGUCUUUAGGUAAUAAUAGAAAUUACAAAAUGGAUCAGUUACAAUUUAAUGAAAACUUAAAUCGGUGUUAAAAGAAAAAUAUUUGAGGGAAUAAACACUAAAAGGUUUUUAAUUUGGUUUUAUUGACAUGGAAAGACUCUUUCUUUCCUACUUCAAAUUAAAUAAUCAUUACAAUACAGGUUUAAAUUAUAAUUUUUUAUGCAAUUUUCUAUUUUAAAAUACACGUUUUUACAUGUACUUUAUUAUAUCAUAUUUUCAUUUCUAGAAUCUCUAUCUCUUUCUACUUCUCAUUUUUCUUUCAUUUUUUUUUCCUUCUUGCUAUUCAGGUUGUUUUUUUUUUUUUUUUCAAAUUUCAAAAUUUUUGGCUUACUUUUUAUCAUCUUUUACUGUUUUCAAUGUACAGAAUAUCAAAAUACAACAUUCAUUUUAAUUCCAUGCAGUGGGAAAAAAAGGAUAAUUAACAAAUAGCUCCAUUGAUCUAUUCUUUCCUCUCAUCGAAUUUUAUUGAAUCUUAUAUCUUAUAUUUCAUUAUUUUAACAACUUAUUAAGAGCUAAUCAAAUAUAUUAAUAUGAAUCUUGUAUAUAAACUUUUGAGUAUACUUAUAGAAUCUGAAUAUUAUUUUUUUUAUAACUUCGUUAUGAUGAAAAUCAAAUAUAUUCAUUUGAAUCUUGUUUAAUUUAUCCCUUACAAUCCUUUCUAUAUAUACUAAACAAUUUUAAUUAAUUUAACGAUAUCUAUAUGAUUUAAUUUUUAUGAUACAUUUCACAUGUAGCCAAUAUAACUACCCCAUGCGGAUACACACUAUUAAUAAAUAUAAAAGUAAUAAAAUCGAUUGUUAAAUUUUUUAUUACACAAAAUAUAAAUUUUAAAUAUUUGCAGAUAAAUAAAUAUAAAAUAUAAUAUAAUAAUAUAAUAAUAUAAUAAUACUACUUUAAGUUAGAUGUAACAAUAAAUUAAGUCGGCAUUAAAUUAAUAUGGGAGUAACAAAGUACAUUAAUAUUACUUUUUAUUACAUUAUAAAACAAAUCAAAUAAUUUUAUCAUAUAUAAUUGCAAUGGGAUAAUAAAUAAUAGCCAUAUUACAUCACAAGUUUUGGGUACCUAUCCUUUCUCCACAUUGGCCAACUUUGUAGACUUAGCAAGUGGUGCGCAUCUUAGUUAGGGGCAUGACUCCAUCAUAAAAUGUUUUUUUUUUUUUAAAUUAUAAAUAUUUUCCAAAAGAUGGAAUUUUCCAUUUUCGGGUUUGAUUUUCAAAUUCUUUUGAGUCUGUUUUGCUUUUCCCUAAUUUAAUUGGAAACAGUUUUUGAUUUUAAUAAGAUAAAAAAGGUUUGAAAAAACAUUUCUCAAGCCUUUCAAUGACACUUCAUUUUUUUAACAGUUUUCAUAAUUUUAUGAUUAUUUGUUUUAUAAUCCUAAACUAAACCUUUUUUGAAACUAAAGUAAAUAAUUUUAAAUAUAAAAGUAAUGAAAUGUUUAUAAUGAAAUUACCUGAUAGACUAUUGUUGGCAAGACUAAUUGCUUUCAAAGAAGAAAUGUUGAAAAUGGAAUGUGGAAUCAAUCCACUUAACCGCAUAAAUGAUGCAACUAAUUUCUCCAAUGAAAUAAGAUUCCCAAUCUCCCAUGGAAUUUCACCUGCAAAAGGAAAAACAACUUUAUUAUAAAACUAUCCACUUUCUAAACAUUUCAAUAAUAUUGAGGUUAUUUAAAAUGCAAUAAAAGUCAAUUACACAGGAAACUCCUAGUUUCUUCAAUGUUUAAAAUAUGAAGGAAUAAUUAAUUUCAUCAAUACUAAAAGUUUGAGUCAAAAUGAGAAAGCAUAAAAGAAAACCAAAUGUGACUAUUUUCAUGUUGAUCAUUCUAUUAAUUUUUAUUUUUUAGUUAUUUUUUAAUUUUUGUUAUAUAUACAAAAAUCAUGAAUAUGAUGUAAUUUACUCUAUUUUAGGUUUUUUUUUUAUUACUUUUUGCAAAAACAAAAACAAAUAGGAAUAAAAAAAUAUAUUAUGAUCAAACAGAGCCUAAAUAAUAAAAUGUCCAAGAGAUAUCUUUUGGUUUAUAAAAUUACUUAUCCCAUUUGAAUUAUUUCCGUUGAAUCAAAUUGGAACCUAAGUUCCCACAACUAUCACGACGAAAUCCCACAGCAACUAGACAAUCAAGCCUGAUCUUAGGCUUUACUUGAUCAUUGAAGCAAAAAGUUGAGUUCAGCACAAAAGUAAGCAAUAUUCUUAAAUAAUUAAUUAAAAAUAUUUUAAUUUCUGUUAAUAGUUUAAUAUAUGAUUUUACUUUUAUAUAGAAUAUUAAUAGAUUACAUUUUGAAUGCUUAUUUUAUUUUACCUUUUUCUCAAUUUUAAUUUAAUUAGGUGGAUACCACACAUUGUCUCGGAUUAAAAUUUUUUUAUUUUUUCAUCCCUGUUCAUUGAUUUUUUAAAAAAUUUUUACCUAAUUUUAAACAAAGCAAAAAAAAAAAGGUAAAAGAUAAAAAAAUUCAAAUGAGAGUGGCACAUUGACAUAUAAAUUAGCUUCUUAUUCUCACAAUAAAUUUUAUUAAAAAAAUUUUUAUUUUAUAUUUUUACGUGGGAAACCCACUUAAUAUCAAGCUUUGAAUAAAAAAACCAGUGAAUAUAUAUAAUUAAAUAGGUAAUAAAAUAUUUAUUUAUAUAUGUGUGUAUAUAUAUAUAUAUAUAUAUCAUAGGAUGGCUUGAUGCAAAGUAUCAUAAAUUUGAUUUUGACAUGUCCCUUGUUUCUAUAAAAAAAUUCGACUUAAAUUUAUUCGCUAUUGAUUUUUUCCAAAACCUCUCAUAUUAAAUCGAGAUGGAUAAAAAUAUAGUGGAUAUUGAUUGUUUUGUAAUUCUUAUCAAUAAAAAAUCAAACAUGUGAUGUACCCUUGAUAUUAGGUAGUUCCCACAUAAAAAUUAAAUAUGUAAAAAAUUAUAAGUUAAAAUUUUGGAAAAAAAUAAAAUGGUAAAAAUGACAAAGAGGAAAAAAAAUCUUGAUACAAAGUGGGUCUCACCUUUAAAUUUUUAAAUUUUUUAAAAAUAGUUAUUAAAUAUUUAAAAAUAAGGAAAUAAAGAAAAACAAAAAAAUUAAAAAAAAACGAAAAUUUUAAUCUUUCAAAAAAUAAUUAUUAAAAUUUAAAAAAAAAAACAAAGAAGGAAAAAAAAAAAAAGAGGAGUACCACAUGACACCUCUAGGAUGGUCAAGUUUUGGUCAAAAUAGCCUAAAUUAAUUAUAUAAACAGAUAUAUAUGUUUUAGUUUUUCCUAAUUUCUUUUGUGUGCAUUGUUGGAGUCUUGGUCAACGUAAAGCUAUAUUCAGUCGCGUAACUUAGGGAGUGUUAGUUUGAACAAUAUUUCACUAUAUAAUUAGUUCGACAAAAUUAGUGACAAAUUAAAUAUUUUGCAUUUAAAAUUUAAGAACGAACUGUUUUGAUAAAAGAAAAUUAUCAAAGGCAAAAAAUAAAAAUAAAAAUUUUACCUUCCAAAUUAUUUCCCCUCAAGAGUAGCCCUUUGAGCCUCGUUAAAUUUCCAAUACUCCUUGGAAUGCUGCCACUGAAUCUAUUGAAGGAUAAAGUUAAAUUUUGAAGGCACCUGCAUUCAUCUAUACUUGAUGGAAUUUGACCAGAAAACUCAUUUAAGGGCAAGUAAAGUGCCUCAAGAUUGGGAAGAUGACGACAUAUAUCUUCAGGUAAACUGCCAGAUAGACUGUUAAAUCCAAGAGAAAUCACGUGUAGGGAGGAAAUGUUAUAAAUGACUGAAGGUACAGAACCAGAAAGUUGGUUAAAUGCCAGACGAAGUAUCUUUAGAUUUAGAAGAUUACUUAUCUCGGGUGGAAUGUGUCCUUGAACGAGAUUGUGCCUCAAGUCCAAGAUUUCCAAGUUGGACAUUUUAGCUAGUGAUUGAGGGAUUGUACCUGUCAAAUUGUUGCUCCGGAGGCUCAAAUAUAAAACUUUAUUUAAUCUCCCAAAACACGAGGGAAUUUCCUCACUAAAAAAAUUGAAGCUUAAUUCUAUGAGUUUCAGACGAUUUAAUUGCCCCAACUCUGUCGGUAAAUGACCAUAAAAAUUGUUGUGACUCAAAUCAAGAGAUACUAAGAACGAGAGAUUUCCCAAUUGUGGAGGAACAGUUCCUAUAAGAUUCAUGUUGGGAAGAUUCAAAGCGUUGACUCUCCUAUGCUUAGAAGCACAAGAGACACCAAUCCAGUUGCAAACAGAGGUAGCGUUGGUCCAAUUGUUUGCUAAGAUAUUGUGAGGAUCAACGAUUCGGUGUUUAAAUUCGAGAAGAGCAUAUUGAUCUGUCGUAAGGUUCCUCACACUCAUGGCGUAACUAAUCAUCAAACAAUGAAUGAACAUUAAAGCUGACGACAGAAAAUGGAAUUUUCUCAUGUCCAUGGCUGUGGGAAUUGAUGAAAUGCAGGAUGGUUUGAGGAAGUCUGCUCAAAGUAAUAGUUAAAUAUAGAAUCAACUAGACUUCGACAGGAAAGUCGUUCGAUGGUCUUCGUCUUCACAAUAAAUAAACGAGUGAAACUUUUCACUUUGAAAUUAAUUUAUAUUUUAGCAUCUUUUUUUUUUCUUUUUUCCUUUUUUUUUUCUAUCUCUUUCUUUCUUUUUAUUCCUUGUCUUGUACGCUUUAUUAGGCCCCAUGACUCCACGUGUUACGCGAGAUUGUUGCAAAAUAGUAAUGCUGCAUCUCUCUUCUUGGAGAAAAUAUAGUAAUCUAUGUUAUUUUUAAACCAGGUGGAAUCAAUUUAAUUAAUGAAAUUACUUAAAUUUUAAGAUAAUAAUAAUAAUAAUAAUAUGUAGGUACAGAUAUUUAUUUUUUGAAUUUGAUUUGUAAAAAAAAAAAAAAAAAAACUACAUAUCCAAUACAUCGAGUAACAUCUUUUAUUAGCUAACUUCCUUUUUUAAUCAAAAUAUUUUCUUCUUCACUCACAUAUCAAGUGUGUCAUAAUCUAAAAAAAUAAAAUUAAUUUAAUUAUUAAAUUAUUUUUAUAAAAUAAAAUAUUACUAUGGCCUAUUUGUAAUGUGAGUUUUAGUAUUCAAUAAAAAUAUGCCAAGUAAAAAUUGCUCCUAUACAUAGCAUAGUAGAUGAGCCCAAUAGUUAAUGCUAUUGAAAUUAUUUAAAAAAUGGAAAUACUUCCAAGUUUCGAAAUUUACUAGAUUUAAGGAUCGUGUUUCAAUUCGGUUUUUAUUUUAUUAUUUUGUUAUUAUUUAAACACUCGAGAUAUAAAUGUCAAUUAUAAGUAAGAAUAAUAUUUUAAUCAUUCUUUUAUAAACAAUCAACUUAUAAAUAAAUUAGUAAACACAAUCUACUUCUAAUAAUAAUCCCAAAUUAAUAUUUAAUUAAUAUCAAUGCACCCUAAAAAUUUAGCAAAUGAAUUACUCAAAUAAACAUAGAGAUAAAUUAAAUUAUAAAAAUUUAAAAUUAACACAUCAAAUAAAUAAAAACAUAAAGCAUAAUUUUAUAUUUAUAAUAAGAAAAAAAACCAUAAUAAGAGCUCAAACAUAAUGAAAAUUUUAUUCAACAUCUUAAAAUAAGUCCAAAAUACAACUCCCAAUAUCUCUCAUAAAAUGUCAAAAGUACCCAUAAAAAUUAAAUUAAAUCUUUCUAUGACCCUUGUGAACAUGUGUCAUCACCACAUCUAUCUGUAACUAAUUUUUAAUUUAUAAUGAAAGGUGUUAAAUCGAUUAUAGUUUUGUAAAAGAAAAUUUCUAAGGUAAUAAUGAUGAUAAUGUUGUUAGGAUACAAUACAAUCUAAAUUUUUUUUUGCUAAAUAAAUUUAAAUUUAUUUUUAAACUAAAAUUGUGAAUAUAUAUAAAUAUAUAUAUAGAUAUACACACACACACUAAUGGUAACGUGAUUGAGUUGCAGUCAUGAGUUAACCAAUUGGUAAAUUUACAUUAAAUCCAAAGUUAAAAUAGAAUAACAAUAUAAAUUUAAGAUUUAAAAAAAAACUUUUUUAAUCUUAUUAAAAAAAAGCUACCCACCCAUAAAGUAACAUCCUAUAAAAAAAUUAAUUUUUAAUGAAUUUUUUUCGCCCCUCAUGAGUAUAUUAAAAUCUAGUACUUUUAUUAAAUUUUUGAUUGAUAUGGUUUAAAAUGGAUUUAGUAUUUCAUAUAUUUGUAUUAUGUCAAUAUCAUUAUACACGUAUAAAAUAUGAAAGUUUUCAUAUCAAAUUCAUGUUGAUAAAUUAAAUAUAAAAUACUUUUUUUUGUUGUUGUCAAAUCCGCAUAGAAUUUUUGUCAAAACUUUAAAUAAUAUCACUUUCACAUGUUUUUUCAUAUAAUUUUAAUCUCAUGUGAUCGUGUUAUAUUUAAUAUUAUCAUAUAUAUAUAUAUAUAUAUAUAUUGCAAAUGAUUCCACCUAAUGCAAGCAAUUCUCUCUCCAAUUGACCCUGACUAAGAAAUUUUGAAGUCAGAAAAGCAAUUGACUUUGUUGCAAGAGCAAGGAUUAAUCUAAACCUUACCAAAUCAAAGCAACCACUAUUUUUUCUUUUUUUUUUUUGAAAUCAAAGCAACCACUAUUAUUAUUACGACAUUAACAUGUGAAUUUGUAUGGUUUCCAAAAACAGUAAGAUCUUCUUCUAACUGCGUUCCGAUCUUUUAAUAUUAUAUGAUGAAUUUGAUUACUUUAUUAUCAUACUUGGGUUGUUAAAUAAUUGAGACUGGGUGUAAAACCUCCUAAUUUGUAACCACUACUUUUUUAAGGUGAGGAAAUUAAAAGUAUUUAUUACCUAAAUAGGCCAUUUUUAAAUUAUUUUUUCUUUUCAAAGAGGUUUUUUUUUUUAACGAAAUGUCAAUUUUUAUUACUAAACAGGUAGUCUAGUACUUUUAUAAAUCUUUGGAUGAAUUUGAUAUCACCAGGCAAUUGAUACCAACGGUCUUGGUCUUCACAAUAAAUAAAAUGAGUCAAGCUUUUGAUUUUGGGCCCUCUAAUUUGCUUUUGAUCUCCUUUUACAAACCAUAUCUAAAACCAAUAUAUCUUUUUCUCUUUUUCUUUGUAUUUAUUGGACUUGCAUACUUUGUGAGACCCAACUAGUCAUUUCUCCUUGACUCCGCGUUUUACGCCAUGGGCUUCUAUGAAAUUGCAGGCAGUCAUUCUUUUAUAUAAAUAUAAAUAUAAAUAUAAAUUAUAUAUAUUUCUCUAAGAGAUAUAAAUUAUAUUAGGAUAAUUGAUCAUUGAUAAUAUUCAAUAUUGACAAAAAUAAUUUUAAAAUUUUAAAAUACAAUAUCGUACUCAAAUUUCAAAUAAAAGUGAUCUAAUUAUUUUUUAAAAUUUAUUUUCAAAUCAUGAAUUUAUAGAAUAUGAAAAUAUUAAAUUAAUAUGAUAAUAUCAUAUGAUUUUUCCUUUACUUAACAUUCUAGUUAAUUUCAGUGGUUAGUAGAAUAUAAAAAGUUUUCAAAUGAAUUUUAUUUAUAAUCUUUUCUUUCAAAAAUUCUUUUUUAGUAUUAAUUAAUGGAAUAUGAAAAGAAUGAAGUUAAUAUAAUAAUAUUUUAAAACCAAGUUAUAAAUUAAAAUUUCUUUAAAAUUUGCUAAUAUAUGGGACCAAAUAUUUAAUGAAAUUCUUGUGCAUUUUCAUUUUACCCUUCAAACAAUUCAUAAAAUUAUAUAAAAAAAAACUAUAUAUUUUUCACAUUUAUCUUUUUAAUUUAGUUCAAAAUUUCUCUUGAUUUCAUUUAUUUCAAAUUUAUCUUGAUUUCAUUUAUUUCAAAUUUAUCUUGAUUUCAUUUAUUUCAAAUCGAUAACUUUAAAAAUCAAUGACAUUUGCUGCCUUGAUAUCAUGUAACUGUUGACAUAAAUUUCAAUAAAAAAAAUUUAAAAAGAUCUUUUUGUUUUUUGCCAUAUGAUCAUUGUUUAGGCUCGCUUUUUUUACCACAAUUUUUUAUUUAAUAUGUACACAAAAUCAAAUAAGGAUAAAGAGAUUUGAGGACACAUGGAGUGUCAGUUUCAAUUCAACCCUAAGAUAAGUUUAUGAUAGUACCACAUAUCAAAGCCGUGAUUGGUGUAAUCCAAAACUGAGCAAGCAAUUCUUUUUCCAUGAGAGAGACAAAAGAAGUAUCAAUAAAGUUAUUUUAUUUUUCACAUCCAUAAAAGCAAAUAAAGGAAUCUAGUCAGAAAAGCUAAGGACAUACUCUAAGUGCUAGGCCUUGAAUCAAUCCAAGUCAUCUUGCUUUCGACAAACAUCAAAGCAGGCUAAGAAAUUUUAAGUCAGAAAAGCUAAUGAUCGUUUUCUAAAUGCAAGGAUCAAUCAAGUUUCUAGGCCUUGAAUCAAUCCAAGUCAUCUUGCUUUCGACAAACAUCAAAGCAGGCUAAGAAAUUUUAAGUCAGAAAAGCUAAUGAUCGUUUUCUAAAUGCAAGGAUCAAUCAAGUUGUCUUGGUUUCACAAAAUUUUAAGUCAGGAAAGCUAAUGAUUGUUUUCUAAAUGCAAGGAUCAAUCAAUUGUCUUGGUUUCACACACAUCAAGGCAAACUAAGAAAUUUUACGUCAGGAAAGCUAAUGAUCAUUUUCUAAACGCAAGGAUCAAUCAAGUUGUCUUUGUUUCACACACAUCAAGGCAGACUAAGAAAUUUUAAGUCAGGAAAGCUAAUGAUCGUUUUAUAAACGCAAGGAUCAAUCAUAUUGUCUUGGUUUCACACACAUCAAGGUAGACUAAGAAAUUUUACAUGAAGAAUUAAAACUAUCAAAUGCAAGGAUCAAUCAAGUGGUCUUGGUUUCACACACGUCAAAACAAACAGAGAAAUUUCAAGUCAGGAAAGCUAAUGAUCAUUUUCUAAAUGCGAGGAUCAAUGAAGUGGUAUUGAUUUUACACACGUAAAAGCAGACCAAGAAAUUUUAGGUGAAGAAUUAAAGCUACCAGUUGCCAGGAUCAAUCAGUCUUCUUGCUUUUCUCUUGCAUCAAAGCAAAUCAUUCUGUUAUCAUACCUCGGAUAGGUAAUUAAAUAAUUGAAAUUGGGUUUAAAAGCUUUUAAUUUGUAAUUUUUUUUUCUUAAGAUAAGGUAAAUUAAAAUCUUUAUUAUCAAAGAGAUAGUAGUUUUAAAUUUUUUUCUUUAAAAGAUGUAUUUUUUUUUAUAUAAAAGAUGUCACAACUUAAAUAUUGAAAAAAAAAAUGUAAGUAUUGGGAUUUAAAUUUCAGAUUUAUUAGAUGUAAUCUCUUAAGAAUAAUUACAUGAGCCAAAUAAAUUAAACUUUUAAAUUAUAUUGAUUGGAUAACUCAUUCGAACCCGAAAGCCCGUCCUAAUUUUGGGAAGGCUUAGACAUGAAUUUUAGGUUCUUAAAUGGGCCUAAACUUGAAUUUUAGACCCAUUUAAAAAAUGUACUAGGCCAUGGACAUAAAGUUUAAGGUUUGAACCCGACUAGGCCUAAAUAAUUAUUAUAUAUUUUUUAUAUUUAUAUUACAUAAAAACGUAUAAUAUAUAUGUUAAUAUCCUAUGUCUAUAUAUACUAAUCACAUUCAAAUAUUAAAUUAAGUUAACAAAGUAUUUUUUAGGCUUUACUUUGUUGAUUAUUUAUUUUAUCAUAAUUAAUAUUUAUUAUAAAAAUUAUUUUUUAUUUUAAAAAUAAAAUAUAAGCAGGCUUCAAUAAAGUCUUUUAAAAAUUAAUUAAGCCUAAGUAGCAAAAUAAAAUUAUAUUUUGGGAUGAAUGAGUAUGAACAAACUUAAAAUUUGUUAAUAUUCUAACUAGGCCAAACUAGAAUCUGGUUCGACUCAAUCCAUAUAUGUAGACACCCUAUUUGGUCCGGGCCCAAGGCCAUUGGGCCUGAUCAAAUAGGGUUUGGGCCUAAGUCCAUUGGGUCCGAUUCAAGAUCCAAUUAGCAAGCCCAAUUGGCUUUUAUUUUUAUUUUUAUUUUUAUUAUUUGUCUAUUUAUUAAUAUAUAUUUUUUAUUUUUUUAUUAUUUAUCUAUUUUUAUUAUUUAUUUAUUCUAUUAUUUAUCUAUUAAUUUUUUUUUGACAUUAUCUUUUGCUUGAUUUUUUUUUGCUAGGAUUAAGGGAUAUUGAUCAGAAAAAGUUGGAAUUCUGUCAUGGAUAUGGGACUAGAAGAGUCUGGAUUGGAUUCAAAGACUUGAAUCCAAAUCUCAGAUGGAGUUGGGAUUGAUCAGAAGAGUUUCUGAUCAAUCCCUAUAAAUAGGUCCAUAAAUCACACAGAAAAGGCACAGAGGUGAAAUCAGAGGCAAAAAUAGUGUUAGAGGCAGUUUAGAACUUUUAGGAAAAUUUUCUCGAAAUUUUUGGAGUUUUUUUUUUUGGAAAAUUUAUGGAAAAUUUUCAGAAUCCGGUGAAAUUUUUUGACGAAAUUCAAGUUUUCCAAUGAGUAUUCUGGCCAAAAACCCAGUUUUCGGUGGAAAAACCUAGAAACCGAUGAGAAUUCCACCGGUGUUCUUCAUGGGUAGAAAGAAGGAGAAGAAAACUGAGGGGAAGAGAGAGAAGGAAUAGAGGUAGUCUAUGAAAAAAUAGAAGUUAGAGCCUUUUAUAGUGCCAUAAAAUGACGUCGUUUUGGCAUUAGUGAACCCACAGGAUCUGCGUAUUUUGCCAAGAUCUGACCUGACCUGAUUGUGACUCGAUCUAGUGACCCGCGUACUGACCUUCCCUUGGAGUCGAGUAGAGCCAAGCCGCACGCUCUCGAGCCGUGUUCUUCAAGCCAUUUUUUUCCUCAAGCCAAGUCGCGUUAAGGUUUUUUUUUUCAUUUUAUUUUAUUAUUAUUAUUAUUAUUAUUAUUAUUAUUAUUAUUUAUUGAUUAGAUUAGAAUUAUUUGGUAUUCCUUAUUUUAUUUUUAUUUUUAUAUUAUUUUAUUUUUUAAUGAUUUUCUUAAAAUAAAAUUCUAAAAAAAUAUAUUUUUGAGAAAAAGUUAAAAGUAUCAACUUUCCUUGAAAAUAAUUUUCUAAAAAAAACAUUUUUAAAGAAAAGUUGAAAGUAUCAAUUUUUCUUGAAAUUAAAGUUUCAGAAAAAUAAUUUUGGGUAAAGUUGGAAUUACCAAUUUUUUUUUUUAAAAAAAAACUUUUUAAGAAAAAGUUGAAAGUAUCAAUUUUUCUUGUACAAAAGCAAUGAGUUUUUGAAGAGAAAAGGAUUUAUAUCUAAAGCUGAAUCAUUAUUUUUUUUUAAUUUCUUUUUCCUUCUUGUUUCUUGAAUUUUCUUUAAUGUUAAAUAAUCCGAUAAUGGAUCCUCUGCAAGUGAAACAGUAGUUUUCUUGCAUACUCUUGAGGUGAGAAAAUUUUUUUAAUUUUUUGCUAAAAGUAUUAGAGUCAAUUGAAAAUAAUUUUCAAUAAUUAAUUACUUGAUAAAUUUUUAAGGCUUAUUGGAUAACACAAAAUUAAGCUGGUACCAUCUUUCGAUAGGCGUUGUGAGGGUGCUAUAACCUUCCUCACAUGUAACCAUACUCCCAAACCCUGUUUUAGUUAAUAAACCCGAACCUAUUUUUUAAGGACCCUUAAACUUAGGUGUUCCUUGAAGUGAUAGAUUCCUUAGGUGGCCAAUUGCACCUAAACAAAAAAGAUUGGUGGCGACUCCUUAAGUCAAUGUCUAGCGAUAGAUCCCCAGAUCUAAACGUUAUGAUAAUAUACAAAUUUAAUUAUCAGUAUCAUGUGUUUAUACCUAAAUUGCCAGUAUGGUAGGAAAGACCAUUUUUUAUUUUUUUUCUCUUUUUAAUGUAUUUAAUUAAUGAUUUCAUUAUACUAUUUGAAAAAUUAAUAUUAAUGUUAAUUUAUGAAAAAUUUUAACCAUAAAAGAAUUAUGAAAAUUGGAAGAAGAAAAAAGAUAUCUCCAUCUCUAUAUUGAGAAUUUUGUCAUGUAAACAAUAUUGUAGGGUAAUACUAGAUUUUUGGUUCUUGCUUUACAAUAUCACUUAUUUUUUAAAAAAGAUAUUUAGAAUUCAUUUGGUUUGAUUAAUUUUUUUUUUUUUUUGUAAAAAGUGUUAUAAUAGUAUUUGACAAACAUAAUGCAAAAAUGCUCUAAAACAUAAAAAGAAAACUAUUUAAUAAUAUUUUUAUAGAUUUUUAUUAAAUACAAAUUAAAAGGCUUAACUUUAUAAGCCAAACCAAUAAAUAAAACAAAGAUAUUUUUUAUUAAUUAGAAAUUAAAAAAUAAAUGAGAUUAAUAGAAAAUUUGGAUCAAGUAAAAAAAUAUGUAUGUGAAAUAAUUCAUUUUUAUUAUUUUAUGAAUUAUUAACAAUAAAUUGAGAAUGUGAAAAAAAAAAAAAACUAAGUAAUAUAUUUUUUAUUAUACAACAACACUUUUGAAAAGGUUUUAACUUAUAAAAUCUUUUAAAAAGCCAAAUUAGCUUUGAUUAAUAAUUUUAAAAUUUUGAAAGUAAAACAUCUUAUUUAUAUUUUUGUUGUAAAAAACUCUCAAAUAAACUAGAACAAACACCUUUAGUAAUGCAUAUAUAUAUAUAUAUAUGUAUGUAUGUAUAUUUGUAGGCACCAAUUUUGUGAUAUUAUGAUUUUACUUAUAUUAUUAUUAUUAUUAUUAUUGUUGGGUGGCCAAUCACACUAUAAAAAUAUUGAUGGCGACUCCAAAAUUUUCACCAAGUCUAACGAUCGAGUCUCCUCGGAUGAAAAAUCAUUAUGAUAAUAUUUUUUAUAUUUAUAUGUAUGUGUGUUUAAAAUAGUUUUUCAAAAUUGCAAGAGUUUCUUUUAAUAAAACAUUAGCGUUCGAGGUCCCACUUCGGAUGUGAUCAUAAUUAUUAGGAUUGAAUUGGAUCAUUAAUUAGAUCAGUUGAAUUGAUCAAUCGAUACCUAAAUCAGUUCGAUUUUAUUAAUAGACUAAAUUUACGAUUAACUUGCAUUAAACCACAUUGAACUGAUGGUUGAAUGAAUAAAUCACUAAUCUGGCUAGUUUUUAUUGAACCAUUUUGGUUUUAAUUUUUUUAAUGAGUUUAAAAAUUAUGAUUAAUUUAGUUUUAAUAAUUAAUAUUAUGGAUUAUUAUAUUAUUUAAUUAAAAUAAUAUAUUUUAAAGUAAAAUAGAUAAUAAAAUAUGAAAAUUUAAAUAAUUAAAUGGUGUUAUCCAUCCUUACAUGUUAUGCACAUUAAAGAAUAACUUAAUAAAAUUUAACUCCUUUCUCAUUUAUAUUUUUAGGUGACACACUCAUAUCAAAUUAAAGGAUAAAAACUUGGCUAAAAUUAAAACUUUAAUUAUCAUUUUGGAGCUUGAUUUGUUUUAUAUCAAAUAUCAUCAAUUUAAAGGAAAAUUUUUUAUGUCAUUUUUUAAAAUUUAUAUUUUACAUAAGCUUUCUCUUUUUUAAAACUUUUUUUUUUGUUUUUAAGUUUUUUAGAGUAUUUACUUUUUUAAAUAAUAUGGUUGAAUUAUUCAAUUAGUAUCUUUAGAGUUUGAGUUACGAGUUUGAAUUUUAAAUUUAUUUUUGUAAUUUAAGUUUAUUAUACUUUUUAAAUACAUAUACUUUUUUUACACUUAUUAUAUUAUGUUAUAUAUUUUUAAUUUUUUAAGUUUGAAAUUAUCUGCAAUAGAAUUUUAUUACUUAUCACAUAAUGGAUUAAAUUUUUAAAAUAUUUAUAUAUUUAUAUAUCUUUAUUAGUUUAACAAUUGACUUGAUUGACCUAACAGUUGAACCAAUGACCCAACACUUUGAACAAUUCAGUAUCUGGUUUGAUUCUGAUAAUUAUACAUGUGGUUGCUUUUUAUAUCAAUUUAAUUAAAAAAUUAUUUUUUGUAAAAAAAUAUCAAUUUAAUUAAAAAUGAUAACAUUCUUUUUUAAAAAGAAAAUAAACGAAAAAAAGAUAAUAAUUUACCACAAAUUUGGGGUUGACCUAAAUCAAGAGAAGUCCAAGGAAAUUAGGCUUGUUAAGUGGACUUGGGACUUUGUCUGCUUCAGGUAUUGGGUCUCUGGGAAGGAAAAAUGUGUUCUAGGUCUGAAUUCGAGCCUACACAUUGAUACUUUUUUUGCAAUACAAUAUCAAAACUCAAUUUUUUUUUCAAUUCAUUUUACCCUUUUAUUUCUACUUAAAAUUCACCCUUUUCACCCAAACUACUUAAUUUUCAACAUCAACCACCAUCAUUGACACCAUUUUCCAUCAUUGGUCAUUGUUCAUCAGCACUAAAAAACACCCAAAGUUCCAACAAAAGAUUUUUCUCAUGCAAUGUGUCAAUAUAUGUGGCAAUUUUUAGAUGCUUUUGUGGUACUUGAAAAUCACUUCUUUUUUAUCUACUUUUCUUUUUGUUUUUCUUUCCACCAAAACAAUGUAGUUUUGAUACAAAAUAAAUAAAAUUAGUCUUAAAAGCCCUAAACACCAUCUUUUCUUUCUUUUCUCUUAUUGUCAUCACAUUACCUUUUCUCAUCGUCAACCUUUUUUCAUAGCUAUCACUAUUGUUGAUCUUUGUCUUGUUACAUUUGUCUUGUUGACAAUAACUCCCUUUUCUCUUUCAUUUGUUUUUUGUUUCUUUUUCUUUUUUGUAUCAAUGAAAAUCUAAAAAUCCCAAUCUCUCUCACAUUAUCUUCCUUCAUGGGUGGCCUUAGAUCUACUGUUGAUGGCUCAGUUUCCUCUCAUUUCCCAUUCUUUUUUAUUCUUUUCAUCUUUUUUUUUCUUCUUCUUUUGUUUUUUUCCUUGUCUUUUUUCAUUUUCACCCUUUUUUGGUAACAAGUAUAUUUUGCCACCACCACCACCAUCAAGAUGGCUUGAUCAAUGAGUACAACAAGCAAGCCAUGAUUGUCAUCUUUUGAGAUCUCCGUUGUAACGACAAAAAUCCCUACCCAAGAGAAAAAUGAUCCUAAUUAUAGGAAUUUUAUAGCACCUUAUUUUAGGUUAAUUUUUAGGUUUUGAUGUUGUCAUGUCGAUUUUGAAGGCCACUAAAUGAAUUAAAAAAUAUAAGGAGUCACCACCAAUAUUUUUUGGUUAAAUGCGAUUAGUAACAUAGUAAAACUUAGCUUUUUAAUAAAAUUUUUAAAUUAAUUAAGAUUAUUUGAAAUGAUAUUUUUUGAAUUUACAUAAAAAAAUAAAGCCUGGUUCAAGAGUCUAGUUUCGUGUUAGAAAGAAUUAAUAUCCCAUAACAUCCAUUUUAAGAACGAUACCAAUUAAUCAUGUAUUAUCAUUUAAUCUUGACAAAAGUUGUUUUAAUUUUGAUAUUUAAAAUUAAUUUCCUUGACUUCCUUUGUUUAUCAUAAUUUUGAUUUUUUUUAUUUCAUUUUCUUCAUGAAAAUUUUUCUUCUUUGUAAAAAUUAUUAUUUUACUUUUAUUUGAAAAAUAAAUUGAAACCUUGUUAUUGAAAGAUUCUCAAAAUGUUUCAAUACGUUGGUAACAUUAGGAUAAAUUUUCUCACCUAAGGUUUUCUUAGGAAUCAUUACCUAAAUUUCUUUAUAAUCUCAUUUUUAGAGGCUCAUAUUUAUCUUUAAAUCAAUAUUUAUAAUUAAAUUUAAUACUCAUAACUUCAUUUGAAUAAUAUCUUUCUUUUUUUAAUAGAUAAAAAGUAAACAAGAAUUUUUUAUUGAAGAUUAUUCUAAAGUUUCCAUUAUUUUGGCAGUAUUUUAAAAAAUUAUUCUCAUAUAGAUGGUUUUAAAGAAUCAUUACUUUGAUUUUCUUAAAAUCCCAUUGUAGGAAAUUCACAUUUAUUUUCAAGAUAUAUUUAUAUAUGUGUGUGUGUAUGUUUGUGUGUGUGAAAUACAAGUAAUAAGAUAUGAGAUACAUGUAAUUUUACUUGUCUUGGUAAUCUUGCUUAUUAAUUUUUAUUAUUUAUUACCCAUUAUCUUGUCUAAUUUGUUUUUGUUCAUUAUUUAUUUAUUUUUAAUUUAAUGAUUUUUCUUAAAAAGAAAAGGAAAGUCUUUUAUUUAAAAAAUUUUGCUAGACACUUUAAAACUUUGAUAACAUUUUAGAUAAAUUUAUUCACUUAGUUAAAAAUCAUGACUCAAACUUUCAUAAAAAAAAAUCCUCUUGUUGGAAAACAUUUCCUUUCUCAUUUUUAUUUAUCAUAAUUUUUUUAUGCUUUUAUAUUUAGUAUAAAUUGAAUUUUACCAUUUUUUAAAUUUAAAUUUUACUUUCAUUAAGACUAGUUUUUUUCAAAAAAGAAAAAAGAGAUUAAAUAUUUAUUUUAGGAAUCUAGAAUUUUUGCACAAGAAAAUAAUUAAUUUAACAAAAAUUAUACAAAAAAUAAUAAAAAUUACUAAAAAAUGAAAAAAAAUGACCUAAAUAGGUUGGUCAAUGCUAGUCAAUGAUUUGGUGAUGAUUCAACUAGGUUCAAAAGUGGUUUGGUUGGCCGAUUUAGGUGCUAAUAGAGUUUCAACCAGUUUAGGUGCUUAGAGAAUUUUGGCCAGGAUUGGUCAGCAGCAGUCGAAAGUAGGUUGGGCAUAUAGAAUCAAGAUCCAAGGUUGGCGUGCAAGUCUUUUGAAAAUUUUUUUAGGCCUAUAAAAGUUAAAAUUUUUUCAGUUAAUUUCAAACACUCUUCUAAAAAGAUCUCUCACAACUCUCUCAACUCUCCCAGACAAAAAAUCCAGAACCAACCAUGUUUCUAGAAUUUGAUCGAGUGCCGUUAUUGACUCAUGCUUGUUAGUGCCAUUCGAUCACCUUUUGACUUUAAAUUUUCACCGUAUACUUAUCCUAAUGAUUUUGUUUCAGAUCUGACCUUAGAUUUUUUAGAAUCAACCCUAAUAAUCUUAGAUCUACCCUUUGUAAUCAUCUAUUUUAUCUAAAAAAUUGAAUAUUUUGUCAAGAUAAAUCUAAACCAAUUCCAAUUUCAUUCAAAUCCAUUCAGGUAUCUUAAUUAAGUUUAUCAGAUCAUUUUAGUACUAAAACUUUUAAACUUUUAAUUUUUUAUUUUAUUUUCAUUUUAUUAUUAUUAUUAUUAUUAUUAUUAUGUCUUUUGUCUUUUUCUUCUAUUUGUUUCCUCUGUCUUUUUUUUAUUCUUGCUCACCCCAAAAACUCACCUACCUCUGCCUAAGUUGGCAGCAAAAAAUUAAGGGUCUAUAUCCCUAAAGAUCUAGGAUUUGAUCUCAGAUUAGUCUUUGAAAUCAAGUAAAAAAAAUUUUUCAUAAAGGAGAACACUAACAAAGGGAGCCAAUGACCAUUUUGCCUAAAACAACACACACUUAACCACAAAAAAAAAAAAAAAAACUUAGUAAACAAAACCACCACAUCCUUAUAGGAGGCACCGUUAGUAAAAGAAUAAAAAUUUAAUCAAGAGCAAAGGUUUUGAUCUAGGUGGUUUAGGAUUUUUUUUUUUGUUUUUAAAAUAGUUGAGAAAGUGUUUAAGAGAUAAAGGGGAUAAGUUUGGGAUUGUUAAGGGUUUUUAAAAUAAAAUUUUUUUGCUUUGCUUGAUUUUGGAAAAUUUUAAAUUUUUCGAUGGUUGUAUGAGUUUUUUGAUGAUCGAAAUCUAGGUAUUUUGUCGAGAACUAGGAAUAUUUUAAAUUUAUUGAUGCUGGUUAAAGAUUCUGACCAUGGCAUAACGACGAUUGGGCGAAAUUUGGGUUGCCACAGCUAUCAAAAAGGAAAAAGGAAUUGUUAGAAAGAAAGGCUCUAGUUUGUAGAGAGAUAGAACAAUAGAGAAAAAUAAGAAAAAAUCCAAAAAGGGGCCUUUUAUAAUGACCCAAAAAGUCGUUGUUUUGGAAUUAAGGGAUUCAGGCCAACGUGCCAACCCACAGGCCAACUCGCAUUCUAACCCAACUCGUUUGAUAAGAUUUCCUUUUUUUCAUUUUAUUUUUGUUUUAUGAUUUUAUUUUUUUUUUUGUUGUUUUUUUGUUAGGAUUUUCAUAAUUUAUUUUUAUAAAAUAUAUAUUUUAACUUAAGCAACAAAAUAAAUAAUUAUUAUGAAUAAUAAACUAAUAAAAAAUAAAAUCAAGAAUAAAUAGUAACUUUUAAUCUAAAAUAAAAUUGAUAAACAAAACAAUAAUAAUAUUAAAGAAAGUGAAAAGAUUCUAUUUUUUCUUAAUUUUAUAAGUAGUAAUAUUUUUUGAAUUUUUGCUAAAGUUUUGGGACAAUCAAGAAAUUAUUUUUACUGAAAACUAACUACCUCUACUAACUUCUAACUUUCAACAAAAGAAACUUCUAGAAAAUUCUUAGAACUUGAUCUAAACAAAAUGAAAUUUAAAAAAACAAAACGCAAUUGCAGAUCAAAUCGAUUAAAUUGCGACUAAAGUAACAAAAACACAAGAUCUAUGAAGAACAAGUAAAACUGAAACUUAGAUACAAAUCUGAAAAUUGAAUGUUCAACAAAGAAUGUAGAGCUAAGCUAAUGCAAAUUUAAUGAAUUUGAACUAGAAAUUGAAAAAACAAAAGGAAAUCGAAAAUCAAAACAAGACUGAAGGAGAAUUGAAACAGCAAAAACAUGAAUGCCAACUAGAAAUUCAAAACCGAAAGCAAGAACUUAAAUCUAGAAACUAACAAUUCAUGGAUGAAAAUUAUAAACCAAACACCUACCUAGGAGAAAAGUAACUUGAAGUGCUGUCACUUACUCAAGCGCUAGCUCACCUUUUGGAUUCAAAUGAAGUUUUACAGAUUUUUCUGAAAUUGUGUAGAACGAAUUUUAAUGCAAUUUUUUUCAAAUUUGUAGAACAAUGAAUAAAAAAUUCAUGCAAAAAAAUUUAGAUCAAAACAAGCAAUAUUUGAUCAAGAUUUAAUAGAAAAAUCACAGCUAAUUCAAGAACAUGAAUUGCUAAACAUAUUUGAGAAAUAAGUAAAAAUGCAUCAAAUUGAACUUGAAAACUUAAGGAUUGUUUGUUUUUGUUUCUAUUUUCUAUUUUUUGUUUUCAUUUUCAGUUUUUUUGAAAAUUGAAAACAAAGCUUUGUUUUGAAAAUUAUUGAAAAUAGAAAAAUGAUGUUUUCAGUUUUUUGAAAACAAUGUGGCACUAUUACCAUACAGGCACUGUUAACAAAAGUUACAAUUAAACCACUAUAGUGACGCUACAAUUAUUUUAUUAAUAAAAUAAUAUUUUUAUUAUAUAAAUAUUAUAUUAAUAAAUAUUAUUAUAUGUAUUAUAUAAAUAAUAUUAUAUUAAUUAAUAAAUAAUAUGUUACAUUAAUAAUAUAUUAUUAAUAUAAUAUAUUAUUUAUUAAUAUAAUAUUAAUUAAUAUAGUAUUUAUAAAUAAUAUAUAUUAAUAAAUAAUAUUAUAAUAUAUAAAAAUAAUUUAUUAAUAAAUAAAUAAAAUUAUAUUAAUAAAUAAUAUAUUAAUAAAUAUUAUUAUAUUAUUAAUAACAAAUGGAGCCUAAAAUCUUUAACCACUUUCUCUUCCAUGUUUUUGUUUUUAUAUUUCUAAAACAAAAGCAUUUUAUACAAACAUGAUUUAAAAUUCAAUAAAUUAAAAAUAAAACAAAAUAAAUUUUAAAAAACAUAAAAUAUAAAACACACAACAAUAUCUAACGACCCCUUAAAAAUCUUAAACUUUUAUUGAAAGAAUCUUAAAGUGCAUUGAAAAUAAAAGGCAAGGAAAGUAUAUUUUACUGAAAAAUAAAUGCAAUUUUCCCCUAAACAACCCUUUAAAUGAACAAGCAGGAAACUAUUUGGAGAGAAAAGAAAGUAAAAUGAAAGAAAUGAAAAUUCUAGAAAAAAAUAGAAAAAUGCUAUGAAAGUCUCCCCAAAUGGCUUACCAUUCCCUCCUAUUUAUAAGCAAAUGCGAGGUGGUUCAUCCAAUCAAAAUGCAAAAAAAAUUCCAGCUAAGUUGCCACAUCUUCUAGAUCCUUCCAACUCAUCUGUCUUGCUUUUGUAGCUUUCUUAUAUGCUUCUCUUUACUUCACUUUACUUCAAGCUUUCUUCAUUUGAUCUUGUGAGCUCUAAAAUUUCAAAAUUAUGUCUAAUGAGAAGCCUUCAAAUAACCAACCAAGCAACUCCAAUUAUCCUUCUUUGAAUGUCCAAAAUGGCACCACAAUCCUUUAUUCAACUAGCAAGUACAUCUAACAAGCUUGCUUGAAUUUUGCUUCCAAUAAUUUUGGCAUCAAUUGUAAUCAAUUUCUUCUUCAAUUUUCUGCCAAAUACAGACCAUUUAGUGGAAAAUUUAUGUAUGAAAAAUUAUGAAAAAUUCACAAGUCCAAAUAUGGCUUCAAACUGCACUAGUGCACUAGUCACCUUUCUAACACUUGCAAAACUACCACAAAGGUAACAAUAACUAAUGAAUUAAAAAUGACAUUUUCAAAUGAAAAAUAUGAGAAUUAAAACUUGAAAUAAAAUUCAAUUAAGCUUAAAUAAGCUAAGGAAAUCAUAGAGAAAAAGGGUGAGGAAAACUUUCAUAAGUGGCAAUGUAGCACAAACACACUAGUUUUGACUUUUCAUGGCUUUUUGCACCAAAAAUCCUCCAAAAGGAGUCCAAAAGCUUCAAAAUUCCUCAUUUUCCAUAUUUUCACCUACACAUUAAAUAUUUGUAUAUUUAGGAGUUUUUUUGCCAAAAUUCACAAGGAACAAGCCAAUAUUCAAGAGAAAUUGCACUAAAUGAGAUAAGAAAAUAUAAAAGUUUAGUGCUAUCAAGCAUCAACAUAGGGAGAUUGUGUCUAGCUUAAAAGUGACUAGAUCAUGUCAUCAUGCAUAUUUAGCUUCAUAAUCGAACCUAUGGAACUAAUGGUUGCAAUUUUAUUUACACAAUUGUGUUAGCAAAUAAUCAUAAUCACAUUUGCUUUUUUAUUGGAAUUACACUAAAAAUCUAGUAAUUGUAUUAAUGGAGUGCACUUUUUUUUUUUAUAUAGUAAGUAACCUUGCUUGGAACAAGGUGUUGAGUAAAUAAUGCAAAAUGCUGAACUGGGACAUAAAGCUAUGAUGCUUGCUAACAAGGUGCCUAGCACUCCAAUUUAGUAAUUGAACUACUCUAUUAAGAGAAAAGUAUUUUUAAGAUCCAAGCUUCUCAAUUUCCUAUUUAUUCAUAUUUAGAUAGUAUUCCAAUGAAGAUAUCAUAUAUGAUAUAAAUUUGAAGUUUUAGCUCACAAAGCAUCUGGAUUUAAGGAAAUUUGACACUUUCCCGUAAUAUGUUGUUCAAACAUGGACAAUGAACUCAAAUUUUCUAGAAAAUGCAUCAUUUAAGAUGCAUUUGAAUGGACCUUUGAAGGAAAUAAGGCAUUUCCUCUUCAAACAAUAAUCAGGAAAGUUGAAAAUAGUAAUUAUUUUAUCCUUUAAUUAAUCUUCUUUUUCAAUAUCUUUCAAGGAAGGUUAAUAUAAGUAAUUGUAUUCAUGAACUAUAUCAAAUACAGAAAAAGUAGGAUCAGCAGCACAUUUCACAGAAAGCAAGAUGAUAAAUACUAAUCUAGCCAAAGUGGGAAAGAGAUGCAUAUCAUUAUGGCCAGAUUUCAGCCCCUAUUCUUCAUGAAUUUUACAAGGUAACACAAGAAGAAAGUGGAUAUUUAGCAACCCUAUUUUGCAACGACUAAAAAUAUCAUUGCAAAAUAUUGUUUUAUUUACAAUGACUUUUUAUAAUAAUUGCUUAAUUGAACUUUUUAAUAUUUUAUACAACACUAAAUUUUAUUGUUGUUAAUUACUCUUCUAUUCAUAAUGACAACAAAAAAUUGUUGUGAAAACUUAUUUUAUUUGCAAUGAUUUUUCAAUGCCGUUGCUUAAGUUGUUUUUUAAUAUUUUAUUUAAUGAUAAAAAUGGUUGCUAUACUAGUUUUUGUCAUGUUUGUAAUGAUUAAAUAUUAUUGUUGCAAAAUUUUAUUUUAUUUGCAACGAUUUUUCAAUAUCGUUGCUUAAGUUUUUUUUUUGUGUUUUAUACAAUAACAAAAAAAGUUAUUACAAAAUUUUUAUCAUAUUUGUAACAAUAAAAAAGUAUUGUUGCUGAAAUAUGUUUUAUUUGCAAUGAUUUUUCAAUAUUAAUGCUUAAGUAACUUUUUUAUAUUUUAUACAACAACAAAAAAAGUUAUUAUGAAAUUUUUAUCAUAUUUGUAAUGAUAAAAAUGUAUUGUGGCAAAAACCUAUUUUAUUUGCAAUGAUUUUUCAAUGUCGUUGCUUAAUUUAUUUUUUAAAUAUUUUUAUACAAUGACAUAAAAGCUAUUUCAAAUAUUUUUAUCAUAUUUCUAAUGAUAAAAAAUUAUUGUUGCAAAAUAGUAUAACAUCUGCAAUGACAUUUCAUAAUCAUUACUUAAUUGAUUUUUUUUUAAAAAAUAUUUUAUAUAAUGAUAACUUUUAUCAUUGUGAAUUCCUAUUAUAUAUAUUCCUAGCACAAAAGAAUUAUUGUGAUAUUUAAUUAUAUUUAGUGUUGUUACUAACUCAAAUUUUCAAUAUGUUAUAUAACAAAAAAUAAUUUAUUACAAAUAUUUAAUCACGACAUAAAUAAAUUCAUUAAAUGAGUUCUAAAUAAGCAUUGGUUUGGAGGAAUGAAAAAAAAAAUUAAAGUUUCACUAAUAAUGAAUUGAAAUAAUAUUUUAUUGAUCUCUCUCUCUUAUAUUUGUCUAAAAUUUUUCAAAUGGGAGCCUAGUUUUUUAGCAUUAAUUUUGAUGUCAUGUUUAUGAAAAGAUGCAAAUUCUUGUCUCAUCAAGUUGAAUUUACUACGAUAAAAAUGAUUGAGCAGGUAGCCUUUUAAAGGCCGAGACAUGAAAAGUAGAACUGAGCAUUAUUUGGUGUAAAAUGGCAAAUGUUUGACGAAUGAAAAAUUUUAGUUUGGUUUCAAAGCUAAUUUGAAUUAAUAUUUCAGUUUUAAUGUGGUUUCAUAAAAUUUUAAAAUCAAUCUAAAUCUAAAAUUAAAUUAUAGAUAAAUAAUGUAGUAGUAUUUAUAUUUAUAUUGUUAUAUCCUAGCCCAAAUGGUAACUGGGCUAAACUAUUACCACAAUCUAUUAAUGUAGUUAAGGAAUUAACUGCUAAAAGAAAAAGGGGUUGAAAUAUUUUAGGAGAGAAAACUUAGUCAUUUUUGCUUAACGUGAAACAAAAAAAAAAAAAAACUUUCUCUUGCUUUCUUGCUUAGGGUUUGAGAUUUUGGAUGAUUGAACUUGAGGUUAAAAAUCGCAAACCACAGUUGGUUUAAUCUUUUAAGGUAAGCGAAAGCCCUUUCAUUAUUUAUUUGGAAGAAUGUUUUAUUUGUUGUUGAAUUUUGAGAUAAAAAGUUUGAGGAAAACUUAAAGAUUCAUAUAACUCUCACAUAAUUUUUCAUGAUUGGUUGAUGCUAAUCUAUUUGAUUGGGUUUUUAUUAUUUAGUUAAGAGUUAAGCAUGAUUAUAGACUAGCUUUAAGGCUGGUAACAAAAUAACCCACUAUUGUCGAUUAAAGGAAGGAAUAUACAUGCUGUGUAACAACAAGUUUUCUAUGACAAUGAGUUUGUAUUAGUUUCUGUGUUAAUAAAUGGAACUUUAUUGUAAGUAUUAUAUACCAUUGAAAAGCUUAUUGAAUUUAUAUUUCAAAAAAAUAAAUGAAAGUUGAUUUCGAGUUUUUUUAUAAAAAGCAGUCUAAUUUUUACUUAAAAAUGUAUAGGCUGCUUGGCAAUAGUAGUAGAGAGGAAUUUAAAAAAUUCUCUUAAUUUUUAUACAAUGAAUUACUAAUUGAAUCAUAUAUAUUUGAAAAGGUUAUUAAGCCUAUUUUCUAAUGAAACACUCAGGAACUAAAUUCUGAGUCUCCUAUGAAUAAAUAUAUAAUUUUUGUUAGAAUAUAUAUAUGAUGUCUGACAAUAACAUAUGAUAUGAAUUGUAAAAAUUAUUACAAUUAAUCUACAAAAAAUCACAAGGUGGGUCAUAUAUGAUUAGAAAGUUUAUUGAGUCUAGUUUCUAACACACUAAAAGGAUCUUAAUUUUAAGUUUUAUGUAGUGAGAUAUGAUUAUUUCAGUGAAAGAAAUGCAAACUAUCAGCAUUAGUUAGUUAUUUUAGUAUAAAUAAUCUCAAAAGGUAUUGAUUAAUUUUUGAUAUAUUGAAAUGAUUUUAAAUAAGCAAUUAAUUAUUUAAAAAAAAUGAUGAAAUUAAAAUAAAAUAAGUAAAAUUUUACACACUUUACUCGUUUCCAAACUUAUAUAUAUUUCUAAAUAAGUGAAUGUUUUAUUUAUUUAUUUUCUGAGAUCAUAGUGUCUUGUUCUCGAGGCUUAAUAUAUAUAAAUAUUUUGUCUUAUGUUAUUUGUAUAAGUUUUUUUAUAUAUUAAUAUUUUUAUUUAAAAUAUUCUCAUGAGGUUAAGGGUAUCAAAACUAAACUUUUAUUUUAUUUUUUAGAUAUUUUUCUAGUCGUAUUUCAUAUGGAAGACAAAAUGGGUAUGCCCAAUAUUUUUUUAAGCCUAAGAAGGAUUUGGCGGCCCACUAGAACUCCUUUGGACCAGACCAGUCAAAGCGGUACAAUUGUCAAUUCAAACUGCCUGAUGCCUUCUAAAACCCUAUCGAGACUCCGAGUUGAUAUAUCAUUGUAUCUCAAAUUAGGCUGCUCCUUAACUGAAUCCAGAGACUGCAGGAGCUUAAGCAGCAGCCAUGGGUACGCCAUUUUCUUUAGCUUUUCAUAUCUAAUAUUCUUGAUUUAAUAGCUGGAUAGCUCUUAUUUUCUCUAUUGUUUUUCGUUAAUGGGAGGAUUUAAAUCUGAGAUCUGUUUUUUCUGUUUAUGUAGAGUGAUGGGUUUUUCUCUGCUUGAUUUAUUUUCCUUUAUUUGAUUAAAUCUAUAAACUUAUUGAAGGUUUGGUUCUGACUUAUUAUUAGUUUUUCAUCUUUUGUUUUAUAUAUUUUAUUACUAUAUUUACCACUUUCAAAAAUUAGAUGCUAAGUGGUGGAAAUGGGCUUUUAGUUGACUGGAAGUCUUUUAAAAUGAAAAGGGUUAUAUUUGAUUGCUUUUUUGUAAAUAUAUUUAGAUGGAUCAUUGUUUUGGCAUUUUGGGUUCUGAUUUGUGAUGAUUUUGUUUUUGCUGGGUCUUUUGGGGAAAGUAUGGGCUUACAAGUACGUGUCAGGGCUAUGGAGGAAGAAGCAAUCUGAUGUGAUGAGGUUCUUGCAGAGGGUCAGGUGGUGGGAAUACCGCCAGCACCCUUCCAUUGUUCGAGUUAACUACCCAACUCGCCCUGACAAGGCUCGUCGCUUGGGUUAGAAAGCCAAGCAGGUAAGCUGAUUCAUUGUUUCUUUGAUAUUGCUUUCUUCCUCUGUAUUUUUAUGAGGUUUGGUAUUUUAUCUUUUAAUUUUUGGCUUAUUCUAUUUGCUUUAUUGCAGUUGUAACAUAUUUUAGUUAUAUGAUUAUCCUUUGGUCGGAAAAACUGCAUUGCAAAAAUGUUUAUGGCCAGACUUAUUGUAAUUGUGAUACUACUCAUAUGUUGCUAAUAUAGUUGAAAUAUACAUUUUUUUAAUUAUAUUUACAAAUAGAAUAAUAAAUUAAAUGAUGUUAUGAUUGGCAACAAUAAAAUUGUUAUGAAAGGUAUAAAGAAAUUUUAACAGUAUUCAUGUAACAAUAAUAUGAAAGGUAUAAAGAAAUUUCAAACAGUAUUCAUGUAACAAUAAUAGUUGUUAUAAUUAAUUAAAUUGGUUGUGUUAAAAAAUUUAUAACUAUAAAAUUUGUUGUUAUAAUUAAAAAAAUUAUUGCAAAAAUAAUUUUAUCAACGACAAUAACAGAUAUAUAAAAGAUUUUUCUAUGAUUACAAUUGUUGUUAAAGUUAUUUAGUGAAAUGACAAAAAUCAUGAUGCUAAAUGUAAUUAGCAACAAUAUAUGAUUAUGUUGCCAAACAUGUUUUUGUAUUCGAAAUUUAUGAUUGCUAAAAUAAAAUUAAAACAAAAACAUUUAAUCGUUAUAAAAUAUUUUAUGUAAUCAAAAUAAUAUUAUUAUGUAAGUUUUUGUAAUCGAAUUUUAUGAUUGCUAAAAUUAAAUUUAUACAAUGUUAUUUUGUUGUUGCAAAAUUUUAUACAAUGACAUUUUAUCAUUUUGAAAAAAUGGUUUAUUUGGCAACAAUUAAAAGUCGUUACAAUUUUUAUUUUUUUCAACAACACUAUAAAUUAUUACAUUAAUUCUUUAUUAAAAAGGUUAAUAGCUAUUUUUUUUUAAACAACACUAUAAGUUAUUGCAUUAAUUCUUUAUUAACAAGGUUAAUAGCAAUGAUCUCGUAACGAUAAAAAAUUAUUUCAAAAUAAUUUUAGCAACAACAAAUAAUUAUUUAGCAAUGUUUUGGAUUGUUGUAAUAUAUCAAUUUUCUUAUAGUGCAAACAUAAUCAAAUUAAGCGUAAAUGUGACAAAAAUUGUUCUUCACUUCAUUAAAUAAUUAAUGGCUAAACUAAUUAAACUAACAAUAUAUCAAUGUUAGAUAAAAUAAGAUAACUAAGCACUACAAAAAAAGUUAUUUUUAUCGACAUUUAUAAAUGCCAGUAAAAGAUUAAAAAAGUGAUGAUAUUACUGUUACAAGAGUUUUUGUCUCGGUUAGGUGAGUGUUAAUGAAAACUUUUCGACAGUCAAAUCACCAAUGCUAGAACUACACAUGUACUUGCUAAUAUGAUUUUUUUGGGUACUUUAAAUUGCUGUUAUAAGUAAACAACUUUUAAAUAUAUUUUAAAAUACUAGUUAAAGUCGAAUUUUAUUUAAGUUGUUUAUAUUAUUGAGUGAGUUAUAUUGACACUUAAAAUCAUCCUUAAAAGUAUUAUUAUUGUUUUUAAAUAAUUUUCAUACUUCUAAUCUUUGUAACCAAUAAAAUUAAAAAAUAAUGCAUACCAAUUAAUGGAGAACUCAGGUCUGAGAAAUGAAAGUCUGCAAGUCACUUUUGCAAUUUCUGACAAAAGAACAUUUUUAGAUUAUUUAUUUCCCAAAUUUUGCUUUCCUCAUUACAGAAUAAUAAUUAACUGACAUGUGCAUCACACUUGAAGUAUUCAAGCAUAGUUAAAAUCAGACAGAGACCUUGCAAAUUUCAUCAGUAAAGUGAUAUUAUUAUAAUUCAUAAGUAUUAACAUCAGCAAAAUUCAGUACCAAUGUCAAUGUCUACAAGCUACUAAGGACAUCGGGUAACCAUCAAAGGCAAAUUGCAACCUGAUACCAAUCCCAUUACAAAUAUCAAAACUAUCAAAACAUCAAAAAGUUAUCAAAAUACGAAUUAUCAACAAUAAUGCAAUAGCAUCAUUCUCAAAGCUUCCAUCUCUCUUUAGUUAUUUGCACAUGGUGCUUCCAAUGAAUUUUAUACAUUUGAACCCUACAAUAUAAUACAAUUUCUGGAUUACUUCAAUCAUAAGGACCACCUUAUAUUAGUAAAGUAAGGGGGGUUUUUUGUUAUUUUAGCCAAUAUUCUUCUACAAAUGAAUAGUAAGGCCUAUAGAGCUGAACAGCUAAACAAGAGGGGUUUGACAACUGCUAGGAAAAAUAAUAACAGCAUGAGUGUAGGUAAUUUACUCAAUAUACUGCCAAGACGUGGUUUUAAAUUUUAAGCCAGAACUAUCGUUGAAUCAUAAACUUACAGGGUGAAGUCCACCUUGGUGUAGAAAUUCGAGAGCAGCAUGACAAAAGAAGCCAAACCUUUCUGCAUCUUUUCUGCAACCAUAAACACACCUGUCCAAAAGAAUCUGCAAGCAACAAUACACCAAAGGAUUCUUGUGAUUAUAAUUUCUUUUUUUAACAAGUGAAACAUUGUAAUUCUUAAAGGUGCUUUAGGAGUAUGAAAAUUACCCGUUUUCUGGCUCCAGAAAAUAAACUGAAGGCCUUCCACUUUUCCAAACCAAACUUUAACUUCAGUGCCACCCGAAGAAUAGCCUCUUUGGUAAUGAAUAUCCUUCACCUAUAUCAUAGAACAUUCAUUUAACAGAUCUGAAAUUAUUAAAAAAACAAGUUUGAAAAAAGUAAAGAAUGAAUUGUUUUAUAUCUUUUUCGAAUAUUAAGAUCCGAAUGAAUGAAAUCGAGAAUCUGAUUAUAUGACAAUAAACAUCUUUUAAGUAGCAUUCCCAAAAUUUUCGUCAUGUAUAGCCCAAAUAAAGAUGAGGGCAGGUAAGCCUUAUAUGAAACUUUUGUUUUCUGGAAAACCUAAUAAGAAAAGGUUAUGCGACAAUUUAGUACCGGUAUCUUAUUAAAGGAAAAAUGCACUUCAGCCACCUCAUGCAAGAUAGAUAACACCACACGCUAGCUUACAAACAGCAUGCCUAGUAAGCAAGAAUAAAAACAAAAAAAAUCCAUAAUUUAAGGAAAUUAAGGCAAUCCUGUGAAAACAAUUAAGAUGAAAAAUCUGGCUAAAGUGAUGGCAAUGAACUUUACAUGGCUAAGGUUCAAGCAGUCAUACUUUGGAAGAAUGAUGUCCACAUUGUUGUUUAAAUCUUGAAGAGCACGCGAGAGACUUGUAACGACAUAACCCAGAUCUCCAACCUGCAAAGUUAUAAAAAGGAAAUAAUUGAGAAAAAGAUGGAAAAUGGAAAAUCUUUUAGGUUUUUACUACAUAUUCGACCACAAACUGGAAAUAAUACAACACAGAUGUCUAUGAUGUUCCAUUUCUGUCUGAGGUUCAGCAUCCUCUCCCCCAACUGUCUCAUUUCCAAAACACUUUUCAUUAGGAAAAGACAUGUCUUUCGGGCCUUCUUUCAGCUUAAAGAAUUUUCUCUUCAUUAAGAGAAAGAAUCUGAAUGGACUCGUAAGCAAAGAAAAACUAGAAAAGAAACCUUGAUAUAUAUCAGGGCAAUAAAAAAAGUUUUAAAAACCUAAACUCCCUAAUGUCCAAAAGUUACCUUUGCAAUGGGGACUAUGUCAACAGCAAUAUGCGCAAUGUUCAUUGGUGGCUCUUGCACAAUUCCUCGAAAAACAGAUAUUCCAUAAUCCAUACCGUCUUUGUUGUCAAAAGUUCCAGCAUCUUCCCUCUCAGAGAAUACAAAGUCCAUAUUUGCAUCCAAUGGAACCUUGACUGCAGAGACACAUAAAGUGAGUAAGUCUUUAAUAGAAAGAUUUAAUGCAACAAAAGCCAAAAUAUAAAAGAAACGCCAUAUGUCACCUAAGGAGAUGAUAUAAAGCAACAAUUGAUAAGUCAUAUAUGCCUAAAACUUAGGCACAGAUUGAAUUCCAAAUAAUUUAUUAGUCUGGAUCUAUAGAGGAUAAAAUGGUGAAUGCAAACAGCAGAUGACCCAAGAAGCAGUACAAUUUUCUAUUCACUAAAAUUGACUAUAAAGGAUACUGAUAGGUGAAAUAACUCACAAACUUAUUAGAGAGAAUAUUAUUUUAAAAGCAGUUGAUUAUCACAUUGAUCCAUGAAACCAUACAGACAGAGACAAUUAAUGCAUGCAUCAGAUACGAGCUCAGUCAUUGCCAAAAAAUUAUGCAUCAGAGAAAAACUUUUAUCAAAAGCAUUUGUUUGAAAACCAUACUUUAGAAACUAUUAAAGCAGUCAAAAGUGUACUUUUUGACCAAAGACAUCUCUCGGUGAAAAGAAAUCAAUACAGGACAAGUCAAUCCAUGAAGACCAAAAGUUUGGUUCCCGAGUUAAUAAGACAACCUAGUAAGGAAGAAAGACAUGAAGCCCACAAGGGGAAAUGAUGUUCUUAAUAUCACAUUGAUUGUUCACAUUGUGUCAUGGUCCCUUACAAGUCAAUGCACAAGAUCUGCCAAAGAGAUUUACCUCACAUUAUUCCGUUGAUUUGAUAUAUUUGUCAUCUAAACCUACAAAACUUGCUUAAUAUAUCUUCCUAAGAUUGAACUACCUAUUAUGACAUUUACAAAAUUUUUAACUCAAACUAACUCUACGAAGACUAUUUAGUACUUUACAAAUUGUACAGUCAUAAUUUCAGAUCUAACAAAACAAACAAUUAAAAACAAACCCACAAAGUGCAUUCGUAUUUUUUAACUUAAUUCUAUAAAUACCAAGUCACCUAAAUGUUCAUGUAUUCCUCUCUCUCUCUCAAUGACAAAUAAUUUUACUCAUAAGCGACCACAACGCCGAUCACAACAUCCAAAACAUUCAACUUUAAACUCUAAUACACACGAUCAAAACCAAUGCCGUCCAAGUUAGAAGAUUAGAAACUUAGAGAGAAAACUUUUGAUUAGAGAAAUACGAAAUAAGAAAGAAUGAGAGACAUAGCAGCAUACUAGUGACCCAGAAAUCCAACAAUAUAGUCAUAGACAACUAAAUAUAUUACUACCAUAUGUGUUAUAAAAGAGGAUCUUGACUUCAAGCGAAAAGAGGCACACAUGCUUAUUUGCAUUUGUAUCCAAGUAUAUCCUCUUAGAAAUUAUUGUUUCCUCUUUGUUUGAUACCAUCACUAUUUCUCCACCUAUAGAAACCAUCACAAGCUUAAAGUGCGAUAAGUGAUGAUCAGUUAAGACAAAGAAAAAAAUUGUAUCAUUUCCAGAAGGAGAUUUGGCUUCAAAGUUUUUGUCAUUAUUAACACUAAGAAACAGUAGAUUUCUAUUAGGAGAUUAUGAGCUGGUAAGAAGCUCAUAAUUAAGGAGAUCAAACCUUAAAGCCAAAGGGUAGAAAAUAAGGACUUAACGAUGUCCUUUAAUAAAGGUACACAAAUGUCAUCCAAUAACAACAAGGCGAAAAGAAAUUGUGCGGACACUACAUACACAAAAGUCCGCAAAUAACCAAUUUCAUCUAGUAUGAGUAACUAAUUCAUAAUUAAGACAUCAUAUGUGCAAACCAAUCUAUACGUUCAAAUAAUUUUUCAGAAGUAAGCUGCCUUUCAGAAAUUAUUCAUAGUCACCACUCAACAACAUACUAAGUUCAAGAUUAGUUCACACAUUAUACCCAAUAACAAAUCACAAAAAAAAUAAUAAAAUAAAAUAAAUUCAAAAUGAAAAUCAAUAAAUUAAAACCUACCUUAGAUAGAUUAGAAUUGAGAUUGAGCUUGACUGAACAUCAAAAUCAAGAUAAGCUGUAUCAAAUAAAAUUCAACCUCGAUCGAAACAAAAAAAAAUUGUUAGUCAUUUCGGUCAUCACAAAAUCAGAAUCAAAAUGAAUAGAAAGAGGAAGUACCUGUUUUGAAACGGCACUGAUGAAGAAGAUGACAAUGAUUGAGCUGAAACUAGAGAGGAAAAAAUUAGGGGUUUUAAAAAAUUAAGGAAAGAUUCAUUAGAUUUUUGUCUCAAAACUGAUUUGAAAAACAAUAGAUGAAAAAACAUGAUUUGCAGACAGUGAUUAGCUGAAAAUCGCAGAAAUGCAGAGGCUUAGGAGAGAGUGAUUCAUAUAUACAUAGCUACAAGCAGAGGAAAUCGAAAUUUCAGCUUGUUUGUAGCAGAGGAAAUCGAAGAAAUUGUAGCAGAGAUUGAUAGUGUUGAUGGAGAGUGCUGAGAGCGAGAGAGAUUAAAAAUAUAUAUAAAAAAAGAGAAAUAUGAAAUAUGAAAUGAGAGAAAACAACUGAAAAAAAAAUGACAGGUAAAUUCGCAUUUGUUCAGUUUUAGCAUCUAUAUCAUACUAUCUAUUCUGAAAGAUUCCAACAUGCAUUUUAAUAUUUGGGAUGUGAACUUUAAUGGGAUUUUGUUUUCCCGUGUACAAAUACAAUAGAUCUCUCUCUUUCAGUCUCACUUAAGAGCUUCAUGCAAUCACAUUUAGAGAAGAAACACCAGUACUUCUUGUAUGGACAUGAUUGAAGGAUUUAUUCCUACUGAAUUCACAAAUGACAUGCUCCUAUAUCGUCUGGAAGGACAACUGCAAGUAACACAGAAUUUACAUGAUCAGCCUUCUUUCUUUCUUUCUUUCUUUUUUCUAUAAUUUAUAUUUUUGAAAAUCAUUCUCUAACCACAAUAAAAUGAAGAAAGAUGAACCUCGACAAACUUACACUUGCAUCUAUUAUUAUUAUUCUAUCUCAACAUGUCAACUAAAUUUGGUUGGUAGAUAAGAUUGAAGACAAAAAUCAGAAAAAAAAAAAAUGCAUAUAGUUCACAAAUUAAGAACAUGUGAUAGUACUUUGCAUACUUAAAUAAGUGUGGACAAGUCGAUGAUAAGUGACUAAUUCCACGGCAUCUCAAAAGCCUAAGAUAACAAAACCAUAUGAAAUCAAAUCAAGUCAAAUUCAAUACUGCCUUAUAUACAUUACAGUGUUAUUAUGACUCAAAUAUAUAUAUAUAUAUAUAUAUUAUUUGGUUACUAACAAGAACAAGAAAGUUACGGAGAUAACCAUUGAAAAGAACAAAAAAUAUUGCUUUUUCUAAAGAGUAUUAUCUCAGGAAUAUUUAAUGUUAUUUGUAUGGAAAAUGUUUAAUCAGUUAUCCGAGAAAAAGAAAAUAUUUUUAAUAUAUAUUUGGGAUAAUUGAAAUAUAAUAAUAUAUAAUUAAAAAGCGAUGAAGGUACCUUCAAUAUGGACACAAAAUACAUAGCUGUUCUGCCAAUGGCCUGCAAGAAAAUUAUGAAGUUCAAAUGAAAAUUGUCUUGAAAGGUAGUUAGAGGCAGUCUAUGUACUUUUCAAUAAUCUUAAACUAUAUACAAACAAUUGUGUAUCUUACUUUAUUAAUCCUUCUCCAUGUUUUUCAAAAACUCUCUUUUGAUAUUUUUUAGCAUGGAAACAACAUCCUUCAUAUUUAUUCUGUUUUCAGGUAAGUCAGAUGAACAAUCCAAAGCUAACGCCAUGAUGGACGAUAUACAAUUCACUUUGACAACAAAAUAUUCAUCCUCUUUAUGCACUAACUGGAGUCCGCUACAUCAAUUAUUCCAUUAGAUUGUGACAUUUUCACCCAAUGUCUCAUACUCAUUUCUCCAGCAAAAGAUUCAUCAGUGGGCCUCUUUCUUGUGAAAAUUUCCAUUAGUAGAAUACAAUAACUAUAAACAUCACUUUUAAUAGAAAUAAUUCCUGCUGAUCCAUAUUCUGCAUUUUAAACAUAAUUGAAUAAUUAAAAGAUAUUAUAUCUUCAUAAUCAUCAAAAAAUAUGCUUAUGUUAGAAUAUGGAAAAAAAUAAUAAUAAAACAUCACCUGGUGCCAUGUAGCCAAUAGUGGCAAGUGUCAUUGUUUGUUUCAUAGAAUCUUCUUCUCCCAACAAUUUGGAAAUGCCAAAAUCUCCCACAUGAGCAACCAUGUCUUUGUCUAGUAAGACAUUACUUGGUUUUAGGUCACAAUGGAUUAUAGGUGUUGGAUGUCCCAAAUGGAGGUAUUCUAAUGCUGAUGCAACAUCCAUCAUUAUGUUGAUUCUUUGUAGGAUAUCCAAGAAAUAAUUGUAAGAAUAUAACCAUUUCUCAAGGCUCCCAUUAGGCAUGAAUUCAAGCACUAAGGCUUUGAAGUCAAUAGUAGAACAACAACUAAUGACCUUAACAAGAUUGCGGUGAAAGAUAUUGCUCAUCACUUCACAUUCAAUCUCAAAACUCCUAAAUGCUCCAUCUCUUUGCAAAUUAAAAACUUUUAUUGCAACAUUUGUCCCAUCUAAAAGUAUUCCUUUGUAUACAGAGCCAAAACUUCCUGAACCCAGUAAGUUGUUUUCACUAAAUCCAUUAGUCCCUUCCAAUAGCUGAUUAUAGGAAAUUCUUCUCCAUUUCUCGACAGGAAUUAAAUCUUCAACAAUCGCCAAAUUCGUAUUCCCCCGCUGCUUUUUUUUGUAGACAAUUAUGACUGCAAUAACUAUUAUUAUUGAAGCAAAUGUUGGUAAAACAUACCUCAAAGCAUGUAGAGCGGUCUUCUUGAAUUUCCGAUGGAUUUUAUUUUUGCAAGGUGAGACUUGUAGUCUAGGUGAACCACAGAGUGCAUAAUUUUUCAUGAAUGAUUUGGCCCGUGAAGUUUAAAAAGGGACCUCCACUUGGGAUUUCCCCUUCCAAUCUAUUGAAAGACACAUUAAAAUAAUUGAGAUCAUAAAGUCUUUCCAAAGACUUGGGAAUGACUCCAGAGAGAUUAUUGUUAGAUAAAUCCAAACAUUUCAAACUCAUCAAGUCACCAAAUGAUUCAGGAAUAGGACCUUGUAAUAUAUUACUAGCUAGAUUCAAAACCUGUAGAUCAUGAAGACUUCCAAUUGUGGGCGGAAUAUCACUUGAUAAUAAAUUCCUUGACAAUUUCAAAGAGAUAAGUACCUUCAAAUUUCCAAUGUCAAGUGGAAGUGAACCGCUAAGAUUGUUUGAUGACAAGUCUAUUUCUAAAAUAUAUUUAAGGCUCCAAAAAGUUAAAGGUAUUGUUGAAUGCAAUUUGUUGGAGAACAAGUAUAGAUAUCUCAGAGAAGUCAAAUCACACAAACAUGUCGGUAAAGGCCCAUCAAGCUCAUUAUCACCUAAUGAUAUUUUGUACAAUCCCUUCAAACCACAAAGAUCAUAUGGGAUAGAGCCUUGUAACUUAUUUCCAUAAAGAAGCAAAAGUUGGAGAUUUUUUAGCCUUCCUAAUGUUGUUGGAAUAGGUCCACUCAAUUUAUUAGAGGAAAGGUCUAACAAUGUAACGUUGCUUAAGCUACCAAUUUCCAUGGGAAUGCUGCCUCUAAUUUUGCAAUCUCUAAUCAAUAAAUAUUGAAGUGAUGUAGAGAGAUUUGAGAUAGAAGUUGGAAGAAUACCGUUCAAUGCAUUGGAUGAUAGGUCUAAAUAUCUUAGAUGCUUGCAACUUUUCAAGGAAUAGAAAAAAUUCCACUCAUGAGUUGAAGCUUUGGUGGUCAAAUGAUUAAUAUCAAGGCGCAAUUUCUCGAGGAACCUCAAAUUACCAAAUGUGUUUGGUAUAAGGCCAUAGAAUGAGUUUCCUUCUAAUUCUAGGAUUCUAAGCUUAGAAACAUUGGAGAUAGAUUCAGGAAUAUUUCCACUAAGAUUAUUCGUCCAUAAGUAAAGCUCCUCAAGAUUUGAAGCAGAGCUCAAGUGCGGUAAUUUACCUAAAACAAAAAAUAAAUAAAUAAAUUUGCAUAUUCCCAUACAAGAAAUAAAUUAAUUGUUUUGCUUUAUUGUGUUUUUCAUGAAUCUAUGAUGCAAGCUGAAGUGAAUGAAAUGAUUACAUAUACGAACAUGAGUGUGGAGAAACAUGAAGCCUUUAACAAUUUUAAAUAUGAAACAACUUCAAGUUUAUCUUGGUUGAUGAUCUGGAAUAUAUAUAUAUAUAUACAAUUUAUAAAAUUUAUUCAUAGUUAUAAAAAUAUAUUAAAAGGUUCCAUGCUUACGUACGUAUAAUAAAGUAAAAAAGAGGAAAAAGAAAAGUAAAAGAACAAACGGAAGAUAGAAGAAAUUUUGGUUGUGAGAAUUUUAUUUUCUUUAACUUAUCUCAAUUGCUUUAAUGAUAAAAAAGAUUAAAGAAAAUUUGGUUAAUGAAAUUGUUCCAAAAGGAAAAACAAAUAAGAUAAAAAUUGAAGAAAAUAAAAAUAUAUAUAUUUAAAUUAAUUUGUUUGAGAAAAGAAAAAUAUGAAAGUGUAAAUGUUUGGAAAUAAAAUUAGAAUUUUUAUCUAUCCUAUUUUAGAAAAAAAAAAAAAACCCUCAAGAGAAAUGAUAAAAUUUCUCUCAUUUUAGACGAUAUGGAUAAUUUAAAUGAAAAAAACAAAGAUUCGACAAAAAAGAUUGUUAAAAGUAAAUGCACUCACUUUAGUUUGAAAAUCACUCUCUUACUUCCCUAAGGGUUGAUAGAACCUUACGAGUGCUCUACUAGAGAAGGUUCAUUUGAGGUUUGUUGGGGUAAUAUUGUAUACAUUUUACUAUUACAAUACAAAAUUUAGUAAUAUGAUGAUAAAAAAUGUGAAACUAAUAAAAACUUUAAAAUGAUGCUUUUGAUUACACAAUUAUUGCUUUUUAUUUUGCAAAAGAACAAUUACAUUCCCUAAUUUGAUAACAAAAGAAACGUAAAAGUAGCACUAUUUUUUAUUGCAUAUAAUAAAAAUGGAGUAUAUCAUUUGUAAUUAUUAUAAUAUAAUUAAUUAAUUAUUAUUUAAAAUUAUGUAAUAUCUAUUAAAAUUUUAUAUGAAAUUCACAUUUAUAAAUGAUAACUCUUACAUAUUUUUUUAUUAUGAUUGAAUAAUAAUUAUAAUAUUAUAAUAUAAGAAUUGUAUGGGAAAUGUACUCAACAAAAAAUUAACAUUUGACAAAAAGGUCGGUAACAUUAAAACAAUCUCCAAAAAAAGAAUUGGAGUUGGAGGAAGAAUUGGAAAUUGACACGUGGUUGGACAAAUCAAGAAUUUUUUUUUUAAUUUUGAAUGUUGAAUUUUUUAGGAAUGGAGUACAACUAAAAAAAUCAUUAAUACUAUAUUUUAAAAUAAUUUUUUAAGAGAUUAUUUGUUUGACAUUUAGCAUUAUCUCAGUAGAUACAUUUGUCAAUUGUUUUUAAGAUUUCAUUAUUGCCAUUUAUUCACAUUUGAUUGGUUGGUUUUUGUUAAUUUUAUAUAAUUAAUCAUAAGUUUAGUCCUCAAUUACCAUAUAGACUUUACUGAUUUGUCUCAAAAGAAUGGGAUGACUAAAAAAAUAAAAUAGGCUAAAUAAACAUAUGAGCCUUAAUUUUUGUAUUAGAAGAAUGGACUUAUUAUAUAAUGUUAAAAUAAUUUUAAUCGAAUUUUUAAUUUCCAUAUUUAAAUUUAUUUAUUUAUAUAUAAUAUAAUAGUACUCAAAUUAAAAUCACCUUAUCAUUCAAUAAAAAUAUUAUACUUUAGAAGAUUUAAAUUUAAUAUUUUAUUUUAUUUUAUUAUAAUAUUACAUACAUGUUGUUAAUAAAUAAUAAAAUUAUAUUAAUUUUAAUAAAAUAUUACAUGUUGUUAAUAAAUAGUAAAUUUAGAACAAAACUAAAAAAUAAUUGUUCUAAUGUCAUUCGCUAAUAAUAGAAAAUUACAAAUUGAUCAAGAAAGAAUUAAAUUAAAAAUAUUUUAGGGAAUAAACACUAAACAGUUUUUAAUUUGGUUUUAUUAAAAUGGAAAAACUCUUUCUUUCCUACUUCAAAAUAAUUACAAUGCAGGCUUUAGUUAUAAUUUUUAUGUAAUUUUUGUUUUAGAAUACAAUUUUUACAUGUAAUUUUUUAAUAAUAUUUUCAUUUUUAGAAUCUCUAUCUCCUUCUAUUCAUUUUUCUUUCUUUCAUUCUUUUCUCCUUGUUAUUUGGUAUUUUUUUUUUUCCAGUUUCAAAUUUUUUAGCUAGGUUUACUUUUUAUCAUCUAUAUAAAAAAAUUAAACAAAUACGCACAUACUAUAUCAUCUUUUACUGUUUUCAAUAUAAAAAAUAUCACAAUGCAACAUUCAUUUUAAAUUAAUGCAAUGGGAAAGUGGAUAAUUGUCAAAUAGUUCCAUUUGAUAUACGCUAACUAAUGAUUAAAAGCUAUAUCAGUUCCUUCCUCUUGUCAAAUUCUACUAUGACUAUAUAACUAGCAUAUUUCAUUAUUUUGACAAUUUAUUAAGUGCUAAUCAAACAUAUAUGUAUGAACCAUAUUUGAUUGCAACAUAUGAACUUUUGAUUAUACCUAUAGAAUCUGAUUACUCUUUUCUUUAUAACUUCAUUACAAUAAAAAUCAAAUAUAUUCGUUUGAAUCAUGUUUGAUUUAUCCUCAUAAUGAAUUUUUGAAUUUUACAAUCCUUUUUAUAUGUACUUAACAACUUUAAUAAAUUUAAUGAAAUCUAUAUAAUUUAAUUUUUAUGAAACAUUUCACAUAUAGCGAAUAAAAUUACUUGUGGCAAAGCAUGGGAUGCACACUAAUAAUAAAUAUAAAAGUAAUGAAAUACAUUGUUACAUUCUUUAUCACACAUAAUAUAAAUUUUAAGUAUUUGCAAAUAAAUAAAUGUAAAAUAUAAAAUAUAAUAUUACUACUUUAAGUUAGAUGUAACAAUAAAUUAAGUUGGUAUUAAAUAAAUAUGCUAAUAACAAAGUACGUUAAUAUUACUUUUUAUUACAUUAUAAAACAAAUCAAGUAAUUUUAUCAUAUAUAAUUGCAUCACAACUGUUGGGUACCUAUCUUUUUUCCACAUUGGCCAACUUUGUAGUCUUAGCUAAUGGUGCACAUGCUAAUUAAGGGCAUCAAUCAACCAUAAAACGUUUAAUAAAAAAUAAAAAAUAUUUUCCAAAAGAUGGAAAUUUUGAUUUAUAGGUUUGGUUUUCAAAUUCCUUUUGAGUGUUUGUUUUGCUUUUCUGUAAUGUAAUUAUUGGAAACAGUAUUUGAUUUUAAUGAGAUAAAAGAGGUCUGAAAAAACAUUUCUCAAGCCUUUCAAUGACACCUCAUUUGUUUUAACAGUUUUCAUAAUUUUAUGAUUACUUGUUUUAUAAUCCUAAACUAAACUUUUUUCAAAACUAAAGUAAACAAUUUCAAAUACAUACAAAAGCAAUGAAAUGUUUAUAAUGAGAUUACCUGAUAGACUAUUGUUCGAGAGAUUAAUUAUUUUCAAAGCAGAAAUAUUGAAGAUGGCACAUGCAAUCAACCCACUUAAGCGUGUAGAUAAUGCACCUAGUAUCUCCAAUGAAUUAAGAUUUCCAAUCUCCCAUGGAAUUUCGCCUGCAAAGAAACAACAACUUAGUAUUAUAAAACUAUCCACUUUCUAAACAUUCCAAUGAUAUUGAGGUUAUUUAAAAUAGAAUAAAAGUCAAUUACACAAGAAAUUCCUAAUUUCUUCAAUGUUUAAAAUAUGAAGUAAUUAUUAUUUUUUUCAAUAUCAAAAGUUUGAGUCAAAAUGAGAAAGCAUAAAAAAAUUAAAAUGUGACUAUUUUCGUGAUGGCCAUUCUAUUAAUUUUAUUUAUUUAUUUUUUUUUUUUCAAGGAACAAAUAUAAAUAGUACAAAAUAUCAAUCAAUUGAAAUCUAAAUAAUCAAAUGUCAAAGCUUACCUUCUAUGUUAUUGUAACUUAGAUAAAUCUCUUCGACUUUGGUUAAAUUUCCUAUACUUUUUGGAAUGAGUCCACUGAACCUGUUAAAAGAUAAUGAUAAAUUUCGUAGAUUGUUGCAAUCACCAAUAUUUGAUGGAAUACGACCAGAAAACUCGUUGUCAAAUACAUAAAACACCUCAAGUUUGAGGAGAGAGUAACACAUAUUAUCUGUAAUACUGCCUGAGAGACUAUUGCUAUAGAGAUAAAUUUCUUUCAAAGAAGUAAGGUUAAAGAUGGAUGCUGGUAUUCGACCAACUAGCCUCAUAUUUUUGGCAGAAAAUAUCUCCAAGCUUAGAAGAUUUCCAAUUUCCCAAGGGAUUUCACCUGUUAAAAUUACAGAAACCAAGUUGCAAGAGCUCAGUCAAGUAGCAUGAAGCAUUUUUUGCUUGACAUCACGAUUCAUAAUGAAACCAUUUUCUUCAAAUUUUAUAAGAUUAUUAAUUAAAUUAGUUAAUUAAAUUUUCAUUCUAAACAUUAUCUAAAAAGAGAUUAAAUACCAAAAUUUUGAAUCAUAAUGGGGAAAGCAUACAAGAAACUUAAGUUCAUUUGGUUGAUUUUUUAUUUGUCUUUUAUUUUCUAUUCAUUUUUGAGUAAAAUGUAUCAAUUAUCCAUAACUUUUGUAUAAUAUUUCAUUUUAAUCCACAAAUUUUAAAACGUAGUUUAUAUCCAUAACCUUCUAAAAAUGUUUCAAAUUCAUAUAUUUCAUAAACCAUGAAUGAAAAAUCACUGAAACAUGCCAUGUGACUGAAAUUUCAACUCAAAAACCAUAAGGAUUCACCAUUUUUUGCCAUGUAACUAAAAAAUAUUUAAUUUACAAUAUUUAUUAUGGUUAAGAGUUAAAUUCAUUUUUUUAAUUUAAAAAUGGAUUAUUUCCAAAAAAAAAUCUAAAUUAGUUUUCAAAAAUUACAAAAACUUAUUUUUUAUCAAAUUUUUUGUUUAUUUGAAAAAAUGGAAAGAAGGAAAUAUUAAAAAAUAAAGAAAGAAAAGGGGAAAACAAAAAAGAGAAAAAAAUAAAAGAAGGAAAAAUGAAAAAGUAGUUUGGUUAACUAAUUUAAUAAUGACAUUUAUCAGCCUAUUAAAUGUUUAUUUCAAAUUUUAAAUGUUAGUUUUAGGAGGAAAAUAGUUCAUUUAAAAGUCAAUUACACAAAAAAUUCCUAAUUUCUUCAAUGUUUAAAAUAUGAAGGAAUAAUUAAUUUUUUUCAAUAUCAAAAGUAUGAGUCAAAAUGAGAAAAGUAUAAAAGAAAACCAAAAUAUGACUGUUUUCGUGUUGGCUAUUCUAUUAAUUUUUAUUUUUUAGUUAUUUAGUUUUAUUCUUUUUCUAAUAUAAAUAGUAAUAAAUAUCAAUCAAUUGAAAUCUAAAUAAUCAAAUGCAAAAGCUUACCUUCUACAUCAUUAUCACCUAGAUAUAUCUCCUCAAGUUUGGUUAAAUUUCCUAUACUUCUUGGAAUGAAUCCAUUGAAUCGAUUAAAAGACAAUACUAACUUUUUAAGAUUGCUGCAAGCACCAAUAUUUGAGGGAAUACUGCCAGAGACACUAUUGUUAUAGAGAGAAAUUUCUUUCAAGGAAGAAAGGUUAAAAAUGGAAGCUGGCAUUGGACCAACAAGGCUCAUAUUUUGGGCAGCAAAUAUCUCCAAGCUCAAAAGAUUUCCAAUUUCAGAAGGGAUCUCACCUGUGAACUAACAAAAAAAUGCAAGACUAAUAAAUAAAAAAUAUAAAUAUAUAUAUGGUAAGAGUUAAAUUUAUUUUUAAUUAAAAAUGGAUAUUUCCAAAAAAAUACAAAAAAAUUUUAUUUUUUCAAAUUUGUUGUUUAUUUGAAACAAUGGAAAAAGUAAUAUUCAAUAAAGAAAGAAAGGGCAAAGAAAGAAAAGAAAGAAGGAAAAAUAAAAAGUAGUUUGGUUAACUUUAAUAUGACAUUUAUUAGCCUUUAAAUGUAAUCAAAUUUUAAAUGUAAGUUUUAGGAGGAUGAAGAAUAUUCUUUUAUUAUGAGAUUAUUAAAUUAGAUAAUGAAACCAUUUUUCAAAUUUAUAGAUUAUUAUUAAAUUAGUUAAUUAUAUUUCAUUCUAAAUUAUCUAAAAGAGAUUAAAUACCAAAAUUUUGAAUCAUAAUGGGGAAAAUAAAAGAAACUUAAGUUCAUUUGGUUGAUUUUUUAUUUGUCUUUUAUUCUAUUCAUUUUUGAGUAAAAUAUCAAUUAUCCAUAACUUUUGUAUAAUAUUUCAUUUUCCAAAAUUUUAAAACGUAUUUAUAUCCAUAACCUUCUAAAAAUGUUUCAAAUUCAUAUAUUUCAUAAACCAUGAAUGAAAAAUCACUGAAACAUGCCAUGUGACUGAAAUUUCAACUCAAAAACCAUAAGGAUUCACCAUUUUUUGCCAUGUAACUAAAAAAUAUUUAAUUUACAAUAUUUAUUAUGGUUAAGAGUUAAAUUCAUUUUUUUAAUUUAAAAAUGGAUUAUUUCCAAAAAAAAAUCUAAAUUAGUUUUCAAAAAUUACAAAAACUUAUUUUUUAUCAAAUUUUUGUUUAUUUGAAAAAAAUGGAAAAAGGAAAUAUUAAAAAAUAAAGAAAGAAAAGGGGAAAACAAAAAGAGAAAAAAUAAAAGAAGGAAAAAUGAAAAAGUAGUUUGGUUAACUAAUUUAAUAAUGACAUUUAUCAGCCUAUUAAAUGUUAUUUCAAAUUUUAAAUGUAAGUUUUAGGAGGAAAAUAGUUCAUUUAAAAGUCAAUUACACAAAAAUUCCUAAUUUCUUCAAUGUUUAAAAUAUGAAGGAAUAAUUAAUUUUUUUCAAUAUCAAAAGUAUGAGUCAAAAUGAGAAAAGUAUAAAAGAAAACCAAAAUAUGACUAUUUUCGUGUUGGCUCAUUCUAUUAAUUUUUAUUUUUAGUUAUUUCUUUUUAUUCUUUUUCUAAUAUAAAUAGUAAUAAAUAUCAAUCAAUUGAAAUCUAAAUAAUCAAAUGCAAAAGCUUACCUUCUACAUCAUUAUCACCUAGAUAUAUCUCCUCAAGUUUGGUUAAAUUUCCUAUACUUCUUGGAAUGAAUCCAUUGAACCGAUUAAAAGAUAAUGAUAACUUUUGAAGAUUGCUGCAAGCACCAAUAUUUGAGGGAAUACUGCCAGAGACACUAUUGUUAUAGAGAGAAAUUUCUUUCAAGGAAGAAAGGUUAAAAAUGGAAGCUGGCAUUGGACCAACAAGGCUCAUAUUUUGGGCAGCAAAUAUCUCCAAGCUCAAAAGAUUUCCAAUUUCAGAAGGGAUCUCACCUGUGAAAAUAACAGAAACCGAAUUGCAAAAGCUGGGUCAAGCAGCACGAGGCAUUUUUUUGCUUCCAAUCACUAUUCAUUAUGAAAUCAUUUUCUCCUAAUUUUAUGAGAUUAUUUAUUAAAUUAGAUAAUUAAAUUCUCAUUCUAAACAUUAUCUCAAAAGAGAUUAAAUACCAAAAUUUUUAAUCAUAAUGGGGAAAACAUAAAAGAAACUUAAGUUCAUUUGGUUGAAUUUUUUCUAUUUGUCCUUUACCUUCUUUUCAUUUUUAAGCAAACUAUACCAAUUAUAUAUAACUUUUGUGCAAUAUUUCAUUGUCAUCCACAAAUUUUAAAAUGUAGUUUAUAUCCAUAACCUUCCAAAAUUGUUUCAAAAUCAUAUAUUUCAUCAACCAUCAAUGAAAAAUCAAUGAAACAUGUAAUGCGACAAAUUUCAACUCAAAAUUCAAAAGGAUUCACCUUUUUAUGCCAUGUCACUAAAGAGUAUUUAAUUUACAAUAUUUUUUAUGGUUAAGAGUUAAAUUUAUUUUUUAAAUUUAAAAACUGAAUAUUUCCAAAAAUUAAAUUAAUUUUUCAAAAAAAUACAAAAAAUUAUUUUCAGCCAAGAAAUUUUACCUAAGAAAAUAACAUGAGUUUCAUGGUCACUGUUAAUAUUUAGGAGUUUUAACAUGAUAUCAAUAAUUAAAUUAAUUUUAGCACUUACUUUCCAAAUUAUAAAAGUAAUUCUUUUACAGUAAUUUCAAAUUAUCAAAUAAAGUUUAUUUUGACAAAAACUUCAAUGUUGAUAAGAAAAUAAAUAAAACUAGUCAUGUUUUAAUUUAAUAGGAAAAUAAUUAAUUAUAAAUAAAGUAGCUAAUUUAAUAAAUUAUCAAAUUAUCAAAGGAAAAUAAUAAUAAAAAAAAGCUUACCUUCCAAUGUAAAUACUUUUUUAAAAUUAUCAAAUUAUCAAAUACUUUUUUUAUUUUGUAAAUGAAUGUCUUAAAAAUAGUUUUUAAAAUUAUUUUAUAUAAACAUAAAAAUAUUAAAUAUAAUUCAGUAGACAUUUGAAAACAUUAUAAAAUAUUAGUAAUGUUUAUUAUUAUUAUUUACUCUUCCACUUAUUAAAAUAUAGUUUUUUAAUCCAAUAUAAUAAUAAUAAUAAUAUAUUUUAAUUUUUAUCUAUUUAACUCACAAGAAAAUAUCAUGCGAAAAAAUAAAUGUAAGUUCUAGGAAGAAAAUAGUUCAUUUAAAACUCAAUUACACAAAAAAUUCCUAAUUUCUUCAAUGUUUAAAAUAUAAAGGACUAAUUAAUUUUUUCAAUACCAAAAGUUUGAGUCAAAAUGAGAAAAGUAUAAAGGAAAACCAAAAUAUGACUAUUUCCGUGUGGGUCAUUCUAUUAAUUUUUAUUUUUUAGUUAUUUCUUUUUAUUCUUUUUCUAAUAUAAAUAGUAAUAAAUAUCAAUCAAUUGAAAUCUAAAUAAUCAAAUGCAAAAGCUUACCUUCUACAUCAUUAUCACCUAGAUAUAUCUCCUUAAGUUUGGUUAAAUUCCCUAUACUUCUUGGAAUGUGUCCAUUGAAUCGAUUAAAAGAUAAUGAUAAAAUUUGAAGAUUGCUGCAGUUACCAAUAUUUGAUGGAAUGCAACCAAAAAAUUCGUUGUAGGAUAUAUGAAGUACCUCAAGUUUGAAAAAAGAGUAACAUAUAUUAUCCGGAAUACUACCAGAGAGAUUAUUACUAUAGAGAUAAAAUUCUUUCAAAGAAGUAAGGUUAAAGAUGGAAGCUGGUAUUGGACCAACUAGCCUCAUAUUUACGACAGAAAAUAUCUCCAAGCUUAGAAGAUUUCCAACUUCCCAAGAGAUUUCACUUGUGAACAUAGAAAACAAUUUGCAAGAGCUCGAUCAAGUAGCAGAAAGUUUUUUUUGUUGGCAUUACAAUUCAUAAUGAAACCAUUUCCUCCAAAAUUUAUGAUAUUAUUGAUUAAAUUAAUUAAUUAAAUUCUCAUUCUAAACAUUAUUUCAAAAGAAGUUAAAUACCAAAAUUUUGAGAAAUAAAACCGGAAAAUAGAAAAGAAAUCAAAGUUCAUUUGGUUGAUAUUUUAUUAUUGGACUUUUAGUUUCUAUUAUUUUUUCGGUAAAAUAUACCAAUCAUGUAUAACUUUUGUGCAAUAUUUCAUUUUCAUGUACAAAUUUUAAAAUGUCAUUUUUAGAUCCAUAACCUCAUAAAAGUAUUUCAAAUUCAGCCAAAAAAUCAGAUAGGUUUACUCUUUUUGCCAUGUGAACAUUCACAUGGAUAUCUUGUGGCACUAAGAUGGUAAAUUUCGUCCUAUUUGAAACAAUUUUAAGGGAUCGUAGAUUCAAAAUUUGAGCUUUAAUGAAAAUGAAAUAUUAUAUAUACCAAAAUCAUGAAUAUAUGAUUAAUUUACACUAUUUUAGGAUUUUUUUUUACUUUUCUCUAAUACUUUUUGCAAAAACAAAAAAAAUAGCAAUAAAAAAAUAUAUUAUUAUCAAGCAGAGCCUAAAUAAUAAAAUAUCCAAGAGAUAUCUUUAGGUUUAUAAAUUUACUUAUCCCAUUUGGAUUAUUUCCGUUGAAUCAAAUUGUAACCUAAGUUACUACAACUAUCACUAGAAAACCCACCGCAACUAGACAAUCAAGCCUGAUCUUUUUCACAAGAUUUAUCUUGUUUACAAUAUUUACGUGCUUGGUUGUAACUGCUUUUUUGUUGUGUUGUGUUCUUCUCUCAUUUUGUCCUCUCUUAAAACUCUUAAUAUUGUAUCCCUCAUUAUCCUCCAUUGAAUAAAGGACAAAACUUAUAUGAAAUUCGGUGAAGUUCGUAAAAUUUUUUACUAGAAAUGAUUAAAUAAAAACUAAAAUUAAAAAUCAAAACCAAUAGACUAAAAAAUCUUAUUAUAUAAAUCAAGUAUACAAAUUUUGAAAUAAUUUUAAUAUAUAAUUUUUAAAUAGACAUUUUUGUAAAAAUAUUAAUAGAAAUUUUUAUCGUUGAAUCAGCAUCGAUUAAAUUUUAAUCAUAAACAAUAUUUUUAAUAAUUUUUUUACAUAUUAUUGAUCUUCACAUCGAAUUCUAUCAAUCUAUCAAUUUAAGUUUUUUAUUAAAGUUUCUAUUAAAUCAUUUUUAAGAAAAAAACCUUUAGAAAUUUUACCUACAUAGCUUCAUAUAUAUUUUGUUCUUGAAUAAAUUCCCUUGUCUUUCAAAAAAAAAAAAAGCAACGAAGCCUGAUCUUAGGCUUUACUUGGUCAUUAAUGCAAAAAGUUUAGUUAAGUACAAAAGUAAUAUUCUUGAAUAAUUAAUUAACAGAUGUUUUAAUUUCUGUUAAUAGUUUAAUAUAUGAUUCUACUUUUAUAUAGAAUAAUAAUAAAUUACAUUUUGAAUGCUUAUUUUAUUUUACGUUUUUUCUCAGUUUUAAUUAAAUUAGGUGAUACCCACACAUUGUCUCGGAUUAAAAUUUUUUUGUUUUGUCAUCCUUGUUCACUGAAUUUUAGAAAAAUGUUAUCUGAUUUUAAACAAAGCAAAAAAAGUAAAAGAUUAAAAAAUCUAAACGAGAGUGACACGUGAAUAUAUAAAUUAGCUUUUUAUUCUCACAAAAUAUAUUUUAUAAAAAAUAAAAUUUUUAUUUUAUUUUUUACUAGCGAAACCCACCUAAUAUCAAGCUUUCAAUAAAAAAUCAGUGAAUACACACAUAUAUAUAUAUAUAAUUAAAUAGAUAAUAUAUAUAUAUAUAUUUAUAUCAUAGGAUGGUAUGGUGCAAAGUAUCAUAAAUUCUAUUUUGGUUCAUCCCUUAUUUCUAUAAAAAAAUUUGACUCAAAUUUAUUCGAUAUUGAUUGUUUUGAUAAAUUAAAUAUUUUGCAUUUACAAUUUAAGAACGAACUGUUUUGAUAAAAGAAAAUUAUCAAAGGGAAAAAAAAAAAAAAAACUUACCUGCCAAAUUAUUUCCACCCAAGUUUAGCAUUCUGAGCCUUGUUAAAUUUCCAAUACUCCUUGGAAUGGUGCCACUGAAUCUGUUAAAGUCUAAUGUUAAAUUUUGAAGACACCUGCAUUCAUCUAUGCUUGAUGGAAUUUGACCAGAAAACUCAUUUGAGCCCAAGUAAAGUGCCUCAAGAUUGGGAAGAUGGCGACAUAUAUCUUCAGGUAAACUGCCAGAUAGAUUGUUGAAUGAAAGAGAAAUCAUAUGUAGGGAGGAAAUGUUAUAAAUAGCUGAAGGUACGGAGCCAGAAAGUUGAUUAACUGCCAGACGAAGUAUUGUUAGAUUUCGAAGAUCACUUAUCUCGGGUGGAAUGUGUCCUUGAACGAGAUUGUACCUCAAAUCCAAGAUCUCCAAGUUGGAAAUUUUAGCUAGUGACUGAGGAAUUGUACCUGUUAAAUUGUUGUUCCGGAGACUCAAGUAUAAUACUUUUUUUAAUCUCCCAAACCAUGAAGGAAUUUCCCCACUAAGAAAAUUGAAGCUUAAAUCAAUGAAUGUCAGACGACUUAAUUGCCCCAACUCUCUCGGUAAAUGGCCAUGGAAAUUGUUAUGACUCAAAUCAAGAGAUACUAAAAACGAGAGAUUUCCCAAUUGUGGAAGGACAGUUCCUGUGAGAUUCAUGUUGGGAAGAUUUAAUGCGCUGACUCUCCUAUGCUUAGAUGCGCAAGAGACACCAACCCAAUUGCAAACAGAGGUAGUGAUGGUCCAGUUGUUGGCUAAGAUGUUGUGAGGAUCAAUGAUUUGAUGCUUAAAUUCGAGAAGAGCAUGUUGGUCUGUGGUAAGGUUCCUAACAAUCAUGGCGUAGCUAACCAUGAAACAAUGAAUGAACACUAAAGCUAGCGAAAGAAAAUGGAAUAUUCUCAUGUUGAUGGCUGUGGAAGGAAAUCAAAUCGAUGAAAUUGCAGGAUGUAUACGGAACUCUGAUCAAAGCAAUUCUUAAAUAGGAAUAAACUUGCCAAUAUGACUUAGACCUCAAGAGGAAAGUUCUGGGAUGGUCUUGGUCUUCACAAUUAAUAAAUGAUUCAAGCUUUUGAUUUUGGGCCCUCCAAUCUUUUUUGAUCUCCUUUUACAAGCAUUGGUGAAGCUAAUUUAUCUUUUUGCAUUCUUUCUUUUUCUUUUUCUCUUUUUUUUUUCUUUUAAUUUUUUUGUCUUGUACACUUUUGAGGCCCAUGACUCCACGUUUUACAAGAGAGAGUUGCAAAAUAGUAAUGGCUCUAUUUUUUUUGUCAAAAAAAAGUAAUUUAUAGUUUUUUUUAAAACUUCUGAGUUAGUUAUUGUACAAAUCAAAGUAAUUUAAAUUUAAUUAGUAAAAUUACUUAAAAUCAAAAUGAAAUAAUAAUAAAAAUAUGUAAGUAAAGAUAUUUAUGUAUUUUUAUUUAAAAAUUUAUGAUGAAAGAAAGUUUUUCCAUUUCCAGAUCAAAACAGGCUGCAAACUUUAAGGAGAAUUUAUACUAGAUUUACAUAUCAUUCACCAAAAGUAGUGCUAGUAGUGGGGUUCCUCGCUACUAGCGUUAAGUUUUCUCAUAAUUAUGGCGUAGUUAACCAUGAAAUAGUCAAUGAACAUUAACGCUGGCGAAAGAAAAUGGAAUUUUCUCAUGUCUAUGGCUGUGAUGGGAUCUAUGUAUAUCAAAACAGGUAACAUAAAAUAUUGAAGAAAUUGAGUCUGCAUAAAGCAUUGUUUAAAUAGAUUUCUAUACACACCUACGAACUCGUCAACACUGAAGACAACUGAAAUUAUGAUAGGACAUUGAAGUCAAGACUUGGGGCCUUAGCAUCUCUUGGUCUUCACCAUGCUCUUCUACAAUAAGCCAAGCUUUUAUUUUGGACCUUUUUAAUUUGUUGUUUUCAUAAACGGGACAGGUAAGGUGCUAAGGCCUAGUUUAGUAUUAUCCUCGCGAUUGAAUAAAGUUUGAGUUAAACGAAUGUGCUUAAAAGUAUGAUAAAAGAAGUGUCGUUAAAAAUUUUAAGCAUUUAGUGUUAUCGGAAAAAAAUUAUUACGAGUAAUUGAAAUGUUUAAUAAUAAUAACAAUAUUAUUAUUAAUAAAUAUAAGAAUAAUACAGUAAUGUUUUUCUUUCAAACACAUUUUUUGAUCAUAAAAAUAUUUCCAAGAAAUUUUUUGUUUGUAUUUAUAAAUCAGUUUUUUAAAUUGAAAAACUAUAUUUUUAUUUAACAUUAAAAUUAUUUCUAAAGUUUGAACGUAAAAAUUAUUUUCAACACAAUAAUAACCGAGGUCUAAAUCUCUCCAUAUAAAGGCUAUUCGUGCUGUACAAAUUCAAAACCUCUUACUCUUUAAAUAAUAAAAGUUAUCUUCAUCUAAAUACGAGUGUAUAUACAACCUUGUAAAUUUAAAUAUAUUUUACUCAUCAAAAUGAAAUUUUGUUGUUUCUGAUGAACCAUUUCUUUUGUAUUUGAGUUUUGUGUUUUCAGUACUAUUUUAAUUUUAAAAUUAUUAUAUUUUAAUUCUGGCCUACUACAUCCAUCUCGACUCUUUUAGAAUAAAAUUUUUCAGUUCCUCCACAGUACAUAUUGGUCUUUUUUCUUUCUUGAAUAAAUAACAUAUGAGAUUUUUAAAUUUUAAGCCAAAUAUUAUUUUGAAUUUUAUAUAUUUAAAAGUCACUUGUUAGCUCCCAUUUUUCAAUGUUGUAAUCCAUCUGUCAAUAACAUUGCUAACUCCAUCGCUAAACAUUUUGUCGGCAACACGUGUUUGCCGUGCAGUUGGUACAUGUGAGCUGAAGAGUAAAAAAAUUUCAUUAUCUGGAUUUUUAUUUUCCUUUCUUUCCUUUUUAUUUUUCCUCUUUCUCUUUCUCUUCCUCUCUCUUCUCUUCCCUGUCUAUCUAAGCGCUAUCGGCUGCAAUAGAGGACCCGAUUUGGCCCAGUCGACGCUGCGACGACGAAUGGAGUCAAACCAUUCCUUUAACCAUCGAUCCAGCGAGGGAUCUACUACACCUAAUUUGUGAAGCCUGAUCACUUCCCCAUUCGGAUCGGCAACUAUAGGUCAAUAUGACGCCAACCGUUGGCACGAUGUUGGGCGAGUUAAUCUAGACCUUUGCAAUCGACCACAGAGCCUAGACCUAUAAUAAAAAGAAGGGAAAGGAAGAUAGAAGGAAAAAAAAAAAAAAAAACAAGAAAUUGACUUUUAUUUAAAAAAAUUUAAUAUAUUUUUCAAACAUUAUAAUUAAAAUAAAUAAAUUAUAAAAAUUUAUAUAUUUAAUAAGUUUCUUUUUUCAAAUAUAAUCCGUCACCAAAUAUUAUAAUUUAAAAUAAGCAAAUUUCAAAAAUUCUAUUUAUUAAGUUUUUUUAAUUUUUUUAAUAUGAUAUAGAUUAUUAGUAUAAUUCAUCAAAUAUUUAAAUAAAUAUCAAAAUUUUAUAGUUUUAAUAAUUUAAAAAUAUUAUAUAAAUUUUAAAAUAAAUAAAUAAUAUAUAUGCUAAUUUAUAUUUAUUUACGACGUGUCAAACACAGCACCAAUUAUUACUUAAAAGUCAAACUCAAAGAAGUAUUGAUAAAAAGAUCAUUUCCUUAUAACAUUGAAAGUAUAGAAACUAUGCCUUUUAGAAAUAUAUAGACAAACAAAAUUUGGCUUAAAAUUUAAAGGUGCUAUUUAUUUAUUUGCAAUUUCUUCUUGUCUUACAAUACCAAAAUAAUUUAUUAGUGAUAAAUCAUAUUACUUUCCAUCCUUUCAAUGGUUUUUUUCCUACCUCUUGGUUUUUUUUAUGAACAUAAUUGUAACACACGAUCUAAUUCUAUAAGCAUUGAAUGAAUUUAAUAUUUUAGUGAGUAAAUAGUAUUCGUGAUCUUAAAUUUUGAAGCGUAUAUCGAUUUGGUUUUUAAAUUUCAAACAUAAUUUGUUAGUUUUUAUGUGUCAAAUAAUACAACGAAUUAGGUUUUUUUUUUUAAUCAAUUUAUCAGUUAACUCAUCGUUAGGUUUUUGAUGUGAUUUUAAUUUAAAAAAAAGUAAUCGAUAUAAUUGAUGUGAUAGCUAAGAAGAAAAAAAUAAGAAAUAAGAAAUAACCAAUAUAAAAAGAAAAGGAAAAUAAAUAUAAGUACUGUUUUUUAAAAAUUUCUUUUUAUUUUUGAAUUAAACAAUUAACAAAAAUAAUUUUCCCCUUUUUUUAUUUUUUGAACAUAAUAUAAAAUUUUAAUAUAUUUUCAAAUAUUAUAAUUCAAAUAAAUAAAUUUAAAUUUUCUAUUUUUAAGGAGUUUUUAUUUUUCAAAAAUAUUAUAAUUAAGAAUAAUCAAAUUUCAAAAUUUUAUAAAAAUAAAAAGAAAAUAAAAAAUAAGUAGUUUUUUUAAAAAAAUUUUCUUUUUAUUUUUUAAAUUAAACAAUUAACAAAAAUAAUUUUUCCAUUUUUUACUUUUUUAAAACAUAAUAUAAAAUUGUAAUAUAUUUACAAAUAUUAUAAUUCAAAUAAAUAAGUUUAAAUUUUCUAUUUUUAAGGAGUUUUUAUUUCAAAAUAUAAUUUAUAUUUUAUAUUUUUUUAAAAUAUUAUAAUUCAGAAUAAACGAAUUUCAAAAUUUUCUCUUAGAAUAACUUUCAUUUUAAUUUUUAUAUAAUAUAUUUUAAUAUAUUUUAUCAAAAUUUGUAAUUUAAAAUAAAUAAAUUAUAAAAUUUUCUAAUUUGAAGAUUUUUUUGUUUUAUUUUAAUUUUCAAAUAUAAUAUAUUUUUGUAUUUUAUCUAGUUUUAUUAUUUAAAAUAAAAAUUUUCAAAAAUUUAUUUUUAGUAAGUUUUUUGUUUUAAUUUUUUGAAAUGAAAUAUAGCUUUAAUAUAUUUUAUCAAAAUUUAUAGUUUGAAAUAAAUAGAUUUUAUAUUUUCAGUAAGUUUUUGUUUUUAAAUUUUUAAAUAUAAUUUUUUAUACAUUUAAUCUAGUUUUAUAAUUUAAAAUAUACAAAAUAAAUAAAAAUUUUAAAUUUAAUAAAUUAGAUAAUAAAUUAUAAUGUAAAAUAAAUAAAAUUAAAAUUUUCUAAUUUUAAUAUUUUUUGUUAUUUUAUUUUAUAUAAUAUAGAUUUUUAAAAUUACAUUUAACCACAAAAGUUCAUAUAAUUUUAGCAUCUAUGUGUUGACCAUUUUUGUUGACACAUGGUGCUAACUAAUCUUUAAGGUCAUAUUUAAUGAUAUUUUUUGUGGAAUGACUAUUUUGAUACAACUUUGAAAGUUUAGGGAUCAAUAAGUGACAUUUGAAUGUAUAGGGACCAAAAUGAUAUACAAUCCAAAGGUACUAUUUACUAUGUUUCAGUAGAAAUAAUUCCUAUUUUUUUUCUUUGUAUUAUAAAUAUCAUAACUUCUUACAAAUACCCAAAUAUUUGAGUUUAAAUAUAGGAUCUUUACUAAAUUGAUUUAAGUUGGAUGCCUAUUGUAUAAACAUAUUAUUGACAAUUAAUCAAUUAUAAUUUAGUAUUGGGUAGGGUUCAUAAAAAAAUCAUAUAAAGCCUACAAGUUUUAAGUGGUGAACUAGUGUAUAAUUCUUUUUUAUGAUUAACUAAUUUCAAUAUUGCAGUAAAGAAAAAUUGUAUCUGAAAUGCUACCCCUAUCCUAAAAUUCAAUAUGUUAUGGAUUUAUGCAUUAUCCUUAUUUGUUAUCUCUUUGAGGAUGAAAGUAAAAAAUCGCCAAUAAGUUAUGUUGAAAGAGUAUCAUGAUACAUAAAUAUAAGAAGAAUCAUACCACUUAUUGAAAAUUAGAUUUUGAUUGAAUUUUCAUUUUAAAAAUUUAAAAUUAGUAUCAAAACAACCCAAAGUAUAUAUAACUUUUAAAUCUAAAGGAUAAUACCUUAAAUAAACCCUGAAUUAUUAUUAUUUUUUUUUAAUGCGAGACCUAAACUAAAAAAAUUAUAAAUUGGGUUCAAGGGCUAUUCAAGGCAUUGACCCUAAAUAUUAUUAGAAUCGCAAUGGCUUUAGUUUUGGUUGUAGGGUGAAAAAACUAAAUCCAAUUAAAUAAUUAAGCAAGCAGAAGCAUAAUUAAAUAAUCGAUCAAUCACAUAAAAGUUAAUAAUUCAAUGUGGUUAGCCCAAUUGGCCUACAUCCAUUGAUAAGAAAAAUAUUCAUUACUUGUAAAGAAUUACAAAUAAAUCAAUAAAUUAACCUCACUCACAAUCAACAUCCUUAGAUCCACCAAUUCUCCUCCAGUUCUAUAAAAUAUUCUCAAUCCAAACAAAUACAUAUGCGUGUAUAUCCAUACUUAUAUAAACCAUUUCAAUCUCAUCCAGUCUACCUAAAUAAAAUAAUCAUCAUACUUAUGUUGACCCUUUUAUUCUCUUGUAGUCCACUCAAACAUACACACUCGUAAAGACCAUCUUAAUCUUGUCUAUUCCUAUGAGGUGUCUAUCUAAUAAAAUCUUACAACUUUAUUGUUCUCAUAUCUAACCUUAUAGAGACUCAAUUAUUUAUAAGCAUAGAAACUUACCAAUCAAGAAUCCAUUUUGCUCUUAGAAUUCUUCUUCUACAAGUCUUUGAUUUAUCAAAAAUUAUUUAGUCAAUCUCAAAUAAAUCUUUUAUGAGAUUUGAGUCACUAUUUUUAAUAAUCUUCACUUUGACUCAUAUUCCAAUAAAUCAUCAAUCUUCAUGUUAGACAUGCUUAGCUCCAAUUGCAAUGUAAGUUUUGUUAAAUAAUCUUCUUUGUGUGUCUUCAUAUUUCAUACAAACAAUAUCUCAAAAUCAAACUUGAACUCCUCUAUUGAAAUUAAGCUCUUCCAGACUUGUUUUUUUUCCAAAAUGACAUAAGUAGUUACGAAUCAUGAAAGCUUAGAUUCUAGUUGUUAGGCAAAAAGCACAAAUUCAAUUAAACAAUUAAGCCAGCGAAAGUAUAAUUAAACAAUUAAUCAAUCAUAUAAAAGACAAUAAUUUAACAUAGUUAAGCCUAAUUGUCCUAUGUUCAUGGAUAAAAAAAAUUCACUAACUGUAGAGAAUUAUAAAAAAAAUUAAUAAAUCAAUUGCACUCAUAAUUAAUACCCAUGAAUCCUCUCAUUGCUCCUCUUAAAAUUCUUCUCCUAUAAAUUUGCUUGUUCAUCAAACAAUAUCUAUUCAAUUUCAAACAAAUCUUUUUAUAAAUUUUGUGUAACUAUUCUCAACAAAUAUAAUAAAAUUCACUAUAUUAGUCUAUUUGUUAUCAAUUGCUUUUAGAUUGAAUUUGAACUGUUUAUCUUUACACAUGAAAUACACAAUUUACAUAUAAUAAAAAUCAUUCCACUUACUUUUAAACUUUAAAUUGGCUUGGAUUAUAUAUUUCGAUCUUGAAAGGAAUUUGAAUUUAAAACAAUAAAAAAGUUGUACUUUGAUCAAAAUGAAUUCCCGCGACUGCCUUGUUUUACCCGAAAGAAAGAGUAUCGAAAACAAAUCAACCAUGGUCGAAAUUAGAUUUAAUAAUUUUAAAUAUAAUAUAAUAAUAUAAUUACAAAAUUUAAAAAAAAAAUUUAAAAUUUUAAUUCAAAUCAUAUAGAAACCUGAUAAAAUUAAAAAUAUAUAUUUUAUAUUUAAAAUAUCCACACAAAUUAUAUCAUAAUAGUUUUUAUAUUUUGCUUAAUUUAAACGCAGUGCACAAAUUAUCAUAUGAAUCUACUACUCCCUUUGGCAUGUGUCGAUAGCUAGCUUUGUUGACUUUUAAGAGUUUGCAGUCUCCGCUCUCAUUUCCACACAAAGUUUCAAUGUUUUUUAUGACAUAAAUUGGACUUGCUUUGCUGUGUGGGGUAAACUUAGGUCCUUUGGAGUGUACAAAUCAUAGCCUUCCCCACUUUAUUGAAACUCACAUUCUUUUUCCACUGCAUAAUAAAUGGACUAGCACCAACUUAAAAUUUGUGGACUAUGAUUGAUGCAAUCGAUAGUAGAAAAAUUCGACACCAUAUUAACACGUAAAUUGAUUUUUUCCGAACCCAACCAAUAAAGAUUUUGACUCCACUCUUAGUCACGAUUAUAAUUGAUGCGACAUGUUUGGCCUUAACCGUGCCAUGUACCCCAUUUGGAUGAAGGGUGUGUCAUCUUUAAAAGCUAUGUAAUAAACAUUAUAUAUAUACUGAACCAUGAUGGGUGCAAUCCCAAAGAGAAAAUUCUAAUUGCAGUCAAUGAUUGACGCAAUCGAUAAUAAAAAAAAUUGUUUUUAUCCGAACCCUCCACUCUUAGUCAAGAUUAUAAUUGAUGUAACACAAAAGAAGCAAAAUUCUAUCGCAUAUUGCAAGCAAUUCUUUAUCCAUUGGCAUAUUAUGGGAUGACUGAAAAACUAAGACCUCGUUUGGAUUCAAACAAAAGUCAUGUGACGACAUGUUUGGCCUCAACCGUGCCACGUACCCCAUUUGAAUGAAGGGGUGUGUCAUCUUUAAAGCUAUGUAAUAAUCAUUAUAUCUAUACAGAACCAUGAUUGGUGCAAUCCAUAAGAGAAAAUUCUAGCCCAUAUUUCAAUCCAUGAUUGAUGCAAUUGAUAAUAAAAAAAUUGAUUUUAUCCGAACCUUCCACUCUUAGUCAAGAUUAUAAUUGAUGUAACACAAAAGGAGCAAAAUUCUAUCCCAUAUUGCAAGCAAUUCUUUAUCCAUUUGGACUUUCGAAAGGGUGCAUUUAAUGCAUCAAAAAUUUUGUCAAAUAGAUCAAAAAAGAUAAAUAAUAAUAAUAAUAAAUAAAAUGGAUGUUUACAUGAUUGAUUGCAAUUNNNNNNNNNNNNNNNNNNNNNNNNNNNNNNNNNNNNNNNNNNNNNNNNNNNNNNNNNNNNNNNNNNNNNNNNNNNNNNNNNNNNNNNNNNNNNNNNNNNNNNNNNNNNNNNNNNNNNNNNNNNNNNNNNNNNNNNNNNNNNNNNNNNNNNNNNNNNNNNNNNNNNNNNNNNNNNNNNNNNNNNNNNNNNNNNNNNNNNNNNNNNNNNNNNNNNNNNNNNNNNNNNNNNNNNNNNNNNNNNNNNNNNNNNNNNNNNNNNNNNNNNNNNNNNNNNNNNNNNNNNNNNNNNNNNNNNNNNNNNNNNNNNNNNNNNNNNNNNNNNNNNNNNNNNNNNNNNNNNNNNNNNNNNNNNNNNNNNNNNNNNNNNNNNNNNNNNNNNNNNNNNNNNNNNNNNNNNNNNNNNNNNNNNNNNNNNNNNNNNNNNNNNNNNNNNNNNNNNNNNNNNNNNNNNNNNNNNNNNNNNNNNNNNNNNNNNNNNNNNNNNNNNNNNNNNNNNNNNNNNNNNNNNNNNNNNNNNNNNNNNNNNNNNNNNNNNNNNNNNNNNNNNNNNNNNNNNNNNNNNNNNNNNNNNNNNNNNNNNNNNNNNNNNNNNNNNNNNNNNNNNNNNNNNNNNNNNNNNNNNNNNNNNNNNNNNNNNNNNNNNNNNNNNNNNNNNNNNNNNNNNNNNNNNNNNNNNNNNNNNNNNNNNNNNNNNNNNNNNNNNNNNNNNNNNNNNNNNNNNNNNNNNNNNNNNNNNNNNNNNNNNNNNNNNNNNNNNNNNNNNNNNNNNNNNNNNNNNNNNNNNNNNNNNNNNNNNNNNNNNNNNNNNNNNNNNNNNNNNNNNNNNNNNNNNNNNNNNNNNNNNNNNNNNNNNNNNNNNNNNNNNNNNNNNNNNNNNNNNNNNNNNNNNNNNNNNNNNNNNNNNNNNNNNNNNNNNNNNNNNNNNNNNNNNNNNNNNNNNNNNNNNNNNNNNNNNNNNNNNNNNNNNNNNNNNNNNNNNNNNNNNNNNNNNNNNNNNNNNNAUAAUGGGGAAAACAUAAAAGAAACUUAAGUUCAUUUGGUUGAUUUUUUUAUUUGUCUUUUACUUUCCAUUCAUUGUUGAGUAUAAUGUACCAAUUAUUCAUAACUUUUGUGCAAUAUUUCAUUUUCAUCCUCUAAUUUUAAAAUGUAGUUUAUAUCCCUAACCUUCUAAAAAUGUUUUAAAUUCAUAUAUUUCAUCAACCAUGAAUGAAAAAUCAAUGAAACAUGCCAUGUGACUUAAAUUUUAAUCUCAAAAAACAAAAGGAUUCACCUUUUUUUGCCAUGUAACUAAAAAAUAUUUAAUUUACAAUAUUUAUUAUGUUUAAGAGAAAUUUAUUUUUUAAAAUUUAAAAACCGAUUAUUUCAAAAAAAAAUAUAAUUAGUUUUCAAAAAAAUACAAACAAAUUAUUUUAUGUCAAAUUUUUUGUUUAUUUAAAAAAAUGGAAAGAAGAAAUAUUAAAAAUCAAAAGAAAGAAAGAAAGAAAAGGGGAAAACUAAAAAAGAGAAAAAAAUGAAAUGAGGAAACAAGAAAGAAAAGAAGGAAAAAUGAAAAAGUAGUUUGGUUAACUAAUUUAAUAAUGACAUUUAUCAGCCUAUUAAAUGUUUAUUUCAAAUUUUAAAUGUUAGUUUUAGGAGAAAAUAGUUCAUUUAAAAGUCAAUUACACAAAAAAUUCCUAAUUUCUUCAAUGUUUAAAAUAUGAAGGAAUAAUUAAUUUUUUUCAAUAUCAAAAGUAUGAGUCAAAAUGAGAAAAGUAUAAAAGAAAACCAAAAUAUGACUGUUUUCGUGUUGGCUAUUCUAUUAAUUUUUAUUUUUUAGUUAUUUAGUUUUAUUCUUUUUCUAAUAUAAAUAGUAAUAAAUAUCAAUCAAUUGAAAUCUAAAUAAUCAAAUGCAAAAGCUUACCUUCUACAUCAUUAUCACCUAGAUAUAUCUCCUCAAGUUUGGUUAAAUUUCCUAUACUUCUUGGAAUGAAUCCAUUGAAUCGAUUAAAAGAUAAUACUAACUUUUUAAGAUUGCUGCAAGCACCAAUAUUUGAGGAAUACUGCCAGAGACACUAUUGUUUAGAGAGAAAUUUCUUUUCAAGGAGAAGGUUAAAAUGGAAGCUGGCAUUGGACCAACAAGGCUUAUAUUUGGCAGCAGAAUAUCUCCAAGCUCAAAAGUUUCAAUUUCAGAAGGGAUCUCACCUGUGGAAAAUACAGAAACCGAUGCAAAAAGCUUGGGUCAGCAAGCACGAGGCAUUUUUUUUGCUUCCCAAUCCACUAUUCAUUAUUGAAUAUUCAUUUUCUCCUAAUUUUAUGAAUUUUAUUAAAUUAGAUAAUUAAAUUCUAUUUCUAAACAUUAUCUCAAACGAGAUUAAAUACCAAAAUUUUUAAUCAUAAUGGGGAAAACAUAAAGAACUUAGUUCAUUUGGUUGAAUUUUUUUCUAUUUGUCCUUUACCUUCUUUUCAUUUUUAGGCAAACUAUACCAAUUAUAUAUAACUUUUGUGCAAUAUUUCAUUGUCAUCCACAAAUUUUAAAUGUAGUUUAUAUCCAUAACCUUCUAAAAUUGUUUCAAAAUCAUAUAUUUCAUCAACCAUCAAUGAAAAAUCAAUGAAACAUGUCAUGCGACAAAUUUCAACUCAAAAUUCAAAAGGAUUCACCUUUUUAUGCCAUGUAACUAAAGAAUAUUUAAUUUACAAUAUUUUUUAUGGUUAAGAGUUAAAUUUAUUUUUUAAAUUUAAAAACUGAAUAUUUCCAAAAAUUAAAUUAAUUUUUCAAAAAAUACAAAAAAUUAUUUUCAGCCAAGAAAUUUUACCUAAGAAAAUAACAUGAGUUUCAUGGUCACUGUUAAUAUUUAGGAGUUUUAACAUGAUAUCAAUAAUUAAAUUAAUUUUAGCACUUACUUUCCAAAUUAUAAAAGUAAUUCUUUUACAGUAAUUUCAAAUUAUCAAAUAAAGUUUAUUUUGACAAAAACUUCAAUGUUGAUAAGAAAAUAAAUAAAACUAGUCAUGUUUUAAUUUAAUAGGAAAAUAAUUAAUUAUAAAUAAAGUAGCUAAUUUAAUAAAUUAUCAAAUUAUCAAAGGAAAAUAAAUAAAAAAAAGCUUACCUUCCAAUGUAAAUACUUUUUUAAAAUUAUCAAAUUAUCAAAUACUUUUUUUUAUUUUGUAAAUGAAUGUCUUAAAAAUAGUUUUUAAAAUUAUUUUAUAUAAACAUAAAAAAUUAAAUAUAAUACAGUAGACAUUUGAAAACAUUAUAAAAUAUUAGUAAUGUUUAUUAUUAUUAUUAUUAUUAUUUACUCUUCCACUUAUUAAAAUAUAGUUUUUUAAUCCAAUAUAAUAAUAAUAAUAAUAUAUUUUAAUUUUUAUCUAUUUAACUCACAAGAAAAUAUCAUGCGAAAAAAUAAAUGUAAGUUCUAGGAAGAAAAUAGUUCAUUUAAAACUCAAUUACACAAGAAAUUCCUAAUUUCUUCAAUGUUUAAAAUAUAAAGGAAUAAUUAAUUUUUUCAAUACCAAAAGUUUGAGUCAAAAUGAGAAAAGUAUAAAAGAAAAACAAAAUAUGACUAUUUCCGUGUUGGUCAUUCUAUUAAUUUUUAUUUUUUAGUUAUUUCUUUUUAUUCUUUUUCUAAUAUAAAUAGUAAUAAAUAUCAAUCAAUUGAAAUCUAAAUAAUCAAAUGCAAAAGCUUACCUUCUACAUCAUUAUCACCUAGAUAUAUCUCCUUAAGUUUGGUUAAAUUCCCUAUACUUCUUGGAAUGUGUCCAUUGAAUCGAUUAAAAGAUAAUGAUAAAAUUUGAAAAUUGCUGCAGUCACCAAUAUUUGAUGGAAUGCAACCAAAAAUUUCAUUGUAGGAUAUAUGAAGUACCUCAAGUUUGAAAAGAGAGUAACAUAUAUUAUCCGGAAUACUACCAGAGAGAUUAUUACUAUAGAGAUAAAUUUCUUUCAAAGAAGUAAGGUUAAAGAUGGAAGCUGGUAUUGGACCAACUAGCCUCAUAUUUACGACAGAAAAUAUCUCCAAGCUUAGAAGAUUUCCAACUUCCCAAGGGAUUUCACUUGUGAACAUAGAAAACAAUUUGCAAGAGCUCGAUCAAGUAGCAGAAAGUUUUUUUUGUUGGCAUUACAAUUCAUAAUGAAACCAUUUCCUCCAAAAUUUAUGAUAUUAUUGAUUAAAUUAAUUAAUUAAAUUCUCAUUCUAAACAUUAUUUCAAAAGAAGUUAAAUACCAAAAUUUUGAGAAAUAAAACCGGAAAAUAGAAAAGAAAUCAAAGUUCAUUUGGUUGAUAUUUUAUUAUUGGACUUUUAGUUUCUAUUAUUUUUUGGGUAAAAUAUACCAAUCAUGUAUAACUUUUGUGCAAUAUUUCAUUUUCAUGUAUAAAUUUUAAAAUGUCAUUUUUAGAUCCAUAACCUCACAAAAGUAUUUCAAAUUCAGCCAAAAAAUCAGAUAGGUUUACCCUUUUUGCCAUGUGAACAUUCACAUGGAUAUCUUGUGGCACUAAGAUGGUAAAUUUCGUCCUAUUUGAAACAAUUUUAAGGGAUCGUAGAUUCAAAAUUUGAGCUUUAAUGAAAAUGAAAUAUUAUAUAUACCAAAAUCAUGAAUAUAUGAUGUAAUUUACUCUAUUUUAGGAUUUUUUUUUACUUUUUUCUAUUACUUUUUGCAAAAACAAAAAAAAAAAGCAAUAAAAAAAAUAUAUUAUUAUCAAGCAGAGCCUAAAUAAUAAAAUAUCCAAGAGAUAUAUUUAGGUUUAUAAAAUUACUUAUCCCAUUUGGAUUAUUUCCGUUGAAUCAAAUUGUAACCUAAGUUACUACAACUAUCACUAGAAAACCCACCGCAACUAGACAAUCAAGCCUGAUCUUUAUCACAAGAUUUAUCUUGUUUACAAUAUUUACUUGCUUGGUUGUAACUGCUUUUUGGUUGUGUUGUGUUCUUCUCUCAUUUUGUCCUCUCUUAAAACUCUUAAUAUUGUAUCCCUCAUUAUCCUCCAUUGAAUAAAGGACAAAACUUAUAUGAAAUUCGGUGAAGUUCGUAAAAUUUUUUACUAGAAAUGAUUAAAUAAAAACUAAAAUUAAAAAUCAAAACUGAUAGACUAAAAAAUCUUAUUAUAUAAAUCAAGUUUACAAAUUUUGAAAUAAUUUUAAUAUAUAAUUUUUAAAUAGACAUUUUUGUAAAAAUAUUAAUAGAAAUUUUUAUCGUUGAAUCAGCAUCGAUUAAAUUUUAAUCAUAAACAAUAUUUUUAAUAAUUUUUUUACAUAUUAUUGAUCUUCACAUCGAAUUCUAUCAAUCUAUCAAUUUAAGUUUUUAUUAAAGUUUCUAUUAAAUCAUUUUUAAGAAAAAAAACUUUAAAAAUUUUACCUACAUAGCUUCAUAUAUAAAUUUUGUUCUUGAAUAAAUUCCCUUGUCUUUCAAAAAAAAAAAAAGCAACGAAGCCUGAUCUUAGGCUUUACUUGGUCAUUAAUGCAAAAAGUUUAGUUAAGUACAAAAGUAAUAUUCUUGAAUAAUUAAUUAAAAGAUGUUUUAAUUUCUGUUAAUAGUUUAAUAUAUGAUUCUACUUUUAUAUAGAAUAAUAAUAAAUUACAUUUUGAAUGCUUAUUUAUUUUACUUUUUUCUCAGUUUUAAUUAAAUUAGGUGAUACCCACACAUUGUCUCGGAUUAAAAUUUUUUUGUUUUGUCAUCCUUGUUCACUGAAUUUUAGAAAAAUGUUAUCGAUUUUAAACAAAGCAAAAAAAAAAGUAAAGAUUAAAAAAUCUAAACGAGAGUGACACGUGAAUAUAUAAAUUAGCUUUUUAUUCUCACAAAAUAUAUUUUAUAAAAAAUAAAAUUUUUAUUUAUUUUUUACUAGCGAAACCCACCUAAUAUCAAGCUUUCAAUAAAAAAUCAGUGAAUACACAUAUAUAUAUAUAAUUAAAUAGAUAAUAUAUAUAUAUAUUUAUAUCAUAGGAUGGUAUGGUGCAAAGUAUCAUAAAUUCUAUUUUGGUUCAUCCCUUAUUUCUAUAAAAAAAUUUGACUCAAAUUUAUUCGAUAUUGAUUGUUUUGAUAAAUUAAAUAUUUUGCAUUUACAAUUUAAGAACGAGCUGUUUUGAUAAAAGAAAAUUAUCAAAGGGAAAAAAAAAAAAAAAACUUACCUGCCAAAUUAUUUCCACCCAAGUUUAGCAUUCUGAGCCUUGUUAAAUUUCCAAUACUCCUUGGAAUGGUGCCACUGAAUCUGUUAAAGUCUAAUGUUAAAUUUUGAAGACACCUGCAUUCAUCUAUGCUUGAUGGAAUUUGACCAGAAAACUCAUUUGAGCCCAAGUAAAGUGUCUCAAGAUUUGGAAGAUGGUGACAUAUAUCUUCAGGUAAACUGCCAGAUAGAUUGUUGAAUGAAAGAGAAAUCAUAUGUAGGGAGGAAAUGUUAUAAAUAGCUGAAGGUACGGAGCCAGAAAGUUGAUUAACUGCCAGACGAAGUAUUGUUAGAUUUCGAAGAUCACUUAUCUCGGGUGGAAUGUGUCCUUGAACGAGAUUGUACCUCAAAUCCAAGAUCUCCAAGUUGGAAAUUUUAGCUAGUGACUGAGGAAUUGUACCUGUUAAAUUGUUGUUCCGGAGACUCAAGUAUAAUACUUUUUUUAAUCUCCCAAACCAUGAAGGAAUUUCCCCACUAAGAAAAUUGAAGCUUAAAUCAAUGAAUGUCAGACGACUUAAUUGCCCCAACUCUCUCGGUAAAUGGCCAUGGAAAUUGUUAUGACUCAAAUCAAGAGAUACUAAAAACGAGAGAUUUCCCAAUUGUGGAAGGACAGUUCCUGUGAGAUUCAUGUUGGGAAGAUUUAAUGCGCUGACUCUCCUAUGCUUAGAUGCGCAAGAGACACCAACCCAAUUGCAAACAGAGGUAGUGAUGGUCCAGUUGUUGGCUAAGAUGUUGUGAGGAUCAAUGAUUUGAUGCUUAAAUUCGAGAAGAGCAUGUUGGUCUGUGGUAAGGUUCCUAACAAUCAUGGCGUAGCUAACCAUGAAACAAUGAAUGAACACUAAAGCUAGCGAAAGAAAAUGGAAUAUUCUCAUGUUGAUGGCUGUGGAAGGAAAUCAAAUCGAUGAAAUUGCAGGAUGUAUACGGAACUCUGAUCAAAGCAAUUCUUAAAUAGGAAUAAACUUGCCAAUAUGACUUAGACCUCAAGAGGAAAGUUCUGGGAUGGUCUUGGUCUUCACAAUUAAUAAAUGAUUCAAGCUUUUGAUUUUGGGCCCUCCAAUCUUUUUUGAUCUCCUUUUACAAGCAUUGGUGAAGCUAAUUUAUCUUUUUGCAUUCUUUCUUUUUCUUUUUCUCUUUUUUUUUUCUUUUAAUUUUUUUGUCUUGUACACUUUUGAGGCCCAUGACUCCACGUUUUACAAGAGAGAGUUGCAAAAUAGUAAUGGCUCUAUUUUUUUUGUCAAAAAAAAGUAAUUUAUAGUUUUUUUAAAACUUCUGAGUUAGUUAUUGUACAAAUCAAAGUAAUUUAAAUUUAAUUAGUAAAAUUACUUAAAAUCAAAAUGAAAUAAUAAUAAAAAUAUGUAAGUAAAGAUAUUUAUGUAUUUUUAUUUAAAAAUUUAUGAUGAAAGAAAGUUUUUCCAUUUCCAGAUCAAAACAGGCUGCAAACUUUAAGGAGAAUUUAUACUAGAUUUGCAUAUCAUUCACCAAAAGUACUGCUAGUAGUGGGGUUCCUCGCUACUAGCGUUAAGGUUUCUCACAAUUAUGGCGUAGUUAACCAUGAAAUAGUGAAUGAACAUUAACGCUGGCGAAAGAAAAUGGAAUUUUCUCAUAUCUAUGGCUGUGAUGGGAUCUAUGUAUAUCAAAACAGGUAACAUAAAAUAUUGAAGAAAUUGAGUCUGCAUAAGGCAUUGUUUAAAUAGAUUUCUAUACACACCUACGAACUCGUCAACACUGAAGACAACUGAAAUUAUGAUAGGACAUUGAAGUCAAGACUUGGGGCCUUAGCAUGUCUUGGUCUUCACCAUGCUCUUCUGCAAUAAGCCAAGCUUUUAUUUUGGACCUUUUUAAUUUGUUGUUUUCAUAAACGGGACAGGUAAGGUGCUAAGGCCUAGUUUAGUAUUAUCCUCGCGAUUGAAUAAAGUUUGAGUUAAACGAAUGUGCUUAAAAGUAUGAUAAAAGAAGUGUCGUUAAAAAUUUUAAGCGUUUAGUGUUAUCGGAAAAAAAUUAUUACGAGUAAUUGAAAUGUUUAAUAAUAAUAACAAUAUUAUUAUUAAUAAAUAUAAGAAUAAUACAGUAAUGUUUUUCUUUCAAACACAUUUUUUGAUCAUAAAAAUAUUUCCAAGAAAUUUUUUGUUUGUAUUUAUAAAUCAGUUUUUUAAAUUGAAAAACUAUAUUUUUUAUUUAACAUUAAAAUUAUUUCUAAAGUUUGAACGUAAAAAUUAUUUUCAACACAAUAAUAACCGAGGUCUAAAUCUCUCCAUAUAAAGGCUAUUCGUGCUGUACAAAUUCAAAACCUCUUACUCUUUAAAUAAUAAAAGUUAUCUUCAUCUAAAUACGAGUGUAUAUACAACCUUGUAAAUUUAAAUAUAUUUUACUCAUCAAAAUGAAAUUUUGUUGUUUCUGAUGAACCAUUUCUUUUGUAUUUGAGUUUUGUGUUUUCAGUACUAUUUUAAUUUUAAAAUUAUUAUAUUUUAAUUCUGGCCUACUACAUCCAUCUCGACUCUUUUAGAAUAAAAUUUUUCAGUUCCUCCACAGUACAUAUUGGUCUUUUUUUUAUUUUGAAUAAAUAACAUAUGAGAUUUUUAAAUUUUAAGCCAAAUAUUAUUUUGAUUUUUAUAUUUUUAAAAGUCACUUGUUAGCUCCCAUUUUUCAAUGUUGUAAUCCAUCUGUCAAUAACUUUGCUAACUCCAUCGCUAAACAUUUCGUCGGCAACACGUGUUUGCCGUACAGUUGGGACAUGUGAGCUGAUGAGUAAAAAAAUUUCAUUAUCUGGAUUUUUAUUUUCCUCUCUUUUUCUUUUUUUUUUUUUUCUCUCUCUUUCUCUCUCUCUUCCUCUCCCUUCUCUUCCCUGUCUAUCUGAGCGCCAUCGACAGCAAUAUAGGACCAGGUUUGGCCCAGUCGACGCUGCGACGACGAAUGGAGUCAAACCAGCCCUUGUAACCAUCGAUCCAGCGAGGGAUCUACUACACCUAAUUUGUGAAGCCUGAUCACUUCCCCAUUCGGAUCGGCAACUAUAGGUCGAUAUGACGCCAACCGUUGGCACGAUUUUGUGUGAGUUAAUCUGGUCCCUUGCAAUCGACCACAGAGCAUAGACCUAUAAUAAAAAGAAGGGAAAGGAAGAUAGAAGGGAAAAAAUAGAAAAAAAAAACAAGAAAUUGACUUUUAUUUAAAAAUUUUUAAUAUAGUUUUCAAAUAUUAUAAGUAAAAUAAAUAAAUUAUAAAAUUUUAUAUAUUUAAUAAGUUUUUUUUUUCAAAUAUAAUCUGUCACCAAAUAUUAUAAUUUAAAAUAAGCAAAUUUAAAAAAUUUUAUUGAGUUUUUUUAAAUUUUUUAAAUAUAAUAUAGAUUAUUAAUAUAAUUCAUCAAUUAUUUAAAUAAAUAUCAAAAUUUUAUAACUUUAGUAAUUUAAAAAAUAUUAUUUAACUUUCGAAAUAAAUAAAUAAUAGACAUGCCAAUUUAUAUUUAUUUACCCCGUGUCAAAAACGUAGCACCAAUUAUUACUUAAAAGUCAAACUCAAGGAAGUGUUGAUAAAAAGAUCAUUUUCUUAAAACAUUGAAAGUAUAGAAACUAAUUAGUGCAUUUCAGAAAUAUAUAGACAAAUAAAAUUUGACUUAAAGUUUAAAGGUGCUCUUUAUUUAUUUGCAAUAUUUUCUUGUCUUACAGUACCAAAAUAAUUUACUAGUGAUAAAUCAUAUUAUUUUCCGUCCUUUCAAUGGUUUUUUUCUUACCUCUUGGUUUUUUUUUUUUUUUAUGUACAUAAUUCUAACACACGAUCUAAUUCUAUAAGCAUUGAAUGAAAUUUAUAUUUUAGUGAGUAAAUAGUAUUCGUGAUCUUAAAUUUUGAAGCGUAUAUCGAUUUGGUUUUUAAAUUUCAAAACAUAAUUUGUUAGUUUUUAUGUGUCAAAUAAUACAACGAAUUAGGUUUUUUUUUUUAAUCAAUUUAUCAGUUAACUCAUCGUUAGGUUUUUGAUGUGAUUUUAAUUAAAAAAAAGUAAUCGAUAUAAUUGAUGUGAUAGCUAAGAAGAAAAAAAUAAAGAAAUAAGAAAUAACCAAUAUAAAAAGAAAAGGAAAAUAAAUAUAAGUACUGUUUUUAAAAAAUUUUCUUUUUAUUUUUUGAAUUAAACAAUUAACAAAAAUAAUUUUCCCCUUUUUUUAUUUUUUGAACAUAAUAUAAAAUUUUAAUAUAUUUUCAAAUAUUAUAAUUCAAAUAAAUAAAUUUAAAUUUUCUAUUUUUAAGGAGUUUUUAUUUUUCAAAAUAUUAUAAUUCAGAAUAAUCAAAUUUCAAAAUUUUAUAAAAAUAAAAAGAAAAUAAAAAAUAAGUAGUUUUUUUAAAAAAAUUUUCUUUUUAUUUUUUAAAUUAAACAAUUAACAAAAAUAAUUUUUCCAUUUUUUACUUUUAAACAUAAUAUAAAAUUGUAAUAUAUUUACAAAUAUUAUAAUUCAAAUAAUAAGUUUAAAUUUUCUAUUUUAAGGAGUUUUAUUUCAAAAUAUAAUUUAUAUUUUAUAUUUUUUUUAAAUAUUAUAAUUCAGAAUAAACGAAUUUCAAAUUUUCUCUUAGAAUAACUUUUCAUUUUUAAUUUUUAUAUAAUAUAUUAUUAAUAUAUUUUUAUCAAAAUUUGUAAUUUAAAUAAAUAAAUUAUAAAAUUUUUCUAAUUUGAAGAUUUUUUUAUUUUAAUUUUCAGGAUAUAAUAUAUUUUGUAUUUUAUUUAGUUUUAUUAUUUUAAAAUAAAACUUUUCAAAAAUUUAUUUUUAAUAAGUUUUUUUAUUUUUUGAAAUAUAAUAUAACUUUGAAUAUUUUUAGUCAAAAUUUAUAGUUUGAAUAAAUAGAUUUUAUAUUUUCAGUAAGUUUUUUUGUUUUUUAAUUUUUAGAUAUAAUUUUUUAUACAUUUAAUCUAGUUUUAUAAUUUAAAAUAUACAAAAUAAAUAAAAAUUUUAAAUUUAAUAAAUUAGAUAAUAAAUUAUAAUGUAAAAUAAAUAAAAUUAAAAUUUUCUAAUUUUAAUAUUUUUUGUUAUUUUAUUUUAUAUAAUAUAGAUUUUUAAAAUUACAUUUAACCACAAAAGUUCAUAUAAUUUUAGCAUCUAUGUGUUGACCAUUUUUGUUGACACAUGGUGCUAACUAAUCUUUAAGGUCAUAUUUAAUGAUAUUUUUUGUGGAAUGACUAUUUUGAUACAACUUUGAAAGUUUAGGGAUCAAUAAGUGACAUUUGAAUGUAUAGGGACCAAAAUGAUAUACAAUCCAAAGGUACUAUUUACUAUGUUUCAGUAGAAAUAAUUCCUAUUUUUUUUCUUUGUAUUAUAAAUAUCAUAACUUCUUACAAAUACCCAAAUAUUUGAGUUUAAAUAUAGGAUCUUUACUAAAUUGAUUUAAGUUGGAUGCCUAUUGUAUAAACAUAUUAUUGACAAUUAAUCAAUUAUAAUUUAGUAUUGGGUAGGGUUCAUAAAAAAAUCAUAUAAAGCCUACAAGUUUAAGUGGUGAACUAGUGUAUAAUUCUUUUUUAUGAUUAACUAAUUUCAAUAUUGCAGUAAAGAAAAUUGUAUCUGAAAUGCUACCCCUAUCCUAAAAUUCAAUAUGUUAUGGAUUUAUGCAUUAUCCUUAUUUGUUAUCUCUUUGAGGAUGAAAGUAAAAAAUCGCUAAUAAGUUAUGUUGAAAGAGUAUCAUGAUACAUAAAUAUAAGAAGAAUCAUACCACUUAUUGAAAAUUAGAUUUUGAUUGAAUUUUCAUUUUAAAAAUUUAAAAUUAGUAUCAAAACAACCCAAAGUAUAUAUAACUUUUAAAUCUAAAGGAUAAUACCUUAAAUAAACCCUGAGUUAUUAUUUUUUUUUUUAAUGCGAGACCUAAACUAAAAAAAUUAUAAAUUGGGUUCAAGGGCUAUUCAAGGCAUUGACCCUAAAUAUUAUUAGAAUCGCAAUGGCUUUAGUUUUGGUUGUAGGGUGAAAAAACUAAAUCCAAUUAAAUAAUUAAGCAAGCAGAAGCAUAAUUAAAUAAUCGAUCAAUCACAUAAAAGUUAAUAAUUCAAUGUGGUUAGCCCAAUUGGCCUACAUCCAUUGAUAAGAAAAAUAUUCAUUACUUGUAAAGAAUUACAAAUAAAUCAAUAAAUUAACCUCACUCACAAUCAACAUCCUUAGAUCCACCAAUUCUCCUCCAGUUCUAUAAAAUAUUCUCAAUCCAAACAAAUACAUAUGCGUGUAUAUCCAUACUUAUAUAAACCAUUUCAAUUCUCAUCCAGUCUACCUAAAUAAAUAAUCAUCAUACUUAUGUGACCCUUUUAUUCUCUUGUAGUCCACUCAAACAUACACACUCGUAAAGACCAUCUUAAUCUUGUCUAUUCCUAUGAGGUGUCUAUCUAAUAAAAUCUUACAACUUUAUUGUUCUCAUAUCUAACCUUAUAGAGACUCAAUUAUUUAUAAGCAUAGAAACUUACCAAUCAAGAAUCCAUUUUGCUCUUAGAAUUCUUCUUCUACAAGUCUUUUGAUUUAUCAAAAAUUAUUUAGUCAAUCUCAAAUAAAUCUUUUAUGAGAUUUGAGUCACUAUUUUUAAUAAUCUUCACUUUGACUCAUAUUCCAAUAAAUCAUCAAUCUUCAUGUUAGACAUGCUUAGCUCCAAUUGCAAUGUAAGUUUUGUAAUAAUCUUCUUUGUGUGUCUUCAUAUUUCAUACAAACAAAUAUCUCAAAAUACAAACUUGAACUCCUCUAUUGAAUUAAGCUCUUCCAGACUUGUUUUUUUUCCAAAUGACAUAAGUAGUUAGAAUCAUGAAAGCUUAGAUUCUAGUUGUUAGGCAAAAAAGCACAAAUUCAAUUAAACAAUUAAGCCAGCGAAAGUAUAAUUAAACAAUUAAUCAAUCAUAUAAAAGACAAUAAUUUAACAUAGUUAAGCCUAAUUGUCCUAUGUUCAUGGAUAAAAAAAAAUUCACUAACUGUAGAGAAUUAUAAAAAAAAUUAAUAAAUCAAUUGCACUCAUAAUUAAUACCCAUGAAUCCUCUCAUUGCUCCUCUUAAAAUUCUUCUCCUAUAAAUUUGCUUGUUCAUCAAACAAUAUCUAUUCAAUUUCAAACAAAUUUUUUUAUAAAUUUUGUGUAACUAUUCUCAACAAAUAUAAUAAAAUUCACUAUAUUAGUCUAUUUUGCUUUUAGAUUAAAUUUGAACUCUUUAUCUUUACAGGUGAAAUUCAUAAUUUACAUAUUAUAAAAAUCAUUCCACUUACUUUAAAAUUUUAAAGUGGCUUGAAUUAUAUAUUUCGAUUUCGAAAGGGAUUUGAGUUCAAAACUAUAAAAAAGUUGUAAUUUGAUCAAAAUGAAUUCUCGCAACUGUCUUGUUUUAUCCGAAGAAAGAGUAUCUAAAAAAAUGGGUCAUCGUCAAGAUUAGAUUUGAUCAUUUUAAAUACAAUAUAAUGAUAUAAUUAAAAAGUAUAAAAAAUAUUUUAAAAUUUUAAUACAAAUCAUGUAUAAAUCUGAUAAAAUUAAAAUAUAUAUUUUAUAUUUAAAAUAUCCACACAAAUUAUAUCAUAAUAGUUUUUAUAUUUUGCUUAAUUUAAACACAGUGCACAAAUUAUCAUAUGAAUCGACUACUCCCUUUGGCAUGUGUCGAUAGCUAACUUUCUUGACUUUUAAAAGUUUGCAGUCUCCGGUCUCAUUUCCACACAAAGUUUCAAUGUUUUUUAUUAGAGAAAUUGGAAUUGCUUGCUGUGUGGGGUAAACUUAGGUCCUUUGUAGUGUACAAAUCAUAGCCUUCCCCACUUUAUUGGAACUUAUAUUCUUUUUCCACUGCAUAAUAAACGGACUAGCACCAACUUAACUUUUGUGGACUAUGAUUGAUGCAGUCGAUAGUAGAAAAAUUCUACACCAUAUUACAUGUAAAUUGAUUUUCUCCGAACCCUCCAAUAAAGAUUUUGACUCCACUCUUAGUGACGAUUAUAAUUGAUGCGACAUGUUUGGCCUUAACCGUGCCGUGUACCCCAUAUGGAUGAAGGGGUGUGUCAUCUUUGAAAGCUAUGUAAUAAUCAUUAUAUAUAUAUAUAUAUAUAUAUAUAUAGAACCAUGAUUGGUGCAAUCCAAAAGAGAAAAUUCUAUUCCAUAUUGCAAUCCAUGAUUGGUGCAAUCAAUAAUAGAAAAAUUCUACACCUUAUUGCACGUAAAUUGAUUUUAUCCGAACCCUCCAAUAAAGUUUUUGACUCUACUCUUAGUCAAGAUUAUAAUUGAUGUAACUCAAAAGAAGCAACAUUCUAUCCCGUAUUGCAAGCAAUUCUUUAUCCAUUGGCAUAUUAUGGGAUGACUGAAAAACUAAGACCUCGUUUGGAUUCAAACAAAAGUCAUGUGACGACAUGUUUGGCCUCAACCGUGCCACGUACCCCAUUUGAAUGAAGGGGUGUGUCAUCUUUAAAGCUAUGUAAUAAUCAUUAUAUCUAUACAGAACCAUGAUUGGUGCAAUCCAUAAGAGAAAAUUCUAGCCCAUAUUUCAAUCCAUGAUUGAUGCAAUUGAUAAUAAAAAAAUUGAUUUUAUCCGAACCUUCCACUCUUAGUCAAGAUUAUAAUUGAUAUAACACAAAAGGAGCAAAAUUCUAUACCAUAUUGCAAGCAAUUCUUUAUCCAUUUGGAUUUUGGGAAUGGUGUAUUUAAUAUAUAAAAAAUUUUGUCAAAUAGAUCAAAAAAGAUAAAUAAUAAUAAUAAUAAUAAAAUGGAUGUUUACAUGAUUGAUGCAAUUGAUAGUAAAAAAAUUUUACACUAUAUUACACGCAAAUUGAUUUUCUCCGAACCUUCCAAUAAAGUUUUUGAUUCCACUCUUAGUCACAAUUAUAAUUGACGUAACACAAAAGGAGCAAAAUUCUAUGCCAUAUUGCAAGCAAUUCUUUAUCCAUUUGGACAUUGAGAAUGCUGCAUUUAAUGCAUAAAGAAUUUUGUCAAACAAACAAAAAACAAAUAAUAAUAAUAAUAAUAAUAAUAAUAAUAAAAAUAAAAAUAAUAAAAUGGAUGUUUACAUGAUUGAUGCAAUCAAUAGUAAAAAAAUUUUACACCAUAUUAAACGCAAAUUGAUUUUCUCCGAACCCUCCAAUAAAGUUUUUGAUUUCACUCUUAGUCACGAUUAUAAUUGAUGUAACACAAAAGGAGCAAAAUUAUGUCCCACAUUGCAAGCAAUUCUUUAUCUAUUUGACAGACAGUGGCAUACUAUGGGAUGACUGACAAACUAAGACCUCGUUUGGAUUCAAACAAAAGUUAUGUCACGAUAUGUUUGGCCUCAACCGUGCCAUGUACCCCAUUCGGAUGAAGAGGUGUGGCAUCUUUGAACCUUUUAUUAGCAAAUAUUUUGAUUUUCAAACAUUAAAAUUGACACUGCAACCAAGCAGAUGAAUAAAAAAUAAAAUCACAAUAUAUUUUCGAAAGGAAUUAAAAAAGGCAAACUAACUCAUCUAACUGUACUCUUACCAUUUGUUUUAAAAAAAAAAAAAAAAGGCAAAAUGAAAUAUCAAUGGAGUAAAAUCUUCAUUCCCUGCCUCGCAAGGACGAGCAACAUUUAAUUGGAAUGCGGUCAACGACCCCACUCAACUCUAGAAAAGUCAUAUUUUUACGUAUAAAUAAUUUUUUUUCGUAAUUUUCUUAUUCGACGCCACAAAAAUCGAACAAAAAACUUGAAAUAAGGGGGUCAAAUAAGUAAAAAUUUUAACUUUUUUUUAUGAUGUCAAUGAGUAGUAUAUAUGUAAAAAAAUCUUUAUAAUAAUAUUAAUAUAAAUAUGAUCAUACAUUAAUAAGCUUUAAAAUGUAAUAUGUGGCAUACAAUAAAAUUGAACUUUAAUAACUCGUUCUACAUUUUAUCAUCUUGAACUUUAGUUCUUUAAUUUCCUCUUAUUCAAAAGCCCAAUUUGAAUUUUUUGAAAAAAAAAAAUGGUAUGUUUGAGUCAAUGCUUGAUAUUUAUCUUGAAUUAAUUUUUUCUUUUGGCUUGAUUGAGGUUUAAAUUGUGAGUUGAUUAAAACUUAAGUUGUUGAAUUUUGUAGAUUAUAGGAUUUUUUAUUUUGGGAUAAAUUUGUCUUGUGAUUUAAUGCAAUUUUUUUUUUAAAGUUCAAACAAAAAUAAUGUCUGUAACGUCUCAUUAAGUUUGCUAUUUUUUGCAAUCCCUCUAUUUUGUGGCCACAAUGAACCAUUAAACCAGUGAAUCUAAGUCACACCUCAAUUUCAGUGGAUAAUAUAAGAAAAAACCGAAACUACAAAGAAGUGGCCAUUAUAUCACGUUGCAAUGACUAUUUAAAUCCUUUAAAACCGACUUUACCUGAUGCCAAUUCAGAGUCUUAAAAGGGAUAGGACAUCAUUUUUGGAAUGAAUUAAUUAUUAGUAUGGUUUUUGAACUAAAUUAAAUUGUAUAAAUUGAUAUUUAAACUAAAAAAUUGUAUAAUGUACUCAAAAUCUUUCAAAAUUUGUGGUAAAUCGCAUAUUAGUUCCAACAAAAGGUUUCAAGUUCAAACUUUCUCUGCUCAUCAUACCUAAGAAAAUCCACAAGCACAUAAAUCCUAGAAAGAAUAUUAUAGGCACCCUGCAACCUCUUUCUUUUUCUUUUUUUUUUUUAACUGCACUGCAAGCGGGCAACAAAAAAGUGAUUGUGAGAGACCCCAAUUCUUUCCUCACCAUCAACCUGAGGGGGAUUGUGACUGGCUUAAAAGUGACCAAAUCAUUGCAUCAUACAAAUUUAGAUUCAUAAUCGAACCGAUGGAAAUUAUGGCUGCAGUUUUAUUUACUCCACUAUAAGCAAAUAGCAUAACCACACUCCCUUUUCGGUUGGAAUUGCACUGAAAAACUAUUAGGGCUCCUUUGAAAGCAACAGAAGCACUAGAGAGGUGCAGUUCCUAUGGGAGUAUGUGCUCACUGGAGCUUUUUUGCCAAAUGAUGGAAUGGUGCAUUUGUUGAAAUGCCCGUCAUCAACUGCCCAUUUUUGGUCAAGUUGAUGACAGGCCAUAGAUUUUAUUUUGCUUUUCAAUUUUGUCUUUUAAAUUAUAUUGUAAUAUAAAAAUAUCCUUAUGAUUUUUUUUAAUUUUGAUUUUUAUUUAAAAAUCAUAAAAUAUUUUUUGUUAAUUUAAUUUCAUAAAUAAAUUUUAUUACUUAUUAAUAAAUUUUAUUAUUUAUUAGCAUUUUAUAUAAUAAAUAAAAUUUAUAAAUAUUAAAUAAUUUAAAAUAUUAAUUAUAUAUAUAUUUUAAUUUAAUGUCUUUAAUAAUCAAUUUAUCUUCUUAUUACAAUUCAUCUCAUUAUCACUAUUGUUUUUGCAUCCAAACAUAUAUCCUAUAACUGAUUUUAAUCUCACCACUAUAAUAACCAAUCUUACCUUCACCACUGUUUUUAAUCUCACUAAAACCAAUCUCACUGUUCAUUCAAAUAGGACCUUAGUUGUAUUCAUGGAGUACACACUUUUUUUUUUUUAAAUAGUAGGCAAACCUCCAUGAAACAAGUUGAUGAUUAAAUGCUGCAAAGAUGUUAAAUUGGAAUAUAAAGCUAUGGAGCUUGCCACAAGGUUAGCUAUGGAUGCAGAAUAUUUUUUCAAGGUAUCCACCUUAAUAUUUAUAAAAUAUUAAAUUAAUAAUGGAUUUAUCAAUUUUGUCGAUUGAAAAGGUGUCUGGGAAAAAUUUUGGCGAUGUACUAAAGAAAAUUUUCCUUCAAAUUUUCUUUUUUUCCAAUUCUUUGAGUUGUCCAUGAAAAAUUUUUGUGGGAUGAUUUUAGGAAAAAAUUUCCUUCAUAUUUGUAGAUCCUUUUUUUUUAUUCAAGAUGCGUUAAUCCCCUUGAUUCGGGUUCUCUUUGGAGAUCAUCAAGCCUCGAUAAGGUUCAUGCUUGGGUUUCUUACAUAUAUAUUUCUGUUUGGGUUUGGGCUCAAUAAUUGUUUAAUUGGAUGCGAGUUUUGGCCCAACUAAUGUAAUGUAUUAUUAUUAUUUAUCAUUUACUAUUAUUAUUAUUGUUAUUAUUAUUAUUAUUAUUAUUAUUAUCAUUAUUAUUAUGUUUAUUUAUUUUUACUAAAAAAGGAAAAACGUAAAGGAAAAGGAAAUGAAGGCAAGUUUUUGGUCAACCCCGAAAUCAUGCUCACAAGGAGCUGGAAUUGGAAACAAAAGGCCCUAGAUCAAAUCACUUUUUCAAAGACAAAAAAAUCAAUAGAUUUCACGUGGUAAAUGGGAUUAAAUUUGGCAAGAUUUUGUUAUUCUUGAAACCCUAAUCUAAUCUGACAGAUUUCUUAAAUAAAGUUGUGGGAUUUGAUUAGGAAAAUCCCUAAUUUUUCUUUAAAAAGGAGCCGUAUAAACGUGUUUCCAACCUAAUAUUUUAGCAUACAACAUGGUAAUUGACAGCGUUUGUAAUGACAGGCAGCUAAUUGAGCUUUGAACCUGUUCUCUUAGGUGAAGGUAACGGCAUUCCAUAUGAUGUUUUCACUUAAGUUGCUUGAUUUAUGGAAUGUGUAAUUUAGGUCAAUGGAAGGAGGCUACAAGAUAUUUUGAUCAAAUGGUAGCUACCAAUAUCACACCAAAUGCUGUCACUUAUAAUGUAUUAGUUUAUACACUUUGUUAAAAGAUAUUGUUGAAAAAUUGGUGUGGAAAAGAGUGAAGCCAGCUGUUGUCACAUACUGUUACUCACUGAUAGAAGGAUGUCGUUUGCAAAAGUAAAUGGAUGAAGCUAGGUAAAAGAAUAUUUGUGUUGAUGAUUGACGAGGAUUACUUAAAAUUUGUCUGAUGAAAUUUAUUGAUGUUAUUUUAUUCAAUUUUUAAUUUAAAGUUAUGAAUUUAUUUAAUUAAAAUUAUUACAGAAUGAUAAAUAUUAUUGACAGAAAUUAUUAGAAGUUAUUGCAUUAUCAACAGAAAAUUUCAUUUAUAAUUAUCGAUAAAAUGUUAUUACCAAUUAGCUUGUAGACAAAAUAUUCCUUCAAUAACUGUUUUACUGACCAAAAAUUCCAUUAGAAAAAUCCUAGUUUCAGAUAGCGAGAAUUAUGCAUCUAAUACAUUUUGUUCCGAUGUCAUGAGAGAUGUAAAUUGCGAGAGUAAGAGAUUAAAUGAGACAGUGAAACUCUUUUCUGAUUAGUUAUACUGCUUUGCUAAAUGGGCUAUGUCGAAAAGGACAUAUUCACGAGGCACCGACAUUAGUUAAAGCAAUGCAUAACUGCGGGGUGGAGCCCAAUAUUUUUCACUGUUCAGUCCUAAUUGAUAGCUUUUGUGAAUCCGGUUGCCUUGAUGAGGCAAGGGUCAAAACUUAAGAUCAUUAUACCUUGGUUGUACUGAAGUGCGUAUAUCUAUACUUGGUUUUUGUCAAAAUUCUUGGCUUUGUUUGCUCAAAAUGGAUUGUGCCAUGAGAUCAAGAGCUAGGAGGUCAAGUUUAAAUGGCAUUUGAUUAAGUGCCUUGAAUAGUUUGUUUGGAUAAUGUCAUGAAUUAUUUUUAAAUUAUAUUAAAAUAUUUAAUAUAAUAUUUAAAUUUUAAAAAUUUAAUAUUAUUUAAAUUAUAAAUAUAUUAAUUAAUAUAAUAUUUAUCUUUAUCGUCGUUUGUUUUAAAUAAUAAAUAUAAAUAUCUUCCUAAAUGUGAUUAUAAAAUUGGAGGGCUACUCUAAAAUUUAUUUAUUUCGUUGGCUUUAUUCAAAAUUUGAAGGAAAAUAGGAAUGGCGUGUCCUGGCUUUAUCAUUUACUCUUUUUUUUUUGUUUAAAUUUUUAUGAUUGUUUCAAAAUUAUAUUUUUUUAAUUUCUAAAAUUUUUAUUUUAAAAUUAUUAUUAUUAUUUAUUUUUCUUUAAAAAUAAAAAAUUAAUUUUAAUAUUAAAUAUAUUAAAAUUAAUUUUUUUUAAAAAAAUUCCGUAAAAUCAAUCAUAAUUAUUCUCCGGAGGGAGAUGAUAAUGAAAUGGAAUACAAUCAGCUCCGUGUUUUAAUUCAUUGAAUCAAUCAUCAAUCUGCUGCACCGUGCUGCUAUUAGCACUUGCUGUUAUGUACUGUUUAUGUGACAUGUUUUUCCCUUGUUAAGGAUCCAACCAACAUUGUGCCGAUUAUGACUCACUGUCACUUGUAAUUAUCUAUACCCUAUAUAAAAACUAUAGCCUUACUAAAAAAUUUGUUCUCAUAUUAUUUUUUUUAAAAUUUUUCCUAAUUUUAAAUAAAGGAUAAUAUUUCAUUGAAGCUAGAGGUGAGAAAAUUAGUUCGGCUUGGGUUAUAUUGAGUUGGUUCUUUUUGCAUAAAAAAUGAAUUAUUUUAUAUUUGAAUUAAGUUGAGUAUAGAUUAAAAAAUAAUUGUAUUAUUAUUGAGUUCAAAUCAAAUCGAGUUUAAAUCAAAAACUUUGAAUUAUUUUAAUUUUGAGGUAUUUCAGGUUAAUUGGAUUAAUUAAGAUUUAGAUUAAUUGUGUUUAAAUUAUUUAGAUUUCGGAUUUGACUCUCAAACUAUUGAGGUUUAACGUUUUAAUUAUUUAUAUCUAAUUUGUUAACUUUUAAAAUUAAAAAAUAUAAUUAAAUCUAUAAAAAUUAAAAUAUCAAAAUUAAAUGAUUCAAAGAUAAUUCGUUAAUAAUGAGAAAUUAUGUAUGUUUAAUAUAAAAUUAAUUUUAUUCAUAAUAAAAAUUUAUUAAUGACUUUUAAUUUAUUAAUAUUCAAUAUUUUAUGCAUUCACCAUUAAUUUAUUAUUAGUAAUUUAUAUUGACAUUUUAUAAUCAUACUCGUCCACAUUAUUCAUUAUAUAUGAAUUAAAAAUGAGCAAAUCACUAAAUAAUUUCAAGAAACUUAACUUUCAAAUCAUCAUUAAAAGUACAUAAUAAAAAAAGUACUAUUAAUAUUGAUUACUUAAUUAACGUAAUGAUAUAAUAUUAAAACUUAAAACAAUUCAAAAAUAUCAAAGUUACUUAGACAUAAUAUUAAUAUAAUUUAAAAAAUUGAACUUUUGAAUAGUAUAUAGUACAUAUGUGUAAUAAAAAAUAAAGCUGCUAUAAUUAUCUACUGUUAUUUGAUAUUAGCAUGGUAUAACAUGACUUGACUCGGUUGGCUUGACUUUAAUUUUUAACUUUUAAGUUGUAACAUUUUAUUUUGAGUUUUAAUUUUAUAUAUAAUAAAAAUAAUAUAAAUAUAAUUGUGUACAUAUUACAAACUAUUGUUUUAUAUUUUUUUAAAAAAAUUUUAUUCAUAAAAGACUUAAGAAGUUUAUUUGUUUAAUAGAACUAACCUUAAUAUUACUUAUAUAUUAUAAGAUUAUUAUAUUUAAUAAUUAAAAUAAAUAUAAUAAUAUUAUUAUACCUCUAAUUUGUAUUUUAUUAAAAUUAAUAUUUCAUUGUUUAUAUUUAUUACUUAUUAAUAAAUUAAUAAAAUUUGAUAUAUUAAAUUAAAUUAAUUAAUUGAUCACAUUUGUCUUUUGAUAUUUUCUUUCCGUCUAAAAAUAAAAAAUGUAUAAUUUCAACAAAAUAAAAAAAAAUCUUCCAAUUUAAUUCUAACAAUAUAUUUAAAGUCAAGCCAUUUCAAGUGCGAGUUAAUUUGAGUUUAAAUUAACGUUGAAUUAUAAUGCAGUAAUUGCAGAUAGUAUAUCUCAUGAUUUAAUUCUUUGGCCAAAAACAAUAAAGAGCCAGUAGCAAAUAAUUAAGUAAUACAGAAUUUACUUUAAAAUUUUAAAACAUAGAGAUGUCUCCCUUCAUCUCCUCUUAUUCUGAACCAAGUAGAGCAUGCAUGUCCUUGGAAAUCAUCCUCUCGUUCUAUCAUAACCGUUAUCCCUUCGCAUAAUCCCAUAGGACUAAAAGAAUGGAGACAUUACUAAACUAGCACAAGGCACCACAGUUUGGAUUUACAUCUCCAUAGAAAUGAAUAUUUCCAUCACAUUAUGUUGUAAACUGUGCAAUGCUCCCCUCAGUGCUAUUAAAGAAUGAUGGUCAGCUCCAUAGCCACCAUGGUGAAAAGUGCAACCCAUUCUUAAUAUCAGUUGCUACUCCCCCCAAUGUACAAAUGUCCAAUGCCAGCCUUUUUUUGAAAAGCUUUGGAACAAAUAAGACCUUAUAUAGAAGCUGGUAGAUGGUUCAUGCAGUUAUCGUCAAAAAGUGACAUCUAGUAGGUUUGUAAUUUGAAUUUUAGUACUUACAACUCCUUCUUUUAUCCCAAAUGCAAAAAAAUAAGACCUUAUAUGCACAGUGGCUGGGACUUGAACACUAGAAUUGAAACUAUAGGAUAGGUUUUUGAGGUGACCAUCUGGGAUGUCUAGGGAAGAAUCCAUGGUUUUGAAAACCCCUGGAUAGACAUAGAAUCAGGAUGAUAAUAACUUGUGUUUUUGAUAAUUUAGUUUUUGCAACACUCAAAAUUCAGUUUUCUACCCUUCUGACAAGCAAAUAAUGUUUUUCCUCUUCAAACAGUUUCUCUGGUCUUUCAUUCAGUAUAAAAAACUAACUCAAAAAAAAUAAAUUAUUUCAUACUUUUUCAUUUUAUCUUGAAUCUCCAUCAUAUUACAUGUAGGGCUAAAAGGAUAAUGCAUUAGUGGACUUGAUCAAACCAAAAAAGCAGUGGCUACAGCUCAUACAAAAUAAGAUCAUAACGUUAAAAUCCCAAAAUGGAAGAUAGAUGCAUAUCCUUCUAUUCUUUUUCAGCUCACAAUAUUCUUCAUGAAUUUCAAAAGGCAGGAAAAGAAAAAUUAUCACUGAGAGUAAGGCUUUAAAAAAUGAUACGAAAAUUCACUUAUUCAGCUUAUGUACAAUCAAUCUUGAAAGGCCUAGCUUUUCCUCAUGUAUCUUUAAUAAGGAAGGAUCCUCAUAAAGGGUCACAAACCUUUGGAGGAACUCCUUUUUGGUAAAAUAAAAAAAAAAAAGAUAAACACUAAUUUUCUCAAUCAAACGUUUGGAUAGCAAAGAUUAAAGAACUUAACACCCAAGGACAAUUCUCCUCUCUAAGCUAUAUGGAAAAAGUUGCGGAAGGUUUGCUAUACAUCAAGAUUUCCAGUCCAUUUGUGUUGACAUAAAAAAAAAAAAAAAUUCAUUGCUGCUUUAGUCUUGUCCUUAGAAAGCAUCAGUGCAAUAUGGAUAUUUGUCAAAAGCUAAGCAAUGCAUUCGUCAGACCAAUCCCAUUGUUUAAAAACAUUGGAUUUCCUUUCCCUUUUCUUUUUCUUUCUUUUAUUGUCCUGUUGGUUUUUUCGACUGGUAAGCAAAUCUGGCCUGCGGCAUUUUAGACAGAGGUAAGGAACAUAAACCAACCUUGCCCAACGCCAAUUCGGAGCUCUUAAAGGGGAAAUGGACAAUUUUUGGAAUGAAUUAAUUAGUAGUAUGGUUCUUGAACUAUGUAUUAAAACGUACAAAUUGAUUUAUAAACUAAAAAGUUGUAUAAUGUACCCACAAACUUUCAAAAUGUGUACUAAGUCACAUAUUAGUUCCACAAAAUGUUUUUUUAUAUAAAAGUUUAGAUUGAAAAGAGGUUUUCCCAUUCCAGAGUCAGGGGAUUUAUAUUGGAUUUAAGGAUCGUCUAUCAAGUGUCAUAACAUCCAAGUUCAUAAAAUUAUUGCUAGAUACAACUAAAAAAGUUACCAUCAAUAUUUUUUGACUAAGUGUGAUUGACCACCUAAGUAAAUUUAUUCUUUAUAAGGAUGUCCCAAGCCUGAUUAAGGGUCUCUAAAAGAAUAGGUUUUGAUCUAAUAAUCAAAACAUGGUUCAAUAGUUCGAUUACAUAUGAAGAGUGUUAUAGCACUCUCACAAUACCCAUCCUAAGAUGGUACCAUUUAAUUUUAAAUUAUCUUAAGGAUUUUUGUUCUAAUGGUCUUUUAUUAAACUGUAAUGUUUAAAUAUUAGAAAUUAUUUCUAAGAUUUCUUCAUUGAUCUAAUAGGAUUCUUAAAAAUAUUUUAUCACCUCAAGAUUAUUUAAAAAUCUCAUUUAUUUUUUUAAAGAGGCUUCGUCAUAAAAAAAACCUUAAUCAUUUAUUUUUUUAUUUUGCUUUUAUUGAAAAUAUGUCUAAUUCUUCCACCAUUUGGAUCAAAAUUAAAAAUGUCUCACUUAAAAAUUUCCUAAGUAAUUAUUCAUUUGUGAAUAUUAAAAAUUUCAUUAUCAAAAUUUAUUCUUUUUAUUUUAGGUAAAUUUUCUAUACCUAAAUUUUUAUUGUAUUGAGAUGUAUCUUUCACCAUUCUGAAAACAUUUAGAAAUAUAAUUUUUUACCUAAAGAUUUCUAAGAAAAUCAACCAUUGUUGAUUUUUUAAAAUUUUAUCAUCAAAAUUUUUUUUUAUCAUUUCCAAAACUUCUCAUUUUUAUCCUUUUUGUUUACUGCAUUUAGAAAUAUAAUUAUUAUAAUUUUAUCUAAUUUUAUCACUAUUAUGAUAAAUUUUAGAAAUAAGUAUCAUCUAGAGUUUCUCAUCUAGAAAUUUUUUAUAGGAUCAACCAUUCUUGACCUCUUAGAAUACCAACAUCAAUUUUAUUUUAUUAUUUUUCUUUUUUUUAGGAUUAUUUUUGUUAUUUCUAAAAUUUUCUAGUUUUUUUAAUUUUAUAUUUUAUAUUUUUUAUGAUUUUAAGGCAAGUAUCAAUAUUGUUACUGAAAAUUUUAUCUAAAUCUCCAUUUUGAAGAUAUUAAAUAGAAACUUCUCAUUUAAAAAAAUUCUAGAAAUUCAACCAUUCUUGAUUUCUAGAAUUUCACUAUUUGGUAAUUUUCAUUUAUUUUUUAGGAUUAUAUUCUUUAUUCUUGAUUUUCAUAAAUUAUCUUUAAUGACAUUUUCAUAUAAAUUGUCCACCAUUCUAGAGAAUUUAAAAGAAAUUAAAAUUUUCUAAAAAUCAACCAUUAUUGAUUUUUAAAAUUUCAUCAUUAGGAUAAUUGCCAUUUAUUUUAGAGUUUUUAUUUCAUUUUUUUAUUUAUUGUUCAAUUGACAAGAAAUGAAAUUUAUUUUUUUAGGUUUUCAACUAAAAUUUCCACAAUUCUAGAGAAUUUAGAAGAAUUUGCUUAUCUAAAAAUUUCUAAAAAGUCAACUCCGUGGAAAAAAUUUUCACUUAUAAUUAAAGUCUGAAUUAAAUUAUAUGAUUAUAAAAAGAAUUUUAUAUAUCUUCUAAAUUUAUAUGAAAUACAUGACUCUGAUAAUAUUUUAAUUAAAGAAAACUAAAAAUAUAAAUAUAUUUUAUUGUACCAUAUUUUAGUUUUUUAAGUGUGAAGCAACUAAACAAUUUUCUAGUUUAAGAAUGAAUGCUCGAUAAAAAGUGUAACAAAGUAAAUAAAUGAUAAAAAAAAUGAACCUGAAAAUUAAUUAAGGAAAAAAAAGGAUGAAAAUCUGAUAUUUGAGUUUACAACUCAAAUCCAAAGCAGGCCCACUUAAGCUAAAAAGUGGGCUUGGAGUUCUUGGCUUCAAAUUGUGGGGUCUUGAAUCUAGACUCGACGAUUCAUGUUUAUGUAUUGUGUCUUAUAUCAUAUUUGAUAUAUGUAAUAAUAUAAAUUAUUAAAAUAUAAAUAUGAUAUGAAUUAUAAAAUAUAUUUAAAUUUUAAACAUAAAUACAACAUGUUUAAUAUACAUAAUAAUAUAAAUAUACAUAAAUAAUAUAAAUAUACAUGAAUAGAUAUGAUUAACACGAAUAUAUAUAAAAUAUGACUAAAAUAAUAAAUAACUAUAAAUUAUCUAUUAUUUACAACUUAAUAAAUUUGGCAUAUUAAUAAUAUAUAAAAAUACUUACACAUUAAAAAAAUUUAAUACUCAUUUAAUAUGUAUUUAAUAUAUAUAUUUUUAAUUUUAAUUUAUAUUAAAUAACUAUAUUAAUUUUUGUAUCAAAUUCAAAAUAAUAAACUAUUAAAGAUUAAAGAAUAAAAUAAUAAUGUAUAGGACUAAUAUUAAUAUUUAUAUUGUAUUUAUAUUAUUAAUAGAAAAAAUAAUUUUAUAAUAAUUAUUAAAAGUAUCAUAAUUAGAUGUUUAAAAUAAUUUUUAUAUGAAAUUAGUUAACUAAUUAAGAUCAUAAUUAAAAGAUUAAAAUUAAAUUAAUUUUUAUGUGUUUAUAUUAAAUUAAAAUAAAUAUAAAAAAUGUGUUAAACAUCUUAAAUUUAUACUUUUGCAACAAGAUUAAAUUAAACAUAAUAUUUGUGUCGUGUCAUAUAUUUAAACAAGUUAACACAAACGACAUGAAUUGUAUCAUAUUGAAAUUCAAGUCGACAUAAAUAAACAUGAAACAUUUUUAAAAAAAUAAAUAUAUGAUUUUUUAUAUCAUUUUUAUAUUAUAUCCUAUCUAAAAUUUUUAGGUCUACUUAAUCCUCCUCAAGUUACACUCAAAAUUUAAACUUUUUGGACUUGGACUAGAUCUUCAAGUUCUAGACCAUUUUUACAAGAUCCUUCCCCUUUCUUUAUUCUUUAUUGCAAAAGAAUAAAGCCCAACUUCUCAUUUCAGCAACACAGCUUUCAAUUUUUGCUGUUGUAUCUUUCUUUUUCUCGAUAAGUCAUCGCUUCGCUUCCUUUUUAUUUUCGAAAUCUCACUAGCACUAUGCAAACACAAAGACCAUUCUACCACUUCUUGGAAUUCCUAAUCCCAACUACUUGGAUCGUUGAAAAACUCCUCCAAAUCCUUCCCCUUUCUUUUACCGUUUAAAAGAAUUCCAAAAGGUGCCUAAAUAAAAGUGAAUCCCAAACCAAAAACCCACUGCUAGAAGAAAAUCUUUCAUUUUCGUCUUUCGAUUGUUGAUCUAUCUCUGUGGCUAUUUUUUAUGCUUGACUCUAGUUAUUGUGUUUUGAUUAUUUGUUGGAUUUUGUGUUUUGAUUAUUUGUUGGAUUUGGAUUAAUGGUUACUAUUUGGGUGAGGAAAAGUAGUGGUAGGCUUCGGUGUUUGGUUUAGGCAGUGGAUGACCGAUGGUGGUGACUGGCAAUUGGGAGCUAGGCCGAACAAAAUGGGGAUUUGUUUCUGAUUUCCCUUGUGUUUCCCUCUGAUUUUCUCUGCUGAUUUCUUUCUCUGUGAAAUUUUUUUUUUUUUUAGUUGUUGUGAAUUGAAAGUUUUUUUUUAGGUAAGAUCAUGAGAGUUUCAACUCACUUAGGAUUAGAUUUCUUUAAAAUUAAAGAUUAACCCAAAGUAAUUCUAAUCUCAAACUGCUUCUAAUGAAGCUAGCACCUUCACCGAGAUAACAUUAUUUUAAACUUCCAAAUUAUCAAUUUUUUAAAAGAUGAUCAGAUAAUUAAGGAUAAAAUCAAGAUAAAAUACUAUAAUAAUAAGGAUAAAAUAAAUAAGGAUAAAAAGAAUACAAAAAAAUAAAAUAAAAAUCUAAAAUUUAAAAUUCAAUAAUUGGAUUCCAAACUAGUUGAAGUCCAACUGAUUUGGGUCUCGGGCGAAAUAAAAUAUUUAUCUCAAGGAAAAUUGCUCGUAAUAAAAUACAAACCCAAGCUUUAUAAGAGAAAUAUUCAAAUCUUCUCAAGUCAACCAACUUUUGUCUCUCACAUUGUCUGAAAAUCUCAGUCUCUCUCACAUUGUCUUCCUAUAUGGUUGGCCUCAAAUCAAUUGUAGAUGGUUCAAUUUCUCCUCGUUUGCCCUUCUUUUCUAUUCUUUUCCUACUUCAUUUUUCUUUUUUCUUUUUCCUUUUUUUCUUUUCUUUGUUGGCAAUAAGUAUAUUUCACCACCACCACCACCAACAAAUGGCUUGGUCGAUGAGUGCAAGAAGUCAGCCAUCGCUGUCCUCCUUUGAGGCUACCAUUGUAGUGACCAAAAUCUCCACCCUCCUUUGAGACUACCAUUGUAGCAACCAAAAUUCUCAUCCAAAAGAAAGGUAAUGCUAAUUAUGAGGUUUUUAUAUUACCUUAUUUUGGGUUGAUUUUUAGAUUUUGAUUUGUGUGAAAUUGUUGAUAUAUUUACAGUGAAAAAAGAACAAAAAUAAAAUCUUCAAAAUGUAAAUUUUCAAAAUGCAAAACCACAAACAAAAGCUUUGAAUAUUGGUAAAGUUGUUCUAAGUUUGAUAUUUCUUUUAUCAAAAUUUUUGGAUUUGAUAUUAGAUUUAAAGAAAUAUUGAAUUUCAAAGGUUUGGAUUAGUUAUGCAUUUGAUAUUUUUGAUUUAGGAUUUAGGCUUGUAAACUGAGCGUAGCCAUGCUAGUUUUUUCCAACUUCUAACUACAAUUUUGAGUUUCAAACACCUACCAAAUAGUUUCUUCUUUAAGAGAAUGAGCCUUAAGCCAAGCAAUCCUAAUUGAGCCCGUUUUAGACAAUAAAGUCCAAAAUAUUGGAUGAUACAAACUUUAUUCAAACUGAAAAGAUCUUUAAAUAUACUUUAGAUUUAUGGAAUAUUUCCCCAUCAUUUUAGUUCGAUUUAAUGAUUAGUGAAAUAUGAAAAGUUUUCUAAAUAAAAUUGAUUUGUUUUUUUUUUUCUUUCAAAAUUUUAUUUCCAAAGGCAUUAGUUAAUAAAAAUAUAAUUUUAUUUUCAAAAGUUUAUUUUCAAAUAAUUAACUAAAUAAAAUAUGAAAAAAAUUGGAAUUAAUAUAUAUAAUUCGUAUAACUUUUUCUUUUCCUACCUAUUUUUAAUUCAAGUCAAUAGUUAAUAGGAUAUCAAAAGUCUUUUUGAAUAAAAUUUAUUUCUAUUUUUUUAAACGUUUUUUUCAAAUCAUUAAUUAAAAAGUACAAAAAAUUUACAGUAUUUUCAAAUCAUUAAUUUUAUGCCUUUUCCUCUCCCUACCAUUUAUGAAAACAAAAAAAAAAAAAUAGUGAUAUUUCAUGAACAAUUUUUAUUUUAAACCAAAUGACGACAUUUGACAUUUUUCCUUUCAAAGGUUUGUUUUCAAUUUAUUAAAUAAUUCUAUAGAAAAUUAAUAAUUGACAAAUGAAAACAUGAGGAAAUUUAUAGAAAAAUGAUUAGCAAUUGUUGUGCACCAAAACAUUUUAGCAAAAGAAACUAAUUCCUCUAAAAUGAGAAAAAAAUGACGACUUUCUGAAUACAAAAAUAUAAACAAUAUAUUCAUAUGUUCUCACUUGAGCUUACUUAUAUAUUUUAGCUACUCACCAUUUAUUGAAUAAAAAAAUAUUGACACCUUUCAUAGAAUAAAAGUAACAGAAAACCAUUGGCAUGAAGUUACAUAAACUUUGCAUAGUUUAUUUCAAAAUAUGAUUCAAUAAAACUAUAGAUUCCAAAUAAAACAUAUCACUCUAAUGUUCCUCAAUAGAAAAAAAAAAAAAUCAUUGCAACAAAGAUGAUCGGCAUUUCUCAAGAAGGAAACAGCACACGCAUUUGGCCAUGAUUUCAUGAACUUUUAGACAUUCCACGUCAUUGGAAGGUGAACUUCCAAUGCAGCAAACAACACCAUAAAUCUCUCAUCAAAGCUUUAUGCAAUCACAAUAAGAAAGAAACAGCACAAUCUAUUCCACGCUGAAUUCAUAAGUUACAUACUGCAAUAAAGUUACAAAACUUGCAUCAGUUCCCUUUUUUUUUCUUUUUUUUUUUUUGAACAAGAAGCUUGCGUUCAUAUUUUGAAAAUCAAUUUCUAACAUAAUCAAGUGAAAGAAAAAAAGAUGAACUUCAAGAAGCUUGCACCUACCUCUAUUAUUAUUCUUUUUCAUCAUACUUAUUAAANNNNNNNNNNNNNNNNNNNNNNNNNNNNNNNNNNNNNNNNNNNNNNNNNNNNNNNNNNNNNNNNNNNNNNNNNNNNNNNNNNNNNNNNNNNNNNNNNNNNNNNNNNNNNNNNNNNNNNNNNNNNNNNNNNNNNNNNNNNNNNNNNNNNNNNNNNNNNNNNNNNNNNNNNNNNNNNNNNNNNNNNNNNNNNNNNNNNNNNNNNNNNNNNNNNNNNNNNNNNNNNNNNNNNNNNNNNNNNNNNNNNNNNNNNNNNNNNNNNNNNNNNNNNNNNNNNNNNNNNNNNNNNNNNNNNNNNNNNNNNNNNNNNNNNNNNNNNNNNNNNNNNNNNNNNNNNNNNNNNNNNNNNNNNNNNNNNNNNNNNNNNNNNNNNNNNNNNNNNNNNNNNNNNNNNNNNNNNNNNNNNNNNNNNNNNNNNNNNNNNNNNNNNNNNNNNNNNNNNNNNNNNNNNNNNNNNNNNNNNNNNNNNNNNNNNNNNNNNNNNNNNNNNNNNNNNNNNNNNNNNNNNNNNNNNNNNNNNNNNNNNNNNNNNNNNNNNNNNNNNNNNNNNNNNNNNNNNNNNNNNNNNNNNNNNNNNNNNNNNNNNNNNNNNNNNNNNNNNNNNNNNNNNNNNNNNNNNNNNNNNNNNNNNNNNNNNNNNNNNNNNNNNNNNNNNNNNNNNNNNNNNNNNNNNNNNNNNNNNNNNNNNNNNNNNNNNNNNNNNNNNNNNNNNNNNNNNNNNNNNNNNNNNNNNNNNNNNNNNNNNNNNNNNNNNNNNNNNNNNNNNNNNNNNNNNNNNNNNNNNNNNNNNNNNNNNNNNNNNNNNNNNNNNNNNNNNNNNNNNNNNNNNNNNNNNNNNNNNNNNNNNNNNNNNNNNNNNNNNNNNNNNNNNNNNNNNNNNNNNNNNNNNNNNNNNNNNNNNNNNNNNNNNNNNNNNNNNNNNNNNNNNNNNNNNNNNNNNNNNNNNNNNNNNNNNNNNNNNNNNNNNNNNNNNNNNNNNNNNNNNNNNNNNNNNNNNNNNNNNGAUAGUAAAAAAAUUUUUACACUAUAUUACACGCAAAUUGAUUUUCUCCGAACCUUCCAAUAAAGUUUUUGAUUCCACUCUUAGUCACGAUUAUAAUUGAUGUAACACAAAAGGAGCAAAAUUCUAUCCCAUAUUGCAAGCAAUUCUUUAUCCAUUUGGACUUUAGGAAAGGUGCAUUUAAUGCAUCAAAAAUUUUGUCAAACAAACAAAAAAUAAUAAUAAUAAAAAAAAAUAAUAAAAUGGGUGUUUACAGGAUUGAUGCAAUCGAUAGUAAAAAAAUUUUACACCAUAUUACACGCAAAUUGAUUUUCUCCGAACCCUCCAAUAAGGUUUUUGAUUCCACUCUUAGUCACGAUUAUAAUUGAUGUAACACAAAAGGAGCAAAAUUAUGUCCCAUAUUGCAAGCAAUUCUUUAUCUAUUUGACAGACAGUGGCAUACUAUGGGAUGACUGACAAACUAAGACCUCGUUUGGAUUCAAACAAAAGUCAUGUCACGAUAUGUUUGGCCUCAACCGUGCCAUGUACCCCAUUCGGAAGAAGUGGUGUGGCAUCUUUAGAACCUUUUAUUAGCAAAUAUUUUGAUUUUCAAACAUUAAUAUUGACACUGCAACGCAGCAGAUGAAUAAAAAAUAAAAUCACAAUAUAUUUUCAAAAAGAAUUAAUAAAAGGCAAACUAACACAUCUAACUGUACUCUUACCAUUUGUUUUUUUUUUUUUUAAAGGCAAAAUGAAAUAUCAAUGGAGUAAAAUCUUCAUUCCCUGCCUCGCAAGGACGAGCAACAUUUAAUUGGAAUGCGGUCAACGACCCCACUCAACUCUAGAAAAGUCAUAUUUUUACGUAUAAAUAAUUUUUUUUCGUAAUUUUCUUAUUCGACGCCACAAAAAUCGAACAAAAAACUUGAAAUAAGGGGGUCAAAUAAGUAAAAAUUUUAACUUUUUUUUAUGAUGUCAAUGAGUAGUAUAUAUGUAAAAAAAUCUUUAUAAUAAUAUUAAUAUAAAUAUGAUCAUACAUUAAUAAGCUUUAAAAUGUAAUAUGUGGCAUACAAUAAAAUUGAACUUUAAUAACUCGUUCUACAUUUUAUCAUCUUGAACUUUAGUUCUUUAAUUUCCUCUUAUUCAAAAGCCCAAUUUGAAUUUUUUGAAAAAAAAAAAUGGUAUGUUUGAGUCAAUGCUUGAUAUUUAUCUUGAAUUAAUUUUUUCUUUUGGCUUGAUUGAGGUUUAAAUUGUGAGUUGAUUAAAACUUAAGUUGUUGAAUUUUGUAGAUUAUAGGAUUUUUUAUUUUGGGAUAAAUUUGUCUUGUGAUUUAAUGCAAUUUUUUUUUUAAAGUUCAAACAAAAAUAAUGUCUGUAACGUCUCAUUAAGUUUGCUAUUUUUUGCAAUCCCUCUAUUUUGUGGCCACAAUGAACCAUUAAACCAGUGAAUCUAAGUCACACCUCAAUUUCAGUGGAUAAUAUAAGAAAAAACCGAAACUACAAAGAAGUGGCCAUUAUAUCACGUUGCAAUGACUAUUUAAAUCCUUUAAAACCGACUUUACCUGAUGCCAAUUCAGAGUCUUAAAAGGGAUAGGACAUCAUUUUUGGAAUGAAUUAAUUAUUAGUAUGGUUUUUGAACUAAAUUAAAUUGUAUAAAUUGAUAUUUAAACUAAAAAAUUGUAUAAUGUACUCAAAAUCUUUCAAAAUUUGUGGUAAAUCGCAUAUUAGUUCCAACAAAAGGUUUCAAGUUCAAACUUUCUCUGCUCAUCAUACCUAAGAAAAUCCACAAGCACAUAAAUCCUAGAAAGAAUAUUAUAGGCACCCUGCAACCUCUUUCUUUUUCUUUUUUUUUUUUAACUACACUGCAAGCGGGCAACAAAAAAGUGAUUGUGAGAGACCCCAAUUCUUUCCUCACCAUCAACCUGAGGGGAUUGUGACUGGCUUAAAAGUGACCAAAUCAUUGCAUCAUACAAAUUUAGAUUCAUAAUCGAACCGAUGGAAAUUAUGGCUGCAGUUUUAUUUACUCCACUAUAAGCAAAUAGCAUAACCACAUUCCCUUUUCGGUUGGAAUUGCACUGAAAAACUAUUAGGGCUCCUUUGAAAGCAACAGAAGCACUAGAGAGGUGCAGUUCCUAUGGGAGUAUGUGCUCACUGGAGCUUUUUUGCCAAAUGAUGGAAUGGUGCAUUUGUUGAAAUGCCCGUCAUCAACUGCCCAUUUUUGGUCAAGUUGAUGACAGGCCAUAGAUUUUAUUUUGCUUUUCAAUUUUGUCUUUUAAAUUAUAUUGUAAUAUAAAAAAUAUCCUUAUGAUUUUUUUUAAUUUUGAUUUUUAUUUAAAAAUCAUAAAAUAUUUUUUGUUAAUUUAAUUUCAUAAAUAAAUUUUAUUACUUAUUAAUAAAUUUUAUUAUUUAUUAGCAUUUUUAUAUAAUAAAUAAAAUUUAUAAAUAUUAAAUAAUUUAAAAUAUUAAUUAUAUAUAUAUUUUAAUUUAAUGUCUUUAAUAAUCAAUUUAUCUUCUUAUUACAAUUCAUCUCAUUAUCACUAUUGUUUUUGCAUCCAAACAUAUAUCCUAUAACUGAUUUUAAUCUCACCACUAUAAUAACCAAUCUUACCUUCACCACUGUUUUUAAUCUCACUAAAACCAAUCUCACUGUUCAUUCAAAUAGGACCUUAGUUGUAUUCAUGGAGUACACACUUUUUUUUUUUAAAUAGUAGGCAAACCUCCAUGAAACAAGUUGAUGAUUAAAUGCUGCAAGAUGUUAAAUUGGAAUAUAAAGCUAUGGAGCUUGCCAACAAGGUUAGCUAUGGAUGCAGAAUAUUUUUUCAAGGUAUCCACUUAUAUUUAUAAAUAUAAAUUAAUAAUGGAUUUAUCAAUUUUGUCGAUGAAAAAGGUGUCUGGGAAAAAUUUUGGGAUGUCUAAAGAAAAUUUUCCUUCAAAUUUUCUUUUUUUCCAAUCUUUGAGUUGUCCAUGAAAAAUUUUUGUGGGUGUUUAGGAAAAAAUUUUCCUUCAUAUUUGUAGAUCCUUUUUUUUUUCAAGAUGCGAUUAAUCCCUUGAUUCGGGUCUCUUUGAGAUCAUCAAGCCUCGAAAGAGUUCAUGCUUGGGUUUCUUACAUAUUAUUUUGUUUGGGUUUUGGGCUCAGUAAUUGUUAAUUGGAUGCGAGUUUUGGCCCAACUAAUGUUGUAUUAUUAUUAUUAUUAUCAUUAUUACUAUUAUUAUUAUUGUUAUUAUUAUUAUUAUUAUUAUUAUUAUCAUUAUUAUUAUGUUUAUUUAUUUUUACUAAAAAAGGAAAAACGUAAAGGAAAAGGAAAUGAAGGCAAGUUUUUGGUCAACCCCGAAAUCAUGCUCACAAGGAGCUGGAAUUGGAAACAAAAGGCCCUAGAUCAAAUCACUUUUUCAAAGACAAAAAAAUCAAUAGAUUUCACGUGGUAAAUGGGAUUAAAUUUGGCAAGAUUUUGUUAUUCUUGAAACCCUAAUCUAAUCUGACAGAUUUCUUAAAUAAAGUUGUGGGAUUUGAUUAGGAAAAUCCCUAAUUUUUCUUUAAAAAGGAGCCGUAUAAACGUGUUUCCAACCUAAUAUUUUAGCAUACAACAUGGUAAUUGACAGCGUUUGUAAUGACAGGCAGCUAAUUGAGCUUUGAACCUGUUCUCUUAGGUGAAGGUAACGGCAUUCCAUAUGAUGUUUUCACUUAAGUUGCUUGAUUUAUGGAAUGUGUAAUUUAGGUCAAUGGAAGGAGGCUACAAGAUAUUUUGAUCAAAUGGUAGCUACCAAUAUCACACCAAAUGCUGUCACUUAUAAUGUAUUAGUUUAUACACUUUGUUAAAAGAUAUUGUUGAAAAAUUGGUGUGGAAAAGAGUGAAGCCAGCUGUUGUCACAUACUGUUACUCACUGAUAGAAGGAUGUCGUUUGCAAAAGUAAAUGGAUGAAGCUAGGUAAAAGAAUAUUUGUGUUGAUGAUUGACGAGGAUUACUUAAAAUUUGUCUGAUGAAAUUUAUUGAUGUUAUUUUAUUCAAUUUUUAAUUUAAAGUUAUGAAUUUAUUUAAUUAAAAUUAUUACAGAAUGAUAAAUAUUAUUGACAGAAAUUAUUAGAAGUUAUUGCAUUAUCAACAGAAAAUUUCAUUUAUAAUUAUCGAUAAAAUGUUAUUACCAAUUAGCUUGUAGACAAAAUAUUCCUUCAAUAACUGUUUUACUGACCAAAAAUUCCAUUAGAAAAAUCCUAGUUUCAGAUAGCGAGAAUUAUGCAUCUAAUACAUUUUGUUCCGAUGUCAUGAGAGAUGUAAAUUGCGAGAGUAAGAGAUUAAAUGAGACAGUGAAACUCUUUUCUGAUUAGUUAUACUGCUUUGCUAAAUGGGCUAUGUCGAAAAGGACAUAUUCACGAGGCACCGACAUUAGUUAAAGCAAUGCAUAACUGCGGGGUGGAGCCCAAUAUUUUUCACUGUUCAGUCCUAAUUGAUAGCUUUUGUGAAUCCGGUUGCCUUGAUGAGGCAAGGGUCAAAACUUAAGAUCAUUAUACCUUGGUUGUACUGAAGUGCGUAUAUCUAUACUUGGUUUUUGUCAAAAUUCUUGGCUUUGUUUGCUCAAAAUGGAUUGUGCCAUGAGAUCAAGAGCUAGGAGGUCAAGUUUAAAUGGCAUUUGAUUAAGUGCCUUGAAUAGUUUGUUUGGAUAAUGUCAUGAAUUAUUUUUAAAUUAUAUUAAAAUAUUUAAUAUAAUAUUUAAAUUUUAAAAAAUUUUAAUAUUAUUUAAAUUAUAAAUAUAUUAAUUAAUAUAAUAUUUAUCUUUAUCGUCGUUUGUUUUAAAUAAUAAAUAUAAAUAUCUUCCUAAAUGUGAUUAUAAAAUUGGAGGGCUACUCUAAAAUUUAUUUAUUUUCGUUGGCUUUAUUCAAAAUUUGAAGGAAAAUAGGAAUGGCGUGUCCUGGCUUUAUCAUUUACUCUUUUUUUUUUUGUUUAAAUUUUUUAUGAUUGUUUCAAAAUUAUAUUUUUUUAAUUUCUAAAAUUUUUUAUUUUAAAAUUAUUUAUUAUUAUUUAUUUUUCUUUAAAAAUAAAAAAUUAAUUUUAAUAUUAAAUAUAUUAAAAUUAAUUUUUUUAAAAAAUUCCGUAAAAAUCAAUCAUAAUUAUUCUCCGGAGGGAGAUGAUAAUGAAUGGAAUACAAUCAAGCUCGUGUUUUAAUUCAUUGAUCAAUCAUCAAUCUGCUGCACGUGCUCUAUUAGCACUUGUCUUUUAUGUACUGUUUAUGUGACAUGUUUUCCCUUGUUAAGGAUCCAACCAACAUUGUGCCGAUUAUGACUCACUGUCACUUGUAAUUAUCUAUACCCUAUAUAAAAACUGUCGUAACGUCUAGAUCCGGGGAUCUAUCGCUAGACAUUGACUUUCAGGGAGUCGCCACCAAUCUUUUUUAUCUAGGUGCGAUUGGCCACCUAAGGAAUCUGUCCUUUUAGGGAACGCCUCAGUUUAAGAGUCCCUAAAAGAAUAGGUUCAGGUCUACUAACCAGAACAGGGUUCGGGAGUUCGGUUACGUGUGAGGAAGGUUGUAGCACCCUCACAACGCCCAUCAAAAGAUGGUACCAGCUUAAAUUUGUGUUAUCCAAAAGCCUUAAAAUUUUACCAAGUAAUUAGUUGUUGGAAAUGAUUCUCAAUUGACUCUAAUACUUUUAGCAGAAAAUUGAGAAAAUUCCCUCACCUCAGGAGUAUGCAAGAAAAACUACUGUUUCACUUGCAGGGGCUCCGUCGUCGGAUUUAUUAAAGAAAAAUCAAAAUCAUCCAGUUAAUUAUUGGAAAUUAUUCUCAAUUAACUCUAAUACUUUUAGCAGAAAAUUGAGAAAAUUCCCUCACCUCAAGAGUAUGCAAGAAAAACUACUGUUUCACUUGCAGAGGCUCCGUCGUCGGAUUAAUUAAAGAAAAAAAAAUCAAAAUCAGCCAAGUAAUUAAUUAUCGGAAAUUAUUCUCAAUUAACUCUAAUACUUUUAGCAGAAAAUUGAGAAAAUUCCCUCACCUCAAGAGUAUGCAAGAAAAACUACUGUUUCACUUGCAGAGGCUCCGUCGUCGGAUUAAUUAAAGAAAAAAAUCAAAAUCAGCCAAGUAAUUAAUUAUCGAAAAUUAUUCUCAAUUGACUCUAAUACUUUUAGCAGAAAAUUGAGAAAAUUCCCUCACCUCAGGAGUAUGCAAGAAAAACUACUGUUUUUACUUGUAGAGGCUCCGUCGUCGGAUUAAUAAAAAAAAAAAAUCAAAAUCAAAGUCAAAUAAAAAAAAUUCAAAAAAAAAAAAAAAAAAAAAAAAAAACCUGGAGCGGCUCGGCUAUCGGCGCGGCUCGGCUCGGCUCGGCUCAAGGAAGAAAAACCGGCUCAGGGGAGCGGCUUGGAGGCUCGGCUCGGCUCGGCUCGGCUUGGAGGAGGGAAGCACGCGCGGGUCGACGCUCGGGUCGGGUCGGGUUCGGCAAAACGCGCGGAUCCCCUGGUUAACUUAAAGCCAAAACGACGUCGUUUUGGGAGGGUAUAAAAGGCACCUUCCUCCGUUUUUCAGCAGACCGUUCCUCCCCUCUCUCUCUCUUCUUCCCUUCUUCUCUGCCUUCUCUCUAGAAUUUGAAGAACGCCGGUACCGGAUUCUGGAAAUUUAGCCGGAAUCUGGGAAUUUCGCCAGAAAUUGGUCGGAAGUUGGCCGGAUGGUCGCCGGUUUCUGGGAUUCUCCGCCGGAAACUGGGUCUGUCGCCGGAAACUUCAAAGUUCGCCGGAAUUGUUGCCGGAAAAUUCAAAAGUCGCCGGAAUUUUCGCCGGAAUCUGGAAAUUUCCCAGAAAUUUCCAGAAAAUUUUUUCGCCAAAUUUUUCUAAAAAAUUUUUCUCACUGCCAGAACACUCCUAAACUUUUCCUUAGCUCUCUAAACACCCCUAUUCUCUCAAUCAGUAGCUUUUGCUUCUGUUUUCUCUCUGUGUCUGAACUGUUCCAGGAGGUGCUUUAUAUAAGGAUUGAUCAGGAGUUUCUGAUCAAUCCCAAUUCCUCCUUGGACGGGAAUUCAAUCUUUGAAUCCCACUGGACUCUUCUGAUUGAAUUCCCACUUCCAAUGGGAUUCUUCAGCCUUCAAUCUCAGCCCUCAAAAAUCAAAAUAAAAAAAAAACUAGAUAAUUAGAAAAGAAAAUCAAAAAUUAAAAAUAAUAUCAGAUAAUUCGGGAAAAAGAAGAUAGAAUUAACAGAUGAAAAAAAAAAAUAAUAACAAAUAAAAUAAGAUAAACCCAAAAAUAUAUUACACAAAAAAAUAAUAAUAAUAUAUAACUGUAUAAAUAAAAUACAUAUAAAUCUAAUCUGAAUAAAAAUAAAUAAAUAAAUAAAGAUAUACAUAAUAAUAAUAAUAAUAAUAAUAAUAAUAAUAGAAUACAUAAAAUACAAAAGAAGAAAAAAAUAUACAGGAUUGAAAUGGGCCUUACCCAUUUGGGUCAGGCCCAAUUGAUCUGGGCCCGGACCCAAUUGGGUGUCUACAGCUGCCCCUCUUUGCACAUUUUCUGUGAAACAGAAAUUGCGCAAAGACGUAGACACCCAAUCAAGACUCAACUCAACAUUUUUAUUUUUGAUUUUUUUUUGUUUUUAUUUUUUUUUUGAUUUUUUUGAUUUUUUUGUUUUUGUUUUUUUGUUUUUUUUUUGUUUUUUUUUUUGGCCGAAGCUCCUCUAAACAGAGACUCAACGACUUUUGAAAGUAAAUUGCUCCUCUAAACAGAGGCAACGGACUUUGGAAAGUAAAUUGCUCCUCUCAACAGAGGCACCACGACUUUGGAAAAAUAAAUUGCUCCUCUCAACAGAGGCACCACGACUUUGAAAAGUAAAUUGCUCCUCUAAACAGAGGCACCACGACUUUGGAAAAAUAAAUUGCUCCUCUCAACAGAGGCACCACGACUUUGAAAAGUAAAUUGCUCCUCUAAACAGAGGCAACGAACUUUGAAAAGUAAAUUGCUCCUCUAAGCAGAGGUACCACGACUUUGAAAAGUAAAUUGCUCCUCUAAACAGAGGCAACGAACUUUGAAAAGUAAAUUGCUCCUCUAAACAGAGGUACCACGACUUUGAAAAGUAAAUUGCUCCUCUAAACAGAGGCAACGAACUUUGAAAAGUAAAUUGCUCCUCUAAACAGAGGUACCACGACUUUGGAAAAGUAAAUUGCUCCUCUAAACAGAGGCAACGAACUUUGAAAAGUAAAUUGCUCCUCUCAACAGAGGCAACGAACUUUGAAAAAAUAAAUUGCUCCUCUAAACAGAGGUACCACGACUUUGAAAAGUAAAUUGCUCCUCUCAACAGAGGUACCACGACUUUGGAAAAAUAAAUUGCUCCUCUAAACAGAGGUACCACGACUUUGAAAAGUAAAUUGCUCCUCUCAACAGAGGCAACGAACUUUGAAAAGUAAAUUGCUCCUCUAAACAGAGGCACCACGACUUUGGAAAAAUAAAUUGCUCCUCUAAACAGAGGCACCACGACUUUUGAAAAGUAAAUUGCUCCUCUAAACAGAGGCAACAAACUUGGAAAAGUAAAUACUCCUAGACAAUCAUGUCCGGAGGAGUUGAAAGUUGUGUUUGAAGGGAUUUCAAGAGAUUAUGCCCAAAGGUCAUAUAAAUCAACCCUGAUACCAAGAGACAUCCUAUUUCGAGGAUUAGGAACUUACCUGACAAGUUUCUUCUCAAACUUGCAAAGUCUUUUUAUAUCUGUCUUUUUCAUGUGGGAUGUUGGAACACCCCUGCUUCUUGAAUUUGUACACUAUACUUUCCUGAAAGUAGUGUAUGCUAUGCAAAUGCAUAUGAAUUUCAAUGCAUGCUAUGCAAAUGUUGGUCAAUUAAUUCCUGUUCAAUGUAUGGUACUCAAGUUUCUCAAGCUCUUUUUUCUUUCUUGGGUGUCAAGCCCUUUGAUUCCUCAAGGAUCCAAUUGCACUGCUCUUCUAAGAUCGAACCAGUGUAGCUCUUAAUUGUCUCUUCCACUCAGAUUCUUCCUUGUUCUGUUUUUCAAUACUUUGGAAUAAGCUUCAUCAAUCGAUCAUCACUUGACCAUCAUUCAAUGAAUUUCUCAGCAAUAACAAAUUUUCAAAACAAGUUUCAUCCACCAUCAUUGGGUCAUUACUCUGUCUCAGCAUUAACCAUUCAAAAACAAACUCUGUCCACUGAUUGUCUUCAUCAUUCAAUCAUAACUUGCAAGUCAUAUCGAUCAAUUCAUCACUUUUCCAGAUUUGCCCCAUCAUCUCUUUUAGGUUUCUACCAUUUUUUCAUCAUCUUAGAUUUCUUUUCAAAUGAAUGUAAGAUUCUUUUAAGUACAUGUUCAUUCAUUCAUUAUCAUUUCAAAUUUUGACAAAUACAAUGCAAUCAAGCAUUUUCUCAAUUCAUUCUAAGGGUGUAACAAUAAGAGGACAGAAAGUGAAUUAUGGUAAAGAUAAUCAAUGGAGAUUUAUUUUGGUAGAAAAUAAAUGGGAAAGGAAAUAAAUUGGAUGUCAUUGAGGUAAAUGGUAUGUCCAAAUGAUGAAUAUUCAGACCAUUUUCAACAUUAAUCUAGGAUUCUUUUUCAAAAACUCAUUCAUUUACUGUUGAAGUCAUCUUGAGCUUGGCGAACUCUGCCCCAGUCUUUGAGGAAUCUUCAGAUGUCUUUGAUCUUUCAUUCAUGUGAGCCAUUUGACCUGGAUCUUUUUUUUUUUUUUUUUGGUACCAAAAUCACCCUUUCAGGUUUUCAAUUUGGAUCUCUUUUUUCAUUUUUCAUUUUUUCAUUUUUUCUUCUUUCUUUCUUUUUCUUUUUCUUUUUUUUUCAUCAUCUUUUUUUUCUCAUUCUUCACCUAUUAUUGACAUCCUUCAUACAUCAAACUUUUAAGGUAAUGUAGCAUGAUUCCAUUGCUUCAUCAUGAGCAUGCCUUCGCUCAACAUAUGAUCAUUCAAGUUGGGUAUUCACACUUAAUCCAAAUGGACUUUCCAAGGUUGUAAUGUAGGCUAAGGUGAAGGGUCAUAAAAAAAAUGGAUAUAAUAGGCUCAAAACAUGUAUUAAAAAGGUUCAAGACCGAAGGAUCAUUUGAUGCAGCUUGGCAUUUUGCCCCACAUCGUUUCACUAUUUUUUCUUUCCUCACACAAAGGAUUCUCAUUACUUUGCCCCAAGUCAUGUGUGGCAUUUAUUUUUUUCUUUUGCUUUUCUUUCUCUUUUCAUCUUUGAGACCUUUUGUGGUUUUUUUUUUUUUUUUUUUUUUUUUUUUUCAAAAAUUACCCUCCAGUGUAGAGGGUGAUCCUUGGUUGGGGUUCUUCAAAAAAAUGAUAAGCUCAAAGGGGUAGCAAUAAAUGGUUUUUCAAAUGGUAAAAGAAAGAUGGCCAUUUUUCAUCUCAAUUGUGAAUACCUUUCUUGAACAUCAUCUAUUGAACAGAGCUCAUGAACUUGUAUAAAAUAUUGCACACCUUCAAGAUAUAUCUCUUUCAUCUCUGGUGAUGGCUUACCCUCUUUAUUUUCGCUCAAAUCAUCUCCUCUGUGAAUGAGUUCUCAAAAUUAAAUUCCAGAAUUAUUGUUAUCAUUGUCUAAAUAUUCAUCAUCUGAAAUUUAAGAAUGGGAAUGUGAAGUUAUGGAAGGUAACAAAGCAUGGAGUAAUGGUCAAGUGAAAGAGAAAAAUGUAAUGAAAUGCACUGACUUGCCUUUAUUAAAAUGAUAACAAGUGAAGUCAUAUUGCAAAAAAAAUCUAACAUUGUUUGAAAAAAAUCCUAAAAUGACAGAAGAAACCUUCAAACAGCCUUAUCUCCAUUGAUAUCUUGCCCCUCAAUUCAUUGUGAAUCUCCGGAUCCUUUCUGUUCUUGACUUUCGCUCAGUACACUAACAUUAGGUGCUGUUGCUUUUCCUUGAUCAAAACUUACCAUUCCAUCAUUGAUCAACCGUUGCACCUUAUACUUUAAAGCAGUGCAAUUUUCAGUAGAAUGGCCAGUAAUUCCAUAAUGGUAGUCACAACGGGCUGUAGGAUCAUACCACUUUGGAUAGGGUGGUUUAAGUGGUUCCACAUGGCUGGGGGCAAUCAAGUGGCUAUUAUAGAGUUCUCGAUAUAACUCUGUAUAAGUCAUAGGGAUUGGAUCAAAUACAAGUUUUCUCGAGUAGUCCGUUUUUCUCGUGAGCCACUUGUUGGAUGAGUAGGACGAAUUUGGGUUCUUACAGGAGCUUGAAUGUUAAGGCGGUAAGUGGAUGAUAAGAUGGUUGUGGAGCUAGCUGGUAUGGGUAGGAUGAGGCAUUAUUCACAGCAGGAUAGCAUGGAGAGUAACCUUGGGAUGGAUAGGGUUGAUAACCCCGAAUUGUUGUCUAUCAAAGCUCACAGCUUGAGCUUCAGCUUCUUUCUUUUCUGAUGUCUUCUUGGUUUCUCCUCCUCUCACUUGCCAUUUUUUAUGGCACUUUCAAUAAUUUCUCCAGAGAUUACCAUGUCAGCAAAAUUCUUUGUUGCAUUCCCUAUCAUCUUUUCAUAAUAGGGAGGCUUUAAAGUGCUAACAAACAGCACUGUGGUCUCUUUCUCUGUCAGUGGAGGUUGUACCUGUGAAGCAAUAUCCCUCCAUCUCUGGGCGUAUUCCUUUAAAAGACUCAUUUGACUUUUUCUCCAGGUUUUGCAAAGAUAAACGAUCAGGGGCCAAAUAGAUGAUGUGGUCCGAUAUUGGCUGAUGAAAGUCAUGAGCCAUAUCGGCUCCAGGAGCGAAUGUGGGUUUCUAUCCAACUGAACGAUUACCAACCUGCAGCAGAAACCAGUAAGACUAUCCUGAAAGACAUGCAAUCAAGAAGUUUUUCACAUGGUGCAGUGAGCUGCCAUCUUCACUGCACAUACAUUGGUGAUGUGGAGUUUUAGGGCACUUUUGUACCGUCAUAUUUUUCAAAUUUCGGUACUUUGAAUUUAUAAGGGGAUAACCACAUCAGGAACUAAGGCAGAGCCCAGCACAUUCGACUGACCCAUAAACAGCUAAAUCUUCCACCAGCCUUAGCGCUCUUGCUCUAACAUGACUAAUCUUGGGAACUUUCCUCAGCACUCUACUCUUCAUCUUUUCCUUCUCCUUCUCUUUUAAAUUCAAUCUAAGAUCAGGAAUUGGUUCUGCUGCCUUUUCAGUGAAGACAGGAUUUAUAUAGCUAUUAUACUGCCCUGGGUUGAAAGCUGAUGGCAUUCCAGGAUAGGCGAAAUGUUGUGGCGGGACCUCUUGGGCAGACUGGGCUUGAGAUGGGCCAAAACUGGAGGGUACAAAGGGUCAGCUACCUCUUGUAAAUGGGGAACUUGUUGGCUUUGUAUUUCCUUCAACCCCUUUCCCCUUAUUCAUGUUAUUGAGGGCCUCCAAAAUUUUGCUAAGUUCAUUUUCAAUCUUCUCCUGAGCUUUUUUCCUAGCUUUUCAAAUCUAUGAGAACUUUCCUCCUCCAUUUGCCUUGCUCUGGAUCUUGUGUUGUAUGGAUGAGCAAGGUUUUCGCUAGAUGGACGCUAUCCUCGGACCUUGAGUACCAUACUCAUGAAUUAGAAAUGUUAUGCUGUGCCUUAUGUAUGAUGCUUUGAUACACAAAUGAAAUGUACAUUUUUUUGAAUGAAAUCUAGCAUGAAAUGAAUGCAAAUGAUUGUGUUGAAACAUGAUCAUGAAAAGAAUACAGAUACAUACAAUCAGACAAACAACAUAGUUAGUUUCAUGAAUGAAAUGAAAGUAAUGCUGAUGCAUAACAUUACAAAAAAUAAUACACAAAGUUAAGCAAUCAAAAUGAUUAGAUAAACACCUUUUUUGUGUCCUAAUUUCAGGGUAUAUCUAUCAUUGGGUAGAAAGGACUCUAUCCUAGGGUUAGGCACUCUUAAGGUUCACUACAUGUGGUUUUAAAGUCAGAGUCUAAAGGUCCUCAAAUUGUUCCUUACAUCCUUGUCCAUCACAGACUAGUAAGGCACCCUAAUCCUCACCCAUUACAGGCUACAAGCGGAAAAGGUUCAAUUUGAGUGGGAGUAUUUCGCUAGCCACUACGGAGGCAUUAGACCUCACGAAAGCAAUAGGUACUUUACUCCCUCCUAAAGGGACGGAGCUCGGGUAUAGAGCUCAUGUUAUGCAUAUGCACAUGAAUGACAUAAUUAACCAAGCAAAUACACAUAAAUGAAUAAUAACACAUAUAUACAAGAAUGGUUCAAUUUUAUUAGCUUUUGGAUAACACAAAUUAUUUGCUGGCCUGACUCUCAAAGUCCCCAGCGGAGUCGCCAAGCUGUCGUAACGUCUAGAUCCGGGGAUCUAUCGCUAGACAUUGACUUUCAGGGAGUCGCCACCAAUCUUUUUUAUCUAGGUGCGAUUGGCCACCUAAGGAAUCUGUCCUUUUAGGGAACGCCUCAGUUAAGAGUCCCUAAAAGAAUAGGUUCAGGUCUACUAACCAGAACAGGGUUCGGGAGUUCGGUUACGUGUGAGGAAGGUUGUAGCACCCUCACAACGCCCAUCAAAAGAUGGUACCAGCUUGAAAUUUGUGUUAUCCAAAAGCCUUAAAAUUUUACCAAGUAAUUAGUUGUUGGAAAUGAUUCUCAAUUGACUCUAAUACUUUUAGCAGAAAAUUGAGAAAAUUCCCUCACCUCAGGAGUAUGCAAGAAAACUACUGUUUCACUUGCAGGGGCUCCGUCGUCGGAUUAUUAAAGAAAAAUCAAAAUCAAUCCAGUUAAUUAUUGGAAAUUAUUCUCAAUUAACUCUAAUACUUUUAGCAGAAAAUUGAGAAAAUUCCCUCACCUCAAGAGUAUGCGAGAAAAACCACUGUUUUCACUUGCAGAGGCUCCGUCGUCGGAUUAUUUAAAGAAAAAAAUCAAAAUCAGCCAAGUAAUUAAUUAUCGAAAAUUAUUCUCAUAUUAACUCUAAUACUUUAGCAGAAAAUUGAGAAAAUUCCCUCACCUCAAGAGUAUGCAAGAAAAACUACUGUUUCACUUACAGAGGCUCGUCGUCGGAUUAAUUAAAGAAAAAAAUCAAAAUCAGCCAAGUAAUUAAUUAUCGGAAAUUAUUCUCAAUUGACUCUAAUACUUUUAGCAGAAAAUUGAGAAAAUUCCUCACCUCAGGAGUAUGCAAGAAAACUACUGUUUUUACUUGUAGAGGCUCCGUCGUCGGAUUAAUUAAAGAAAAAAAAAUCAAGAUCAAAAUCAAAGUCAAAUAAAAAAAAUUCAAAAAUUCAAAAAAAAAAAAAAAAAAAAAAAACCUGGAGCGGCUCGGAUCGCGGCUCGGAUCGCGGCUCGGCUUGGUGCGGCUCGGCUCGGCUCGACUCGGAGGGGCUGAAACGCGCGGGUCAGAAAGCGGGUCGACGCUUCGGGUCGGGUCGGGUUCGGCAAAACGCGCGGAUCCUCUUAUUAACUUAAAGCCAAAACGACGUCGUUUUGGGAGGGUAUAAAAGGCACCUUCCUCCGUUUUUCAGCAGACCGUUCCUCCCCUCUCUCUCUCUUCUUCCCUUCUUCUCUGCCUUCUCUCUAGAAUUUGAAGAACGCCGGUGCCGGAUUCUGGAAAUUUCGCCGGAAUCUGGGAAUUUCGCCGGAAAUUGGCCGGAAGUUGGCCGGAUGGUCGCCGGUUUCUGGGAUUCUCCGCCAAAAACUGGGUCUGUCGCCGGAAACUUCAAAGUUCACCGGAAUUGUCGCCGGAAAAUUCAAAAGUCGCCGGAAUUUUCACCGGAAUCUGGAAAUUUCCCAGAAAUUUCCAGAAAAUUUUUUCGCCAAAUUUUUCUAAAAAAUUUUUCUCACUGCCAGAACACUCCUAAACUUUUCCUUAGCUCUCUAAACACCCCUAUUCUCUCAAUCAGUAGCUUUUGCUUCUGUUUUCUGUGUUUCUGAACUGUUCCAGGAGGUGCUUUAUAUAGGGAUUGAUCAGGAGUUUCUGAUCAAUCCCAAUUCCUCCUUGGACGGGAAUUCAAUCUUUGAAUCCAAUUGGACUCUCUUGAUUGAAUUCCCAUUCCCGGUAGGAUUCUUCAGCUUCAAUCUUAGCCCUCCAAAAUCAAAAAUAAAAAAAAUACUAGAUAAUAAUCAGAUAAAUCAAAAGAUAUUUAAAAAAAAAAUCUGAUAAUCAGGAAAAAUCAGAACAGAUAAUUAAAAAUAAUAAUAAUAAUAAUAAUAAUAAUAAUAAAAUAAGAUAAACCCAAGUAUAUAUUACAAAAAAAAAAAUAAUAAUAAUAAUAAAUAUAUAACUAUAUACAUAUAAAUCUAAUCUAAUAAAAAAAUAAAUAAAUAUAUACAUAAUAAUAAUAAUAAUAAAAUACAUAAAAUACAAAAGAAGAAAAAGAAAAAAAAAUACAGGAUUGAAUUGGGCCUUACCCGUUUGGGCCAGGCCCAAUUGAUCUGGGCCCGGACCCAAUUGGGUGUCUACAAGUCUUACAGGCUCUGCUACUAGGUGGUAUGUCCAACUGGAUGGAACCUGCAUUCGUUAUUGGAGCGAUAUGGCUCAUAAUUUCAUUAGUCAAUAUCGACAUAUUAUGGAUCUGACUCUUGACCGUUUGUCUUUAUAGAACCUAGAGAAAAAAGCAAAUGAGUCUUUUAAAGAAUAUGCCUAAAGAUGAAGGGAUGUAGCUUCUUAAGUACAACCCUCUUUAACUGAAAAAGAGACUACAAUGCCAUUUGUUCGCACUUUGAAAUCUUUCCAUUAUGAAAAGAUGAUAGAGAAUGCAACCAAAAAUUUUGUUGAUAUGGUAAUUUUGGGAGAAAUUAUUGAGAGUGCCAUCAAGAAUGGUAAGCUAAAAAGAGGUGAAGCAUCCACUAAAAAGAUCCUAAAGAAGAAAAAGACUGAAGCUCAAACUGUGAGCUUUGAUAGGCAACAAUUCAAGGGUUAUCAACCCUACCCAUCACAAGGAUAUGCCCCAUAUUAUCCUGAUGUGAAUAACACCUCUCCUUAUCCAUACCAACCCAUCCCAUAGCCAUCCUACCCACCCUAUAGCCAUCCUACCCACAAACAUACCAACCUUCCUUCAGACCUUCGAAUGCCACAUAUAAUCCUAACACUCAACCUACCUCAAGACCUCAGACCCGUCCAACCAACCCAAUGGGAGGUUUCGAGAGCAACGAACCACUCGUGAAAAGCUUGUAUUUGACCCAUUCUUUAUGACCUAUACAGAGUUAUAUCGUAAGCUUUACAACAAUCAUUUGAUUGCUUUUAGUAAAUUAGAGCCACUCAAGCCACCUUACCCUAAGUGGUAUGAUCCCACAGCUCAUUGUGACUAUCACUAUGGGAUCGCUGGUCACUCCACUAAAAAUUGUACUAUCUUGAAACAUAAAGUGCAACGACUGAUCAAAGAUGGAAUGAUUAGUUUUGAUACAGGAAGGGUAACUACACCAAAUGUUAAUGGCAAUCCUUUGCCUAAUCACAAUGUGAAUGCUCUGAGUAAUGAACAUGAGUGCUAUCUGAAAAAGAAAGUGACAGAUAUUAAUACACCUUUUAGUCAGCUGUUUGAUAUUUUAUGGAAAGGUUACAUGAUACAACCAGUAAGUCUGCACAACUAUCAUGGAGUAAACAUAGCAAGCACUAGUUGUAAAUAUCAUAAUGGGGCAGAUGGUCACUCUAUCGAAACUUGUGAGCAAUUUCACCAAGAGGUGCAACAGCUCUUAGAUUUAUACCAGUUGAAAGUCUAUGAAGAGGGAGAAGUUUCAAAAAAUGUUGAAGUAUCCAUGACAGAUAAACUGCAAAGCUGUUUCCAAAAUCGGUGAUGAUUCAUUUUGGGAAUAAACCAAAGUUAGUCCUAGAUAAACUCAUUCUUAGGCCGGUAACUUUUAAAGUUUCGACUCCAUUCUCAUAUAAGGAUGACAAAGCUAACCCUAGAAAUAUGGUUGUGAUACAGUAGUUUAGGGGUAAGAAGAGAAUAUCUCUAAAGCUGAUGCCUCUAAUAUAACUGGUGAAGGAAGCAUUACCCAAAGUGGAAGAUGUUACACUUCAAAAUUAUUAGAGAAGGCUAGAAAAGAGAAAGCCAAGGUAGGAGAAGAAUGAAAUAACCCUGAAGUGGAACUUGAAGAAAAUCGCCUGAAGUCGGUUUCAGAAAAAGAGGCUUAUGAAUUCUUGAAGUUGGUAAAACAUAAUGAAUAUUCAGUUGCUGAAUAAUUGAACAAAAUGCCAGCAUGAAUCUCAUUAUUAUCACUACUAUUGAAUUUGAAACCACAAAGAAAUGCCCUACUGAAAGUAUUUAACCAAGCAUAUGUGGCACAUAAUGUAUCUAUUGAAUAUGUGAACCACCUAGCUAGAAAUCUAGUCAUGUCGAAUUAUAUUUCAUUCAACGAUGAUAAGAUUUCCUCAGAGGAAAGGGGAAAUGCCAAGGCUUUGCAUAUCACGGUCAAGUGCAAGAGCCAUAUCAUAGCCAAGGUCCUUAUUGAUAAUGGCCCCACUAUCAAUGUCAUGCCUAUGUCAACUUUGGCAAGGCUACCCAUUGACUACUCUCAUAUGAAAGGCAAUCAAAUGAUCAUGAGAGCUUUUGAUGGGACCAGAAGAGAGGUCCUAAGAGAUAUCGAGAUGCCCUCAUAAAUUGGGCCGUGCACUUUUAAUAUGAAGUUUCAAGUGAUGGAUACCUCUCCAUCUUAUAGCUAUUUACUGAAAAGGCCAUGGAUUCACAUGGUAGGUGUUGUGCCCUCUACCUUGCACUAAAAGAUCAAGUUUAAUGUAAAAGGUCAAUUGGUAGUGGUAGUUGAAGAGAAAAACAUGCUAGUGACCCAACCGUUGAAUGCUCCAUAUGUAGAGGUUGUCAAAAAAGUAAUAGAAUACUCCUAUCGAUCUUUUGAGCUAGUUAAUUUUAUAAGUGAAAGACUUAAAAAUUAACUUUUUUCAAGGAUAGUGAUGAGCCAAGUCAUCAAUAAAGGCUGGUAUCCAGGAUUAGGGCUGGGCAAGAACUUACAAAGAAUAAGGGAACCCCCGACAGUGGUAGACAAUAGUGAAAGACUAGGCCUAGGCUAUAGAGUAACAGAAUGGGAGAUCGAGAGAAGGCCAGCAGGUAAAAUAGUAAGACUAAUGAUUAUCCUACACCUGUAUGAGACUUUUAGACCUAGAAGAUUCAUGUACCCAGAUAUAAGAAAAAGCAUGGAAAGAGCUUUUGCCCAGUUAACCAUCCAUGCUAUUGAAGAUGAAGUGGGGCUUAAUCAAGAAGGGUGGGUCCACCUUUAUCUACCAAAUUAUAAGCUAAAUAAUUAGAGUGCCAUUGAAUGCCCUUGACUAUUGAAACUAAUUCAAUGUAAUUGUACAUCCUAAUAGUUAUUGCCUAAGGUAUUGGGGUGAUCUUUCUUGUUUGAGCCAUUUAUCUUUUAUUAUUCUAAUAAAGAUUAGGAAGGAUGCAUUUUCAUUCAUUUUUUCUUGUGUCUUCAUUAUUCCUAUUUUCUAAACACAUCUUGCCAACAUAUCCCAUUUCAUUCAAUUCCAGGUCCUUAAAUGAACAUGAAAAUAAUUAUGAUAACAAUUAAGAGGUUAGUUUUGAUAAUUCAAUUAAUACUAAUGAACUUGACAAUAAAGAGAAUUUUGAGGAAUAUGUUAUGCCUCCGGAACUAAUGAGAUUGAUUGAACAAGAAAAUAAGCCAAUUAAGCCUCAUCAAAAGAUAGUUGACUUAAUGAAUCUGGGAGAUGAAGAGAAUAAGAAAGAUGUCAGAAUUAGCACUUCACUUUCAUCAGGAGAUAGACAACGUUUGGCAAAUCUACUUUAGGAAUUCAUAGAUGCGUUUGCUUGGUUUUACCAAGAUAUGUCAGGGCUGAGCACAGAGAUAGUAGAGCACAGAUUACCCCUAAAGCCAGAAUGUAAGCUAGUCUAGCAGAAACUGAGGUGAAUGAAGCCUAAAAUGCUACAAAGAUCAAAGAAGAGGUGAAGAAAUAGUUUGAUGCAGGUUUUUUACAAUUGGCUUAGUAUCCAAAAUGGGUAGCUAAUAUAGUACCAGUUUCUAAGAAAGAUGAAAAGGUACGAAUGUGUGUAGAUUAUCAUGAUUUGAACAGGGCUAGCCCAAAUGAUAACUUUUCUUUGCCUCAUAUUGACACACUGGUAGAUACACACGGCUAGGUAUUCAAUUUUCUCCUUUAUGGAUGGGUUCUCAAGGUAUAAUCAAAUAAAAAUGGCCGCAGAUGAUAUGAAAAAAACUACUUUCAUGACUAUGUGAGGAAUCUUUUGUUACAAAGUCAUGCCUUUUGGGUUAAAGAAUACUGGGGCAACAUAUCAAAGGGCCAUGGUGACACUCUUCCAUGACAUGAUGCACAAAGAGAUUGAGGUGUACAUGGAUGAUAUGAUUGUAAAAUCUCGUGAAGGUGAAAAUCAUGUCACCAAUCUCAAAAAGCUAUUUGACAGGUUGAAAAAAUUUUAGCUUAAGUUAAACCCAGCCAAAUGCACCUUUGGGGUAAAGUCAGGCAAGUUACUAGGCUUUUGUGGUCAGUGAAAGAGGGAUUGAAGUCGAUCCAAACAAGAUACAGGCCAUUCAAAAUUUGUCACCUCCGAGUGCACCAAAGGAAGUUCGAGGGUUUCUGGGAAGAUUGAAUUACAUUUCUUGGUUCAUCUCUCAGCUUACCUACAAAUGUGAUCCCAUAUUUAGGCAUCUCCGCAAGAAUAAUCCUGGAGAAUGAAAUGAGGAAUGCCAAGUGGCUUUUGAUAAACUUAAGCAAUAAUUGUCAAGUCCUCCAAUGUUGGUGCCACCUGUUCAAGAGAAAUCCUUAACUUUAUACUUGAUAGUGUAUGAGAAUUCAAUGGGAUGUGUGCUGGGGUAGCAAGAUGAGUUUAGUCGAAAAGAGAGAGCUAUUUACUAUUUGAGUAAAAAGUUCACAGAAUAUGAAUCCAAGUAUUCCUCAUUGGAGAAAAUGUGUUGUGCAUUAACAUGGACUACCAAAAGACUCAAACAGUAUAUGCUCUAUCAUACCACAUGGCUCAUAGCAAAAUUGGACUUAAUUAAAUACAUCUUCGAAAAGCUUUCUUUAUCUAGAAGAAUUGUUAGAUGGUAAGUAAUGCUCUCGGAAUAUGAUAUUAUAUAUGUAAGCCAAAAGGUAAUAAAAUGGGGUGCUAUAGCGGAGUUCUUUGCAAAUCAUGCUACUAAAGAAUAUGAACUAAUGAGAUUGGAAUUCCCUGAUGAAGAUCUAAUGACUAUUUCUCAACUAGAGAAGGAGAAACAUUAAGAAAAGCGUUGGAGAAUGUAUUUUGAUGGAGCUGCCAAUGCCUUGGGACAUGGAAUUGGGGUGAUUCUGAUCUCUCCAGAAGAACAAUACUAUCAUAUAACAGUGAGGUUAAAUUUUAAUUGCACAAAUAACAUUGCUAAAUAUGAGGCAUAUGUCAUAGGUUUACCAGCUCCUAUAGAUAGAAGAAUGAAAGCAUUAAAAGUGUUUAGAGACUCAGCUCUAGUUAUAUAUCAAUUGAAAAGAGAAUGGGAGGCGAGAGAUUCAAAACUCGUUUCAUAUCAUAAGUAUAUUUUAGAGUUGAUAAAGCAAUUUGAAAAUAUCCAGUUUAACUAUUUACCUCAAGAAGAGAAUCUAAUUACCGAUGCCUUGGCUACUCUGGCUGUAAUGAUUCAAAUUAAUGAUAAUACUGACAUUCAGUCCAUCAGGCUAGAUGUUAAGGAUAUGCCAGCUCAUUGCUCCAAUGUAGAAGAAAAGAAGGAUAGAAAGUCCUAGUAUUAUGAUAUCUUAUAGUAUAUUAAGGAUUAGUAAUACCCAAUUCAAGCAACAAAAAACAAUAAAAGGGUCAUCCGAAGAUUAGCUAUGAGCUUUUUCUUGGAUGGAGAUGUUUUGUACAAAAAACAUCAUGAUCAAAUAUUACUAAGAUGCGUAAGUAAGGCUAAAGCAAGGAAAAUCAUUGAAAAGGUGCAUGAUGGAAAAUGUGGGGCACAUGCCAGUGGACAUAUGAUGGUGAGACAGAUCAUAAGAGUAGGAUACUACUGGUUGAUAAUGGAGAGUGAUUGCAUUGACUAUGCUCAUAAAUGUCAUAAAUGCCAGAUAUAUGCUGAUAAGAUCUAUGCUCCGCCAUCUGCUUUACAUGUUUUGGCACCACCUUAGCCAUUUUCAAUGUUGGGCAUGGAUGUCAUUGGUCCUAUCACCCCAAAGGCUUCUAAUGGGCAUAGGUUUAUUUUUGUGAUGAUAGAUUACUUCACAAAAUGGGUGAAGGUAGCAUCAUAUGCAAAUGUAACACAAUCUAUGGUUUGCAAGUUCAUAAAGAGAGAGAUUAUCUGUAGAUAUGGAUUUCUGGAGAGAAUUAUUUCAAACAAUGCCAAGAAUCUAAAUAGUAAGAUGAUGCAAGAAAUAUGUGCUUAAUACAAGAUCAAGCAUCAUAAUUCAGUACCCUAUCGUCUGAAAAUGAAUGAGGCAGUUGAAGUAGCUAACAAGAAUAUCAAAAAAAUUCUUGAGAAGUUGACUAAGACUUAUAAAGAUUGACAUGAGAAAUUACCAUUUGCACUGCAUGCAUAUUAAACAUUAGUGCGCACCUCUACUGGGGCAACCCCAUUUUUCUUGGUUUAUGGGAUGAAAGCUGUACUACCAGUGAAAGUCGAGAUCCAUCUUUAAAGGUUCUAAAAGAAGUUGAAUUGGAAGAAGCUGAAUGGAUUCAAGAACGCUAUAAAUAGUUAAAUUUCAUAGAAGAAAAGAGAUUGACUACAUUGUGUCAUGGUCAGGUAUAUCAAAGAAGAAUGAUGAGGGCUCAUGAUAAAAAAGUUCACCCCCGUUGCUUUCGAGAAGGAGAGUUGGUCUUGAAGAGAAUCCUCCCAACCCAGCACGAUAAUAUAGAAAAAUGGACUCCGAAUUGGGAAGGGCCAUAUGUGGUGAAACGAGCUUUUUCGGGUGGAGCACUGAUACUGACUUAGAUGGAUGGAAAUGAUUUACCCCAUCCUAUAAAUUCUGAUACUGUGAAGAAGUACUAUAUUUGAAAAAAAAAGAGAAAAAAUAAAAUGAAAAAUAAAAAAAAAUGAAAAAAGAAAAAGAAAAAAAAAGUGAAUGAAAAUGGAGGAUUCAAGUCAAAAACCCUAAAAGGGUGGUUUGAGUCAUAGGGGGUUUAUUAAGUUGAAAACCUGACAGGUAGCUUAGAUAAGAGAAUCAAAUCAAUUUGAAAAAUCUUGGGCCAUGGAGGCUAGCAAAUUUGGAGGAAUUCUAAGUUAUUAAGUGCAUCAGAUGAUUGGGUUUUCAAAAGAACCUUGAAAUGUGUUAUCAUGAUUGUCUGAUUGUUCAUUUUUGGGCAUUGUCUCCUUAUGCCUAUUUUUGUAAUUCUUUCUUGGCCAAAGUUUGCCAACAUUUUUGCUAAUAAAAGACAUUCUAUUCUUUGUAUGCCUCUUCUGUUGACUGUUUCCUAAUCAUUCUUGCAAUGGAUGAAAUGUAUGAAUACAUUCUUACUUUUUGAUAUUGAAAUAAUGAUUGAUAAAUAAAUAAUAACAUGAAAGACUACUACAUUACAUUGGAAAGGUCAAGAGAAAUAAAAGCAAAUUUGAGAUGUUCAGUUCCUGAUAAGGACAUUGAAUUUGGAAAGAGAUUACCUGUAGAAAGGAUACUAGAAUUAAAUGAAAGAGAUGAUUAAGAGUUACGCUGACUUGGUCUUUGAAGAACAAAUGGUUCGAUGCCCAAGAAAAGAGCUUGAGAAACUUUAGUACCACAAUUGAAUAAGAAUUAAUUAGCCAACAUUUGCAUAGCGUGCAUUGAAUUUCACGCACGUUGCAUAGUAUAUACUACAUUUAAGAAAAUAUAGUGCAUAAAUUCAAGAAGCAGGGGUAUUCCAAAAUCCCACAUGGAGAAGACAGAUGAGAAAACAUUUUCAAAUUUGAGAAAAAGCUUGCCAAGUAAAUUUCUAAUCCUUGAAAUAGGAUAUCUCUCGGUAUCAGGGUUGAUUUGUAAGACCUUUGGGCAUAAUCUCCUAAAAUUUCUUCAAACAUGAUUUUUAACUCCUUUAGACAUGAUUAUCAAUGAGCAUUUACUUUCAAAGUUGUGAUACCUCUGUUUAGAGGAGCAAUUUACUUUCCAAAAGUCAUUGAGCCUCUGAUUAGAGGAGCCUUUUAUUUUUCAAAGUCGUUGAGCCUCUGAUUAGAGGAGCAAUUUACUUUCCAAAAGUCAUUGAGCCUCUGAUUAGAGGAGCCUUUUAUUUUUCAAAGUCGUUGAGCCUCUGAUUAGAGGAGCAAUUUAUUUUCCAAAAGUCGUUAAGCCUCUAAUUAGAGGAGCUUUGUUUAUGUUUCUCAAAGUCGUUGAGCCCUUGCUUAGAGGAGCUUUGAUCAAAAUUUUAACAAAAAAAAAAGAAAAAGCAAAAAAAAAGAAAAAAGGUCGAGCGGAGUCUUGAAUGGGUGUCUACGUCUUUGCACAAUUUUUGUUUCACAGAAAAUGUGCAAAAAGGGGUAGCUGUAGACACUCAAUUUAAUCCAGCCCUGGAUCAAUUGGGCCUAGUACAAAUGGGUAAGCCCAUUUGCAUUUUUUUUAUUUUUUAUUUUUAUUUAUUUAUUUAUUACUGCUAUUAUUAUUUAUUAAUAUAUAAAGAUUAUUUAUCUAUUAACAUAUUUUAUUAUUUAUCCAUUAAUAUAUAUAUUUUUAUUAUUAUUUAUCUAUUCAUAUUUUAUUAUUUAUCUAUUAAUAUAUAUAUUUUUUAUUAUUUAUCUAUUAAUAUAUAUUAUUUAUCUAUUCAUAUAUUAUUAUUUAUCUAUUAAUAUGUAUAUAUAUAUUUUUUUUAUUUUUUAUCUUUUUCUUGAUUGAUUUUCGGCUAGGAUUAGGAUAAAAAAAUUAGAAUUCUACUGUGAAUUUGGGAUUCAAUCAGAGUCCAGAUUGGAUUCAAUGAUUGAAUCCCAAUCCAAGAUGGAAUUGGAAUUGAUUAAAAACUCUUCUGAUCAAUCCCUAUAAAUAGAUCCAUAAAUCAUAAAGAACAAAAGACAGAAACACACACAGAUAGAGAAAGAGCAAAAAGAAAAGAAAAAGAGGUGUUCAGAAGGGUCAAAAGCAAUUUUAGGAAUUUUUUUAAAAAUUUUAGAGAAUUUUAGGUGAAUUUUUUUCUGAAAAAUUUCUAGAUUCCGGUGAAUUUUCGAGCGAAAUUUGAAUUUUUCGAUGACUUUUUUGGCACUGGUUGAAUUUUUUGGUCAGCUACCCAGUUUUUGAUAUUUCCAGAACCAAUCAACUUUUCGGUGAACUUCCGACGAAAAACUUAGAUUCUGACAAUAUUUUUCAAAAUCCGACGAGAUUCAACCAGAGUUCUUGGUUUCUUUAGAGAGAAGAAGGAGAAAAACGGGGAGAAAAGAGAGAAGGAAAGAAGCAGUCUGCUAAAGAACAGAGGUUGGAGCCUUUUAUAGUGCCGUGAAACGUCGUCGUUUUGGCAUUAGUAAACCCACAAGAUCCCCGCGUUUUGCCAAGAUCCAACCUGACCUGAUCGCGACCUGGUCCAAUGACCCGCAUGCUAGCUGAUCCUUGGAGCCAAGCCGAGCCGAGCCGAGCCGAGCUGACUUUCCUAAACCAUGUCUUCGAGCCGCCUUUUCUGUCUUGAGCCGAGUCGUUUCCCAGUCGAGCCGAGCCGUUCCAAAGGUUUUUUAUUUAUUUAUUAUUAUUAUUAUUUCUUUUAUUAUUAUUUAUUAGAUUAUAAUUAUUUAGUAUUCCUUAUUUUAUUUUGUUUUAUUUUUAUUUUAUUUUUUUAAACGAUUUUCUUUAAAUAAAAUUCCAAAAAAAAUAUUUUUGAGGAAAAAGUUGAAAGUAUCAAUAUUUCUUGAAAAUAAGUUUUUUCCUAAAAUAUUUUUAAGGAAAAGUUGAAAAAUAUCAAUUUUCCUUGAAAUAAGUUUUCAAAAAAAUAUUUUCGAAGAAAAAGUUGAAAGUAUCAAUUUUCUUUUACAAAGCACUGAGUUUUUGAAGAGGAAAAGGAUUUAUAUCUAUAGAUGAAUCAUUAUUUUUUCCUUUUAUUAUUAUUUUUUCCUUUUUGAAUUUUCUUUAAUGUUAAAUUNNNNNNNNNNNNNNNNNNNNNNNNNNNNNNNNNNNNNNNNNNNNNNNNNNNNNNNNNNNNNNNNNNNNNNNNNNNNNNNNNNNNNNNNNNNNNNNNNNNNNNNNNNNNNNNNNNNNNNNNNNNNNNNNNNNNNNNNNNNNNNNNNNNNNNNNNNNNNNNNNNNNNNNNNNNNNNNNNNNNNNNNNNNNNNNNNNNNNNNNNNNNNNNNNNNNNNNNNNNNNNNNNNNNNNNNNNNNNNNNNNNNNNNNNNNNNNNNNNNNNNNNNNNNNNNNNNNNNNNNNNNNNNNNNNNNNNNNNNNNNNNNNNNNNNNNNNNNNNNNNNNNNNNNNNNNNNNNNNNNNNNNNNNNNNNNNNNNNNNNNNNNNNNNNNNNNNNNNNNNNNNNNNNNNNNNNNNNNNNNNNNNNNNNNNNNNNNNNNNNNNNNNNNNNNNNNNNNNNNNNNNNNNNNNNNNNNNNNNNNNNNNNNNNNNNNNNNNNNNNNNNNNNNNNNNNNNNNNNNNNNNNNNNNNNNNNNNNNNNNNNNNNNNNNNNNNNNNNNNNNNNNNNNNNNNNNNNNNNNNNNNNNNNNNNNNNNNNNNNNNNNNNNNNNNNNNNNNNNNNNNNNNNNNNNNNNNNNNNNNNNNNNNNNNNNNNNNNNNNNNNNNNNNNNNNNNNNNNNNNNNNNNNNNNNNNNNNNNNNNNNNNNNNNNNNNNNNNNNNNNNNNNNNNNNNNNNNNNNNNNNNNNNNNNNNNNNNNNNNNNNNNNNNNNNNNNNNNNNNNNNNNNNNNNNNNNNNNNNNNNNNNNNNNNNNNNNNNNNNNNNNNNNNNNNNNNNNNNNNNNNNNNNNNNNNNNNNNNNNNNNNNNNNNNNNNNNNNNNNNNNNNNNNNNNNNNNNNNNNNNNNNNNNNNNNNNNNNNNNNNNNNNNNNNNNNNNNNNNNNNNNNNNNNNNNNNNNNNNNNNNNNNNNNNNNNNNNNNNNNNNNNNNNNNNNNNNNNNNNNNNNNNNNNNNNNNNNNNNNNCCACAUUAAUAGAUUUUGGUAAUAGUUUAGCCCAGUUACCAUUUGGGCUAGGAUAUAACAAUAUAAAUAUAAAUACUACUAUAUUAUUUAUCUAUAAUUUAAUUUUAGAUUUAGAUUGAUUUUAAAAUUUUAUGAAACCAUAUUAAAACUGAAAUACUAAUUCAUAUUAGCUUUGAAACCAAACUAAAAUUUUUCAUUCUUCAAACAUUUGCCGUUUUACACCAAAUAAUGCUCAGUUCAUUUUUCAUGUCUCCGCCUUUAAAAAGCUACCUGCUCAAUAAUUUUUAUUGUUAGUAAAUUCAACUUGAUGAGAUAAGAAUUUGCAUCUUUUCAUAAACAUGACAUCAAAAUUAAUGCUAAAAAACUAGGCUCCCAUUUGAAAAAUUUUAGACAAAUAUAAGAGAGAGAGAUCAAUAAAAUAUUAUUUCAAUUCAUUAUUAGUGAAACUUUAAUUUUUUUUUUUCAUUCCUCCAAACCAAUGCUUAUUUAGAACUCAUUUAAUGAAUUUAUUUAUGUUGUGAUUAAAUAUUUGUAAUAAAUUAUUUGUUGUUAUAUAACAUAUUGAAAAUUUGAGUAAGUAACAACACUAAAUAUAAUUAAAUAUCACAAUAAUUUUUUUUUGCUAGGAAUAUAUAUAAUAGGAAUUCACAAUGAUAAAAGUUAUCGUUAUAUAAAAUAUUUUUUAAAAAAAAUCAAUUAAGUAAUGAUUAUGAAAUGUCAUUGCAGAUGUUAUACUAUUUUGCAACAAUAAUUUUUUAUCAUUAGAAAUAUGAUAAAAAUUUUUGAAAUAGCUUUUAUGUCAUUGUAUAAAAAUAUUUAAAAAAUAAAUUAAGCAACGACAUUGAAAAAUCAUUGCAAAUAAAAUAGGUUUUUGCCACAAUACCUUUUUAUCAUUACAAAUAUGAUAAAUUUUUCAUAAUAACUUUUUUUGUUGUUGUAUAAAAUAUAAAAAAAUUACUUAAGCAUCAAUAUUGAAAAAUCAUUGCAAAUAAAACAUAUUUUAGUAACAAUACUUUUUUAUUGUUACAAAUAUGGUAAAAAUGUUGCAAUAACUUUUUUUGUCGUUGUAUAAGACACAAAAAAAUAACUUAAGCAACGAUAUUGAAAAAUCAUUGCAAAUAAAAUAAAUUUUUGCAACAAUAAUAUUUAAUCAUUACAAACAUGACAAAAACUAGUAUAACAACCAUUUUUAUCAUUAAAUAAAAUAUUGAAAAACAACUUAAGCAACGGCAUUGAAAAAUCAUUGCAAAUAAAAUAAGUUUUCACAACAAUUUUUUGUUGUCGUUAUGAAUAGAAGUGUAAUUAACAACAAUAAAAUUUAGUAUUGUAUAAAAUAUUAAAAAGUUCAAUUAAGCAAUGAUUAUAAAGUCAUUGUAAAUAAAACAAUAUUUUGCAAUGAUAUUUUUAGCCCUUGCAAAAUAGAGUUAUCCACUUUCUUCUUGUGUUACCUUGUAAAAUUCAUGAAGAAUAGGGGCUGAAAUCUGGCCAUAAUGAUAUGCAUCUCUUUCCCACUUUGGCUAGAUUAGUAUUUAUCAUCUUGCUUUCUGUGAGAUGUGCUGCUGAUCCUACUUUUUCUGUAUUUGAUAUAGUUCAUGAAUACAAUUACUUAUAUUAACCUUCCUUGAAAGAUAUUGAAAAAGAAGAUUAAUUAACGGAUAAAAUAAUUACUAUUUUCAACUUUCCUGAUUAUUGUUUGAAGAGGAAAUGCCUUAUUUCUUUCAAAGGUCCAUUCAAAUGCAUCUUAAAUGAUGCAUUUUCUAGAAAAUUCGAGUUCAUUGUCCAUGUUUGAACAACAUAUUACGGGAAAGUGUCAAAUUUCCUUAAAUCCAGAUGCUUUGUGAGCUAAAACUUCAAUUUUAUAUCAUAUAUGAUAUCUUCAUUGGAAUACUAUCUAAAGAUGAAUAAAUAGGAAAUUGAGAAGCUUGGAUCUUAAAAAUACUUUUCUCUUAAUAGAGUAGUUAAAUUACUAAAUUGGAGUGCUAGGCACCUUGUUGGCAAGCAUCAUAGCUUUAUGUCCUAGUUCAGUAUUUGCAUUAUUUACUCAACACCUUGUUUCAAGCAAGGUUACUUACUAUAUAACAAAAAAAAAGUGCACUCCAUUAAUACAAUUAAUAGAUUUUCAGUGUAAUUCCAAUAAAAAGGCAAAUGUGAUUAUGAUUAUUUGCUAACACAAAUUGUGUAAAUAAAAUUGCAACCAUAAGUUCCAUAGGUUCGAUUAUGAAGCUAAAUAUGCAUGAUGACAUGAUCUAGUCGCUUUUAAGCUAGUCACAAUCUCCCUAUGUUGAUGCUUGAUAGCACUAAACUUUUGUAUUUUCUUAUCUCAUUUAGUGCAAUUUCUCUUGAAUAUUGGCUUGUUCCUUGUGAAUUUUGGCGAAAAAACUCCUAAAUAUACAAAUAUUUAAUGUGUAGGUGAAAAUAUGGAAAAUGAGGAAUUUUGAAGCUUUUGGACUCCUUUUGGAGGAUUUUUGGUGCAAAAAGCCAUGAAAAGCCAAAACUAGUGUGUUUGUGCUACAUUGCCACUCAUGGAAGUUUUCCUCACCCUUUUUCUCUAUGAUUUUCUUAGCUUAUUUGAGCUUAAUUGAAUUUUAUUUCAAGUUUUAAUUCUCACAUUUUUCAUUUGAAAAUGUCCUUUUUAAUUCAUUAGUUAUUGUUACCUUUGUGGUAGUUUUGCAAGUGUUAGAAAGGUGACUAGUGCACUAGUGCAGUUUGAAGCCAUAUUUGGACUUGUGAAUUUUUCAUAAUUUUUCAUACAUAAAUUUUCCACUAAAUGUUCUGUAUUUGGCAGAAAAUUGAAGAAGAAAUUGGUUACAAUUGAUGCCAAAAUUAUUGGAAGCAAAAUUCAAGCAAGCUUGUUGGAUGCACUUGCUAGGUGAAUAAAGGAUUGUGGUGCCAUUUUGGACAUUCAAAGAAGGAUAAUUGGAGUUGCUUGGUUGGUCAUUUUAAGGCUUCUCAUUAGACAUAAUUUUGACUUUUUAGAGCUCACAAGAUCAAAUGAAGAAAGCUUGAAGUAAAGUGAAGUAAAGAGAAGCAUAUAAGAAAGCUACGAAAGCAAGACAGAUGAGUUGGAAGGAUCUAGACGUUGUGGCAACUUAGCUGGAAUUUUUUUUGCAUUUUGAUUGGUUGAACCACCUCACAUUUGCUUAUAAAUAGGAGGGAAUGGUAAGCCAUUUGGGGAGACUUUCAUAGCAUUUUUCUAUUUUUUUCUAGAAUUUUCAUUUCUUGCAUUUUACUUUAUUUUCUCUCAAGAUAUUUUCCUGCUUGUUCAUUUAGAGGGUUGUUUAGGGGAAAAUUGCAUUUAUUUUUCAGUAAAAUAUACUUUCCUUGCCUUUUAUUUUCAAUGCACUUUAAGAUUCUUUCAAUAAAAGUUUAAGAUUUUUAAGGGGUCGUUAGAUAUUGUUGUGUGUGUUUAUAUUUUAUGUUUCUUUAAAUUUUUUUAUUUUUAAUUUAUUGAAUUUGAAAUCAUGUUUGUAUAAAAUGUUUUUGUUUUAGAAAUAUAAAAACAAAAACAUGGAAAAGAAAGUGGUUAAAGAUUUUAGGCUCCAUUUGUUAUUAAUAAUAUAAUAAUAUUUAUUAAUAUAUUAUUUAUUAAUAUAAUUUUAUUUAUUUAUUAAUAAAUUAUUUUUAUAUAUUAUAAUAUUAUUUAUUAAUAUAUAUUAUUUAUAAAUACUAUAUUAAUUUAUAUUAUAUUAAUAAUAUAUUAUUAAUGUAACAUAUUAUUUAUUAAUUAAUAUAAUAUUAUUUAUAUAAUAUAUAUUGUAGACACCCAAUUUGGUCCAGGCCCGGACCAAUUGGGCCUGGCCCAAAUAGGUAAGUGGGGACACCCAAUUGGGUCCAGGCCCAGAUCAAUUGGGCCUGGCCCAAAUGGGUAUGACCCAAUUCAAUUUGUCCUGUAUUAUUUUAUAUUUUAUGUAUUUUAUUAUUUAUUAUUAUUAUUAUUAUGUAUUAAUAUAUAUUUUUUUAUUAGAUUAGAUUUAUAUGUAUAUAGUUAUAUAUUUAUUAUUAUUAUUAUUUUUUUUUUGUUUGUAAUAUAUUUUUGGGUUUAUCUUAUUUUAUUUAUUAUUAUGUUUUUUUAAAAAAAUUAUUAUCUGUUCUGAUUUUUUCCUGAUUAUCAGAUUUUUUUUUAUACUAUAAUAUCUUUUGAUUUAUCUUUUCUAAUUAUCUAUUUUUUUUAUUUUGAUUUUUAUUUUGGAGGGCUAAGAUUAAAAGUUGAAGAAUCCCACUGUAGAGGGGAAUUCAAUCAAAAGAGUCCAAUUGGAUUCAAAGACUGAAUCCCCAUCCAAGGAGGAAUUGGAAUUGAUCAGGAACUCCUGAUCAAUCCCCAUAUAAAGGACCCCUGGAACAGAUGUAAACACACAAAAAAUAGUGAGCCUGAGCUACUGAUUUGAGGGGAAAAGGCGAAUAGGAGAGUAUAGAAGGCUAAGAAAAGGUUUAGGAGAGUUCUAGGAAUCAUCAGAAAUUUUUUGGGAAUUUUUCGAAAUUUUUUUUUCUGGGAAUUUCUGGAAAUUCCAGAUUCCGGUUGAUUUUUCCGGCAAAGUUUGAAUUUUCCGGCUACAAUUCCGGCCAACCUUGAAGUUUUCGGUGCCUGCCCAGUUUCCGGUGAAGUUUCCCAGAAACCGGUGAUCUUCCGGCCAAUUUUCGGCGAACUUCCGGCAAAAUUUCCAGAUUCCGGCGACAAUUUCCAGAAUCCGACGAAAUCCCACCGGAGUUCUUCAGCCCUUAGAGAGAAGGGAGAGAAAAAGGGAAGAAGAGAGAGAGAGGGGAGGGGUGUUCUGUCGAAAAAUGAAGAGGACUGCCUUUUAUACCCUACCAAAACGACGUCGUUUUGGCUUUAAGUUAAUAGAGGAUCCGCGCGUUUUGCCGAACCCGACUCGACCCGAGCGUCGACCCGCUUCUGACCCGCGCGUGCAUGCCCCCCUCCGAGCCAAGCCGAGCCGAGCCGAGCUUCCCAAGCCGCCCCUCGAGCCGUUUUCUCUUCCUUGAGCCGAGCCGAGCCGAGCCGCGAUCCGAGCCGCUCCAGGUUUUUUUUUUUUUGAAUUUCUUUUAUUUUCAUUUAUUUGUUUUUUAUUUUUUUUAUUUAUUAGAUUAGGUUUAUUUAAUAUUCUUUUUAUCUUUAUUUUGGUUUUACUUUCCUUUAUUUUUUUAUCUUUAUUUAUUUUCAUUUUUUUUAUUAUUCUAUUUUCUUUAAAUAAAAAAAUCAAAAUUUCCAAAAAAAAUAUUUUUAGGGAAAAGUUGAAAGUAUCAAUUUUCCUUAAAAAUAAAUUUUCAAAAAAAAAGAUUUUUGGGGAAAAGUUGAAAGUAUCAAUUUUCCUUAAAAAUCAAAAUUUUCAAAAAAAAAAAAUUUUUAGGGAAAAGUUGAAAGUAUCAAUUUUCCUUGAAAAUAAAUUUCAAAAAAAAGAUUUUUGAGGAAAAGUUGAAAGUAUCAAUUUUCCUUAAUAAAUUUUCAAAAAAAUAAAUUUUUAAGGAAAAGUUGAAAGUAUCAAUUUUCCUCGAAAUCAAAAUUUCAAAAAAAUAUCUUUGGGGAAAAGUUGAAAGUAUCAAUUUUCCCUGCACAAGAAAAAUCCUUCUUUCUUUCUUUUUGAUUUUGAUUUUGAUUUUUCUUUAACUAAUCCGACGACGAAGCCUCUGCAAGUGAAACAAUAGUUUUUCUUGCAUACUCCUGAGGUGAGGGAAUUUUCUCAAUUUUUUGCUAAAAGUAUUAGAGUCAAUUGAGAAUAAUUUCCAAUAAUUAAUUACUUGGUAAAAUUUUAAAGCUUUUUGGAUAACACAAAUUUAAGCUGGUACCAUCUUUUGAUGGGCGUUGUGAGGGUGCUAUAACCUUCCUCACACGUAACCGAACUCCCGAACCUUGUUCUGGUUAGUAGACCUGAACCUAUUCUUUUAGGGGCCCUUAAACUUAGGUGUUCCCUAAAAGGACAGAUUCUUUAGGUGGCCAAUCGCACCUAGAUAAAAAAGAUUGGUGGCGACUCCCUAAAGUCAAUGUCUAGCGAUAGAUCCCCGGAUCUAGACGUUAUGACAUAUAUAAUAAUAUUUAUUAAUAUAAUAUUUAUAUAAUAAAAAUAUUAUUUUAUUAAUAAAAUAAUUGUAACGUCACUAUAGUGGUUUAAUUGUAAUUUUUGUUACUAGUGCUUGUUUGGUAAUAGUGCCACAUUGUUUUCAAAAAACUGAAAACAUCGUUUUUCUAUUUUCAAUAAUUUUCAAAACAAAGCUUUGUUUUCAAUUUUCAAAAAUAGAAAAUAAAAACAACCUACCAAAUAUGUUUUUGUUUUCAAUUUUCAAAAAACCUGAAAAUGAAAACAAAAAAUAGAAAAUAAAAACAAAAACAAACAAUCCUUAAGUUUUCAAGUUCAAUUUGAUGCAUUUUUACUUAUUUCUCAAAUAUGUUUAGCAAUUCAUGUUCUUGAAUUAGCUGUGAUUUUUCUAUUAAAUCUUGAUCAAAUAUUGCUUGUUUCGAGCUAAAUUUUUUUUUUCAUGAAUUUUUUAUUCAUUGUUCUACAAAUUUGAAAAAAAAUUGCAUUAAAAUUCGUUCUACACAAUUUCAGAAAAAUCUGUAAAGUUUCAUUUGAAUCCAAAAGGUGAGCUAGCGCUUGAGUAAGUGACAGCACUUCAAGUUACUUUUCUCCUAGCUAGGUGUUUGGUUUAUAAUUUUCAUCCAUGAAUUGUUAGUUUCUAGAUUUAAGUUCUUGCUUUCGGUUUUGAAUUUCUAGUUGGCAUUCAUGUUUUUGCUAUUUCAAUUCUCCUUCAGUCUUGUUCUGAUUUUCGAUUUCCUUUUGGUUUUGCAAUUUCCAGUUCAAAUUCAUUCAAUUUGCAUUAGCUUAGCUCUACAUUCUUUGUUGAACAUUCAAUUUUCAGAUUUGUAUCUAAGUUUCAGUUUUACUUGUUCUUCAUAGAUCUUGUGUUUUUGUUACUUUAGUUGCAAUUUAAUCUUGAUUUGAUCUGCAAUUGCGUUUUGUUUUUUUAAAUUUCAUUUUGUUUAGAUCAAGUUCUAAGAAUUUUCUAGAAGUUUCUUUUGUUGAAAGUUAGAAGUUAGUUGAGAUAGUUAGUUUUCAGUAAAAAUAAUUUCUUGACUGUCCCAAAACUUUAGCGAAAAUUCAAAAAAUAUUACUACUUAUAAAAUUAAGAAAAAAAUAUAAUCUUUUCACUUUCUUUAAUAUUAUUAUUGUUUUGUCUAUCAAUUUUAUUUUAGAUUAAAAGUUACUAUUUAUUCUUGAUUUUAUUUUUUAUUAAUUUAUUAUUCAUAAUAAUUAUUUAUUUUGUUGCUUAAGUUAAAAUAUAUAUUUUAUAAAAAUAAAUUAUAAAAAUCCUAACAAAAAAACAACAAAAAUAAAAUAAAAUCAUAAAACAAAAAUAAAAUGAAAAAAAGAAAUCUUAUCAAACGAGUCGGGUUAGAAUGCGGGUUGGCCUGUGGGUUGGUACAUUGGCCCGAAUCCCUUAAUUCCAAAACAACGACUUUUUGGGUCAUUAUAAAAGGCCCCUUUUUGGAUUUUUUUCUUAUUUUUCUCUAUUGUUCUAUCUCUCUACAAACUAGAGCCUCUCUUUCUAACAAUUCCUUUUUCCUUGUUGAUAGCUAUGGCAACCCAAAUUUCGGCCAAUUGUCGUUGUGCCAUGGUCAAAAUCUUUAACUAGCAUCAAUAAAUUCAAAAUAUUCCUAGUUCUCAACAAAAUACCUAGAUUUCGAUCAUCGAAAAACUCAUACAACCACCGAAAAAUUUAAAAUUUUCCAAAAUCAAGCAAAGCAAAAAAAAUUUAUUUUAAAAACCCUAAAAAAUCCCAAACUUAUCCCCUUUAUUUCCUAAACACUUUCUCAACUAUUUUAAAAACAAAACAAAAAAAAAAAAAUCCUAAACCACCUAGAUCAAAACCUUUGCUCUUGAUUAAAUUUUUAUUUUUUUACUAACGAUUCCUCCUAUGAGGAUGUGGUGGCUUUGUUUACUAAGUUUUUUCUUUUUUGUGGUUAAAUGUGUUGUUCUAGGCAAAAUGGUCAUUGGCUCCCUUUGUUAGUGUUCUCCUUUAUGAAAAAUUUUUUUUACUUGAUUUCAAAGACUAAUAUGAGAUCAAAUCCUAGAUCAUUAGGGAUAUAGACCCUUAAUUUUUUGCUGCCAACUUAGGCAGAGGUAGGUGAGCUUUUGGGGUGAACAAGAAUAAAGAAAAGACAAAGGAAACAAAUAGAAGAAAAAGACAAAAGACAUAAUAAUAAUAAUAAUAAUAAUAAUAAUGAAAAUAAAAUAAAAAAUUAAAAGUUUUAGUACUAAAAUAAUCUAAUAAACUUAAUUAAGAUACCUGAAUGGAUUUGAAUGAAAUUGGAAUUGGUUUAGAUUUAUUUUGACAAAAUAUUCAAUUUUUUGGAUAAAACAGAUGAUUACAAAGGGUAGAUCUAAGAUUAUUAGGGUUGAUUCUCAAAAUCUAAGGUCAGAUAUGAAACAAAAGCGUUAGGAUAAGUAUACGGUGAAAAUUUAAGGUCAAAAGGUGAUUGAAUGGCACUAACAAGCACGAGUCAAUAACGGCACUAUUUAAUUCUAGCAAAAUGUUGGUAUUAUAUUUUUGUUUGAAAGUUGUGAAAUAUCUUUUUGGAAGUGUUUAUGAACUAAAAAUUUUACUUUUAUAGCCUAAAAUUUUUUUCAAAACGAACCACACUUGGAUCUUGGGUAAUGGCCAACCUAAUUUCACUGAUCUGACCAAAUUGGAAUAUCUCUAGCACUAAACACGGUCGAAAACUCUCUUAGACCUAAAUCGACUAAGAACCACUUUUAACCAGUUGAAUCGUCACAAAUCAAUGACUGGCUCACCAACGAAUUAAGUAAUUUUUAUUUGGCAUUUUUUAGUUUCCGAUUAUUUUUGUAUAAUUCUUUUUUAAAUGAUUAUUUGCUCUACAAAUUUUAGAUUCUAAAUAAAUAUUAUAUCUUUUUAUUUCUUUUUGAAAAAAUAGUGUUAAUGAAAGUAAAAUUUAAAUUUCAAAAAUGGUAAAAUUCAAUUUAUACUAAAUAUAAAAGCAUAAAAAAAUUAUGAUAAAUAAAAAUGAGAAAGGAAAUGUUUUCCAACAAGAGGAUUUUUUUUUUUUAUGAAAGUUUGAGUUGUGAUUUUUAACUAAGUGAAUAAAUUUAUCUAAAAUGUUAUCAAAGUUUAAGGUGUCUAGAAAAAUUUUUAAAAUAAAAGACUUUCCUUUUCUUUUUAAGAAAAAUCAUUAAAUUAAAAAUAAAUAAAUAAUGAACGAAAACAAAUUAGACAAGAUAAUGGGUAAUAAAUAAUAAAAAUUAAUAAGCAAGAUUACCAAGACAAGUAAAAUUACAUGUAUCUCAUAUCUUAUUACUUGUAUUUUACACAUACACAUAUAUAAAUAUAUCUUGAAAAUAAAUGUGAAUUUCCUACGAUGGGAUUCUAAGAAAAUCAGAGUAAUGAUUCUUUAAAAGCAUCUAUAUGAGAAUAAUUUUUUAAAAUACUGCCAAAAUAAUGGAAACUUUAGAAUAAUCUUCAAUAAAAAAUUCUUGUUUACUUUUUAUCUAUUAAAAAAAGAAAGAUAUUAUUCAAAUGAAGUUAUGAGUAUUAACUUUAAUUAUAAAUAUUGAUUUGAAGAUAAAUAUUAGCCUCUAAAAAUGAGAUUAUAAAGAAAUUCAAGUAAUGAUUCCCAAGAAAUUCUCAGGUGAGAAAAUUUAUCUUAAUGUUACCAACAUAUUGAAACAUUUUGAAAAUCUUUCAAUAACAAGGUUUCAAUUUAUUUUUCAAAUAAAAGUAAAAUAAUAAUUUUUACAAAGAAGAAAAAUUUUCAUGAAGAAAAUGAAAUAAAAAAAAUCAAAAUUAUGAUAAAUAAAGGAAGUCAAGGAAAUUAAUUUUAAAUAUCAAAAUUAAAACAACUUUUGUCAAGAUUAAAGGAUAAUGCAUUAUUAAUUGGUAUCAUUCUUAAUAUGGAUGUUAUGGGAUAUUAAUUCUUUCCAACACGUAACUGGACUUUUGAACCAGGCUUUGUUUUUUUAUGCAAAUUCAAAAAUUAUCAUUUCAAAUAAUCUUAAUUAAUUUUAAGAUUUUAUUAAAAAGCUAAGUUUUACUAUGUUACUAAUCACAUUUAGCCAAAAAUAUUAGUGGUGACUCUUUAUAUUUUUUAAUUCAUUUAGUGGCCUUCAAAAUCAACAUGACAACUUCAAAACCUAAAAAUUAACCUAAAAUAAGGUGCUAUAAAAUUCCUAUAAUUAGGAUCAUUUUUCUCUUGGGUAGGGAUUUUUGUCGCUACAAUGGUGAUCUCAAAAGAUGACAGUCAUGGCUUGCUUGUUGUACUCAUUGAUCAAGCCAUCUUGAUGGUGGUGGUGGUGGUGCUGGCAAAAUAUACUUGUUACCAAAAAAGGGUGAAAAUGAAAAAGGAGAAGGAAAAAAACAAAAGAAAAAAAAAAGAUGAAAAGAAUAAAAAAGAAGGGGAAAUGAGAGGAAAUUGAGCCAUCAACAGUGGAUCUAAGGCCACCCAUGAAGGAAGACAAUGUGAGAGAGAUUGGGAUUUUUAGAUUUUCAUUGAUACAAAAAAGAAAAAAGAAACAAAAAACAAAUGAAAGAGAAAAGGGAGCUAUUGUCAACAAGACAAAUGUAACAAGAUAAAGAUCAACAAUAGUGAUAACUGUGAAAAAAGGCUAACGAUGAGAAAAGGUAAUGUGAUGAUUGUAGACACCCAAUUGGGUCCGGGCCCAGAUCAAUUGGGCCUGGCCCAAAUGGGUAAGGCCCAUUUCAAUCCUGUAUAUUUUUUUCUUUUGUAUUUUAUGUAUUCUAUUAUUAUUAUUAUUAUGUAUAUCUUUAUUCAUUUAUUUAUUUUUAUUCAGAUUAGAUUUAUAUGUAUAUUAUUUAUAUAGUUAUAUAUUUAUUAUUAUUAUUAUUAUUAUUUUUGUAAGAUAUUUUUGGAUUUAUCUUAUUUUAUUAUUAUUUUUUUUAAAUUAUCUGUUCUGAUUUUUUCCUGAUUAUCAGAUAUUUUUUUUACUAUAAUAUCUUUUUAUUUAUCUGUUCUAAUUAUCUAUUAUUUUUUAUAUUUAUUUGAUUUUUUUUUUUUGGAAGGUUGAGAUUGAAGCUGAAGAAUCCUACUGGGAGUGGGGAUUCAAUCUAAAGAGUCCAAUUGGAUUCAAAGACUGAAUCCCCGUCCAAGGAGGAGUUGGGAUUGAUCAGAAACUCCUGAUCAACCCCUAUAUAAAGGACCCUUUGGAACAGUUCAAGAACACACAGAAAACAGUCAGCUAGAGCUACUGAUUUGAGAAGCAAAGGCGUAGGGAAGAGUAUAGAAGGCUAGGAAAAGGUUUAGGAGAGUUCCAGAAAUUAUCAGAAAUUUUUUUGGGGAUUUUUCGAGAUUUUUUUUUUCUGGGAGUUUCUGGAAAAUUCCAGUUUCCGGUUGAAUUUUCCGGCCAACCUUGAAGUUUCCGGCUAAAAUUCCGGCCAACAUUGAAGUUUCCGGCGAACUGCUCAGUUUCCGGCGAAGAAUCCCAGAAAUCGGUGAAUUUCCGGCCAACUUCCGGCGAAAAAACCCAGAUUCCGGCGAAAAUUUCCAGAAUCCGGUGAAUCUUCCACCGGAGUUCUUCGGUUUUUUAGAGAGAAGGGAGAGAAAAGGGAAGGAAGAGAGAGAGGGGAGAGGAGCGUUCUGCCGAAAAACGGAGGAAGGUGCCUUUUAUACCCUCCCAAAACGACGUCGUUUUGGCUUUAAGUUAAUCAGAGGAUCCGCGCGUUUUACCGAACCCGACCCGACCCGAGCGUCGACCCGAUUCUGACCCGCGCGUGCCCAGCCCCCCUCCGAGCGAGCCGAGCCGAGCCGUUCUUCCCGAGCCGCUUCUCCGAGCCGUUUUCUCUUCCUUGAGCCGAGCCGAGCCGAGCCGCAACCCGAGCCGCUCCAGGCUUUUUUUUUUUUUUUUGAAUUUUUUUUGAAUUUUUUUUUUUUGAAUUUUUUUUUUAUUUGACUUUGAUUUUGAUCUUGAUUUUUUUUUCUUUUUUCUUUAAUAAAUCCGACGACGGAGCCUCUGCAAGUGAAACAGUAGUUUUUCUUGCAUACUCUUGAGGUGAGGGAAUUUUCUCAAUUUUCUGCUAAAAGUAUUAGAGUUAAUUGAGAAUAAUUUCCAAUAAUUAAUUGGAUGAUUUUGUUUUUUCUUUAAUAAAUCCGACGACGGAGCCCCUGCAAGUGAAACAGUAGUUUUUCUUGCAUACUCCUGAGGUGAGGGAAUUUUCUCAAUUUUCUGCUAAAAGUAUUAGAGUCAAUUGAGAAUAAUUUCCAACAACUAAUUACUUGGUAAAAUUUUAAGGCUUUUGGAUAACACAAAUUUAAGCUGGUACCAUCUUUUGAUGGGCGUUGUGAGGGUGCUACAACCUUCCUCACACGUAAUCGAACUCCCGAACUUUGUUCUGGUUAGCAGACCUGAACCUAUUCUUUUAGGGACCCUCAAGCUUAGGUGUUCCCUGAAAGGACAGAUUCUUUAGGUGGCCAAUCGUACCUAGAUAAAAAAGAUUGGUGGCGACUCCCUGAAAGUCAAUGUCUAGCGAUAGAUCCCCGGAUCUAGACGUUACGACAGCUUGGCGACUCCACUGGGGACCUUGAGAGUCAGGCCAGCAAAUAAUUUGUGUUAUCCAAAAGCCUAAUAAAAUUGAACCAUUUUUGUAUAUAUGUGUUAUUAUUCAUUCCUGUUUAUUUAUCUUGUUAAUUAUGUCAUUCAUGUGCAUGUGCAUAACAUGAGCUCUAUACCCGAGCUCCGUCCCUCUAGGAGGGAGUAAAGUACCUAUUGCUUUCGUGAGGUCUAAUGCCUCCGUAGUGGCUAACGAAAUACUCCCACUCAAAUUGAACCUUUUCCGCUUGUAGCCUGUAAUGGGUGAGGAUUAGGGUGCCUUACUAGUCUGUGAUGGACAAGGAUGUAAGGAACAAUUUGAGGACCUUUAGACUCUGACUUUAAAACCACAUGUAGUGAACCUUAAGAGUGCCUAACCCUAGGAUAGAGUCCUUUCUACCCAAUGAUAGAUAUACCCUGAAAUUAGGACACAAAAAAGGUGUUUAUCUAAUCAUUUUGAUUGCUUAACUUUGUGUAUUAUUUUUUGUAAUGUUAUGCAUCAGCAUUACUUUCAUUUCAUUCAUGAAACUAACUAUGUUGUUUGUCUGAUUGUAUGCAUCUGUAUUCUUUUCAUGAUCAUGUUUCAACACAAUCAUUUGCAUUCAUUUCAUGCUAGAUUUCAUUCAAAAAAAUGUACAUUUCAUUUGUGUAUCAAAGCAUCAUACAUAAGGCACAGCAUAACAUUUCUAAUCAUGAGUAUGGUACUCAAGGUCCGAGGAUAGCUCCAUCUAGCGAAAACCUUGCUCAUCCAUACAACACAAGAUCCAGAGCAAGGCAAAUGGAGGAGGAAAGUUCUCAUAGAUUUGAAAAGCUAGAAAAAGCUCAGGAGAAGAUUGAAAAUGAACUUAGCAAAAUUCUGGAGGCCCUCAAUAACAUGAAUAAGGGGAAAGGAGUUGAAGGAAGUACAAGCCAGCAAGAAGUGGCUGACCCUUUGUACCCUCCAGGUUUUGGCCCAUCUCAGGUCCAGCCUGCUCAAGAGGUCCCGCCAUAUCCUGGAAUACCAUCAGCUUUCAACCCAGGGCAGUAUAAUAGCUAUAUAAAUCCUGUCUUCACUGAAAAAGUAGCAGAACCAAUUCCUGACCUAGAUGCCUUAAAGGAGAAGGAAAAAGAAAAGAUGAAAGUAGAAGCUGAGGAGAGUUCCAAGAUUAGCAUGCUAGAGCAGAGGCUACGGGCUGUGGAAGGAUUUAGCUUUUAUGGGUCAGUAGAUGCUGCUGGGCUCUGCCUAGUCCCUGAUGUGGUUAUUCCCUAUAAGUUCAAAGUACCAAAAUUUGAAAAAUAUGACGGUACCAAGUGCCCCAAAACCCACAUCACCAUGUAUUGCAGGAAGAUGGCAGCUCAUGCUCAUGAUGAAAAACUUCUGAUGCAUGUUUUCCAGGACAGUCUUACUGGCUCUGCCGCCAGAUGGUAUGUUCAGUUGGAUAGGACUCGUAUUCGCUCUUGGAGUGAUAUGGCACACGACUUCAUCAGUCAAUAUCGACACAUUAUCAAUUUGGCUCCUGAUCGUUUGUCUUUGCAGAACCUGGAGAAAAAGGCAAACGAGUCUUUUAAAGAAUAUGCCCAGAGAUGGAGAGAUAUAGCUUCACAGGUGCAACCUCCACUGACAGAAAAAGAGACCACAGUGCUGUUUGUUAGCACUUUGAAACCUCCCUAUUAUGAAAAGAUGAUAGGAAAUGCAACAAAGAAUUUUGCUGACAUGGUGAUCUCUGGAGAAAUUAUUGAAAGUGCCAUAAAAAAUGGCAAGUUGAAAGGAGGAGAAACCAAGAAGACAUCAGAAAAGAAAGAAGCUCAAGCUCAAGCUGUGAGCUUUGAUAGACAACAAUUCAGGGGUUAUCAACCCUAUCCAUCCCAAGGCUACUCUCCAUACUAUCCCGCUGUGAAUAAUGCCUCAUCCUACCCAUACCAGUUAGCUUCACAACCAUCUCAUUUAUCCACUUACCGCCUUAACAUUCAAGCUCCUGUAAGAACUCAAGUUCGCCCUACUAACCCAGCAAGUGGCUCGCGAGAACAACGGACUGCUCGAGAAAAACCUGUAUUUGAUCCAAUCCCUAUGACUUAUACAGAGUUAUAUCGAGAGCUUUAUAAUAGCCACUUGAUUGCCCCCAGCCAUGUGGAACCUCUUAAACCACCCUACCCAAAGUGGUAUGAUCCUACAGCCCACUGCGACUAUCACUAUGGAAUUACUGGCCAUUCUACUGAAAAUUGCACUGCUUUAAAGUAUAAGGUGCAACGGUUGAUCAAUGAUGGAAUGGUAAGUUUUGAUCAAGGAAAAGCAACAACAUUCAAUGUUAACACCCUAAGUGAAAGUCAAGAACAGAAAGGAUCUGGAGAGUCACAAUGAAUUGAGGGGCAAGACGUCAAUGGGGAUUUCUUCACCUGAUCAUAUAGGGGGCUAAUUUUUAAUGGAGAUAAGGCGGGUUGAAAGUUUUUUUGUCACUUUAAGAUUUCUUUUCAAGUAAUGUUGGAUUUCUUUUUGCAAUAUGACUUUACUUGUUAUCAUUUUAAUAAAGGCAAGUCAAUGCAUUUCAUUACAUUUUUCUCUUUCAUUUGACCAUUAUUCCAUACCCUGCUACCCUUCAUAACUUCACAUUCCCAUUCUUAAAUUUCAGAUGAUGAAUAUUUAGACAAUGAUAACAAUAAUUCUGGGAUUUAAUUUUGAGAACUCAUCCACAUUAAUAUGAGAAGAUGAUUUGAACAGAAGUAAGCUAUUACUGGAGGAGAAACAGAUAUGUCUUGAAGAUGUGUAAUCUUUUAUACAGAUUCAUGAGCUUUGUUCAAUAGAUGAUGUUCAAGAAAGGUAUUCACAAUUGAGAUGAAAAAUGGCCACCUUUCUUUUACCAUUGGAAAAACCAUUUAUUGCUACCCCUUUGAGCCAAUCAUGAUUUUUUUUCUUGAAGAACCCCAACCAAGGAUCACCCUCUACACUGGAGGGUAAUUUUUGAAAAAAAAAAAAAAAAAAAAAACACCACAAAAGGUCUCAAAAAUGAAAAAAAAAAGAAAAAACAAAUGCCACACAUGACUUGGGGCAAAGUAAUGAGAAUCCUUUGUGUGAUGAAAGAAAAAAGUAGUGAAAUGAUGUGGGGGCAAAAUGCCAGGCUGCAUCAAAUGAUCCUUUGGUUUUGAACCUUUUUAAUACAUGUUUUGAGCCUAUUAUAUCCAUUUCUUUUAUGACCCUUCCCCUUGGCCUACGUUACAACCUUGAAAAGUCCAUUUGGAUCAAGUGUGAAUACUCAACUUGAAUGAUCAUAUGUUGAGCGAAGGUAUGCUCAUGAGGAAGCAAUGAAAUCAUGGUCUAAAGUUGGACGUAUGAAAGAUAUCAACAAUGGAUGAAAAAAAAUGAUGAAAAAAAAAAGAAAAAAAAAAGGAAAAAAAAAGAAAAAAUGAAAAAAAAAAGAAGGAAAAAAAGAGAAAAUAAAAAAAAGAGAUUCAAAUUGAAAACCUGAAAGGGUGAUUUUAGUAAAAAAAAAUCAAGUCAAAUGGCUCACAUGAAUGAAAGAUCAAAGACAUCUGAAGAUCCCUCAAAGACUGGGGCCAGAGUUCGCCAAGCUCAAGAUGACUUCAACAGUAAAAUGGAAUGAGUUUUUGAAAAAGAAAUCCUAGAUUAAUGUUGAAAAUUGUCUGAAUAUUCAUCAUUUGACAUACCAUUCACCUCAAUGACAUCCAAUCUAUUUCAUUUCCCAUUUAUUUUCUACCAAAAUAGAUCUCCAUUGAUUAUCUUUAUCAAUAAUUCACCUUUCUGUUCUCUUAUUGUUUCACCCCUAGAAUGAAUUGAGAAAUGCUUGAUUGCAUGUAUUUGUCAAAAUUUGAAAUGAUAAUGAAUGAAUGAACAUGUACUUAAAAGAAUCUUACAUUCAUUUGAAAAGAAAUCUAAGAUGAUGAAGAAAUGGUAGAAACCUAAAAGAGAUGAUGGGGCAAAUCUGGAAAAGUGAUGAAUUGAUCGAUAUGACUUGCAAGUUAUGAUUGAAUGAUGAAGACAAUCAGUGGACAGAGUUUGUUUUUGAAUGGUUAAUGCUGAGACAGAGUAAGGACCCAGUGAUGGUGGAUGAAAUUUGUUUUGAAAUUUGCUAGUGCUGAGAAAUUCAUUGAAUGAUAGUCAAGGGAUGAUCGAUUGAUGAAGCUUAUUCCAAAGUAUUGAAAAACAAAACAAGAAAGAAUGUGAGUGGAAGAGACAAUUGAGAGCUACACUGGUUCGAUCUUAGAAGAGCAGUGCAAUUGGAUCCUUGAGGAAUCAAAGGGCUUGACACCCAAAAAAAAAAAAGCUUGAGAAACUUGAGUACCAUACAUUGAACAGGAAUUAAUUGGCCAACAUUUGCAUGGCAUGCAUUGAAAUUCAUAUGCAUUGCACAGCAUACACUACUUUCAGGAGAAUAUAGUGUACAAAUUCAAGAAGCAAGGGUGUUCCAACAUCCCACAUGAAAAAGACAGAUAUGAAAAGACUUUGCAAGUUUGAGAAGAAACUUGUCAGGUAAGUUCCUAAUCCUUGAAAUAGGAUGUCUUUUGGUAUCAGGGUUGAUUUAUAAGACCUUUGGGCAUAAUCUCCUGAAAUCCCUUCAAACACAGCUUUCAACUCCUUUGGACAUGAUUGUCAAGGAGCCUAUUAAUUUCCAAAGUUCCGUUGCCUCUGUUUUAGAGGAGCAAUUUAUCUUUUCAAAGUCGUGGUGCCUCUGUUGAGAGGAGCAAUUUACUUUUCAAAGUCGUGGUACCUCUGUUGAGAGGAGCAAUUUACUUUUCAAAGUCGUGGUGCCUCUGUUGAGAGGAGCAAUUUAUUUUUUCAAAGUCGUGGUGCCUCUGUUGAGAGGAGCAAUUUACUUUUCAAAGUCGUGGUGCCUCUGUUGAGAGGAGCAAUUUACUUUUCAAAGUCGUGGUGCCUCUGUUGAGAGGAGCAAUUUAUUUUCAAAGUCGUGGUGCCUCUGUUGAGAGGAGCAAUUUACUUUUCAAAGUCGUGGUGCCUCUGUUGAGAGGAGCAAUUUAUUUUUCAAAGUCGUGGUGCCCUCUGUUGAGAGGAGCAAUUACUUUCCAAGUCGUGGUGCCUCUGUUUAGAGGAGCAAUUUACUUUUCCAAAGUCGUGGUGCCUCUGUUGAGAGGAGCAAUUUAUUUUCAAAGUCGUGGUGCCUCUGUUUAGAGGAGCAAUUUACUUUUCCAAAGUCGUGGUGCCUCUGUUGAGGAGCAAUUUACUUUCCAAAGUCGUUGCCUCUGUUUAGAGGAGCAAUUUAUUUUCCAAAGUCGUGGUGCCUCUGUUUAGAGGAGCAAUUUACUUUCAAAGUCGUGGUGCCUCUGUUUAGAGGAGCAAUUUACUUUUCCAAAGUCGUGGUGCCUCUGUUGAGAGGAGCAAUUUACUUUUCAAAAGUCGUGCCUCUGUUUAGAGGAGCAAUUUACUUUCAAAAGUCGUUGAGUCUCUGUUUAGAGGAGCUUCGGCAAAAAAAAAAAAAAAAAAAACAAAAAACAAAACAAAAAAAAAAAAAACAAAAAAAAAUCAAAAAAAUCAAAAAAAAAAAAAAAAACAAAAUCAAAAAAAAAUCAAAAAAUAAAAAUGUUGAGUUGAGUCUUGAUUGGGUGUCUACGUCUUUGCGCAAUUUCUGUUUCACAGAAAAUGUGCAAAGAGGGCCACCUGUAGACACCCAAUUGGGUCCGGGCCCAGAUCAAUUGGGCCUGGCCCAAAUGGGUAAGGCCCAUUUCAAUCCUGUAUAUUUUUUUCUUUUGUAUUUUAUGUAUUCUAUUAUUAUUAUUAUUAUGUAUAUCUUUAUUCAUUUAUUUAUUUUUAUUUAGAUUAGAUUUAUAUGUAUAUUAUUUAUAUAGUUAUAUAUUUAUUAUUAUUAUUAUUAUUAUUUUUGUAAGAUAUUUUUGGAUUUAUCUUAUUUUAUUAUUAUUUUUUUUAAAUUAUCUGUUCUGAUUUUUUCCUGAUUAUCAGAUAUUUUUUUACUAUAAUAUCUUUUUAUUUAUCUGUUCUAAUUAUCUAUUAUUUUUUAUAUUAUUUGAUUUUUUUUUUUGGAAGGUUGAGAUUGAAGCUGAAGAAUCCUACUGGGAGUGGGGAUUCAAUCUAAAGAGUCCAAUUGGAUUCAAAGACUGAAUCCCCGUCCAAGGAGGAGUUGGGAUUGAUCAGAAACUCCUGAUCAACCCCUAUAUAAAGGACCCUUUGGAACAGUUCAAGAACACACAGAAAACAGUCAGCUAGAGCUACUGAUUUGAGAAGCAAAGGCGUAGGGAAGAGUAUAGAAGGCUAGGAAAAGGUUUAGGAGAGUUCCAGAAAUUAUCAGAAAUUUUUUUGGGGAUUUUUCGAGAUUUUUUUUUCUGGGAGUUUCUGGAAAAUUCCAGUUUCCGGUUGAAUUCUCCGGCCAACCUUGAAGUUUCCGGCUAAAAUUCCGGCCAACAUUGAAGUUUCCGGCGAACUGCCCAGUUUCCGGCGAAGAAUCCCAGAAAUCGGUGAAUUUCCGGCCAACUUCCGGCGAAAAAACCCAGAUUCCGGCGAAAAUUUCCAGAAUCCGGUGAAUCUUCCACCGGAGUUCUUCGGUUUUUUAGAGAGAAGGGAGAGAAAAGGGAAGGAAGAGAGAGAGGGGAGAGGAGCGUUCUGCCGAAAAACGGAGGAAGGUGCUUUUAUACCCUCCCAAAACGACGUCGUUUUGGCUUUAAGUUAAUCAGAGGAUCCGCGCGUUUACCGAACCCGACCCGACCCGAGCGUCGACCCGAUUCUGACCCGCGCGUGCCCAGCCCCCCUCCGAGCGAGCCGAGCCGAGCCGUUCUUCCCGAGCCGCUUCUCCGAGCCGUUUUCUCUUCCUUGAGCCGAGCCGAGCCGAGCCGCAACCCGAGCCGCUCCCAGGCUUUUUUUUUUUUUGAAUUUUUUUUUGAAUUUUUUUUUUUUGAAUUUUUUUUUUAUUGACUUUGAUUUUGAUCUUGAUUUUUUUUUCUUUUUCUUUAAUAAAUCCGACGACGGAGCCUCUGCAAGUGAAACAGUAGUUUUUCUUGCAUACUCUUGAGGUGAGGGAAUUUUCUCAAUUUUCUGCUAAAAGUAUUAGAGUUAAUUGAGAAUAAUUUCCAAUAAUUAAUUGGAUGAUUUUGUUUUUUCUUUAAUAAAUCCGACGACGGAGCCCCUGCAAGUGAACAGUAGUUUUUCUUGCAUACUCCUGAGGUGAGGGAAUUUUCUCAAUUUUCUGCUAAAAGUAUUAGAGUCAAUUGAGAAUAAUUUCCAACAACUAAUUACUUGGUAAAUUUAAGGCUUUUGGAUAACACAAAUUUAAGCUGGUACCAUCUUUUGAUGGGCGUUGUGAGGGUGCUACAACCUUCCUCACACGUAACCGAACUCCCGAACUUUGUUCUGGUUAGCAGACCUGAACCUAUUCUUUUAGGGACCCUCAAGCUUAGGUGUUCCCUGAAAGGACAGAUUCUUUAGGUGGCCAAUCGUACCUAGAUAAAAAAGAUUGGUGGCGACUCCCUGAAAGUCAAUGUCUAGCGAUAGAUCCCCGGAUCUAGACGUUACGACAAUGAUAAUAAGAGAAAAGAAAGAAAAGAUGGUGUUUAGGGCUUUUAAGACUAAUUUUAUUUAUUUUGUAUCAAAACUACAUUGUUUUGGUAGAGAGAAAAACAAAAAGAAAAGUAGAUAAAAAAGAAGUGAUUCUCAAGUACCACAAAAGCAUCUAAAAAAUGCCACAUAUAUUGACACAUGGCAUGAGAAAAAUCUUUUGUUAGAACUUUGGGUGAUUUUUAGUGCUGACGAACAAUGACCAAUGAUGGAAAAUGGUGUCAAUGAUGGUGGUUGAUGCUGAAAAUUAAGAAGUUUGGGUGAAAAGGGUGAAUUUUAAAUAGAAAUAAAAGGGAAAAAUGAAUUGAAAAAAAAAUUGAGUUUUGAUAUUGUACUGCAAAAAAAGUAUCAAUGUGUAGGCUCGAAUUCAGACCUAGAACACAUUUUUCCUUCCCAAAGACCCAAUACCUGAAGCAGACUAAGUCCCAAGUCCACUUAACAAGCCCAAUUUCCUUGGACUUCUCUUUAUUUGGGUCAAUCCCAAAUUUGUGGUAAAUUAUUAUCUUUUUUUCGUUUAUUUUCUUUUUAAAAAAGAAUGUUAUCAUUUUUAAUUAAAUUGACAUAUUUUUUACAAAAAAUAAUUUUUUAAUUAAAUUGAUAUAAAAAGCAACCAUAUGUAUAAUUAUCAAAAUCAAACUAGAUACUAAACUGUUCAAAGUGUUGGGUCAUUGGUUCAACUGUUAGGUCAAUCAAGUCAAUUGUUAAACUAAUUAAGAUAUAUAAAUAUAUAAAUAUUUUAAAAAUUUAAUCCAUUAUGUGAUAAGCAAUAAAAUUCUAUUGUAGAUAAUCUCAAACUUAAAAAAUUAAAAAUAUAUAACAGAAUAUAAGUGUAAAAAAGGUAUAUGUAUUUAAAAAGUGAACUUAAAUUAUGAAAAUAAAUUUAAAAUUCAAACUCGUAACUCAAACUCUAAAGAUACUAAUUGAAUAAUUCAGCUAUAUUAUUAAAAAAAGUAAAUACUCUAAAAAACUUAAAAACAAAAAAAAAGUUUAAAAAAGAGAAAGCUUAUGUAAAAUAUAAAUUUUAAAAAAUGACAUAAAAAAAUUUCCUUUAAAUUGAUGAUAUUUGAUAUAAAACAAAUCAAGCUCCAAAAUGAUAAUUAAAGUUUUAAUUUUAGCCAAGUUUUUAUCCUUUAAUUUGAUAUGAGUGUGUCACCUAAAAAUAUAAAUGAGAAAGCAGUUAAAUUUUAUUAAGUUAUUCUUUAAUGUGCAUAACGUGUAGGUACGAACACAUGAUACUGAUAAUUAAAUUUGUAUAUUAUCAUAACAUUUAGAUCUGAGGAUCUAUCGCUAAACAUUGACUUAAGGAGUCACUACCAAUCUUUUUUGUUUAGGUGCGAUUAGCCACCUAAGGAAUCUAUCUUUUCAAAGAACACCUAAGUUUAAGGGUCCCUAAAAGAAUAGGUUCAGGUCUGUUAACCAGAACAGAGUUCGAAAGUACGGUUAUGUGUGAGAAAGGUUAUAGCACCCUCACAACGCCUAUCGAAAGAUGGUACCAGCUUAAUUUUGUGUUAUCCAAUAAGCCUUAAAAAUUUACUAAGUAAUUAAUUAUUAGAAAUUAUUCUCAAUUGACUCUAAUACUUUUAGCAAAAAAUUGAGAAAAUUUCUUCACCUCAAGAGUAUCAAGAAAACUACUGUUUCACUUGUAGAGGAUCCAUCAUCGGAUUAUUUACCAUUAAAGAAAAUUCAAGAAACAAGAAGGAAAAGAAAUAAAAAAUAAUAAUGAUUUAGCUUUAGAUAUAAAUCAUUUUCUCUUCAAAAACUCAUUGCUUUUGUACAAGAAAAAUUGAUACUUUCAACUUUUCAUCAAAAGCAUUUGGGAGUUUCUAUUUUAAGGAAAAUUGAUACUUUUAACUUUUCCUUAAAAAGUUUUUUUUUAAAAAAAAAUUUGGUACUUUCAACUUUUUCUAAAAAUGUUUUUCUGAAACUUUAAUUUCUAGAAAAAUUGAUACUUUCAACUUUUCUUUUAAAAUAUUUUUUUAGAAAAAUUAUUUUCAAGGAAAAUUGAUACUUUCAACUUUUCCUCAAAAAUAUAUUUUUUUAGAAUUUUAUUUUAAGAAAGUCAUUAAAAAAUAAAAUAAAAUAAAAAUAAAAAUAAAGAAUACCAAAUAAUUCUAAUCUAAUCAAUAAAUAAUAACAAUAAAUAAAAUGAAAAAAAAAACCUUAACAUGACUCGGCUUGAGGAAAAAAAUGGCUCGAAGAACACGGCUCGAGAGCGUGCGGCUCGACUCUAAGGGAAGGUCAGUAUGCGGGUCGCUGGACCAGGUCACGAUCAGAUCGGGUCAGAUCUUGACAAAACGAGUGGAUCCUGUGGGUUCACUAAUGCCAAAACGACGUCGUUUUACGGUACUAUAAAAGGCUCCAACUUCUAUUUUUUUGCAAACUACCUCCCUUCCUUCUCUCUCUUCCCCUUAGCUUUCUCCUCCUUCUCUCUACCUGUGAAGAACAAUGGUGGAAUUCUCACCGAUUUUUGGGUUUUUCUACCAAAAACUAGGUUUUUGGCUAGAAUACUCACUGAAAAACUUGAAUUUCGUCGAAAAAUUUCGUCAAAUUUUGGAAAAUUUUCAUAAAUUUUCCAGAAAAAAAAAACUCCGAAAAUUUUGAGAAAAUUUUCCUAAAAGUUCUAAACUGCCUCUAACACUAUUUUUGCCUCUGAUUUCACCUCUGUGCCUUUUCUGUAUGAUUUAUGGACCUAUUUAUAGGGAUUGAUCAGAUUUUUGAUCAAUCCCAACUCCGUCUGGGAUUUGGAUUCAAGUUUUUGAAUCCAAUCCAGACUCUUCUAGUCCCAUAUCCAUGAUAGAAUUCCAACUUUUUCUGAUCAAUAUCCCUUAAUCCCAGCCAAAAAAUAAUCAAGCAAAAGAUAAAGUAAAAAAAUAGAUAAAUAAUAGAAUAAAUAAAAAAUAAAAAUAGAUAAAUAAUAAAAAAUAUUAAUAGAUAAAUAAUAAAAAAUAAAAAAUAAAUAUUAAUAAAUAGACAAAUAAUAAAAAUAAAAAUAAAAAUUAAAGCCAAUUGGGCCUGCUAAUUGGAUCCUGAAUCGACCCCAAUGGACUUAGGCCCAAACCCUAUUAGAUCAGGUCCAAUGGCCUUGGGCCCAGAGCAAAUAGGGUAUCUACAUAUAUGGAUUGAGUCGAGCCAGAUUCGAGUCUAGCCUAGUUAGAAUAUUAACAAAUUUUAAGUUUGUUCAUACUCAUUCAUCCCAAAAUAUAAUUUUAUUUUGCUACUCAGGCUUAAUUAAUUUUUAAAAUACUUUACUGAAGCUUGCCUAUAUUUUAUUUUUUAAAUAAAAAUAAUUUUUAUAAUAAGUAUUAAUUAUGAUAAAAUAAAUAAUCAACAAAGUAAACCCUAAAAAAUACUUUGUUAACUUAAUUCAAUAUUUGAAUGUGAUUAGUAUAUAUAGACAUAGGAUAUUAACGUAUAUAUUAUAUAUUUUUAUGUAAUAUAAAUAUAAAAAGUAUAUAAUAAUUAUUUAGGCCUAAUCGGAUUCGAACUUUAAACUUUAUGUCCAUGGCCUAGUACAAGUUUUUAAACGGGUCUAAAAUUCAAGUUUAGGCCCAUUUAAGAACCUAAAAUUCAUGUCUAAGCCUUCCCAAAAUUAGGAAGGGCUUUCGGGCUCGAAUGAGUUGCCCAAUCAAUAUAAUUUAAAAGUUUAAUUCAUUUGGUUCAUGUAAUUAUCCUUAAGAGAUUGCAUCUAAGAUAUCUGAAAUUUAAAUUUCAAUACUUAUAUUUUUUUCUCAAUAUUUAAGUUGUGACAUCUUUUAUAUAUAUAAAAAAAUACACCUUUUAAAGAAAAAAAUUUAAAACUACUAUCUCUUUGACAAUAAAGAUUUUAAUUUACCUUAUCUUAAGAAAAAAAAUUACAAAUUAGAAGCUUUUAAACCCAAUCUCAAUUAUUUAAUUACCUAUCCGAUGUAUGAUAACAGAAUGAUUUGAUUUGAUGCAAGAGAAAAGCAAGAAGACUGAUUGAUCCUGGCAACUGGUAGCUUGAAUUCUUCACCUAAAAUUUCUUGGUCUGCUUUGACGUGUGUAAAAUCAAUAUCACUUCAUUGAUCCUCGCGUUUAGAAAAUGAUCAUUAGCUUUCCUGACUUGAAAUUUCUCUGUUUGUUUUGACGUUUGUGAAACCAAGACCUCUUGAUUGAUCCUUGCAUUUGAUAGCUUUAAUUCUUCACGUAAAAUUUCUUAGUCUACCUUGAUGUGUGUGAAACCAAGACAAAUUGAUUGAUCCUUGCGUUUAUAAAACGAUCAUUAGCUUUCCUGACUUAAAAUUUCUUAGUCUGCCUUGAUGUGUGUGAAACCAAGACAACUUGAUUGAUCCUUGCGUUUAGAAAACGAUCAUUAGCUUUCCUGACCUAAAAUUUCUUAGUUUGCCUUGAUGUGUGUGAAACCAAGACAAUUGAUUGAUCCUUGCGUUUAGAAAAAAAUCAUUAGCGUUCCUGACUUAAAAUUUUGUGAAACCAAGACAACUUGAUUGAUCCUUGCAUUUAGAAAACGAUCAGUAGCUUUUCUGACUUAAAAUUUCUUAGCCUGCUUGAUGUUUGUCGAAAGCAAGAUGACUUGGAUUGAUUCAAGGCCUAGCACUUAGAGCAUGUGCUUAGCUUUUCUGACUAGAUUCCUUUAUUUGCUUUUAUGUAUGUGAAGAAUAAAAUAACUUUAUUGAUACUUCUUUUGUCUCUCUCAUGGAAAAAGAAUUGCUUGCUCAGUUUUGGAUUACACCAAUCACGGCUUUGAUAUGUGGUACUAUCAUAAACUUAUCUUAGGGUUGAAUUGAAACUGACACUCCAUGUGUCCUCAAAUCUCUUUAUCCUUAUUUGAAUUUGUGUACAUAUUAAAUAAAAAAUUGUGGUAAAAAAAGCGAGCCUAAACAAUGAUCAUAUGGCAAAAAACAAAAAGAUCUUUUUAACUUUUUUUUAUUGAAAUUUAUGCCAACAGUUACAUGAUAUCAAGGCAGCAAAUUUCAUUGAUUUUUAAAGUUAUCGAUUUGAAAUAAAUGAAAUCAAGAUAAAUUUGAAAUAAAUGAAAUCAAGAGAAAUUUUGAACUAAAUUAAAAAGAUAAAUGUGAAAAAUAUAUAGUUUUUUUUAUAUAAUUUUAUGAAUUGUUUGAAGGGUAAAAUGAAAAUGCACAAGAAUUUCAUUAAAUAUUUGGUCCCAUAUAUUAGCAAAUUUUAAAGAAAUUUUAAUUUAUAACUUGGUUUUAAAAUAUUAUUAUAUUAACUUCAUUCUUUUCAUAUUCCGUUAAUUAAUACUAAAAAUGAAUUUUUGAAAGAAAAGAUUAUAAAUAAAAUUCAUUUGAAAACUUUUUAUAUUCUACUAACCACUGAAAUUAACUAGAAUGUUAAGUAAAGGAAAAAUCAUAUGAUAUUAUCAUAUUAAUUUAAUAUUUUCAUAUUCUAUAAAUUCAUUAUUUGAAAAUAAAUUUUCAAAAAUAAUUAGAUCACUUUUUAUUUGGAAUUUGAGUACGAUAUUGUAUUUUAAAAUUUUAAAACUAUUUUUUUCAAUAUUGAAUGUUAUCAAUGAUCAAUUAUCCUAAUAUAAUUUAUACUUCUUAGAGAAAUAUAUAUAAUUUAUAUUUAUAUUUAUAUAAAAGAAUGACUAGCUGCAAUUUCAUACAAGCCCAUGGCGUAAAACUAGGAGUCAAGGAGAAAUGACUAGUUGGGUCUCACAAAGUAUGCAAGUCCAAUAAAUACAAAGAAAAAGAGAAAAAGAUAUAUUGGUUUUAGAUAUGCUUUGUAAAAGGAGAUCAAAAGCAAAUUAGAGGGCCCAAAAUCAAAAGCUUGACUCAUUUUAUUUAUUGUGAAGACCAAGACCGUUGGUAUCAAUUGCCUGGUGAUAUCAAAUUCAUCCAAAGAUUUAUAAAAGUACUGGACUACCUGUUUAGUAAUAAAAAUUGACAUUUCAUUAAAAAAAAAACUCUUUGAAAAGAAAAAAUAAUUUAAAAAUGGCCUAUUUAGGUAAUAAAUACUUUUAAUUUUCCUUACCUUAAAAAAGUAGUGGUUACAAAUUAGGAGGUUUUACACCCAGGCUCAAUUAUUUAACAACCCAAGUAUGAUAAUAAAGUAAUCAAAUUCAACAUAUAAUAUUAAAAGAUCGGAACGCAGUUAGAAGAAGACCUUAUUGUUUUUGGAAACCAUAGAAAUUCACAUGUUAAUAUCGUAAUAAUAAUAGUGGUUGCUUUGAUUUAAAAGAAAAAAUAGUGGUUGCUUUGAUUUGGUAAGUUUUAGAUUAAUCCUUGCUCUUGCAACAAAGUCAAUUGCUUUUCUGACUUCAAAAUUUCUUAGUCAGGGUCAAUUUCUGACUUCAAAAUUUCUUAGUCAGGGUCAAUUGGAGAGAGAAUUGCUUGCAUUAGGUGGAAUCAUUUGCAAUAUAUAUAUAUAUAUAUAUAUAUAUAUGAUAAUAUUACGAUCACAUGAGAUUAAAAUUAUAUGAAAAAAAAUGUGAAAGUGAUAUUAUUUAAAGUUUUGACAAAAAUUCUAUGUGGAUUUGACAACAACAAAAAAAAGUAUUUUAUAUUUGAUUUAUCAACAUGAAUUUGAUAUGAAAAUUUUCAUAUUUUAUAUGUAUAUAAUGAUAUUGACAUAAUACAAAUAUAUGAAUUACUAAAUCUAUUUUGGACCGUAUCAAUAAAAAAUUUAAUAGAAGUACCAGAUUUCAAUAUACUCAUAUGGGGCAAAGAAAAUUCAUUAAAAAUUAAUUUUUUAUAGGAUGUUACUUUAUGGGUGGGUAGCUUUUUUUGAAUAAGAUUAAAAAAUUUUUUUAAAAUCUUAAAUUUAUAUUGUUAUUCUAUUUUAACUUUGGAUUUAAUGUAAAUUUACCAAUUGGUUAACUCAACUCAAUCACGUUACCAUUAGUGUGUGUGUGUAUAUAUAUAUAUAUAUAUAUAUAUAUAUAUUCACAAUUUUAGUUUAAAAAUAACUUUAAAUUUAUUUAGCAAAAAAAAUUUAGAUUGUAUUGUAUCCUAACAACAUUAUCAUCAUUAUUACCUUAGAAAAUUUUUUUUACAAAAUUAUAAUCGAUUUAACACCUUUCAUUAUAAAUUAAAAAUUAGUUACAGAUAGAUGUGGUGAUGACACAUGUUCAUAAGGGUCAUAGAAAGAUUUAAUUCAAUUUUUAUGGGUACUUUUGACAUUUUAUGAGAGAAAUUGGGAGUUGUAUUUUGGACUUAUUUUAAGAUGUUGAAUAAAAUUUUCAUUAUGUUUGAGCUCUUAUUAUGGUUUUUUUUCUUAUUAUAAAUAUAAAAUUAUGCUUUAUGUUUUUAUUUAUUUGAUGUGUUCAUUUAAAUUUUUAUAAUUUAAUUUAUCUCUAUGCUUAUUUGAGUAAUUCAUUUGCCAAAUUUUUAGGGUGCAUUGAUAUUAAUUAAAUAUUAAUUUGGGAUUAUUAUUAGAAGUAGAUUUUGUUUACUAAUUUAUGUAUAAGUUGAUUAUUUAUAAAAGAAUGAUUAAAAUAUUAUUAUUACAUAUAAUUGACAUUUAUAUCUCGAGUGUUUAAGUAAUAACAAAAUAAUAAAAUAACAACCGAAUUGAAACACGAUCCUAAAGCGAGUAAGUUUCCAAACUUGGAAGUAUUUCCAUUUUUUAAAUAAUUUCAAUAGCAUUAACUAUUGGGCUCAUCUACUAUGCUAUAUAUAGGAGAAAUUUUUACUUGGCAUAUUUUUAUUGAAUACUACAACUCACAUUACAAAUAGACAAUAGUAAUAUUUUAUUUUAUAAAAAUAAUUUAAUAAUUUAUUUUAUUUUAUUUUAUUAGAUUUUGACACACCUGAUAUGUGAGUGAAGAAGUAAAUAUUUUGAUAAAAAAGGAAGUUCGCUAAUAAAAGAUGUUGCUUGAUGUAUUGGAUGUGUAGUUUUUUUUUUUUUUUUACAAAAACAAAUUUAAAAAAUAAGUAUCUGUACCUACAUAUUAUUAUUAUUAUUAUUAUUAUUAUUAUUAUUAUUAUUAUUAUUAUUAUAUCUUAAAUUUAAGUGAUUUCAUUAAUUAAAUUGAUUCCAUCUGGUUUAAAAAUAACAUAGAUUACUAUAUUUUCUCCAAGAAGAGAGAUGCAGCAUUACUAUUUUGCAACACUCUCGCGUAACACGUGGAGUCACGGGGCCUAAUAAAGUGCACAAGACAAGGAAUAAGAAGAAAGGAGAUAGAAAAAAAAAAUAUAUGCUAAAAGAUAAAUUAAUUUCAAAAUAAAAAGCUUCGCUCGUUUAUUUAUUGUGAAGACGAGGACCAUCCAACGACUUUCCUGUCGAAGUCUCAGUCAUGUUGACUAGUUGAUUCCAUAUUUAAGUAUUAUUUUGAGCAGACUUCCUCAAACCAUCCUACAUUUUCAUCAAUUCCCACAGCCAUGAACAUGAGAAAAUUCCAUUUUCUUUCAUCAGCUUUAAUGUUCAUUCAUUGUUUGAUGAUUAGUUACGCCAUGAUUGUGAGGAACCUCACCACAGACCAACAUGCUCUUCUCGAAUUUAAGCACCGAAUCAUUGAUCCUCAUAACAUCUUAGCCAAUAACUGGACUACCACUACCUCUGUUUGCAAUUGGGUUGGUGUCUCUUGCGCUUCUAAGCAUAGGAGAGUCAACUCUUUGAAUCUUCCAAACAUGAAUCUUAUAGGAACUGUCCCACCACAUUUGGGAAAUCUCUCAUUCUUAGUAUCUCUUAAUUUGAGUCACAACAAUUUUCAUGGCCUUUUACCGAGAGAGUUGGGACAAUUAAGUCGUCUGAGACUCAUAGAAUUAAGCUUCAAUUUUCUUAGUGGGGAAAUUCCUUCAUGGUUUGGGAGAUUAAAUAAAGUUUUAUAUUUGAGCCUCUGGAGCAACAAUUUGACAGGUACAAUCCCUCAAUCACUAGCUCAAAUGUCCAACUUGGAAAUCUUGGACUUGAGGCAGAAUCUCGUUCAAGGACACAUUCCACCCGAGAUAAGUAAUCUUCUAAAUCUAAGGAUACUUCGUCUGGCAUUUAACCAACUUUCUGGUUCUGUCCCUUCAGUCAUUUAUAACAUUUCCUCCCUACACAUGAUUUCUCUUACGUCUAACAGUCUAUCUGGCAGUUUACCUGAAGAUAUAUGUCGCCAUCUUCCAAAUCUUGAGAGAUUUUACUUGACCUUAAACGAGUUUUCUGGUCAAAUUCCAUCAAGUAUAGAUGAAUGCAGGUGUCUUCAAAUUUUAACAUUAAACUUUAACAGAUUCAGUGGCAGCAUUCCAAGGAGUAUUGGAAAUUUAACGAGGCUCAAAGUGCUAAGCUUGGAUGGAAAUAAUUUGGAAGGUAAGCUCUUUGUUUUUUCUUUGAUAAUUUUCUUUCGAUUGAUCAUUAAUUAAUUUUUGUAUUAAGUGAAACAUGAUUCCAGCUAAAACUCCCUAAUUUAUGCUACUAAAAAUAGCUUUGCUUUAACCAAGACUCCAACACAGUUAAUUAAAACUCCUUCUAAUUGGUUGUUCGUUUUUUCUUGCUUUUAUUUAAUCAAAAGGUGCCAAGAAAUAGAAGAAAAUAGUAAAAAUUUUAAAUAUCUUCUAUAUAUAAAAAAUAUAAACUUUAAAAGUGAUUAAAUGCAGUAGUAAAAAUUAAAACAUUUUUAUCUUAUUUAUAUAAAAGAACGAAAUUGGAAAGCGUAAAUAGUGAACAACAUAUAUAUCUUUGAUAAUUUAUUAUCAUAGAUAUUUUAUUUAUAAUUAAUGAUUUUCUUGUUAAAUUAAAAUAUGACUAAUUUUAUUUAUUUUCUUAUCAACAUUGAAGCUUUUAUCAAAAUAAACUUUCUUUAAUUUAUAAUUUGAAAUUAUUGUAAAAGAAUUACUUUUAUAUUUUUGAAAGUAAGAGCUAAAUUUAAUUUAAUUAUUGGUAUCAAAUUAAAACUGCUUACUAUUAAUAGUAACUAUGAAACUCAUGUUAUUUUCUCCGGUCAAGUUUCAUGGCUGAAAAUCUUUAGUAUUCCAUGAGUAUCUUAUAUUUAGGAAAAAGAAAACAAAAAACCAUAAGGAAACUAUCUCUUUUCCUUGAAAUGCUUGGACAAAUGCCUAAAAUAAAUUAGUUGGCGUUAAUGCCUCCCUCAUAACAAGGGCUGUAGCACAUUUGACAUUACCCAUCGGAUUUCGUUUUUUUUUUUUUUUUUGGAUAAAUUAUCCAUUUGGUCACUUAAUUUUGCAGUACUAUUAUUUGAGUAUUUGGUUAAAAGAAAUGAUGGUCAAUCAGAGAAAGAAGUGAAUGAAGUUAUUGCUUUAAUUUCAUCCCGUUGUUCAACUGUUAAGAAUUUAUGUCUUUUUAGUUUUUUCUUUUCCUUUUCUGUUAUUUGGUUGUUCGUUUAUAAUCCAACAAGAAAAGAGGAAAUUGUUAUUUGAUGAAAGCACUUUUCACUAAAACAUGAGCAGUUUUAUUCCUCAAAACAAUAUAAAUGGGAAAUACACCCUUGAGAGCACAGAUUUUAUUCUGAAAUUAAAUUAUUUUACUGUAUAGUUUUAGAUUCAUCGGUAUUAUGUAAUAUUUGUCUAUCAAAUAUAUAUAUAUAUAUAUAUAUAUAUAUACAUACACACACACACAAAUGCACUUGUAUUAUAUACAUAUUCAUAUGCAAUUACAAGUUUUAAAAAUCUUACUACUAUAAAUUUCUAAAUAUUUAACUCCCAAAAUUCUAAAUAAAUGAAACAACUAUAAAAAUAAUAAGUAUAUAAUACAUUAUCAUUAAAGAAAUUUAAUAGUUUAAUUUAAUGGAAACAUUUAAUUUUUGGAUCUAAUCAUGAAAAAAUAAAAAUAAUGAUGAGAGCAAAAGAAUUAAAAAUUGAUUAAAAGAGCCAGAACAAUAAAAAGGUUUAAACAGGAUAAAAUAAGAGGUAAAAUUUUAUAUCAAUCAAAAUAUCAUUUUUUACUUGUAUGACUGAGACGGACUAGUGCGUUGGAUACAUACAGGCUGAUGCAAAGAUCAAAUAAAACAAUAAUAUUAUGUGUUGUGAUUCAAAACUGAUAUAUAUUAGCUAAUACGAUGAGUAUGGGUACAUUAUCAAUAACCAUGGUAAAAUCCUUGUUCAAUGAUAUAACCAAUAGCACCAAUAAAACUGUAAAAUGAUAAUAUUAUGUCCUAAUUAAUACAGAAUAAACCAAUGUGGUUUAUCCUAAGAAGCGUUGAAAUUUUAACAUUUCUCUAAAACAUGUCUGGGUAUGAUUUUGCCUUGGAUCUUGCUCAUAUUAUAACAGUUUAUAUCUUAUUUUCUGGUCCAACUCACCAACAUUAAGAUCCGCUUGUGCAAAAAGCAAGAUUGCUGGACCAAUUAAACAUUUAUGCUAAUGAAAUAGCUUUUUGAUUUCCUGCUAAAGAUGCCAAAAAAAAAAAAAACAUCUUUUGAAGAUAAUGUUUGGAACGAGAAUUAAAUUAUUUAUUUUACAUCCAUAAACUUUGGAGCAAAUAGUUUCAUUAUCAAUGUCAUGCCAAGCAAAAAAACGUUUUUAUUCUACUUUAUAUAUACAGAUAUAUAUAUAUAUAUUUAUCUUUUGACGAUAAUGUUUGAGAUGAAAAUUAAAUUAAUUAUUUUAAUCCAUAAUCUCAUAAAAUUUGGACAAAUAGUUUCAUUAUGAAUGCAAUGCCAAGCAAAAAAAAAAAAACAUAGCUUUUAUUCUACUUUAAUAGUUUCAUUAUGAAUGUAAUGUCAAGCAAAUAGUUUCAUUAUGAAUGAACUCUUGUAACUUGGUUUCUUUAUGUUCACGGGUGAAAUCCCUUCGAAAAUUGGAAAUCAUUUGAGCUUGGAGAUAUUUUCUGCCCCAAAUCUGAGGCUUGUUGGUCCAAUCCCAGCUUCCAUCUAUAACCUUUCUUCUUUAAAAGAAAUUUAUCUCCAUAGCAACAGUCUCUCUUGCAGUAUUACAUAUAAUAUGUGUUAUACUCUUCUCAAAACUUCAGGUGCUUGAUAUUUCUGACAAUGAAUUUUAAGGCCACAUUCCAAGAAGUAUAGGAAAUUUAACCAAACUUAAAGAGAUAUAUCUAAGUCAUAAUGAUUUAGAAGGUAAGUUUUUGCAUUGGAUUAUUUAAAUUUCAAUUGAUUGAUACUUUUUAUUAAUUAUAUUAAAAAAAUAACUAAAAAAUAAAAAUUAAAAGAAUGAUCAACAUGAAAAUAAUCACAUUUGAUUUUCUUUUAUGCUUUUCUCAUUUUGACUCAAACUUUUGGAAUUUGAAGAAAUUAAGUUUUCCUUCAUAUUUUAAACAUCAAAGAAAUUAAGAAUUUAUUGUGUAAUUGACUUUUAUUGCAUUUUAAAUAACCUCAAUAUUAUUGGAAUGUUUAGAAAGUGGAUAGUUUUAUAAUACUAAGUUGUUGUUCCUUUGUAGGUGAAAUUCCAUGGGAGAUUGGGAAUCUUAUUUCAUUGGAGACAUUAGCUGCAUCAUUUAUGCGCUUAAGUGGGUUGAUUCCACAUUCCAUCUUCAACAUUUCUUCUUUGAAGGCAAUUAGUCUUGCAAAUAAUAGUCUAUCAGGUAAUUUCAUUAUAAACAUUUCAUUACUUUUAUGUUUAAAAUUGUUUACUUUAGUUUCAAAAAAGUUUAGUUUAGGAUUACAAAACAAAUAAUCAUAAAAUUAUGAAAACUGUUAAAAAAAUGAAGUGUCAUUGAAAGGCUUGAGAAAUGUCUUUUCAAACCUCUUUUAUCUUAUUAAAAUCAAAUACUGUUUCCAAUUAAACCAGGGAACGCAAAACAAAGACUCAAAAGAAUUUAAAAACCAAACCUGAAAAUCGAAAUUUCCAUCGAUUAGAAAAUAUUUUAAAAUUUUUAAAAAACAUUUUAUAAUGGAAUCAUGCCCCUAACUGGGAUGCGCACCACUAGCUAAGUCUACAAAGUUGGCCAAUGUGGAAAAAGGAUAGGUACCCAAAACUUGUGAUGUAAUAUGGCUAUUAGUUAUUAUCCCAUUGCAAUUAUAUACAAUAAAACUAUUUGAUUUGGUUUAUAAUGUGAUAAAAAGCAAUAUUAACGUACAUUGUUACUCCCAUAUUAAUUUAAUACCGACUUAAUUUAUUGUUACAUCUAACUUAAAGUAGUAUUAUUAUAUUUUAUAUUUUUAUAUUUAUUCAUCUGCAAAUAUUUAAAAUUUAUAUUUUGUGUAAUAAAAAAUUUAACAAUGUAUUUUAUUACUUUCAUAUUUCUUAAUAGUGUGUAUCCGCGUGGGCUAGUUUUAUUGGCUAUAUGUGAAAUGUUUCAUAAAAAUUAAAUUGAUUAAAACUGUUAAGUAUAUAUUAAAAGGAUUGUGAAAUUCCAAUUUUCAUUAUGAGGGAUAAAUUAAAUAAGAUUCAAAUGAAUAUAUUUGAUUUUUAUCGUAACGAAGUUGUAAAAAACAAUAAUAUUCAGAUUCUAUAGGUAUACUCAAAAGUUUAUAAACUGUAAUCAUACAAGAUGCAUAUGAAUAUAUUUGAUUAGCUCUUAAUAAGUUGUUAAAAUAAUGAAAUAUGCUAGUCACAUACAAUAAAAUUUGAUGGGAGGAAAGAAUUGAUCAAUGGAGCUAUUUGUUAAUUAUCCAUUUUUUCCCACCGCAUGGAAUUAAAAUGAAUGUUGUAUUUUGAUAUUCUGUAUAUUGAAAACAAUAAAAGAUGAUGUAUAUUUGUUUAGUUUUAUAUAUAAAUGAUAAAAAGGAAGCUAAAACAUUUGAAACUUGAAAAACAAAAAAAUUAAACAACCUGAAUAGCAAGAAGAAAAAAAAUGAAAGAAAGAAAAAUGAGAAGUAGAAAAGAGAUAGAGAUUCUAGAAAUGAAAAUAUGAUAUAAUAAAGUACAUGUAAAAACGUGCAUUCUAAAAUAGAAACUCACAUAAAAAAUUAUAAUUAAAACCUGUAUUGUAAUGAUUAUUUGAUUUGAAGUAGGAAAGAAAGAGUCUUUCCAUGUCAAUAAAACCAAAUUAAAAACCUUUUAGUGUUUGUUCCCCCAAAUAUUUUUCUUUUAACACUGAUUUAAGGUUUCAUUAAAUUGUAACUGAUCCAUUUUGUAAUUUCUAUUAUUACUUAAAGACAUUAGGUCAAUUCAUUUUAUAGUUUUUCUAAAUUUAUUAUUUAUUAACAACAUGUAAUAUUGUAUUAAAAUUAAUAUAAUUUUAUUAUUUAUUAACAAGAUGUGAUAUUAUAAUAAAAUAUUAAAUUUAAAUCUUCUAAAAUAUAAAAUUUUUUAUUGAAUGGAUAAGGUAAUUUUAAUUUGAGCAUUAUUAUAUUACAUAUAAAUAAUAAAUUUAAAUAUGGAAUUUAAAAUUAGAUUAAAAUUAUUAUAACAUUAUAUAUUAAGUCCACUCUUUUAAUACAAAAAUUAGGGCUCAUACGUUUACUUAGCCUAUAUUAUUUUUUACUCAACCCAUUCUUUUAAGACAAAUGAGUAAAGUUUAUAUGAUAAUUGUGGACCAAACUUAUGAUUAAUUAUAUUUAACAAAAACCAAUUUCAAAAAAAAAAAAAACAAAAACCGUUGUUUUAAAAUAUAGUAUUAAUGAUUUUCUUAGUUGUACUCUGUUCCUAAAAAAAUCAACAUUCAAAAUUAAAAGAUAACCAUUCUUCACUUAUCCAACCACGUGUCAAUUUCCAAUUCGUCCCCAACUACCAUGCUUUUAUCACAGGAUUGUUCUAAUAUAAUGUAUAGAUUGUCUAAAGUUAUCUAACUUUUUAUUUGGAGCAUUUCAGUUAUAAUUUUUUUACUAUAAUAUUAUAAUUAUUUGCUAAUCAUAAUAAAAUAUUAUAUAGGGAUCAUCAUUUAUAAAUAUGGGUUACAUAUAAAAUUUUGAUAAAUCUCACACAAUUUUAAAUUAUAAUUAAUUAAUUAUACUAUAAUAAUUAUAAAUUAUAUGCUCUUUUUUUUUUUUUUAUUAUAUGCAAUAAAAAUAAGUGCUACUUUACCCUUUUUUGUUGUCAAAUUAGAGAAUUUAACUGUUCUUUUACGAAAUAAAAAGCUAUAGUUACGUAAUUGUUUUUGCUAAGCCAUAUUUUUAUUAGAGAUCAAAAGACCAUCAUAAGUGAAAUACAAGAACCUUACCAAGAAACAUAGUUAAAGCCAUACCAGAAACAACAUAAAAACCAUCUAGCACAAUUCUAAUGAAAGACUUCCAUCUAAAAUGAAGAUAUCAUUACAUCUAAACAAAAAUGAAAAAAAAAAAAAAACACUACCAUGGUCGGUAAACAAAUAAUGGGAGCAAAGACCACUAUCCUUACAGAACAAAAUCACCACCAUGUCUUACAAAAAAAAAAAUCUCUAUCCUCCUACCUUUGCCAUGACAUCUACCACAUCAUUCAGAUUUUUAAAAAAUUUUCGUCAGACUGGAUGUUCCAAUUGAUCUCCAAAGCAUCACAAUUUCAGAAAAUAUAGACAACAACUUUCAUGGUCGAUGAUUCUUUUUACUGCAGUUAACAGCCACCAUAAAGCCACUUCCAUAUCCCAAAAGCAUACAAAUAGUAAAACGCUAAAACUCCCAAUAUUAACCUCAUAUCCACUAUCAUAUCCUUCAAACACAACUUUAAAAAUACCUUUUGCCAACUUCCUUAACUGUGGUAUUGAUAAAGCUUGUAAAUAAGACCAAAUUCAUUAGAACCUUUAAAUCGACAAAGCCCUUUUGUAUCAAUCUUGAUGAAGCUCCCCCAAUCCUGUCUUUCUAAACCAGCAAUACGUUGAAUAAUGGAACCAUCAUCUUCAUUUACAGAUAAACCCAAUAAUUUACCAACUUCCCAAAUCUUCUCAGCCUCUUCUAGAAAAGCUCUAUUUGCAAAACCAAUAUCUUCAUCCGAAAGUGGUCUUGAACAAUGGAAACUAGAGGUGUCUUUAUCUGGCGAGACUUGCUUUUGGAUCUUUCCAAUAUUUUGCCUUAACGUUUUUUCCUUCUUUUACCUGCUUGAAUAGUAACAAGGUGAAAUUUAUCUUCAACGUCGAAAAGUUUCUCAGCGUCUAUAUUACUCUUGGUCAUAAGCUUAAUAGAAACUGGAUUUGACUAAAGAUCAGUUAAGAUAUUUCCACCAAUAGAAUCCCUAAGCGCAUCUGAUGGGCCAUUUGAUAUCCCAAGAGAUGUAGAAGUAUUAAUAUCUUGAUCCUCUAGAUUGGACUCAUCAACCACAUGAUUCAAUUUAGACUUUCAUUGUUCUGUUUCAUCGGGAUUCAAAAGAGGUUCUAAAGAAGAAUUAAUUGCAACACCUGUAUUUAACUCCGCAUGCUCCAUAAUUGAUCUGUUUUCAAGAACAAAUAUUGGAUAUAUGUUCAGAAACAACAUUUAACUCCUCUUGUUCCAAGUUUAUCUCAUUCCCAAGAUCGGCAUCAUGUGCUUCUUUAGAAUAUCUAGGUGUAUUAACAGUUGCAAUAACAGUGUUAUCUUCAUCCAAAGCCACAAAAUCAGCAUCAUUUUCAAAUUUUGAGUUACUCAGGGAGUCCUUGCCGUGAGGAGAGAAAACAUCUUCACCGCCAUCUAUGAACACUGAGUUGUCCUGGUCUGAUCUGUGAGGACUAGUCGAACUGUCAAGAGAGUGUCCAUGUUCAACAACUUUAAUGGAGUAAGCAUUAUCACCCACAGUGACCUUAAUCUCAUCAUGAAUGGCUCUAUAAUCAUUUGUUAAAAUCAGGACUCUAUCUACAUCUAAACAUUUUUUUUCGUUUGUGUAAAAUCAUCCAGCUUAAUAAGCUCACCCCAUAAACUUCCAAUGGAAGAGAAACACUUGGAAUUCUAAGCGUGAAGUGGAAUACCUGACAAUCUCAACCAAAUAAGGUCUGAAUGGCAUAUGUAGCUAGGCUUCCAUGGAGUAAUAGACGUGAACCAAUUUUGAGACCACUCCUGACCAAGUUCCAGAGAUAAUAACAUACUUUCUCUGCUUUCAAAAGUCAAAAGAUUCAUAUUCUCAACCAUGAUAGUGACAGAACAAUCAUCAAAGUCCUCCGACAAGAUUUGGUUAGUGGCAUUUAUAGUAUCAGGAUAUCUAACCAUCCCAACAGCAUUCCGUUGUAAUCUCUCCAAAUCUAAAUUUUCAGGAACGUAAUUAAGUAUGUCAAGCGAUUUUAAAACCUCUUCUUGUUGACCAUCUGAUACAAUGUUAUCCUUUAACUGAGUGGAUUUGACAGAACUAGAAUUAACUUGAGACCUUUGAUCAUACCUUGCCGUUUGAAAAUGUAGAGUGGAAUACCUCAGGUGCAAACCAGUUAGAAAUUUGAUAGCCCUCGAUGCAUCCCGUAGAUCAAGCUAAUGGACAAAACCAACUAAGACGUUCUUGGCUCUCUUUUGAUUUUUGGGGACGUAAAAAUCAAUCACCCUCCCACAUCUGACAAAACGGUGCUUGAGAUUAAAGAGACUACAAUCUGGAAAAAUUCCAUCAACAAACAGUGUAACAAAAUUUUUCUCCCAAGGUAAUGUUCUUGUGUGGCCUUCAUAGCAUCCAAGUAGAGCUUUUUGAGUUACCUUUACUUACCCUCUAAAUAGCUUUUCACCCUCUAAUAAUUGUGUAAUCAAAAACAUCAUUUUAAAAUCUUUUUCAUUAGUUUCACAUUUUGUCAUCAUAUUACUAAAUUUUUAUUAUAGUAGUAAAAUGUAUACAGUAUUACUCCAACAAACCUCAAAUGAACCUCCUCUGGUAGAGCACUCGUAAGGUUCUAUCAAACCUUAGGGAAGUAAGAAAGUGAUUUUCAAACUAAACAGAGUACAUGUACUUUUAACAAUCUUUUCACAGAAUCUUUGUAUUUUUCUCUUAUAUUAUGCAUAUAGUCUAAAAUGAAAGAAAUUUUAUCAUUUCUCUUGAGCCUUUUUUCCUAAAAUGUCAUAGAUAAAAAUUCUAAUUUAUUUCCAAAUAUUUACACUUUCAGAUUUUUCUUUUCUCAAACAAAUUAAUGUAAAUAUACUUUUAUUUUUUUAUUUUCUUCAUUUUUAUCUUAUUUCUUUUUCUUUCAUGAACAAUUUCAUCAUCCAAAUUUUCUUUAAUCUUUUUUAUCAUUAAAGCAAUUGAGAUAAGUUAAAGAAAAUAAAAUUCUCACAUAAAUGGAAAACAUUUUAAGCAUAUACUAGAAACCUUAUAAUAAUUUCUUUUCUCCCUUCCUUUCUUCUAUCUUCUUUUUUUCUUUUACGUUUCUUUUUCAUCUUCUGUACUUUAUUAUACAUAAGUAUGGAUCCCUCUAAUCAUUAAAAAUAAGAAAAAAUUUUACAAAUUAUAUAUAUGUAUAUAUAUAUAUAUAUUCCAGAUCAUCAAACAAGAAAAACUUGAAGUUGUUUCAUUUUUAUAAUUGUUUCAUGUUUCUCCUCACAUUCGCAGAUGUAAGCAUUGCAUUCACUUCAGAUUGCAUCAUAGAUUCAUGAAAAACACAACAAAGCAAAAGAACUAAUUUAUUUCUUGUAUGGAAAGAUGCAAACUUUUUUUUUUGUCCUUUUAGGUAAAUUACCAUACAUGAGCUCUGCUUCAAAUCUUGAGAAGCUUUACUUAUGGGACAAUAAUCUCAGUGGAAAUAUUCCUGGCUCUAUCUCCAAUGUUUCUAAGCUCAGAAUCCUAGAAUUACAAAAUAACUCUUUCUUUGGCCUUAUUCCAGAGACACUUGGCAAUUUGAGGUUCCUUGAGCACUUGCUCCUUUGGUCGAAUCAUUUGACCACCAAAACUUCAACUCAUGAGUGGAGCUUUCUCAAUUCCUUGGCAAAUUGCAAGUAUCUAAGCAUUUUAGACCUAUCAUUCAACCCGUUGAAUGGCAUCCUUCCAGCUUCUAUCUCAAAUCUUUCCACAUCACUUCAACAAUUUAGUGUCAUUGAUUGCAAAAUUAGAGGCAGCAUUCCCAUGGAAAUUGGUAGCUUAAGCAACGCUAUAUUGUUAGAUCUUUCCUCUAAUAAAUUGAGUGGACCUAUUCCAACAACAGUAGGAAGGCUAAAAAAUCUCCAACUUUUGAAUCUUUCUGGAAAUAAGUUACAAGGCUCUAUCCCACAUGAUCUUUGUGGUUUGAAGGGAUUGUUCAAAUUAUCAUUAGGUGCAAAUGAGCUUGAUGGACUUUUACCGACAUGUUUGUGUGAUUUGACUUCUCUGAGAUAUCUAUACUUGUUCUCCAACAAAUUGCAUUCGCAAAUACCUUUAAGUUUUUGGAGCCUUAAAGAUAUCUUAGAAGUAGACUUGUCAUCAAACAAUCUUAGCGGUUCACUUCCACUUGACAUUGGAAAUUUAAAGGUACUUAUCUCUUUGAAUUUGUCAAGGAAUUUAUUAUCAAGUGAUAUUCCAUCCACAAUUGGAAGUCUCCAUGAUCUACAAGUUUUGAAUCUUUCCAGAAAUAGAUUACGAGGCCCUAUUCCAAAAUCAUUGGGUGACUUGAUGAGUUUGAAAAGCUUGGAUUUAUCUAACAACAAUCUCUCUGGAGUUAUUCCCAAGUCUUUGGAAAAACUUUAUGAUCUCAAUUAUUUUAAUGUGUCUUUCAAUAGAUUGGAAGGAGAAAUACCAAGUGGAGGGCCUUUUCUGAACUUCACAGCCAAAUCAUUCAUGAAAAAUUAUGCACUAUGUGGUUCACCUAGACUACAAGUCUCACCUUGCAAAAAUAAAAUCCAUCCAAAAUUCAAGAAGACCGCUCUUCAUGCUUUGAGGUAUGUUUUACCAACAUUUGCUUCAAUAAUAAUAGUUGUAGCUGUCAUAAUUGUCUACAAAAAAGGGCAGCGGGGGAAUAUGAAUUUGGCAACGGUUGAAGAUUUAAUUCCUCUCAAGAAAAGGAGAAGAGUUUCGUAUAAUCAACUAUUGCAAGGGACUGGUGGAUUUAGUGGGAAUAACUUACUUGGUUCAGGAAGUUUUGGCUCUGUAUACAAAGGAAUACUUUCAGAUGGAACAGAAGUCGCAAUAAAAGUUUUCAAUUUGCAAAUAGAUGGAGCAUUUAAGAGUUUUGACAUUGAAUGUGAAGUGAUGAGCAAUAUCCUUCAUCGCAAUCUUGUCAAGGUUAUUACUUGUUGUUCAACUAUUGAUUUCAAAGCCUUAGUGCUUGAGUUCAUGCCUAAUGGGAGCCUUGACAAAUGGUUAUAUUCUUACAACUAUGUAUUGGAUAUCCUACAAAGAAUCAACAUAAUGAUAGAUGUUGCAUCGGCAUUAGAAUACCUUCAUUUGGGACAUCCGAUUCCGAUAAUCCAUUGUGACCUAAAACCAAGUAAUGUCUUAUUGGAUGAGGACAUGGUUGCACACGUGGGAGAUUUUGGAAUUGCCAAGCUAUUGGGAGAAGGAGAUUCCACCAAACAAACAAUGACACUAGCUACUGUUGGCUAUAUGGCGCCAGGUGAUUUUUUUUUUUUUCUCUAUUCCAAGACGAGUAGAUGUUAAUAUUUUAUCAUUUUAUUGAUGAUUAAUGAUGCCUGAAUACAUGAGAUCAUUUUAAUGAUUCAAUUAUAUUUAAAAUACAGAAUACGGAUCAAUGGGAAUUAUUUCAACAAAGAGUGAUGUCUAUAACUAUGGUAUUCUAUUAAUAGAGACUUUCACAAGAAAGAAGCCCACAGAUGAAAUUUUUGUUGGAGAAAUGAGUAUAAAGCAUUGGGUGAAAAGCUCAUUAUCUAAUGAAAUAAUUGGUGUAAUAGAUUCUAGUUUAGUGCAAGAAAUGGAUGAAUAUUUUGUUAUUAAGGCAAAUUGUAUAUCAUCUAUUAUGAGAAUAGCUUUGGAUUGUUCAGCUGAAUUACCUGAAGAUAGAUUAGAUAUGAAGAAUGUUGUCUCCAUGCUGAAGAAUAUCAAAAGAGAAUAUCUAAACAACAUUACGCAGGAUGAAUAAAUAUGGUAAGAAAUGCAAUUAUAUAUAGUUUAAGCUUAUAUAAAAGUACAUAGAAUAUAUUUAUCUAAUUUUUUUUAAGAAGGUAUUCCAUUAAGCUUUAUAUUUUUUUGCAGGUUAAGGGUACUACUACCAUAAUAUGUAUUUUGGUUCAAUAAUCAAGGUACUUUCAUCACUUUUGAAUUUUUAUCUGUAUAUUUAUUUAUUAACUUUGAACUCUUUAUUAAAGUAAUUUUUUCUUAAUAACAUUUUAAAUUUUACAGUAAAAACUAGAGUUUUAAUUGCAUUAAAUCAUUAAAGAGUUUAAAUAAUUAUAAGAUUUGCAUUGCUGGUGAAUUUCAAUAACUUCUAUGUCUAAGUAAGGAGGCAAGGUAGUUGUAAACAUAUAAAAAGGAUUUUCUUGAUUAAUAAAUAUCUUUUUCACCUGGAUAUGUGGUUACAUAUAUAGGAAGUUAGGCUCAUUUUGUAUAUUUGUGUUUUCUUUUAUUUUUUUAUUAAAUUCAUAUUAUUUCUCAGUACAUAUAAUUAAUUUGUAUAUGUUAUGUAUGAUACGUAACAUAUAUAUAGAUUAUCGUUUCUAUAUAUUUAACCAUAACAUAAAUUAUCAUGAAGAGAGCCAAUAAAUUAAAUUAAUUUUUAUUUAAUUAUGGUAUUUAUUAAUAUAAUCAUUGAUUAGGAAUACUUUUUCGCUACAUCUCUUUUUUAUUUCAAUGAUAUAAUAACAAUAAGUAUAUAAUUUUACAUAAUAAUCAAUUUGUAGUAAUAUAUUUUCUUGUAUGAAAAUUAUGACUCAUAUAAUUGCAUUUUUAAGUAAUUUGGAUUAGAUGAAAAUAUUGGUUCGUAUCUUUUAUAAAUAUAUAUAUGUAUAUACAUGUGUAUAUAUAUUUUAGGUGAUUUAUGAUUGAGUAUGGAAUUAUAUGUCUUUUUAUAAUUAAUUAUUUUUUAAUUGGUAUUUGGGUAAUAACUUAUUAAUGAAUUUUAAGUGAAAUAAAAAUUAUUAGAAUUAUUAUAUAAUUAGUAUGUAACAUUUCAUUGUUUUUUAUUUUUCUAAAAUAUAAUAUUGUUAUAUACGAUAUUAGUUAAUACACAUCAUUUUUCUAUUAAGAAUAUCUUUAGUUAAGAAGGUGAUAAUAAAAAUGUAUUAAGGAAUUUAGAAGAAUAAAAAAAUUUGAAAAGUUAAUAAAAUAAAUUACUCUAGAAGAAAUCUAUUUUAUCAAUCCAUCCCUCCUUACAAGGUUACUUUCUUAAGAGACUCUGAAAAUAUAUUAUUUAUCAUUCAAGUACUUAAAUUAUUUGUGUUUGUUAAAUAAAAUAGUUGUAUUAUUCUAAUGUUCACAACAAUUUUUUAUUAAUUUAAUUAGCUAGGAAAUUAUAAUAAAUUUCAUUAAUAGAGAAAUAUCAUAAUGUUUGUAAAUAAUAACUAGAAAAUAUAGAUGAAUAUAUUAAUAUUAAGCAUAUUGUUAUAAAUGCAAAGUUUAAAACUUUCUAAAAAAUAAAGUUUUGAAUAAUUAUUAUAAAUCAAAACAAAGAUAAAUGUAAUACACAUCCACUCACGGAUACAUUAUACAAAUAUAGAUGUUUAAUUUUUUAUAUAAAUGGUUAUUACUAAAACUCCACAAAAAUGUAUAAAAUAAUAUUUCUAUCAUUUAAUAUUAAUUAAUAAACACGUUUUCCUUACUAACGAACAUUUUAAUUAGGAAGCAAAUACUCCAAUGCAUUUUCAAUUGUAAUGAAAUUCAAAAGCGCCUAAAAGUAAAUUAGAAAUCAAUUUUCGUUAAUCAAUGAUCAUUACUAGCUAUUAUUUUUUGUUUUAAUCUUAUAACAAUAAUAUUAUUGUUUAAACUCUUAAUAACUUUUGUUUGUUGAACACUGAAAUAGCUAUUUUAUUUUGUUUGUUGAACACUGAAAUAUAUAGCUUUUUUUUUUUUUGCUUAAUAUGCAAAACAUGUUUUAUUUAUUUUAAUAAAUUAACUAUAUUAAUUACUGUUUAACAUGGAUGUUAAUUACAAUAUUGUUAAUAUUGAACAAAUGUUUACAAAAUUAAAAUAAUAUUCAUAUACGAAUUUACCAUAUAACAUAUAUAUAUAUUUAUUGAAAUUAAACAAUUUCAAAGAUAAAAGCAUGAAAUGACUUUACCUAAAAGUGAAUGUUAAUUUAUUAAUUAUUUGCUUUGGUAAAAUAGAUGUUAUUAAUCACAUAAGCCAUUAUUGAAUUUUUAUUGAUUUAGUUUCCUAUCGAUUUAUAAUUUUAAGCUUUUGAAAUGUUUAGAUUAGUCAAUCAUCAUUUAUACAUACUCAUCUAAGUUUAUAAAUUAUUGUCUCCUAUUUUUAUGUGAUAUGAUGUUAUUAAUUUAUCAACUAUCAGUAUGGGCUUUUUUUUCUAUUAUUCACAAACCAAUUUAGCAAGUAUGAUGAAAAAGAAUAAUAAUAGAGGUAGGUGCAAGCUUCUUGAAGUUCAUCUUUUUUCUUUCACUUGAUUAUUGUUGGAAAUUGGUUUUCAAAAUAUGAAUGCAAGCUUCUUGUCCAAAAACAAAAAAAAAAAGAAAAAAAGGGAACUGAUGCAAGUUUUGUAACUUUAUUGCAGUAUGUAACUAACGAAUUCAGGGUGGACUAGAUUGUGCUGUUUCUUCUCUUAUUGUGAUUGCUUAACGCUUGAGCGAGAGAUUUAUGGUGUGUUUGUGAAUUGGAAGUUCACCUUCCAAUGGCGUGGAAUGUCUAAGAAAGUUCAUGAAAUCAUGGCUAAAAGUGGUGUGGUGUUUCUUCUUGAGAAAUGCAAUCAUCCUUCUUGCAAUGAUUUUUUUUUUUUAUUUUCUAUUGGAGGAACAUUAGAGUGAUAUGUUUUUAUUUGGAAUCCAUAGUUUUAUUGAAUCAUAUUUUGAAAAUAAACUAUGCAAAGUUUAUUUAACUUCAUGCCAAUGGUUUUCCUGUUACUUUAUUCUAUGAAGGUGUCAAUAUUUUUUAUUCAAUAAAUGGUGAGUAGCUAAAAUACAAGUAACUCAACUGAGAACAUAUGAUAUAAUUGUUUAUAUUUUUGUAUUCAGGAAGUUGUCAAUUUUUCUCAUUUUAGAAGAAUUAGUUAGUUUCUUUUCUUAAUAUAAUUGAACUCUUGAUUCCAAGUAAGGAUUUGAAGUUAAAUAGUCCAAACACAAUUUUUGCUACAAUGUUUUGGUGCACAACAAUUGCUAAUCAUUUUUCUAUAAAUUUCCUCAUGUUUUCAUUUGUUAAUUAUUAAUUUUUUAUAGAAUUAUUUAAUAAAUUGAAAACAAACCUUUGAAAGGAAAAUUGUCAAUGUCAUCAUUUGGUUUAAAAUAAAAAUUGUUCAUGAAAAUAUCACUAUUUUUUUUUUUUUUGUUUUCAUAAAUGAUAGGGAGAGGAAAAAGUGUAAAAUUAAUGAUUUGAAAAUAAUGGGAAUUUUUUGUACUUUUUAAUUAAUGAUUUGAAAACAACGUUUAAAAAAAUAGAAAUAAAUUUUAUUCAAAAAAACUUUUGAUAUCCUAUUAACUAAUGAGUUUGAUUAAAAAUAGGUAGGAAAAGAAAAGUUAUACAAAUUAUAUGUAUUAAUUCCAAUUUUUUCAUAUUUUAUUUAGUUAAUUAUUUGAAAAUAAAUUUUUGAAAUAAAAUUAUAAUUUAUUAACUAAUGUCUUGAAAAUAAAAUUUUGAAAGAAUAAAAAAAACAAAUCAAUUUUAUUUAGAAAACUUUUCAUAUUUCACUAACCAUUAAAUCGAACUAAAAUGAUGGGGAAAUAUUCCAUAAAAUCCGAAGUAUAUUUAAAGAUCUUUUCAAUUUGAAGAAAGUUUGUAUCAUCCAAUGUAUUUAGACUUUAUUGUCAAAGGAUGGCUCAAUUUGGACUGCUUGGAUCAAGGCCUAUUCUCUUAAAGGAGAAAUUAUUUGGCAGGUGUUUGAAACUCAAAAUUGUAGUUGAAGUUGGAAAAACUAUCAUGGCUACCCUCAGUUUACAACCCUAAAUCUUAUAAAAAAAAUCAAAUGCAUAACUAAUCCAAACCUUUGAAAUUCAAUAUUUCUUUAAAUCUAAUAUCAAACCCAAAAAUUUGAUACAAAAUAUCAAACUUAGAACAACUCUACCAAUAUUUAAAGCCCUUGUUUAUGGUUUAGCAUUUUGAAAAUUUACAUUUUGUUCUUUUUCUCCUGCAAAUAUGUCUAACAAUUUUACACAAAUCAAAACUUAGAAAUCAACUCAAAACAAAGGUAAUAUAAAAACCCUAUAAUUAGCAUUACCUUUUUCUUGAUUAGAGAUUUUGGUUGCUACAAUGGUAGUCUCAAAGGAGAAUAGUGAUGGCUUACUUCUUGUACUCAUCGAUCAAGCCAUCUCGUAGGUGGUGAUAGUGAAAUAUAUUUAUUACCAAAAAAUUUGAAAAUGAGAAAAAGAAGAAAAGAAAGAAAGGGAAAAAAAAAAGGGAAAACGAAGGGAAAUUGAGCCAUCAACAAUUGUUUUGAGGCCACCCACGAAGAAAGACAACGCGAGAGAGAUUCAGAUUUUCAGACGAUGUAAGAAAUAAAAUUAGUCAAAUUGAUAACAUUUAAAUAUUUCUCGUAUAAAGGUUAAGUUUUUAUUCUACCAUGAGCAAUUUCUCGAGGUAAAUAUUUUAUUUUAUUGAGGCCCAAAUCAAUUGGACUUGGCCUUAUUUGAAAUCCAAUUAUUGAAUUUUAGAUUUUAGACUUUUUAUUUUAUUUUUUCGUAUUCUUAUUAUCCUUAUUUAUUUUAUUUUUAUUAUUAUACUAUUUAUCUUGAUUUUAUCAUUAAUUAUCUGAUUAUCUUUUAAAAAAAAUUGAUAAUUUGGAAGUUUAAAAUGAUGUUAUCUGGGUUAAGAUGCUAGCUUCAUCAGAAGCAGUUUGAGAUUAGAUUUACUAUAGGGAUAAUCUUUAAUUUUAAAGAAAUCUAUUCCUAAGUAAGUUGAAACUCUCGUGAUCUUAACUAUAAAUAAACUUUCAAUUCACAACAACUAACAAAAAAAAAAAAUCACAGAGAAAGCAAUCAACAGAGAAAAUCAGAGGGCAACACAGGGGAGAUAGGAGCAAAUCCCCAUUUUGUUCGGCCGCUCCCAAUUGCCAGUCACCACCAUCAGUCAUCCACUACCUAAACCAGCAACCGAAGACUACCACUACCUUUUCUUGCCCAAAUAGUAACCAUCGAUCCAAAAUCCAACAAAUAAUCAAAACACAAUAACCAGAGUCAAGCAUCAAAAAUAGCCACAGAGAUAGAAUCAACAAUCGACAACAAUCGAAAGACGAAAACAAAAGAUAUUCUUCUAGCAGCGGUUUUCGCUUUGGGAUUCACUUUUAGUUAGGCACCUUUUGGUAUUCUUUCAAACGGCAAAAGAAAGGGGAAGGAUUUGGAGGAGUUUUUCAAUGAUCCGAGUAGCUGGGAUUAGGAAUUCCAAGAAGUGGUAGAAUGGUCUUUGUGUUUAAAUUUGCAAGGUGUUGUGAGAUUCCAAAAAUAAUCAGGGAAGUGACAACUUAUCGGCAAAAAGGACGAGAAAACAGCAAAAACUGAGAGCUGUGUUGCUGAAAUGAGAAGUUGGGCUUUAUCCUUUUGCAAUAAAGAAUAAAGAAAGGGGAAGGAAUGUUCUAGAACUUGAAGAUCUGGUCAAGUCCAAAAAGCUUAUAUUUUGAGUGUAACCUGAGGAGGAUUCAAGAACCCACAAUUUGAAGCCUCGAACUCCAGCCCUACUUUUUAGCUUAGGCUGGCCUGCGUUGGAUUUGAGUUGUAACUGAAAUUUCAGGUUUUCAUCUUUUUUUUUUUUCCUUAUUUAAUUUUCUGGUUCUUUUUUUUUUUUAUCAUUUAUUUACUUUGUUAUACAUUUUAUAAAGCAUUCAUUCUUAAACUAGAAAAAUGUUUAGUUGCUUCACACUUAAAAAACUAAAAUAUGGUAGAAUAAAAUAUAUUUAUACUAGUAGUUUUCUUUAAUUAAAAUAUUAUCAGAAUCAUGUAUUUCAUAUAAAUCUUGAAGAUAGAUAACCUUUUUUUUUGAAUCAUGUAAUUUAAUUCAAACUUUAAUUAUAAGUGAAUUUUUUUCUAAGGAAUUUACUUUUCAGAAAUUUUUAGAUAAGCAAUUUCUUUUAAAUUCUCCAUGGUGGAAAGUUUAGUUGAAAACCUAAAAAAAUAAAUUUAAUUUCUCGUCAAUUGAACACCAAAUAUAAAAAAAAAAUGAAACAAAAACUCUAAAAUAAAUGGCAAUUAUCCUAAUGAGAUAAUUUUAGAAAUCAAGAAUGGUUGAUUUUUAGAGAUUUUUAAGUGAGAAGUUUUCUUAUAAAUUCUCUAGAAUGGUGGACAAUUUAUAUGAAAAUGUUAAUAAAAAUAAUUUAUGAAAAUAAGAAUAAAGAAUAUAAUCCUAAAAGAUAAAUAAAAUUACCAACUAGUAAAAUUUUAGAACUCAAGAAUUGUUGAAUUUCUAGAAUUUUUUUAAAUGAGAAGUUUUUUUUUAAUAUCUCAAACUGGAGAUUUAGAUAAAAUUUUCAAUAACAAUAUUGACAUUUGCUUUAAAAUCAUAAAAAAUUUUAAAAAUAAUUUUAGAAAGUUUUAGAAAUAACAAAAAUAUAUCUUAAAAAAUAGAAAAAUAAUAAAAUAAAUUUGAUGUUGGGAUUCUAAGAGAUCAAGAAUGGUUGAUCCUCUAAAAAAUUUCAAGAUGAGAAACUCUAGAUAAUAAAUUUAUUUCUAAAAUUUUAUCGUAAUGAUGGUAAAAUUAGAUGAAUUUAUAAUAAUUAUAUUUUUAAAUGUAGUAAAUAAAAAGGAUAGAAAUGAGAAGUUUUGGAAAUUGAUUUUUUUAAAAAAAUUUUAGGUAAAAAAAGUAUUUCUAAAAGUUUUUAAAAUGGUGAAAAAUUUAGAUUUGUCUCCAUAGAAUAGAAAUUUAGAUACAAAAAAUUUACACAAAAUAAAAAGAAUAAAUUUUGUGGAUGAAAUUUCUAAUAAUUACAAAUGGAUGAUUAUUUAAACAAUUUCUAGGUGAAAAAAUAUUUCUAAUUUUGACCUAAAUGAUGGAAGAAUUAUAUAUAUUUUCAAUAAAAGUAAAAUAAAAUAUAAAUGAUUAAGUUUUUUUUUUUAUGACAGAACCUCUUCAAAAAAAUAAAUGUGAUUUUUAAAUACUCCUGUUGAGGAAGUAUUUUUUAAGAAUUCUGCCAAAUUAAUGAAAAAAUUUUAAAAAUUAUUUUUAAUAUUUAAAUAUUAAAGUUUAAUAAAAAAUCAUUAGAACCAAUAAUCCUUAAGAUAAUUUAAAAUUAAAUGGUAUCAUCUUAGGAUGGGAGUUAUGAGGAUGCUAUAAUUUUUUUCGUAUGUAAUCGAACUCUCGAACCCUAUUCUAAUUAGUAAACCAAAACAUUUUUUUAAAGACCCUUAGUCAAGUUUAAAACAUCCUUAAAAUGAAUAUAAAUAGAUUCACCAAAGUGAUCAAUCAUAUUUAAUCAAAAAAUAUUGAUGAUGACUCUUUUAGUUGUAUUUAGCGAUAAAUUUACGAAUUUAUAUAUUAUGACACUUGGUAAAUAAUCUUUAAAUCCAAUAUAAAUCCCAGACUUUGGAAUGGGAAAGCUUCGCUUCAUUCUAAACUUUUAUAUAAAAAACAUUUUGUGGAACUAAUAUGUGACUUAUUGCACAUUUUGAAAGUUUGGGGGUACAUUAUACAAUUUUUUAGUUUAUAUAUCAAUUUAUACGUUUUAAUACAUAGUUCAUGAACUAUACUAGUAAUUAAUUCAUUCCAAAAAGUGUCUAUUUCCCUUUUAAGAGCUCCAAAUUGGUGUUGGGCAGGGUAGGUUUAAGUUCCUUACCUCUGUCUAAAAUGGCACAGGCCAGAUUUGCUUGCCAGUCGGAAAAACCAACAGGGCAAUAAAAGAAGAAAAAAAAGGAAAAAAGAAAAAGAAAAAAAAAAGAAAACGAAAUCUAAUGUUUUUAAACAAUGGGGUCGGUAUGAUGAAUACAUUGCUUCAGCUUUAGACAAGUAUCCAUAUUGCAAUGAUGCUUUCUAAGGACAAGACUAAAGUCGCAAUGAAUUUUUUUUUAUAUGUCAACACAAAUGGACUGGAAAUCUUGAUGGAUGGUAAACCUUCCGUAACUUUUCCCAUAUAGCUUAGAGAUGAGAAUUGUCCUUGGGUGUUAAGUUCUUCAAUCUUUGCUAUCCAAACGUUUGAUUGAGAAAAUCAGUGUUUAUCUUCUUUUUUUUUUUUUACCGAAAAGGAGUUCCUUCAAAGGUUUGUGACCCCUUAUGAGGAUCUUUCUUUAUUAAAGGUAUAUGAGGAGAAGCUAGGCCUUUCAAGAUAGAUUGUACAUAAGCUGAAUAAGUGAAUUUUCAUAUCAUUUUUUUAAAGGCUUAAUCUCAGUGAUAAUUUUUCUUUUCAUGCCUUUGAAAUUCAAAAAGAAAAUUGUGGGCUGAAAAAGAACAAAGUGAUAUGCAUCUGUCUUCCAUUUCGGGAUUUUAAUGUUAUGAUCUUAUUUUGUAUGAGCUGCAGCCACUGCUUUUUUAGUUUGAUCAAGUCCACUAAUGCAUUAUCCUUUUUGGCCUACAUGUAAUAUGAUGGAGAUUCAAGAUAAAACGAAAAAGUAUGAAAUAAUUUACCUUUUUUGAGUUAGUUUUUUAUACUGAAUAAAUGACCAGAGUAACUGUUUGAAGAGGAAAAACACUAUUUCCUUGUCAGAAGGGCAGAAACUGAAUUUUGAGUGCUGCAAAAACUAAAUUAUCAAAAGCACAAAUUAUUAUCAUCCUGAUUCCAUGUCUAUCCAGGGGUUUUCAGAACCAUGAAUUCUUCAUUAGACAUUCCAGAUGGCAACCUCAAAAACCCAUCUUAUAGUUUCCAUUCUAGUGUCCAAGUCCCUGCCACCGUGCAUAUAAGGUCUCUUUUUUUUUUUGCAUUUGGGAUAAGAGAAGGAGUUGUAAGUACUGAAAUUCAAACCACAAACCUAUUAGAUGUCAUUUUUUGAGGAUAACUGCAUGAACCAUCUACCAGCUUCUAUAUAAGGUCUUAUUUGUUCCAAAGCUUUUCAAAGAAAGGCUGACAUUAGACAUUUGUAAAUUGGGUGGAGUAGCAACUGAUAUUAAAAACGGGUUGCACUUUCCACCAUGGUGGCUAUGGAGCUGACCAUCAUUCUUUAAUAGCACUGAGGAGAGCAUUGCACAUUUUACAACAUAAUGUGAUGGAAAUAUUCAUUUCUAUGGAGAUGUAAAUCCAAACUGUGGUGCCUUGUGCUAGUUCAGUAAUGUCUCCAUUCUUUUAGUCCUAUGGGAUUAUGCGAAGGGAGAUGGGCUUGUGAUAGAACGAGAGGAUGAUUUCCAAGGACAUGCAUGCUCUACUUGGUUCAGAAAAAAAGGAGAUGAAGGGAGACAUCCCUGUGUUUUUAAAAUUUUGAUGUAAGUUCUUUAUUACUUAAUUAUCUGCUACUGGUUCUUCAUUGUUUUAGGGCAAAGAAUUAAAUCAUGAGAUAUAUCACCUGUAAUUAUUGCAUUAUAAUUCAAUGAUGAUUUAAACUCAAAUUAACUCACACUCGAAAUGGCUAGACUUUAAAAUAAAUGGUUAGAAUUAAAUUGGAAGGUUUUUUUUUUUUUUUGUUGAAAUUAUACAUUUUUUACUUUUAGAUAGAAAGAAAAUAUCAAAAGUCAAAUGUGAUCAAUUAAUUAAUUUAAUUUAAUAUAUCAAAUUUUAUUAAUUUAUUAAUAAGUAAUAAAUAUAAACAAUUAAAUUUUAAUUUUAAUAAAAUAUAAUUUAGAGGUAUAAUAAUAUUAUUAUAUUUAUUUAUUUUAAUUAUUAAAUAUAAUAAUCGUAUAAUAUAUAAGUAAUAUUAAGAUUAGUUCUAUUAAACAAAUAAACUUCUUAAGUCUUUUAUGAAUAAUUUUUUUAAAAAUAUAUAUAAAACAAUAGUUUGUAAUAUAUAUACAAUUAUAUUUUUAUUAUUUUUAUUAUAUAUAAAAUUAAAACUCAAAAUAAAAUGUUACAACUUAAAAAUUAAAAAUUAAAAUCCAGCCAAACGAGUCAAGUCGUGUUAUACCAUGCUACUAUCAAAUAACAGUAGAUAAUUUUAGCAUCUUCAUUUUUUAUUACACAUUUGUACUAUAUACUAUUCAAAUUUUCAAUUAUUUAAAUUAUAUUAAUAUUAUGUCUAAGUAAUUUUGAUAUUUUUGAAUUGUUUUAAGAUUAGAUCAUUAUGUUAAUUAAGUAAUCAAUAUUAAUAGUAUUUUUUUAUCUUAUCGUACUAUUAGUGAUGAUUUUGAAAGUUAAUUUUUUUGAAAUUAUUUAGUUAUUUGUUCAUUUUUAAUUCAUAUAUAAUAAAUAACGUGGACAAGUAUGAUUACAAAAUAUCGAUAUAAAUUACUAAUAAUAAAUAUUGAAUAUUAAUAAAUUAAAAGUUAUUAAUAAAUUUUUAUCAUGAAUAAAAUUAAUUUUAUCAUGAAUAUUAAAAUUAAAAUUUUUUAUUUUUAAUGUAAAAAAUAAAAUAAUAAUAAAUAAUUUUAAAAGAUAAAAAAAUAAAAAUUUUAGAUAUUAAAAAUAUAAAAUUUUGAAACAUUCAUAAAAAAUUUAAACAAAAAAAAAUAGAACAAAAAGAGCAAAUGAUAAGGCCAGGACACGCCAUUCAUGCUAAAAAUUAGUUUGUAACAUUAAUACUCAGAUUACAAACUGCAAAAUUAGUUUGUAACACAAAUAUCUCGAAGAAAAUGAUUCCCAGUGAACCAAUCAUGCUCAAAACCGUUAGAAAAUUCAAGUUUCACCAAAAGCUGUGAAUUUCGCUAAAAGAAUUCGUUAAAAAAUUUAAAAUUCAUUGAAAAAUUUAAAAAUUUCUAGAUUCUUGCAAAAAAAGGGCCAAAAGUUCAACUUGGAUCUUUGCGCCUCUUUAAUCCCUUAAUAACACUAAUUUUUCCAAAUUAAACUGAUUCAAAUAACUAAAAUUGCAAAAAAAAAAAAUUCAAAUUAAAAACCCUAUUGUGGAAAAUUUUUUUUACUUGCUUUCUACCUCUGCGAUUGCCUUUACUUGUUGUGUAUAUUGUGUUCAAUUAUUGUUGCUUAUAUAAGCCUUUAGUCCCAGCUCGUUUAGAAUCCAAAUCGAAACAAAAUGUUGAUUGGGUUAAUUUUAAAAAUUAUCAUAUCCUUUAUUCUUAAAAGAUUCAACUUAUCUUCACAAAAAUCAUCAUCAAAAUUCAUCUGAUUUCCUUCUCUUUAUUUAUCAUUUUGUUUAUCUUCCCGACCUUUCAAUUUCAAUUUUUUUUUUUACAGAAGAGAUAAAGAAGAUAAAAAAUAAAAUUCAUAAAAGAAAAAGGAAUUAGGCUUGGUUUAGAACCUAUCACAGCCCAAGAAUUCCAACAAGGGCCAACUUUAUUCCCAAUAAUCCAACAAGAGCCACAAUGUUAUGCCCCACAAUCAACUACCACUAUAACUCAAGGAGUCAAUUGAAAGCGCAAAAAAAAAAAAAAAGAGAAAAAAUAAAUAAAUAAAUAUACAAAUAAAAACGAAAUUUGGAAUUUACAAAAGAUUUCAAAUUAAAUUGGACAUCUACAAUUGCCACCUUAGGAUGUUGCUUCCAUCAAACCUGUCCAAGAUUUAAAAGUUGGUUGUCAUCUCUUUUAUGGAAUUAAAUUUGUCCAUAUUGCUUGAAACAAAACCUUAAGAAUGUUAGAAAAAUAACGUAAUAUACAGCUAUAACAUACAAUUUGUAAAUACUUCAAUGUUUUGACAACUUAAGAACUUCUUAUAACCUUCUUGAUGAAUAGUUAGAGUUGAGCAAUCAUGGACCUUCAAAUAUGAACAAAAUUACUUCAAAGUGUGCUACAAAAUGUCACUUUUCUUAAUGCUUAUAUCACCCUAACUAGUUAUAGCAUGCAAAAGGGAUGAACCAAAAUGGCUCUGAGAUAAAGUGAAGCUUUGUUUGUUUAUACUUUGCACUAGUAUAACAAACCACUAAACACACUUUAGUAGAAACGAAAAUAUCUUAUCUUAACAAGGUUUUCUGCUGUAAACAAUGUCAAAGCAAUAAGCUUUUAAUUGAGAAAAGAUUAGGAGAAAGAAGAAAGUAAUUCUGAAUUGAAUUAGAUUACAAAAUGAACUCACAUCAAUAUCUAUUUAUAAAGAUUGAAUCCUAAGAUUGUUAUUUUUUUAUUAUAUUGUUUCAAUUAAAGAUCAAUUCCUUUUGAUUAUAAAAAUGCAUCUUUGAGAGAGUACAAACAUAUUUAUUCAUUUGAAUAAUCAAACAUUUCAUACUAAGAGAAACCAUUUGUCCUAUUUUUGGAAAUCACAAUUUUUCACGCAAAGUAGUCUAUUGCUCCAAGAAAGCAAUCCAUUGCUUCUUUGUGUUUUCAAUUUUUGAAAUGCUUUUCGUAGUAGGGUGGUCGACUCCUCUAUAAAAUAAUCGACUAUUUCUUCAUAUAAAAUGCAUUCUCCAAGUGAACAGAUGACUCCUUUCAAUUUCCAAAAAGGUUCCACAUUUGGUCUCUUAUAGAGUAGUCGACUCAUCUUUAAUAGCAAUUAAAUGCAUUUAGCAUAAAUAAAUUCUCAUAAGACUAUCAUCUACUGGCAGUCGAUUGGAUUAGGGUUUGGAAUCAGUCGACUCACUUUUUAGACAUACCAAUCAAUUGCUCUAAGCUAAUAGUCGGCUACUAUUUAUAUAGAAUCUAAGUUUAGUUUAUGUUUGACAAAGCAGUCGACUUUAUGCCCUUGGCAAUCAACUGCUUUUCCUAAAAGUCUAAGGCAAUGGACUCUCCUGAGCAUGGCAGUCAAUUGCUUACAUAUAUAGUCCUUUUAACAUGAUUAUUUUAAGUAUAUCUUUUAUCUUAGGAACCAUACCUUAAGUUAUUUACUAACUUAAUUUAUUUUUGAUUCAGUUAUUUACAUAAUCAUAUUUUCAUAUUUUAAAAAUAUUUUCAAAUUGGGAGUGCCAUUUACAUAUAUUUCAUACAAAUAAAUUGUACACAUAUGCAUUAUCUUUUUUCUUUCAAAGUUAUUCUUUUUAAUGUAAUUCUUAAAUUCUAAUAUCUAUAUGAAAUUUGUGUAUAUGUUACGUGUAUAUAAUCUUUUCCUUAAGUAAUAUGAUAUCAUAUUUAAUUAGUACACAUCAUGUAUUUUUCGUUGACUCAUAAUUCGUAAAAAAAAAAUAAGUUAGUAGCUCGGCAGUGAGAUUAAUAAAAACUAAAACAUAUAUAAAAUAAUUUUUGCUAUUUAUGAAUUUUAUUUAUUAUCAAAACCCAUUAUACUUUCAUAUUAGUGACUCUAAUUAUGCCUGCAAAAAUUAUAUUAAAUUAAUACACAAAAAAUAAAAUAAAAAAACUGUCUAAACAUUUUAAUUCGUCCGUGUGAAAUGUCCUCUCUUUAGUUUGGAUUCAUUUGGUUUCAAUUGUUAAUAGCCCUUUCUCUUUUGGUGUAGGCACUUUUCUUUUUACUUAAAAUCAUUAAAAAUUUACUAAUUAGAAGUUGAGUAUUUUUCUUUUUCUUUUCCUACGUGCAGUGCAUAAAAUUUUUAUUCUUCAAUGGGUGUAGUUCCAUUUUAUUUCUUCGAAACAGGUAUUUUAAAUUAUGGGAGCAUCAUGUAAUGUAAUUAAUCCUUUUUUUUUCUACAAGCAUUAUGGCAGUGUUUACACGGCAAAUUGUCAACGUGGCAAUGAGACCAUUUUCUCUUCUUCCAAUUAUCAUAAUUUUUUUGGUUAAAAGUUUCCAAAAAUUAACGCUAAUAUUAAUUAUUUAAAAUAAUAAAAUAAAAUCGUUAAAUUAAAUACAUUAAAAAAAAAUAAAAUGAACUCUUCUGCCAUAUUGAUAAUAAAGAUUUUAAUUUGCUUUGCUUAAAAAAAAUAUUAGAAAUGAAAAGCUUUUACACCCAACCUCAAAUAUUUAAUUACCUAUCUAGGGUACGACAAUAGAAUGGUCUGCUUUGAAGUGUGUAAAACCGAGACUAGUUGAUUGAUAGUUGCGUUUGGAAAACGACGAUUAGUUUUCUUGACUUAAAAUUUCUUAGUCUGCUUCGAUGUUUGUGAAAAGCAGGAUGAUUUGAUUAUCCAUGCACUUAGAACACGAUAGCUAUCUUGACUUAAAAUUUCUUAGUCUGCUUUGACGUUUGUGAAAAGCAGGUUGACUAGAUUAUUCAUGCACUUAGAACACGUUCGAUAGCUUUCUUGACUUAAAAUGUGCUUUGAUAAGUCUGUUGAAAGCAAGAUGACAUGAUUGAUUCUUGCACUUGAAACACGGUUGCCAGCAUUUAUUAUUUUAAUAUUUCUUUCUCUGCUUUUAUAUUUGUGGAAAAUAAGAGGACUUGAUUGAUCUUUACGUUUAGAAAACUGUCGUUAGUUUUAGCUUUCAUGACUUAAAAUUUCUUAGUCUUCUUUGAUGUUUGUGAAACGCAGCAUGACUUGAUUAUCCAUGCUCGUAGAACACGCUCGAUAGGUUUCUUGACUUAAAAUAUGCUUUGAUAUGUGGAAAACAAGAUGACGUGAUUGAUCCUUGCACUUGAAACACGGUUGCUCGUUUUUCUUAUUUUAAUAUUUCUUUCUUUGCUUUUUAUGUUUGUGGAAAAUAAGAUGGACUUGAUUUUUCCUUGUUUACACUUUUAGACACCGAUUUUGUUUAGGUCUAUUAUUUUUAAUUUUUGUUUAAUUUUAAUAAUAAUAAUUUUUAAUAAUAAUAAUAAUAAUAUUGGUUUGAUUAAAACUAAAAAUAUUAAUUAAAAAAAAAAGAAAAGAUAAACAAACAGAGGGCUAAAAAGCGGCGUUGUCACCAGCCCUAUUUAGCUAACCACCUAGCCCCAUCCAGCCAUCAGACUAGUCCCAUCAGAUCAGCCACACUUGUAACCUAACCAAAUCAGUCAUCCUUACAGACACCUACAACCACGCGCUAUAGACACCUACAGUCACCCCCUACAACCCCUAGACUACCUACUAUCUCGAGCAUACGUACGGUCAUAUAAAGAACCCAACUUCCAGGUUAGAAGAGGCAUACUCGAACACCCCCAAAAAAUCCCAAAAACAUGAAAACUCCCACACCUAAGAAACCCAAAUAGAAAUAGAAACAAAAAAGUAAAAAUAAAAACAAACAAUCUUCCCCGUAGGGAGGAACCUAAUGCCAAAGCUACCUGUAAAAGCAAAAAAAAUCACAACAGUCUUAUUUAAAAAAAAAAGGAAACAAAAACUUUGAGCCUCGAUCUCCGCUGAUCGAGGCUAUUUUCGACAAAAAAAAGGUUAGAUCCAGGAAAAGCGUGUUGAAGAGAGUUUCUGGGAAUAUUUUUAGCAUUUUUUUGCCACUGGCAACCACCGAUAGUGACUGUCGACAGUGAUCUAGGCAGCGACCGGUGCGACUGUCUGGUGCUGGAUUCUGAUUGAAGCUAGAGAAUUUUUUUUUGGAGGUUGGGGAUUUUUUUUCAGGUAAAAGGAGAAAAUAACUAAAAAAAAAAUUUAGGCCUUUUAUAGAAAUCGUAUAAGCCAAAACAACGUCGUUUAAGCCAAGAAGAAUUCGCGCGUGGACCUGGACCUGACCCGGGGUCCGUGCAACUGACCCGCCAACCCGGCUUCUUAGAUAGCUCUGAACCGAUUUGACUAUAUCGGACCGAACUACUCCAUAGACCGGCUUGAACCGCUCCCCAUAUGACUUAACCGAACCGCGUGCCAAACCGACCCAUUUUCGAACCAACCGAAUCACCGUUGACCGGUCCGGUUCAAGUAAAAAAUUUUCUUUUGAAUUUUCUCAUUUUUUUUAUAUAUUAUUAUUUUUGUAAUUUUGAGUAUUUAUUUUUAUAUUUAUGCAUGAUAAAUUUUUAAAUUUGUUAGGAUAAAUAUUUAGUUGUUUUUAAUAAUAAUAAAAUGAAAAUAAAAUAGGAUAAUAACUUUAAAAAAGUAUAAAAAAUGCUAUAAUAAUAAUAAUAAUAAUAAUAAUUGAAUAAUAUUUUUAUUAUCUUUUUUUUGUUUGUUUUCUUUUUAACAAAAAAAUGUUAUCAUUUUUAAUUAAAUUGAAAUGUUUUUAAUAAAAAAAUAAUUUUUUUAAUUAAAUUGAUAUAUAAAAGCAACCACAUGCAUAAUUAUCAGAAUCAGACUAAAUACUGAACUAUUAAAAGUGUCGGGUCAUUGGUUCAACUGUUGGGUCAAUGAAGUCAAUUGUUAAACUAAUAAAGAUAUAUAAAUAUAUAAAUAUUUUAAAAAUUUAAUCCAUUAUGUGAUAAAUAAUAAAUUCUCUUAUAGACAAUUUCGAACUUAAAAAAUUAAAAUAUUUUACAUAAUAUAAUAAGUGUAUAAAAAGUACAUGUAUUUACAAAGUAUAAUAAACUUAAAUUACAAAAAUAAGUUUAAAAUUCAAACUCAUAACUCAAACUUUGAAAAUACUAAUUGAAUAAUUCAAUCAUAUUAUUAAAAAAACCAAAAAAAGUAAAUACUCAAACAAACUUAAAAACAAAUAAAUACAAUAAAUAAAUGUUUUAAAAAAAGAGAAAGCUUAUGUAAAAUACAAAAUUUUAAAAAUGAAAUAAAAAAUACCUUUAAAUUGAUGAUAUUGAUAUAAACAAAUCCAGCUCCAAAAUAAUAAUUAAAGUUUUUAAUUUUAGGCUACAUUUUUAUCCUUUAAUUUGAUAUGAGUGUGGUCACCUAAAAUAUAAAUGAGAAAGGAGUUAAAUUUUAUUAGGGGGUUAUUCUUUAAUGUGCAUUAAUGUGGUAGGACGGAUAAAACCAUUUAAUUAUCUAAUUUUAAAUUUUUUUACUAUCUAUUUACUUUAAAAUAUAUUAUUUAAUUAAAAUACUACAAUAACUCCAUAAUUUUAAAUUAUAAAACUAAAUUAAUCCAUAUUGUUUAAAGUCUUUAAAAAUUAAAACCAAAAAUGGUUCAAUAAAAACUACCCAGUUAAGUGAUUUAUUUAUUCAACCGUCGGUUCAAUGUAAUUUAAAGGAGGUUAAUUGCAAGUUUAGUCUAUUAAUAAAACUAAACUGAUUUAGGUAUCGACUUAUCAAUUCAACUCAUCUGAUCGAUGAUCCAAUUUGAUUCUAAUAAUUAUGAUCACAUUCAAAGCGAUAUCAUGAACGCUAGUGUUUUAUUAAAAAAGAAAAACUCUUGCAGCAUUAAAAAACUAUUUUAAGCACACAUACAUAUAUAUAUAUAUAUACACAUAUAUAUAUAUAUAUUUAUGUAUUACUAAAGGUAUUUGUUCUAGUUUAUUCAAGAGUUUUUUACAACAAAAAUAUAAAUAAGAUGUUUUACUUUCAAAAUUUUAAAAUUAUUAAUCAAAGCCCAUUUGGCUUUUUAAAAGAUUUUAUAAGUUAAAACCUUUUCAAAAGUGUUAUUGUAUAAUAAAAAAUAUAUUGCUUAGUAUUUUUUUUUUUGACAUUCUCAAUUUAUUUGUUAAUAAUUCAUAAAAUAAUAAAAAUGAAUUAUUUCACAUACAUAUUUUUUUUACUUGAUCAAAAUUUUCUAUUAAUCUCAUUUAUUUUUAAUUUCUAAUUAAUAAAAUAUAUCUUUGUUUUAUUUAUUGGUUUGGCUUAUAAAGUUAAGCCUUUUAAUUUGUAUUUAAUAAAAAUCUAUAAAAAUAUUAUUAAAUAGUUUUGUUAAUGUAGUAGAGCAUUUUUGCAUUAUGUUUGUCAAAUACUAUUUUAACACUUUUUGCAAAAAAAAAAAAAUCAAUCAAACCAAACAAAUUCUAAAUAUCAUUUUAAGAAUAUAAGUGAUAUUGUAAAGUAAGAAUAAAAAAUCUGGUAUUACGCUAAAAUAGUGUUUACAUGACAAAAUUCUCAAUGCGAAGAUGGAGAUAUCUUUUUUCUUCUUCCCAUUUUCAUAAUUCUUUACAAUUAAAAUUUUUCAUAAAUUAACAUUAAUAUUAAUUUUCAAAUAGUAUAAUAAAAUCAUUAAUUAAAUACAUUAAAAAGAGAAAAAGAAAUAAAAAUGGUCUUUGGUGCCAUAUUGGCAAUUUAGAUACAAACACAAGAUACUGAUAAUUAAAUUUGUACAUGAAUUGAGUUGGGCCGGAUUCGAAUCUGGCCUAGUUAGGAGAUUAACAAAUUUUAAGUUUGUUCAGACUCGUCCAUCUCAAAAUAUAGUCUUAUUUUGCUGCUCAAGCCUAAUUAAUUUUUAAAAGACUUUACCUAAGCCUACCUAUAUUUUUUAAAAUAAAAAAUAAAUGUUAUAAUAAAUAUUAAUUAUGACAAAAUAAAUAAUCAACAAAGUAAAGCCUAAAAAAUACUUUGUUAACUUAAUUCGGUAUUUCAAUGUGAUUAGUAUAUAUAGACAUAGAAUAUUAAUGUAUAUAUUAUAUUUAAUUUUCUUUAUUUUUAUAUAAUAUGAAUAUAAAAAAUAUAUAAUAAUUAUUUGGGCCUCGUUGGAUUCGAACCUUAAGCUUUAUGUCCAAGGCCUAGUACAUUUUUUAAACAGGUCUAAAAUUCAAGUUCAGACUCAUUUAACAAACCUAAAAUUCAUGUCAAAGCUCUUCCAAAUUUAGAACAAGCUUUCAAGUUCGAGCGAGUUACCCAACCAAUAUAAUUUAAAAGUUUAAUUCAUUUGGUCCAUAUAAUUACCCUUAAGAUAUUGUAUCUAAUAAGUUUGAAAUUUAAAUCUCAAUAUUUGUUUUCGUUUCUCAAUAGUUAAGUUGCGACAUUUUAUAUAUAUAUAUAUAUAUAUAUAUAAAUAAAUCUUUCAAAGAAAAAAAUUAAAACUACUAUCUCUUUGAUAAUACAGAUUUUAAUUUACCUUACCUUAAGAAAAAAAAUUAUAAAUUAGAAGCUUUUAAACCCAACCUCAACUAUUUAAUUACCUAUACAAGGUAUGAUAAGAAAAUCAUUUGCUUUGAUGCAGGAGAAAAGCAAGAAGACUGAUUGGUCCUUGCAUUUGGUAGCUUUAAUUCUUCACCUAAAAUUUCUUGGUCUGCUUUGACGUGUGUAAAAUCAAGAUCACUUCAUUGAUCCUUGCGUUUAGAAAACGAGCAUUAGCUUUCCUGAUUUGAAAUUUCUCGAUCUGUUUUGACGUGUGUGAAACCAAGACCACUUGAUUGAUCUUUGCAUUUGGUAGCUUUAAUUCUUUACCUAAAAUUUCUUAGGCUGCCUUGAUGUGUGUGAAACCAAGAAAACUUGAUUGAUCCUUGCGUUUAGAAAACGAUCAUUAGCUUUCCUGACUUAAAAUUUCUUAGUCUGCUUUGAUGUUUGUGGAAAGCAAGAUGACUUGGGUUGAUCCAAGGCCUAGCACUUAGAACACGUCGCUAGCUUUCUGACUAGAUUCCUUUAUUUGCUUUUAUGUAUGUGAAAAAUAAAAUAACUUUAUUAAAACUUCUUUUGUCUCUCUCAUGGAGAAAGAAUUGCUUGCUCAGUUUUGGAUUACAACAAUCACAGCUUUGAUAUGUGGUACUAUCAUAAACUUGUCUUAGGGUUGAAUUGAAACUAACACUCCAUACGUACCCAAAUCUCUUUAUCUUUAUUUGAAUUUGUGUACAUAUUAAAUAAAAAAUUGUGCUAAAAAAAGUGAGCCUAAACAAUGUUCAUAUGGUAAAAAAAAAAGAUCUUUUUAACUUUUUUUGUUGAAAUUUAUGCCAACAGUUACAUGAUAUCAAGGCAGCAAAUUUCAUUGAUUUUUAAAGUUAUCGAUGGAAUUAAUGGAUAAAUUUGAAAUAAAUGAAAUCAAGAGAAAUUUUGAACUAAAUUAAAAAGAUAAAUGUGAAAAAUAUAUAGUUUUUUUUUAUAUAAUUUUAUGAAUUGUUUGAAGGGUAAAAUGAAAAUGCAAAAGAAUUUCAUUAAAUAUUUGGUCCCAUAUAUUAGCAAAUUUUAAAGAAAUUUUAAUUUAUAACUUUGUUUAAAAAUAGUAUUAUAUUAACUUCAUUCUUUUCAUAUUCCGUUAAUUAAUACUAAAAAUGAAUUUUUGAAAGAAAAAAGAUUAUAAAUAAAAUUCAUUUGAAAACUUUUUAUAUUCUACUAACCACUGAAAUUAACUAGAAUGUUAAGUAAAGGAAAAAUCACAUGAUAUUAUCAUAUUAAUUUAAUAUUUUCAAAUUCUAUAAAUUCAUGAUUUGAAAAUAAAUUUUCAAAAAUAUUUAGAUCACUUUUAUUUGGAAUUUGAGUAUGAUAUUGUAUUUUAAAAUUUUAGAAUUAUUUUUUUCAAUAUUGAAUAUUAUCAAUGAUCAAUUAUCCUAAUAUAAUUUAUAUCUCUUAGAAAUAUAUAUAUAUAUAUAAAAUUUAUAUUUAUAUUUAUAUGAAAGAAUGACUGCCUGCAAUUUCAUACAAGUCCAUGGCGUAAAACGCGGAGUCAAGGAGAAAUGACUAGUUGGGUCUCACAAUGUUUGUAAGUCCAAUGAAUACAAAGAAAAAUAGAAAAAGAUAUAUUGGUUUUAGAUAUGCUUUGUAAAAGGAGAUCAAAAGCAAAUUAGAGUGCCCAAAAUCAAAAGCUUGACCCAUUUUUUUUAUUGUGAAGACCAGGGCCGUUGGUAUCAAUUGCCUCGUGAUAUCAAAUUCAUCCAAAGAUUUUGUAAAAGUACUGGAUUAUCUUUUGGUAAUAAAAAUUGACAUUUCGUUAAAAAAAAAAAACUCUUUGAAAAGAAAAAUAAUUUGAAAAUGGCCUUUUUAGGUAAUAAAUACUUUUAAUUUUCCUUACCUUAAAAAAGUAGUGGUUACAAAUUAGGAGGUUUUACAACCAAUCUCAAUUAUUUAAUAACCUAAGUAUGAUAAUAAAAUAAUCAAAUUCAACGUAUAAUAUUAAAAGAUCGGAACGCAGUCAGAAGAAGACCGUAUUGUUUUUGGAAACCAUGCAAAUUCACAUGUUAAUGUCGAAAUAAUAAUAAUGGUUGCUUUGAUUUAAAAAAAAAAAAAAUAGUGGUUGCUUUGAUUGGGUAAGGUUUACAUUAAUCCUUGCUCUUGCAAAAAAGUCAAUUGCUUUUCUGACUUCAAAAUUUCUUAGUCAGCGUCAAUUGGAGAGAGAACUGCUUGCAUUAGGUGGAAUCCUUUGCAAUAUAUAUAUAUAUAUAUAUAUAUAUGAUAAUAUUAUAUAUAUAUAUAGGAUAAUAUUAAGUAUAAUACAAUCACAUGAGAUUGAAAUUAUACGAAAAAAUAUGCGAAAGUGAUAUUAUUUAAAAUUUUGACAAAAAUUCUAUGUGAAUUUGACAAGAACAAAAAAAAAGUGUUUUAUAUUUGACUUAUUGACAUGAAUUUGGUAUGAAAAUUUUCAUAUUUUAUACAUAUAUAAUGAUAUUAACAUAAUACAAAUAUAUGAAUUUUCAAAUAUAUUUUGAACCGUAUUGAUAAAAAAUUUUAUAAAAGCACCAUAUUUCGAUAUACUCAUAUAUCAUGUGGGGCGAAGAAAAUUCAUUAAAAAUUAAUUUUUUUUAUAUGAUGUUACUUUAUGGGUGGGUAGCUUUUUUUUGAAUAAGAUUAAAAUUUUUUUUUAAAAUCUGAAAUUUAUAUUGUUAUUCUAUUUUAACUUUGGAUUUAAUGUAAAUUUACCCAUUUGUUAACUCAUGACUGCAACUCAAUCACGUUAUCAUUAGUGUGUGUGUGUAUAUAUAUAUAUAUAUUCACAAUUUUAGUUUAAAAAUAAAUUUAAAUUUAUUUAGCAAAAAAAUUUAGAUUAUAUUGUAUCCUAACAACAUUAUCAUUAUUAUUACCUUAGAAAACAAAAUUUACAAAAUUAUAAUCCAUUUAACACCUUUCAUUAUAAAUUAAACAUUAGUUACAGAUAGAUGUGGUGAUGACACAUGUUCAUAAGGGUCAUAGAAAGAAUUUAUUCAACUUUUAUGGGUACUUUUGACAUUUUAUGAGAAAAAUUGGGAGUUGUAUUUUGGACUUAUUUUGAGAUGUUGAAUAAAAUUUUCAUUAUGUUUGAGCUCUUAUUAUGGUUUUUUUUUCUUAUUAUAAAUAUAAAAUUAUGCUUUAUGUUUUUAUUUAUUUGAUGUGUUGAUUUUAAACUUUUAUAAUUUAAUUUAUCUCUAUGCUUAUUUCAAUUAAUUUCAAAAGAAAGAGAUAGGAAGAAAAAAAAAAGAUGCUAAAAGAUAAAUUAAUUUCAAAAUCAAAAGCUUCACUCGUUUAUUUAUUGUGAAGACGAAGCCCGUCCAAAACUUUCCUGUCGAAGUCUCAGUCGUAUUGACUAAUCGAUUCUAUAUUUAAGCAUUACUUUGAGCAGAAUUCCUCAAACCAUCUUGCAUUUUCAUCAAUUCCCACAGCCAUGAACAUGAGAAAAUUCCAUUUUCUUUCAUUAGCUUUAAUGUUCAUUCAUUGUUUGAUGAUUAGUUACGCCAUGAUAGUGAGGAACCUCACCACAGACCAACAUGCUCUUCUCGAAUUUAAGCACCGAAUCAUUGAUCCUCAUAACAUCUUAGCCAAUAACUGGACUACCACUACCUCUGUUUGCAAUUGGGUCGGUGUCUCUUGCGCUUCUAAGCACAGGAGAGUCAACGCUUUGAAUCUUCCCAACAUGAAUCUUAUAGGAAUUGUCCCUCCACAAUUGGGAAAUCUCUCGUUCUUAGUAUCUCUUGAUUUGAGUCACAACAACUUUCAUGGCCAUUUACCGAAAGAGUUGGGACAAUUAAAUCGUCUGAAGCUCAUACAAUUAAGUUUCAAUUUUCUUAGUGGGGAAAUUCCCUCAUCAUUUGGGAGAUUAAAUAAAGUUUUGUAUUUGAGCCUCCGGAGCAACAAUUUGACAGGUACAAUCCCUCAAUCACUAGCUAAAAUGUCCAACUUGGAAAUCUUGGACUUGAGGCAGAAUCUCGUUCAAGGACACAUUCCACCCGAGAUAAGUAAUCUUCUAAAUCUAAGGAUACUUCGUCUGGCACUUAACCAACUUUCUGGUUCUGUCCCUUCAGUCAUUUAUAACAUUUCCUCCCUACACAUGAUUUCUCUUGCAUUUAACAAUCUAUCUGGCAGUUUACCUGAAGAUAUUUGUCGCCAUCUUCCAAAUCUUGAGGCAUUUUACUUGUCCUUAAACGAGUUUUCUGGUCAAAUUCCAUCAAGUAUAGAUGAAUGCAGGUGUCUUCAAAAUUUUAACAUUAGACUCAAACAGAUUCAGUGGCAGCAUUCCAGGGAGUAUUGGAAAUUUAACGAGGCUCAAAGUGCUAUACUUGGAUGGAAAUAAUUUGGAAGGUAAGCUCUUUGUUUUUUCUUUGAUAAUUUUCUUUCGAUUGAUCACUAAUUAAUUUUUGUAUUUAGUGAAACAUGAUUCAAGCUAAAACUCCCUAAUUUAUGCUACUAAAAAUAGCUUUACUUUAACCAAGACUCCAACACAGUUAAUUAAGACUCCUUUUAGUUAGUUGUUGGUUUUUUCUUGCUUUUAUUUAAUCCAAAAGGUGCCAAGAAAUAGAAGAAAAUAGUAAAAAUUAAAAAUAUCUUUUAUAUAUAAAAAGUAUCAACUUUACAAGGGAUUAAAUACAGUAGUAAAAAUUAAAACAUUUUUAUCUUAUUUAUAUAUAUUAUAUAAAAGAACGAAAUUGGAAAGCGCAAAUAGUGAACAACAUAUAUAUCUUUGAUAAUUUAUUAUCUUAGAUAUUUUAUUUAUAAUUAAUGAUUUUCUUAUUAAAUUAAAAUAUGACUAAUUUUAUUUAUUUUCUUAUCAACAUUGAAGCUUUUAUCAAAAUAAACUUUCUUUAAUUGAUAAUUUGAAAUUAUUGCAAAAGAAUUACUUUUAUAUUUUUGAAAGUAAGAGCUAAAUUUAAUUUAAUUAUUGAUAUCAAGUUAAAACUGCUUAACAUUAAUAGUAACUAUGAAACUCAUGUUAUUUUCUCCGGUCAAGUUUCAUGGUUGAAAAUCUUCAGUAUUCCAUAUAAGUAUCUUAAAUUGGGAAAAAGAAAAAAAAAUAACCAUAAGGAAUCUAUCUCUUUUCCUUGAAAUGCUUGGACAAAUGCCUAAAAUAAAUUAGUUGGCGUUAAUGCCCUCCUCAUAACAAGGACUGUAGCACAUUUUGUUAGGCCAAAAAGCCUUUAUCAAAUCAAGUUAGUGGAAACAAAAUCAAAUAAUUAAUCAAACACAUAAGAGAUAAUAAUUUAACGUAAUUUGGUCAAACCGACCUACAUCCAUGGAUGAAAAAAAAGAUUCACUAGUUAUAAAAGAUUACAAACAUAUAUCAAAUCAAAUACUCAUAACUAAUACUCAUAAAUUCUAUUAAUCUCCUCUAGUCCUAUAAAAUAUUCUCAAUCCAAACAAACAAAUAUUCAUGUAUACCUUUCUAACACCUAUGUAGACUUUCUCAAUCUCUUCUAAUCCACUCUCAUGCACCAUACCUAUGUAGACCCUUUAAGUCUUUUUUAGUCGACUCACAAAUAUUCAAACAUACAAACCCAUAAGACAUAAAUCUCCAGUAGUCUUAUGGGAGUGUCUAUCCCAAAAUCUCACAACUCUCUUACAUCUUUUUCUCAUAUCUAAUCCUAUAGAGACUUUACCUAUUUAUAACUAUACAAAUUUGCCUUUUAAGAAUCUAUUUCUUUUUAGAAUUCUUCUUUUGCAAGUUUUAUUGUCCAUUAAAUAAUAUAUAAUAAAUCUCAAAGAAAUCUCUUAUAGGAUUCGAAUCAUUAUCCCUAACACAUUUGACAUUAAUGAUUGGAUUUCCUUUUUUUUCUUUGAUAAAUUAUCCAUUUGGUCACUUAAUUUUGCAGUACUAUUAUUUGAGUAUUUGGUUAAAAGAAAUGAUGGUCAAUCAGAGAAAGAAGUGAAUGAAGUUAUUGCUUUGUUUCAUCCCAUUGUUCAACUGUUAAGAAUUUAUGUCUUUUUAGUUUUUUCUUUUCCUUUUCUUUUAUUUUGUUGUUCGUUUAUAAUCCAACAAGAAAAGAGGAAAUUGUUAUUUGAUGAAAACACUUUUCACUAAAACAUGAGCAGUUUUAUUCCUCGAAAGAAUAUAAAUGGGAAAUACACCCUUGAGAGCACAGAUUUUAUUCUGAAAUUAAAUUAUUUUACUGUAUAGUUUUAGAUUUAUCGGUAUUAUGUAAUAUUUGACUAUCAAAUAUAUAUAUAUAUAUAUAUACACACACAAAUGCACUUGUAUUAUAUACAUAUUCAUAUGCAAUUACAAGUUUUAAAAAUCUUACUACCAUAAAUUUCUAAAUAUUUAACUCCCAAAAUUCUAAAUAAAUGAAACAACUAUAAAAAUAAUAAGUAUAUAAUACAUUAUCAUUAAAGAAAUUUAAUAGUUUAAUUUAAUGGAAACAUUUAAUUUUUGAAUCUAAUCAUGAAAAAAAUAAAAAUAAUGAUGAGAGCAAAAGAAUUAAAAAUUGAUUAAAAGAGCUAUAACAAUAAAAGGAUAAAAUAAGAGGCAAAAUUUUAUAUCAAUCAAAAUAUCAUUUUUAACUUGUAUGACUGAAAUACAGGCUGAUGCAAAGAUCAAAUAAAACAAUAAUAUUAUGUGUUGUGAUUCAAAACUGAUAUAUAUUAGCUAAUACGAUGAGUAUGAGUACAUUAUCAAUAACCAUGGUAAAAUCCUUGUUCAAUGAUAUAACCAAUAGCACCAAUAAAACUGUAAAAUGAUAAUAUUAUGUCCUAAUUAAUACAGAAUAAACCAAUGUGGUUUAUCCUAAGAAGCGUUGAAAUUUUAACAUUUCUCUAAAACAUGUCGGGUAUGAUUUUGCCUUGGAUCUUGCUCAUAUUAUAACAGUUUAUAUCUUAUUUUCUGGUCCAACUCACCAACAUUAAGAUCCGCUUGUGCAAAAAACAAGAUUGCUGGACCAAUUAAACAUUUAUGCUAAUGAAAUAGCUUUUUGAUUUCCUGCUAAAGAUGCCAAAAAAAAAAAAAAAAACAUCUUUUGAAGAUAAUGUUUGGAACGAGAAUUAAAUUAAUUAUUUUACAUCCAUAAACUUUGGAGCAAAUAGUUUCAUUAUCAAUGUCAUGCCAAGCAAAAAAACGUUUUUAUUCUACUUUAUAUAUACAGAUAUAUAUAUAUAUAUAUAUAUAUUUAUCUUUUGACGAUAAUGUUUGAGACGAAAAUUAAAUUAAUUAUUUUAAUCCAUAAUCUCAUAAAAUUUGGAGCAAAUAGUUUCAUUAUGAAUGCAAUGCCAAGCAAAAAAAAAACAUAGCUUUUAUUCUACUUUAAUAGUUUCAUUAUGAAUGUAAUGUCAAGCAAAUAGUUUCAUUAUGAAUGAACUCUUGUAACUUGGUUUCUUUAUGUUCACGGGUGAAAUCCCUUCGAAAAUUGGAAAUCAUUUGAGCUUGGGGAUAUUUUCUGCCCCAAAUCUGAGGCUUGUUGGUCCAAUCCCAGCUUCCAUCUAUAACCUUUCUUGUUUAAAAGAAAUUUAUCUCUAUAGCAACAGUCUCUCUUGCAGUAUUACAUAUAAUAUGUGUUAUACUCUUGUCAAACUUCAGGUGCUUGAUAUUUCUGACAAUGAAUUUUCAGGCCACAUUCCAAGAAGUAUAGGAAAUUUAACCAAACUUAAGGAGAUAUAUCUAAGUCAUAAUGAUUUAGAAGGUAAGUUUUUGCAUUUGAUUAUUUAAAUUUCAAUUGAUUGAUACUUUUUAUUAAUUAUAUUAAAAAAAUAACUAAAAAUUAAAAAUUAAAAGAAUGAUCAACAUGAAAAUAAUCACAUUUGAUUUUCUUUUAUGCUUUUCUCAUUUUGACUCAAACUUUUGGAAUUUGAAGAAAUUAAGUUUUCCUUCAUAUUUUAAACAUCAAAGGAACUAAGAAUUUAUUGUGUAAUUGACUUUUAUUGCAUUUUAAAUAACCUCAAUAUUAUUGGAAUGUUUAGAAAGUGGAUAGUUUUAUAAUACUAAGUUGUUGUUCCUUUGUAGGUGAAAUUCCAUGGGAGAUUGGGAAUCUUAUUUCAUUGGAGACAUUAGCCGCAUCAUUUAUGCGCUUAAGUGGGUUGAUUCCACGUUCCAUCUUCAACAUUUCUUCUUUGAAAGUAAUUAGUUUCGUAAACAAUAGUCUAUCAGGUAAUUUCAUUAUAAACAUUUCAUUACUUUUAUGUUUAAAAUUGCUUACUUUAGUUUCAAAAAAGUUUAGUUUAGGAUUAUAAAACAAAUAAUCAUAAAAUUAUGAAAACUGUUAAAAAAAUGAAGUGCCAUUGAAAGGCUUGAGAAAUGUCUUUUCAAACCUCUUUUAUCUUAUUAAAAUCAAAUACUGUUUCCAAUUAAAUUAGGGAACGCAAAACAAAGACUCAAAAGAAUUUGAAAACCAAACCUGAAAAUCGAAAUUUCCAUCGUUUAGAAAAUAUUUUAAAAUUUUUAAAAAACAUUUUAUGAUGGAAUCAUGCCCCUAACUGGGAUGCGCACCACUAGCUAAGUCUACAAAGUUGGCCAAUGUGGAAAAAGGAUAGGUACCCAAAACUUGUGAUGUAAUAUGGCUAUUAGUUAUUAUCCCAUUGCAAUUAUAUACGAUAAAACUAUUUGAUUUGGUUUAUAAUGUGAUAAAAAGUAAUAUUAACGUACAUUGUUACUCCCAUAUUAAUUUAAUACCGACUUAAUUUAUUGUUACAUCUAACUUAAAGUAGUAUUAUUAUAUUUUAUAUUUUUAUAUUUAUUCGUCUGCAAAUAUUUAAAAUUUAUAUUUUGUGUAAUAAAAAAUUUAACAAUGUAUUUUAUUACUUUUAUAUUUCUUAAUAGUGUGUAUCCGUGUGGGCUAGUUUUAUUGGCUAUAUGUGAAAUGUUUCAUAAAAAUUAAAUCAUAUAGAUAUCAUUAAAUUGAUUAAAACUGUUAAGUAUAUAUUAAAAGGAUUGUGAAAUUCAAAUUUUCAUUAUGAGGGAUAAAUUAAAUAAGAUUCAAAUGAAUAUAUUUGAUUUUCAUCGUAACAAAGUUGUAAAAAACAAUAAUAUUCAGAUUCUAUAGGCAUACUCAAAAGUUUAUAAACUGUAAUCAUACAAGAUUCAUAUGAAUAUAUUUGAUUAGCUCUUAAUAAGUUGUUAAAAUAAUGAAAUAUGCUAGUCACAUACAAUAAAAUUUGAUGGGAGGAAAGAAUUGAUCAAUGGAGCUAUUUGUUAAUUAUCCAUUUUUUCCCACCGCAUGGAAUUAAAAUGAAUGUUGUAUUUUGAUAUUCUGUAUAUUGAAAACAGUAAAAGGUGAUGUAUAUUUGUUUAGUUUUAUAUAUAAAUGAUAAAAAGUAAGCUAAAAAAUUUGAAACUUGAAAAACAAAUAAAUAAAUAAACAACCUGAAUAGAAAGAAGAAAAAAAAUGAAAGAAAGAAAAAUGAGAAGUAGAAAGAGAUAGAGAUUCUAGAAAUGAAAAUAUGAUAUAAUAAAGUACAUGUAAAAACGUGUAUUCUAAAAUAGAAACUCGCAUAAAAAAUUAUAGUUAAAACCUGUAUUGUAAUGAUUACUUGAUUUGAAGUAGGAAAGAAAGAGUCUUUCCAUGUCAAUAAAACCAAAUUAAAAACCUUUUAGUGUUUGUCCCUCAAAUAUUUUUCUUUUAACACCAAUUUAAAGUUUCAUUAAAUUGUAACUGAUCCAUUUUGUAAUUUCUAUUAUUACCUAAAGACAUUAGGUCAAUUCAUUUUAUAGUUUUUCUAAAUUUAUUAUUUAUUAACAACAUGUAAUAUUGUAUUAAAAUUAAUAUAAUUUUAUUAUUUAUUAACAAGAUGUGAUAUUAUAAUAAAAUAUUAAAUUUAAAUCUUCUAAAAUAUAAAAUUUUUAUUGAAUGGAUAAGGUAAUUUUAAUUUGAGCAUAUUUAUAUUACAUAUAAAUAAUAAAUUUAAAUAUGGAAUUUAAAAUUAGAUUAAAAUUAUUAUAACAUUAUAUGUUAAGUCCACUCUUCUAAUACAAAAAUUAAGGCGCAUUCAUUUACUUAGCCUAUAUUAUUUUUUAGUCUGCCCAUUCUUUUAAGACAAAUGAGUAAAGUUUAUAUGGUAAUUGAGGAUCAACUUAUGAUUAAUUAUAUUUAACAGAAAACAAUUUUAAAAUAUAUAUUAACAAAAACCAUAGCUUUAAAAUAUAGUAUUAAUGAUUUCCGUUCCAAAAAAAAAAUCAAUAUUCAAAAUUUUAAAAAAAAUUCUUCACUUAUCCAACCACAUGUCAAUUUCCAAUUCAUCCCUAACUACCAUCCUUUUGUCACUGGAUUGUUUUAAUAUAAUGUAUAAAUUUGUUUAAAGUUGUCUGGAUUGUUUUAAUAUAAUGUAUAAAUUUGUUUAAAGUUGUCUAACUUUUUAUUUGAAGCAUUCCAGUUAUAAUUUUUUUCCUGUAAUAUUGUAAUUAUUAUCUAAUCACAAUAAAGUAUUAUAUAAGGAUCAUCACUGAUAAAUGUGGGUUACACAUAAAAUUUUGAUAAAUUUUAUAUAAUUUUAAAUUAUAAUUAAUUAAUUGAAUUAUAAUAGUUGUAAAUUAUGUGCUCUCUUUUUAUUAUAUGCAAUAAAAAUAAGUGCUACUUUUAUCCUUUUUUUUUUGGUCAAAUUAGGGAAUUUAACUGUUCUUUUACGAAAUAAAAAGCAAUAGUUGUGUAAUUUUUUUUUGGCUAAGCCAUAUUUUUAUUAGAGAUCAAAAGACCAUCAUCAGUGAAAUACAAGAAUCUUACCAAGAAACAUAGUUAAAGCCAUACCAGAAACAACAAAAAAACAUCUAGCGCAAUUCUAACAAAAGACUUCCACCUAAAAAGAAGAAACCAUAACACCCAAACAAAAAAAAAAAACACUACCAUGGUCAGUAAACAAAUAAUGAGAGCAAACACCACUAUCCCUUACAGAACAAAAUCACCACCCACCUUUGCCAUGACAUCUACCAUAUCAUUCAGCUUUUUAAAAUUUUUUUAUCAAACUGGAUGCCCCAAUUGAUCUCCAAAGCAUCACAAUUUCAAAAAAUAUAGACAACAACUUUCAUGGUCGAUGAUUCUUUUUACAUAGGGGCACUUCCAUAUCCCAAAAGCAUACAAAUAGCAAAACGCUAAAACUCCCAACAUUAACCUCAUAACCACUAUCAUAUCCUUCUAGAAAAGCUCUAUUUCGAGGACGAAUACCUUCAUCCGAUGAGUGUUCUUGAAUAUUGGAAACUAGAGGUGUCUUUAUCUGGCGAGACUUGCGAUUGGAUCUUUUCCAAUAUUUUGCCUUACCUAUUUUCCUUCUUUUACCUGCUCGAAUAGUAGUAACAAGGUGAAAUUUUUCUUCGACGUUGAAAAGUUUCUCAGCGUCUCUAUCACUAUUGCUCAUAAGCUCAAUAGAAUCCUGACCAAGUUCCAGAGAUAAUAACAUACUUUCCUCUGACAAGAUUUGAUCAAUGGCAUUUAUCGUAUCAGGAUAUCUAACUAUUCCAACAGCAUUCCGUUGUAAUCCCAUCAAAUCUAAAUUUUCAGGAAUGUAUUCAAGGAUGUUAAGCGAUUUUGAAACCUCUUCUUUUUCGACCAUCUGAUACAAUGUUAUCCUUUAACUGAUUGGGUUUGACAGACAUAUGAACCACCUUUGCAUAAGAUUGUCCAUCUCUAAAGUCUUCUAUGCAGCUAACACCUUUUUCCAUGCGGUGAGUGGUGGGUUUAGAGCUAGCAUGAGACCUUUGAUCAUACCUUGCCAUUUGAACAUAUAGAGUGGAAUAACUCAGGUACUAACCAUUUAGAAAUUUGACAGCCCUCAAUGAAUCCCAUAGACCAAGAUAAUGGACAAACCAACUAAGACAUUUUUGGCUCUCUUCUGAUUUUUUGGGACAUAAAAAUCAACCACCCAUCCACAUCUGGCAAAACAUUGCUGGAGAUUAAGGAGACUACAUCCUGGAAAAAUUCCAUCAACAAACAGUGUAACAAAUUUUCUUAUGUGGCCUUCAUAGCAUCCAAGAAGAGCUUUUUGACUUACCUUUACUUCACCCUUUAAAUCAGACUAACGCAAGGCUUUUCACCCUCUAAUAAUUGUGUAAUGGAAAGCAUCAUUUUAAAAUCUUUUUCAUUAGUUUCACAUUUUUUGUCAUCAUAUUACUAAAUUUUUUAUUGUAGUAGGAAAAUAUAUACGGUAUUACUCCAACAAAACUUAAAUGAACCUCCUCUGGUACAGCACUCGUAAGGUUCUAUCAAACCUUAGGGAAGAAAGAAACUGAUUUUCAAAACUAAAAGGAGUAUGUGUACUUUUAACAAUCUUUUCAUAGAAUCUUUGUAUUUUUCUCUUAUAUUAUGCAUAUAGUCUAAAAUGAAAGAAAUUUUAUCAUUUCUCUUGAGCCUUUUUUUCCUAAAAUAGCAUAGAUAAAAAUUCUAAUUUAUUUCCAAAUAUUUACACUUUCAGAUUUUUCUUUUCUCAAACAAAUUAAUGUAAAUAUACAUUUAUUUUUUAUUUUCGUCAUUUUUUAUCUCGUUUCUUUUUUUCCCAUUAACAAUUUCAUCAACGAAAUUUUCUUUAAUCUUUUUUAUCAUUAAAGCAAUUGAGAUAAGUUAAAGGAAAUAAAAUUCUUACAUAAAUGGAAAACAUUUUAAGCAUAUACUAGAAACCUUAUAAUAUCUUCUUUUCUCCUUUCCUUUCUUCUAUCUUCUUUUUCCUUUUACUUUUCUUUUCUCUUUUGUACUUUAUUAUACGUAAGCGCGGAGCCCUAGUUUGAUCAUUAUAAAUAUGAAAAAAAUUUUAUAAAUCAUAUAUAUAUAUAUAUAUAUAUACCAGAUUAUCAAACAAGAAAAACCUAAAGUUGGUUCAUAUUUAUAAUUGUUAAAAGGCUUCAUGUUUCUCCUCACUCAUGUUCAUAUAUGUAAGCAUUGCAUUCACUUCAGCUUGCAUCACAGAUUCAUGAAAAACAUAACAAAGCAAACCAAUUAAUUUAUUUCUUGUAUGGAAAUAUGCCAACUUUUUUUUUUCUUUUUAGGUAAAUUACCACACAUGAGCUCUGCUUCAAAUCUUGGGAGGCUUUACUUAGCGAGCAAUAAUCUCAGUGGAAACAUUCCUGACUCUAUCUCCAAUGUUUCUAAGCUCAGAGUCCUAGAUUUAGAGGGAAACUCAUUCUUUGGCCUUAUUCCAGAUACACUUGGCAAUUUGAGGUUCCUUGAGAUAUUGAGCCUUAGGUCGAAUCAUUUGACCACCAAAACUUCAACUCAUGAGUGGAGCUUUCUCAAUUCCUUGGCAAAUUGCAAGCAUCUAAAAAUUUUAGACCUAUCAUUCAACCCAUUAAAUGGCAUUCUUCCAAUUUCUAUCUCAAAUCUUUCCACAUCACUUCAACAAUUACGGGUCAUUGAUUGCAAAAUUAGAGGCAACAUUCCCAUGGAAAUUGGUAGCUUAAGCAACGCUAUAUUGUUAGACCUUUCCUCUAAUAAAUUGAGUGGACCUAUUCCAACAGCAAUAAGAAGGCUAAAAAAUCUCCAACUUUUGAAUCUUUAUGGAAAUAAGUUACAAGGCUCUGUCCCACAUGAUCUUUGUGGUUUGAAGGGAUUGUACAAAUUAUCAUUGGGUGCUAAUGAGCUUGAUGGACCAUUACCAACGUGUUUAUGCGAGUUGACUUCUUUGAGAUAUCUAUACUUGUUCUCCAACAAAUUGCAUUCGCAAAUACCUUUAACUUUUUGGAGCCUUAAAGAUAUCUUAGAAGUAGACUUGUCAUCAAACAAUCUUAGAGGUUCACUUCCACUUGACAUUGGAAAUUUGAAGGUACUUAUCUCUUUGAAUUUGUCAAGGAAUUUAUUAUCAAGUGAUAUUCCGUCCACAAUUGGAAGUCUCCAUGAUCUGCUGGUUUUGAAUCUUUCUAAAAAUAGAUUACAAGGCCCUAUUCCAAAAUCAUUGGGUGACUUGAUAAGUUUGAAAAGCUUGGAUUUAUCUAACAAUAAUCUCUCUGGAGUCAUUCCCAAGUCUUUGGAAAACCUUUAUGAGCUCAAUUAUUUUAAUGUGUCCUUCAAUAGAUUGCAAGGAGAAAUACCAAGGGGAGGGCCUUUUUUGAACUUCACAGCUAAAUCAUUCAUGAAAAAUUAUGCAUUAUGUGGUUCACCAAGACUACAAGUCUCACCUUGCAAAAAUAAAAUCCAUCGAAAAUUCAAGAAGAUCGCUCUACAUGCUUUGAGGUAUGUUUUGCCAACAUUUGCUUCGAUAAUAAUAGUUGUAACUGUCAUAAUUGUCUACAAAAAAUGGCAGAGGGGGAAUAUGAAUUUGGCAAUGGAUAAAGAUUUAAUUCCUCUCAAAAAAUGGAGAAGAAUUUCGUAUAAUCAAUUAUUGCAAGGGACUGGUGGAUUUAGUAGGAAUAACUUACUUGGUUCAGGAAGUUUUGGCUCUGUAUACAAAGGAAUACUUUCGGAUGGAACGGAACUCGCAAUAAAAGUUUUCAAUUUGCAAAUAGAUGGAGCAUUUAAGAGUUUUGACGUUGAAUGUGAAGUGAUGAGCAAUAUCCUUCAUCGCAAUCUUGUCAAGAUCAUUACUUGUUGUUCAACUAUUGAUUUCAAAGCCUUAGUGCUUGAGUUCAUGCCUAAGGGGAGCCUUGAGAAAUGGUUAUAUUCUUACAACUAUGUAUUGGAUAUCCUACAAAGAAUCAACGUCAUGAUAGAUGUUGCAUUGGCAUUAGAAUACCUCCAUUUGGGACAUCCGAUUCCUAUAAUCCAUUGUGACCUAAAACCAAGUAAUGUCUUAUUGGAUGAGGACAUGGUUGCACACGUGGGAGAUUUUGGAAUUGCCAAGCUAUUGGGAGAAGGAGAUUCCAUCAAACAAACAAUGACUCUAGCUACCAUUGGCUAUAUGGCACCAGGUGAUUUUUUCAUUUUUUUAAUUUUUUCUCUAUUCCAAGGUGAGUAGAUAUUAGUAUUUUAUCAUUUUAUUGAUUAAUGAUGCCUGAAUGACAUGAGAUCGUUUUAAUGAUUCAAUUAUAUUUAAAAUACAGAAUACGGAUCGGUGGGAAUUAUUUCAACAAAAAGUGAUGUCUAUAGCUAUGGUAUUCUAUUAAUAGAGACUUUCACAAGAAAGAAGCCCACAGAUGAAAUUUUUGUUGCAGAAAUGAGUAUAAAGCAUUGGGUGAAAAGGUCAUUAUCUAAUGAAAUAAUUGGUGUAAUAGAUUCUAGUUUAGUGCAAGAAAUGGAUGAAUAUUUUGUUAUUAAAGCAAAUUGUAUAUCAUCUAUUAUGAGAUUAGCUUUGGAUUGUUCAGCUGAAUUACCUGAAAAUAGAUUAGAUAUGAAGAAUGUUGUCUCCAUGCUGAAGAAUAUCAAAAAAGAAUAUCUAAACAACAUUACGCAGGAUUAAUUAAUAUGGUAAGAAAUGCAAUUAUAUAUAGUUUAAGCUUGUAUAAAAGUACAUACUAUAUGUUUAUCUAAUAUUUUUUAAGAAGGUAUUCCGUUAAGCUUUAUAUUUUUUUUGCAGGUUAAGGUUACUACUACCAUAAUACGUAUUUUGGUUCAAUAAUCAAGGUACUUUCAAUACUUUUGAAUUUUUAUCUAUAUAUUUAUUUAUGAACUUUGAACUCUUUAUUAAAGUAAUUUUUUCUUAAUAACAUUUUAAAAGUAAAAACUAGAGUUUUAAUUGCAUUAAAUCAUUAAAGAGUUUAAAUAGUUAUGAGAUUUGUAUAGCCAGUGAAUUUCAAUAACUUCUAUGUCUAAGUAAGGAGGCAUGGUAGUUGUAAACAUAUAAAAAGGAUUUUCUUGAUUAAUAAAUAACCUUUUCACCUGGAUGUGUGGUUACAUGUAUAGGAAGUUAGGCUCAUUUUGUAUAUUUGUGUUUUCUUUUAUAUUUCUUUUAUUAAAUUCAUAUUAUUUCUCAAUAAAUAUAAUUAAUUUAUAUAUGUUAUGUAUGAUUAGAAGUAACAUAUAUAUAGAUUAUAAUUUCUAUAUAAUUAAUCACAACAUAAAUUAUCAUAAAGAGGGCCAAUAAGUAAAAUUCAUUUUCAUUUGCUUACGGUAUUUAUUAAUAUAACCAUUAAUUAGGAAUACUUUUUCGUUACAACUCCUUUUUUAUCUCAAUGAUAAUAAUAACAGUAAGGAUAUAAUUUUACAUAAUAAUAAAUUUGUACUAAUGUAUUUUCUUCUAUGAAAAUUAUGACUCAUAUAAUUGCAUUUUUGAGUAAUUUGGAUUAGAUGAAAAUAUUGGCCAGUAUCUUUAUAUAUAUAUAUAUAUAUAUAUAUAUAUUUAGGUGAUUUAUGAUUGAGUAUGGAAUUAUAUUUCUUUUUAUAAUUAAUUAAUUUUUGCCAUAUUAUUUUUAUAAUUGAUUAAUUUUUAAUUGGUAUUUGGGUAAUAACUUAUUAAUGAAUUUUAACUCAAAUAAAAAUUAUUAGAAUUAUUAUAUAAUUAGUAUGUAACAUUUCAUUGUUUUUUAUUUUUCUAAAAUAUAAUAUUGUUAUAUAUGAUAUUAGUUAAUACACAUCAUUUUUCUAUCAAGAAUAUCUUUAGUUAAGAAGGUGAUAAUAAAAAUGUAUUAUGGAAUUUAGAAGAAUAAAGAAAUUUGAAAAGUUAAUAAAAUAAAUUACUCUAGAAGAAAUCAAUUUUAUCAAUCCAUCCCUCCUAACAAGGUUACUUUCUUAAGAGACUCUGAAAAUAUAUUAUUUAUCAUUCAAGUACUUAAAUUAUUUGUGUUUGUUAAAUAAAAUAGUUGUAUUAUUUUAAUGUUCACAACAAUUUUUUAUUAAUUUAAUUAGAUAGGAAAUUAUAAUAAAUUGCAUUAAUAGAGAAAUAUCAUAAUGUUUGUAAAAUAAUAAGUAGAAAAAUAUAGAUGAAUAUAUUAAUAAUUAAGCAUAUUGUUAUAAAUGCAAAGUUUUAAAAACUUUCUAAAAAAUAAAGUUUUAAAUAAUUAUUAUAAAUCAAAACAAAGAUAUAUGUAAAUAUGUAUCUACUCACACAUACAUUAUAACAAAUAUAGACGUUAAUUUUUUAUAUAAAUGGUUAUUUAUUAAAAACUCUACAAAAAAUGUAUAAAAUAAUAUUUCUAUCAUUUAAUAUUAAUUAAUAAAUACGUUUUCCUUACUAAUAAACAUUUUAAUUAGGAAGCAAGUACACCAAUGUACUUUCAAUUGUAAUGAAAUUCAAAAGCACAUAAAAAUAAAUUAGAAAUCAAUUUUCAUUAAUCAAUAAUCAUUACUAGCUAGUAUCUUUUCUUUUUCUAGUCUAGUAACAAUAAUAUUAUUGUUUAAACUCUUAGUUACUUUUGUUUGUUGAACACUGAAAUAGCUAUUUUAUUUUGUUUGUUACACUAAAAUAUAUAGCUUUUUUUUUUUUUGCUUAAUAUGCAAAACAUGUUUUAUUUAUUUUAAUAAAUUAACUAUAUUAAUUGCUAUUUAACAUAGAUGUUGAUUACAAUAUUGUUAAUAUUGAACAUAUAUUUACAUAAUUAAAAUAAUAUUCAUAUACGAAUUUACCAUAUAACAUAUAUAUUUAUUGAAAUUAAAAAAUUUUAAAGAUAAAAGUAUGAAGUGACUUUACCUAAAAGUGAAUAUUAAUUUAUUAAUUAUUUACUUUGAUAAAAUAGAUGUUAUUAAUCACAUAAGCCAUUAUUGAAUUUCUAUUGAUUUGGUUUCCUAACGAUUUAUAAUUUUAGGUUUUUUAAAUGUUUAGAGUUAGUCAAUAUCAUUUAUACGCACUCAUCUAAGUUUAUAAAUUAUUGUCUCUUAUUUUAUAUGGUAUGAUGUUAUUAAUUUAUCAACUAUCAGUAUGGGCUUUUUUUCUAUUAUUCACAAACCAAUUUAGUAAGUAUGAUGAAAAAGAAUAAUAAUAGAGGUAGGUGCAAGCUUCUUGAAGUUCAUCUUUUUUCUUUCACUUGAUUAUUGUUAGAAAUUGAUUUUCAAAAUAUGAACGCAAGCUUCUUGUCCAAAAAAAAAAAAAGGGAAAAAGGGAACUGAUGCAAGUUUUGUAACUUUUAUUGCAGUAUGUAACUUAUGAAUUCAGCGUGGAAUAGAUUGUGCUGUUUCUUCUCUUAUUGUGAUUGCAUAAAGCUUGAGUGAGAGAUUUAUGGUGUGCUUGUGCAUUGGAAGUUCACCUUCCAAUGGCGUGGAAUGUCUAAGAAAGUUCAUGGAAUCAUGGCCAAAAGUGGUGUGGUGUUUCUACUUGAGAAAUGCGAUCAUCUUUCUUGCAAUGAUUUUUAUUUUUUUAUUCAAAAAAACUUUUGAUAUCCUAUUAACUAAUGAGUUUGAUUAAAAAUAGGUAGGAAAAGAAAAGUUAUACAAAUUAUAUAUAUUAAUUCCAAUUUUUUCAUAUUUUAUUUAGUUAAUUAUUUGAAAAUAAACUUUUUGAAAUAAAAUUAUAUUUUAUUAACUAAUGCCUUGGAAAUAAAAUUUUGAAAGAAAAAAAAAACAAAUCAAUUUUAUUUAGAAAACUUUUCAUAUUUCACUAACCAUUAAAUCGAACUAAAAUGAUGGGGAAAUAUUCCAUAAAAUCUAAAGUAUAUUUGAAGAUCUUUUCAGUUUGAAUAAAGUCUGCAUUAUCCAAUAUAUUUGGACUUUUUUGUCUAAAACGGGCUCAAUUUGGAUUGCUUGGCUCAAGGCCCAUUCUCUUAAAGAAGGAACUAUUUGGUAGGUGUCCGAAACUCAAAAUUUCAGUUAACGUUGGAAAAAACUAACAUGGCUACGCUCAGUUUACAAGCCUAGAUCCUAAAUCAAAAAUAUCAAAUGCAUAACUAAUCCUAACCUUUGAAAUUCAAUAUUUCUUUAAAUCUAAUAUCAAACCCAAAAAAUUUGAUAAAAAAUAUCGAACUUAGAACAAUUUCACAAAAUCAAAACCUAAAAAUCAACUCAAAAUAAGGUAAUAAAGAAACCUCAUAAUUAGCAUUACCUUUCUCUUGGGUGGAUAGUCUCAAAGGAGGGUGGGGAUUUUGGUUGCUACAAGAGUAAUCUCAAACGAGAACAGCGAUGGCUGGCUUGUUGUACUCAUCGAUCAAGCCAUCUUGUUGGUGGUGGUGGUGGUGGUGGUGGUGGUGGUGAAAUAUACUUAUUGCCAAAAAUAUAUGAAAAUGAAAAAGAUAAAAGAUAAAAGAUAAAAAAAAAAAGGGAGGAAAAGAAUGGUAAAACAUGUAAUUCUGAACUUGCUGACUAUCAUCUUAUACAGUGCAGAUCUAGUUUAACUUUAAGUUAUAUCUAUACUGUGGUUUUGAUUAGUUAACAUAUUUAAGGGGCCAGACAACAGGCAGUUUGUGUUCCGUUAUUUCCCUAGAUUUAAACAAGCUUAAAAGGCAGAGUACAUAGGCAAUAAACCUAAUGAUCUGGUGUAAAGUAACCAAAAUUGAGAAAGCUCAAGCUUAUGUUAUGUCCAACGUGAGGUUGCUAGGCUUAAAACCGCAGUCAUAUCACUUACACUACAGGGUAGUGGAGCCAAACAAAGUUGCUAAAAUCAAAAAAGGGUAGAGGUCAAAGAUGAAGGUACCUCUGAGGAGAUUGAUGAAAUGGAUUUCUGAUCUGCAUUUCUUACAAUUGGAAUCAUUAAACCCUGCAAUCCAAAUAAAAUAAUAUGAAACCCGUUGCUCUAUAGAACCCAAGAACUACAUCUUAUUGGAAGCAUACCUUCUCAGUAGCAACUGCAAUUGAUAUGUCAACAGAAUCACACAAUUAUUUCCCCUUUCUCAACAUCCCAAUAAGCUGCAGUCAUUGAAAUAGCAAAUUUUUUAUUAGAAAUAAGCCAAAAGAGCCAAAAUUUUGUAUGAAAGCUAAAUUUAAUCGAAGAAAAAGGAAUAAUGUAAUUAUUUUCCACUUUAUAAAAUAGCACUUAUUACUGAUAAGCUGAUGCUGGAAAUUUCUUAUACACAGUGUGUACACUCGACACAAAUGUAUGACAAAUUAACAGUAAGUGCUCUUCCUGCUUGAAACUUCUUCGAUGCAACCAUAUAUUAUCAACACAAAACAAGAUAAGUCUUUUCCUGUUUGGAUGUUAGAGGAGGCUCAUAGACCCACCUGGUAAUAAUGUAAAUACUCAGCUUCAGAUUCUAUCAAAGUGAAUAAAUAUUUUAUACAACAUUAAUAUUCUCCAGAACUCUCUUUUCAGAUUAAGCUGAAAACCAUUUAUAGAUCAGCAACUACAAAUUAAUUGUUGAACUACUGAGGUAUAAGAAAUAAAAUGACCACACAAUCUUAUGACAUUUCCUUCAUUAAGGAAGGUUGAAGUUCUGGUUUGAGCAUAUGAAAAAGCAAGUAGGGUUGGUAAAGGACUGGGAAAGGGUUACCCCCACUAAGAAUCCAGCCAAUGAAUCAACACAAAAGAAAUAAAUAAAGGUAGAAAAGAAUCAAAAACUCAAAAUAUUUUCUUCCCAUCGUAGUUUUGCUAGAGAUGCAAAAAUCACUAAUAAAAGCAUUUUUGUGCUUGCAUCAGUUUAAAAAUGUAUGUCAUUCCCAAUCUUUUACAGCAGCAUAACAGAGUGGAAUCUAGUCCAAGAGAUAAAUAUCACCCCACAUUUCUAGCAAUGUUUACUACAUUUUACAAUUGGUCAAGCUCAUUAGCCAAUUGUGUUGGCUCAGCUCCCAUACCAUGUUUACUCAGAAAUCUACAAGGACCAGUUUUAUUGAAAUUAUGUCUUACCAUUAGCUUCAGGUACAUUUUUCAAAGCAAUUGCCACUGCUUUUAUGACGAUGUCAUUUAACUGAAACUUUAAUAUAAUGCUUCUCUGCAAAUUGAGAAAGAAUAGAACAAUUAGCAGUCAGUAAAACCACAGGUGUGAAAGAUCAAAUUGAUGAUACAGGAAUUUAUUCCAUACCUUUAAGCUCCUUCCUAAAGGAAAGAAGAGGAUCCACUAUAACAUCUGAAGAACACAAUAAAACCUUUCACUGGUUUAGACCAGUCAAAAUAAAAUUCCAAUACAAAAUUUAGGAUGGAAACAUGUGAAAAGAGAAAUUCAAAGAUAUCGGACAUUUAGAUGAAUUGAAAUACGUAUUACUAAUAACAACAUUUGACGGUAUAACAAAUGCUAAGGUUGUAAAGAACUUAUAGCAGUAACAGAGAUACAUUUCUCUUCAAACUGCUUAGAAAAGAACAAAGAAUCAAUAAUAGGACUUCCUUGAGCUUAGAAAUUUAAUUCUCUUCAAAGAACCCAACUAUUAUCUGAACGAAUAAAUUAACUACAAAUAUUAAGGAAAAGCCUUUAGACAUUUUGUAUUGCAAAUAGCAUACAGGGACAUAAAGGAAGACUGGCAUGUUCAAAUACUUCUAUCACAGUUCUAGUGCCUCUAUAUAAAACCAACCCUAACAUGUUAUUAAUUCAGAAGUAUUCAUAUCAAGUUUAUGAAGAUAUACUGCCCGUAUUUAAAACCAACCCUAACAUGUCAUACAUGAUAAAUAAGUUCUAAAUAAAUAAAUAAUAAAAGAAAACCCUCUCAAUCAAACCCCUUACUAAUCCUAUUCAAUGAAUAAUCUGUGAUUCUAUAAUGCAAUAGCCAUAAAGGCCUGUGUCCUUUUGGUGAACUCAACUUAAAAUAAAUCACUUGUCAGUGCAACUGAUUCAUCAAACCAUUACAUGCAAACUUUGAACCCAAUGUCCUUUGAAUGUUGCUCCUUCUAACUUCCGCCAAAUGCAUUCAUGUAAACCUCCUAACUUUGGCAAAGCUCUUUGCAUCAUUUUAUUUCCAUAUUCUCCAACACCACCAUCUGCCUUUAUCAUCAGUUUGGUCAUUAGCGCAUAAAUCUUACCUUUCUUAUAUUGAUGCAUGCUUCAAUUUUUUAUAUCAAGCUAUACUUAAAAUGUAUGAAUAGGUCAUUUUUUCACUAUCCAAUAUUUGGUAUAACCAUCUGCAGUCACAGGACUUUAGAGAUUUUAAGUUUUAUCUGACGGCCAAUGCAAUAUAAAGGCACAUUUAUUUCAGGAAUAAAGAUUAAAACCAGUCCAUAAUGCUUCUCCUAUCUUUAAAUAAUAACCUAGUUAGAAAAGGUCAAGGCCAAAGUCUCUUGCCUUGUUAACUCCCUUAUAACUGAAUAAUGAAAUAUACCUUGCGAAUUUGAGUACUGGACAAGUCUUCAAAAGAAUCUGAUUGCUGUGGAUGAGCUUUUGACUCAGGCCUCACUGAAGGAGAUUUCUUAGGGCUGGUUUGAAUUGAUGGUUUUUUUCUUCUCAGAUGAAGAUAUCUUGGAAGAUCCUUUUCCGGACUUAAUUACAGCCAAACCUUCUCCUUUUAGCAAAGUACCAUGAGGACCCGAUGCCUUUAGUGAUGAUGCAGCUAAUCCAUAUUCUAAGCAACUUGGCUGAUGUACUGAUCUUUGUACCAGACUUCUGCUCUCUAACUUUACUUUUGGAUUCAUGAUGAGUUGGUUCUCGCUUUUUGACUGUAGUGGUCUUUACAGCUUCAAUAUCAACUGGAUCUUCAACCUCGCAAGAUAACAAGCAUUAGUGCCCCAUGUGCCUCAAGUCACUACCAUUAACCUGACUUCAAAAAAUCCUUUGACUAACUAUGAAAAGCUAAAUUGCAUCAAGUAAUUUACAACAAGAUAUGAAAUAAGUCAACGUAACAGCAUAUAAUGGCGACUUACUGUUACCGCAAUAGGUUUCCCCACAGCCACAUCCUUUGAACCUUCUGAAGCAAGUAUCUUUGCCAGGUAGCUGCACCCAACAAUUUCAACAGACAACUGUAAGUUUAUAUGUAAUUAACAGAAAUGAACCAUAGAAAUGAAAGGAAUUGCUAACCAAGAUCAAUCUCAAACCCAAGAAAGCCUCUCUUUUGUUAUUAACUUGUAAAAAAUACCCUUGCUUCUAGAUUGAACUAUGUUCCACCUGCUUUGGUUGUUCAAUUUUAUAGGAUUCAACUUAUUUAGCCACGUAAACACAGCCCUCCAAAUUUUUCACCCAGGUUCUCUCGAUUUGACAUCUUAUUUAGUACUACUUUUCACUGUUAGUCUUACUAAAUAUAAUAUCCACAUAUGUGCUUUAUGGAAAACUCAUGCUUAUGCCUCACAUCAACGUUAUAUAUAUAUAUAUAUAUAUAGACACACACACACACACACAUAGACCUUGCUUUUGUUGUUCACUUUGAUAGAACUAGGGUCUAAUACAUGGCCAAGUUUAACUAAAAUAUAUGAUCAUGCUAAUAUUUCCUUGAAAACAACAAGGUAAAUCCAUAUUAAUACUAAAGGUGUUUCUCAUCUUAGUGUAUAUCCAACAAGUCUAUAAGCACCAUUUUGGAAGACUUACGCCUGAGACCUCACUAUUUAUCAUACUUUUGGAUGGACAUAAUGACAAAUGAUCAGCUACAGAAAUCAAGUUAGUCCAAAGAUUACACUAUCAAUUAAUGUCACUUUAGUGCUAUCAGCAAUAAAUUCCAAAGCAAGAAAGAACAUUACCCUGCUUCAAGGCUCUCAAAUUCGAGGGUAGCUUUGUCAGUCUCAAUCUCACAUAUAACAUCACCCACUUCUAUAUGCCCAACAAUGUUAGGCAUAUGGAUGCGAACAAGGUUAUUAUUCACUCAAAAAGAAAAAGAAAGCAUUUUAAAGUAUUUAUAACUUGUGCUAAUAAAACUAACCUUGUCCCCUUCUUUUUUCCUCCACUUAAAAAUGUUACCCUGAUUCUAUAAUAAAAUAUGAAAAGGCAAAAUAAGCUUUUGCAGUAAAGAAAAAGUCAGAGAAGGAGGUUCAUAUUUGAACCUAAUUUUUCUUACCAUUGAUGGAGAAAGCACUGGCAUUCUAAUAACAAUGUAAGGAGGAAGGUUUGAGGCGUUGGCAUUAAUAGAAGUUGGUUCCUCUUCUUUUUCUGAGUUUCUGACAUCCUGAUGGGCUGUUUUUACCUCAACCUCUGAUCCUCCCCCAGAAGUAGAAGGGAUCUCCAGGAUAUUUUGUUCAUCCUCAACCUUGUGAACCCAUCCAAAUGAGUUUUAACAAAUUGUUUAUUGCAUAGUUGGUGCUCAACAAAAAAUUACUAUUUAAAAGCAUAAAAAAGAAAAUUCAGAUAUCAAAAGUUAUUCACCAAAUAAGAUGGAAAUUUUAUUGUUUGAAAUUAAAAGGUAUUUUCCAACAAUGUUGUUGCCAUUUUUUAGAAAGUUUAUGAACAUAAAUCCUUAUUUAUAUAGCUGUUAUUCUUUAAACCUUUUCAAAUGCUAAGGAGCAUAAAAAGAAGUGGAUAGCUAGCAAAAAUUAGUAAGCAAGGCAGAUGCUCAUUAGAUCAGGAAGCAAGAAUAGCAUACUACAGAAGACCAAAAAAAAAAAAAAAAAAACCCCAAAUGCUGCAAGACUAAGACUGUUUCUUCUUGAAAAAUUCAAAUAGAAUUGAAUUUUAUAUAUCUAUCAAUAGUAUGCCACUAAAGGAUGCAUCAAAGAAUAAAUACCGUUACUGCAAUAGGUUGUCCCACAGGCACAUCCUUAGAACCUUCAGGUAAUAGUAUCUUGGCCAAAAACCUGCAGAUAAGCACUCCAACCAUAAGGAAAGGUAAAAGAAAAAAGGAUGGUUAUGAACUUCACUAAUUCAAGCGUGCUCUUUGGUCAAUAUUAAUAAGAUGAAACAGCACAAGAAAAGUGUAUAAAGGGCUCGUAUGUAAAAUUAUAAAGUUGCAAAAGGAAACCAAAAAUCCCAUAUGUGGAGCAAAAUUUAGUAAUAAAUUAGGCCAUAGGAUUUAACAUCAGACACCAUAGAAAUUGAAAAAUAAAAGCACUAAGAAGCAAAAAAAAAAGGGUUUACCCUUCUUCCAGACUUUCAAAAUUGUAUGUGGCUUUAUCUGUCUCUAUUUGACAUGGUACAUUCAAUCUGUUAGGUAAGCAUCAGUGAUCAAGAAAUAAAUCAGGAUGACAAAAUGAAUCAAUUAAUUCACUACACCUUAUCACAAGACUUUUAUUUUUGAACAACCGUCUUUAAUUUACAUCAAAUUCAGAUGCGAAGACCAUAAAACCUAUAGCUUCCAUUAGUUUCUUAUAUAACUCACCCUAUCUCCUUCUUUCUUCUGCCAUUUUUGCAAUGUUACCUUGGCUCUGCACAUAUGCAAGAAGCAGCACAAGCUUCACUAUUGGAAUAAAGGGAGAACGUCUAUAUCAUAGUCAAAUAUUAUGAGGCUUAGCAUCCCAAAAUAUAUUACCGCUGUUGGAGACAAAGCAGGCAUCCCCAGGACAGUAUGCUCAGGAAGGUCGGUAAUUACAGAACUUAGUGAUAAGCAAGGAACAAAUCUUUGGCAAAUAUCAUAAUGAAAGACAACAAGUAAAACCUAACAACCAAGAAAAAUGAUAGAAAAUAUUUACCCUUUUAAUAAGUAGACUUGAAUCUGGGACCUACUCUAACCCGCACGCCAAUGUUUUUCAGGGGAGUCUAUCAUGCAAUCAAAAAAAUUGAUCCUUUUGAGAAAUCGAUGUCUUACUCCAUUACUUUGAAGGAACAAAACAAGAGAACAAUAGCCUGACAAAUGGUUCGGUUUGAUUCAGGUGCCGUUUAGGCAGGAGCAGGAUCCGAAUCGAACCUAUCAUUGAUUUGAGAUAUUGAUAGGGUGAAUACCCAGUCUAUUCAAUGCUAGGCAUAAUGAGUAUAAGGCCCAACAGCCACUAAUGCAUUAUGAGACCACAAAAUCUAUUUAACAUAUGAAACCAAGAGAUGAUACAUUCCAAUUUGAAGCACUGACAUUUUAUAUGUAAGCUGAAGAAUAUAAGUAAAUAGAUUUUCAAAUAGGUCUUGCACAAAGAUAAUGUAUUGAUUCCGCAUUAUGUAACUUGUAUUCAUCCUUAGACAGAGCCGAGGCAAACAUGAAAACCUACUUAUAACCUAAAGUAGGACCACAUAAUUCUAUCUAUAACCUAAAGUAGGACCAAAUAAUUCUAUGGCCAUGCAUUACGUAUAUUACUGAGGCUAGGCAGUUAAGUGCUCUUCAACCAAGCAGAUUUAUAACUACUAGUAAAUCUAGAAUAAUGAACCAUACAUAAGAAUCCUUGUAUCCAUGAAACCAAAUAUUGUAGUUAAACUUGCUUUUCGAAUUUCUACUGCUCAACAAGCACAACUGUUUAUGUGAACAAAACAUAGAUGUUUCUUACUUCAACUGAUACAAAAAAUUUCAUGGAAGUUUACCAAUGUAAUAGCUCCUUGCCUAGAUAAAUAUUCCUGAGUAUGUAUGAACGCAUGAAACCGAUGCCCCAGCAUUUUCCUAGUGCUAUGUUAUGACUCUACUACAAGACAUUUAUCCACAGCCAAUAAGUACUAUCAUUAGACUCUAAUUAAUAUGUAGAUUUGAAAAAGGAUAUAUCACAUAUAAUAUAUAUAUAUAUAUAGAGAGAGAGAGAGAGAGAUCAAACAAGGGCAAGCUAUUCUAGUCGGCAAAUUUUUUAUGACCGAGAUACCUAGCAUAAGAUCAUACUGACUUUGCUAGCGGUUUGAAAUAGAAAAGAAUGAAAAAGUAAGCAAGUCACUCAGAGCCUCUCGGACAAGACUUUGAAAACUAGAUGGGCAUUUAGGAAGAGGGAAAUGUUUAAUGGUGUCUUUGGAUGAGGCAUUUGGAGUUUGGGUAAAUAUAAGAGAGAAUUUCAAAAUUAUGAGGAAUUUCAAGAGGAAAUUUACCACCUCAAAUUCUCUCUUAAAACUCCACCUAAAGAGGUGGUUUUCAAAAUUCCUCCAAAUCUCCCAUCACUUUAUUGCACAUGGCCCACCAUAAAAUACAAAACUCAAAAAACAAAAUAUCAUUUUGUUUAACUCUAAUAAAAUAUCUAUACAUUUUUAUAAAUCUAAUGAUACCCAUAUUACAUUAUAUAUAUAUAUAUAUGUAUUUUUUCCUUUUAUAUUAUUUUUUAUUUCAUCAAAUUCCAACAGAAGAAAUUUUCCUUUAAAAAUAUUUAUCUAAACAAAAUAAUUACAAAUACUAACAUUUUAAAAUGAUGUAUUUUAAAAUAUCCUCAUUUUAAAUUCUUCAAAAUUUUAAAAUUCCUCAUCCAAACACACUGUAAAAGUAAAAUGUCAUAUACCUGCAGAUGAGAAUUGCCGAACUCCAAUUUGCAACUUCAAAAUCACAUAAAAUCAGAAACCAACCUUAUCCUAGAAAAGUGCAAGUUAUAAUUAAAUACCAACCUCGAGCAUUGAUGAAGUAAUGUAUAUUCCAAUUACGGUGGAUAAAGAAUUUGGCCUGCUAUGAGGGGAAUAAGCUGGUAAGAUUCAGAAAGUAAGCGACCCAGCUACAUUUGUCCAAAUAAAGGCAUAAUAAACGAAAUUGAGUCAACUUUGAUGUAUCACCAUCAUUUAGACAAAAUUGCAUUGGUUUUGAGUUGCAAAAGCAAGAAGGGGAAAACAACACUGACCAAGCUCAAACUUCACUUAAAAGUUUUAUCCCUUGAUAUUUCAUUGGUUUAAAAUUGUGUUACACAAGAAAAAAAAAUGGUCCUAUUACAAUUGCAUGGACAAUGAGUAAAGGUGUUAACAGAGGUACAUGAAGAUUAACAAACGUUGCAUAAAUGAGUGAUGAAUCAUGUAAAGCAGUCGUAACAAAAUUUACUACUGAUAAAUAGGAAGUCAACAAAGAAAACCUUAAGCAAGAUCCAUUCCAGUCCUUGAAAGGGCUUUCAACAUUUGUGGUGCUGCAGCAGCAAAUCGGUAAAAGGACAUAAGCAGAAUGAUACGAACUCAUGUAAAAGUCCUACACUUAGCACAAAUUAAAGGGCAUCACAUAUAAAUAAUCAAGAAAAGUACCUCAUAUCACUAACUUAAAAUGCUAAACUGCUAUUUUUCACUUGGAAAAAAAAGGGAUAUAGGCAGGUUGUUUGUAAAUGCAUCGUACAGGUGUAUAUAAAUGAAAGCAAUACGUACAUAGCAAGUAGACAAAAAUGCAUAAUGGAACAAAAAAAGGCCCAAUGUAAGAACUAAGGAUAAUAGUUAUUAUAUAUAUAUAUAUAUACAUGUUUAUAAAGAAAAUGAUUUACCGGAAACUUUUUCUUUUUCAUAAUUAUAUGCCCUUGUAAGGUUCAAAGAACAUAAUUUCAUUUCAAGCACCGUUGCAAUAAAGUUCUGCGUCUAAUUUCCACACCAAAAUUCUCACAAACCCAACUCUCAAAAUCACUACUUUCUCCAACAAAAGACAAAAUAGAACAUUCAAAUGCAAUUCUCUAUUUGAUUUCAAAACUAAAAUUAUCACAAAGAAAAGCCAACUCUCAAAAUUACUACUUUCAUCCAAAAAGAUUCAAAUAAGAUGCAAAUUGAUGGUUAUCACAGCAAGUGGCAAGUACCUAAUACAGUUGAUAACAAACAGUUCUGAGCAUAGAAAUAAAUGGAAAAAAAAAAAGAGAAAAAUACAGAGAAAGUGAUAUCGGGGAGGCGUAGAAAGAGAGAAAACGAGCUCUAAAGAGAGAUGGAGCGGCUCUUGAGAAAAUUGGAUUUCUGAGUCGUGAAAGCGCCAUUGAAAGUGCUCUGAGAAAAAACAAAGUGUGAGAAGAAAGAUCUUUGAUUUUAUUUAAUUUACAGUUUCAUCAAAGAAGAAGUUUUGGGUGUUUAUUUCUUGAAUAAUCGAUUUAAAAGAAGGAAAAAAAAGUUUCAUUUCUUUAGAUCGAAAAUGGCUGAUCCAAAGUGCAUAUCGAUCUACAAGACUACGACUACACAAAAAUAUCUGUUAGUUUUGCAAAUUUGAGUUUUAAGAAAUGUGUUUAUGAAAAAUUUUUAUAAUUUUUUUGAAAAAAUAGAUUUUUUAUUAUUUAAAUGAGUGAAUGAAAAUAUUUUUUGUUAUUAGACUGUUUUUAGAUUUUUUAUAAAUAUUAUUUAUAUAAUUAUUAAAAUAUAUUAAUUAUUUAUUAUUAAAAUAAUUAAUAUUAAAAAUUAAUUAUAUUUUAAUAAAAUAUUUAAUUUUAUAAUAUUAUAUUAAUAUUAAAAACUAAAACUAGUUAUAUUUUUAUAUUAAUACGUUAGAUAUUUAAAAUAAUAUUAUUAAUUUAUAUAAUUAUAUUAAAAUACUCAUAUUUAGUAGUAAAUAUUAAAAAUAUUUAUAAUAUUAAAAUAAUUAUAUUUUAGAUUAAAAGUAUCUAUUAUUAAAUUAUAACAAAAAUAUUAUUUAUUUAUAUUUAGUAUUCAAAUAGUAACAUAAAGACAUUAGCAACAAAAUAUAAAAAUAAUAUAUUUUAAAUUAAAAAUAUUAAGAAAUCAUUAAAAAUAUUCAUCUUAUUAAUAUAAUUCUAUAAUUAUAUUAAAUAAUAAUUAUAUUAAAAUAAUAAAAAUAUUUUUUGCUAUAUUAAUAUUUAUUAUUAAAAUAAUAACUAUAAUACUAUUUAUUAGUGAAAUAUUAAAAAUAUUUAUGUGUAAUACUAUACAAAUUGGAAAUAUCAAAAUUAAAAUAUCGAAAGGCUUUUAAUAUUAAUAUUUUUAAUUAAAAUUAAAUAAAAAUAUUUUUAUUAAUAUAAUUAUAUUUUAAUUCGAAUCAAAUCAAAUUCAAAGUUUAAAAUAUCAUGUCCAAAGUCUAAUUUGAGUCAAAUUACAACAUAUUUUAAAAUUAAAAUAUUAUAAAACUUUUAAUAUUAAUAUUUUAAAUUUAGUAAUAUAAUAAUACUUUAUGUUGAGUAAAAUUAAGCUUGAGCUUAAAAAUCAUACUAAAGGUCCACCUUGACCAGAAUUAUAAUUACAAACUUGAUAAAUAGUCUUAUUCAUAGGCAGUUAACUUUAUAAAUUGUUUUCUUUUUUUAAAAGGAAAAGAAAAUUAUUUUAAAAAAUUAUUUUUUAUUGAUCAAUAAAUUAUUUUUCAUUAAUUGAUCAAUUUUUUAUGAAACAAAUAUAAAAAAUUUAAAAAUUAUUUUUCAAAAAUUAUUUUUCUUAGAACAUAAUUUUUUAAUCAUUAAUAUUGAUAAGUAAUUUAGAAAAAAAAUUAAACUUUAAAAGAGUUUUAAAAUUUUUUAUUUAUUUUAGCUUUGCAUUUCAAAGCCCAGCCUAAUGGGCAAACAACAUUGGCACGUCCACAACACCUAACUGCUAUUGUCUUGGGCUCGAAAGGAAUAUAUCGGUGGAGGGAAAUUCAUUUUUUAUAUGUUCAAAAAUAUGCGAGACACGUAAAUUAUAGUUUAAAAUUUUAAUAAAAUUAUAUAUGAAUUUGAUAAAAUCAAAAAUUAUAUUUUAUAAUUUUAUAUUUGUAUAAAUUGUGACACUUAAUUUAUUUAUAAAUUAUUAUACAAAUAUAUAAAUUAUGAAUAUUUUACAUAACAUAAAUAUAUAAAUUAUCACAUCUAUCCAAAAUCAUUCCUUCUAUAGUAAUUUCACUAGUUUUUUGGUCCACAAAAGAGAGGACUCACCUUGGUUCAUACUUAUCUUGACCCUAAUAUCUCUCAUAGAGCCUCACAUUAGUGAAGAAUUGGAUAUGCUCCUUAUUUUCGACCUAAAAAGCAUAUCUAUUAGGUGGAAAAAAGAAAACAUGAUUCAUAAGCCCCAAACCACCCCUGCCGUAUCAAUUUGGGAUUAGUGACAUUACCAAUUAGCAAACCAUUCCCUUUUUUAUUUUUAUUUGAGAGAUAAUUAAAAUAUGCUUUUUAAAUAGAAAUUUUAUAUCAACCAUUAAAUUAAAUCCAAUGUUCCAUUGUUUAUAUAUAUAAAUGAGAAAUUAUUUUAUACACGUUGGAUUAAAUUUUUAGGUUCAUGAAUUAAAGAGUUAUUAUAUAUUUUCUAAAAUAUAUUAAUAGAAAUUUAAGAAAAAUUAAUAUAACAAAAAAUACAUGAUAAUUUUUAAUUUUAUAAAGUUUAAAAAUUUUACGAACUGUUUAUAAAAUCAAACUAUUUUUUAUUGGUUAAAAAUACAAUUUCUAAUUUGGACGUGUCCACUUUAAAUUUUAAAAUAAAAUAUUGAAAUUUAUGGGAUAAAUGAGGUAAACUAAACUAUUUUCGUGUGAGUACAAAAUAUAUUUUUACAUUUCUACUCAAUUAUGAUAUUCAAAGAAACAAGAAAACUGUCAUUGCAUAUGUAUUUAUAUACAUAUAUAUAAUUCUUUAAAAGUUAUGUACAAAAAAUUCUUUAAAAGUUAGGUGCAAAAAAUUAAUUUACUCAAAAUUGCAAUGUUUUGAAGGUUUUUUUUUUUCUCUGUAAUGACUUGGUAGAAUGUUUAUUGAAUAAAUUCCCUUAAAUAUAUAUAUAUAUAUAUAUAUAUAUGUUCCAGCCAUUUCCAUUUGUUUAUUUAGAAGGUACUUUUUAAUUACUUCACUAAAAUACAGGGUAAAACAAAUGAAAGAAUAAACAAAAAUUAAAAAAAAAAAGGAAAUAGGGAAGAAAAAGUAUUUUUAUGGUAAAAGAACUAAAAUAAAUAAUAAGAAUAUUAAAAAAUAUAUUUAAAUUUGGUAAAUAUUAAUAUACUUUAACGACAAAAGACCUAUACUAAUAGGAGAAAAUAAGAUAUAUUGUGUAUUCAUUAUCUAACUUUUAAAAAAAUUGUGUUUAGGUCGCUCAAAGUUAUUAAAAAAAAAAAAUAAUGUUUUGAUCCCCUUUGUCUAGAUAUACUAUCUGACUAUAAUGGUAGGAAUGUCGAGUGACAAUAUCCAUUGUUUUUUUAAUGGUUAAGUAAUAAAAAAUAAUAACACUUACAAAUGUUGUUGAGUAGAAAGUUAUCCAAAUAAAAAAUCUCAUGAUCGAAAUAAAAAAAUCUCAAGAAAAAUAAAUAAAAAUAUUUUUAUUUACUUUAAAAUCAAUUUGCAUAGUUUCGGUUAGAGUCAUGGGGUAUGAAAUAUUGUUUAAUUUUGUAUUUUUACUUUUGGUUUCACAAAACUUUCUCCAACAUACAAAAUAUAUAUUUAUUUAAAAACUACUUGAAAGAGCUUCAUUAAUAGUUCUAAAAAUGAAGAAUUUGGCAAAAGAAUCAGAAAUAAACAAAUCAUGAAUUUUAAAGCAUAAUUAAUUAAUUAUCAAUCAACUACAAAGCAAAAGUUGUUGUAUUCGAAAAUAGAAAUGGGCAGAAGUAUGUGUAAUUUAUCCACCAAAAGAAACAAUCAUAGGCAAAUAAAUGAGAAAAGCAAAUAAAUCAAACCAACCAUGCAUAAAGAUAAAGAAAAAGAAGAGGGAAGCAAUAAAUUUACAUGGAAAACACUUCCAAAAGAAGAAACUUUAGUGGUAGAACAAUCCGUAUUAAUUUUCAAAAUUGUUAAGCUUUUAGUGAGAAGAGUUUUCAUAUCAAUUACUCAAAGUUGUUGGAAAAAAAAUCAAAAAAUCUAAAUGUUUAAAAAAUCUAAAAUAAAAGAAAAAACUUGAAAUCAUUGGUGGUAAUAAUAUUGUUAUCUUUGUCAUAUUCCUGAUUCUUAACGAUAUACAAAAAGAAAUAACUGUAGAUAUUUAAUUUUAUCCUAAAUAAUUAAAAUAAUUUAGGGUUUCAAUUUAUAUUGAAUUAAAGGUAGUUUUACCGUAAUUUUACAUUUUAAUUAGAAUGACUUGGACUCAUUUAAUUUGGAUUCAUUUGAACUUAUUAGAUCCAUCAUUUAGGCCUGGACUUAUUAUGGAUUAAAUUUUAGUUCAAUCAAGGUUUUGGGUCAUUUAAGCUUAGAAGCUCAAAAUAGGGAAAAAGCUCGUAAAGAGUUUUUUUCUUCUUUUUUUUUUCUCUAUAUAUAUAAAAAAGAAAAAAAAAAAAAAAUAAAAAGCCUAAAGCUUGGAUUGGUAUGGAAGCCUUCCUCCAAAUUGCUACCCUAAUUCCAACUCUUCGAUUUUUGACUUUCCAUAAUUUAUCCGAAUCACCUCUAGCACAACUUGAUAAAAAACUUGGUAAUCCAAAAUUGGCUAGCAAUUCAAAACCCAAGAAACAACAUCACUACUUCCAUCUUGCAUGCCAUAACAAUUCAAGAACUCUGAUUACCAUUUGAGACCUAUUUCCAUCCAUAUUCUAAUGGCAACAUGAAACAAAGAUGGCUUUAAAAAAAAUCCUAAGCAAUUUGAAGGGGGAUAUGCAUACGACAUGACCCAAGCAAUUCACAAAAAAAUCCUAAGAGCCUAAUAUGCCUUCACAAAAAAAUCCAACUACCCAAACCUCCAAAAUCACCAUUACCAGCAUAAACCAUCCAAUACCAACACCAUCGAUCAACUUAAACACUACCUCCACUACCUACAUCACUAGCCAUCGUUAACCACUAGUUGAACCAACCUUGUUAAGACCUCAAACAUAGAAUUCCUACCACCAUGAACCCAUACCACCAUAACCUCUAAGCCUAUAGCAUCCACUAAAUCCCUUCAUCAUCUCCACCAUAAACACAUACAACACCCAAAAGUAAGACUAGACUUGUCUUCAUUUCUACUCGAAGUAAGACUAGACUUGUCUUCAUUCCUACUCGAACCCCCUGCACUACAAAAACUCAACACCAAUUCCAUUAUAGCCCUUUGCCUCCACUAAAAUCGAACCCAACUCCAAUCACCUAAGGCCUCUUACAUUAACACAUCAACCAACUAUCACCAACAAGCAGCCCAAUCACAACCCAAAAAGCUUAAAACAAAACAAAAAAAAAAUCAUUUUCUGUUCUUUUCCUAAAACUAAAAAUCACACAGAAAAGAUCAUUUGUUCUCUUUUCUGAAUUCCAAAACAAAAUAAAAAAUCAAAAUAAAAAGCAAUAACCUCAUUGCUCACAUUGAGUAAGUAACAAUAAAAAAAAAGAAAUAUAUAUACAAAAAAAAAUAGAGAGAGAGAGAGAGAAAAAAGUCAAGUUUUUUAGUACUAUUUUUAAAAAGGAAAUGAAAGUCAUCGUCAUUGGCUUGGAAAGUUUGAAUGGUGGCAAGGGACUUUGUAGUCUUAAUUGUGAAGUUUAUUUUUAGGGGUUCACUUUGGUGAAAUCUUAACUUAAAAGGGAAGAAAGAAAGGAGGAGGCUUGAGUUUUGACGAGAAAAUAGGGGAAGCAAAGAAGUAAAAAAAAAGAAAGAUAGGGGAAAUGUAAAAAUUGGUGAUCGCCAAUGGUUACUAGAGGUAGUGUUGGCAUUUGAUUGGAGGGAUUAGAGAAAGAGGGCAUUUGAUUAAAGACAAGAAAGGUGGUUGGUGAAGAAGAAAGAAAAAGUAAAAAGAAAAGAAGGGAAAGAAUAGGGUUUAAAGGAGAAGGGAAGAAAUAGUGAGUAUAAGGAAAAUUAAAGUUGAAAAAAAUGGAAAAAGGUUGCCAACCGGAUCCAACUGACCUAACUCAAAAUUAGACCCAACCUAAUUCAGUCCAAGCCUAGUCCAAGACUCCAUUAAAGCUAGGCCUCUCUCUUGCUUUGGUUCACCUAAGGUUCAAGCCCAAAAAUCCUAUUUGGUAUAUUUUCUAUUAUUUCUUUUAUUUUGUUAUGUUAUUAUGUGUAUUUGUUUUCUUUAUAUUUUAAAUACUCUUUAAUAUAAAUUUACUUAUGGAUUAUUGAAGUUGUAAAAUAAAAUAAAAUUUUUAAUAAAAAAUAAUAAUUUUAUGAUUUAACAAUGAUUUUCUUUAGAAUGGAGUUUUAGAAAUAAAAAUAAGAUAAUAUUCUAAGUAAAAACAAUUUUGAAAUCUUGCCUAGAUAUUGGAAGAAAUUCAAAUAUUUAUUUUUACCAAGAAAUGUUAUCUUUAUUUUAAAAGAUUAUUAUGAGAUUUUUAAACAAAUGACUAAUUUUUCUAAAUUCCACCUAAAUAUUGGGAAAUUAAGAAAAUUUUUCGUCACUAAAAAUUUUUAUUUCUAAAUAUUUUAUUAAAGAGAGAAAAAAUGACAUAAAAAUGAAAGAUUCAAAAAGAAUGAAAUAAAAUUGAUUAUUUGUAUUGUGUGAUUUUUAUUUGUUUCAUUUAUUUCCUAUGGCAUUACAUGUAUUGUACUUGUUGGUAAUAAAUGUCAAGUGGUAAAAUAAAAAUUAAAAAACAUAAUUUUUAGAAAUAAAAGUUAAUAUUCCUAAGUAAUAAUAAUUUUCGGGACUCUUCUUAGAUAUUGGAGGUUUUCUCAACAAUUAUUUUUUAUAAAAAAAUAUAUUAUAUCAGAUUUUAAAGAUUAUUAUAAGAACCCCAAGUGAAGAAAUAUUUUUCAAAAUUUCGCCUACAUAUUGGGAAAUUUAAAAAAAAUUGAAACUAAAGAUUUUAAUUUUAUUCCUAAACAAAAUGUCUUAAAAACAUUUUGCAAAAAUAAAUUAAAUUAAGAAAAUUAUUUUAAAUAUUAAAAAUAAGACCAUUUUCUUAUUAAUACCAAAAAUAACAUGCGAUUAAUUGGUACUGUUUUUUAAAAUAGAUAUUAUGAGGUGUUAAUCUUUUUCACAUGUAAUCGAACUCCCAAAUCCAUCUCUAAUUUUAAUUAUGAAAAUUACUUUUUGAUAAACUUUAAACUAGUUUUUUAGGUUUUAUUAAAAUGAUAAAUUUUUUCAGGUAGCCGAUUACACUUAGUCAAAAAAGAUUGAUGAUAAUUCUCUGUUUUGAUUUUAAAAUUUCUUCCAAGUAGUCAGAUUUCCAGAUCAAUACCUUACGACAACUAUGAUAAAAUAAAUAACCAAUAAAAUAAAACCUAAAAAGUACUUUGUUAACUUAAUUUGGAGUUUUAAUUAUGAUCACAUGUAAAGCAAGAUCUUGAACACUAGUGUUUUAUUAAGAGAAACUAUUGCAACUUUGAAAGGCUAUUUUAAACACACACACACACAUAUAUAACUAUAAAUUAAAAGAAUCCCCUAAAGAUUAUCAUGUUGACACCUAUUUAAUAUUUAAAAGAUUAUUUUACCCUUAAUCAAUAAUAAUUUAUAUUAUUAUGCUAUUAAAACUAAUCCCAUUUUUUUGUGAUCUAAAAAUAAAAAAAAAACAAAUCCAAAAUAAUCCUUAAAAAAUAACAAACUUCAUAACCUCAAAAGAAAAAAAAAUGUAAAUCUAAAUGCAAAUUUUAAAAAACUGAAAAUAAAAAUAUUUUUAAAAAAAUUCAGACACAUUCAAAAAAUCAUCAAAAAAAUUUCUCAGCUUCCAUAGCUUCAAAACACAACACCCAAAUUUUCAAAUUAAAAAAAAAAGAACAUAGCAACAAAAAUCAACAAUAAAAAAAAAAAAAGAAAAUGAGACUUUUAGGCUUGGAAGGAUUUAAAAAAAAAAAAAAAACAAAAAAAAGGGAAAGUCAGUCGCAACGAAAAUAACAAUGAAAAACACCACAAGGCACCAUAUUAUGAAAGCAAAUAUGAACUUUAAAAAAAUUAAAAAUUUUCAAAGAUUUUGGCUUAAAUCUACAUUUUUUGUAAAGAUUUUGAAAAAUCUAAACUGAUUAAAAUAAUAAAAAACUUGAUAGAUAAAGGGAAAAUAUAAGAGAAAAAGAUAAAUAGCAAUGCUGACAAUAUCCCCAAAUCAAAAUCUAGAUAGACAGGAAAUAUAAAGAGAAAGAUAAAAGCUAAAAAGAAAGAAACAGAACAAAAUGAAUCAAAGAACUCUAAGUUUAGGAAUUUAAAUACAAACGAAAAUAUCAAUAGCAACGGAUAAAAAAAGAAAAGUAAAGAAAAUGUGGGCUGGUUUAAGUAAACCUAAUUUGAAUUAGCUUUGAGCCUAACAAAUUUGGGGUAAGUAGUAAUAACUUAAACAUUUGUUAGCCCAUUCUUUUUUUUAUUUAAUUUUAAUUUGUGCAUAAGUUAAAUUUAUCAAAUUGUUUAAAAAUGAAAUAAAAAUAAAAUUAUUUGAAAAAAAUUAAAUAAUAAAAUAAUUAUUUUUGGUUGAGUAUAAUAAAAUAAUUGUUUCAAUAAUAAAAACAAUAAUUUUUGUAUAAUUAAGUAAAUAUAAUAAUAAAUUUUAUUAAAUAAAUUUUGAUUUUAAAAUAAUAAAAAAUAAAUUAAAAAUACACAUAUAUUAUCAAUUAAUUAUAUUUAAAACAUUCAAAUUUAAAUUAUCUAACAAACUAAUUAUAUAUACUUUUUAUUAAGAUAAAAAUUUUAGUAAUUUAUAUUUUAAAAUAAAAAAUAACUCUAAACAAAGCCUGAGGCAAACCCUAGUGUAUGUGUGUGUCUAUAUAUAUAUAUAUAUAUAUAUAUAUAUUAGUAAAGAAGUGUUUGGCCUAAUUUAUUCAAGGGUUUUUUACUGCAAAAAUAUAAAUAAAAUAUUUGACUUUCAAAAUUUUAAAGUUAUUAAUUGAAGCCUAUUUGGCUUUUUUAAACAAUGUUAUAAAUUAAAACUUUUUCAAAAGUGUUAUUGUAUAAUAACAAAUAUUUUUCCAAUUUUUUUACAUUCUCAUUUGUAAAUAACUCAUAAAAUAAUAAGAAUGCAUUAUUUCACAUACAUAUUUUUUCCUCGAUCCAAUUUUUUUUGUUGAUUUCAUUUAUUUUUUAAUUUCUAAUUAAUAAAAUAUAUCUUUGUUUUAUUUAUUUUUUUGCCUUAUAAAGUUAAACCUUUUAAUAUUUAUUUAAUAAAAAUAUUAUUAAAUAGGUUUUUUUGUUUUAGAGAUUUUUGCAUUAUGUUUAACAAAUAGUAUUUUAACACCUCUUAAAAAAAAAGACUUCAAUAGACCAAACAAACUUUAAAUAUCUUUUUGAAAAAUAAGUGAUCUUGUAAAGCAAGGACCAAAAUUUGGUAUUAAGUGCGACAAAAUUCUCAAUGUGGCCAUGGAAAAUUUGUUUUUCUUUUUCCAAUUUUCAUAAUUUUUUUAUGUUUAAAAUUAUUCACAAAUUAACAUUAAUAUUAAUUUUUCAAAUAGUAUAAUAAAAUUAUUAAAUUAAAUACAUUAAAAAGAGAAAAAAAUAAAAUGGACUCAACUAUCAUAUUGACAAAUUAGCUGUGUGAACACAUAAUACUAGUAAUUAAACCUAUUCAUAAAUCGAGUUAGAUCAGAUUUAGGCUUAAUCUAGAUAAAGCAUUAACAAGUUUCGAACUUGCCUAAACUCAAUCCGGCCCAAAAUAUGACCUCAUUUUGUUGCUUAGGCCCAACUCAUUUUUAAAAGAUGUCUAGGAUCGUCUAUAUUUUUUAAAUAAAAAUAAAAAUAAUUUUUGUAAUAAAUAUGAACUAUGAUAAAAUAAAUAAUCAACAAAAUAAAGCCUAAAAAAAUACUUUGUUAACUUAAUUUGGUGUUUGAAUGUAAUUAGUAUAUAUAGGCAUGGGAUAUUAAUGUACACUUGUAUAUUAUUUAAUUAUUUUUUAUUUAAUAUAAAUAUAAAAAAUAUAUAAUAAUUAUUCAAGCUGAGUAGGGCUCAGGCUUUAAACUUUAUGUCCAAGGCAUAGCACAUUUUUAAACUAACAUAAAAUUUAAGUCCUAGCUCAUUUAACGAGUCUAAAAUUCAUGUCAAAACCUUCUCAAAUUUCGAGUAGGCUUUUAGGCUCAAGCAAGUAGCUUGACCAACAUAAUUUAAAAGUUUAACUCAUUUAAUUCAUUCAGCUACCUUUAAAAGGUGACAUUCGAUAAGUUUAAAAUUUAAAUAUCAAUACUUGUAUUCUAUUUUCCAAUCUUUAGGCUGCAAAUUUUUGUAUAUAUAAAACAUCAUCUUUUAAAGAAAAAAAUUAAAAGUACUAUCGUUUUUUAUAAUAAAGAUUUUAAUUUGCCUUAAGAAAAAAUUGUUAGAAAUUAAAAGCUUCUACACCCAACCUCAACUACUUAUCUAAUGUAUGACAACAGAAUGAUUUGCUUUGAAAGCGAGAAGAUUGAUUGAUCUUUACGUUUGGUAGCUUUUUUUUCCUUUUUUGGUAAGACAUUUGGUAGCUUUAAUUCUUCACCUAAAAUUUCCUAGUCUGCUUUGACGCAUAUGAAACCAAGACCAUUUGAUUGAUCCUUGCGUUUAGAAAACGAUCAUUAUAGCUUUCGUGACUUAAAAUUUUUUAGUUUGCUUUGAUCUUUGUGGAAAGCAAGAUGAUUUGGAUUGAUCCAAGGCCUAGCACUUAGAACACGGCUGCUUUUGAUGAAUUAAAAAGACAAAAGUUUCAUCGUUAUGCACAUUUCGACUCUUCUUUUGUCUCUCUCAUGGUGACAGAAUUGCUUGCACAGUUUUGGAUUACACCAAUCACGGCUUUGAUAUAUGGUAUUAUCAUAAACUAAUGCUCCAUUUGUCCCAAAAUCUAUCUAUCCUUAUUUGAAUUUUUGUAGAUAUUAAGAAAAAAAAUUGUGGUAAAAAUAAGUAAGCCUAAACAAUGUUCAUACAGCCAAAAAAAAAAGAUUUUAUUUUAUUCUAAAAAUAUAAAAUUAUUUUUUUAAAAUAUUUAAUAUUAUCUAUAAUCAGUUAUCCUAAUAUAAUUUAUAUCUCUUAGAAUAUAUAUAUAGACACACACACACAAAAGAAUGACUGACUGCAAAUCUGUGGCAAAAGUGAUAGAGCCAUAGUAUUUUGCAUCUCUGUGGUGUAAAACGUGGAGUCAAGGAAUAUUAGUUAGGUCUCGAAAAGUAUAUAAGUCCAACGAAUACAAAGAAAAAGAGAAAAAGAUAUAUUAGUUUUAGCUAUGCUUUGUAAAAGGAGAUUAAAGGCAAAUUAGAGGGCCCAAAAUCAAAAGCCUGAUUCAUUUUAUUUAUUGUGAAGACCAAGACCAUCCCAGCACGACUUUCCUGUCGGAGUUGAAUCCUGCAAUUUCAUCAAUUCCCACAGCCAUGAACAUGAUGCAACUGCGUUAAAAAAGAGAAAAAGAUAUAUUAGUUGUAGCUAUGCUUUGUAAAAGGAGAUUAAAGGCAAAUUAGAGGGCCCAAAAUCAAAAGCUUGAUUCAUUUUAUUUAUUGUGAAGACCAAGACCAUCCCAGCACGACUUUCCUCUUGGAGUUGAAUCCUGCAAUUUCAUCAAUUCCCACAGCCAUGAACAUGAUGCAACUGCGUUAAUUUUUCUUAACUUCAUUUCCUCGCAAAUUAUUUUAUUAAUAUUUUCGUAAUUUCAUUUCUAAAAAUAAAAAUUUUGACUCUCCUCAUAUACCAAUUUCACUUAGAGAAAUUUCAGAAAAAUUGGCACUCCAACUUCCCUUGAAAUUCCCUUUUACAAAAGGUUUCAUAUAUUAAAUUAAAUUAACUUUUAAUUAGAAAUUUCAAAUAAUUAUAUUUAUUUAUCAAAGUGAAAUUUUGUAUAAAAUUCAACAAAUGAUAAAUUACGUUUGUCCAACUAUGGAAAUUAUAUUUUUACCUUGGUGACAAGUUAAAUUUAUUUACCAAAUGUUAAGCAUCGCAUGGGAAAUGUUUUUGCAUUAUAUAUAUACUAAUAUUUGAAGCACCCAUUAUCUAGGUGAAGUAAUAAACAAGAAUUAUACCUUUAGAUAAAUGCUAAAAGAGAAAGAAUAUAUAUAGAGUUAUUUGAAAAUGUAAAAUAAAGAAAAAUAGGAAUGUAACUAGUGUAUAGUUUUUUAAUAGAGAAAAAACAGAGAGAAAUGUAAGUUUAAAAAGGACUGGACUUGAAUCAGCUUUCAAAGAAUGUAAAGACUAAAAUAUCCUUAUUAAUUUAUAUUUCAUUAUUACAUCAUGAGUUUAUUUUUUUAAUUCUUCGAUUGAGUUGGUGUUACUUGAAUCGUAUUUAGUAGGAGUUUUAUAAAUAUUAAUCUUAUAUACAUGCACUAUGUGAAUGGAAUAAUAAAUAAUUUUAUAAUUUAAAAAUAGGUUAAUAAUAUAUAUAUAUAUAUAUAUGAUUUUCAAAAGCAUGAAUGAGAAAAAAAUAACUUAUUGAAACAGUUAUUGAGAAAAGAAAAGUGAAAAUAACUCAUUGAAAUUGUUAUUAAGAAAAGAGAAAAAAAAGCAUUUAUUUAUUUAUUUUAACUACCCUGAUCAAGUUCACAUCACUUGACUUAUAGUAUCAAACUCAGCUAAAGAUUUAUAAAUGUACUAAAAUUUGACACAUCCACUAUGUGGAUAAAAAAAUUAUUAAUUAAAAAUAAUUUUUUUUUAAAGGAAGUAACUUUUUUGGUGGGUAGCUUUUUUGAAAUGAUAGUAAAANNNNNNNNNNNNNNNNNNNNNNNNNNNNNNNNNNNNNNNNNNNNNNNNNNNNNNNNNNNNNNNNNNNNNNNNNNNNNNNNNNNNNNNNNNNNNNNNNNNNNNNNNNNNNNNNNNNNNNNNNNNNNNNNNNNNNNNNNNNNNNNNNNNNNNNNNNNNNNNNNNNNNNNNNNNNNNNNNNNNNNNNNNNNNNNNNNNNNNNNNNNNNNNNNNNNNNNNNNNNNNNNNNNNNNNNNNNNNNNNNNNNNNNNNNNNNNNNNNNNNNNNNNNNNNNNNNNNNNNNNNNNNNNNNNNNNNNNNNNNNNNNNNNNNNNNNNNNNNNNNNNNNNNNNNNNNNNNNNNNNNNNNNNNNNNNNNNNNNNNNNNNNNNNNNNNNNNNNNNNNNNNNNNNNNNNNNNNNNNNNNNNNNNNNNNNNNNNNNNNNNNNNNNNNNNNNNNNNNNNNNNNNNNNNNNNNNNNNNNNNNNNNNNNNNNNNNNNNNNNNNNNNNNNNNNNNNNNNNNNNNNNNNNNNNNNNNNNNNNNNNNNNNNNNNNNNNNNNNNNNNNNNNNNNNNNNNNNNNNNNNNNNNNNNNNNNNNNNNNNNNNNNNNNNNNNNNNNNNNNNNNNNNNNNNNNNNNNNNNNNNNNNNNNNNNNNNNNNNNNNNNNNNNNNNNNNNNNNNNNNNNNNNNNNNNNNNNNNNNNNNNNNNNNNNNNNNNNNNNNNNNNNNNNNNNNNNNNNNNNNNNNNNNNNNNNNNNNNNNNNNNNNNNNNNNNNNNNNNNNNNNNNNNNNNNNNNNNNNNNNNNNNNNNNNNNNNNNNNNNNNNNNNNNNNNNNNNNNNNNNNNNNNNNNNNNNNNNNNNNNNNNNNNNNNNNNNNNNNNNNNNNNNNNNNNNNNNNNNNNNNNNNNNNNNNNNNNNNNNNNNNNNNNNNNNNNNNNNNNNNNNNNNNNNNNNNNNNNNNNNNNNNNNNNNNNNNNNNNNNNNNNNNNNNNNNNNNNNNNNNNNNNNNNNNNNNNNNNNNNUUAACUAUGUUUCUUGGUAAGAUUCUUGUAUUUCACUUAUGAUGGUCUUUUGAUCUCUAAUAAAAAUAUGGCUUAGCAAAAAAAAAAAAAAUUACAUAACUUUUGCCUUCUUAUUUUGUAAAAGAACAGUUAAAUUCCCUAAUUUGACAACAAAAAGGGUAAAAGUAGCACUUAUUUUAAUUGCAUAUAAUAAAAAAAGCAUAUAAUUUAUAAUUAUUAUAAUAUAAUUAAUUAAUUAUAAUUUAAAAUUAUGUGAAAUUUAUCAAAAUUUUAUAUAUAACCCAUAUUAUAAGUGAUGAUCCUUAUAUAAUAAUUUAUUAUGAUUAGAUAAUAACUGUAAUAUUAUAGUUAAAAAAAAUAUAAUUGAAAUACUCCAAAUAAAAGUCAGAUAACUUUAGACAAAUCUAUACAUUAUAUUAAAACAAUCCUACGAUAAAAGCAUAGUAGUUGGGGACGAAUUGAAAAUUGAAACGUGGUUGGAUAAGUGAAGAAUGCUUAUCUUUUAAUUUUGAAUGUUGAUUUUUUUAAGGAACGGAGUACGACUAAAAAAAAUCAUUAAUACUAUAUUUUAAAACAAUGGUUUUUGUUAAUAUAUAUUUUUUUGAAAUUGGUUUUUGUUAAAUAUAAUUAAUCAUAGGUUUGUUCCACAAUUACCAUAUAAACUUUACUCAUUUGUCUUAAAAGAACGGAUUGAGUAAAAAAAUAAUAUAGGCUAAGUAAACGUAUGAGCCUUACUUUUUGUAUUAAAAGAGUGGACUUACUAUACAAUGUUAUAGUAAUUUUAAUCUAAUUUUUAAUUUCCAUAUUAAAUUUAUUAUUUAUAUGUAGUAUAAUAAUGCUCAAAUUAAAAUUACCUUAUCUAUUCAAUAAAAAUUUUAUAUUAUAGAAGAUUUAAAUUUAGUAUUUUAUUAUAAUACUAAACCUUGUUAAUAAAUAAUAAAAUUAUAUUAAUUUUAAUAAAAUAUUAAGUGUUGUUAAUAAAUAGUAAAUUUAGAAAAUCUAGAAAAUGAAUUGACCAAUGUCAUUAGCUAAUAAUAGAAAAUUACAAAAUGGAUCAGUUCCAAUUUAAUGAAACUUUAAAUUGGUGUUAAAAGACAAAUAUUUGAGGGAAUAAACACUAAAAGGUUUUUAAUUUGGUUUUAUUGAUGUGGAAAGACUGUUUCCUUCCUACUUCAAAUUAAAUAAUCAUUACAAUACAGGUUUAAAUGAUAAUUUUUUAUGCAAUUUUUAUUUUAGAAUACACUUUUUAUAUGUACCUUUCUUUCUUUCAUUCUUUUCUUCUUGCUAUUCAGGUUUUUUUUUUUUUUUUUUUUUUUCAAAUUUCAAAAUUUUUAGCUUACUUUUUAUCAUCUAUAUAUAAAAUUAAACAAAUAUACACAUAUUACAUCAUCUUUUAUUGUUUUCAAUAUCCAGAAUAUCAAAAUACAACAUUCACUUAAUUCCAUGCAGUGGGAAAAAAAUGGGGUAGUUAACAAAUAGCUCAAAUACAUUCAUGUGAAUUUUGUAUGAUUACAGCAUAUUAACUUUUGACUAUACUUAUAGAAUCUGAAUAUUAUUGUUUUUUUAUAGAAUCUGAAUAUUAUUGUUUUUUAUAACUUUGUUAUGAUGAAUAUCAAAUAUAUUCAUUUGAAUUUUAUUUAAUUUAUCCCUCAUCAUGAACUUUUGAAUUUCAUAAUCCUUUUAAUAUAUACUUAACAGUUUUAAUCAAUUUAAUGAUAUCUAUAUGAUUUAAUUUUUAUGAAACAUUCCACAUAUGCCCUAAUUAUAUGCAAGUUCACCAUUACUUUGAAACUACUCCACGUAGAUACACACUAUUAAUAGAUAUAAAAGGAAUGAAAUACAUUGUUACAUUUUUUGUUACAAAAAAAAUAUAUUUUAAAUAUUUGCAGGUAAAUAAAUAUAAAAAUAUUAAAUAUUAUAUUACUACUUUAAGUUGAUGGAACAAUAAAUUAAGUAAGACGGUAUUAAAUAAAUAUGGGGGUAAUUAACAAAGUACGUGAAUUUUACUUUUUAUUACAUUAUAAAACAAAUCAAGUAAUUUUACCAUAUAUAAUUGCAAUGGGAUAAUAAAUAAUAGCCAUAUUGGCAUCGCAAGUGUUGGGUGCCUAACUUUUUUCCACCUUGGCCUACCUUGUAGUCUUAGGUACUGGUGUGCAUCCUAAUUAGGGUAUCAUUCAAUCAUAAAACGUUUACUAAAAAAUUAAAAAUAUUUUCCAAAAGAUGGAAUUUCGACUUUUAGGUUUGGUUUUCAAAUUACUCUGAGUCUUUGUUUUGCUUUUCCCUAAUUUAAUUGGAAACAGCAUUUGAUUUAAUAAGAUAAAAAGGUUUAGAAAAUCAUUUCUCAAGCCUUUCAAUGGCACCUCAUUUGUUUAACAGUUUUCAUAAUUUUAUGAUUAUUUGUUUUAUAAUUCUAAAGUAAACUUUUUUAAAACUAAAGUAAACAAUUUUAAACAUAAAAGCAAUGAAAUGUUUACAAUAAAAUUACCUGAUAGACUAUUGUUCGAAAGUUCAAUUUUUUUCAAAGAAGAAAUGUUGAAGACGACAUGUGGAAUCAACCCAUUUAAACGCAUAAAUGAUGCAUGUAAUAUCUCUAACGAAAUAAGAUUCCCAAUCUCCCAUGGAAUUUCACCUACAAAGGAACAACAACUUACUAUUAUAAAACUAUCCACUUUCUAAACAUUCCAAUAAUAUUGAGGUCAUUUAAAAUGCAAUAAAAGUCAAUUACACAAGAAAUUCCUAAUUUUUUCAAUGUUUAAAAUAUGAAGGAAUAAUUAAUUUUUUCAAUACCAAAAGUUUUAGUCAAAAUGAGAAAAGAACAAAAGAAAACCAAGAUUUGACUAUCUUCGUGUUGGCCAUUCUAUUAAUUUUUAUUUUUUAGUUAUUUUUUUAUACUUUUUUUCAGUAUAAAUAAUAAUAAAUAUCAAUCAUUUGAAAUCUAAAUAAUCAUAUGCAAAAGCUUACCUUCUAUAUCAUUAUAACCUAGAUAUAUCUCUUCAAGUUUGGUUAAAUUUCCUAUAUUUCUUGGAAUGUGUCCAUUGAAUCGAUUAAAAGAUAAUGAUAAAUUUCGAAGAUUGCCGCAGUCACCAAUAUUUGAUGGAAGGUAACCAAAAAAUUCGUUGUGGGAUAUGUGAAGCACCUCAAGUUUGAAAAGAGAGUAACAUAUAUUAUCUGGAAUACUACCAGAGAGAUUAUUGCUAUAGAGAUAAAUUGCUUUCAAAGAAGUAAGGUUAAAGAUGGAAGUUGGUAUUGGACCAACUAGCCUCAUGUUUCCGGCAGAAAAUAUCUCCAAGCUCAGAAGAUUUCCAAUUUCUGAAGGGAUCUCACCUGUGAAAAUAACAAAAACCAAGUUGUAAGAGCUCGGUCAAGUAGAUAAUUAAAUUAGAUAAUGAAACCAUUUUUUCCAAAUUUUAUGAGAUUAUUGAUUAAAUUAGUUAAUUAUAUUCUCAUUCUAAAUAUUAUCUCAAAAGAGAUUAAAUACCAAAAUUUUGAGUCAUAAUGGGGAAACCAUAAAAGAAACUUAAGUUCAUAUGGUUGAUUUUUUUUAUUUGUCUUUUACUCUCUGUUCAUUUUUGAGUAAAAUAUACCCCAAUUAUCCGUAACCUUCUAAAAAUAUUUCAAAUUCACAUAUUUCAUCAACCAUGAAUGAAAAAUCAAUGAAACAUGCCAUGCGACUGAAAUUUCAACUCAAAAACCAAAAUGAUUCACUUUUUUUUGCUAUGUAACUAAAAAAUAUUUAAUUUACAAUAUUUAUUAUGGUUAAGACUUAAAUUUAUUUUUUUUAAUUUAAAAAUGGAUUAUUUCCAAAAAAAAUAUAAAUUAGUUUUCAAAAAAUACAAAAAAUUAUUUUUAUCAAAUUUUUUGUUUAUUUGAAAAAAUGGAAAAAAGGAAAUAUUAAAAAAUAAAGAAAGAAAAGGGGAAAAACAAAAAAGAGAAAAAAAAUAAAAGAAGGAAAAAUAAAAAAGUAGUUUGGUUAACUAAUUUAAUAAUGACAUUUAUCCGCCUAUUAAAUGUUUAUUUCAAAUUUUAAAUGUAAGUUCUAGGAAGAAAAUAGUUCAUUUAAAACUCAAUUACACAAGAAAUUCCUAAUUUCUUCAAUGUUAAAAAAUAUAAAGGAAUAAUUAAUUUUUUCAAUACCAAAAGUUUGAGUCAAAAUGAGAAAAGUAUAAAAGAAAACCAAAAUAUGACUAUUUUCAUGUUGGUCAUUCUAUUAAUUUUUAUUUUUUACUUAUUUCUUUUUAUUCUUUUUCUAAUAUAAAUAGUAAUAAAUAUCAAUCAAUUGAAAUCUAAAUAAUCAAAUGCAAAAGCUUACCUUCUACAUCAUUAUCUCCUAGAUAUAUCUCCUCAAGUUUGGUUAAAUUUCCUAUACUUCUUGGAAUGAAUCCAUUGAACCGAUUAAAAGAUAAUGAUAACUUUUGAAGAUUGCUGCAAGCACCAAUAUUUGAGGGAAUACUGCCAGAGAUACUAUUGUUAUAGAGAUAAAUUUCUUUCAAGGAAGAAAGGUUCAGGAUGGAAGCUGGCAUUGGACCAACAAGGCUCAUAUUUUGGGCAGCAAAUAUCUCCAAGCUCAAAAGAUUUCCAAUUUCAGAAGGGAUCUCACCUGUGAAAAUAACAGAAACCGAAUUGCAAAGGCUGGGUCAAGCAAAACGAGGCAUUUUUUUGCUUCGCAUCACUAUUCAUUAUGAAGUCAUUUUCUCCUAAUUUUAUGAGAUUAUUGAUUAAAUUAGAUAAUUAAAUUCUCAUUCUAAACAUUAUCUCAAAAGAGAUUAAAUACCAAAAUUUUUAGUCAUAAUGGGGAAAACAUAAAAGAAACUUAAGUUCAUUUGGUUGAAUUUUUUCUAUUUGUCCUUUACCUUCUUUUCAUUUUUUAGCAACCUAUACCAAUUAUAUAUAACUUUUGUGCAAUAUUUCAUUGUCAUCCACAAAUUUUAAAAUGUAGUUUAUGUCCAUAACCUUCUAAAAUUGUUUCAAAAUCAUAUAUUUCAUCAACCAUCAAUGAAAAAUCAAUGAAACAUGUCAUGCGACAAAUUUCAACUCAAAAUUCAAAAGGAUUCACCUUUUUAUGCCAUGUAACUAAAGAAUAUUUAAUUUACAAUAUUUUUUAUGGUUAAGAGUUAAAUUUAUUUUUUAAAUUUAAAAACUGAAUAUUUCCAAAAAUUAAAUUAAUUUUUCAAAAAUAUACAAAAAAUUAUUUUCAGCCAAGAAAUUUUACCUAAGAAAAUAACAUGAGUUUCAUGGUCACUGUUAAUAUUUAGGAGUUUUAACAUGAUAUCAAUAAUUAAAUUAAUUUUAGCACUUACUUUCCAAAUUAUAAAAGUAAUUCUUUUACGGUAAUUUCAAAUUAUCAAAUAAAGUUUAUUUUGACAAAAACUUCAAUGUUGAUAAGAAAAUAAAUAAAACUAGUCAUGUUUUAAUUUAAUAGGAAAAUAAUUAAUUAUAAAUAAAGUAGCUAAUUUAAUAAAUUAUCAAAUUAUCAAAGGAAAAAAAAAAAAAAAAAAAAGCUUACCUUCCAAAUUAUUUCCACCCAAGUAUAGCAUUCUGAGCCUCGUUAAAUUUCCAAUACUCCUUGGAAUGUUGCCACUGAAUCUAUUGAUACUUAAUGACAAAUUUUGAAGACACCUGCAUUCAUCUAUACUAGAUGGAAUUUGACCAAAAAACUCAUUUGAGGUCAAGUAAAGUACCUCAAGAUUGGGAAAAUGGCGACAUAUAUUUUCUGGUAAGCUACCAGAUAGACUAUUGAAUGCAAGAGAGAAAUCAUAUGCAGGAGAAAUGUUAUAAAUAGUGAAGUACAGAGCCAGAAAGUUUGAUUAAAUGCCAGACGAAUGUAUCUGUUAGAUUUCGUAAGCAUCACUUAAUCUCGGUGGAAUGUGUCCUUGAACGAGAUGUACUUCAAAUCCAAGAUCUUCAAGUGACAUUUUAGCUAGUGAUUGAGGCGAUGUGUACUGUCAAAUUAUUGUUCUGGAGACUCAAGUAUAAAACUUUAUUUUAAUCUCCCAAACCAUGAAGGAAUUUCCCCACUAAGAAAAUUGGAACUUAAAUCGAUGAGUUUCAGACGACUAAUUGCCCCAACUCUCUCGGCAAGAUGGCCAUGGAAAUUGGUUGUGACUCCAAAUCAAGAGAUACUAAAAACGAGAGAUUUCCCAAUUGUGGAGGACAGUUCCCGUAAGAUUCAUGUUGGUAAGAUUCAAAGUGUUGGACUCUCCUAUGCUAGAUGCGCAAGAGACACCAACCCAAUUGCAAACAGAAGUAUGAUGGUCCAUGUUGUGGCUAAGAUGCUGUUGCAGGAUCAAUGAUUUGGUGCUUAAAUUUCGAGAAGAGCAUGUUGGUCUGUGGUAAGGUUCCUCCACAAUCAUGGCCGUAGCAAACCAUGAAAACAAUGAAUGAACACUAAAGGCUAGCGAAAGAAAAUGGAAUAUUCUCAUGUUCAUGUCUGUGGAAGGAAAUCCAAAUCGAUGAAAUGGCAGGUGUAUACGGAACUCUGAUCAACAGCAAUUCUUAAAUAGGAAUAAGUUGCCAAUAUGACUUAAGACCUCAAGAGGAAGUUCUGGGUUUGGUCUUGGUCUUCACAAUUAACAAAUGAUUCAAGCUUUUGAUUUUGGGCCCUCUAAUCUUUUUUGAUCUCCUUUUACAAGCAUUGGCGAAGCUAAUUUAUCUUUUUGCAUUCUUUCUUUGUCUUUUUCUCUUUCUUUCUUUUAAUUUUUUUGUCUUGUACACUUUUUAAGGCCCCAUGACUCCACGUUUUACAAGAGAGAGUUGCAAAAUAGUAAUGGCUCUAUCUUUUUUGUCAAAAAAAAGUAAUUUAUAGUUUUUUUUAAACUUCUGAGUUAGUUAUUGUACAAAUCAAAGUAACUUAAAUUUAAUUUGUAAAAUUACUUAAAAUCAAAAUGAAAUAAUAAUAAAAAUAUGUAAGUAAAGAUAUUUAUGUAUUUUUAUUUAAAAAUUUAUGAUGAAAGAAAGUUUUUCCAUUUCCAGAUCAAAACAGGCUGCAAACUUUAAGGAGAAUUUAUACUAGAUUUGCAUAUCAUUCACCAAAAGUAGUGCUAGUAGUGGGAUUCCUCCCUACUACCGUUAAGUUUUCUCAUAAUUAUGGCGUAGUUAACCAUGAAAUAGUGAAUGAACAUUAACGCUGGCGAAAGAAAAUGGAAUUUUCUCAUAUCUAUGGCUGUGAUGGGAUCUAUGUAUAUCAAAACAGGUAACAUAAAAUAUUGAAGAAAUUGAGUCUGCAUAAAGCAUUAUUUAAAUAGAUUUCUAUACACACUACGAACUCGUCAACACUCAAGACAACCGAAAUUAUGAUAGGACAUUGAAGUCAAGACUUGGGGCCUUAGCAUGUCUUGGUCUUCACCGUGCUCUUCUGCAAUAAGCCAAGCUUUUAUUUUGGACCUUUUCAAUUUGCUGUUUUCAUAAACGAGAUAGGUAAGGUGCUAAGGCCUAGUUUAGUAUUAUCCUCGCGAUUGAAUAAAGUUUGGGUUAAAAAAAAGUGUUUAAAAAUAUUAUAAAAGAAGUGUAAUUAAAAAUUUUAGGUGUUUUGUGUUGUCGUGAAAAAUUAUUAUGUGUAAUUGAAAUGUUUGAUAAUAAUAAUAAUAAUAAUAAUAAUAAUAAAAAAUUAAAAAUAAAAAUAUAAUAUAAUAAUUUUUUAUUUCAAACACAUUUUUUAUCACAAAAAUAUCUAUCAAGAAAUUUUUUGUUUGAAUUUAUAAAUCAGUUUUUUAAAUUGAAAAACUAUAUUUUUUAUUUAACAUUAAAAUUAUAUCUAAAGUUGGAACGUAAAAAUUAUUUUCAACACAAUACAAACCGAGGUCUAAAUCUCUCCAUAUAAAGAGUAUUCAUACCGUACAAAUUCAAAACCUCUUACUCUUUAAAUAAUAAAAGUUCUCUUCAUCUAAAUACGAGUAUAUAUACAACCUUGCAAAUUUAACUAUAUUUUACUCAUCAAAAUGAAAUUUUGUUAUUUCUAAUUAACCAUUUCUAUUUUAAUUUUAGAAUUAUUAUAUUUUAAUUCUGGCCUACUACAUCCAUCUCGACUCUAUUAGAAUAAAAUUUUUUAGUUCCUCCACAAUACAUAUUGGACUUUUUUUUUUUUGAAUAAAUAACAUAUGAGAUUUUUAAAUUUUAAGCCAAAAUGAUAUAUAGUCCAAAAUUUAAAGACUACGGGUACUAUUUAUUAUGUUUUAGUAAAAAUAGUUCCUAUUUUCUGUUCUUUUAUAAUUAUCAUAAGUUUUUACAAAUACCCAAAUAUUCAAGCUUAAAUAUGAAAUUUUCACUCAAUGAUUUAAGUGGGAUGCCUAUCAUACAAAUCAUAUUAUUGACAAUUAAUCAAUUAUAAUUCUUAUUGUAGGGUUCAUAAAGUAAUCAUAUAGAACCCACAAGUUUAAGUGGUGGACUCCUACAUAAUUCGUUGUUAUGAUUAACUAAUUUCAAUGUUGCAAUAAAGAGAAUAGUAUGUGAAAUGCUACCCUUAUGCUAAAGUUUAAUAUGAUCUAUAUGCACUAUCCUCAUUUGUUAUCUCUUUGAGGAUGAAAGUAAAAGAUCGCUAAUAAGUUACGCUGAAAGAAUAUCAUGAAUACAUAAAUAUUACAAGAAUCAUAUCACUUAUUGCAAAUUAGAUUUUGAUUGAAAUUCAUUUUAAAAAUUUAAAAUUGAUACCAAAACAACUUUAAGUAUAUAUAACCUUUAAAUAUAAAGGAUAAUACCUUAAAUAGCCCUUGAGUUAUUGUAAUUUUUUUUAAUGCGAGACCUAAACUAAAAAAAAUUCUAAAUUAGGGUCAAGGGUUAUUUAUGGUAUUGACCCUAAAUAUUAUUAGAAUCAUAACAACUUUGGUUUUAGUUGUAGUGAGAAAAUUUCCAAUCUAAUUAAAUAAUCAAGCAAGUAGAAGCAUAAUUAAACAAUUGAUUAAUCACACAAAAAUUAGCAAUUUAAUGUGGUUUAGCUCAACUAGCUAUAGACACCAAAUUUGUUCGGGAUUUUAAUUGGGUCUCUGUUUAAAAUUCACCAGGUUUCUCAAGUUUUAGGAUUGAGGCUUGAUUUUGAUUCAAUAGGACCUAAGGCCUAGUUUCAAUUUUUAGGCUCAAGCCUAUUUUUUUAUUUUUACUUUUAUUGUAUUUUUAAUAUUAAAAUACAUUACUAUUAAUUAAACAUUAACAAAAAAUAUAUAAAAACAAAAAAAAACAAAGGCUAAAAGAUAAAAAAUAAAAAAAGAGCUGGUGGUGGAUGCCGUGCACAGCACCAUUGCCACCCACUCCCCUAAACCCCCCAAAACCCAACCGUUAACCCCCGUACCCUAUAACUGCACCCUUGGAAUCCUAUGAGUCACACCUUUCUUGGUAGAAGGUUGCAACUAGAGCUUUAUAAGUAAAGUUCCAUGGUGGCAAACCAAAGAAAGAGGGAGAAGAGACUCUAUAAAAAGAAAAGGAGAAACUCUGCCCUAAAAGAAAAAAACCACCAAAAGAUUCUGAAAACAAUUUCUGGAAGCAAACAAAAAAAAAAUCUUGUCCAAAAAAAAUAAAAAGCCAUUGCCAACAAAAAAUACAAAAAGAAAAUACUAUCCUCAGAGGAGGGGAACCUAGCAACAUAAAGAAAAAUACAAAAACACAAAAAAAAAUUUUGAGUUUUUUUUUUAAGAAGCCAAAGGGUUUUUUUUUUUUUUUUUUUUAUCUAAGAUUGUAGGUUAGUUUACAGGUAAAACAGAAGUAAGACUGGGGUAGAGGGGGCUUAGAGGAAUCUUUUAGUUUUUUUUUUAACUUUUUCGACAAUCGACGGGAUGAUCGAUGACCACCAUGUGACGGUCGAUAUGACAGUUGGUGUUGGUUUCUACCAACGGGCUGGCCCUCUGGGUUUUUGGGUUGAGAGGAUUUUGGAUUUUUCUUUUGGAAGGAAAAGGAAAAAUGAGCAAAAAAAAUUAAGGCUUUUUAUAUAAGAGACCUAUGGGCCAAAAUGAUGUCAUUUUGGGACCCUAAGAUCCGUGGACCUGUGACCUGACCUAGGACCUAGUUCCCCUUUUAGCUCAGAUCGAUUUAGUUGAAUUGGCUCAAAUCGGCAUUAACCAGCCCAAAUAGAAGUUGAUCAAAGUAUUGAUCGAUCCAGUUUAGGUAAUUUUUUUUUUAAUUUUUUGAAUUAUUAUUUUAAUAUUUUACGUAUUAUUUUAAAUUUUAUCAUUAGUAUUUAUGCAUGUUAAAAUAUUUAAAUUUAUUAGAAUAAAUUUUAUUUUUUUAGUAAAAGUGAAAAUAAAAAUAAAUAAUAAAAAAUAUAGUUUAAAGUUUUGAUAAUUUUAUUAAAAUUAAAAUUAACCUUAUAAAAUAAUAUAAUUAAUAAAAAUAUAAUAACUAAAGAUAAUAAUGAUAACAAUAAUAAAAAAAAGGAAAAUGAUCUAUUAAAUUUUUAUAUUUUUAAAUUUAAGAAUAAUAACAAAAAAUAAUAAAAAAUGUAAUAAAUGGCUUUUUUAUCCAAUGACAAGAUUCUAAGGUAUUUCAAGUUGCGAUGCCUAUAAAAUAUUUAGGUGAAAAAAAUUUUUAAAUAUUACCAAUGUAUUAGAGUAUUUAUAAAAUUUUUUAAUAAAAUAAAAAUUUUUCUUUUUUUUUGGCUAUAAAGUAAUAAAUGAAAAUUAACAAAAAUUAUUAAAAUGAAUAAUAAAAAAAGAGGAAAAAAAUUUUUGUUCAAUGAUGGGAUUUUCUAAAAAAAUUAUAUCACAAAUUUUAACAAAUAAAAACUAAAAAAAAUCAAAUCUAAACAUGAUGUCGAUAUGAUCAUUAAUAUAUUUUUUCUUUAAAAAUGAUCAAAUUAAAAAACAUUAUGAAGAAAAAAGAAAAAUAUAUUUUAAAUAAUAAUAUCAAUUGAGUAUCAUAUUAAAAAAUUUUAAAACAUUUAAAAAUAUUUAUUAAAUAUAAAAAAAUUAAAAAAAGUUAAUAGAAAAAAAAAGAAAAAGUGAAAAACAAGUAAUCAAAUAACUUAAUAUAUGACAUAUCAUUGAUAUCAAGUAGGUCUAAAAAAAUUAAAAUCUAAACAUGUUAUUUACUAAAUAUAUUAAAAAAAUAAAAAAGUAAAAAAUAAAAAAACACGUGGCACUCUCAGUAUAAGUAUGUUCCACAUAAAAAAAUCUAAAAAACAUUUAUUAAAUAUUUAUAAAAAUAUAAAAAGAGAAAAGCAAAAAAGAAAAGUUUUUAUAUAAACGAAUUCCAUAUAUAAAAGAUAAAAUCUAAAAAACUAUAUUUUUUAGCAUUUAAAAAUUAUUAAAUAUUUAAAAAGGAAGAUAAAGCAAAAAAAGAAGAAAAAAAGGAUAGGAAGAACAUGUGACACUUGAUGCACCCAAAGCUGAUCGUACAUGAGUAAAAUUAACUAUAUAGAUAGAUGAUUAACCCAAUAGUUAAUGCUGCUGAAAUUCUUUACAAAUAAUGGAAAGACUUCAAGCUUGAAUCAGGAGUUUAACUCAUUAUAAAUAAGUGGCAUUCAUCAAUUUUGAGAUUUAAAAUAUAAAAAAUUUAAAAAGUAUAUUAAAAAUAUUCAUUAAAUAUAAAUUUUUUUAAAAAAGUAAAUAGAAAAGAGUAAAAAAAAGAAUUAAAUAACUUGACAAGUGAAAUAACAUUGGUAUCAAGUAGGUCUAAAAAAUUAAAAUCUAAAAAUGUUAUUUACUAAAAAAAUAAAAAAAUAAAAAAAAUGGAACUCUUGGUAUCAAGUGGGUUCCAUACAAAAAAAUAAAAAUCUAAAAAAAUAUUUAUAGAAAUAUAAAAAGAGAAAAGCAAAAAAAGAAAAGGUUUUAUGUAAAUGCAUCCCAUAUAUAAAAAAAGUCUAAAAAACUAUAUUUUUUAGAAUUUAAAAAAUUACUAAAUAUUUAAAAAAUAUACAGUAAAAAAUUAUACAAAAAAAAGAGAUAGGAUGAGUGUCACGGACUAGGCUUUUUCUCAACAAGCAAUAGACCAUGUGGCAUUUGAAUAGACGGUCCCACCCAAGUCAGCCCUGAAUAGUUCGAUAUCUGAACAAAUAACCAUAAGCCACAGUUAGUCCAAAGCGUACACAAUAAGACACAUUUAUAUCGAGAUCAAUCUCAGGCACACACAAGAAGGCACAUUCACAUUGAGAAAAAGAAAAACACAUCAAAGCAACAUUCGGGACAUUCGAAUCGGAGGUGAAUUUCAUUAUAAUCAAGAAUAGUACAUCGAGACUUCCCACCAUCGUCAGGGCCAGGGGACAGCCCUUGGCGAAUGGCCUAGGCCCGUAUCACGAGCGGUGAGAUAGCCCAACAGUACGCUGCCCGCUCACCCCCUAAAAAGCUUUAGAAAUUUUAGAGUUAUGCUACCACUAACUAUUACAAUGUUUGAAAUGGGAUACUUUUCUUAACAUAAGAGAUCUACCCUCCUCUCUUGGCACCUCUACCCGAUCAUGACCCUAUACAUGGGUGGCUCAUAACAACCUAAGCCUCGGUCAUGGCCCUAUACAAGGUUGGCUUAUGACAUCCUCUUCCACCUAUUCUAUCAACAUCCUCGUCGACUUGCUGGCUUGAAAUUCUUUAAUCUUCCUUUUGAAUCUCCAAAGAUCAUGUUCCAUUUCCUAGUUAGUUUCUUUUAGUCCUAAUCCCUCCCACUUCACUAAGUAUUCAUGAACUAGUCUUUGAGAUACCUUGGUUUCCCUAUCAGUUAAGAUCUUUUCGACUCGACACUCUGAGGGUGGCUUCAUGGUGAUGAUGACUCUGGUUGGCUCCCUUCGACUAGUAUCUGUAGGAUCUGCAUGGAAAGGUUUCACGUUGCUCACAUGAAAUACUGGGUGCACUUUCAUCCACUUUGGUGGGUCAAUUUUGUAAGAAGCAUUCCUCACCUUAGAAAGGAUCUUCAUUAGACCCUCAUAUGACUCUCAUAUUUGUGCACUAAUCUACGAUAUCUCUUUCUUAAGAACCUGGUUUGUUCAAGAACUAGUCGAACAAGAACCAAAUCACUAGCUUGGAAUUGUUACGCCCUGCGACCUUUGUCCGCCCAUUUUUUCAUUCGCUUUAAUGCCUUAUCCAAGUAGGCUGGUGCAAUCUUAGUAUUUUGUUUCCACUCCUUUUCGAGGUUGAAGGCUCUUGGAUUUUUCCCUCUAUAUUACUCUAAGGAAGUAUGGGGUAACCUUGGUAAUUAUUCUGUGACCACCUCAAAUGGGCUUUUAUUAGUGGAAGAGCUUUUGUUAAAAUUAAAGCAAAGCUGAGCAAUGUCCAAUAACGAAGGCUAAUUUUUUUGAUUGGCUUGAACAAAGUGCCUUAAGUAUUUCUUUAGUAAUCCAUUGAACCGUUUCGUUUGACCGUCGGUUUGAGGGUGGUAGCUUGAGGAGAUGUUAAGUUGAGACCCCAGUAUCUUGAAAAGUUCUCUCCAGAAGAUCCUGUGAAUCUCGAAUCUUUAUUGCUUAUAAUGUUUUGAGGAAGGCCCCAAUAUUUGAUCAUACGUUGAAACAGUAGUCAAGCUGUCUCUUUCGUAGUAUAAUACUUUUGAGUGGGAAUGAAUGUGACGUACUUAGAGAAACAGUCAAUCGCCACCAAAAUAGCUCCAAGAUCACCAACCUUGGGAAGGCUCAAAAUGAAAUCGAGAGAGAUGCUUUCCUAUGGUCUAGCGAGCACCGAUAGUGGUUCAAGUAUGCCUACAAGUUUUUUCUUUUCAAUUUUGUCUUAUUGGCAGAUGAGGCAAGUCUUUGUAUAGUCUAUCACGUCUUAUAGCAUGUGAGGCCAAUAGUAUCCUUAUUUCAAUAAAGCCAAAGUACGUUGCCAACCCAGAUGUUUUACCCAUGGUAUGUCAUGACAUUCCCUCAUCAGCAUCUAUCUCAGACCUCCUACUCUUAGCACAAAUAAUCGGGGCCCUUUGGUCCACAAGUCCCCAUUUUCUUGCCAGAAGUACUUGUGUCACGGACUUAAAGAAGAGUCAUUAAUCUCACAUUGAACAUAAUAGGAGGGUCACUGGGGUAUAAAAGGGUUCACACCACCUUUUUCUUGUGAGGUACCUUUUAUAGGAUAAAAUCAUGAGGCCAAGGGGACCAAAGUGGACAAUACCUCAUAAGGGUGUGAACCGUGACAGAUAGGCUGAUUUGAGACACCGAAUGAGUAGAUGCCCAGGUCUCAGAGUCGCGCGGGUUUGAAGCUUAAGUCUCAACUCGUGACAAGUGGUAUCAAAGCUAGCCCUAAACCGUUCGAUCCAUGUCAAGUGCCUCGAGGAAGGUAGGCAGGGUGGUCAGCCUCCGUGACAAGAGUGUCACGAGGUUGGGUGGGUGAGAAUGUCACAGACCUAAGAAAGAGUUUAUCUUACAUUGAACAUAAUAGGAGGGUCACUAGGGUAUAAAAGGGUUCACACCACCUCUUCCUUGUGAGACACCUUUUGUAAGAUAAAAUUGUAAGGUUAAGGGGGCUAGAGUGGAUAAUACCUCACAAGGGUGUAAAUUAUGGUAGGUAGGUUGAUCUGAGAUAUCGGAUGAGUGGAUGCCCAGGUCUCGAAGUGAAGUGGGUUGGAAACUUAAGUCUCGACUUGUGUAUCAAAGCCAGCCCUAAAUCGUUCGAUUCACGUCUGGCACCUCGAAAGAGGUAGGCAUGGUGGCCAGCUUCCGUGAUGAAGAUGUCACGAGAUUAGGUGAGGAAGAAUGUCACGGACCUAAGGAAGAGUCCCGAAUCCUACAUCGAACAUAAUAAAAAGGUCACUAGGGUAUAAAAGGGUUCAUACCACCUCAACCUUGUGAGGCACUUUUUGUAGGACAAACGUGAGGCCAAAGGGGCCAGAGUGGACAAUACCUCAUAAGGGUGUAAACUGUGACAGAUAGGCUGAUCUAGAUGUCGGAUGAGUAGAUGCUCGGGUUUCAGAGUCGUGUAGGUUCAGAGCUUAAGUCUCGAUAUGUGACAAGUGGUAUGUGAGCCAGCCCUAAACCGUUCGAUCCAUGCCUAGCACCUCGAGGAAGGUAGGCAAGGUGGCCAGCUUUCGUGACGAAGGACGUCACGAUGUUAGGUUAGGAAGAAUGUCACGAACCUAAGGAAGAGUCUUGAAUCCCACAUCAAACAUAAUAAGAGGGUUAGUAGGGUAUAAAAAAGUUUACACUAUCUCUGCCUUGUGAGGUACCUUUUGUAGGAUAAAAUUGUUAGGCCAGAGAGGCCAAAGCAGACAAUACCUCACAAAGGUGUGAACCAUAGUUGGAAGGCUAAUCUGGGAUGCCAGAUGAGUGGAUGCCAGGUUUCGAAGUCACACGAGUUUGAAGCUUAAGUCUUGACCCGGGAUAAGUGGUAUUAAAGUCAGCCAUAAACUAUUCGAUCCACGUCGAGCGUCUCGAGGGAGGUAGGCAGGGUGGUCAGCCUCCGUGACGAGAGCGUCACGAGGUUGAGGGGUGAAAAUGUCAUGGACCUAAGAAAGAGUCUUAAAUCUCACACCAAACAUAAUAGGAGGGUCACUGGGUAUAAAAGGGUUCACAUCACCUCAACCUUGUAAGGCACCUUUUGUAGGAUAACUAUGAGGCCAAGAGGGCCAGAGCAGACAAUACCUCACAAGGGUGUGAAUCAUGGUAGGUAGGCUGAUUUGAAACGUCGGAUGAGUGGAUGUCCAGAUCCUAGAGCCACACGAGUUUGGAGCUUAAGUCUCGACCCGUGACAAGUGAUAUCAGAGCUAGCCCUAAACCAUUCGAUCCACGUCGAGCGUCUCGAUGGAGUAGGCAGGGUGGUCAGCCUCUGUGAUUAGGGCAUCAUGAGGUUGGGUGGGUGAGAAUGUCAUAGACCUAAGGAAGAGUCCUGAAUCUCACAUCAAACAUAAUAAAAGGGUCACUGGGGUAUAAAAGGGUUCACACCACCUCUUCUUUGUGAGGCACCUUUUGUAGGAUAAAACCAUGAGGCCAAAGGGGUUAGAGCGAACAAUACCUCACAAAGGUAUGAACUGUGGUGGUUAAACUGAUCUGGGACGUUAGAUAAGUGGAUGCUCGAGUCUUAGAGUCAUGCAGGUUCGAAGUUUAAGUCUCGACUCAUGACAAGUGGUAUCAGAGCUAGCCCUAAACCAUUCGAUCCACACCAAGUGCCUUAAGGGAGGUAGGCAGGGUGGCCAACCUCUGUGACGAAGACGUCAUGAGGUUGGGUGGAAGAGAAUGUCAUGGACCUAAAAAAGAGUCCUGAAUCCCACAUCAAACAUAAUAGAAAGGUCAUUGAAGUAUAAAAAGGUUCAUACCAUCUCUACCUUGUGAGGUACCUUUUGUAAAACAAAACUAUGAGAUCAGGGGGUUAGAGCAGAUAAUACCUCACAAGGGUGUGAACCCUGGCAGGUAGGCUGAUCUGAGACUUUGCAUGAGUGGAUGCCCGGGUAUCGGAGUCGCGUAGGUUCAGAGCCUAAGUCUCGAUUCGUGACACUUGGACUUUCCUUUUUCAACUAGUUUCAGGAUGACACUGGCCUAUGGAUCUUUCCCUAAAUGAUCUUUAAUUAACUUACGAAUGUUUAUUGUGACUCUGCUAGCCACCAUUGGGGCAAUUCUUUUAAGGGCUGCUAACUCCGUUUGUCUGCUUAAUGCAUCGGCCACUUGGUUGGUCUUUCCAGCGGUGUGCUCAAAAUAAAAAUUGAACUUUGCUAAAAAUUCUUGCCAUCUAGCUUGUUUUGCUGUAAGCCUUAGUUGGGUGAGGAAAUGGCUAACGAUCGCAUUGUCUGUCUUCACGACAAAGUGUGAACCCAACAAAUAAUGUCGCCAAGCCUUCAGGUAGUGACCUACCAUUAAGAGCUCUUUUUCUUGGGCCAUAUAUUUUCUUUCAGCUUCGCUAAGCUUUCUACUUUCAAAUGCUAUUGGAUGAUGUUGUUGUAAAAGUACUCCCCUAAUAGAGAAAUCAGAUUCAUCAGUCUAAACUUUGAAAGGCUUUUCAAUGUUAGGGAGAGCUAAGAUAGGAUCCUUCAUAAUAGCAUUAUUCAAUCCCUCAAAGGCCUAUUGGCACUCACUUGUCCAACACCAUUUAUGCUCCUUUUUCAAUAGCUUCGUGAGGGCCGUGGUCUUGCGAGAGUACCCUUCUACAAAUCUUCUAUAAUAGUUGGCUAAUCCCAAAAAUGAAUGAAGUUCACUAACAUUUUUUAGUGUUGUCCACUCCUUGAUAGCCCUAACCUUUUUCAUGUCUAUUCGAAUGUGGUCACGUUCGACAAUGUGACCUAGAAAGUGGAUUUGGGUCUGAGCAAAUGCACAUUUUUCCCUUUUCACAUACAACUGGUGGUCUUGUAAUCUUUGAAGCACCUGGCGUAAGUUUUUUGAUGUUAUUCCAGAGUAGAGCUAUAUACCACUAUGUCAUCUAAAUAGAUAACUACAAAUUUAUCUAAAUAGUCAUGGAACACCUGAUUCAUCAAUGUACAAAAUGUGGCAGGAGCAUUGGUCAAUCCAAAGGGCAUAACAAGAAAUUCAAAUACGUCAUACUGUGUUACACAAGUGGUUUUUGGCUCAUCUCCUUCAGUGAUUCUGACCUGAUGGUAGCCAAAUCUCAAGUCCAAUUUGAAAAAGUACUUGGCCCAGCUUAGUUGAUCAAACAAAUAUGCUAUAAGAAGGAUGUGAUAUUUGUUUCUCACGAUGAUUUUGUUCAGGGCCCUGUAGUCAACAUAUAAUCGCAAACUUCCAUCAUGCUUCUUCUGAAAUAGCACUGGCACUUUAAAAAGAGCCUUUGAUGGUCUAAUGAAUCCAACCUGUAGAAGCUCAUCUAACCGUUUCCUUAGUUCGGCCGACUCUAGUGGAGCCAUGUGAUAAGGGGCUCUAGCAGGGGGUUUGACUCAUGGGAGGAGCUCAAUUUCAUGGUCCACAGCUUUUCGAUGAGGUAGAACCUUAGGCAACAUCCCUAGCAUCACCUCUUUGAAUUCUUUUAACAUUUUUUCCACACUAUUGGGUAUCAAUUUCACUUUCAACCCUUCCUUGUAAAUCGACAUGGUCACAAAUAAAGGGUUCUCCUCUCUUUACCCUUCUUAAAUUGUAAAGCUGAGAUCAUUUUCUUUCCAUUCUUUGGCAAGAUAGUGGUUGGCACCACACAAAGGUGUUCCCCUAAGAACAACAAGGCAACUAGCUACGGAGAUAGGGAUCACUUGAGCCAACAUCAUAAAGUUCAAUUCAAGGACAACAUCAAAGUCAUCCAUGAGGGAAACUGUGAAGUUUACCUUCUCUUUCUAUGGCCUCAACUUGGUCAUCACACUCUUGGAGCUUUCAUUAAUCGUAAAGGCUGUCGAAUUGGCCACCUUUAUUCGCCUGUAGUCUUUGCUAACCUGGAGAUCACACCUUUUUGCUUUUUUUGGUGUGAUGAAAGUAUCAAUUGCACCCGUGUCUACCAUGGCCCUUGUGGCCUUCUCAUUGAUGAUUAAGUUCACAUACAUCAGGCCUCUACCUUACUCUUUUUUUAUCGUGUUCAGUUAGGUGUAGAGGGCAUUGAGAAACCUUAUUGAACCCAUCCUGGUUGGCUCCUCUUCAAUUUUUUUAAUGAUCUUCGGUGCUUUUAUGGACUCUUGAGAUGAGGCUCUUAAGGCAUUAAGGGCUCAUCUGUGUGGGCAUUUGGCUACCUGAUGCAGCCCCUUACAUUGGAAGCAAGCUAAUGGUUGCCUAGGCCUAAAAAUCACUGUAUUGUUUGCCUUAGUUUGGGUGCUAUCUCGACCAAAGGACCUCCUAUCUGAUCCCCUACUAAAGGCUGGUCCAAUCUAGUCAUCUUUCUCCCACUCUCAAAGUUGAAGUUACUACCAGCUAAUGGAGGAUUUUUUUGUUUUGAGGAGCCAUCAUUAUAAUCAUGGAGAUGUUCAGCUGCAGCCAUGGUCUUGGCCACAUCUUGCACUUUUUAUCUUUGUAAUUAUGUCAUGGCCCAAGGCUUGAGGCCCUCAAAGAAAUAAAACAUCUUGUCUUUUUCGGACAUGUCUCGAAUAUCCAACAAUAGGGUAGAAAAACUCCUCACAAACUCUCACACUGUUCCUAUUUGCACCAAUUCUCAAAGUUUCUUUUGGGCCAUAUACUCCAUAUUCUCAGAGAAAAACUUGUUUUUCAGUUCCUGUUUUAGGUCCGUCCAAGUCUUAAUUGGACACUCAUCAUUGAUAAACUUGGAGUGCCACCAUAACUUGGCAUUCCCUGUGAGGUACAUCGACGUCAUUGCUAUCUUAUCUUCCUUUGAAUCUGUGUGUUAAGCUCAAAAGUAUUCCUCCAUGUCAAACAGAAAGUUUUCAAGCUCUUUGGCAUCUCUUGCCCCCUCAUAGCAUCGAGGCUCCAGCACCUUGGCCCUUUUUCUCCUUUCCGUCGAGCUCGAACUUGAUAUGGCCACAAUCAUUUGUAUGAUGCUCACUUAUGCUCUGAGCUCUUCAAACUCCUUUUGGAGAACAUUCAAGGCAUCUCUAGCCUCCUCGUCCACGUUGUGCAGAGUAUCGAACAACUCCCAAUGGGUUGUCUCGAUCUCCCUCAAUCGAUUUUUAGUCACCAUGUGAGUUUUCAAUACGGCCAUCGCGGCCUCAAGCUCCUCAAGUCUCUGUUGAUAAUUGGGUCCACCACUUGUGGCCAUCUUAUCAAUUUUCUAGCACUUUUCAAUCGUGCUCUGAUAUCAUGUGUCACGGACUAGUCUUUCUCUCAACAAGCAAUAGACCGUGGGGCACUUGAAUGGAUGCUCCUACCCAAGUUAGCCCUCAAUAGCUUGAUAUCUGAACAAAUAACCAUAAGCCAUAGUUAGUCUCAAGCGUACACAAUAAGACGCAUAUCGAGAUCAAUCCCAAGCAUACACAAAAAGGCACAUUCACAUCGAGAAAAAGAAAAACACAUCAAGGCAACAUUCGGGACAUUCGAAUCGGAGGUGAAUUUUAUUAUAAUCAAGAAUAGUAUAUCAGGACUUCCCACCAUUGCCAGGGCUAAAGGGCAGCCCUUGGCGGAUGGCCUAGGCCCGUAUUACGAUCGGUGAGACAACCCAAUAGUACACCACCCGCUCACCCCCCCUAACAAGCCUUAGAGAUUUUAGAGCUAUGCUACCACUAACCAUUAUAAUAUUUGAAAUGGAGAUACUUUUCCUAGCACAAGAGAUCUACCCUCACCCUUGGCACCUUUACCCGGUCAUGGCCCUAAACAUGUGUGACUCAUAACAACCUAAGCCUCGGUCAUGACCUUAUACAAGGUUGGCUCAUGACAAUGAGCAUGUGACAUGUGACACACCCAUAGGUACAUGAGUAAAAUUAACUAUAUUAAUAGAUAGAUGAUUAGUCCAAUGAUUAAUGCUAUUGAAAUUCUUUACGACUAAUGGAAAGAGUUCAAGUUUGAUUUAAGAGUUUAACUCAUUUUUAAGAGUUGUUAGCCAAUAAUUUUGAUAUUUAAAUUCUAACAUUUGCAACAUUUUGUUUCUUCCCUAAAUUGCAGCCUGAUGCUUUAUAAAAUGCAAGAUUUCAACUUUGAAAACUUAUUAACUUUUUAUUUUUUUUUACCUUUUUUUUAUUAUUUAAACACUCGAUAUAUAAAUGUCAUGUAAUGAUGAUACUUUUAAUUAUUUUUUAAAUAAUUAAAACAUAAUUAAAUUAAUAAACACAAUCUACUUAUAAUACUAAUAAUCUCAAAUUAAUAUUUAAUUAAUAUCAAAGUACCCUAAAUGGUCAACAAAUGAAUUACUUAAAUAACUAUAACGUAGAGAUAAAUUAAAUUAUAAAAAUUUAAAUUAGCACAUCAAAUAAAUAAAAAUAUAAAGCAUGAUUUUAUAUUUAUAAAUAAAAAAUAAUAAGAAAUAUAAAUUCAAAUAAAAAAUUUAUCCAAUGUUUUAAAAUGAGCCAAAAAUACAACUCUCAAUUUUACUUACAAAAUGUCGAGAGUACCCAUAAAAUUGGACAAAUUUUCUCUAUAUCCUAUAUGAACAUUUGUAACUGUCACAUCUUUUAUGGCUAUUAAUUUUCAAUUAGUGAUAGAUGAUAGAUUAUGAUUUUGUAAAAAAUUUUUCCAAAGGUAAUAAUAAUGUUGCCGGACAAUAAAAUCUUUAUUUUUUUAUGCUAAGUAAAAUCUUAAAUUUAUUUUUUAAUCAAAAUUAUGGAUACAUAUACAUACUAAUAUUAAAGGGAUUGAUUGAGUUGGUGUCAUGAUUUAAUCAAAUACUAAACCUUUUUUUUUUCUUGGUCAAGAAUCAAACACCAAGUUGGUAAAUUUACUUUAAAUCUAAAGUUAAAUUACAAUAAUAAUAUAUAUUUAGGAAUAUUUAUGUAUUAUUUUUUUAAAUUAAAACAAACUUUUUUACCAUCAUUUCAAAAAAGCUACCCACCAAAAAAGUUACUUCCUUUAAAAAAAUUUUAUUUUUAAUUAAUAAUUUUUUUUAUCCACAUAGUGGAUGUCUCAAAAUUUAGUACAUUUAUAAAUCUUUAGCUGAGUUUGAUACUAUAAGUUAAGUGAUGUGAACUUAAUCAGGGUAGUUAAAAUAAAUAAAUAAAUGCUUAUUUUUUCUCUUUUCUUAAUAACAAUUUCAAUGAGUUAUUUUCACUUUUCUUUUCUCAAUAACUGUUUCAAUAAGUUAUUUUUUUUUCUCAUUCAUGCUUUUUGAAAAUCAUAUAUAUAUAUAUAUAUAUAUAUGUUAUUUUAACCUAUUUUUAAAUUAUAAAAUUAUUUAUUAUUCCAUUCACAUAGUGCAUGUAUGUAAGAUUAAUAUUUAUAAAACUCCUACUAAAUACGAUUCAAGUAACACCAACUCAAUCGAAGAAUUAAAAAAAAAACUUCAUGAUGUAAUAAUGAAAUAUAAAUUAAUAAGGAUAUUUUAGUCUUUACAUUCUUUGAAAUCUGAUUCAGGUCCAGUUCUUUUUAAACUUACAUUUCUCUCUGUUUUUUUCUCUAUUACAAAACUAUACACGAGUCACUUUCCUAUUUUUCUUUGUUUUACAUUUUCAAAUAACUAUAUAUAUAUAUAUAUAUAUAUAUUCUCUUUUAACUUUUAUCUAAAGGUAUAAUUAUUGUUUAUUACUUCACCUAGAUAAUGGGUGCUUCAAAUAUUAGUAUAUAUAUAUAUAAUGCAAAAACAUUUCCUAUAAGAGGCUUAUCAUUUGGUAGAUAAAUUUAACUUUUGGCCAAUGUACAGAUAUAGUUUUCAUAGUUGGACAAAUGUAAUUUAUCAUUUGUUGAAUUUUAUACAAAAUUUCUCUUUGAUGAAUAAAUAUAAUUAUUGAAAAUUUUUAAUUAAAGGUUAAAUUAAUUUAAUAUAUGAAACCUUUUGUAAAAGGGAAUUUUAAGGGAAGUUGGAAUGCCAAUUUUUCUGAAAUUUCUCUAAGUGAAAUUGGUUUAUGAGGAGAGUCAAAAUUUUAUUUUUAGAAAUGAAAUUACGAACAUAUUGAUAAAAUAAUUUGCGAGGAAAUGAAGUUAAGAAAAAUUAACUCAGUUGCAUGAUGUUCAUGGCAUUGGGAAUUGAUGAAAUUGCAGGAUUCAACUCCAAGAGGAAAGUCGUGCUGGGAUCGUCUUGGUCUUCACAAAAAAUAAAAUGAAUCAUGGUUUUGAUUACGGGCCCUCUAAUUUGCUUUUGACCUCCUUUUACAAAGCAUAGCUAAAACUAAUAUAUAUUUUCUCUUUUUCUUUGUAUUCAUUGGACUUGUAUACUUUUUGAGACCUAACUAAUAUUCCUUUACUCCACGUUUUACACCAGAGUUGCAAAAUGCUAUGGCUUUAUCUCUUUUGUAACAGAUUUGCAGCCAGUAAUUCUUUUGUGUGCGCGUUUUAUAUAUAUAUAUAUAUAUAUAUAUAUAUAUAUUCUAAGAUAUAUAAAUUAUAUUAGGAUUACUGAUCAUCGAUAAUUUUAAAUAUUUUAAAAAAUAAUUUUAGAAUUUUAGAAUACAAUAAAAUCUUUUUUUUUUUUUUUGCCAUGUGAACGUUGUUUAGGCUCACUUAUUUUUACCACAAUUCUUUUUCUUAAUAUCUACACAAAUUCAAAUAAGGAUAGAGAGGUUUUGGGACAUAUGGAGCAUUAGUUUAUGAUAAUACCACAUAUCAAAGCCGUGAUUGAUGUAAUUAUAAACCUACUCGGUCGAAAUGUGCAUAACGAUGAAACUUUUGUCUUUUUAAUUUAUCAAAAGCAGCCGUAUUCUAAGUGCUAGGCCUUGGAUCAAUCCAAGUCAUCUUGCUUUCCACAAACAUCAAAGCAAACUUAGAAAUUUUAAGUCAGGAAAGCUAUAAUGAUCGUUUUCUAAACGCAAGGAUCAAUCAAGUGGUCUUGGUUUCAUAUACGUCAAAGCAGACUAAGAAAUUUUAGGUGAAGAAUUAAAGCUACCAAAUGCAAGGAUCAAUCAAUCUUCUCGCUUUUCUCCUGGAUCAAAGCAAAUCAUUCAGUUGUCAUACAUUAGAUAGGUAAUUAAGUAGUUGAGGUUGGGUGUAAAAGCUUUUAAUUUCUAAUAAUUUUUUCUUAAGGUAAGGUAAAUUAAAAUCUUUAGUAUAAAAAAGAUAGUACUUUUAAUUUUUUUCUUUAAAAGAUGAAUUUUUUAUAUAAAAAAAUUUUGCAGCCUAAAGAUUGGAAAAUGGAAUACAAGUAUUAGGAUUUAAAUUUUAGACCUGUUGAAUGUUACAUCUUAAGAGUAGUUGUAUAAACUAAAUAAGUUAAACUUUUAAGUUAUAUUGGUCAAGCUAUCUGUUUGAGCCUGAAAGCCUACCAAAAUUUGGGAGGAUUUUGACAUGAAUUUUAGACUUGUUAAAUGAGCUUGGGCCUAAAUUUUAGGUUGGUUUAAAAAAUGUGCCAUGUCUUGAACAUGAAGUAUAAGGCCCAAACCCUACUUGGCCCGAAUAAUUAUUAUAUAUUUUUUAUAUUUAUAUUACAUAAAAAUAAUUAAAUAAUUAAAUAAUAUACAUGUAUAUUAAAGGCGUUUCUUAUAGACAACACCUUCAUUAAUCUCAUACAAUUUUUUAUGAUGUGAUUAUUAAAUGCGUUAUCUGUCAAAAAUACGCCUAAACUAUUCACUGAAAUUUUUAAUAAAAAAUAUUUAAGGUGUUUUAGUCGAGAAUGCCUCUAAUAUAUAGUCUUGGAUGACGUUUAUAAGUAAUAACAUUGCUAUUUGAAUAUUUAUUUGAAUAUUUAUUGGUGUUUGGAUAAUAAAUGCCUUAAGUUUUAUAAAAACACGGAAGCUAGUUGUAUUUGUAAGUGAAAGGCUGCUACAAAAUUAUUGCUAGUAUGCCAUUUUGCUGUAGUGAAUAGAAUGAAAGUUCAUAUACUAAUCUAAUAGUUUUAUUUCUUUAGAUACCAAAUUAACAAAAAAAAUGUAUACUUCAAGGGCUAUUUUUAUAUUUAACUCUUAAUCUUUUUAAGCUUUAAAGUUAUUUAUUAUCCAACACACAUUUUGCAAAAACAUUUCCCAUAAGAUACUUAACAUGUGGUAAACAAAUGUAAUUUUUUACCAAUGUACAAAUAUAAUUUUUGUUGUUGGACAAACUUAAAUUAUCAUUUUGUUGAAUUUUAUACAUCAUUUCACUUUGAUGAGUAAAUAUAAUCAUUUGAAAUUUCUGACUGUACCACUUAUCUUGUAAUACAAAAUGAUCCCACUGUGAGAGCAAUUUUUAUGGUGAAACUUUUUAAUUGACAAAUGAUUGGUGAAUUAAAUGCAAAAUUAUUGGUGUUUCAAGUGCAAGUAGGACCUCAUGCUUAAUUUCCACAAACAUCAAACCAAACUAAGAAAUUUUUAAAACCGUUUUCUAAACGCAAGGAUGGAUCAAGUGGUCUUAGUUUCACAAUGUCAAAGCAUGGUAAUAAAUUUUAAGUAAAGAAAACUAUCAAAUGCAAGGAUGAAUCAUAGUCUUCUUAUUCUUAUCAUACCUUAGAUAGGUAAUUAAAUAGUUGAGGUUAAUUGGGUGUAAAAGCUUCUAAUUUCUAAUUUGUUUUUUCUUAAGGUAAGGAAAAUUAAAAUCUUAAAAAAAAUGAAAUUACACCAGCAUAUGUCUUAGCAUAAUUAAAUGCAUUUUUAAUAUUUUUUUUUUGUUAUUUGAUAGUUCUCUAAAUAAUAUGGUUUUUUUUUUAUAAAUAGUAAUAUUAAUAUGAGAAGGGAUUUAUUUAUACUAAUGUAACUUUUUCCUUUUUUACUCUUGGAUGAAAAUUAAAUUCAUGAUUCAUUUGAAUUAAAAUAAUAUUUUUAAAUUUAGUAAUUUUGAUCUAAAAUUUCAAAAAAGUGUAAGAGUUACACUUGUGUAAAUGGAUCCCCCUUCAUAUUGACGUAGCUAUUAAAAUAUUAAAAUAUUUAUUAUUGAAAUAUUAAAAAUAUUAAUUUUAGUUAUUUUUAUAAUAAUAUUUAAUAUUAAAUACUUGAAAAAUAGGAUUUAUUAUUAAAAUGUUUUUAUAUUAAUAAUUUAAAACAUUUAAAUAUCAUUAUUAUUAUCAUUAUUAAAGUAUAUUUAUUAAAAUUAAAAUUAAAAUAGCAUAUUUAUUAUUAAAAUAUUAAAAAUAAUAUUUAUUAUUAAGUCAUAAAAAGUAUUAUUUAUUUUAUUAUUAAAAUUGUAAUAUAAAAAUCGAUGAAACCUUAGCUUACCACUACUCUUAAAGUCUUAGGUUUAAGUCCCACUAUGUGUGGGUUUGGUGAUUGUUUAGUUAGAUUCUAAUUUGUUUUUUGUUGAUUGAUUAUGAUUGCAAAUUCUUUUAUGUUUGUAAUUUCAAAAAAAUAAAUGAUAUAAAAACAUUUGUCAUUAAGAUAUUAAAUGUACAAUAUAUUUUAAAUUUAAAAUUACAAAGUUUAACUAAGUUAGAACACGGAAAAAUAGAAAAUUGAAGCAGCAACUGGUUUUUUAGCAUUGAGAGGAUGAAUUUAAUUUUCCUUGCAGAGAAAAAAGGUUUAGUCGUGGAAAGAAAGAGAUAAUAGAAAAAAGGGGUCAAAGAACCGAGAGAAGCAAAAAUAGGAACAUAUUUAUAUUUUUAUAAAUAUAAAAACCCUAACCUAAUAAACAUAAAAUUUCUAUAAUAACUCUAUUACAAUAACCCUUUUUUUAUAGAAAGCUCCAAUCAAGCGAAACUAAGAUUCUAGAUAUGUCAGUAUUAAUUUCUUUUGUUGCAAUUGCUUGAAUACAUAAGCAUCAAUCAUCUGUGAGUUUUAUAUAAUAUUUUAUUUUUAUUUGUGACUUGUAAAACUUAUUUUUAGAUCCGUAAAUUUAAAACUCAAUGGGAGUAAAAUAUUUCAAAUCCAUCCUUUAAUUUCAUUAACAACCAUAAAAAUCAAUGAAAUUUGCUACCUCAGUGUCACGUAGCUGUCCACGUAACAACAACCUCAAUUCAAAAGGUCAAAGAGAUUCAAAAUUUUUUUACCGUAUGGACAUUGUUCAGGCUCAUUAUCACAUAUAUUUGUUAUAAAUUACUUAAGGGGAAGAUUAUAUACGUAUAACAACUACACAAAUUUCAUAUACAUAUGACAAUAUAGGGAUUGAAUUAAAAAAAAAAAAAAACUUGAAACAUGCAUAUAUGUAUAAUUUUUGUGUAUGAAAUAUGUAUAUGCAGUAUUCCUUAGGGAUAUGAAUUUUACCCAUACUCAAUGAGAAAUUUGAUUUUUUUUUAUCUAAACAGGAAUAGGAAUAAGUAUUACAUUGUGGUUAUGAAGAUGCAUAUGAUUUUAAAUUUUUAUUUAGUAUGGGGUAGGAGAUGGGUAAUAUAGCACCUUCCCCACACUUGUACCCUACAUAUAUAUUUAGUAUAUAGAUAUUUAAUUAAAUAAUAUAAAUUAUUAUUUUAGAUUAAUUAAAAUUAAUAUAUAUUUAUUGAAAAAAUAUAUAUUAAUAUAUAUUUAUAAAAAAAUUAUCUAAAUAUAUAAGAUAAAAUUAAAAAAAAUUUUAUUUUUUAUUUUUUUAAGCUAUGGGUAUGGGAAUCUCCAUACCCAUUAAAUACCUGUGAAGAUAGGAAUAUGAAUAAAUAUAAAACACCAAUUGAAUAUAGAUACAAAGAUGAAUAUAAUAUAAAAAUCUAAAAAAUAAAGUUAAAAGAUUCUCUAUCAUGCUCAUACCUUAACCAUUAAUAUUUCUAGUUUCUCAUUAGUUAAUUUAUUGUCUUUGGUAAUUAUUUUAAAUUCAUAUCUAUGUUUCGUUCUAGAAAUUUGAUACUCAUUCAUCUUUGUUGAGUAAAAAAUUAAAUUUUUUGUUAAAUAUGAAUAAAAAUAAUAUUUUUAAUUUUAAGUGCAAGCAAGGAUCUAUCAAGUAUCUUAUUUUCCACAAACAUAAAAGCAAAGAAAGAAAUAUUAAAAUAAGAAAAACUAGCAACCGUGUUUCAAGUACAAGGAUCAAUCAUGUCAUCUUGCUUUCCACAUAUCAAAGCAUAUUUUAAGUCAAGAAAGCUAUCGAGCGUGUUCUACGUUAAUGGAUAAUCAAGUCAUGCUGCAUUUCACAAACAUCAAAGCAGACUAAGAAAUUUUAAGUCAUGAAAGCUGCCGACAGUUUUCUAAACGUAAAUCAAUCAAGUCAUCUUAUUUUCCAAAAACAUAAAAGCAGAGAAAGAAAUAUUAAAAUAAGAAAAACUAGCAACCGUGUUUCACGUGCAAGGAUCAAUCAUGUCAUCUUACUAUCUACAUAUCAAAGCAUAUUUUAAGUCAAGAAAGCUAUCGUGUUCUAAGUGCAUGGAUAAUCAAAUCAUCCUGCUUUUCACAAACAUCGAAGCGGACUAAGAAAUUUUAAGUCAAGAAAACUAAUCACCGUUUUCUAAACGCAACUAUCAAUCAAUUAGUCUUGGUUUUACACACAUCAAAGCAGAUCAUUCUCUUGUCGUACCCUAGAUAGGUAAUUAAAUAUUUGAGGUUGGGUGUAAAAGCUUUUCAUUUCUAAUGAUUUUUUUUUAAGCAAAGCAAAUUAAAAUCUUUAUUAUCAAUAUGGCAGAUGAGUUCAUUUUUUUUAAUGUAUUUAAUUUAAUGAUUUAAUUUUAUUAUUUUAAAAAAUUAAUAUUAGUGUUAAUUUUUGGAAACUUUUAACCAAAAAAAUUGUGAAAAUUGGAAGAAGAGAAAAAGAUUUCUAUUGCCACGUUGACAAUUUGCCGUGUAAACACUGCCAUAAUGAUUGUAGAAAAAAAGGGUUUAAUUACAUUACAUGAUGCUCCCAUAACUUAAAAUACCUGUUUUGAAGAAAUAAAAUGGAACUACACCUAUUAAAGAAUAAAACUUUUAUGCACUGCACGUAGGAAAAGAAAAAGAAAAAUGCUCAACUUCUAAUUAGUAAUUUUUUAAUGAUUUUAAGUAAAAAGAAAAGUGCCUACACCAAAAGAAAAAGGGCUAUUAACAAUUGAAACCAAAUGAACCCAAACCAAAGAGAAGACAUUUCACACGGAUGAAUUAAAAUGUUUAGACAGUUUUUUAUUUUUUUCUUUGUGUAUUAAUCUAAUAUAAUUUUUGCAGGAAUAAUUAGAGUCACUAAUAUGAAAGUAUAAUGGGUUUUGAUAAUCCAUAAAUAGCAAAAAUUAUUUUAUAUAUGUUUUAGUUUUUAUUAAUCUCACUGCCUAGCUACUAACUUGUUAUUUUAUUUUUACGAAUUAUGAGUCAAUGAAAAAUACAUGAUGCGUACUAAUUAAAUGUGACAUCAUAUUACUUAAGGAAAAUAUUAUAUACACGUAACAUCUACACAAAUUUCAUAUAGAUAUUAGAAUAUAAGAAUUAAAUUAAAAAGAAUAAAUUUGAAAGAAAAAAAAUAAUGCGUAUGUGUACAAUUUAUUUGUAUGAAAUAUAUGUAAAUGGCACUCCCAAUUUGAAAAUAUUUUUAAAAUAUGAAAAUAUGAUUAUGUAAAUAACUUAAUAAAAAAUAAAUUAAGUUAACAAAUAACUUAAGAUAUGGUUCCUAAAAAAUAUACUUAAAAUGAUCAUGUUAAAAUGACUAUAUAUGCAAGCAAUUGACUGCCAAGCUCAGGAGAGUCCAUUGCCUUAGACUUUUAGGAAAAGCAGUCGAUUGCCAAGGGCAUAAAGUCGACUACUUUGUCAAACAUAAACUAAACUUAGAUUCUAUAUAAAUAGUAGCCGACUAUUAGCUUAGAGCAAUUGAUUGGUACGUCUAAAAAGCGAGUGGACUGAUCCCAAACCCUAAUCCAAUCGACUGCCAGUAGAUGAUAGUCUUAUGGGAAUUUAUCUAUGCUAAAUGCAUUUAAUUGCUAUUAAAGAUGAGUCGACUACUCUAUAGGAGACCAAAUGUGGAACCUUUCUGGAAAUUGAAAGGAGUCAUCUGUUCACUCGGAGAAUGCAUUUUAUAUAAAGAAAUGAGUCGACUAUUUUAUAGAGGAGUAGACUAACCUACUAUGAAAAGCAUUUCAAAAAUUGAAAAUACAAAGAAGCAAUCGUUUGCUUUCUUGGAGCAAUCGACUACUUUGCAUGAAAAAUUGUAAUUUCCAAAAACAGGAUAAAUGGUUUCUCUUAGAAUGAAAAGUUUGAUUAUUUAAAUGAAUAAAUAUGUUUGUAAUCUCUCAAAGAUACAUUUUUAUAAUCAAAAGGAAUUUAUCUUUAAUUGAAACAAUAUAAUAAAAAAAUCACAAUCUUAGGAUUCAAUAUCUAUGAAUAGAUAUUGAUGUGAGUUCAUUUUGUAAUCUAAUUCAAUUCAGAAUUACUUUCUUCUUUCUCCCAAUCUUUUCUCAAUUAAAAGCUUAUUGCUUUGACAUUGUUUGCUGCAGAAAACCUUGUAAAGACAAGAUAUUUUCAUUCCUACUAAAGUAUGUUUAGUGGUUUGUUAUAUUAGUGCAAAGUAUAAACAAACAAGGCUUCAUUUUAUGCAUUUUGGUUCAUCCCUUUUGCAUGCUAUAACUAGUUGGGUUGAUAUAAGCAUUAAGAAAAGUGACAUUUAUAGCACACUUUGAAGUAAUUUUGUUCAUAUUUGAAGGUCCAUGAUUGCUCAACUCUAACUAUUCAUCAAGAAGUUAUAAGAAGUUCUUAAAUUGUCAAAACAUUUAAGUAUUUACAAAUUGUAUCUUAUAGCUUUAUAUUACAAUAUUUUUCUAACAUUCUUAAGGUUUUGUUUCAAGCAAUAUGGACAAGUUCAAUUCCAUAAAAGAGAUGACAACCAACUUUUAAAUCUUGGACUGGUUUGAUGGAAGCAACAUCCUGAGGUGGCAAUUGUAGAUGCCCUAUUUAAUUUGAAAUCAUUUGUAAAUUCCAAUUUUUGUUUUUAUUUGUUUAUUUAUUUAUUUAUUUAUUUUAUCUCUUUUUUGUUUGCACUUUCAAUUGACUCCUUGAGUUAUAGUGUGUAGUUGAUUGUGGGGCAUAACAUUGUGGCUCUUGUUGGAUUAUUGGGAUUAAGUUGGCCCUUGUUGGAAUUCUUGGGCUGUGAUAGGUUCUAAACCAAGCCUAACUCCUAUUUUUUAUGAAUUUUAUUUUUUAUCUGAUUUAUCUCUUCUGUAAAAAAAAAAAAUUGAAAUUGAAAAGUCGGGAAGAUAAACAAAAUGAUAAAUAAAGAGAAGGAAAUCAGAUGAAUUUUGAUAAUGAUUUCUGUGAAGAUAAGUUGAAUCUUUUAAGAAUAAAGGAUAAGAUAAUUUUUAAAAUUAACCCAAUCAAUAUUUUGUUUCGAUUUAGAUUCUAAGCGAGCUGGGACUAAAGGCUUAUAUAAGCAACAAUAAUUGAAUACAAUAUACACAACAAGUAAAGGCAAUGGCAGAAGUAGAAAGCAAGUAAAAAAAAAUUUCGAUAGUAGGCCAUGGGUUCUUAAUUUGAAGAUUUUUUCUUUUUGCAAUUUUAGUUAUUUGAAUCAGUUUAAUUUGUAAAAAUUAGUGUUAUUAAGGGAUUAAAGAGCGCACAAAGAUCCAAGUUGAAUUUUUAGCAUUUUUUUUGAAGAAUUUAGAAAAUUUUAAAUUUUUUGACGAAUUUUAAAUUUUUUAGUGAAAUUCACAGUUUUUAGUGAAACUUGAAUUUUCCUAUGGUUUUGAGCAUGAUUGGUUCACUGCGAAUCAUUUUCUUGGAGAUAGUUGUGUUACAAACCAAUUUUGCAGUUUGUAAUCUGAGUAUUAAUGUUACAAACUAAUUUUAGCAUGAAUGGCGUGUCCUGGCUUUACCAUUUACUCUCUUUGUUUUAUUUUUUUUUGGUUUAAAAUUUUUAUGAAUGUUUCGAAAUUUUAUAUUUUUUAAUAUCUAAAAUUUUUAUCUUUUUAUCUUUUAAAAUUAUUUAUUAUUAUUUAUUUUUUACAUUAAAAAUAAAAAAUUUUAAUUUUAAUAUUAAAUAUAUUAAAAUUAAUUUUUUUUUUUGAAUUCUGUGAAAAUCAAUCAUCAUUAUUCUCCAGAGAGAGAUGAUAAUGAAUGGAAUGCAAUCAAGCUCGGGUUUUAAUUCAUUCAUCAAUCAUCAAUCUGCUGGACGUGCUCUAUUAGCACUUGUCUUCUGUAUACUGUUUCUAUGACAUGGUUUCCCAUGUUAAGGGUCCGACCAACAUUUUACCUAUUAUGACUCACUGUCACUUGUAAUUAUCUAUACCCUAUAUAAAAACUAUAGCCUUACUAAAAAAAUUGUUCCCAUAUUAUUUUUUUAAAAUUUUUUCCUAGUUUGAAAUAAAGGAUAAUAUUUCAUUGAAGCUAGAGGUGAGAAAAUUAGUUCAUUUUGAGUUGGUUCAUUUUGGAUAAAAAAAUGAAUUAUUUUAUAUUUGAAUUAAGUUGAGUGCAAAUUAAAAAAUGAUUGUAUUAUGUUGAGUUUGGAUCAAAUCAAGUUCAAAUUAAAAACUUUGAAUCAUUUCAAUUUUGAGGUAUUUCAAGUUGAUUGGAUUAAUUAAGAUUUAGAUCAAUUUUAGUUCAAAUUAUUUGGAUUUCGGAUUUGACUCUCGAAUUAUUGAGGUUUAAUAUUUUAGUUAUUUAUAUUUAAUUUGUUAACAUUUAAAAUUUAAUAAAUAUAAUUAAAUUUAUAAAAAUUAAAAUAUCAAAGUUAAAUGAUUCAAAAGUAAUUUGUUAAUAAUAAGAAAUUAUGUCAUGUUUAAUAUAAAAUUAAUUUUAUUCAUGAUAAAAAUUUAUUAAUGACUUUUAAUUUAUUAAUAUUCAAUAUUUAUUAUUAGUAAUUUAUAUCGAUAUUUUGUAAUCAUACUUGUCC